UGGUUUCAAGAUUAAAUUAGGUUUAUUUGACGACAUCGAUAUCUUAUCUAGCUCUGCUUGAAAAUGAAAAUGUUUUACUAGCAAUCAUAGACUUUGUUUAUUCAGUUGAUAUUUUAAUUAUACGUAUAAGAAUGAAGGUUUAUUUGGGAAAAAAAGAAAUAAAGAAAUAGGCUCUGUUGAAGCUAAUUAAUACUUCAUUCUUUCUAUACGUGCGACCUGUGGUGGAAACAUGAUAUGAGAAUGUGUUACUGGUGAGGUUGCUGCUUGAGAUGAGAAUGAUGAGAAUGCCUUCUAUUCGGAAAUCCUUGGUAGGUAUUAUAUAAUUAUAUUUGAUGGAAUAUUAAAUAGCUAAAGAACCUGUGAUAAUGUCUUUGUUCAAUGGUUACUGUAGUAGUGUUUGUUGGUCUUUUUCUGGUUGGCGUUUGGAUGUUAAUGUCAUCAUCAGUUGUACUGGUGUGGGAUCCAGGAUGUUGUCCUCUUAAGAGCCUAUAAGCAAAGUGAAACAGAGAGGAUCUGAGAUUUUUCUGGGCCUUUCGUAGAAAAUCAAGGUGAUGAAUGACAGGAUUCAACAAAUGGGGAUGGGGAUGAUGUUCCUGUUGAAAAGUUAGAGAAUAGAGUGGAGGAUAAUCACGAAGAGAUGAAUAUGUAUGAGGGUGAUGGUGAGACGAGUGAAUCUAAGAAUAUGGUUAAUCAAAACCAGGAAGAGAAUUUAGUGAAGGAGAGUUUUGAUGAGAAUACUGAGUCUGAAGAGGAAUCUAAGGCGGUGUCUAAAAAUUACAAUGUUAGAAAAAGGGAAGAUAAGGAAUCUAAAAGUGAAGGUGGAGAUUCAAAUUCAGAAGCUGGAGAAACAGAAGGCGGCGAAUUGAAUAAAAUUGAGCAAAUUGAAUCAGAGAAUAGCUUGGAUGAAAAUAAAUGGAUGAGGCUAAUCAGAUUGAAAAGGAGAAGGAUUCUCAAGAUCAAGAUAAUGACACUGAGAGCCGUUGAAAGGAUCAGGCUUCAACUGAGAUUUUUCCUUUUGGUGACUAGUCAGAAAUUCUGAAGGAAACUAAUGCUCAGAAUGGGGCUUGCUCAACUCAACCUAUUGAGUCAUAGAAUCAGAAAAUAUCACAACAAUCUUCUAUAUCUAAGGACCAGUAUGGUCAUCGUUGGAAAGUGUGUAAUGCCACUGCUAGGCCAGAUUGCAUCCCUUACCUGGACAAUUUGCAAGCAAUUAGAAUGCUUUCCAGCACAAAAGCAUUAUGAACAUCGAGAGAGGUAUUGCCCUGAAGAAACUUGUACCUGUAUUGCUCCUUUACCGGAAGGAUACAAACACUCAAUUAAGUGGCCCCAAAGCAGGGAUAGGGUAUGAUCUUAUAUUAUGCAUUAUAAAAUAUAUACUUGACUACUUUUAAUUCACUUGGGCUAAGAUUUGUUCUCAUGCUGUGUGGGAUAGAUUUGGUAUUAUAAUUUUCCCCACACAAAGCUUGCAGAAGUUAAGGGUUAGCAAAAUGGGGUUAAAGUUACUGGUGAAUACCACAUUUUUCCAGGUGGCAGAAUUGAAUUUGAGAAUGGUGCUCUUCAUUACAUUGACUUCAUUCUGAAGGUGAGCAUUUUUCAUUUAUCAUUUUAUGUCUGUUGUUAGCUUCAAUUAAUAUGUGGCUUAUUCUUUUCUUUGUAUGAACCAUGGGCGGUCCAUUUCAUUUUAUAAGCUAUUUCUUGGGUUUUAGCAAGACAAAUAAUAAGAUUUGUGCUGUUUUUGUUUUAUGCGUCUAUAUAAAUUGUGUGCGCGCAUAUCAUACUAGGGGAGUAUUGCUUUAAUGCUAUAUACAGUCAAGGACACACGGUGGGUCACAUUCUGACUCGUUUCAAUGCUUCUUUUAUAAAUAUUUACUUGUAUAUAUUUUGUAGUACUUUUAGAGAUGUACUCUGCACUGGAUUUUUUAAGUGCUUUUAAUGUAGCCUACUGUCUUUGUCUUUAUCUCUCUUUUUGUGAAACUGAAAGGUUCAUAUAAUUUUUUAGAAACCAGUAAUCUUACAAAAAAUUUUAACCUGUUAAUUAAUGCGGUUUCAUUAUCUUGAAAAAUUUUCAAGCGUGCUUGCUUUUUUCUUUUUCUUUCUUUUGAAAUAAUUGUUGAUAUUCCCCUUCUCUUCUAUCAAGUUUCUGAUUCUCUAAAGCCCACAUUAUUUUUGUCUUUCUUUAUACAGGCCUUUAUCAUUUAUUGGCCAGCACCCUUUCCUCGGUUUUAUAUAAGAAUGUAAUUUCGCCCGAAUCUGCCAAAAACCGUGUACUAUUGUCAACAACAAAUCAGAAUUCCAUCUCCACCUCCUGACAAACCAUGCGUCACCACCUGCUUAGGAAUCCGAAGCCUUUGCUGGUGUUGAUAGUAUGUUCUCUCUCUAUCUCUGUUUUUCCUCAGUUGAGCAUUUAAAACAACAUCAUACUCAUCAUAUACCCUGUUUGGAUUCCUUGAAAUAAUAUUUUUUUAAUUUUUAUUGUUAUUUUGAAUUGUUUCUACAUAUUUUGAAUCAGAGUUGUUUGAGUAAAAUUUAAAUAUCAAUAUUACCGAUACGUGCCUAAUCUCAACUUCUUACCUUAAUAGCUUACUCACCUGUGCUUUUUUUUCUCCCCCCUUUUAAGAAUUCAAAAGCUAUAUUAUGGAUUUUGUUUUUGUUGUUUAUUGUCAUGAAGUAGGAGUGGGCAGAAAAUUGAAGAACUGUAUCAGAUUCCGUUUGAUAUUUGAUUCGGUUGUGCAAUAACCUAAAUUGGACAGUUUCAUUUCGGUUGGGAUGAAUGAAAACCGAAACCGAACCAAUAAUAAAAUUAACAAGCAAACCAAAUGAAAGUCCCAAAACAGUAACAAAACAAACACGUUGUGGUUUCUUAUCAAAUUUCACAGCACGACAUGGUCAUUCUCUUUGGUAAAAAAAUAGAAAAAAGAAUAAUGGGUCUCGAAAAUUUUUUAGAGCAUUUCUGUCGCUUACAUUUUUUUCCAUCGAUUAAUGUUAGUUGUAGGUGAAUGAUUGUUGCAAAUGCAUGUUAGCUUGUGAUUGAUUGAAAAUGGCUUGUGAUUUGUUAUGCUGCCGUGUGACAGAUUGAAAAUGGCUCUGAAAUUUUUUUAUUUGUUUAAGGUAUUACUGCUGAUUAUUGAACAGAGAUUCAUGCUAGAUUUUGUUAAAUUGAAGAUGAGAUUUUUUUUAGGAGAUCUGCAAAACCUUCUCUACUAUAGAUUUGGCUUCUAGCAUACCUGGUUGGCUGGAAAUAAUUGUUUAUACAGUCAUUGCUGCCUAUAUUAAUCAGGAAUAUUGAUUAGCAAUGUACUGGGUUAGAGAUUGGUAUAAUUUUGGAAAAUUAGUUGUAGAUGCAACUAGGGGUGGCAAUAUGGGUCAGGAUUUGUUUAUUCGAUUCGAUUUGAUGCGAAUUAAAUGGGUUUGGGUUUGAAAAAAUUGAUUCGUUUAAUAAAUGGGUGAAUUCGAUUUGAUUCGCUAAUUAAACGAAUCGAAUGCGGGUUUGAAGAUUUUGAUUCGUUUAUUCGUUUAGGAUUCGUUUAAUAAACGGGUCAUAAACGAAUCGAAUAUAGGUCGAUUCGUUUAAAAUUUAUUUAUUAUUUGUUUAAUUAAAUUACUUUUUUAUCCUUAAAUUUAUUUAAAAACUUUUUAAAAUAUCAAGGUUAAUAUUGUAAUUUUAAGCAUAACUCAUAAAGCCAAAAGAUCAACCCUAAUUUUACACUUCAUUUCCAUCUCCAAAUCCUUUUCUUUUUCUUUUUAAUUUUUGCAUCCAGCAAGUGCUACGUUUUGCCACUGCUCCAAAUCCUUGGAUUUGUGUGAGUGUGAUAAGUAAAAUUUUAUCUUGUUUAAUUAUUAUUUCCUUUAAAAUAUUACAAAUUUACUAUAUAUUUGAUAUUUUGAAAUUUUACAAUGAUUAUUAUCAAUAUUGCAGUAUGUUAGAUUGUUAAUAACAUUUUAUUUACUUUUUGGUGUAGGAUUUUUGUUUUCAAGGUGAAAAAGACAAAUGAAGAGAAUUAAAGAAAUUACCUUACUUUAUAAUUUGAAUUUGAAUUAUUAUUAUUUGUAUUAUUAGGGAUUUAUAAUUUGGUAUUUAGAUGACUGCAUAAUAUGGUUUGAGUUAUUUGUAUUUUGUUGUGGGAUGUUAAACUUGUGAUUUUUUUAUAUUUUAUUUUGCUUAAUUUUAUUUAUUAAUUAUAUUUUUCUAAACGAAUUGUAAACGAAUCCUGAUUCGGUUCGAUUCGUUAAGGAUAAACGAAUAAUAAACAAAUCCAGACUCGAUUCGAUUCGAUUCGUUUAUCAAUUAUUUUAAACGAAUUAAACGAAUCGAACCGAAUAUUCGUUUAAUAAACGAAUCGAAUCCGAAUCCUGAAAUUUCAAUUCGUUUAAUAAACGAAUCGAAUCCAAAUCCUCAUAAUUUUGACCCAAUUAGUUUACGAUUCGAUUCGUUUAUUCGUUUUGCCACCCCUAGAUGCAACCUGAUUAUGGUCUCAAAUAGUGUGAUCUGUCAAUUUUGUUUGCUCUGGCCUAAUAACCUUGAAUAUGAGCUAUGCCACUAUACAAAGUCUUGACCUAAUCACACUUGUUAGCCAAUGUCCAAAAUUGCAGUGUCUUUAGAUAAGUCCUGUCUUUUUUGUUUGAGUUAUAAAUGAAAAUUGCAGUGUCUUUGGAAAAUCACGCUGAAUGUUCAAGUUAUUGACGAGAGGAGACCCCCAGAUUCAAGGGCGGAGCUCCCUGUUAAGAAGCUUUACAUAUAUAGGAUUGUCGCCUGGCAGAGGAUUGAUAUGCCUGGUUUUGUUGUUUGGAAUAUGGAUGAAGAUUUUGCAUUGAGGCUUUUUUGAUAGAUCAUUUGGCAAAUCAAGCUCCAUGUAUCUAUCUUCAGACUCUUGGAUAUUUAUAAAGCAGGUGCAUGCUCCAUAUGUUACUUAAUGUAUCACGAUUAUUUUUCUAUUGCUUAAUAUAUUUGCAGUCCUUGAUGAAGUUGAGGACAACUUAUGGAGGGUAUACAGAGGCUCAAGAGCUCGAUCGCCAUUCAUUUUACACUGGGCUGGGCUAUAGCAUACCAACUAGUGAUUAAUAAAGAGAAGGUAUGAAGGUCAUGUUGCUGGUGGUAGUAUCAAUCAGAAUUGUUAUUUUACUUAGUCAUACUUACCAUGUAUACUAAUCGUAGGCUUUUUUCAUUUUCAUGCAUUCGCAUCAUCUUCUGGUUAAGCUACAGAUGGUUGAUUUGUGUACUCAUUUGUAUCACUUGUAGCUCUUGAGGAAUAAAAUUUAAAAUUAUGUUGCAUCUCUUGUACUAAAUAGUAAUUUUGUUGGCUUUAUGUAUGGGAAAUGGUUUGUUGUCUUAUUUCUUUGAUGUGUAUGGUGUUACAUUGUCUAAAGUUAAGAAGUAUUUCUAUCACUUGUGUAAAAAACAACCUACUUUUUUCAUUCUUCUUAUAUUGAAUAAAAGAGGGACACCAAGAUUGAACGAAAUUUGAUUCAGAAAGCAUAGCAAUUAGGCCAGUGCAAAACAGCUUCCUUCUGAUUCUUUGAUAUUUGACUUAAAUCUUUUGUUUAUUUCAUUUAUCAAAGUCAUUUUGGAAAGUAACGGGGGUGAUUUGAUAUUUUAAUUGCAUUCACAUCCCUUGGCACCAAAACAAACAUGCUGGUACUAACCAAUAAUUUUUUAUUUUCAGUAUACAAAUUAUUUUUUUCUAAAUUAGGGGUAUUAAGAAAAGGUAUAUUAGCACCAGGGGAGGUAUUUGAGAAUACACAAAUAUAAUCUAUUAAACUAAGGUGGCAUUUGUUUUUUAAUUUAAUGACUUAAAGUGACUUAAUUAAUUAAGUUAAUUAGAGGUGUUUGUUUUAUAACUUAAUGAGAUUUUUUAGAUAAUUUAGACUUAAUAAAAUAAGUUAAUUUUUUUUGGCUUUUUACUUAAUAGAGACAUUUGAAUUAAGUCAAUAACUUUCUAAUGUCAAAAAUAUCCUUGUUUUUUAAUUUAUUCUUCAUGCCUAUUCCAAAAUUCACCCAUAGACAUUUACUCCACAUAAUAAUCUCAUCAUUAUUUUUUUAGCCGUCAUGAAAUCCCUCCUCACUUUGAUAUCAACUCCUCGAGUAUUGAAGAUCAAAAUUACAUGCGAGAAUUUUGAGAUGAAAUGGCAAAUCAACUGUUUCAAGCAUUUUAUUAGUUUUUUUUCUUAUAUUAUAUACGAUAAAAUUUGAAAUUUAUGAUAUUUUAUAUAUUAAAAUUUCAAAAUCAUUAUGUAUUCACUUGAAUAUAAUUUUACUUAUAAACGUUAAAAUAUUGUGGUAUUUAAUAUAUUAUUUAUUUGACAUUCAAAUUUAGUAAGGAUACAAAUGUAAAAGUACAUAUUUUCAGUUUUUUAAGUUGAAAAAAAAUAAUUAUAUAAUUAUUUUUCAAGAUUCAAACGAAAAAACAAACAUAUUAUUCUGAUUCAGACAUUCAGAUCUAUUCAGAAUUCAGACUAAUUCAGGUCUAUUCAGAUUUUAAACAAAAAAAUCAAACACCACCUAAGAAUAUGCCAAACUUCAGGGGAGGUUUCUGAUAAAUCUCUUUUUCUUUUUCCUCCAUUCACCAUAGGUUCAAUUUAGAAACUGUUGACCAAACGGAAGGUUUAGGUUGGUAAACGCACUAAGUGCCUGUUUGGUAUGGCUUAUUCAAGAGCCAUAAAUGCUUAUUUAAUCGCAUAAGCACUUUUUUUAAAUUUUUAUGGUGUUUGGUUAUUUUUUUAGUAGAGUUUUUUAGCUUAAAUAAGCUAAUUUACCUCUACUAGUAAAAGCCCAAAAUUUAAGCUUUUGGGAGUAGAGGUUAGAGAGCUUUUAAAAAAUAUAUAUAAUAUAAAAAAUAUCACACAUUUUAAUGGUUCAAAAGUGUUUUUUUUAUUGACAACCAAACACCUAAUGACUUUUUAUCCAAAAGCUCUAUUGGUAUAAGCUCUACUGCUAUAAACUCUACUGUUAUAAGCUCUAUUUAAUAAGCUGUACCAAACGGAGCCUAAGUGUUAAUGUCAACAACCCAAGGGGCUUCAUGGUCCUCUGGGCCGAAAUAAUUAUUAAUUCUCCUCUAGUGAAAAUCUUCAUCUUGGGACAAAUAAUUACAAAUUGACAUUAUAGCUGUGGAAAUUUGGAGGUGUAAUUACCGGAAAUUACAUCUAUUUCAAUUUGCUAAAAGUAAUGGUAUCAUUUCUUGUAUGGAAAAUGGAUGAUUAGAUUUUCUUUUUUGUUAUCCGACGAAGGAUAUUCAGUUGUUCUUUAUUUGUUCAUAGGCAAGAGCAUGAGCAUAUGCAUAUUUAAUAUAUGCUUCUUGCAUUUUCUAAUUAAGUGCUCUCUUUCCUUGCCUUCUUAGUUUUGAAAGAAAGUUGUGAAGCAAAGCAAACCCAGUGAAAUACACAGAGCAACAGAACCAUCAGAGGAAAAACUAAAUAACAGAACUACAAUUGAACCAAACAAAAUCAAAUAAACCGAGGCAACAGAUGCCCUGAAUCAGGCAUCCCUUUUUCUCCAAAGAAAAUAUGUUUGCAUGGGUGGGAACCUAGUAAUUGUUGGGGAAAAAUUAGGUUUUUAAAUUUUUAUAAAACCUUUUGAAGAUCGCUCUCAUAUAAUAUAUAAGAAUUUGUAUUCUAGAAAUCGUACCUUGAAAAUUUGAGUUUGCUUUUUCCGCUGAAGUGAUUUAGGCUCCUAGAUCACGAUCCGCCACCACCACUCCUGUUAGAUCACGAUCCGUCACCACCACGCUUGUUAGAUCACGAACUGUCUCCAAUGAUUUUCCAGAUUAUGACUCAGGUUCGAUCUGCACUUGACGUGUGGGCGCCUUUAUCACUACCAAAGCAACUAGCACGAUAAAAUUUUUCUCUCAACAAUAGAGAGAAAAAUCUUAUUCUCCGAUUUGUAUAAAGUGGCUUCUCUUAUUCUUUAGAGAAAAUAAGCCUUUUAUAUCACCCUUUAGUGAAAACCUUAGGCUCCAAAUAAUGCCCUAAAUAAAACUCACGUUACUUUCUUUUUCAAUAGGGGACCCACCUUGUAAAAUAACAUAAGGCCCCUUAUACAAAAGCUAAUUAAAUGGAGCCUCCCACUAAAUGAUAUAUUUAGGCUUUUGACCCAAAUAGCUAGUUAUCUUACUUAUUAGUCCAGUAGUGGUGCAGUCAAUUAAAUGAGCUAACCCGGGGAUCAUUUGGGAACAUACAAUAGUGGCUACAAUAAUUAGGCCUGUAAUUAAACUAGCCCAAAUAUUUAAUUCCAAAUCUACUCCACUAAAAGAUUGGAACUGACUUCCAUAAUUGUAUGCUCGAAUAAUAAUUCGUCCCAAGCCACAUUGAUUUCUUUACUGCACAAUCCUUUGUACCACAUCGUUAAUUAAAUUGAUAUCUCAACUGUCCAAUCAAUUUAAUAACAUCUUAUUCCUUGAUCCUUACUGGUUUUCUCUAAUGAUCAUUUUCAACAUACUAAAUAUGUUGACACACUCUGGCCAGAGAAUUCUAUGAUCAAGUGCCGAAAACCCAUCAAGAGAUGUGUUGUACAAAUUCUAUAUUGUUAAUCCAUAACUCCAAUACUCAUAAUUGCUCCCACCAAGAUACCGGGUACUCUUGACCACAAUGAUGUGUCGUGCCCAUUGGUAACUCAAAUGGAAUAACAAUUACAAUCAUGAAAUCAUAAUUAACUCAAGAUUAAGAUUACAGUAAAAUCAACGCCUAUGAGAUUUAAUAAGUCUGACAGUUAUUACAAAGUUAAUUAAAUCUCAUAUGUGAUCCUGUUCAAUGUAGUCGUACUACAUCAAUAAAUUCAUACAUGAUUAAGACAAAUCAUUCAAUGAAUUUAUUACAGUCUAUACCUAAAUAAAGUGCCCAACUUUAUUUAUCAACUGCGAACUAAAUUUAUUUAAUCAUAAGAUAACUUGUAUUUAUGUCUUCUGUGAAUCCACAUGGUGAUCACAUAAAUACAUAUAAUAUGAUUAAAUGAACUUUUAAUACAAGUAUUAAUGCAAUUAAGAUAUUUGAAUAAAAUACCUCAUUUAUUUUAUUAAUCAGAAAAAUUGUUUAUUACAAUUAAAUAAACACAUAUGCUUUUAAAGAGCAUAUUUUCCCAACAAUCUCCCACUAGCUCUCAAAGCAUAUCUAGCAUAUUGCUCAUGCUCUAGGGCUCUAAGUGCAGGUUAUAAAGGUUUCCCACUAAUGGCCAUUGUAAUAAGAUCUGCCAUUUAGCAUCUAAUGCCAUUUGGGGUACUGUCAAGUGACCCUUCUGUCCACAUUUGUAACACUUGCCUUUUGGCUUGCCACUUCUUUUAAUGGACAGUUUGCCGAUCCCAACUCUUGCUUGCUCAUUCUUGUCUUUCGACUUAAGCCUUGAAGAGAAUCCUUUUUCAGGAAGUUUUCUGCUAUUAUAAAAUUCUUCUAUAGCAUGUAGUUCGUGCAUUAAUUCAAUUAAGGUCAUAUCUUUAUUGUUUAAGAUAUAGCUGACCUUAAACUCUUUGAAUGUAUCAGGUAAAGAUUCAAUCACCAUGUUAAUCUUUGAUUUAUCAUUGAUUUGAACACCAUGAAUCUCUACCUCAUUCAAAUAGUCCAUCAUUUUGAGGACAUGAUCACGAACUUUUGUGCCCUCUUCCAUCUUAGUAUCCAUAAUACGUUUUAAUGCUGCUUCUCUGGCAAAAUGGGUAUUUUGCCCAAACAUCUGAUGAAGACUAGCCAUUAUUUCAGUGGCUGUUUCCAUGCUCCGAUGUUUCUUAUGCAGUUCCAUAGAAAUCGAAGCCAAUAUAUAGCGCUUAGCCAUUUUGUUAGCUUCGCACCAUUUCUCAUAAGGCUCCCUCUGAUUUCUAUAAUCGUAUAACGAUGGUUCAGGAGGGCAAGGCUGGGUCAACACAUAUUUGCUUCCUUUAGCAGUGAGGAUAUUAAAUAGAUUGCGUUUCCAAUCUAAAUAAUUUUCGCCAGUGAGUUCAUUUUUAACAAGGAUAAAUAAUAAUGGGUUGAUGGAAGACAUUUUCUGAAAAAAAUAAAAUACACAUGCAUAAAUACUUUGAAACAAUAUUCACAAUAAAUGACAAAAAUGCAAAAAACCAUAAAUGCAUUUUAAUUUAUUGUAACGAUAAUCUAGUACCGCUUCGACAAGCUAUUCGUUGGGGAAGUCAUGUCUACACUUACUAGACCCAAUUAUCCAUUGGAUUAUUUACUUUCAUGUAGAGACAUGAUAAAUAAUUAUCGUUAUCCCUUUGGACCUAAAUUUGUUAACAGAGCUUCGUUGGGAAGGUUAAUAACAAACUUUAGUUGAGUGUAUAACCAUUGUUUCAAUCUACGUAUUUUUCAUAUCAAUAGUCACCGUUGGGGUGAACAAUCGAUUGAAAAAUAUUUCAAUUUUAUCUUUGAAGAAGUUCAUCAAAUAAAAUAUCUAAUAUAUAUACCCUCCGAAGGGAGCAUCACCGUAUCAUGAAGUCGAGGUAUAUAUAUAAUUUUAUUAUUGAACUAACAAUGGAGCCCGUGGGAAAAUUAUCUUGAAUUUUCCCUCUCCCACUCAAUAUUUUAAAAUUGGUUUUUCCUUUUUAAAACAUACAUAUUGUUAAUUGCAUGCUUCCUAUAAUAUUAUCUAGAUGAUAUCAAAUAUUAUUAAGCAUACGCAAAUUUCAAACAAUAUAAUGAAAUUCAUUAUUAAUGAAUGACAUGUAUCAUUAUGCAUAGAGUGGCACUACCUAUUCUAUAUGACAUGUUAUCAUGGCAUGUAAUCAUCCAAAACAUAACAUAUAGAAAAAAUAAUUAAAUAAUCUUAAUUCAUGGCUUUCCUAAUAAUGAAAAAUACAUUAACCCUAAGCCUAAUCUUCAUUGGGCUUCUUGUCAAUAUCCAUCUUCCAUAGCUUGUCUUUGUUGAUGGACUAGGGGAAAUUGAGCUUUUAAAUUUAUAAUUGGUCCAAUUUUAAUUUGGAAAGAAAAUAAAUAAUUAAAAUUAAAAUUUAUUAAAAUAAAACUUUUGGACCAAAAAUAAAUUUAAUAUAUUCAAUUUUAUCUAUGCAUUUUAAUCCAUUAAGCCCAAUUGAAAUUGGGCCUAAAACUAGGAUUCAUUAAGCCCAAAACUAUUUUUGGAUUUAAACGCAAAAAAUUAAAAAUGUUUCUGCCCAACUGAAAAAAUAUGAAACUAUAGGGACCUCCACGAUAAAAACCAUGAAACCCUAAAAUCACAUUUUUCUUUUCCUCCUCUUCCCUAGCCGCCACCAGCACAAAAACCCAGCCGUUGUUUACUGUUUCCACACCGGACAGCCGUCAUCAACGCCGGAAAGACGCCAACCAAAACGCUCCGCGCCUUCAGCCCACGUUCACGCUGUUGCUUGGGUGCUGCAGCUGCUGCUCGCGCGCUGCGGUUGCUGCUUGUGCAGCGCGCGCUGCAGCUGCUGCGUGUGUAGCUCGCGCUGCUAGCAGCGUGGCUGCUGGCCGCUGCGCGUGCAGCGCGCGCUGCUGGCAGCAUGUGCUACUGGCCGCGCGCUGCUCGCACAGCAGCUUGUGCUGCUGGCCGCUCGCUGCUGCGUGUGCUGGUUCGUUGCUGCAGUUUCCGGCCUCGAUUGUUUGCGCUCGUUUUCCAGUGAUGAUGCUUCGGUGAUUUACAAAUUUUCAACGCAAAUUUUUGCUUACAAAAUUUCAAUUACAGUAAAAUAAAUCAAGAGAGAAUUAUGGUGAUAAAAAACCACCCCUCUUGUUACAGAUCCAAACGAAAAAUACAAUAGAAAAUCUAACAAUGAAUUAACUGCGUUUACUUUUUGGAUUGGAGUGGGAAUCCUGAGGAAUGGGAAUCCUUGGAUUAGGAGUGUGGAGUGGGAGUGGGAGUAGGGUGUUUACUUAGACUAAAUGAAAGUAUGGAUUGUCAAUUAGAAUUCCAAUUAUUUGUUUACUUUGUCUUGGAUUGGGAGUAAAUUGUUUUAAAUUACAAUUUUAUCCUUAUGUACAGAAUUAUAAUUUGUAAUUAAAAAAUUAAUAAAAAAUAUAUUUGGAAAAUAAAAUAAAUAUUUUAUUAUAUUUAUAAAUUAUUAAUAAUUACUAAUAUUCUUAAUUAUGUAAAUCAUAAUUUUUUAUUAAUUUUAAUUUAAAUUAUGUGAAUAAAAAUUAUUAAUAAUAGCAACACAAAUGGAAUAUUAUUAUUGAUAAUAUAGUACAAAAUUAAUAUUUUUUAGAAUAAAAUAUUUAUUAUUAUUAAUUAAAUAAAUAAUUAAUUAAUAUUUAUUAAAAUUAAUGUUUUAUAUUAUUAAUUUAAAUAUAAUAUUUAUUUAUUUUUAUUUUAUUAAUUUUAAUAAAAUAAAUAUGAUAUAAUUAUUAUUUUUAAUAAAUAUGAUAUUAUUUAUUUUAUGAAAUAUUAUUUAUUUUAUUAAAUAUUAUUUAUUUUAUUAAAUAUUAUUUAUUUAUUUUAAUUUUAUAAGGAUAAAAUGGGAAGAGGGGGGAGUGGAUUCCCACUCCCACCUCCCCCAAUGGGAGUGGGAAUCCCACUCCCCACUCCAAAUUUAGGUGGGACCCACGGAUUCCCACUCCCACUCUCCCUAUUUUUAAAGUAAGUAAACACUGGAGUGGGAGGAAUCCACACUCCACACUCCCACUCCAGAAAGUAAACACUACCUUAAGACAAACCAUAAACAUGCUUUAUUCAUAUAUUAAACAAAUAAUAUAUAUCUGAAUAAAUUGUGCCACUCUAAUACAUAAAUUUCAAGAUUAAUUUCAUACGAAAUUCUUAUUUAUUAAUAUGAGAUGGCUCUGACACCAAUUGUUAGGGAAAAAUUAGGUUUUUAAAUUUUUAUAAAACCUUUUGAAGAUCGCUCUCAUAUAAUAUAUAAGAAUUUGUAUUCUAGAAAUCGUACCUUGAAAAUCUGAGUUUGCUUUUUCCGCUGAAGUGAUUUAGGCUCCUAGAUCACGAUCUGCCACCACCACUCCUGUUAGAUCACGAUCCGUCACCACCACGCUUGUUAGAUCACGAACUGUCUCCAAUGAUCUUCCAGGUUAUGACUCAGGUUCGAUCUGCACUUGACGUGUGGGCGCCUUUAUCACUACCAAAGCAACUAGCACGAGAAAAUUUUUCUCUCAACAAUAGAGAAAAAAAUCUUAUUCUCCGAUUUGUAUAAAAUGGUUUCUCUUAUUCUUUAGAGAAAAUAAGCCUUUUAUAUCACCCUUUAGUGAAAACCUUAGGCUCCAAAUAAUGCCCUAAAUAAAACUCACGUUACUUUCUUUUUCAAUAGGGGACCCACCUUGUAAAAUAACAUAAGGCCCCUUAUACAAAAGCUAAUUAAAUGGAGCCUCCCACUAAAUGAUAUAUUUAGGCUUUUGACCCAAAUAGCUAGUUAUCUUACUUAUUAGUCCAGUAGUGGUGCAGUCAAUUAAAUGAGCUAACCCGGGGAUCAUUUGGGAACAUACAAUAGUGGCUACAAUAAUUAGGCCUGUAAUUAAACUAGCCCAAAUAUUUAAUUCCAAAUCUACUCCACUAAAAGAUUGGAACUGACUUCCAUAAUUGUAUGCUCGAAUAAUAAUUCGUCCCAAGCCACAUUGAUUUCUUUACUGCACAAUCCUUUGUACCACAUCGUUAAUUAAAUUGACAUCUCAACUGUCCAAUCAAUUUAAUAACAUCUUAUUCCUUGAUCCUUACUGGUUUUCUCUAAUGAUCAUUUUCAACAUACUAAAUAUGUUGACACACUCUGGCCAGAGAAUUCUAUGAUCAAGUGCCGAAAACCCAUCAAGAGAUGUGUUGUACAAAUUCUAUAUUGUUAAUCCAUAACUCCAAUAUAUAAAGUACUAGAUGUUUUACUGAGAAAAUGACUAGAUCAUUUACCAAAUUUCUUGCGCAUAUAUACGUAUGUAUACGAGAAAUGGGAAUCAAUGAUUAUAAGACCUUGCAAUGAGACAAUAAUACAUCAUCAAAUCUAAAAAUACACAAGAAAUUCGGGACAUAUAUAUAACAAAAGACCUCUCAUUGAGUCAUACAUAUUGAGAAUAAAAUGUCAAAAUGCAUACAAAGAGCUUAUACAGAAAAUGAAUUUACACAUAUUUAGAAUAAAUUGUCUUUGAACUUUUGAUGGUCAAAUAAAGGAAACAGACAGGAUAUAACACACACUAUCAUAGAUGUAGCGACACGGUGAAGUAAAUCACAUGAAGAUGGAAACGGAAACCCUUCACAAUAUAAAAUUUGAAUAGAGGGGGGAAAAAAGGCUUCAUUUGGAAUGUUGCACAGAAGAAGAGUGACUUGAAUCUCCAUCAGUAUCCAGACAUUCUACAAACACAGUGCUGAGAAUUUUAACAAGAAUAACAGACAAAAUAUUGUGCUUCUAUACUUGUCACAAAACUAGACCAAAUUAGUUCCCUUUUUGGUUUGUGAAAACUUGAUAUUUUUGAAAAUUCUAUCCAAUGCUUUUAAACAAUAUUUCCAUAAUAUAGUUGUUCAUAGCUAACCUUUGAUGGUUUAAGCAUUUGUUGUAGGCAUGACGGGCUGAUUAGAUUAUUAUUUUUUUUUAUCCGAUGAAUGAUAUUCAGCUGUUCUUAAUUAUGUGUUAAUAGGCAAGAGCAUUUUCUUAAGUACUUUCGUUGCCUUCCAAGUUUCCAAUGAACAAACAGAGCACAAACAAAUUUAACGAAACAAACAGAGCAUUUUCUUCAGUGUGCUUUCUUGAGACAUUUUGAUUUAGUCUCAUUAUGAUUAAAAAGGAAGCUCGCUUCUCGAGACAUUUUGCUAUAGUCUCAUUAUGGUUAUAAAGAAGCGAUGGUCUAGGAGACAUAUUGUUUUCGUCUCAUUUUGCUAGACAUCUGGACUUUAUGGAAAUGAGCAUGUUGAUCACAUUGUCAUGUUAUUUCCAUAAUUAUACUUGUAUACUACUACAUGGUCACGUGUUUAUAAGUGUCUUGUUAUAUGGAGCAUCCUGUCGGUGCACAUAUGAUUUGAUAUUUAUGGCACAUUUUGGACUUGUUUAUGUUCUGGGUGAUUGCUUGUAUUUGACCUUUUGUUAUAGUCACAUAUUGAUUAAUUCGGUUGUUUUCAAAAUAUUAUUUUAUUUUAAAUUUAUCAUUGGAGUGAUUUCUGUCGUCCAAGUGGGAGAUUGUUAGAUUUAUUUCUCAUAUUAUGUGGACUGACAUAAAUCAUUCUAAUUGUUUUCUAUAUUUUACCGAAUUAAUACGUGACUAUUGUCAAAUAUUAUGGAGCAAUUUUGACAUACCUUGUACAGUAGUAUAUUAUGGACAAGUAUAUCCUUAAUUGUGUUAUUUUCGCCCAUAAUGGGAUGGGCAAUUUUGUACUAACACAUGAGGGGUCCCUGCGCUCAACCACUGUAUUUAAGUAACUUCAGCCCAUUGGAAGUUAACUGUUCAAGAAAUCUGUGGCAUGAGUGCAGUGCAUCUCUCUCUCCCGUUUGUCUCCCGUGUGUGUGCACAGUAAAUUUUGAAGCAAGCCGAUCCUUGAGCUAAGGAAAAGAAAGCGGAAUUCAGAAGCUAAACCGAAGCAGCAGCAACUCUGUUGAAGCUCCAUAACAAGCUGCAAGCUUGGAUUCAUGGGAGAUCGUGGUAAAUUUCGAAAUUUACUACAAUAUGUGUUUAAUUUGGAAAUGCACGAUUAAAGGGCAUAAAGUGUGUUUUUGUUUCAUCAAUUGGUAUCAGAGCCCAUGGUUAUGCGUUUCCUUGUAAACCAUAGUUGUUUUGUUGAAGAAAUCUCACUCAUGGAAUUUUUUUUUUUAUUUUCGGAUUUUUCGAAUUCUUCGAAUUUGGACAUAUUUCCUCAAACGGUUGUUAAAUAAUGCAUGAGUGAUGAUUUUGGAGCAAAGAUAUAAUUUUUUCGUGUUUUUUGGUGGCCAAAAUCGGGUUGGUAUGGAUGUGGAUGCUGUAAAUGUACUGUACAAUACUGUAGCAACAGCCCGAGGUUGAAGAUGAUGGGACAAUUUCAUUUGGAUCCCUAAAUUUUGUGAAUUGUCACUAUGGCCCAAAAUCUUUGCAAACUUUUCGAAAAGGUCCUUGACCGAGGGUCAACUAUGUAAAAGAUAAGUUGGUCCCUUGAAUUUUGGGAAAUUAUAGUAUGGCCCAACAGUUUAUUUUAUUUUAUUUACAGUUUGGGCCAAAAGUUUUAAUAGUUAAAACAGUAAACAUAAUUCUGAAAAUUUUUCAUUUUAGUCCAAAAUCCUUUCAAUUUUGGCGAUUUUUCAGAAUUUUAAAUUUUAAAAUAAUCCAUCAGUUAUUGAAUCUUAUGGGCAUAUCAUUUAUAUAUUUUAUUGAGGCAUGUAGAUAUUUUAUUUGAUUUAAUAUCUUGUUAAUUUCAUUUGACAAAAUUUAUUUAGCCUCAAUUUUGUUAAUAUACGAAAUAUAUAUAUGAUGCAAAACUACAAUUUAGAGUGAUUGUGUAUCUGCUUAUCGUAGGACCAAUCAUGAUAAAUUAUUUGGUGGUUUGCAAUUGAUUGUCCAUUUACAAUUAUGAAUUAUGGAUUAUGUGAUGGAUUGUUAUUGUUUUGACCAAGAUCCAUACGGGUGAUGAUACUGCCCUGUCGGCAAAUCACUACUUGGUACUUGGUAGGAUGCUUGGGAAGAUAAAGAGAUUUGUUGAGUAUUUUCUACUGAGUGGCUUAAUUACCCUGUCGGUAAUAGGUCAAUGUUGGUGUUAUAUUCAACUUGUCUGCUUUAUCUUUAGGUUAGUGCAUUCCUAUAUUGUUAAAGGAUGCCUAACAUAUUGUGUUGCUAUUGGAGAAACUUAGAAUGAGGAGCAAUUGAUUAUAGCAUGAUUUUAAUUUUUGCAUGCUUGAUAAUUCUUUUGUUAUUGCUUCCUCAGCUCUAGAUAUUCUCUCCUUUCUCCAAGUAGCCUCCCUCAAGAAUUUAACUGGGACAAAUUUUGAGGACUGGCGUGAGUCCAUUUUGUUUUAUUUGUCUACACUGAAUAGAGACUUGGCAUUAAGAGUUGAUGAACCAGCCAAGCCCACAGAUAAGAGCACUGCUGCUGAAAAAGCAGAGUGGGCAGCUUGGGAUGAAUCCAAUAGACACUGUCUGGAUACAAUGAAAUACACCAUUGAUAGAACCACUAGAGAUAGCAUCCCUGCAUGUGAUAAGGCCAAAGAUUACUUGGCAGCUGUGGGAAGAACCUUUAAGAAGGUAGAUAAGGCAGAAAAGGGUAACUAUCUGAGGCUGCUUGCUAAUACCCAGUAUGAUGGUGUUUCUGGGGUCAGAGAACACAUCCUUAAGAUGACUAGUUACCAUAAGAAGCUGAAGGACAUGGAUGUCACUUUGCCUGAUGACUACCUGGUCUUCCAAAUCCUUGAAUCUCUUCCACCACAAUUUGGCAAUUUGAGAAGCCAAUACAAUACUCAGAGAGACACUUGGAAUAUCACUGAGUUGACUGCUUAUGUGGUUCAGGAAGAGGAAUCAUUGAAGAAGGGGAAAUCUCACACUGUCAUGGUGGCAACUACUCAAGAGAGUGGAAGUGUGAAGAAAGGCUCUUCAAAGGGCAGCAAUAAGUUUUUUAAGAAGAAAAAGUUUGGCAAGAAAACUUCACGUGGUACUUCUUCUACCACUUCUGGUUCCACUUCUGAGAGCUUUAAGGGAAAGUGCCACUUUUGUAAGAAACCUGGGCACAAGAGAGCUGACUGCAGGGGAUUCAAAGCAUGGUUGGAAAAGAAAGGUAUUCCUGUAGCCUUUGUAGGCUUUGAAUCUAAUCUUAUUGAUGUUCCUUCUGAUACUUGGUGGUUGGAUACUGGUGCAACCAUUAAUAUAACGAAUUCCUUACAGGAAUUCAGAAGCAGGAGGGAGCCCAAUGAAGGGGAGUUGAUAGUUCACAUGGGCAAUGGAGUGACAGCCAAAGUUGAAAGCAUAGGAGUUGUCAGACUACAUCUAGCCACAGGCCAUGUUUUGGAUCUAUUAGAUACAGCUUAUAUUCCUUCUAUUAGGAGAAACUUGAUAUCUGUAUCUAUUUUGGAUAGAUGUGGCUAUACUUUUCAUUUUGGUGAUAGAAAAGUUUACUUAUUCCGCAAUUCAGAGUUAGUUGGUUCUGGCACUCUAUAUGAUGGCUUGUAUAUGAUUGAUUUAUUUUCUCGUGCUGUUGAAUCAUCAUCCAAUGCUCAUGUUAUGCAUGUUGUUAGCUCUAAUCGUGUUAGGGUUGAUGAAAAUUCCUCUAUGUUGUGGCAUAAACGGUUAGGUCACAUUUCUAAACAGAGGAUGGAGAGGCUUAUUAAAGAUAGCAUUCUACAUAAGUUGGAUUUCUCUGAUUUUGGCACUUGUGUUGAUUGUGUCAAAGGCAAACUUACUGCCAAAACCAGAAAAGAGAGAACUCAGAGGAGUCAACAGGUGCUGGAGUUGGUACAUACAGACAUUUGUGGGCCAUUUACUCCUAUUGCCAUUGGAGGUUAUAAGUACUUCAUCACGUUCAACGAUGACUUUUCUCGUUAUGGUCAUGUUGAACUUCUUGCUGAAAAGUCUAAAUCCUUAUCUGUGUUUCAAGCCUUUAAGGCUAAUGUUGAGCUCCAAAAGGGCAAGCAAAUUAAAGCAGUAAGGUCAGACAGAGGUGGUGAGUACUAUGGGCGAUAUGAUGAAACUGGGCGUAAUCCUGGACCUUUUGCUAAAUUUCUUCAGGAAUGUGGAAUAGAAGCCCAGUAUACAAUGCUCGGGACUCCUGAACAUAAUGGAAUUGCAGAAAGGAGAAAUCGUACCCUUCUUGACAUGGUGCGGUGUAUGCUGAGUAACUCCACCUUACCAGAUUUUCUGUGGGGUGAAGCCUUAAGAACUGCAGCUUACAUUUUGAAUCAGGUACCUAGUAAAUCGGUGCCCAAAAGUCCUUAUGAGUUGUGGUCAGGAAAGAGACCGAGUCUUCGUCAUUUUCAUGUAUGGGGAUGCAGAGCAGAAGUGAGGCCCUAUAAUCCACAAUCAAGGAAACUUGAUCCGAAAACAAUUAGUGGUCAUUUUAUUGGCUAUUGUAUCGGCUCAAGGGGUUCUAGAUUUUAUUGACCUUCCCACACUACUAGAAUCAUUGAGUCUGAUCGUGCCAUUUAUUUUGAGGAUGAUCACAAUGGUGGGAGUUCUGAGCCUCGCAGUCUGACAUUGAGAGAAGAACGUGUGGUUUUGCCUAUUCCAUCUUUUCCGACUUCUGCGAUGGGAUUACCACAUAUUGAUGAUUCUUCUGUUGAUCCUAAACUUCAUCAUAAUAUGGAGCCUAUGAUUGUAGAGGAUGAUGGUACUGAUGUGCCAUUGAGGAGAUCAGAGAGGAUCAGGAGACCUGCAAUUUCUGAUGAUUAUGUUGUUUACUUGCAGGAGCAUGAUUUUGAUGCUGACUCUUCAUCUGAUCCUAUUACCUUUCAAGAGGCCAUCAGUUGUUCAGAAUCAUCAUCUUGGAUACAUGCGAUGCAUGAUGAGAUGGCAUCUAUGUAUCAUAAUGAGGUUUGGGAUUUAGUUGAGUUACCAGAUGGAUGCAGACCAAUUGGUUGCAAAUGGGUUUUCAAAACCAAAAGAGAUGCCAGAGGUCAGGUAGAGAGGUAUAAGGCCAGGCUUGUGGCUAAGGGUUUCAGUCAAAGAGAAGGCAUUGAUUACACUGAAACCUACUCUCCUGUUUCUACCAAAGACUCUUUUCGUAUUAUCAUGGCAUUGGUAGCUCAUUUCAAUUUAGAAUUGCAUCAGAUGGAUGUGAAGACAGCUUUUCUUAAUGGGAGCUUGUCUGAAGAUGUAUACAUGGUGCAACCUGAUGGUUUUGUUGAGUCUGGUAUAGAAAACAUGGUGUGUAAGCUUAAAAGGUCCAUUUAUGGACUUAAGCAAGCAUCCAGACAGUGGUAUUUGAAAUUUCACGAUAUUGUCACCUCUUAUGGGUUCCAGGAGAAUGCCGUUGAUCAGUGUAUAUACUUGAGAGUCAGUGGGAGCAAGUAUAUCAUUUUGGUGCUUUAUGUGGAUGAUAUCUUGCUCGCUGCUAAUGACAGUAAUUUGUUACUUGAGACAAAGCAAAUGUUGUCAUGCAGCUUUGAUAUGAAGGAUCUUGGUGAAGCCCAUUAUGUAUUAGGGAUAGAGAUUCUUCAUGAUAGAUCUAGAGGAAUUCUAGGUUUGUCUCAAAAGACUUACAUUGAUCGCAUUUUGAAAAGGUUCAAUUUGCAGUCUUGUGCUCCUGGGAAAGCUCCAAUUUCGAAAGGUGACAAAAUUUCCAAGUCUCAAUGUCCCGAUAAUGAUGUAGACAAAGCUAGAAUACAAACAGUCCCGUAUGCAUCCGUUGUGGGUAGCUUGAUGUAUGCUCAAGUCUGUACUCGCCCUGAUAUUGCUUUUCCAGUGGGAGUACUUGGAAGAUACCUGAGCAAUCCUGGAUUUGAACACUGGAAGGCUGCAAAGAAAGUACUCAGAUAUUUGCGAGCCACUAAAGAUUUUGUAUUGACAUAUCAGCAAUCUGACUAUUUGAAUAUAGUUGGAUAUUCUGAUGCUGAUUUCGCAGGGUGCUUGGAAGACAAGAAAUCCACAUCUGGUUACAUCUUUAUGAUGGCAGGAGGAGCUAUAUCAUGGAAAAGUGUCAAGCAGACACUUAUAGCUUCUUCAACAAUGGAAGCAGAAUAUGUAGCAUGCUUUGAGGCUACACGUCAUGCUUUAUGGAUGCAAAAUUUUAUCACAGGGCUAGAUUGUAUAGUGGCCGUACCGAGGCCAUUAAAGAUAUACUGUGAUAAUUCUGCUGCUGUUUCUUUUUCUCACAAUACAGGGAGUUCCUCACGUUCCAAGCACAUUGAUAUUAAAUACUUGUUUGUGAGAGAGAAAAUUGCUCUAUCUUGUGUAUCAGUAGAGUAUAUCCCUACAGAACUCAUGUUAGCCGAUCCACUUAUUAAAGCUUUAGCUCCAAAAGUAUUUAGGGAGCAUGUAACGCAUAUGGGAUUAUUUGAAUCCACUUAUAUAUGCUGAGUCAGUGGGAGUUCUGGUUUGUAUUAUGAGUUGCAACUUAAAUGAGCUUAUGUAUUACUCAUUUUGUUAUCAUGCAUGCAUGUUGUUAUGUGAUAUUGAUAUGCCAUAUAUUGUGUACACAUUUGGCUGCGUAUGGCAUUAUGUAUAGAAUGAGGAUACGAUGGUCCGAGACAUUUUGCUCAGUCUCAAUAUGGACAUUAAAGACUGAAGCAUUAUGAUUUUCUUCAGUGUGCUUUCUUGAGACAUUUUGAUUUAGUCUCAUUAUGAUUAAAAAGGAAGCUCGCUUCUCGAGACAUUUUGCUAUAGUCUCAUUAUGGUUAUAAAGAAGCGAUGGUCUAGGAGACAUAUUGUUUUCGUCUCAUUUUGCUAGACAUCUGGACUUUAUGGAAAUGAGCAUGUUGAUCACAUUGUCAUGUUAUUUCCAUAAUUAUACUUGUAUACUACUACAUGGUCACGUGUUUAUAAGUGUCUUGUUAUAUGGAGCAUCCUGUCGGUGCACAUAUGAUUUGAUAUUUAUGGCACAUUUUGGACUUGUUUAUGUUCUGGGUGAUUGCUUGUAUUUGACCUUUUGUUAUAGUCACAUAUUGAUUAAUUCGGUUGUUUUCAAAAUAUUAUUUUAUUUUAAAUUUAUCAUUGGAGUGAUUUCUGUCGUCCAAGUGGGAGAUUGUUAGAUUUAUUUCUCAUAUUAUGUGGACUGACAUAAAUCAUUCUAAUUGUUUUCUAUAUUUUACCGAAUUAAUACGUGACUAUUGUCAAAUAUUAUGGAGCAAUUUUGACAUACCUUGUACAGUAGUAUAUUAUGGACAAGUAUAUCCUUAAUUGUGUUAUUUUCGCCCAUAAUGGGAUGGGCAAUUUUGUACUAACACAUGAGGGGUCCCUGCGCUCAACCACUGUAUUUAAGUAACUUCAGCCCAUUGGAAGUUAACUGUUCAAGAAAUCUGUGGCAUGAGUGCAGUGCAUCUCUCUCUCCCGUUUGUCUCCCGUGUGUGUGCACAGUAAAUUUUGAAGCAAGCCGAUCCUUGAGCUAAGGAAAAGAAAGCGGAAUUCAGAAGCUAAACCGAAGCAGCAGCAACUCUGUUGAAGCUCCAUAACAAGCUGCAAGCUUGGAUUCAUGGGAGAUCGUGGUAAAUUUCGAAAUUUACUACAAUAUGUGUUUAAUUUGGAAAUGCACGAUUAAAGGGCAUAAAGUGUGUUUUUGUUUCAUCAGGGAACUCUCAAAACAAAAUACUCAAAUUAAAUUAAAUUAGACCAAAAGACGCUCAAUGACGCAAAAUCUGCCCAUAAAAGCCUGAACGAAUCAUGAAAAGUGCAUUCCAUAUUGACAGUAAACCAAGUGACCCAUUCUAAACAAUUGAGAUGAAAUUGUGAAACAACCCACGAGAUCAAAUAAAUAAAAUAAGAAUUAAUUACCAGCUGGGACUUUCUUCUUCAAAUUCGUAACUCCAAGUCAUAAGAAGCCAAUGAAAUUAGUCGUAAUCCACAGAGUAUGACGACGACCCCGCCAACAGCUGAAAAUAAAAUUCUUAUUCAUCAAUUUAAACUAACUUUAUAACAAAUAUCUUAUCGAUAUUUUAUUUAAAAAGAAAAAGCAAAUUUUGUAAAAUUUUUCCAUGGGAGAUAGAGAGUAACACGUAUAUCCGUACCUUCUCAGCAUGUAAUUGUUGUAUGGUCGUGUUAAGAUCAUUACUAGCCCAACGCCGUUGAUUCGAUGUCUCUCCAUACCAGACGUUUACUCUUGGAGGCGUGCUUGAUUCUCCUCUAGUGAAAAUCUUCAAUUUGGGACAACCAAUCACAGAUAGAUCUUGCAAAGAUGGGAAUUUGAAGGUGUAAUUGGCAGAGCAGAAACUUGUGAGGCUGUCUAAAUCACGCAGUUCCAACCUCUUCAAUUUGCGGAAAACAAUCUCUUCUUUUUCAACCCCGUCUUUGUCAUUUAUUACCACCUCUGUCAUUGCUCUGCAUCCGUAUACACAAAGUGAUACGAGUCGCACUAGAGUUUUUGCUGUGGAGGAUGUUACUAAGUGUAUCAAUUUCUUGCAAUCGAAAGCUACAAGUUUUGUUAGGUUCCCAAAAGAUACCGAUGAUGUUGGCAAUAGAAUUAACAGACUUUGACAAUGAUAUACUCUUAGAAUUUCAAGAUACUGAAAAAUGGGGCCAAAUUUGGAGUCUUGUUUGCACAGCUGCUUCAGAUGAUAGUGCCGGUACAGCUCUAAUUCUUUUAUCAUUGCCAACUUCCCCACAUGUUUCUCUAAGCAUCCUUCCAUCGAAAAUACCUCUUCGUGGAAUGAAAAAUAACACAGUACGAGCAUUUCGAGAUUGUGAAAUCUCUCCAGUACAUUCCAGAUUGGAAAACAAGCUGAGUCAUCAGCAGCAAUCCCUAGAUCUCUAAGACUGCCAAAAAGGUGUUGUGGGAAAUCGGCCUGCAAAAUCAUCUUCACGUCUUUUCCGCAUAGUGAUAGUUCCGUCAAGUUGGGUAAGAUCUGAUCAUCAUCAAUCAUAAUAACUAAUAAGGUCAAUUGAUGUUUUCUCAAAUGAUUUUGAGUAAUCCAAUCAUAAGCAGUGAGUUUAUAGUAUUUGUUUUAUAUUAUAUUUUAAAAAAAAUUGUAUUAUUGAUAAAAUUUAUUAAAUGAUUUUUUAUAUGUUAAUUUUAGAGGUAAAAAAGAAAUUAGGGAAAAAAGGUUGAUUUAUACUGACUCGAAAUUAUUUUAUUGCACAAUAAUAAAUUACUAAUUUAUUUUGUAAGUUCUUCUAUAUGGAAAGACUCAAGAUUCUUUUACAAAUGCUAUACCUAAAAAAGUUUAUAUAAUCAUUAAUCUACCACAUUGAUCCCUUAGUCUAGACUAGCAAAGAUUAUUGUAUAAUAAAAGUUUUCAAUUUAUUGAGCAUUAAUUUAUCAAAGUUAAAAAUAAGCUAUAGAUAAAAAAUCUAGAAAAUGGCUUCAUACCUUUUCCAACGGCAAUAGGGGCUGUUGUGCAGGAAUACCAAGUUGAUCAUUCCCAUUAUUCUGCGAUAAAUCUGCCGUGAAUAUCUUUAAUCUGUCACAACGAUACACUAAAAGAAUUUCUAGGGCGGGCCAUUCCGAAGUAUGCAUUCCAGGGUACAAACAUCUAAGUUUUGGUAGAUCAUGGAGUAUCAAAGUGGUGAGCUGUGGAAAGACAAAAUAAGGGAUCACUUGAUCUGCUCUGUUUUCAGAAAUGAUCUCCUGUAAAUCCUCACAGGAGCGUAUUUCUAGGCGUUGGAGCUGCUUAAGGCUUCCGAUCAUAGACGCUGAAAAUAUGUAUUUUAAUUUGUGACAACCCCACACAAUCAAUCGUGUUAAACUUUGAAAGUGAGGAAACACUGCAGCUGGAAUUUGAUUGUAGUGCCAAAUCUUGUCGACAUUAAUUUCAGAUAUCUCCAAAGCCUCCAAGUUAGGCAACGCAACCUAAAAAGAUAAGAAUUUCUUGUUGAAAAUUUCUCUUUGAUUACAAAUUAAUGCAAGUCAGAAUCAAUUUCCAACUGACAGCUGAGUAUGCAUUCUAAUUCAUACUACUUGUUAAGAGCUCAAUUAGUGAGUGCGUGAGAUUAUUUUUUUCCCCAUUGUUUUCAUUUUCUUUCAAUUCUCUAAAUGAUUUAAUUAUUUUCCACGUUUGACAUAAGAGAACGCAUGAUAGAAUAAACUCUGUUAUAUAUAUAUAUGAAUAAAAUGUUAGCCUACGCACCUUCUCAUUGAAAAGCAAAGUUGAAAUAUCCAAAGUGAUUUCGCUGGAGCAAUACAUAGUCGUCGAUUCCUCUUGCGACACUUGUCUGUUCGGUGAUGCUGAAGGAGUCUCCACCUCACGGCAAAAACUUGUAACCUCUGGAAGAUUCCCCAGACUCAAAGAUCUUAAUUGAGCAAACUCUAUCUUCUCAAUUGCAUUAUCAACUUCUUUCCCAAUUGCAAAAAUCUCUUUCAUCUUGCUGCAAUUAAUAACUGCAAUUCUCUCAAGUCUUGGAAGGCAUUUUGUAGUAGAGAGCCAAAAGAUAUUACUCAACUUAUCACAAUUAUAUACUUCUAUGUUUUUGAGUUCGUUGAAAGACUCUACUUUGAGCCGAUCAAUACAUAUCCUCUCCAUGUUGAUCAAAUUGUGAAGGGCAAGUGACUCCAAAAGAGGAAAGGCAUCACAAGCGACCAUCUCCCUUGAAUCGACGAUACAAAAGAAGUCAGGAUUAUUUUGAACCCAGAGGACCUUCAAUUGUGAAAAGCCCUCCGUGUCCAAAUUGAAAAGAACAUUCUCGAUGCCUUGCAGCUUGUCCAACCGUAAGUAUUGAACGUUAUUGAUGCCUUGCAAUUUCAUGGAGCAAAUGUCCAUAAAAUCAAGCUUGAGCUUCAAUGCUCUUGAAAUCUUGCGAUUACUGUCGAUCAAAAAGUGCAGCUGACUUUUAAACCAAUGUUGUCCAAAAAGCAUGGGAUGCAUGAAUAACCCAUUUCCAAUAUGUAUUUUGAACCUUUCGAGCUUUCUGGCCAAAAAGCCUUCUGGUAACAUACUCUCAUUUUUAACAUCAAUUUCUAGAGUAGUUAGCCGAGGUAAAUGCAUCAAUUCGUCAAGGCUAGCAUUACUUCUUUUGCUGUUGGCUCUUUCAACCUCCCAUUCAAUGAAGCAAUUACCCAUAUACAAUUCUUCUAAUCGGAUUAAGCUUGAUAUGACAUUUGGGGCAAUAACUUUCAGACGGAAACAGUGUUAAAUCUAACAGCCUUAGCUUAGUCAGUUGACCCAGUGCUUUAGGCAACUCUACAAUAUCAGAUUGCAAAAAGCUAAGGAUUUCUAGAUUUUCCAACUUUCCAAUAAUGGCUAUGUCUAUGCCUCCGAAAAUGCUUUGAUUAAGACAAAGUGUCUGAAGAUUUACUAGAAGACCAAUUGAAGAUGGCAAUGACAAUAACCGCAUUCUAGUCAAAUCCAAAACCCGAAGCUUUUUCGUCCUUUUGAAGAAGUUCUCGGGAAUAUUAGGCACAGCAAAAGAGUUCUUGGGAGACAUGAAUAGAAGUUCAAGUUGUAGAGAUUCCGACCCUUCAGGAAUGUCAUUAACAAUACUAUCUUUAAAAGAAAUUGCAAAAUAUUUUUUAAUUCAUCUGCAUUUGGCCAUUUCCAAUCAUCCUCAUUUCUCACCACAAAUGCAUUCAUGUCACGAAAUGCAAUUGAAAUGGCAACAUCGCGAACAACAUCGUGCAUAGAAAUGUAUUUACUGCCACCAUCCUCAAGCAACAAACAAGAGUCUCUUAGUUGAUGGACCCAUGCAUGUAAUUUGUUAUGUGCAUCUUCUAGCUUAUGGACACUUUUAAAUACACCCAAGCCCAUGCUGUAUUUGAACAAAUCCAUAAUUGGUGCUGGCGUAAUAAGACUACACAGUAAAAAAGUUUUCUUGAGUUGCUCACCUCUUAAGUACUUGUAACUCAGCUCAAUUGUUGAGUAUGCCUCUGCUGGUACUCCUUCGUCGAAGCUUGCCUCUGAAGGCGUUUGGAGUUCUUGCAAGGCAUUCUUCCACACAGGCAGCUCUUUUUUUCUCAGUGCCUUUGCUACUGUGGUUAGGGCAAUAGGCAAACCUCCGCAUGCCUUGGCUACACUUGUUGCUGUAGAUUUUAACUCACGAUUUUCAACAUAAUCACCAGCCAUUAUCUUGAACAAUCUCCAGGCUUCUUGUUCAUUUAAAAUGCCAAUCGAGAAGUUUUUUUCAGAUCCCAUCCUUAACAGCACAUCAAGAUCUCUUGUUGUGAAUAAUAAUUUACAUCCUCUGUGCUCAACUCCAAAAGGAAUGCCAAUAGUCCCCAAAUCAAGAGGAUUCCAGAUGUUAUCGAGAAUCACAAGGAUCUUCUUCUCAUUCUUCAAUCUUUCAUAUAGUCUACUAGCUCUUCUAGACUCAGCUUCCUCGGACAACUCUAGGCCUAACGUUUCCGCAAUUUCCUCUUGGAUCUUUCUUAUGUCUGGACAUUGGGUAACCUCCGAAAAAACCACCAUAUCGUAAAGCUUGUCUUCAAUGGCUCGCCUUGCAAACUCCUUCACCAGUGUCGUCUUUCCAAUGCCGCCCAUGCCGUACACCCCAAUGAUGCUGACAUCAACAUCGAUCAAUGCAUUUUGUAUGGCCUUCAAAGUAGAAAGUCUUGAUUCGAAGGCUUCGUAGCCUUUGUGAGACUUGAGCCAUAUAUCCUCCGGAAUGGUACGGUAGGAAAUUCCAUCAACAAAUCUCCCAGCUUCUUCUCGGAGUUUAACAAUGGCCUUCACCUUUGUUUCUGCUUUCUUGCUAAGCUGAUAGCGGGUCUUCAAAUUAGGACACAAGCCCAUGAGACAUCGUUUAUUUGUUGUCUUCUCAUCAUCAAUGAAUUUGGCUGCCUGCUCAAUGAUGAUGUUCGCACUAACCAGCCACUUCUCAACCUUCUCUUCAAUAUUUUCCCCUUUUCUUUCAGCCUCAGAAACCCUGUGCUGAAUGCUUCUCCUUUCAUCCUUGAGCUUGUCUAUUUCUGCCUUGAGUUUCUCAACGUUGGCUUUAUAGUUACGCAAAUAACCAAGUCGGCGUUCUGUUGGAGGAGCCAAGCAUUUCACAAAUUCUAAAACAAUAGUAACAAUGCUUUCCACCAUCCUGGAUCCCUUUUCUUUUUUUCGAAGUUUCUGACAAGAAAAUAAACAAUGAGCGAAACACAGAGAGAGUGAGGAGAAAAAGAAAAAGAAACGCAAAGAUGGACAGUUUAUCUGGUUGUGGAAGCGGAGAAAUGAAAGAAAUCGUAAUAGCUGUUAUGGAUCUGCUGAGAAGAUGGAAACAAGGAAAAGGUUUCUAGUUCAACAACUGGAUUGCGAGCGGAGAGACUAAUUAACAAAGACUGGAGAUUACAACAAAGCAGAUGCCAAGAGAAAAGUUGAUCCAGUGAAAUUCAAGAGAGUUGACAGCAAAAGGGAGCAAAGAUUAAUAACAAAACAGCAGUGACUACAAUGAACAAAAGCAUAUGCGUUUCUUGAUUGAGAAUGAGUGCAAAGAAUGAUCCUUAAUCAAUAAAAUAUCUAACAAUAUCUUCACCGAAAGUUUGAGACAUGUGAUCCUUAUUCCACUUCGUCAAUUACACUCCAGACCAAUGCUGCCGUCAUUAUCGAACGGUCGAUAUCCAACACUUGCACGAAGAUUCCAAGAAGUUGCGUGGCUGCCGACUUUUAGAUGCAAAGCCUCAUUGUGUCGAUGUUACACGAAAGAGAGCAGUCCGGGUAAUUGCCAAAACUUAGAACUAAACAGUAGCUUAGUCAGAAAAUCAAACGCCAGUACCGGUAAAAUGACCGAUAAAAAUAUAAAAAAACAAAAAUUUUAAAGUUUUACUUCAUUGCUUUUUUAAUCUUAUUACUAUUUCUCCUUGCACUUCUAAAGAAACCAAAGCUUUAAAAGAAAUCAGCCAAAUCACGAAGAUUGAAAACUAAAUCUAUGGUUUUAGAUUUUUAUUUUAUUUUUUUAGAUAAUAGAUAUUGUUGAGUAAUGAAAAGUACCAGCUCAGCUAUCCCCGCUUCCCUCACCUUGGGGCGAAUCUCCCCAGAUGAAUGGCACAAGCAGAUUCCUGGUAAUACAUCCUGUACGGGGCAUAUGCCAACUAGAAACGAGUACCGACCAGAUGUACAUACCGACCAAGUACUCAUUAUUCAAAGAAAGAGGACACGAACUCACAAACUCACGACAAUUUUGUUAUGCCCCAAACCGUUGGGGAGAACAUGACGCCCCACGUUUACCCACGAUUCGGUGGUUGGAGACCCAUGAAGGUUUGUCAUCACCCGAAAAUGAGGGGCAUGAAUAAGACUCAGAAAACAGGGGAUGAUUGCCUAUAAAAGGCCAAGAAAUCGAUGAAAAAUGGGAGACACAAAUUGAGAGUAAAGGGGAAACUCUGUCAAAUUAUAAUCAGAAAUUCAUAUAUCCAAAUCCUUGAUACAUUUGGUAUUGAGAAUAUUGCAACUAAUAUGUACAACACAAAUCAUUCACUUUUCUCGUAAACACCUUGUACUAACUUAAGUAUCGAAGGGUUUAUGCCCAAAAAACCAUCGGCGUCUCUGAUUUGUUUCUGUGAACGCAGGCCUGGAAGGAAGAAGACGGGUGAUUUGGGUCCCAGAAGCUCGGGAAAUUGCUGAAGCUAAUGGAUCGCAGCCUCUGUUCCUUUGCCAAUACAAGCGUUGGUGAACCAAUCUGGUCGGUCCAAAGGCGACUAGAUUUCAGCAUCAACAGAUAUUAUUUUGAUGAAUUUUUUAAUAUUAGAAUAAUGUUAGGAAUUCCAAUAAUAAAAUUCUAACUUGAGACCCAAUUGUUAUGUGUUAUUUUUUUAUUGAAUAAUGAAUUUCACAACUAAUAAAAUUUAUAUUUCCAUCAUCUAAUAAAUGACUACCAUAUCAGUUGGGACUCAAUUAUUAGGAUCCUUAACAUUGCUCUUAGUAUUAAAUUGGACAUCUUAGCUAAAUCAGAUUAAAAAUCAAAUUAGUUUUUAGGCUUUUAUUCAACAUCUCUUUUUUUUUUUUUUUUGUCUAUUGGAAGUGAACGAAAUAAAAAUACAACAGGGUCAACGACUGGGCAAUUGGUAGUCAAGUAGAAGCAAAUCAAGGCUAAAUGGGAAAGAGAAAUGAUAUUUGUGCAAAAUAAGGAGAAAAUCAGUGUAACAGAAGAGAAUCAAAGUGCUUUUGAGAUAAAAAAUUGAAACAAGAAAAGGGUCGCUUGAUCCAAUGAAAAUGCAAAGAGCUGAUGGCAAAAGGGAACAAAGUUAAAUAAGAAAACAGCUAGCGCUAGCAGCGACCACAAUAAACAGAAAAUUUGAGAUGGAUUUACAAUAUUUCUGCCUUUCUUUAUGCUUUAAAAAAUAUUGCUCUAUCAAAAAAAAUAUUGAACAUUUUUAUUAUUGGAGUCACAAAUGACCUACACAAUAUAGCAAGUGACUAGGAAUAAAUAAGAAUAUAUAACUCUCUCUAAUUCUCACUCUGGCUUUUAAUUGUCACUCAAAACCCAGAAUUCAUCCUUAAAGUGUAGGCAAAUCAAGGAUGACACCGUUUGGUUGUCAUACGUGCCUUUUAGUUUUCGGAUGACAUGGCGUACACUUCUUCUGUAAACCCAACAAGACAUGUCGUACUCUUUUGUUUUGAGAUUCUAUUUCAAACUUUUCAUGCUAUGAAUGAAAGAUAAACUCCAAUCAUCAAAAUAUUUAGUGUUUGUUUGGUAAUGUAAUGUCAUAGUUGUGAAUUGAAAUUAUUUCUAUAAAAUAAAAGGAUUUGGGUCAUUGUUUGUUAUUUUCUGACAACAUUUAUUAAAUAUUAAAAAAUAAAUUUAUAUUUAUUAGGUAUUAAAAAUAAAUAAACAAACAAAAAUAAAAGUAAAAGUUUAUACAUUACGUAAAAUAAUGACAAUAUCAAUAUUUCGCACUCUAUAAUUGAGUGAUGUGUUGUCCAACUGGCAUACAUUGGUCCCAAACGGAGACUUAAAUAUCAAAGUCCAAAGUUAUUAUGAUGAUGACUUAUAAUCGCCAAACUUGACAUACGGGUAAUCAUGCAUUAUAAGGUGCUAAUUUCUUCCGAUCGGAACCUUAUUUUUCAUUUACAAAUAAAUAAAUGAUGUGACUUCACGGUUGGCGGGGUCCUUUGUGUCAUUUGGGCAUUUCACUAAAUGAUUGAUUGUAGCAGGAAGAUUCCUGGAAGUUGCCAUUUGCCAAUGCUACUAACAUUUUCAAACUUGGAAAACCCUUCAAUCAAUCUUUUAGUGGUAGGCUCUGGUAACUUGGUUUGAUUAUGACGUAUAAUUAUUUGAUAAUAAAGUUAGAGGAUGUAUUAAUAUAAAAUUUGUUUAUUGGUGUUGAAGUUAAUUAUCUCAUUAAUAAUAGUAUAAAAAGUUAAUUACUAAGAAACACAUAGCAAUAGUUAAUUGGUGUCAUAUUAUUGGGAUUCUGGGAUACAAUUUUAUAUCAUAACUUUGUAAGUGUAUACUUACUCAUCAAACUAAUAAAAUUAUUUAAAAAUUUCAGUUGGAAAAAAUAAAUUAUAUUAUUUUCAUUUCAAAUAAUCUAUAAGUUAACUCAAAACAUAAUCAAGCUGAGAAUUAAAAUAAUGCUACUGUAUGAGAGGAUUUUUAUUUUUUCCCGAAGUUUCACUAGGAAAUUAUUGAUACAUAGCUUUAUUCGGAUCAUCUCAGUUCAAACGACAAAUAAUUGAAAGACUAAGCUAAAUAGACCAGCCAACAACUUUGUACAAGAGAGUUCAAAAAUUAAGGUCAUGGUAUUAAGGUGUUCUAUCUUGAAAAGUAUAGAGUAGUAAUAAAAUAAAAACUAAUAGUUUUUGGUAAGAUAUGACAUUUAAAUAAUAAUUUUCACAAAAAUACAAGGAAUAUUUAUAAAUUACUUUUAUAGUGAGGGGACCCUCACUCUGUUAAAGUGAAAAUAUCAAUAAUAUACAAAAGACAUAUAUUUUAACACAUUAAAAAUUGUAUUUUUUUUAUCUAUUGGUGUAUUGAAAUAUGUGUUAUUUAGUUUGUUAGUGAUAUCAUUACUUUGUUAAAAUGAGAAUGUCGUUACUAGAGAAUCAUUAUGUAUACAUAUAUAAAGUGCUUCUGUCCAAGACCUAGACUUUAUUAAAAUUUGAGAAAGCAAAUAUAUUUUAUAUGGUAUAAUAGUGUAAUAACAUCACACUAUUAUAUCAUAUAGAGUAAUAGUUUUUCGAACUUUAAUAAAAUUCAAGAUUAUAGAAUGAAUGAUUUUUAUAUAUUAUAAAUUUUUUUAUCAUAAAUGGAGGACAAAAUUAACAUAUUUUCAAAUUAUAAUAAGCAUUUAUCAAAUAAUUUAACAUUGCAAUUUCUCCUAACUAGUAUAGUAAAUAAUACGACCUAGGAGAUACAUUCAAAGCAUUUCAUAAGUUAGUUGUUAAUAAUAAAUUAUAUAUGCAGCUCCAAUCAUCAUUGUACGGUGAGUAAUUUCCAGUUAUAAAUAGAUAUUACUCCCUUCCCAGCAAUUUUUGAUGACUUAAUUUAGUGGGAUCAAAAUCAACAUUGAAUUUUUGACCAGCUGCCAACAACUUGUGAGCAGUUCACAGUGGGUACUGCACAUGAUGCCUGUUUCUCCUUUUGCAUCUAUUUUUGUUGUUAACAUUAAUUUCAAUAGCAGCUCGUUAAUCCCAUUUGUUGAUUUGGGACUAGAUAAGAAUUUAUCUUGGAACUCCAAUUCUCCAAUUAUUUUAGUUGACAAUAUAUUUAACAUUAUUAAUUGCAUAUUAUUUAAUUAUCAGUAUAUAAUAUUCUUUAAUUUUCUAAUUUUAUAGGAUUAGACACAAAAUUGAUUAUGCCUUUUGAAAUUUAAGGGUUAUGUCAAUUGAAUAGAAAACUUGGAGGUAAACUUGUGGAUGUUUUUGUUGAUUAUCAAUUUAUGCAUGAAUUUUUGUACGUUUACUUUGGUUUAUAAUUAUUACUUUUAAACAUUUUUAUUGGUUUGAUUUAGGGUCAAUUUGGUAAUCCUGUAGCUUUUAAAAUAAUUACAAUUAGCUAUGCUGUAGAAAUUGAUCAAUCGUCAAGAGAAUCAGCUGAGCAUUUAGUAAAAUUUAUUUUUAAAAGUACUUUUAGUUUUAAAAGCGUUGUAUGAAUAAAACUGUUACACUAAAAAUUAAAUGUAUUGCCCACUUGGGUAAAUAAAGCUAUAUAUUACAACUGUUACACUAAAAAUUAAAUGUAUCUUAAACCCAAACUUCUUCUUCUUCUUUUUUUGACUAACAAAAUUAAAAACAAUAGUGAACACAUUCUUUAAUAAACAAUAAGUAAUAAAUAAAAUCGUGUUAAAUUUCUUAAAAACUUUCUUUCACGGUUUGCUAAAUAUUUUUAUUAGUAUUUUAAAUAAAUAAAAAUAGUUGAUUUAAUUUUUUUAAAUAAACUUAUUAGGUUCAUGUAAAGAUGUUUUUGUUAUUUUAAAAAGUGUAGAAAGUACUCCUAAAAAAAAGCGUAGAAAGUAAAACUUAAUUUUUUAAAUUUAUUAGCUGAGUGCAUAAAUAAUUGAGUGUUCAUAAUGAUUUUUAAAGUAUAGAUAGUCGGACCCUAAUAUUUUUAAUAAAUGGAAAUUUUGCUAAUAUGUUAAUGAGAAUUAAAAAGAUAAUUAAGGGAGGCAAUCGAGACAUUCAGGAUAGUUAGGAUGGGACAUGAUUGUGAGCGGUUAGAUAUUGGUCCUAAUUUUGAUCACAAAUAUAUAAACAGGACGAGUUUAUCUCUACUUACAUUCCAUUUGAUAAUUAAGAUGAGAGUGGAAUUGUCAAAUCCCAAAUCAUCCCGGACCACUGCCACCAAGGGUACUCUCACUAAUAAUAUCUAAAGAAAAAUCUACAUCUAUUUCAUACUUUUUUUUAAUGGAAAGAGCCCUCAUGGGGCUUGAAAUGGUAUCCUAAAUAAUAUUGAGAAUAUCAGGUCAUGAUUGGGUUUGUGACAAACAAAUACUACAUAGUUGGGAUACGUAGUUAUAAUGUCCCAAUUUAUGUAGUAUCUAUCAUUUAGCGCACAUAUAAAAUAUUAAUCAGCUUAAUUAAUUUAUAAAAUUUAAAUCUAAUUAAUAAGUGAUACAUAAAUGCCAAGUGCAAUACUGUAUAUGCAAAUCAUGUUUGUGGAUCAUUACAAAAUUGGCUCUUGAAAACAAGCAAGAAAGCUUAAUUAAGAACUUAAAACAAAAGAAUUAGAUUGAGAACAGUCAAGCCUUAUUUUUUCAAGGAUGGAGCUUAUAAAUCUUCAAGUACCAACAUACGCUUGGCCCAAUUGUUGUUAUUAAAAUUUCAAUAUACAUAUAUAAGUAUGAUAUAGCAAAAAUUUGAUGGUACAUAUGUCGGAAUAUACUAGUUCAUGGGUGCAUUUGAUUAUUGUUUCCAUAAAUUUGAACCAGGAAGGACGACACGAUAAAAUUUGAUUUUAUGGUAUGGUUGAUUUCAUAGCUCAUGCACUCAUUUCUUAAGAUAAUCAAAUUUUCUCUGACAUCUUUUUCAACUGUCGAAAUAUCAAUUAUGAUCAAUCAAAACGAUUUCAAAACCUUUCAACGAGACAUAUUUCUAAUACAAUAUUGUGAAAAUUACACUAAAAAAUUAAUUUAUUAUAUAUUAUUAUCCAACGAGCACACAAAAAUGAUUUCGUACAAAUCUAAAAUACUAAGCAAUUUUCAAAUAGAAUUUACCAUGUACUACAAGAAAAUAGGGUAUAUGUGACCCCUACUGUGAAUGCAAAAGCAGCCAUUACGCAUAACCCCGAGUUGCUUUUGUUACCCUUUAUGUGACGGCCACACUGCUGUCACAUAUGUUACGAACCGCGUGACGGUGAAGAGCCGUUCGGUAUACUAAUAUUUUAGAAUUUUAAAUUUAUUUCCAGUUAGAAAACUAUUCGCUGGACUCCGUGUUGCUGGCCACCAUCGUAAACAUAACUGGUUGCCAGCGAACGGCGUAAAACGCCGGCCAUCUUCUUCUUCAACGUAUUCUCCCUUCAUCUUUUGAGGUAAGCUUGUGAUUAUGAGUUUCUUCUCUUACUUAGCUUGUAAUUAUAGAUUUUGAUUUUUUUUAAUUCGUAUUGUAGCCGUUAUUGUCAAUUUUUGUCCCGCCAGCAAUAUUUUUUUAUUCCUACAAGUUGAACCCCUGUGUUCUUGUUCCAUUGGUGAGUUUGCUCACUCAAAUUAAUUUUGUUCUGCGGAAUUUACAAAGUUCAAAUGGAUUCAUUUGAAUUACUAUUGAAUUUAGCUUUAAUUCCAACAUCCAUUCUAAUGUUUUGCAAUUAGAUUUAAUUUAAUUUUAUGUUUAAAGCUUCUACAAUGAAUAGCGGAGCUUGGGUUUUAGUUUCAUUUUCUGGAUAACUUGUUUUAGUUUAUCUUGUAUGCUCACCAAAUGCUUGUUAUAUUGUCUGAUAAGUUAUAUACAUUGCUGAUUCUACAUUAAUAAUGUUACGUUGUAUUUUCAGAAAUUAUAAUACAAAAGUUUUUGCAAUGGCGUGCAUCUACAAACUGAAUUGACUUGUAGAAUAAGAGCUCGGAGUAGUGUUAUGUUCUUGAAUAAUUGAAAGUUCAUAUUGUGUAAGAGCAUGUAGAUGUAAAGCAUCAUUACCAUUUCUACAAAGUGCUUUCAUUCUGUUCAUAUGCUCUUCUUGAACUUUGAAAGGUGCCUCGUUCAAGUCCUAGCUAUAACUACUAGCUUUGAUUAAUUAAGUUCCUAUACUAGCUGAAACAGAUUUAUUUAAUUAAUUAAUUGUGUAUGUACUAAUUAUAUUGAAAGUAUAUGAAUUUUUUUUUUAACAUGAAUGACUUCUAAAUGACUUAAAAACCUAAAGGAUGUGUGAAACAAUGCUCAUUUCAUUUGAAUGAGCCCAUUAAUACUUUUAUGUCUAUGAUUUUCAAUAUUGGCUAAAGCAUUUCAGUUAAGUGGUUUACCUAACAGAGAAAAAAAUUUAAUAGAAAACUUCAGAGUUCUAACAGAAAUAUAGUUCACUAUGCAGAUAUAGUUAUUUUACGGUAUACAAAUCAAGUUGUCCUAAUCUCAAUGUCCUAUGACCGAUUUUAUUUUAUAUAGUCAUUAAUUUUUUCCUUGGUUUUUUGUGUUUAUGAGUAUGAAAUAGUGGGAUUUGGUGUACCUUAGCAUCUUUUGAAAAUUCUCUUUCAGUGUGGCCAACAGAAAUAUACAUAUAAUCAAGUUUCUUAAUCGUGUAUAUUAGUUUUGGGUAUGAAUGUUCCUAUUCUAGUUCGAGGCAAAGCUUCUUCGUUUUGGUCUUCAGAUUUCCAGUAGGUUAAGUUAAUCAACUAUCAUAACUGGCUAGCUAGUUAUUGUCUGCCUUGGCGCCAUUACCCAGGCCAUUAUAUUGCAUAGCAUAAGGAAUAGUGAUUAGGGGAUUAUUAGUGAUUUGUUGAGCUUAUUAUCGACCAAACAAACAUAUUCGCCUUUGCCCACAACUUAGUUUGAUUAGUUAUUAGACCAUAAAGAGCCUUGAUCUAUUCAUUGGCUUUAUUAUUUUUAUUUGGUUUUUCUUUCAACAAUAUUGUUGAUUUCUUAUAAAAAUAUUCAUUGGUUUUUAAACACCUAAUCAUUGGCUAUAUGAAGCUAAUUAAAACUGAGGCUUUGGAUCAAUUUCUUCUAACAAGAUACAAAUGAGCAUUAACCUAUCUCCUAUGAGUAAAUUUUUUUAAUAUCCUUGAUUUGUAAGGAUCUGGAGGCCUGAAAUCCUCUAGAUUUUUUUUAACACUGUCAAUGUUCUUUUUAUUCUGAGAAGGAAAUAAAAGGUUUUAUCUUUCAUACCCAAAUAGUAAGCUGGCCUUGUCUUAACAUGGCCUCCCGAGGACUUGCAAGAUUCAUAGUGCCCCCCACCCCAAAAAAUAAAAAUAAAAAACACAAAUAGGAAGAUUUUGCAAGAUUCACCACCAGGUUUUUUUUAAUUUGUUAAUUGUGUGUACGUGCUAGUUAUAUGUUGAAAGAAUAGGAAGAAGUAUUUCAACAUGAAUGACUUAAAACUUAUUGCUCAGUAAACAUAAUCUGCAUGUAUUUAUCGUUUGUAUUUUUUAUGGUUUUGCUAAAGAAAUGAUAUGUGAAAUAAUGCUACAUUGCAUCAGGAAUAAAUUGAAGAGAUUUAUGAUAUUUAUGUGUUAUUCAAAUUUCAGAUUCAAUUUUAAACUUUUGAUACGUGCAUUGAAAGCUUAGACUUGUUUAAGAAAUUAUUAAUAGACACAUGUUUUUAUUAGUGUCAUCUUUGGAUGAUAGUGAGGAUCAUAUGUCUAUUAAUAAUUCUUGAAUUGUCCAGGCUUGGACAGUUUGGGAAUGCAUAGUUCACUCUGGUAGCUAGUAGCUGAAGUUUUUUCCCACGUAAAAAUGGGUUUUUCAGUAGCUGCUCCUCGUGUUCUCUGGGUACGUACUAGGUGAAUGGGUGUCAUGUGUUGUUUUGGCAUAACGCAUAAACACUUAUAUAGCUAUGUCGUGUGCUUGGAGAAUUAUAGGGAGAUGGUGCCGAAAUUUUUAUAAACGUGGAAGAAAACUUUAGGUACUUGAGAUUGAAGAAACUUAUGCAUUCUUGAGUGGGAUAUGUAGGAUUACUUACCUUUUGUAAAUAUGAAGGGAAUGUUGGAUAUAUUGGGGAUAGUGUAGGAGCUGAGUUGGAUGAAUGUAAUUGGUGAUGAUUUUGCUGAGCUGACCUUGGUUUUGAGCUUGUAAUUUUGUUUGUAAAUGGAGUGCUAUCUCCAAUGUUGGUUUAUAAAUAUGUUUCAGGACUUGCUGACCUAAUUUUUUGUUUCUAGGUUACAGGCUUUAUAUAUCUGUAAUUGAUGGCGAAGUGAAGUUCCCAGAACUUGGCGAGGAUGUUUCUUUACAGAAGGUAUUGGAAACUGUUUUUUACAUUAAUUAUUGUUGUAUAUAUACUUUGAUUUUCACAUCUUUUUCUCUGAUUCUUGUGGCUUUGCUUGCUUUCAUAUAUGUAAAUUCUAAUGAAAUUAACCAUAAAAUUGUAAAAUGAUCUUUUUAUUAUAUUGCAAAACUGUGCACACACGAAAAUAUAUUGUUUAGUAGUAGAAAUGAAGAACUAAAAUGAUUUACUUAACUAAUUUUUGUAGCGCAUUAAAAGGAGAUAGUCAUGGACAUGUGUUGGGUUGGUUUGCCAAAUAGAUAUCCAAGUCAUAUACUGAUGGGGAUGAAAAAUUUAUAGAUUUUGCAUUUGAGAAUGUUGUUGGUGGUACAAGAAUUUAAUGUCCUUUUAAGAAGUGUUGUAAUCUAUAUUUCGUUAUAAGGAAAGUGGCUGAUGAUGAUAUGGUUGGAAUGAUACAAUGCAUCACGUAAUCAAAUGUUCAAGUUACACGGAGCAUUGUUAUGGACUAUCAGUGACUUUCUAGCAUUGCCAACUUGUCUGGGUGGAGUAUUAAAGGUAAAUAAGCAUGUCUUGUUUGCCAACAAAACACUAGAUCUAAUUGGUUGAUACAUAGUAGAAAAUUUUGUCACGUGGGUCACCGUCGAUUUUUACCAACAAAUCAUAGGUUUCGAAAAUAUAGUGUCUUUUGAUAAAACUAGAGAGUAGGGACCAGCACAUUCUCGGUUGUCUGGAUCUGAAGUGAAAAAGCAGUUUAAUAUACUUACUGAGUAUAAGAUUGAAGACUUGAAAAUAGGAGAAUGAAUAAAAUGAGAGAAAUGAUAAGAUUACUUGGAAGAAGAAAAGCAUAUUUUAUGAACUACCGUGUUGGGAGUUCAAUUUGAUUCAUCAUAAUCUUGAUCUCAUGGGCUGUUUUGAUUUUUGUUAUGAACUCAGAUCAAAAGUUUAAUGUGAUCAAAAUUUCUUAAAAAUAGUGAAAACGACUCCUAAUAAUAUGGAAGAUGGCUAUAAAAGAUAAAAGGAAAGGCUUAAAAAGAAAAGCCAUGCCUGUCCAAAAAAAAAAAAAAUCAACAAAAAUCAAAACGGUGCGUUUGAGAGUGUAUAAAAUACAUUUAGAGUGGGAGUUGUGUUGUUGCUUGAAGGCAGAAAGAUAUUUGUCGACGAAGCCAAAACCAAAGAUGAAGCCCAUAAAGCUCAAAACUCCACCGGAGCAAAUUCAGACAAUUACGAGGGUUAUGUUUGACAUAGUCAAGGAAGACGGUCCUCUCACCGUUGCCGAAACUUGGGAACGCGUCAAGGUGUGUGUAUCUGUUAAAUUGAAUUUCAACCGUUUGAUCUGUAAUUAUAAUUAAUCCAAUCGAUCUGACAGUGAUCACUGACCAUAAUACUAGUAGUUGUUUUACAUUUUCAGCAGGCUAGAGCGGGUGGAUUGACGGGCAAAAGCUCAGGCUCGUCUGCAAUCACAUGGGCCCUCAUAAGCAAAUCCUGUACACAACUUGGUUCACUAAACCCAACAACUUGAAGCAGCCAAAAUCAGGGAAUGAUCCUUCUCCGUCACAACCCUAGCUGCCUUAACCUUGUAGUGACACGGUGAAGAUGGAAGCCCCUCAGCAUGUAAACUUUUCAACAGCGACAGAGCUCUUAUUCCAGAGGCUGCACAGAAGAGCGACCUGAAUCCUCUUCAAAACUUUCAAAUUUUUAUCAAGUAAAGCUUUCAAAAUUUCUCAACAAACUGAUUAUUUGGUGUGGUUGCCACAUUUUGUGCAACUGCUAUUCGUCUUCAAGUACAAAUUCCUUGCCUUCUAAGUUAGGGAACAUAGAUGUGGAGCAAACAGGGAAAUAGAUGUGGAGCAAACAGGGAAACAGCAAUGAUGGCAAUUAACAAACUAAUAGCAGUAUUACAUUUGAUUCUUUAGCCCAAUUUUGUUCCUUCUGUCAGCCAUUCUUCAAAAGUUUUUGAAAAUUAGAUGUGAAGCAAAAAAAAAACAAAUUUAGACAACAGAAGCCCUGUGCUCAACAUCAUAUAUAUACCUUGAAUACCUAAUAUACUAAAUUUCACAUAUAAAAUACUAGAGAUUUCAAACAGUACCAGCAAUAGAAUAAUGACAACGACAACAAUAACAGAAAAUUACAAGAUUGCUGACAAAAUUUAUGUGAUUUACUGUGCCUUUAUGCAUGCAAAAUGAAACUGAAGAUAAAAAAUUUAGGGAAAAGGACACAGAGACCCCCAACGUUUGAAUAAGGGACACAAAAUCCCUUAAUGUUUCAAAAAAGACACUCAGACCCCCAUUUGUUAACAUUAAAUUAUAAUUUUACCAUUGUACCCUUAUAGCAUAUUAAAAAAUAAUUAUUCAUUAUCCAAUUUAUUUCUAUAUUAUUAAUAAAAUUACGAAUAUAACUUCAUUACUCAAUUUUUCCAUUUAAUUUUUAUCAAAUUUUAUCUUCAAACUAAAUAAAUUUAAUCCAUUGCUCAAAAAUAAAAAUAAAUUAAAUUGAUUAUUAAUAUAAUAAAAAUAACAAUUCUCCAUAUGUUAUUUCUUAUAAUUUCUUAUAUAUAAAUUAAAUUGAUAAUUUCUUAAAAAUAACAAUUCUCCAUAUAUAAAUUAAAUUUAUUUUAAUUUAAUAUAUGUUAUUUUUAUAUUAAAUAUAUGUUAUUUUUAUUAUAUUAGUAAUCAAUUUAAUUUAUUUUUAUUCUUGAGUAAUGGAUUAAAUUUAUUUAGUUUGAAGAGAAAAUUUGACAAAAAUUAAAUGGAAAAAUUGGAUAAUGAAGUUAUAUUCGUAAUUUUAUUAAUAAUAUAGGAAUAAAUUGAACAAUGAACAAUUAUUUUUUAAUAUGCUAUGAGGGUAUAAUGGUAAAAUUAUAAUUUACUGUUAACAAAUGGGGGUCUCAGUGUUUUUUUUGAAACAUUAGGGGUUUUGUGUCCCUUAUUCAAACGUUGGGGGUCUCUGUGUCCUUUUCCCAAAAAUUUAUAAACUAGAAAUUUAUAAUAAUCUAACUUAUUCUCGUUACUAUUAAAAAAUAAGUAAACAUAUCAAUAACAAUAUAGUUUAUUAUGAUUAUAAUUCAUUCAAUUAAAAUAAAUAAUUUAUUCUUAUUUCUAUUCUCUAUUCUAAUUUCAGUAAAUUUUGAUUUUAGUUUAUUUUAAUUAUUGAUUAGUUGUAAACUUAACUGGAAAUUUAUUGCAUAUAUUACGAGAAGCAGUACACACCAAUGGUAAAUUGAUACAUCGUUUUUGAGCUUAAGAUAGUCAAAUGAAAGAAACACAACGUAGGGUUCAUGAAACACUUUCAAAGCUGCUGAUGACUUAAAGUGAAUAACCUCAGCAUGUAAACUUAACUUCAAAGGACGGAGCACAAGUUUCACAGAAAAACAGCUCUUAUUUCUGAUGCUGCGAACACAGAGGAGUGACCUCAAUCUUCUUCAUCACUUGGGAAUUCUGCAAUUAUAGAGCACGACAUUGAGCAUGAACUAGAAAAAAUAUUUAUUUUCUACAAUUUUCAUAUAACCUCACUAACCAAGAUUAAUUUUGUGGUAAUGUAUUGGGUCAUUAAUUCAUAUGUUUUUACUGUCAUCACUUUAGAAAAAACUAAUUUCUCAAUGUGAAAUGGCCCAUAAAAGGUAUUCUCAUUUAAAAACUAAAUUUGACAAACCCCUCGAUUAAAGCAGGGGAGAGAAAAGAAAAAAAAAAAGAUCUGAAGGCUUUCCACAUGAAAAUGUUGUCACUUUGGAUGAUAUUUUCAAGGGAUUUCAUUCUAAAAAUAAAAUACCUGGGACCUUAUUCUUCAAAUUGACAGCUCGCCCAGUACUAAACGCGUAUGAGAUCAGUACUGGGACAAGUAACGAGACGACCCCUCCAACAGCUGAAAAUAAAAUUCGCAUUCAUCAAUUUAAAUUGAAAUUCAUAUUAUGAAAUUAAAACUAAUGAUUAAUGAAUUUUCAAGGAAUUUAAUAAGAUUCUCAUAUAUAAACGUGAUAAAAAAUUCACUCAUCAAUAACAAAUAUUCUAACAUUUUGUUGAUGUAAUUGUUGUAUGGUUGUGUUAAGGUCAUUAUUAGACCAACGCAGUUUGUCAUCACUCAUUCCGUACCAGACGUUUACUCUCGGAGGCGUGAUUGAUUCUCCUUUGGUGAAAUCUUCAUCUUCGGACAACCAAUCACAGUAAGAUAUUCCAAAGAUGGGAAUUUGAAGGCGUAAUUGCCAGAGGAGAAGCUUGUGAGACUAUCUAAAUCAAACAGGGACAACGUAGUCAGUUUGCUGAAAACAAUCUCUUCUUUUAAAUAUGCUGUUUCAUUUCAAGACUGGCAAAAUUCAUUGUGUAAUCAAAGUUUUCAAUGAUCCAACUAAUAUAUAUAUAUAUGUAUGUAUAUUCCUUCUCUAGUGCAGACAUUCUCAUUUUUUUUUUUCAUGUGGACCAGUUUUUAGAUCCCCUGGUUUAAAAGAGUUAGUUUUUAACUCUUUAAAACCGCAUGGCUUCAUAAUUUAUUUAAAAACUAACUCUCUUAAACCGCACGGUUUAAAAGCGUGUCCACAUUAAAAAAAAAAUACGGACCCCCACACCUGAGAAUGAUUAUAUAUAUAUAUAUAUAUAUAUAUAGACACACGCUCUUAAACCGUGGGAUUUGAAAGCUUCUCCGCAUGAAGAAAGUAAAAAAUAAGGGCAUUCCCACUAGAAACAAACUCCAUAUAGGUAUUUAUUAAACCUCCUGAUCUGUGAGUGAGGAACAACAAAUAUAAUUGAUAAAAAAAAUCUAAAAUUUGGUUUCAUACCUUCUUGAACGAGAACAGGGUUGUUGUGCCGGAAUACCAAAUUGAUCAUUCUCGUUAUUCUGGGACAACGUUAUUUUAUCACAAUUACAGGCCUCCAAUGUUUUUUAGUGCUGGCCAUUCUGAAGUAUGCAUUCCAGGGUAUAAACAUCCGAGUUCUGGUAGACCUUCGAGAUUCAGAGUGGUCACUUGUGGAAAGACAAAAUAUGGGGUCACUUGAUCUGCUCUGUCUUUGGAGAUGAUCUCUUGUAAACCCAUACAUAUCCGUAUCUCCAGGUGUUGGAGGUGCUCAAGGCUUUGGAUCAUAGAAGCUGAAAAUAUGUAUUUUAAUUUGUCACAGCCCCACACUAUCAAUCGUGUCAAACUUUGAAAGCCGCAAGUUGAUUGUCAUGCAAAAUCUCGUCGACAUUAAUAGCAUUCAGCUCCAAAGCCUCCAAAUUUGGCAACACUACCUGAAGAUAAUUUUCUCUUUAGAUCCAAUAUCCGUAUGGAAAGCACUUGUUUUGACACAAUAUCCAUAUAAGAAGCACUUAAUUAAGAGCUUAAUUAGCGAGUGUAUGAGACUUUUUUUUUUUCAAAUGCCAGUGCAUGAUAGAACUAAAAAAAAAAAAGAAGCAUUAGCCUACGUACCUUCUCGUUGAAAAGCAGAGUUGACGUUUCCGAACUGAUCUCGUUGGAACUGGCUGUCAAUUCCUCUUGCGACUCUUGUCUGUUUGGUGAUGUGGAAGAAGUCUUCACUUCACCGCAAAACCUUGUAACCUUUGGAAGCUUUCCCAGACUCAAAGAUCUUAAUUGACCAAACUCUAUCUUCCCAUCAACAUCAACAUCAGCUUCUCCUCCAGUUGCAAAAAUCUCUUCCAUGCUGCUGCAAUUGAUAACUGCAAUCCUCUCCAGUCUUGGAAGGCAUUUUGUACUACUAGAGAGCCAGAAGAUAUUACUCAACUCAUCACAAUUUUCUACUUUUAUGGUUUUGAGUUCAUUGAAGGACUCUAUUUGAGUCGAUCAAUACAUAUCCUCUCCAUAUUGAUCAAAUUUUGAAGAGUAUGGGACUCCAAAAGAGGAAAGGCGACACAUGGUUCUCUCUCCAUUGAAUCGACGAUACACAGGAAGUCUGGAUUAUUUUGAACAUGGAGAUGCUUCAAUUGUGAAAAGCCCUCAGUGUCCAAUUCUAAAACAACAUUCUUGAUUCCUUGCAACUUAUCCAAACAUAAGUAUUCAACGUUAUUGAUGCGCUGCAACUUCUCGGAGCAAAUGGCCAUAGAAUCAAGCUUGAGCUUCAAUGUUCUUAAACUCUCAUGAUUACUGAUCAUAAAGUGCUGCCGACUUCAAACCAAUCAUUCUCAAUAACCAGGGUAGAGUCGAAUGAUGCAUCUCCUAUUGAUAUAUCAAACCUUUCCAGCUUUUUGGAAAAAAAGCCAUCCGGUAAAAUGCUAUCAUUUUUAACAUCUAUCUAAGGUGGUCAAUCGCCUCAUAUGCAUCAAUUCGUCGAGGGUGGCAUUACUUCUUUCACUAUUGGCCUUUUCAACUUCCCAUUCAAUAGGGGAAUUACCCAUAUACAGUUCUUCCAAUCGAGUGAAGCUUGAUAAGACGUUGGGCACAAUAAAUUUUAGUUGCAAAACAAUCUGUUAAAUCUAACAGCCUUAACUUAGUCAGUUGACCUAGUUCGCCAGGCAACCGUACAAUAUCAGAAUUUAAAAAGCUAAGGAUUUCUAGAUUCUUCAACUUUCCAAUUAUGGCUAUGUCUCCCAACAUGCUUUGAUCUAGACAGAGUGUUUGAAGAUUGCUAGAAGACCGAUUGAAGAUGGCAAUGAAAAUAAUCGCAUUCGUGUCAAAUCUACAACUCGAAGCUUUUUCAGCCUUUGAAAAUGUUGUCAGGAAUAUUGACCUCAACAAAAAGUGUUUGGGAAAUAUGUAAAAAUUCAAGUUGCAGACAUUCAAAUUCCUCAGAAACUUCAUGAAUGCUACUAUUUAGUAAAAGAGAUUGCAUAGCAUUUUUUAAGUGCAUCCUCAUCUGGCCACUCCCACACAGCCUCAUUUCUCACCAAUAAAGCAUGUUGGUCUCGAUUUAAACUUUAACUCAAUUUGAAAAACUGAGCAAGUAUGCGUUACAGGAAAUCAAAAAAGCUCCACAUACCCAGAUCAUGAUCUCACGUUGAAUCCAGGUGGGAGAUAUAUUUAUGAUCAAGCCCAACAAUCGAAGGGGGCAAAAAAAAAAAAAAAAAAAAAAAUCUACCAGACAUAUGAUCAUAUUGACCACGAGCUUCAUACGCCGUGGAUUUAUUAACAAAAGUGGAAUUAAUUAAUCAUGAGCAUGUGUUCUAGUUAAGUCAAAAGAGAACUUAAUUAAGAACGCAUAUAUAAUUCAUAAUCAGCACAUAAAAAAUCACUAGUGCUUGCCCCUCCUGCCCUUGCCGUGCUUGCCGUGCUUGCCCCUGCCCUUGCUCUUUCCAUGCUGGUAGUAGCCGCCGUGCUUGCCGUGUGUGUAUGCACCGUGAGCUCCAGGAUAUGCGUUAUUAUCUGCAACAAAAUAAGAAAUUAAAUCAUAAGGCUUAUAAUUAGCUCGCUCGCUAAGAGUGAUUAAAAUAAUACCGUGCGGAACGGAUGGGCCAGGAUAUCCCGUUGGUGUGUAACCACUGGCGAGUGCUGCUCCUGUAGGCGGGUAGCCGGCACCGGCUGGGCAGCAUGAUCAGCACCUUCCAUGAUUUUGAUGAUCACCUAAUAAAUAAUAACUUGGUCCAAAAUAAACAACAAUAAAUAAUUGUGAUUAAUAAAAAGUAAUAUAUUCUCUAAUUAAAAACAUUAAUGAUCAUUGGAGAGCAAGCGAGAAAUACUUACUGAAUGCGAUGGGACAGACAACAUCAUGCAUAGAGAAUUGUUCAUCUUCAACGAAUUUGGCUGCCCGGUCAAUGAUGCCGUUAGCACUAACCAGCCACUUCUCAACCUUCUCUUCAAUCUCUUCCCCUUUUUCUUUUGCCUCUGAAACUCUGCGCCGAAUGCUCGUACGUUCAACCUUCAACUUCUCCAUUUCCGUCUUGAGAUUCUCAAGGUGGCAUUGUAGUUCCGCUUGCGCAAAUAAACAAGUUGGCGUUCUGUUGAGGAGCCAAGCAUUUACAAGUUCCAAAACGAGAGUAACAAUGAUUUCCAGCAUCUUGAAUCCUGACAACAAUGUAGAAGUGAAGAAGGCCAAAGGACAGUCAAAACAGAGAGACAGCGUUACGACAACAGUUAUGAGCUAAAAAUAAAUAACAAACAAACAGAAGCAAAGUGUUUUUCGAAUGAGAAGAAGGAAGCAAGAAAAACUUAAAACUAGUAUAAUAAAUUUAUACUAAAACUAGUAUAGUAAAACAAGAAGUCAAGAACCAGCAACUUUUACACACAAAAUAAAACCUUAAAACUAGUAUAAUAAAUUUAUCAUCAAGUUGCAGCCUUCUUAUUCAACAAUUACAGCAUUAUCUUGAGCUCUGUGUUUCUUUUUUUAAAAAUUAUUCAAAAAAAUCUGCAUUUUUUUUCAACGAUAAAAAUUAUAUUUUUGUCUCAUAUAAUAUAAAAUUAAAAAAAAAACAAACAUAUAUUAAAGGUCUGUUUGGGAUUAUUUUUAGAGGCUCAAAAGUAAUUUUUUAAAAAGUUAAAUGCUAAUUUUGGUAUUUAAUAAAAUUUUUAGAAGUCACCUUUGGUAAAAUCAUCAAUCCUACAACAAAUUUUGAAAGCAAAUAGUUUUUCAAAUUUUUAUUUUGAUAAUUAAUUUUAUACUUAAUAUAAUUCCAUAUACAUCCCUACAUAUAUUAAUUAUCCUUAUUAAUUAGAAAAUAAAAUUAUUAACUUUAAAGAUAUUAUCAACAAUUACAUUGAGAUAACAAACUAAAAAUAAAAUUAAUAAUAUAAAAUAUUUAUUUUAGUAAUCAAUUAUUAUACUUACAAGAUAAAAAAUAUUUUAUUUAAAUGUUUAUAAAUGUACAAAUAAAUUUUAUUUAAUAUUAUAUUCAAUUUAGUCAUUUACAUUGUCAAUAGGACUUCUAAAAAUAAAUUUUCCUAAAUGUUUAACUAAUUCUCUUCAUAGUGAUUAUUUNUUUUAUUAUAUUAGUAAUCAAUUUAAUUUAUUUUUAUUCUUGAGUAAUGGAUUAAAUUUAUUUAGUUUGAAGAGAAAAUUUGACAAAAAUUAAAUGGAAAAAUUGGAUAAUGAAGUUAUAUUCGUAAUUUUAUUAAUAAUAUAGGAAUAAAUUGAACAAUGAACAAUUAUUUUUUAAUAUGCUAUGAGGGUAUAAUGGUAAAAUUAUAAUUUACUGUUAACAAAUGGGGGUCUCAGUGUUUUUUUUGAAACAUUAGGGGGUUUUGUGUCCCUUAUUCAAACGUUGGGGGUCUCUGUGUCCUUUUCCCAAAAAUUUAUAAACUAGAAAUUUAUAAUAAUCUAACUUAUUCUCGUUACUAUUAAAAAAUAAGUAAACAUAUCAAUAACAAUAUAGUUUAUUAUGAUUAUAAUUCAUUCAAUUAAAAUAAAUAAUUAUUCUUAUUUCUAUUCUCUAUUCUAAUUUCAGUAAAUUUUGAUUUUAGUUUAUUUUAAUUAUUGAUUAGUUGUAAACUUAACUGGAAAUUUAUUGCAUAUAUUACGAGAAGCAGUACACACCAAUGGUAAAUUGAUACAUCGUUUUUGAGCUUAAGAUAGUCAAAUGAAAGAAACACAACGUAGGGUUCAUGAAACACUUUCAAAGCUGCUGAUGACUUAAAGUGAAUAACCUCAGCAUGUAAACUUAACUUCAAAGGACGGAGCACAAGUUUCACAGAAAAACAGCUCUUAUUUCUGAUGCUGCGAACACAGAGGAGUGACCUCAAUCUUCUUCAUCACUUGGGAAUUCUGCAAUUAUAGAGCACGACAUUGAGCAUGAACUAGAAAAAAUAUUUAUUUUCUACAAUUUUCAUAUAACCUCACUAACCAAGAUUAAUUUUUGUGGUAAUGUAUUGGGUCAUUAAUUCAUAUGUUUUUACUGUCAUCACUUUAGAAAAAACUAAUUUCUCAAUGUGAAAUGGCCCAUAAAAGGUAUUCUCAUUUAAAAACUAAAUUUGACAAACCCCUCGAUUAAAGCAGGGAGAGAAAAGAAAAAAAAAAGAUCUGAAGGCUUUCCACAUGAAAAUGUUGUCACUUUGGAUGAUAUUUUCAAGGGAUUUCAUCUAAAAAAUAAAUACCUGGGACCUUAUUCUUCAAAUUGACAGCUCGCCCAGUACUAAACGCGUAUGAGAUCAGUACUGGGAAAGUAACGAGACGACCCUCCAACAGCUGAAAAUAAAAUUCGCAUUCAUCAAUUUAAAUUGAAAUUCAUAUUAUGAAAUUAAAACUAAUGAUUAAUGAAUUUUCAAGGAAUUUAAUAAGAUUCUCAUAUAUAAACGUGAUAAAAAAUUCACUCAUCAAUAACAAAUAUUCUAACAUUUUGUUGAUGUAAUUGUUGUAUGGUUGUGUUAAGGUCAUUAUUAGACCAACGCAGUUUGUCAUCACUCAUUCCGUACCAGACGUUUACUCUCGGAGGCGUGAUUGAUUCUCCUUUGGUGAAAUCUUCAUCUUCGGACAACCAAUCACAGUAAGAUAUUCCAAAGAUGGGAAUUUGAAGGCGUAAUUGCCAGAGGAGAAGCUUGUGAGACUAUCUAAAUCAAACAGGGACAACGUAGUCAGUUUGCUGAAAACAAUCUCUUCUUUUAAAUAUGCUGUUUCAUUUCAAGACUGGCAAAAUUCAUUGUGUAAUCAAAGUUUUCAAUGAUCCAACUAAUAUAUAUAUAUAUGUAUGUAUAUAUUCCUUCUCUAGUGCAGACAUUCUCAUUUUUUUUUUUUCAUGUGGACCAGUUUUUAGAUCCCCUGGUUUAAAAGAGUUAGUUUUUAAACUCUUUAAAACCGCAUGGCUUCAUAAUUUAUUUAAAAACUAACUCUCUUAAACCGCACGGUUUAAAAGCGUGUCCACAUUAAAAAAAAAUACGGACCCCACACCUGAGAAUGAUUAUAUAUAUAUAUAUAUAUAUAUAGACACACGCUCUUAAACCGUGGGAUUUGAAAGCUUCUCCAUGAAGAAAGUAAAAAAUAAGGGCAUUCCCACUAGAAACAAACUCCAUAUAGGUAUUUAUUAAACCUCCUGAUCUGUGAGUGAGGAACAACAAAUAUAAUUGAUAAAAAAAAUCUAAAAUUUGGUUUCAUACCUUCUUGAACGAGAACAGGGGUUGUUGUGCCGGAAUACCAAAUUGAUCAUUCUCGUUAUUCUGGGACAACGUUAUUUUAUCACAAUUACAGGCCUCCAAUGUUUUUUAGUGCUGGCCAUUCUGAAGUAUGCAUUCCAGGGUAUAAACAUCCGAGUUCUGGUAGACCUUCGAGAUUCAGAGUGGUCACUUGUGGAAAGACAAAAUAUGGGGUCACUUGAUCUGCUCUGUCUUUGGAGAUGAUCUCUUGUAAACCCAUACAUAUCCGUAUCUCCAGGUGUUGGAGGUGCUCAAGGCUUUGGAUCAUAGAAGCUGAAAAUAUGUAUUUUAAUUUGUCACAGCCCCACACUAUCAAUCGUGUCAAACUUUGAAAGCCGCAAGUUGAUUGUCAUGCAAAAUCUCGUCGACAUUAAUAGCAUUCAGCUCCAAAGCCUCCAAAUUUGGCAACUACCUGAAGAUAAUUUUCUCUUUAGAUCCAAUAUCCGUAUGGAAAGCACUUGUUUUGACACAAUAUCCAUAUAAGAAGCACUUAAUUAAGAGCUUAAUUAGCGAGUGUAUGAGACUUUUUUUUUUUUCAAAUGCCAGUGCAUGAUAGAACUAAAAAAAAAAAAGAAGCAUUAGCCUACGUACCUUCUCGUUGAAAAGCAGAGUUGACGUUUCCGAACUGAUCUCGUUGGAACUGGCUGUCAAUUCCUCUUGCGACUCUUGUCUGUUUGGUGAUGUGGAAGAAGUCUUCACUUCACCGCAAAACCUUGUAACCUUUGGAAGCUUUCCCAGACUCAAAGAUCUUAAUUGACCAAACUCUAUCUUCCCAUCAACAUCAACAUCAGCUUCUCCUCCAGUUGCAAAAAUCUCUUCCAUGCUGCUGCAAUUGAUAACUGCAAUCCUCUCCAGUCUUGGAAGGCAUUUUGUACUACUAGAGAGCCAGAAGAUAUUACUCAACUCAUCACAAUUUUCUACUUUUAUGGUUUUGAGUUCAUUGAAGGACUCUAUUUUGAGUCGGAUCAAUACAUAUCCUCUCCAUAUUGAUCAAAUUUUGAAGAGUAUGGGACUCCAAAAGAGGAAAGGCGACACAUGGUUCUCUCUCCAUUGAAUCGACGAUACACAGGAAGUCUGGAUUAUUUUGAACAUGGAGAUGCUUCAAUUGUGAAAAGCCCUCAGUGUCCAAUUCUAAAACAACAUUCUUGAUUCCUUGCAACUUAUCCAAACAUAAGUAUUCAACGUUAUUGAUGCGCUGCAACUUCUCGGAGCAAAUGGCCAUAGAAUCAAGCUUGAGCUUCAAUGUUCUUAAACUCUCAUGAUUACUGAUCAUAAAGUGCUGCCGACUUUCAAACCAAUCAUUCUCAAUAACCAGGGUAGAGUCGAAUGAUGCAUCUCCUAUUGAUAUAUCAAACCUUUCCAGCUUUUUGGAAAAAAAGCCAUCCGGUAAAAUUGCUAUCAUUUUUAACAUCUAUCUAAGGUGGUCAAUCGCCUCAUAUGCAUCAAUUCGUCGAGGGUGGCAUUACUUCUUUCACUAUUGGCCUUUUCAACUUCCCAUUCAAUAGGGAAUUACCCAUAUACAGUUCUUCCAAUCGAGUGAAGCUUGAUAAGACGUUGGGCACAAUAAAUUUUAGUUGCAAACAAUCUGUUAAAUCUAACAGCCUUAACUUAGUCAGUUGACCUAGUUCGCCAGGCAACCGUACAAUAUCAGAAUUUAAAAAGCUAAGGAUUUCUAGAUUCUUCAAACUUUCCAAUUAUGGCUAUGUCUCCCAACAUGCUUUGAUCUAGACAGAGUGUUUGAAGAUUUGCUAGAAGACCGAUUGAAGAUGGCAAUGAAAAUAAUCGCAUUCGUGUCAAAUCUACAACUCGAAGCUUUUUCAGCCCUUUGAAAAUGUUGUCAGGAAUAUUGACCUCAACAAAAGUGUUUUGGGAAAUAUGUAAAAAUUCAAGUUGCAGACAUUCAAAUUCCUCAGAAACUUCAUGAAUGCUACUAUUUAGUAAAGAGAUUGCAUAGCAUUUUUUUAAGUGCAUCCUCAUCUGGCCACUCCCACACAGCCUCAUUUCUCACCAAUAAAGCAUGUUGGUCUCGAUUUAAACUUUAACUCAAUUUGAAAAACUGAGCAAGUAUGCGUUACAGGAAAUCAAAAAAGCUCCACAUACCCAGAUCAUGAUCUCACGUUGAAUCCAGGUGGGAGAUAUAUUUAUGAUCAAGCCCAACAUCGAAGGGGGCAAAAAAAAAAAAAAAAAAAAAUCUACCAGACAUAUGAUCAUAUUGACCACGAGCUUCAUACGCCGUGGAUUUAUUAACAAAAAGUGGGAAUUAAUUAAUCAUGAGCAUGUGUUCUAGUUAAGUCAAAAGAGAGACUUAAUUAAGAACGCAUAUAUAAUUCAUAAUCAGCACAUAAAAAGAUCACUAGUGCUUGCCCCUCCUGCCCUUGCCGUGCUUGCCGUGCUUGCCCCUGCCCUUGCUCUUUCCAUGCUGGUAGUAGCCGCCGUGCUUGCCGUGUGUGUAUGCACCGUGAGCUCCAGGAUAUGCGUUAUUAUCUGCAACAAAAUAAGAAAUUAAAUCAUAAGCUUAUAAUUAGCUCGCUCGCUAAGAGUGAUUAAAAUAAUACCGUGCGGAACGGAUGGGCCAGGAUAUCCCGUUGGUGUGUAACCACUGGCGAGUGCUGCUCCUGUAGGCGGGUAGCCGGCACCGGCUGGGGCAGCAUGAUCAGCACCUUCCAUGAUUUUGAUGAUCACCUAAUAAAUAAUAACUUGGUCCAAAAUAAACAACAAUAAAUAAUUGUGAUUAAUAAAAAGUAAUAUAUUCUCUAAUUAAAACAUUAAUGAUCAUUGGAGAGCAAGCGAGAAAUACUUACUGAAUGCGAUGGGACAGACAACAUCAUGCAUAGAGAAUUGUUCAUCUUCAACGAAUUUGGCUGCCCGGUCAAUGAUGCCGUUAGCACUAACCAGCCACUUCUCAACCUUCUCUUCAAUCUCUUCCCCUUUUUCUUUUGCCUCUGAAACUCUGCGCCGAAUGCUCGUACGUUCAACCUUCAACUUCUCCAUUUCCGUCUUGAGAUUCUCAAGGUUGGCAUUGUAGUUCCGCUUGCGCAAAUAAACAAGUUGGCGUUCUGUUGGAGGAGCCAAGCAUUUUACAAGUUCCAAAACGAGAGUAACAAUGAUUUCCAGCAUCUUGAAUCCUGACAACAAUGUAGAAGUGAAGAAGGCCAAAGGACAGUCAAAACAGAGAGACAGCGUUACGACAAGCAGUUAUGGAGCUAAAAAUAAAUAACAAACAAACAGAAGCAAAGUGUUUUUCGAAUGAGAAGAAGGAAGCAAGAAAAACUUAAAACUAGUAUAAUAAAUUUAUACUAAAACUAGUAUAGUAAAACAAGAAGUCAAGAACCAGCAACUUUUACACACAAAAUAAAACCUUAAAACUAGUAUAAUAAAUUUAUCAUCAAGUUGCAGCCUUCUUAUUCAACAAUUACAGCAUUAUCUUGAGCUCUGUGUUUCUUUUUUUAAAAAUUAUUCAAAAAAAUCUGCAUUUGUUUUUCAACGAUAAAAAUUAUAUUUUUGUCUCAUAUAAUAUAAAAUUAAAAAAAAAAACAAACAUAUAUUAAAGGUCUGUUUGGGAUUAUUUUUAGAGGCUCAAAAGUAAUUUUAAAAAGUUAAAUGCUAAUUUUGGUAUUUAAUAAAAUUUUUAGAAGUCACCUUUGGUAAAAUCAUCAAUCCUACAACAAAUUUUGAAAGCAAAUAGUUUUUCAAAUUUUUAUUUUGAUAAUUAAUUUUAUACUUAAUAUAAUUCCAUAUACAUCCCUACAUAUAUUAAUUAUCCUUAUUAAUUAGAAAAUAAAAUUAUUAACUUUAAAGAUAUUAUCAACAAUUACAUUGAGAUAACAAACUAAAAAUAAAAUUAAUAAUAUAAAAUAUUUAUUUUAGUAAUCAAUUAUUAUACUUACAAGAUAAAAAAUAUUUUAUUUAAAUGUUUAUAAAUGUACAAAUAAAUUUUAUUUAAUAUUAUAUUCAAUUUAGUCAUUUACAUUGUCAAUAGGACUUCUAAAAAUAAAUUUUCCUAAAUGUUUAACUAAUUCUCUUCAUAGUGAUUAUUUCCAAACAUAACUACCAAAAAUUACUAUAAUAGAUACAACAUUACCAAAAAAAUAUUGAGAUAGAUUUUAAUUAGGUAAUUGACUUAAUUAUGAAUCAAUUUAUUAUUUCCAUAUGUGUUAUCAAAACCAGCUCAAUAAUGAGAUCACUCUUUUUCUUAAAUAAAAAUAUUUGUGCCAAACAAUUGUUGCAAAAUUUCAAAUAUAAAUUACAAACAACAAAAUUUUCUAAAAUCAUAACAAUAAUUUAUGUUGUGAAUACAUGUAACUAAACCACAUUGAAAUUUUAUUGUUAGUAAAAUUGUUUUUCACGCAAAUGCAGUGACGGAUUCAGUUUCAUGUUUCACCCUCAAUAACUUAAUUUUCAUAUCUAACAAAUCAUCCAUAUUAUUAACAAUAUCAUCACCAAACAUAAUCUACCUAAACAUAAACUAAACAUAACACAUACAUAUAACUAUAUACAUACCGAAUCAGGAAAACAAUGAAAGCUACACGUAUCCGGCUCUACAAUUCCUUCUUGAUACCCUUGUGCUUCUGAAAUAAUCAACCAAUUAUAAAAAUUAGCUUAGGCGCAACUUUACCCCUUUUUUGGAAAACUUAACGAUAAAUAAAGUAUACAAAUCUCUAAAUUAACUUCGUCCCCAUGAAAUUCAGCAUAAAUAGAAAUAGAAUUAUAGAAACCUUACUACCUUUUAUGAGAAAUCCAACUUAUAUAUUUGAGACCUCUCUCUCUAAACACGCGCUUCCUCUCUCUGUACACUUUCCACCUUUGAAUUUUCCUUCACUAAGUCUACCUAAAUGAAUUUAGCAUUCUUCCAGUUUCUUUAGCAUUUUUUCUCCGUGAAAAUAGGUGAAAAAGAGAAAGUGGUUUGAUUAUUUUAAUGUAUGACAGAUCUGGUUUCCAUCUCUGUAAUUUAAGUUUGUCAAAACGAGAUAAUCAACUCUUUGUCGAGUCAGUCAAAUAUAAAAGACAAAUUACUAAACCAAGCAGAGCCCAAAAAAAAAUAUUUCCAAUUAAAUAAUCAUCAAGUCUUUUUCAAUUAAAUUAGGGAGUGCAGAACAACUGUCGAGAGAUAAUCAUUGUUUAUGGAGCCAUAUUAUAUUUUCGAUUAAAAUAGUUGCGCGUGAACAAUUGGCAGAAUUCGUAUAAAUUGUUGUCAGGUCUAUUAUAAUUAACAAGCGGAAUGGCCAAUGGAUGAAGAACCACUGUAAUUUCGUUUAUGAAUUCAAAAUGCUAAAGAAACUGGACAUCAACGCUAAAUGUCAGCCUGCGGCCCUUGCCUCAGUGUCUUUCAGGCGUUACUCUGGGUAGUUGAUAUACUGACCGUCCCUUUAUCAAUUAAUAAUCGAAAUAGGUUAAAAUAUGAAUGGAUUGGAAUGGUAUGACUUGGAAUUAAAAUAUGGAAUGACGAUUAGAUUAAUUAAUUUAUUUAAAUUGAGAAAUUAGAAUCAUAAUAAAUUAUAUUGUUAUUGAUGUAUUUGUUUUAUCUUAAAAUUGCGAUGAGUUGUUACAAAUUACUAAUAUGCCUUUGAUUUUGUAUUAUGAUAAUUAUUAUUUAUUAUAACAUUUGUCAUAUAAUAAUAAUAAUAAUAACAACAACAACAAUUAAUAUUGAAAAAUUUUUAUUGUUAAUAAUAAAUAGGCAAUUAUCCACCGAUCAUGUGAUCUUUUGGACGUUUUAAAAAAUAUACAAACACUUUUUUCUUUGCAGAAAUCCACCUGAAAUUUACAAAGUGUUUCAAUUGUUCACUGUCAUCUAAAUUUUGUUAGAAUUUUCUUGACGUUGUAAGGAUAAAAUUGUUAUUUUUACCUUGACUUCCAAAGAGGAUGUCUUUCAAACAUGAUGAAAAUAAAAAAAAGGAUAAAAAAUUAUCUGUAAACUAUCUGAUCUUUUAGCCAUUAUACAAAAUAUUAAAAAAAUAUACGAACAUUUUUUAUUUUUUUCAACAAUCCAUCUGAUAGUUAUGAAGUGCAUUAGUGCUCCACUACUAUCAUAACCCUUUAAAAAUAUCGCUUAAACACGAGAACCUAUUGCCUAAAAUUAUUUUUCAAGAAAAUGUAACUACAGAUUUGGUUUUGAUCUUCAUGACUUUUAAGUGUACAAGAACAAGAUGAACGAACCUUUGUCGAGUUGAUGAAUUAAGAUAAAUCAAUUACAAAUCGAGAACAAACUUACGGGUGACAUUUUAGUAUUAAGCAAACUAUAAUUGAUCAUCCAAUGAUAGGCUUAUUUUCAAUUAAAUUAGAGUAAAGAUAGACAUUCCAAAUUUUUUCUCUCAAAUUUAAUCCUAGAUAAUGUGUUAUUAAUUGAGUGCUUGGUAAUUCUUUCAAGAUCUAAGUGAAUUAAUUAUAUUAUCUCUCCAACCAAUUGAUGAAUAUUAUAUUAUUUGAGAUAAUUUUUUUUUAUCUCAAAUCCCAGCAAAGAAAACAGAACAAACGGAGCAAAAAUAUUUUUAGAAACCUAAAAUAACAAAAAAAAACUUUUUCUUGUUUUUCUUAUUUUCCACUGUUAAACUUCAAAAUGAACAACUUUAUUCUACCAUCUCUCAAAUAAUAAUAAUAACAACAAUGUCAUCAUCAUCAAUAAUAAUAAUAAUAUAUUAACUUUGUAGGAUGGAGCUCUCGCAAAUCUUCAAGACACAAAAUGUGCUUGACCCCAUUGUUGUUAUUAUAAUUUCAAAAUCAUCUGUAUUAUAUAAUAUUAGGGAAUAUGACAUAGCAAAAUUGAUGGUACAUAUGUUGCAAUAUACUUGUUCAUGUGGCGACACAUUGAAGUAAAGCACAAGCAAAACAACGAAAAAUGUAACGGGAGAGCUCUCAUUAUGUAGAUUUUCAAUAGAAGUAAUGCAAAUUUCACAAGGGCAAUGGCCUUAUUUCGAAUGCUGCACCUGAGGAAUGACUUGAAUCUUCUUUAGAACUCAAGCAUUCUGUAAUCAUAGGGUAUAACAUUUCAACAAAAAUAUUAUAUAGGUCGUUCCUUUAUAUAUUUUCUGGGUACACAUACAGAAAUAUUAUUUUAGGUACAUUUCUCACAAUAAAGCCUGCCCAAUCUAGCAUUUUCGUAAGUUGGGUUUCUUAUUUACAUGUUUUUUCCAUUGGUUAAUUAUCACAAACCUCCACUGAGAUUUAGCAUGUUUUUAGUUUGAUAGAUUGUAUUCGCGUAUUCUCAAAUACCUUUUAGUUUACCACUUCGUAUAAAUUAAGUUGGUGAGGAUAAAAUCAUAAAAGUACACAUUAAUGAUAAAAAAAUUCAAGUAAACUUGAAAUUUUCAAGGGGUAAUUUUUCGGGACCUCCCCUGAGGUUCGGUGUAUUAAAAGUCUCAUAGAAAGUAUUCAUGUAAUUAUAAGAACCUCCCCUGACGUUAGUACACAGUUAACUUGACUGUUAGUGGACUGAUAAAAAGUCAAAAAUGCCAUUGGCUACAAAAAUGAGUGCAACAAUUUGGAGUUAAAUAGUAAACACCACAUUGGAGCACUAAAAAGUCUAUAAUAAUCAUGGAAAAAAAUCAUUGACAUUUACAUAAUAUAAAAAAAAAAAGUAAAAUAUAAAUUAAGAAAAUCAACAAAAUUGUCAACGUAUAGAAUAUUUACAGCAGCAGUGGCUAUAAAUACAACCGUCGUCAAAUUAAAAUAUCACCAUUAGUAAACUACUUCAAUAAGACAAUAAACCAUGAUUCACUCUUCAAAGCAUUCAAAAUACACAACCCGCACAAUAGAAUCACAUACGCACACCUGCUAAUGAAAUAUAAGAACAAACAGGAAAUUGAACUGACAUGGCUAAGAUACUCCUUCCCCAUAGCUAUUAGAAAGAUAAUGAGCGAUUUAUGAAUCAUGAUGCUUGCUUUACUUUCUGGCAGUGUUAGCUUCAAAUUCAAUGAUAGUAAAUGAACAAUGGUUCAUUCAUUAUGAAAGUAAGUGUAAAGCUAGGAAUUUAUAAUAUUCAGAUGUUGGAAUUGGAAAAAUAUUCCUUAAUCGUUUCAAUUGAAGCCAAGGAAGAAAAGAAAUGAGUCUUCUUUUUUCAGGAGACAAGCCAUAUGAAGAAGGCAGACCAGAGCAUAAGAACGAAUGCUACUGCCACAGUAAAAGCCUGGAUCAAUGGGUAAUGGUACCUGCCAUGUCAAUUUCAAGACAAACAAAAAUCAAUUAUCAUCCCCAGACCACAACACCACCAAACCAACCUUUUGAAUCUAAAAUAACAAGUUAAUAAAUCAAAGAUUUCAAUUCAUUUAAGUUUGAAAUCAACUAAAAUAGAAAAAAAAAACCCAAUUUCUUUUUUGUUCAAUAUAACUCAUUCAGCAUCUUCUUCAACACAUUUUUAUCAUUCUUCAUCAUCACAACAAUAAAAAGAAAAAAAAAACAUUGAGUCCAACAUGCAAGUUUUUUUUUUGGGAAACUAACCGUUUUUAGGUUCCAAUUCUAGUAGUCUUAAACAGUAGCCGCCGACGAAAUUCGCUUGGCGACACCCUUUUGCCACCAUUGCAGCUUGUCAUGUUCAUACUCAGCUUAAAAUUACUUGAAGGCAGCAGGGAUUUUAUAGUUACAAAAGUUUCUUCAGAGCUUUUCAAGCUUGAAAAUGGCUGAGAGUUUCAUUUCAUGAGAGAGAAAAUGGAGUUUUCAUUCAUCUUAGAUAAAUUGAAGAUAAUUUGCAUUGUGGGUAAUAAAUUGAUUGUCAGUGCCUAAAUUUGGGUCAUCGACACAACUUUGGAAUUUUUUUUAUUUUUCUUUGAUUUUUAUUAUGAAACUACUAAUUUACCCUCAUAUACUAACAUAUAUGAAAUGGCAUACUAACGUCAGUUAUGUCAAGCAGCUCCCUGUAAUUACGUGAAUAUUUUUCAUGAGACUGUCAAUACACAAAAUCUCAGGGGAAAUCCCUAAACAUUACCUAAUUUUUAAGUUGUGUUCUGAAAUUGGUCUCAACUUUGUAAUGUGUAAUGCCCACAAAAAAAGAAAAGGAAAAAUGGUCAUCUCUUUCCUCCAUUCGAACUGAAGCCAUGAAACGCAAUAUCCCUUUCAUCUUCUCUCUAAUGCUUUGAUUAAAAAACUUGCUUACGAACGGGAGACCAUGACACUGAAUCCGAAGACAGAAAUACCUGAGAUGACUGAUUCACGCCGGCGAUGUGGAAGAAUACCGACCAGUGACUUUCGCCGUCGACCCACAAACAAUCCCAGUGUUUUCGAGCCGCGAAUGAGGUAUGAAUAAGAUUAUUUCCGUGCGUGUCAGUUUUGUAAGGAGAUUUGAUUAAAAAAAAGAAUAAUGGGUCUCGAAAAUUUUUUGAGUAUUUCUGUUGCUUAAAUUUUUUUCCAUCGAUUAAUGUUAGUUGUAGGUGAAUGAUUGUUGCAAACGCAUGUUCGCUUGUGAUUGAUUGAAAAUGACUUGUUAUUUGUUAUGCUGCCAUGUGACUCAUUGAAAAUGCCUCUGAAAUUUUUUUAUUUGUUUAAGGUACUGAUUCUGAUUAUUGAACAGGGAUUCAUGCUAGUUUUUAUUAAAUUAAAGAUGAGAUUAUUUUUUAAGAGAUCUACCAAACCUUCUCUACUAUAGAUUUGGCUUCUGACAUACCUGGUUCGCUGGAGAUAAUUGUUUAUAUAGUCAUUGCUGCUCGUAUUAAUCAGGAACAUUGAUUAGCAAUGUACUGGAAUAGAGAUUGGUAUAAUUUUGGAAAAUUAGUCGUAGAUGCAACCUGAUUAUGGUCUCAAAUAGUGUGAUCUGUCAAUUCCGUUUGCUCUAGCCUAACAACCUUGAAUCUGAGCUAUGCCACUAUACAAAGUCCUGACCUAAUCAAGCUUGUUAGCCAAUGUCCAAAAUUGCAGUGUCUUUAGAUAAGCCCUGUCUUACUUGUUUGAGUUAUAAAUGAAAAUUGAAGUGUCUUUGGAUAAUCACGCUGAAUGUUCAAGUUAUUGAAGAGAAGGGACCCCCAGAUUCAAGGCCGGAGCUCCCUGUUGAGAAGCUUUACAUAUAUGGGAUUGUCGCUGGGCGGAGGAUCGAUAUGCCCGGUUUUGUUUGGAAUAGGGAUGAAGAUUUUGCAUUGAGGCUUUCUUGAUAGAUCAUUCUGCAAAUCAAGCUCCAUGUACCUAUCUUCAGACUCUUGGAUAUGUAUAAAGCAGGUGCAUGCUCUAUAUGUUACUCAUUGUAUCACGAUUAUUUUUCUAUUGCUUAAAAUAAUUGCAGUCCUUGAUGUAGUUGGAGACAACUUAUGGAGGGUAUACAGAGGCUCGAGAGUUUGAUUGCCAUUCAUUUGACACUUGGCUGAGCUACAGCAUACCAACUAGUGAUUAAUAAAGAGAAGGUAUGAAGGUCCUGUUGCUGGUGGUAUUAUCAAUCAGAAUUGUUAUUUUACUUAGUCAUAGUUACCAUGUAUAAGAUUCGUAGACUUUUUGCAUGUUUAUGCAUUCGCAUCAUCUUUUUGUUAAGCUAGAGAUGGUUGAUUUGUGUACUCAUUUGUAUCACUUGUAGCCCUUGAGGAAUAAAAUUUAAAAUUUUGUUGCAUCUCCUGUACUAAAUACUAAUUUUGUUUGCUUUAUGUAUGGGAAAUGGUUCAUUAUCUUAUUUCUUUGAUGUGUAUAGUGUUACACUGUCUAAAGUUGAAAAGUAUUUCUAUCACUUGUGUAAAAAACAAACAAUUUUUUUUUCACUCUUCUUAUAUUGAAUAAAAGAAGGACACCAAGAUCUUCACCAAGAUUGAACGAAAUUUGAUGCAGAAAGCAUAGCAAUUAGGCCAGUGCAAAAUAGCUUCCUUCUGAUUCUCUGAUAUUUGACUUAAAUCUUUUGUUUGUUUCAUUCAUCAAAGUCAUUUUGGAAAGUAGCAGGCGUGAUUUGAUAUUUUCAUUGUAUUCACAUCCGUUGGCACCAAAACAAACAUGCUGGUACUAACCAACAAUUUUUUAUUUUUAGUGUACAAAUUAUUAUUUUUAAGACAAAUAAGCUGGUACUAACCAACAAUAUUUUAUUUUCAGUAUACAAAUUAUUAUUUUUUUUUCUAAAUUAGGGGUAUUAAGAAAAGGUAUGCUAGCACCAGGGGAGGUAUUUGAAAAUAUACAAAUACAAUCUAUCAAACUGAGAAUACACCGAACCGGCAGGUUUCUGAUAAAUCCUUUUUUUCUUUUUCCUCCAUUCACUAUAGGUUCAAUUUAGACGCUGUUGACCAAACAGAAGGUUUGGGUUGGUAAACGCACUGGUGUUAAUGCCAACAACCCAAGGGGCUUCAUGGUCCUCUGGGCCGAAAUAGCGUAAUUAUUAAUUCUCCUCCAGUGAAAAUCUUCAUCUUGGGACAAAUAAUUACGAAUUGACAUUAUAGCUGUGGAAAUUUGGAGGUGUAAUAACCGGAAAAGUAAAAAUCUUAAGAGACUUUUUAAAUAAAAAAGAUACAACACCUUCAAUUUGCUAAAAGUAAUGGUAUCAUUUCUUGUACGGAUAAUGGAUGAUUAGAUUUUGUUUUUUGUUAUCCGACGAAGGAUAUUCAGUUGUUCUUUAUGUGUUCACAGGCAAGAGCAUGAGCAUAUUCAUGGUUUCAUAUAUGCUUCUUGCAUUUUCUAAUUAAGUACUCUCUUUCCUUGCCUUCUUAGUUUUGAAAGAAAGAUGUGAAGCAAAGCAAACCCAGUGAAAUAUACAGAGAAACAGAACCAUCAGAGGAAAAACUAAAUAACAGAACCACAAUUGAACCAAACAAAAUCAAAUAAACCGAGGCAACGGAUACCCUGAAUCAGGCAUCCCUUUUUCUCGAAAGAAAAUAUGUUUGCAUGGGUGGGAACCUAAUAAUUACUCAAGAGUUGGAGUUGGAAAGAUUUGGUAUUCAUAUCUUCACAAUUCAUAAGCUUUAAUGCAGAAUCGACAGCUUUAUAUUAAUUUAUUCAACCAAAAACGAUAAAGUAGGAAAACCACAAUAAUCCACCAACUUUUGCUACUUUUAGGAAUAAUUUUUAGUCAACUUUCAAAAAGUGAGAUGACGAUCUUUGAGUUGAUAAAUCUUGGCCUGCUGCUUAGUACCCUUCCAACAUAUAAAGUACUAGAUGUUUAGCUGAGAAAAUGACGAGAUCAUUUAUCAAAUUUCUUGCGCAUAUAUACAUAUAUAUACAAGAAAUAAGAAUCAGAGUGAUUAUAAGACCUUGCAAUGAGGCAAUAAUACAUCAUCAAAUCUAAAAAUACACAAGAAAUUCGUGACGUAUAUAUAACAAUAGACCUCUCAUUGAGUCAUACAUAUUGAGAAUAAAAUGUCAAAAUGCAUACAAAGAGCUUAUACAGAAAAUGAAUUUACACACAUUUAGAAUAAACUGUCUUUGAACUUCCGAUGGUCAAACAAAGGAAACAGACAGGAAAUGACACACACUAUCAUAUAUGUAGCGACACGAUGAAGUAAAUCACAUGAAGAUGGAAACGGAACCCCUCACAACAUAAAAUUUGAAUAAAGGGGGAAAAAAAGGCUUCAUUUCAAAUGUUGCACAGAAGAAGAGUGACUUGAAUCUCCAUCAAUAUCCAAACAUUCUGCAAACAUAGUGCUGAGAAUUUUAACAAGAAUAACUGUAAUAUCCCAAAUCUCCUAAGGGUAUUUAAGUCUUUUUAAUUUUUAGUGAUCCUUUUUACCCUAGUAUAAAUAGAACAAGAUGUCUUUUUCAUUAUAAGAGAGAGAGAAAAAGAGAGAUCGGUUGAAAAAGAGAGAUGGAGAGACAAGAGAGAAAAGAAAAGAAAAAAAGAGAAGAAGAAAGUCUUCUUCUUCUUCUUAGUUUUUGCCAUAGACAACACAUGGGAUCAAGUUGUUAUUGUUGGGAGAAGUUUUGGAGGUACGUUUUAAUUAUUGGUUUCUAUUAAAUUGUUGUGGAGAAGCAUGAUUGUAAUAGAAGUAGAAAUCAAAGAUUUUACAUAAAUAUGCUGACAGCGAAUUAUUACAGAAAUCAUAGUAAUUUGUACAAAUUGAUUUUGAUUCUGAUUUUUGGGUAUGUUAAACUAGACAUCGUCUAGAAUGUUUUGAAACUUGUUUCAAGUUAAUCGGAUAAGAUUUCAAUUAAUUAUGAUUUUUCAAAUUCAAGUCUGAAAACCUGGAAAUUUAUGAUUUCAGUGAAUAACGUGAAUUACGAAAUUAUUUUUACCAUAGUUAGACUUCUUCAAAAAUUAUGAAAUUUGGACCAAUGCUUUUUAUAUAUGUCUAGUAUGAUUCUGGAAAUUUUCAUGAUUUUAUGAUAAAGCAAUAAAUUGUUUUGUAUUUGUAAAGCAAGUGUGUUCAAAACAGAAAACUGUUUGACAGUAUUGAUGAUGUCUGAAACGUGAAUUAUUUUCAAUAGUUUUUGAAGGAAUUAUGUUAUGAAUUAUGCUAAUCUUCUCUGUAUCGUUCCAAUUUUAUUGGAUGGGAAUUGCUCUGAUACCAUUUGAAACACCCCAGUCCGAAAUCCAAGGGCAAAUAUGUCCACAACUCACAUAUGAUUUAAAUAACUCUUUACAACUGAUAAAAUUCGAGCCUCAAAUACAAAAGCCAGCGGAAUAACUUAAAAACUUAACCAAACCAUCUACUAUCCUCAAUUCAAAACCAUCUUCUCACUCAUCACGAAUCAAUCCUGACUUCUGAAAAUUGAAUCACAAUAAACUAUAAUGAGUACAAAACCCAGUAAGCAAACUAGUUUUUCUUAUACGGAAAAUACAUACAGACUUAUACAUAAUGCAAUGGUUGAUAUGUCAUGAUCUUUUGGAAAUACUGUAAAAUAAAUUCAUAAAAAUCUCUUUCUGUCGCUUUCAAACUUUCUUAUUUUCUUUCGAUGAAAUACGUAUCCUACAAUGUGGCACUUUGUGCUGUACGUGGCACUUUGCGGCGCCCUGGCCCUCAAGAGGUGGCCCCCGCAUAGUCCCAAGAGGUGACCCCCACACAACUUCAAGAGGUGGCCCCCAAUGCAAAAUCUCAUAAAACAUAAAUUCUGUUUGCUAAAAUCCACUUUCUCAUUCGUAGAAAACUCAAUGCAUUUUCGUGCUCAUGCCAAUGAACCAUCACACAUACAUAUGCCCAUGUACAUAAUCACGCUCAACACAUGCCAACACAUCACAUAAACACAUGGGCAAAGACAUCUAAAUCCAUAUCCGUAUAUAUAUCAAAAUAUGCUUUUCACACAAGUCAAACAUAUAUAUUGUUUAGUGUGAUUCGUUUUAAAGUCUAGUUUACUUACCUCUUGGCAUCCUCAUGUAACAAAUGCGUACUGAUACCAUUAACCUAAAAUCAUCAAUAACGCCUCAUAAGAUAUAAUCAAAUCUCAAUCACAAACUGUAAUGUCCUCAAAUAUCUCAAUUUAAACAACUCCUAAGCUCAACCUCAAAUGUCCUCAAUAAUCGGCCCUCAAAACAUAAAUCCUUUACAAAUACUCUUUAUCAGUUGUAAAGAGUUAUUUAAAUUAUAUGUGAGUUGUAGACAUAUUUGCCCUUGGAUUUCAGACUGGGGUGUUUCAAAUGGUAUCAGACCGAUUCCCAUCCGAUAAAAUUGGAACGAUACAGAGAAGAUUAGCAUAAUUCGUAACAUAAUUCCUUCAAAAACUAUUGAAAAUAAUUCACGUUUCAGACAUCAUCAAUACUGUCAAACAGUUUUCUGUUUUGAACACACUUGCUUUACAAAUACAAAACAAUUUAUUGCUUUAUCAUAAAAUCAUGAAAAUUUCCAGAAUCAUACUAGACAUAUAUAAAAAGCAUUGGUCCAAAUUUCAUAAUUUUUGAAGAAGUCUAACUAUGGUAAAAAUAAUUUCGUAAUUCACGUUAUUCACUGAAAUCAUAAAUUUCCAGGUUUUCAGACUUGAAUUUGAAAAAUCAUAAUUAAUUGAAAUCUUAUCCGAUUAACUUGAAACAAGUUUCAAAACAUUCUAGACGAUGUCUAGUUUAACAUACCCAAAAAUCAGAAUCAAAAUCAAUUUGUACAAAUUACUAUGAUUUCUGUAAUAAUUCGCUGUCAGCAUAUUUAUGUAAAAUCUUUGAUUUCUACUUCUAUUACAAUCAUGCUUCUCCACAACAAUUUAAUAGAAACCAAUAAUUAAAACGUACCUCCAAAACUUCUCCCAACAAUAACAACUUGAUCCCAUGUGUUGUCUAUGGCAAAAACUAAGAAGAAGAAGAAGACUUUCUUCUUCUCUUUUUUUCUUUUCUUUUCUCUCUUGUCUCUCCAUCUCUCUUUUUCAACCGAUCUCUCUUUUUCUCUCUCUCUUAUAAUGAAAAAGACAUCUUGUUCUAUUUAUACUAGGGUAAAAAGGAUCACUAAAAAUUAAAAAGACUUAAAUACCCUUAGGAGAUUUGGGAUAUUACAAUAACAGACAAAAUAUUGUGCUUAUAUACUUUUCACAAAACUAGACCAAAUCAGUUCCCUUUUUGGUUUGUGAAAACUUGAUAUUUUUGAAAAUUCUAUCCAAUGCUUUCAAACAAUAUUUCCACAAUAUAGUUGUUCAUAGCUAACCUUUGAUGGUGUAAGGAUUUGUUGUAGGCAUAAUGGGCUAAUUAUAUAUAUAUAUAUAUAUAUUUUACCCGCUGAAUGAUAUUCAGCUUCUUAAUUAUGUGUUCAUAGGCAAGAGCAUUUUCUUAAGUACUUUCGUUGCCUUCCAAGUUUCCAAAGAACAAACAGAGCAGAAACAAAUAUAACGGAACAGCAAUGAUGACAAUAAAUGAUUGGCAAAGAAAGAAAGAAAAAAGUUCGCAUGAUUUCAAGGAAUUAUAAUAUCUGAAGACAUUCAACAUGCAAGUGUUGCCCCUUUUAAUGAAAUUUCAUCAUAAAAUGCUUGCAAGGAAUUAUAAAAUUUUAGAGAACAAGCGAAUUCUCAAACAAAAUACUCAAAUUAAAUUAAAUUAGACCAAAAGACAAUCAAUGACGCAAAAUCUUCCCAUAAAAGCCUGAACGAAUCAUGAAAAGUGCAUUCCAUAUUGACAGUAAACCAAGUGACCCAUUCUAAACAAUUGAGAUGAAAUUGUGAAACAACCCACGAGAUCAAAUAAAUAAAAUAAGAAUUAAUUACCAGCUGGGACUUUCUUCUUCAAAUUCGUAACUCCAAGUCAUAAGAAGCCUAUGAAAUUAGUCGUAAUCCACAGAGUAUGACGACGACCCCGCCAACAGCUGAAAAUAAAAUUCUUAUUCAUUAAUUUAAACUAACUUUAUAACAAAUAUCUUAUCGAUAUUUUAUUUAAAAAGAAAAAGCAAAUUUUGUAAAAUUUUUCCAUGGGAGAUAGAGAGUAACAUGUAUAUCCGUACCUUCUCAGCAUGUAAUUGUUGUAUGGUCCUGUUAAGAUCAUUAUUAGCCCAGCGCCGUUGAAAACCCGCUGUCUCUCCAUACCAGACAUUUACUCUAGGAGGCGUGCUUGAUUCUCCUGUAGUGAAAAUCUUCAAUUUGGGACAACCAAUCACCCACAACGCUUGCAAAGAUGGGAAUUUGAAGGUGUAAUUGGCAGAGGAAAAACUUGUGAGGCUAUCUAAAUCACUCAGUUCCAACGUCUUCAAUUUGCGGAAAACAAUCUCUUUACUGCUCUGCCCCCACAUAAUAAAGUAGCAUUAGAGUACUAGACAAGCUCACCACGUCUAAGCUAAGCGGAGAAUAGACUUCAUCAACAACGCUUUCGUGAAUAUGUGUUGCAUUACAACGCUCCAAUGUGAUCCUCAUCCAAUACCCAUUAUUUGUGAUCCUUAUUCCACUGCGUCAAUUACACUCCAGUCCAAUGCUGCCAUCAUUAUCGAACAGUCGAUAUCCAACACUUGCACGAAGAUUCCAAGAGGUUGCCUGGCUGCUGACUUUUAAAUGCUAAGCCUUAUUGUGUCCAUGAUACACCAAACAGAGCAGUCCCGGGUAAUUGCCAAAACUUAGAACUAAACAGUAGCUCAGGUCAGAAAAUCAAAUGGAGUGAUGAUAAGAAGCUGAGGCACACCAAUCGAUUGCCUAAGCCUAACAGCAGAUUGGAGGAAUAUGCAUGGACACAUGCGGCUCGACGUCCACGCCAUGCAACACGUGCAUGAGUAGUGUAAGGCACGUGAGAAUUGAUUUGCUAUUAAUUGGGAGCUGAAUAAUUGAUGAUUUGGAGCUGACCUUUUCAAAAGUUGUUGCUGAUUUGGAAAGGAUCUCACGCAUGAGUUGUUCUUUUCUUUGAUUUGAUAUUUAUUCCAAAAUAAUAAAAGUUGUUUAAAUCAAUAUUAACAACUCGAUCUUGUAAGCUUUGAUUAAGCCUAACUACACGCUACAAAGCAUAAUAAUUAGUUUUGCAUUACAACUAUAAAUAAGCUCCAUCAGUGAAUAAAAUCAUCAUCAGACUUUUAUCCAAACACUACUAGCAAUUGUGGUAGUUCUCACUCUAAGAAGAACAAAUUAUUCACUUGUUAUUUCUACUAAUUCUGACUGGGACCUAUCAAGAUGAAACCAUAAAAUUUGAUUUUAUUGUAUGGUUGAUUUCAUAUCUCUUGCAGUCAUUUCUUAAGAUAAUCAAAUUUUCUCUGGCAUCUUUUGCAACUGUAGAAAUAUCAAUUAUGAUCAAUCAAAACGAUUUCAAAACCUUUCAAUGAGACAUAUUUAUAAUACAAUAUUGUGAAAAUUACACCAAAAUUUUUAUUUAUUAUAUAUUAUUAUCCAACGAGUACACACAAAUGAAUUCGUACAAAUCUAAAAUACUUAGCAAUUUUCAAAUAGAAUUUACCAUGUACUACAAGAAAAUAUGGUAUAUGUGACCCCUAAUGUGAAUGGAAAAGCAGCCAUUACGUAUAUCACUAACUUUGUAACCCCGAUACCUUUUAUGUGACGGCCACACUGCGGUCGCAUAUGUUACUAACCACGUGACGGUAAAGAGCCGUUCGGUAUGCUACUAUUCGCUGGACUCCGUGUUACUAGCCACCAUCGUAUAAUUUAAUCUCCCUUCAUCUUUUGAGUUAAGCUUGUGAUUAUGAGUUUCUUCUGUUACUUAGCUUGUAAUUAUAGAUUUUGAUUUUUUUUUAAUUCGUAUUGUAGCCGUUAUUGUCAAUUUUUGUCCCGCCAGCAAUUUUUUUUUAUUCCUACAAGUUGAAGCCCCUGUGUUCUUGUUCCAUUGGUGAGUUUGCUCACUCAAAUUAAUUUUGUUCUGCGGAAUUUACAAAGUUCAAAUGGAUUCAUUUGAAUUACUAUUGAAUUUAGCUUUAAUUCCAACAUCCAUUCUAAUGUUUUGCUAUUAGAUUUAGUUUAAUUUUAUGUUUAAAGCAUCUACAAUGAAUAGCGGAGCUUGGGUUUUAGUUUCAUUUUCUGGAUAACUUGUUUUAGUUUAUCUUGUAUGCUCACCAAGUGCUUGUUAUAUUGUCUGAUAAGUUAUAUACAUUGCUGAUUCUAUAUUAAUAAUGUUACGUUCUAUUUUCAGAAAUUAUAAUACAAAAGGUUUUACAAUGGCGUGCAUCUACAAACUGAAUUGACUUGUAGAAUAAGAGCUUGGAGUAAAUGAAAGUUCAUAUUGUGUAAGAGCAUGUAGAUGUAAAGCAUCAUUACCAUAUCUACAAAGUGCUUUCAUUAUGUUCAGAUGCUCUUCUUGAACUUUGAAAGGUGCCUCGUUCAAGUCCUAGCUAUAACUACUAGCUUUGAUUAAUUAAGUUCCUAUAUUAGCUGAAACAGAUUUAUUUAAUUAAUUAAUUAUGUACUAAUUAUAUUGAAAGUAUAUGAUUUUUUUUUUAACAUGAAUGACUUCUAAAUGACUUAAAAACCUAAAGGAUGUGUGAAAUAAUGCUCAUUUCACUUGAAUGAGCCUAUUAAUACUUUUAUGUCUAUGAGAAAAAAAUUUAAUAGAAAACUUCAGAGAUGUUUCCAGAUAUUAUCUAGAAUCACAAGAAUCUUAUUCUCACUCUUCAAUCGUUCAUACAGCUUGCUAGCUCUUCUAUAUUCAGCUUCAUCGGACAACUCCAGACCUAACUUCUCUGCAAUUUCCCCUUGAAUCUUUUUUAUCUCUGGAGUUUAUGAAACCUCUGUAAAACCACCCGAUAAAACAGCUUCUUUUCCCUGGCUUGCCUAGCAAACUCCUUCACCAGUGUGGUCUUUCCAAUGCCGCCUAUGCCGUACACCCCAAUAAUGCUGACAUUCGCCUCCGUCAAUGCAUUUUUUAUAGUAACCAUUGCUAGACUUAAGCCAUAUCUCCUCCGGAAUGGUACGGUGGGAAACAGUAUCAAACUUCUUAACUUCUUCUCCAAGUUCAAUAAUGGCCUUCACCUCCGUCUCUGCUUUCUUGCUAAGCUGAUAGCGACUCUUCCAAUUAGGACUCAAGCCCUUGACACAGCGCUUAUUCGUUGACUCCUCAUCUUCAAUGAAUUUGGCUGCCCGGUCAAUGAUGCCGUUCGCACUUGGCAGUAACCAGCCACUUUUCAACCUUCUCUUCAAUCUCUUCCCCUUUUUCUUUCGCCUCUGAAACCCUGCGCUGAAUGCUCGUAUGUUAAACCUUCAACUUCUCCAUUUCCGCCUUGAUAUUCUCAAAGUUGGCAUUGUAGUUCCGCUUUCGCAAAUAAACAAGUUGGCGUGCAGUUGGAGGAGCCAAGCAUUUUACAAGUUCCAAGACGAUAGUCACAAUGAUUUCCAGCAUCUCGAAUCCUGACAAAAACGUAGAAGCGAAGAAGGCCAAAGGAAAGUAAAAACAAAGAGACAGCGAUAGGACAAGCAAUUGUGUUUUUCAGAUGAGAUGAAGGAAACAAGAAAAGGGUUUCUAUCACGACGUAAAGAGCUAAAAGAGCUGAUGGGUACAGAAUAAGAAAUGAGACUGAGGAGUGAGCAAAGCUAAAUAAUAACAGAACAAGAACAAUGACGAAUAGAAGAAACAGUAGCAAAGAGCCGUUUAGAUGAUUAGAAUGAAAUUAAGCGACUGGAAAGAGUGGAUGGUAGACUAAAGAGAAAGUGAUUGAUUAUUUUUGGAGGCCUAUUAACGUAAUGACAGACCCGGUUUCGAUGUUUGUAAUUUGAGUAUGAGGUAAAUCGAUUCUUUGUCGAGCCAGUCAAAUACAAAGGCAAAUUAGUAAAACAAGAGCCAGCAACUUUUACUCACACAUAAGCCAAUAAUAUAUUGAGAUCACGCAACAUUGCAAUAAAGUUAUCAUCAAGUUGUAGCCUUCUUAUUCAAUCAAUUAUAGCAUUUUCUCUAGCUCUGUAUUUUUCAAAAAAAAAAAAUUAUUCAAAAGAUGUCUGUCAUGAAUUUUUCAAUGAUUAAAAUUAUAAUUUUUGUUUAAUAUAUAUAACGUAAAAUUUUAAAAGAAUCAGACAUGCAUUAGGGUAAAAAUAAAAAAUAUGGAGGUAGCUUUUAACUAGGUAAUUGGCUCAACUAUGGAUUAGUGUGAGAUCGCUAUUUUUCUUAUAAAAAAAUAUUCCAGCCAAAACAAUUUUCGCAAAAUUUUAAUAUAAAUUAUAAAAAAAAAAAUUCUAAAAUCAUAGCAAUAAUUUAUAUUUUGAAUACCUGUAAAUAAACCACUUAGAAAGCUGUCGAAACACGAGAACCUAUUGCAGUAUUGCUAGUAAAAUCAUUUUUCAAGCAAAUGCAGUGACAGAUCUGGUUUUGAUCCUCGUGACUUUUGGGUGUAAGUACGGGUGAACGACUGUCUAGUCCAGAACAACUUGGGCGCGACAUUUUAGUAUUAAGCAAACGGAACUUUUUUUAAUUAAAUUAAUCUCAAAGUGAUAGGCUUCUCAUGAAUCAUGUAAUGUUGUCGUUUUUCAAGACAUGACAAUGCACAUCACUUGUUUGUCACAAUGUCCAAAUAAAUAAUUUUUUUUUUUAAAAAAAGUUAUUUUCAUUCUUUCUUUUCAAGUAUCCUAAUUCCUUUAGCAGUUUGAUUCCUCUUUUCCUGAAAUUUGUUCCUUCCAUUAAACUAAUAAUUUAUUUAAGGGUAAUUAAGCGUCAGCCCCCAAUUGUUUAGUAUUUCAUACAGCACACCCACAUCUUUCGACCAUGCGCACCUCUUCCCUAUUUCUGUCAAAAAAUCAACUAUCAACUAAUUGUAACUAUUUAGACUGUUAUAAAUUUAAAAGACUAUACUACCCUUGUUUUGAAUGAAUUGGGUAUAUAAGCACUAAAAUAUCCUUACAACUUGUAAAAUUUAUAUCAAAAAGCAAAAAUUUAUUAUAAUAUUUUUAAAAUUAUAUGGAGACGAUUUUUUUUUCUGGAUUACGAACCCAAGAUUAUAAACCUAGUAAAUUACAAAAUCAGAGGCAAAACAUGAUUCCAAUGUGAAAGAAGAAAAUCAAACACACAUUCAUCAAUACAUUACAAAAUAAGUCCAAUAAUCCCACCAAAACAAAUAAAACCCAAUAAGAAAGAAACCCGAAACUAAUGAUACCAAAAUCCCUGACAACAAAUUUCAUUGUAAAAUUCUAUUACAAAAUAAAUUCAUACUAAGAAAAUUCAAUAAAAAGAAACCCAAUAAUCAACAAUCCUAAAACUAAAGAUAUCAAACCCUAAAUUAAAUUAUAGAGGCGGCGAAGGAAAAAGGGUUUUUUUUAAUUAUAUAUAUUAUUUUAAUCUUGUAUUAAUUACCAUUCUACCCUUCUUUCUGUUAACGUUAGAUUUGAAAGAAAUGGGGGUGGUGGACAUGGUCAGAAGAUUGGGGGCACAAUGCAAAAUGUCGAAACAAUUGGGGCUAACGCUAAAUUACACAUUAUUUAAAUUAAAUUAUCCUAGUUGUAUUUGACUGUGACUGUGACCGGAACCGUUACAAUCACUUAGUAUUUUUAUUAAUUAAUUAACAAUUUGUUUCAUCAUUAGACGGUACUAUGAUAGUUUUGUCACUAUGUUUGUUACCAUCUCUUAAAUCGUGUAACAAAGAUUUCAUGAAAAAUUAGAAAACAGCACGACAUGAUACAAACUUUUUUUUAAUACAUGUAGACCUUAUUUUUUUAAAAUGAACAUACAAACUCUUUUUUAAUACAUGUAGACCUUUUUUUGUAUUUAAAAAUAGUUACACAGAUCCUGAAUUUGUGUGUCCCUCAAUAAAUUUUCAUGAUCAUUUUUUAAAAUAAGGGAUUUUUGUGAUUAUUUUGCCACGUCCAAGGAUGCCGCUAUUCUUGUCACCAAAAAUUAUUCUCAUUAAGAGUCAUGAUUAAUUGGACGUCAGCAAUGAGGGCAUGUAAUGAAAAAAUUUUGUUUUGCAUGGGAUCCAAUAAUUUUAAUUACCAUGGUGGUGACAGACCCAGCUGGAAAAUCAACUGAUUUUAGAAUUCUGUUGAAAAUUCUUUAAAUGAUCACUAUAUCUCUAGUUCGAUUAUAUCCUUAAGCUCAUUGAUUCUUUUGUAUUGAUUUUGUUACUUCUUUUCUAAGUACUUAUAUUUAAGCAUUGAAAUAGGAUUGAAUAGACAAAGACGAUAACUUGAGCUGAAAAUUUUUCAAGUAUGGCGGAGGGGAAAGUGAGAGAGCCGCUAUUGAAGAAGAAAUAUUAUAAGAACUGCUCAGGCUGUAAGGUUGAUAAGCUUAAAGAGUCGGAACGAGGCUUACCAAUUCGUAAGCUUUUAAUUAUUUAAAUGUUUUAUUUAAAUAUAACUAGCAAUUAUUUAAUUAAGGGUAAAAUAUGUAUAUAUUAUAUGCUCAUCAAAUACCCCCAAACUUAGAUUUUGCUAGUCCUCGAGCAAAACUAAAACUUAAAACAAAAAUAAAAAUAACAAAACAAAAAGUAAAUCCUAACUAAACCACUUUCGCAGGUAAUCACGAUUGCAUUUAGCAUAUGCAACAAGCCUUUAAACCCCUAGGCGGCCCUAGUGGACGAGUUAUAGUCUCGUGAGGGCUUCAGUGAUGAUACCCACAAACAUCAUUUUUAAAAAAUAAAAUAAAGAGAACAAAAAAUUUUUAAAUAAAACAUGAAAAUAGCCUCAAAGAUUGCAUAAAUUAUAUAACUCAAAGAAAAUUUCAAAUAUUGGCAAAGUUCUAACUUUAAUUCAAUAAUCAAUCCCAUCUCUCUUUCGAUUCUUGUAGUGUGUGUGUGAAAUCAAUUCAAUCAAAUCCAUUCGCAAAAUCUUCAAUAUCAACAGCCUUCGCCUCAAACAAAGAAAAGAGUAGGUCAAACUAAUCUUAUCAUCUUAAUCUCCAUUUUUUUUUUCACAUGCUUUUAUGUGCAUUUUCUUUUGAUUUUUUUUUUGUUCAGCACAUGCACUUGGUUUUUUUCUUCUUUUUUUCUCAACCAUAGUCAGGAGCUUUCACUCUACCCCUUAAGGUAACCUUCUUCUCAUGGUAGAUUAUCCUCUACAUACUGGUGGUACAUAGGCCUAAAUUACUCAAGGAUAGCUUCACUCUUAAGGGUUAUAGGUAGCUAUUUCUGACUUUAGCGCCCGUGUAUACUAUUUUGUAUUGUGGAGAUAAGAAUCAAGACAAACAGUCAUUUACUCUAUCUAAAAUUCUCAACUCAGGCUGCGUCAAUCUCAAAUUUCAAGUCAAAAUUAUGAAAGAAUUGAUAUUAGUGCUCAUGGUUUAAAGAAUCUCAAUCAAGAGGAACUAACACAAGAAUCAAGUAUAAACUAAGACAAUAUUCAACCCUUUCUAAGAACCAUAUUCAUUGUCAAUCAAAUUCUUAUCAUUGGCUUUUCACAUAAAAACAAAUAACAAUACAAUUUUUUUAACAAACAAAACACACACUAUUCCCACCCCCAAACUUAUUUGGAACAUUGCCUCAACGUGUCACAAACAAAAGAUAUGCAUGCAAACAAAUGAGAAAAAAAAAAUAGUAAAAUUAAAAUAAAAUAAAAUAAAAACAUAAAUAAUAAAAAAGAAAGUUGGAGAGAACACACCUGGAUGGGCUAGGAAAGCUUAAAAGAAAAUGCCAAAUGAAAGAAGACGUUAGAAGAAAUAUAAAUAAUAAAAUAAAAAAACAAAAUAAAAAAAAUCCUACUAACUAACAAAUUAAUGUAAACAACAAAUCAACCAGGAUCAAUAAGAAUUUGGUGAAAAUCAAAGCAAUUAUACAGAAAAUACCAGAAAGCAUAAUUGAUUAAACACUGGAGCAUUUUAUCCAUAAAAGGAUGAUGGUAAUGAAACUCCUCAAUAUCGCACUGCUUUGAUCUCUUAUGUUCCAAGAUUUCCUGAGAGUUAUCUGAAGUAGUAUAAAAAUCUAAUAAUUUAAGCACUUUAGAUCUUACCACCUUUUUCAUGUCAAAAUGUGACCUAUGUUGCACUGCUUUAGGACGUAGCUCCAAUUUGAAUGGUUCAAUUUUCUCUUCAGGAGGAAGUGGCUCAAUCUUUUCUGUCCACUUAAUUAGAUCUAUGAUAAGAGUCGAAUCAAGUAAAGCAUUAACUUCUUCAAUACCACUAUCAACAUCAACAGAGAAAUCAGAGUCAGUUGUGCAUGGUAUUAAUAGAUUGUCACAGUGGUUAGAAAUAAGUGAAUCAUCAAUUGAUGCUUCUAUCAUAUCUACUUCAACGACUUCAUCAUCUUCUUGCGCCUGCUUGGGAACAUUAAAAAUGUUUAAUUCCGUGGUCAUGUUACCAAAAGACAAUUGCAUGUUUCCAGUCCUGCAACUAAUAUGAGCAUCAGUUGUAGCUAAGAAAGGACGACCUAGAAUAACUGGGGUGUGUUUCUUACGAUCCUGUACAUGCUGAGUAUCAAUAACAAUAAAAUCAACAGGAUAAUAAAAUUUAUCAAUCUGUAUCAACACAUCCUCUAUAAUACCACGAGGUAUUUUCAUUGACCUAUCCGCAAGUUGCAAAAUAAUAGAAGUUGGGUUUAACUCACCUAAUCCAAGUUGCAUGUAAACAGAAUAAGGCAAGAGAUUAAUACUAGCACCCAAAUCCAAUAAUACUUUAUCAAAACAUUGGUUCCCUAUAACACAUGAGAUAGUAGGAGAACCAGGAUCCUUAAAUUUUGGUGGCAUUGUACAUUGAAGUAAAUUGCUAGUUUGUUCAGUUAAAAAUGCCUUUUUAGUAACAUGCAAAUUUAUAUUUUUAGUGCAUAAGUCUUUCAAAAACUUGGCAUAUGAAGGAACUUGCUUAAUAGUAUCGAGUAAAGGGAUGUUUAUACUUACCUGCUUGAAAAUUUCCAUAAUCUCACAUGUUGAAGUCCCUUUCUUUACCUUUGCUAACCUUUGAGGAAAAGGAGCCUUGGGAAUGUAAGCUGGCGGGCCACUCUCUUCUGGAUCAUUUGGUGAUGAGUCUUGUGAUGGAAUUGGAUCUGAAGAAGUAGGCUCAUAUGUCUUUCUUGUUUGAACCUCUACUUUGUUGUCAAACAAUUUUCCUCUUCUUAAGGUCAUAAUAGAUUUUGCUUCUUCAUGCUGAUGACUUGAACUCGAUCCAACUUCAUGCACUCCUUUGGGAUUGGGAAUUGGUUGACUUGGGAAUUUUCCUUUUUCUCUCUCAGCUACAAUAGUUGCUAAUUGACCCAAUUGAUGUUCAAGUUUUAGAAUAGCUUGAGUGUUUAACUGAAAAGCUUGUUGGGUUGACUGAAUGAAACUUUGAAAUGUAUCCUCUAAAGAAGGUUUUCUUUGUUGGGGUGCAACAAAUUGAGACAUAGGCUGUUGGGUAGGAGGAUAUACUUGGUUAGGAGGGACAAAUUGUUGAUUGGGCAAGCUAAAUUGUUGUCCUCCUUGGUUGGACAAAGGUUGAUUUUGUUUCCAAGAAAAAUUAGGGUGAUUCCUCCAAUUAGGAUUAUAUGUGGAUGAAUAUGGAUUAUUGGAGGUUUUCUCAUAUGAUUGUAAGGCAUGUACCUCAUUAGCUACACUAGGAUGAUGAUUCAUGGAUUGGUUCAGAGCUAAGGCAUCUACUUUCCUAGAAAGUGUAGCUAGAGUGGAUUUCACAUCAAAAUCAUCCUUAACUUUAUAUAACCCCUUUCUAGAAACUUGAGAUGAUUUUUCCCUUUGAUUUGAAAAAUUCCACUGUUGAGAAUUUUCAGAAAGUGAAUUAAAGAAAUCCCAUGCAGCCCCUUCAUGUAGGUUAAAAAAUCUCCCACCAUUCAUAGACUCUACCAUAUGACGAUUCGACAUGGUUAAACCGUUAUAAAAGCAUUGUAUAAGUCUCAAUUUCUCAAAACCAUGGUGGGGGCACUUAAGGAGUAAAUCAUUAAAUCUUUCUCAACACUCAUAAAAUUGCUCACCCUCUCUUUGAUAAAAAUCACUUAUUUCUCUCCUAAGGGCAUUUGUUUUAGACAUAGGGAAAAACUUGGUAAGGAACUUAUUACUCAAUUCAUCCCACGUAGUUAUAGACCAAGCAGGAAGCGAAUUCAACCAAGCUUUCGCUUUGUCUUUUAAUGAGAAAGGGAACAUACGAAGCCUAAUUGACUCAUCAUUAAAAUCUUGAAAACGGAAUGUAGAGCAUAUGUCAAGAAAUUCCUUAAUGUGCAAAUAUGGAUCCUCUCUCUCUAACCCAUGGAAAGAUGGUAAAAGUUGAAUGACUGAGGGCUUAAGUUCAAAGUGUGUUGCUGUAGUUUGUGGCAACACAAUACAAGAUGGUUGGUUGGUUGCAAGUGGUGAAAAGUAUUCUCUAAGGGUUUUCUCUGCUUGCACUGGUGGUAGUAUUGGCAAUAAUCUAUUUGGGUCAUCCAUGACUUGAGAAGAACUAGCUUGACUACUAUCAAUUUUCGACUCUCUUUUAACCAAACGAUUUGUUGAAUCACGUUCCCAAACACUCAUAAACUAACUAGACAAGGAAAUAAAAAAAAAAAAAUAGACCAAAAAAUGAGAAUAAACGAAAUUUAAAAAUAAAAGAAAUCAAACAACCAAACAAUGAAUUUAAAGACAAAUAAUUUUUUUUUGUGUUUUUUUUAAUUAAAAAAUAAAAGACAACCUAAAUUAUAACUAGUGGAAGAAUCAAAUCAACCUAGAUUAAACUGACUUUCUAGCACAAUCCUCGGCAACGGCGCCAAAAACUUGUUGUGAAAAUUUUAAUAUACUCGCAAGCGCACGAAUCUAGAAAUUGAAUAGUGGUAACGAGGUCGAUCCCACAGGGAUUGUUAUAAAUUGAAAAGUCUAAUUUAAAUCUAAAAUUAAUAUUAAUUCUAACCUAGUUGAGCAAAUUGAGUUUUAAGAGAAAUUAAACUAAUUAAACUAAGAAAACAAUUAAAGUAAAGGAGAAUUCAAUAGGAUAGAAAUUACCAAGGUUUCAGAAUCCACCACUAUUCAACUAGUAAUUAUCUAAAUAUUCGUUAAUCCCCAAUUUUAGAGUGACAACUCGAAAUCAAUCUGUCAUCUCAUGGAUAUAACAAUUAAGCCCAAAUAAUUAAAUCUAAUAUAGGUUCUUUUUCCGCUUAAUAGUAUGACAUCUAAGUAUCCCAUGUGAACAUAUUGAAUAACAAAGAGUCAAAGUUUUCCUAAACACUCUAUGUAAACAAUUUAAUGAAAGACAUAGAAUCAAAGAUAAUCAUGUAUGAACUUUAUAAAUCCAAGCAUAGAUUUAAUCGAAUAUUAAUCCUAACAAUCAAUAAUACAUGACAUAAUUGAUGAAAAGAUUUUAAUAACAUCAAAUUAAUCAUGUGAAAUAAAAACCAUAAUCAUUAAAGAAUAUAUAUGGGAAUUAAAUAAAUAAAAAGAUAAUUAUUUUAUUGAAUAGGGUUUCAUCCUUAACCUCAAUAUAAGAAAAUUAGCUGGACAUACUUGAAUUAAGAGUAACAAAAGAGAUAAAACCAGCCAUGAAAGUCGAACUACUGCAGAUUUUCUUCUCUUUGUCUCGUGUUUCCCUCCUCUGGCGGCUCUCCCCUUGCAAAAGCCAAAGUUCGGCUUUUAUAUUGUAACACCCUCCAAAAUCCUCAAAUCAAAAGGAUUUAAAACAAGCCAAGCACAACCGACUUUGAGCCCAUGCACGUGAAGCCCACUUGGAAUUUUCAUUCUUUUUGUAAUGCCAUGCAAUUGCUUCUCACGUGCAGGCCACUUUAGCUUUAAAUUUCUUCUUUGUUUGCACUAGCAUGGAGAAUUCAAUUUAUUGGCCUCGGCUUCUUCGGAUUGAAUUUCAUACAUAUUUACUUAACUGCUUCCACAAAUUGACUUGAUCUUCAAUGUUGUCCAGUUGUUAUUCUUUAUGCACUUUUCAUCCAUAAUCUCUAAUUAAUUCCCUAUUCAAUAAAACAAUUCAACUAAUUAAAAAUAACAAAUAAAUAUAACUAGCAAUUAUUUAAUUAAGGGUAAAAUAUGCAUAUAUUAUAUGCUCAUCAGCUUGCAACUAGUAAAUUUUUCAACUUCAACUCGAUAUAAUGAUUUUGGAGAGAACCAUUUACAAUGAUUUUCAAUUCUUUUGUGAUUUUUUUUUUCCGUUUUGCCGGUCGCAUCUUUCUUUCCCUUCCUUUAUUUUAUGGUGAGUGGAUUAUUAUUGCCUUCAGCGUUGUGGUUAUUAGUGAGAAAAUUUAUAUUUUCCCAUCAUGCUUGGUGAUUUUCUGAGAAAUAUAAGAAAAAGACAAGUUUUAUAUGUCAAAUAAUUCAUUGCUUUUUCACAGCAGUCAUUUAUGAUUUCUUUUCAGAUUAGGGAUUUUCACAUUGCAAAAAAGGAGGAAGAUAUUGGAUUCUAUGCUGGUUACGUGGGUGAGUUAUUCUAUGUUUUUUUUUAACGUAUUUAAUAAAUGACACACAGUAUGGAGUCCGUCUUGGGUACGAAUGUCCACACCUUAUAAAGUGCUGACUCACGCCUUUACAACUCUGGGAGGACAUUCUACCGAGACUUUACAUCACUGUAAACGCACUGUACAAGAGCUUUACAAUGCGGACCCGCGUCUUUACAACUUUAAAGGGCCAAGUCCAUGCUUUAAAAAGUACAUAUGUUCGCACCUGGAAACGAUUUACAUAUGUAUGUAUAUAUGUAUAUAUGUGUGUAUGUGUGUAUAUAUAUGUAUGUAUGUAUGUGUGUGUGUGUGUGUAUGUAUGUACGACCAAUAAAACAGUUCAAAUUCCUCAAGAAGUUAUCCUAACAAACAUCUUAAUACCUUGAUGAAAUUGAAGGGUCUUCAUACAUGCUUGGCAGAGCUCUAACAUCUGUUUUGUGGGGAAUGGUGGCUGACCACCGUGGUCGAAAGCCUGUAAUAAUAAUAGGAAGCAUCACAGUGUUAGUGACUUCUAUUUUCAUAUGAUCAAGCUUGAAAUUGAUGAUACUUCGGCAAUUUCUGGAUUUCUUGUCUGUCUUAAAAUGCUCACAGGGUUAUUUUUAACACUCUUUUUGGGCUUAGUGUGAAUUUCUGGAUGGCCAUAGCUACAAGGUUUCUCCUUGGGGCUUUGAAUGGUUUCCUUGGACCAAUAAAGGUAUUGAUUGGGGGUAUUUGUUGAUAAUUCCAAUUUAAUUCCUGCAAAUAAUUGUGCUCAAACUUCUCUUACACCACGAGGCAUAUGCAUGUGAAAUAUUGUGCGAUCAGCACCAAACUUAUUACGAAACUAAAAAUGUUACUUGUUUUCUGUACUUGCUUUCGCAUGCAUCACCCCCACAAAACUGCUUGACGAUUGUCCUCAUUUUGAACUUACUAUAGGUUUCAGUCUCCUUGUUUUUCAACUUACUCUGUACCCUUAAGGAUUAUUGGGCCAAUAAUCAUAACACGAAUUGCAGGGGGUAAAAUUUUGAGCACCUCAUGCGGCAUUUGGACCAUUUGAUAGUUUGUUUGAAACAUAUCUGUUUAUAAAAUACUUUUCUUCAUGGUUUUGGUCCCAUAACUUUCUAUGUAUGUACAGGUUUUAUCGAUACCGCUUUUGACAAGUUACACUUACAUAGCAAUGUUAUCGGGUUCAGCCUUGCCUUUUUGAUAAACUGUGCUUCUGUGAUGAAGAAUGUUUUAUCUGUAAGUGGAUAUCCUAAUCAUUGAUCCAUAUACUUAGGUUAUAUUAUCCACCAGCAAGUAUGUAUAAAUUAUUUUAUGUCUUAUUUAUUAGAAUUGUUGUAAUUCUUUUUUACUUUUCCUAAAUUGUAACAUCAGGUGUCUAUAAUAACUGGAUUGUUCCUUCUGCAAAACAGAGCAGUGGUAAAUAUAUUUUCUUUUGUUUGUUUAGUACAUUUCCAUGCUUUCAGCUUUUUCAAAUUUUGUAUGUGCCAAAGUUUAAAUUAAUUGGUUGGUUUAUGGUAUAAUAACAGGUACGAUAAUUUACUAAUGAAAUUUCUCACUAGUUUGUGAAUUACUUGGUGCUAAUCAGCUUAGUUAGCUGCUUAAACUAAAGUGCAGGUAACCAGGUGAUUUUUUUCAUCCUGAAUUCGGUGGAGGCACUUGGAGUAAUAUUGACAUUCAAACCGUUUCUAACUCAACGUGCCCCGUGAGUGGAGAAAAGAUGCGUCUGUUGAAAUAUUCAAAUAUAUGUCAAGCAAAUUAAAGCUUUCAAAAUCUUUCAACAAUUUGAUUGUUUGAUGUGGUUGCCACUUGCCAUAUUUUGUGUUACUUUUCUAAAGGCUUAAAUAUGAAAAUGGUUGUUGGUGCUCACGCCAAUUGAUUGCUGGUAACAUUAAUUGUGCAGUACUUGUCAGAACUACCACAAUUUAUCUUCACAAUGAUGCUAGCUAGAAAGAAAAUUUCAUGUUAAGUAAAAUAUUGAAGCCAUAAAGAGUCUUAUUCCAGAGCCUUAUUAAGUACUGAGUUUUCUGCCAUGCUUUCAAAGUUACAAAUUCGAAGCUUGGGAUUCUGUAACAAUGGAGGAUAAAAAUUAUAUAAGAAUAUUAUUUUGUACAAUUUUCAUACCCAGACAGAAGCGAGCAUUAUUUUUUGAUCAUAACUCAGAUCAAAAGACCUUCAAUGAUGUAUAAUAUGCACAAAAAGCUAGCUCAGAACCAGACAUUAGAACUUAUGAUGAAAGGGAAACAUAGAUGUUGAGAUUGAAAACAUAGAGAAAUUUUUUUAAAAAGUCUGAAAUUUUAUUACUAGAAGUUUGAAUAACAAAAUUAGGGUAUUGGACCCUUUUUAUACAAAUUCUAAAUAUUAUGUAUUUAUCAAAACAGGCAAACUUGAAAUAUUAUUACAUAAUAACGUUCUCCUAACUGAAAUAAGAAAAAUAAAAUAAAUCAUACUUGAAAUCUUAUAUUUAGAGAAAAACAUAUCGUACUAUGUCGAGAGAGAUGACGACUCCUCCAACAGCAGAAAAUAAAUUCUUUCAUUCAUUAAUUUAAAGUAAAUUUUGUAAAUUUAGGUACUUGCACAUUGAGAUUUGCAAUUUAAUUUGACAGGACUUUUCAUUGAAUAAUGAAAUUAAAAACUAACGAUUAAAGAAUUUUUUAUAAUUCUCUAAACUCUUGUGGAAAUGUCAGCUGUAAAUAGGACAAUUUCAAGAAUCUUUAUCUGAAAGCGUAAUUGGCAGAGCAGAAACUUGUGAGACUAUCUAAAUCACACAGACUCGAUGUCUUCAAUUUGCUGAAAACAAUCUCUUGUUUUGAAUUUAAAUUUGGUGCUCCAUCUUCUUCUCCGUCACCUAUUACCACCUCUGUCAUUGCCCUGCAUCCACCUACCUUCAUUGAUACGAGCCGCACUAGAGUUUCUGCUGUAGUGGACGGAUGUUACAAUUCCUUGCAAUGGAAAACCGACAGUUCUGUCAGAUUCCCAAAAGAUAUAGAUGAUCAUGGGAAUAGACUUAAAUGCUUGUAAAAUAGUCUUAGAAUGUCAAAAUAUUUAAAAUGGAGUCCAGUUUGGAGUUGCUUCAAUGAUUAAGUCUGGACAGGAUUAACCAUUUUAUCAGUGCCUACUUCCCCACUUGUUUCUACCAGUAUCCGGCUUGAUUUAAGAAUUUCUCUUUGUAUGAACUAUAACCCAGUAGGAGAUACUACCAAAAAAAACUUAUUUCAAAUGACGCACAGGAGAAGAGUUACCUGAAUCUUCAUCAGUAUCCAGACAUUCUACAAUCACAGAGUAAAGAGUUCUAACAGGAAAAACUGAGAAAACAACGUUCUUCUAUACUUCUCAUAAAACUAGACCAAAUUAGUCCCUUUCUUGGUAUCCAACAUUUUCAAACAAUAUUUCCACAAUAUAGUUUUUCAUAGCGAAGAGUUUUGCUUUGAUGGUCUAAGGAUUUGUUCUAGGCAUAAUGCUCUGAUUAGAUUUUGUUUAUUUUUAAUUUUUUAUCCGAUGAAUGAUUUUCAGCUGGUCUUAAUUAUGUGUUCAUAGGGAAGAGCAUUUGGAAAGAUCAUCAAAAAAAAAAAAAAAAAAGUUUCCAAACAAAGAUAGGUGUGAAGCAAACCAAACUAAAUGAACAAACUAAAAUAACAGAACAGCAAUGAUGUUUUCAAGGAAUUAUAAAAUAUGAAGACUUUUAAUGAAAUUUUAUCAUACAAAGUAUGCAAGGAAUUAUAAAAUUUUAGAAAACAAGGGGAACUCUCAAAAAAAGAAAAAAAAUACUCAAAUUAAACUAGACUAGAAGACAUUCAAUGAUGCAAAAUCUGUCCACAAAAGUCUGAACGAAUCAUUAAAAUUGCAUUCCAAAUUUAACAGUAAAGCCGAUUGACCCAUUCUAAAUAAUUCAGAUGAAAUUGCGAAACAAGCCACGAGAUCAAAUAAAUGAAAUAAAAAUUAAUUACCAGCUGAGGCUUUCUUCUAAAAAUUCACAACUCCCAAGUCAUAAGAAGCCUAUGAAAUUAGUACUGGGUAGAGAACGACGACGGCACCGCCAACAGCUGAAAAUAAAAUUCUUAUUCAUCAAUUUAAACUUUUACUUUAUAACAAAUAUCUUAUCUAUAUUUUAUUAAAAAAACAAAUUUUGUAAAAUGUUUCCAUGGGAGAUAGAGAGUACUGCGUAUAUCAGUACCUUCUCAGCAUGUAAUUGUUGUAUGGUUGUGUUUAGAUCAUUAUUAGCCCAACGCUGUUGAUUCGAUGUGUGUCCAUACUGGACGUUUACUCUCGGAGGCGUGAUUGAUUCUCCUGUAGUGAAAAUCUUCAUCUUGGGACAACCAAUCACUUCCAGAUAUUCCAAAGAUGGGAAUCUGAAGGUGUAAUUGGCAGAGCAGAAACUUGUGAGACUUUCUAAAUCACACAGAAUCAACGCCUUCAAUUUGCUGAAAACAAUCUCUUCUUUUUCAACUCCUUCUUUGUCAUUUAUUACCACCUCCGUCAUUGCUCUGCAUCCAUAUAUACUCACUUUGACGAGUUGCACUAGAGUUUUUGCUGUGGAGGAUGUUACCAAGUGUAUCAAUCCCUUGCAACCGAAAGCUACAAGUUUUGUUAGGUUCCGAAAAGAUACCGAUGAUGAUGGCAAUAGAAUUAACAGACUUUGACAAUGAUAUACUCCUAGAAUUUCAAGAUACUGAAAAAUGGGGCCAAGUUUGGAGUCUUGUUUGCACAGCUGCUUCAGAUGAUAGUGCCGGUGCAGCUCUAAUGUUUUUAUCAUUGCCAACUUCCCCACAUGUUUCUCUAAGCUUCCUUCCUCCGAAAAUACCUCUUCGUUGAAUGCCAAAAAAGACAGUACGAGUAUUUCGAGAUUGUGAAAUCUCUCCAGUACGUUCCAGAUUGGAAAACAAGCUGAGUCAUCUGCAGUAAUGUCUAGUUGUCUAAGAUUGCCAAAAAGGUGUUGUGGGAAAUCGGCCUGCAAAAUCAUCUUCACAUCUUUUCCACUUAGUGAUAGUUCCUUCAAGUUGGGUACGAUCUGAUCAUCAUCAAUCAUAAUAACUAAUGAGGUCAAUUGAUGUUCUUUCAAAUGAUUUUGAGUAAUCCAAUCACAAGCAGUGACUUUAUAGUAUUUAUUUUAUAUUAAUUUUACCCCUAAAAAAAAUGAAUUAUAUAAAAAAUGAAUUAGUGAUAAAAUUCAUUAUAUGAUUUUUUUAUAUGUUAGUUUUAGAGGUAAUAAAGAGAUUAGGGAAAAAAACGAAAUUAUUUUAUUGCACGAUAGUAAAUUACUAAUUUAUUUUGUAAGUUUUUCUAUAUGGAAAGACUAAGGAUUCUUUUAUAAAUGCUAUACCUAAAAAUGUUCAUAUAAUUAUUAAUUUACCACAUUGAUCCCUUAGUCUGUGGUCCCUUAGUCUAGACUAGCAAAGAUUAUUGUAUAACAAAAGUUUUCAAUUUAUUAAGUAUUAAUUUAACCAUGCUUUGCAUAUUUUUCAAAGUUAAAAAUAAGCUAUUGAAAAAAAAUCUAGAAAAUGGUUUCAUACCUUUUCCAACGGCAUUAGGGGCUGUUGUGCAGGAAUACCAAGUUGAUCAUUCACAUUAUUCUGCGAUAAAUCUGCAGCGAAUAUCUUUAAUUUGUCACAACGAUACACUAAAAGAAUUUCCAGUGCGGGCCAUUCCGAAGUAUGCAUUCCAGGGUACAAACAUCUAAGUUUUGGUAGAUCUUGGAGUUUCAGAGUGGUGAGCUGUGGAAAGACAAAAUAAGGGAUCACUUGAUCUGCUCUGUUUUCAGAAAUGAUCUCCUGUAAAUCCUCACAGAAGCGUAUAUCUAGGUGUUGGAGCUGCUUAAGGCUUCCGAUCAUAGAUGCUGAAAAUAUGUAUUUUAAUUUGUGACAACGCCACACAAUCAAUCGUGUUAAACUCUGAAAGUGAGGAAACACGGCCGCCGGAAUUUGAUUGCAAUGCCAAAUCUUGGCGACAUCAAUUUGAGAUAUCUCCAAAGCCUCCAAGUUAGGCAACGCAACCUUAAAAAAUAAGAAUUUCUCGUUAGAUCCAAUAUCCAUAUGGGAAGCACUUGUUGAAAUUUCCUUCUUUGAUUACAAAUUAAUGCAAGUCAGAAUCAAUUUCCAACUGACAGCUGAGUUUGAUGCAUUCUAAUUCAUACUACUUGUUAAGAGCUCAAUUAGUAAGCGUGUGAGAUUCUUUUUAUCCUUUUUUCCAUUUUCUUGCAAUUCUUUAAAUGAUUUAAUUAUUUUCCACGUAUGACGUCAAAAGAGAACGCAUGAUAGAAUAAAAUCUGUUAUAUAUAUAUAAAGAAAAUGUUAGCCUACGCACCUUCUCGUUGAAAAGCAGAGUUGAAGUAUCCAAAGUGAUUUCGCUGGAGCUAUACGUAGUCGUCGAUUCCUCUUGCGACGCUCGUCUGUUCGGUGAUGCUGAAGGAGUCUUUACUUCACGGCAAAAACUUGUAACCUCUGGAAGAUUCCCCAGACUCAAAGAUCUUAAUUGAGCAAACUCUAUCUUCUCAAUUGCAUUAUCAACUUCUUCCCCAAUUGCAAAAAUCUCUUUCAUCUUGCUGCAAUUAAUAACUGCAAUUCUCUCAAGUCUUGGAAGGCAUUUUGUUGUAGAGAGCCAAAAGAUAUUACUCAAUUUAUCACAAUUAUAUGCUUGUAUGAUUUUGAGUUCGUUGAAGGACUCUACUUUGAGCCGAUCAAUACAUAUCCUCUCCAUGUUGAUCAAAUUGUGAAGGCCAAGUGACUCCAAAAGAGGAAAGGCAUCAGAAGCGACCAUCUCCUUUGAAUCGACGAUGCAAAAGAAGUCAGGAUUAUUUUGAACCCCGAGAAGCUUCAAUUGUGAAAAGCCCUCCGUGUCCAAAUUGAAAAUAACGUUCUUGAUACCUCGCAGCUUGUCCAACAAUAAGUAUUCAACUUUAUUGAUGCCCUGCAAUUUGAUGGAGCAAAUGUCCAUAAAAUCAAGCUUGAGCUUCAAUGCUCUUGAAAACUUGCGAUUACUGUCGAUCAAAAAGUGCGGCCGACUUUCAAACCAAUAUUGUCCAAAAAGCACGGGAUGCCUGAAUGACUCAUUUCCAAUAGAUAUUUUGAACCUUUCGAGCUUUCUGGCCAAAAAACCUUCUGGUAAAAUACUGUCAUUUUUAACGUCAAUUUCUAGAGCGGUUAGCCGAGGUAAAUGCAUCAAUUCGUCAAGGCUAGCAUUACUUCUUUUGCUGUUGGCUCUUUCAACCUCCCAUUCAAUGAAGCAAUUACCCAUAUACAAUUCUUCUAAUCGGAUUAAGCUUGAUAUGACAUUUGGGGCAAUAACUUUCAGAAGGAAACAGUCUGUUAAAUCUAACAGCCUUAGCUUAGACAGUUGACCUAGUUCUUCGGGCAACUUCUUAAUAUCAGACUUCAAAAAGCUAAGGACUUCUAGAUUCUUCAACUUCCCAAUGAUUGCUAUGUCGCCCAACGCACUUUGAUCCAGACAUAGUGUGUGAAGAUUUACUAGAAGAUCAAUUGAAGAUGGAAAUGAAGAAAACUGCAUUCGAGUAAAAUCUAGAACUCUAAGCUUUUUCAUCCCUACAAAAAAGUUCUCAGGAAUAUUGAUUUCAAGAGAAGAAUCUUUGAGAGAGAGAUAUAAAAAUUCAAGGUUUGGGCAUUCUAAUCCUUCAGGAAAUUCACGAUUACUAUUAUUUCUUAAAGAGACAGCAUUGCAUUUUCGAAGUGCAUCCUCAUCUGGCCAGUCCCACACAUCCUCAUUUUCGGCCAAAAAUACAUGUUGGUGGCGGCAUGCAAUUGAUAUGGCGACAUCGCGAACAACAUCAUGCAUUGAAAAUUCUUCAUUGCUAUCACCCUCAAGCAACAAACAAGAGUCUCUAAGUUCAUGGACCAAUGCAUAUAAUUUGUCUCGUGCAUCUUCCAUCUUAUUGACUCCUUUAAAUAUACCCAAACCCAUGGAGUACUUAAACAGGUCCAAAGUAUGAAUACCGUUACCCAUUAGACUACCGAGGAGAAAAAUUUUCUUGAGUUGCUCACCUUUUAAAUGGUUGAAACUCAGCUCAAUACUUGAAUAAGUCUCUGCAGAUACUCCUUCGAAGUUCACCAUUGAAGGCGUUCGGAGUUCGCGCAAGGAAUUCUUCCAUUGAUGCGGACUCUUGCUUCUCAGUGCCUUUGCUACCGUACUCAAGGCAAUGGGCAAACCUCCACAUGCCCUGGCGACGUCUAUUGCUGUAGAUUUCAACUCACGAUUUUCAACAUCAUCACCGGCCAUCAUCUUAAACAAUCUCCAAGCUUCUUCUUCAUUUAAAUUGUUAAUCAAGAAGUUGUCUUUAGAUCCCAUUUUCAAGAGGACACUACGAUCUCUUGCCGUCAGCAGUAGUUUGCAUCCUUUAUGAUCUUCCCCAAAAGGAAUUCCAACGGUCUCCAAAUCAAGGUGUUUCCAGAUGUUAUCCAGAAUCACAAGGAUCUUCUUCUCAUUUCUCAAUCGCUCAUAUAGCCUACUUGCUCUUCUAGAUUCAACUUCCUCGUGCAACUCCAGGCCCAACUUCUCGGCAAUUUCCUGUUGAAUCUUUUUUAUGUCUGGAGUUUGCGAAACCUCUGAAAAGACCACCAUAUCAAAGUGCUUGUCUUCCAGAGCUUGCCUGGCGACCUUCUUCACCAGUGUCGUCUUUCCAAUGCCGCCCAUGCCGUACACCCCAAUGAUGCUGACAUUAACAUCGAUCAAUGCGUUUUUUAUAGCCUCCAAAGUAGAACGUCUUGAUUCGAAGGCCUCGUAGCCUUUGUGAGACUUGAGCCAUAUAUCCUCCGGAACAGUACGGUAGGAAAUUCUAUCAUCAAAUCUCCCAGCUUCUUCUCGGAGUUUAAAAAGGGCCUCCUUCUCUGUUUCUGCUUCCUUUCCAUGCUGAUAGCGAGUAAUCCAAUUAGGAAACAGCCCCAUGAGACAUCGUUCAUUUGCUUUCUCUUCGUCUUGAAUGAAUUUGGCUGCCUGCUCAAUGCUCUUGUUCGCAUUAACUAGCCAUUUCUCAACCUUCUCUUCAAUCUUUUCACUUUUUCUUUCAGCCUCAGAAACUCUGCGCUGAAUGCUUUCUCUUUCAUCCUUGAGCCUAUCGAGUUCUGCCUUGAGAUUCUCAAAGUUGGCAGAGGAGUUAUACCAAUAACUAAAUUCGCGUUGUGCGUGAGGAGACAAGCAGUUUACAACUCCUGGAACAAUGCUUUUCAAAAUGUCCAUUUUUUUUUUCUUUUUUGGGGAAGUGAACGAAAUAGAAAUAGAACAGAGUCAACGACCGCGCAAUUGAUAAUUAAGUAGAAAACAAGGCAAAAUUGAAAAAAGAAAUUAUAUUUGUACAAAACAAGGGGAAAAUCAGUGUAACAGAAGAGAAUCAAAGUGUUUUUGAGAUCAGAAAAUUGAACCAAGAAAAGGGUUGCUUGAUCCAAUGAAAAUGCAAAGAGCAUGGCAAAAGGAAACAAAGCUAAAUAAGAAAACGGUUAGCACGAGCAGUGACCACGAUCAACAGAAGCAAAGUGUGUAUGAGAUCAAAAGACGAAAAUCAGGAGAGGUUUUCUUGAUUGAGAAUUGAAGGCAAAGAGUAGGAGCUGACGAAUACGGGGAUCAAGAGGGAAAAACUGCUUGCUCGUAAAACUGCUUUCAAGCGAAUCUGAUAAAAUUAUUUCAGUACAAGUGGGCGACUCCCUUUUAAACUGCAGAAGGAAAAAAAAAAAAAUUCUGAUUUUCAAUAUAUUAAUCUCGUAAUCAAUGAUUAAUUAGUAGAUAAUCUUUCUAACAAAUAUGUGUUGAAUAGAUAUAUUUCUUGAUUAUUCGUAGGUUCGAUAUACUUUAGUAUAGGAAUGAAAGUACAAAUUGUGUCAUAUUAGAAUAAAAAUUAGACCUAAAAAUAUUGUCAUAAAACAUGUGAUCCUCAUCCAAAGGCCAGGUGAACAAAUAUAAACGACAAAUUCUUUUCAAUUAAAUAAUCAUCAAGUGAUAAUAUUCUAUUUCAGUACAAAUAGCGAGUGCAGAACAACUGUCAAGAGAUAAUCAUUGUUUAUGGAGCCAUAUAUAUUUUCUAUUAAAAUAGUUGCGUGAACAAUAGCCAGAAUCCGAAAAAAUUGUUGAAAGGUCUAUUAUUUUCGUUUAAAAUUGUUGAAAGGUCUAUUAGUUUCGAUUAAAAUAUUUUCGAUAAAAAUAGUUGUGUGAACAAUUACCAUAAAUAGUGUUUACAUUUUGGAUUGGACUGAGAAUCUUGAAGAGUGGAAAUCUUAGAAUUGAGAGUAUGGAGUAGAAGUGGGUGUAAGUUGUUUACUUACACUGAAAUAUAAGCAUGGAAUGAAGAUUAUAAUCCAAUUUAUGUAUUUACUUUAUCUUGGAUUGGGAGUAAAUAGUUUCAAAUUAUAAUUUUAUCUUCAUUUAAAGAAUUAUAGUUUUUAAUUACAAAGUUAAUAAAAAUAUAUAUUUAAUGAAUAAACAUUUAUUUUAUUAUAUUUAUAAAUUUAUAAUAAUUAUUAAUAUUCUUAAUUAUGUACAUCAUAUUUUUUAUUAAUUUUAAUUUUAAAUAUAUAAAUUAAAAAUUAUUGAUAAGAGCAAUGUAAAUGAAACAUUUUUACUAUUAACAUAGUACAAAAUUAAUAUUUUCUUAUAAUUAACUAUUUAUUAUUACUAAUUAUUGAUAUUAAAUAAAUAUAAUACUAUUAUUUUUAAAUAAAUAUAAUAAUAUUAUAUUUUCAAAUAAAGAUAGUAUAUAGUAAUAUUAUUAAUUCUCUAUUAAUAUAAUAAUAUUAUUUUAAGUAAUUUAAACUUAGAAUCAAACCAAAUUAUUAUUUAGUUAAAUAUAAUAUUAUUAUUUAAAUAAAUAAAAUAUUAUUUAUUUUAUUUUAUUAAAAAUAAUUAUAGUAAAUUUAAUAAAAGGGGGUUAAAAAAGGAAGGUAAAUAUAAAAUGAAAUAUUAUUUUAUUUAAUUAUAUUAAAUUUAUUAUUAUAUAAAUAAUAAUAUAAUAUUAUUUAGUAUAAAAUUAAUAUUUUCUUAGAAUAAACUAUUUAUUAUUAUUAAUUAUUAAUAUUAAAUAAAUAUAAUACUAUUAUUUUUAAAUAAAUAUAAUAAUAUGAUAUCUUCAAAUAAAGAUAGCAUAUAAUAAUAUUAUUAAUUCUCUAUUAAUAUAAUAAUGUUAUUUAUUUUAUUUUAUUAAAUAUAAAAUAUUAAAUUUAAUUAAAUAAAGGUAGAAAAGGGAGAGGUGGGAGUGGAUUUCCCAUGGGAGUCCCACUCACACUCCCCACUCCAAAAAUGGGUGGGGUCCACGGAGUGGGAUUUCCAACCCCUCCUUAAAAUGGUGAAGUAAACACUGGAGUGGGAGGAAUGCACACUGCUCACACUCACCCCAGAAAAUAAACACCGAAAAGGCCAGAUGAUGAAGAACCACUAUAAGUUCUUUUAUGAAUUUAAAAUGCUAAAGAAACUUGACACCAACGCUAAGCUAACAAGUGCAUAUUUUUCUGUGGCCCUUGCCUCAAUGUCUUUUGGGCAUUGCUCGGGGGUAGUUGAUAUAUUGAUUAAAAUAUGAAUGAAUUGGAAUGGAAUGAGUUGGAAUUAAAAUAUGGAAUAGUAAUUAAUUAAUUAAUUUAAAUUGUAAAAAUUAAAAUAAAAAUAAAUUAUAUCAUCAUUGAUAUAUUUAUUUUAUUUUAAAAUCACGAUGAGUUGUUACAAAUUACAAAAUAUCUUUAAUUUUUUAUCAUAAUAAUAAUAAUUUAUUAUAAUAUUUUGUUGGCCUAAAUGGUUAUAUAAUCCUUGAUUUUGAUGAUAACAAACUACAUAGAGUACAAUAGUAAAUUUAUUUCUCACAAUCUCACAAGUUUUUGAAGGGCAAAAAUCAUUCAAGUGGGAUCAAGAUCAAGAUACUCAAUAGACAAUGACAAUCAAGGACGAAUACUAAGGGUACUAGUUUAAGCCAUCUUUAUUGUUAAAUUUCUUGUAAAGCCAGUGUAAUUUAACGUGUGCAUGAUGUAACAUUUAAAAGCUCAAGACAUUUUUCAUGACAUUUUCAAAUUAAAUCAUCAUUUUCUAAAAUAUAAAAGUUUUAACGAUUUUAUAAAAUUAGUUGCUUUUUCCAAAUUUAUGAACUAAAUUGAAAAGUUUUGAGAACUUUGAAAUCAACUAAUAAUGUUUUAAAACAUAGAAAUUGACAUAUUUGUAAAUAUUUCAAACGUUUUGGGUCGUAAUAUAAUUUCAAAAAAAUUAGGUCUAAUCUAUAAAUCCUGGAACAAUAGUGGCUAAUCGCUUAACCAAUAGCGACUAACUACUUCAAGUCCAAAAACAUAGCAGCUAACCGCUUAAAUCAAGUGACAAUCCGCUUGAACCAAAGUUUUCAAAUUUGAUUUGCAACUGUAACUUACCAUAUCAACAUAGUGGCUAAUCGCCUCAUUUUAACGGCGAUCCAGCAAGUCCCUAGAAAAGCCAAUAAUUGCUAGUUUGAUUAUUUAAACUAUAAAAUUCAAAUCUAACAAUUUUUUUUUUCAAUCUCAAUUAAGCUAAAACUUAUUCAUAUAUCUUGAGCUUUCAUUUUGCUUAUCUACAUACAUUAAUCAUUAUAGAGCUAUCAUUUGCUUAUACACUCUUAUAGAGUGUAAUCUUUGUAAUCUUCAAUUAAAUAUCAAAAUUGAGUGAGUAUAAGUGUGGGAAACACUUGGGAAAAGAGGUGUGUGUAUACAUAAUUACUUGUAAAGGUUUAUUGACACCUUAGAAGUCAAUUGUAAAAUUUUGGAGCCUUGGAAGGUUUGGAUAGUAGAAUUCUCAAGUUUGGAUUGCUUGGAGGCGUAGUCAUAGGCGGGUUUGCCGAACCACAUAAAAAUUCAUGUGUUUGUUAUCUUCUCCCUUAUCUUUUUAAUUUCACGUAUAGUUAAAUUUACCAUUAUUAAAUUUCUUGAAGUAUUUGUUUAAUUUGUAUUGUGUUUUUGUUAGUAUAAUUUUUAAUACCUAAUUCGCCCCCCUCUUGGGUUGCUUAGCUAGAAUUUCAUUUGGUAUCAAAGGAAGUUCUCUUGUUAGGACUUAACCAUCUAGAGUAAAAGAUCCAUAGUAAUCCAAAAUGAUCCCAGAUUUGGGGAAGGUUAAUCCCUUACUAGAUCACCAUUCUUUGAUGGGAAUGAUUAUCCAUGUUGGAAAAUUAUGAUAAGAAUUUAUUUGCAAGCAUUAUAUUAUGAAAUAUAGGAAGUUGAUUGUGAUGGUCCAUUCAUGCCUACUGCUAAAAAUGAAGAAGGGAAAGAAAUUCUAAAACCUUCACAAGAAUGGAAUGAGUCGGAAAAGAGAAAAGAUUCUCUUAAUUUCAAAGUCAUGAAUGCUUUGUUUUGUGACUUAGAUAAAAAAGAAUUCUAUAGAGUUUAAGGUUGUUCCAAUGCUUAUGAAAAUUGGAAAAAACAUAAAGUCAUUUAUAAAGCUACAAAUCAAGUCAAAUAGUCUAAAAUUAGUAAAUAUACUAGGCAAUACGAAUUGCUAUAAAUGGAACAAAAUGAGAGUGUUAAUCCCAUAUACACUAGAUUAACAGACAUUAUAAACACUUUAGGAGCUCUUAGAAAGACUUUUUCAAACAGCGAAAAGGUAAAAAAAAUCAGUAGGUCUUUACCAAAAGAAUAGAGACCUAAGAAAAUUCCCAUUGAGGAAGCCAAUGAUAUUUUAUCUAUUGAUGAUUUAAUUAGUUCAUUUAUUUCUUAUGAAAAGGAUUUGACAACUGAAAAAUAUAAUGAAGACGAGAAGAAGAAGAGUUUUUCCUUAAAAGCAUCAAGAUCUAAAAGUGACAACGAAAGUGAGAUCGAAAAUGAAGACAUGGCUAUGAUAGCUGGAAAAUUCAAAAUAAUUUUCAAGAAAUCCAUCGAGCGAAGGAAAUUCAAAAAUUAGAAAGAGAAGAAGGAGGCAAUUAUUUUCUUUAAAUGCAGGAAGCCUAGACACAUAAAACUAGCAUGUCCUUUUCUCAAAAAAUUAAAGAAGAUAGCCAUGGUAGCAACACGGGAUGAUAGCGAUAAGGAGACUAUAGAUGAAGAGUAGUCCCAUGAAGUGUCAAAUUUGGCACUUAUGGUUAUAGGAGAUGAACUUGAUGAGGUAAACCUCUUAGGAUGAGUUGUUUGAAGUAUUCUCUAAAUUGCAUAAAGAUGUAAAGAAGAUUGAAAUGUAAAAUGUUUCUCUUGGAAAGAAAAAAGUAGAACUUUUAAAUGAGAAUGACACUUUGAAUAAAAAGAUUAAGUGCCUAGAAGUAUUUGUGAAGAAAUUGCAUCUUUUAAAGAAAAAACAAAAUGUUUCAUCUAAGAAUAAAGGUUUACUUGUAAAUGAUUUGAAAAAGAAAAAUGAAAUAUAUUGCUUUAGAAUUUGCUUAGUAUUAGUCAAUUGUGUGAUAAAUGUUACAAAGUUAUUUUUAUGUGAUAAAGACUAUAGAGUUAUUUUUUAUAAAACAAAAUGUGUUAUUAAAAAUACAUGUGAUGACAAAGUUUUAUUUGUUACAUAAAGAUGUGUUAAUGUAUACACCAUUGAUAUAGAUAGUGUAUCAACUCAUGAUAAAUGUUUUUUUCACAUUACAUGAUGAUAGUUGAUAUGGCAUGGAAGACUAGGUCAUGCGAGCAUGGAUUUGUUUUCAAAAUUUUUUAAAAAUGAUUUGGUUAUAGGUCUUCUAAAAAUUGGUUCUAAAAAAGAUAAAAUUUGUGAAGUUUGCCAAUUUAGAAAACAAAUAAAACGUCCUUUAAAAAAAAUUCAUAUUUCUACUUCAAAACCACUUUAACUUUUUCACAUGGAUUUGUUUGAAUUUUCUAAAUAUGCUAGUUUAAGUGGUAAAUAUUAUGCAUUUAUAAUUAUAGAUGAUUAUUCUAUAUACACAUGGUAUUACUCUCAACUAAUAAAGAUGACACCUUUAAUGCUUUCAAAGUUUCUAUAAAAAGGUUCAAAAUGAAAAAUGAUAUGUUAUUUCUUGCAUUAGAAGUGAUCAUGGUGGAGAAUUUGAAAAUUAUAUUUUGAAAAUUUUUACAAUAACUUUGGCAUUGAGCAUCAAUUCUUGUUACCAAGAACUCCAUAAUAAAAUGGAGUAGUUGAGAGAAAGAAUAGGUCUAUCCAAGAAAUGGCUAGGACCAUGUUAAAUGAAAAUGUUUUACUAAAAUAUUUUUGGGUUGGAACCGUCAACAUUGUUUGUUAUAUUUUAAAUCGUGCAUUGAUUAGACCUUACCUCAAUAAAACUCCUUAUGAGUUUUGGAAAAAUAGAAAAACAUUGACUAUUUCAAAGUUUUUGGUUGCAAAUGUUUUCUAUUGAAUACAAAAGACAAUCUUGGUAAAUUUAAUCUAAAAUCUGAUGUUGAUAUUUUUCUUGGGUAUUCAAAUACAAGCAAAACUUAUAGAGUGUAUAAUAAAAGAUCCUUGGUCGCUAAAGAAUCUAUACAUGUUAUAUUUGAUGAAUCUAACUUUUCUUCUAUGAAGAAAGUUGUUGUUGAUGAUGAUGCAUAUGAAGAGUUACAAAAACAAAAAGUCUUUAAAAGACAAACAAGAUGAUUUACCGGUAAAAAUCAAGAUGAGCAACAAGAAAAACAAGUUAAACAGAUUCAAAAUGAAGGUAAUUCACAAACACUCUCUAAGGAGCUAAGGUAUGUCUCUUCACACCCUAAAGACUUAAUCUUAGGAGAUCCUUCAUGAGGUGUAACUACUAGAUAAUCACUUAGAAAUACAUGUGAACAUACUGUAUUCAUAUCUCAAGUUGAGCCAAAAUCCUUUUCAGAUGUGGAAAAUGAUGAAUCUUGGAUUAUAGCAAUACAAGAAGAGUUAAAUCAAUUUGAAUGAAACAAUGUAUGGAAACUUAUUCAUAAACCAUAACAUCAAUCUGUAAUAGGCAAUAAAUGGGUAUUUAGGAAUAAAAUCGAUGAAUCUGGUGUAGUUGUAAGGAAUAAAGUUAGAUUAGUAGCUCAAUGAUGCAACCAAGAAGAAGAAAUUGAUUUUGAUGAAACCUUUGCACAUGUAUCGAGAUUAGAAUCCAUUACAUGCUUUUAUCAUUUGCAUAUCAUAAUGAUUUUAUUUUAUAUUAAAUGGAUGCUAAAAGCACCUUUCUAAAUAGUUGUAUUAUGAAGGAAGCUUAAGUGAAACAACCCCCUCAUUUUAAAAAUGAAAAAUGUUUUUGGAUCAUGUUUACAAGUUGUCCAAAGUUUUAUAUAGUUUAAAGUAAGCAUCUAGAGCAUGAUAUGAUAGACUUAGUAAAUUUCUUUUAGAAAAUAGUUUUUCAAUGGGUAAAGCGAAUACUACUCUAUUUGUUAAAUACAAGGAUCAAGGUAUACUUGUUCAAAUUUAUAUUGAUGAUAUUAACUUUAGUUCUAUUAAUGAGUUUCUGUGUAAGGAAUUUUCAUCUUGCAUAAGUAGAGAAUUUGAGAUGAGCAUGAUGGGAGAAUUGAAGUACUUUCUUGGACUUCAAAUUUAAAAGAAAAAAAAGAAUUCAUUAAUCAAGCCAAGUAUUUCAGAGAUCUACUCAAAAGAUUUUGCAUUCAGGACUAAGGACACUCCAAUGAGAACUACAAUCAAUCUCGAUAAGGAUAAAAAAAGUAAAGAUGUUGUAUCAAAAGAUAUCGAGGUAUGAUCAUAUUUUUACUUUACUUUACUACUAGUAGACAUUACUUUAGUGUAUGUUUGUGUGCAUGAUUUCAACCAGAUCUCAAAGAAUCUCAUUUGCUUGCGGUUAAAAGAUUUUUUUCAUUAUUUAUGAGGAACAAUUGAUCUUGGUCUAAGGGAACUCAUAUAAAUUAUUAGCUCAAUAAAUUUUUCAAAGAAUCCCAUUCAACAUUCUAGGACCAAACAUAUUGAAAUUAGGCAUUAUUUCUCACGUGAUCAUGUUCAAAUGAGAGAUAUUGCUUUAGAAUUUGUUUCUAUAGAAAAAUAUCUUGCUGAUAUUUUUACAAAUCCUUUUUGUGAAGAAUAGUUUUCAAAGAUUUGGAUUGAGUUUGGAAUGAUGACAUUUUCACAUCAAUAUUUCAUUGCAUGAUAUUGAGACUACAAAUUUGCUUGAUUUUCUAUCUUGAUUUUAAUGUGUUAUAUGCUUGAAUUUACUUCUUUGAAUGUUUAUCAUCAUAUCUUAUGCAUUAAAAAUGGCUUUUGAAAUACUUCGGGAUCACAAAAUGGUCUCAAAAUUAAUUAAAUUUUGGCCAAAAAGCAAAAUCGUGCAAAAUUUAGGGGAACUAGCUAACCGUUAACAACAAGCGACUAGCCAAUUAUGAGGCAGAAACUAGCUGGUCAGUAGGGUUGGCAAUGGGACGGGAUGGGAUGGGAUUUACCAAUCCCAGUCCCAUCCCGUAUAUGCAAAUGGGAUGAAAAAACGUCCCAAUCCCGUCCCUAUAUUUUUUUUGGGACAAAAAUAUGUCCCAAUCCCGUCCCAAAAGAGAUGGGAUCCUGCGGGAUCCCAUCCCAAUUGGAAAAUUUUUCAUUCUUAAUCGGUAAUGAGACGGGAUGGGACGGAAUUUAUCAAUCCCACUCCCGUCCCGCAUAUGUAAUUGGGAUAAAAAAAAUGUCCCAAUCCCAUCCCAAAUUUUUUUAUGGAACAAAAAUAUGUCCUAAUCCCAUCCCAAAUGGGAUGGGAUCCCGCAGGAUCCCAUCCCAUCGGGAAAAAUUGCCAUCCCUACUGGUCAGCCGGCUUAAAGCAAACGGUUAAUUGCUUGGUUUCUAAAAAUGAAACGGUUAACCGCUUUCUUCAAGAGGCUAGCUGGCUUCACGUUUUAAAUGUUGUUCAUCUUCUUUUUCCCACUUUCAGUUGUUACCCUCUCUCUAUCACUGUCAUCUCUCAUUUCUUUUACUCUCUCUCUAAAAUCUUCCGUUUUUACAUCACUUUUGUGUCAAAUUAAACUUUCCAAAUCAUUUCCCAUCAAUUAAUCUUCACUCAUUUGCUUUUAAAACACAAUCUAAUCACUCUUCUCUCAAAAUCUUAAAACCUAAGUCACCAAUUUCAACAUUCUCAAAUUUGAACCAUUAUUUGACCAUUUUUGACCAAAAUAAACCCAUACAUUCCUUAGAUCUUCUCAAAGAACAUUUUAAUCGGUUCAAAAUCAUCUAUUUCUGUAAAAACUUUGUGAACUCGAAUUUGUGCAAUUUUGGACACAUUUUGAUAAUUUCUUAAUGGCUAGUGGUGAGAAGUCUAAGGGUAAGCAUAUGCCUAAAAUGUAAAAAAAAGAUUCAUAAAGACAUUUUCAAAUUCAUUUCCACCCACUUCCCAAAUCCGCCCCAAUGGAAUGAUUCUCUGAUCGAUUUAUGACAAGGUCAGUCCUCCCAUACUAUAUAUGUUAAUCUUGAUUAAUUAGAAAAUUUGUCAAGUUGUAGCAAAACUCUUAGAACUUUACUUGCUGAAUUGGGUUGGACAAAUGUCUUAGUUCUUAAGGAACAUAUUUGUCCUAAUUUGGUACGAGUAUUUUAUUCGAACAUGCUUAUUUCUACAAAUACUGCCAAUAUGAUUAUUACUAAUGUUAUUGGGAUUCCUAUUAAGUUUACUGUAGAAGAUUUAAACAUGAAUCUCAGAUGAUAGGUUGCAUUUGUAUACAUCUAGGACUAAAAUUGAUUAUCCCUGGUAUUUAGUUGUAGAUGAUGUUUGAAACAUAGAUGUUCGAAACAUAUGUAGGUGAUCUGAUCUAUCCAUGGAGCUUUUUAACUCCUCUCUUAGAUCACAAGUGUUGCCUCUUCAAGUUCGGAUCCUACAUAAUGUUCUUUAGCUUGUGAUCAGUCCUCGCAAGGGACAUGGUGCUGAGGUUACACGCUUAGAUGUUACUUUAUUAGAUAGCAUCCUUGAGGGUAAAAGCUAAAUGUGCGAAUAUUAUCAUUCAGCACAUGCUUAAUACACUGAGUAUAGGAAACCAAUCCUUUUCGGUCGGUAGUGUCAUUACCCACAUCCUUCAAUAUUUUUGGGUCCCUAUAGCUGAACCAUCUCAUAAUGAACCCAAGGAGUUAGGGGAUGAGGUCAUUGCUAGCUUAGGAUUUGGGUGGGUAGAUGACCAAUAGGUUAAAAAUUAGAACUUGUUGAGCAAACCCACAAAGCUGGCUCUUUUUUAUCAUUGCAUCUUUAACGAUGUGCUUCCCCUUACUGGGUUCUUGAUCUUAGUUCUUCCAUGAGGUCACAAGCUCUACAUUGGCCUUCUGAUGCUCCACCAUCAUCAUCUUCAGCCAUUCCCAAUAACCCAAUCCAACAGUUGUUGAAUAAAGUGCGUUCCAUAUCCGAACAAUAAAGCAAAUUUAAGAUAUCGUUCGCAGCAUUCCAGGAUCAUUUUCUUUCUGAGCAACAACGUCUCUUUCUUCAACAAUAACAAAUUCUAGACCAUCACUAGCUUAUUUUCAUUGCUCUCAAAUUUUCGCCACCAUCCUUAUUAUCUUGUUUGCUACCUCAUCAGUGAUUUUCUUUUAUCUCUUUUGCUUCAUUGUUUUAUGCACCGACAUUAUUUAUCAUAUGCAUUUUCGUUUUUAGCAUCAUGGAUACUUGAUGGAUGUUAUUUUACUUAUGCAUUAUAGAUACUUGAGUUGAUAUGGAUUAUCUUUAUGCAUUCUAGUUAUUGAUUGUGGUAUCUUUAUUAAUUAUCUUUAUGGAUUAUCUUUAUUGAUUAUGGAUUAUGUAUAUGGAUACUUGAUUAAUGGUUAUGUGUGGAUUUUCGAUUGAUGAUCUUUGUGGGGGAUAAUUAUUGAUAAUAUUUGUAUAAUAGAGGAGUGAUUUUUCAUGAUGAAGGGGGAGAAGAUAUUGACAUGUAUUUUGAAGUGUUUUGACAUGUUUUUGGCUCAUGGGGGUUGAUUGAGUGUUUGUAGUAUUUUAGUUGCUUUCUGAGUCACUCAAGGAGAGUUUACAAAUGUUGUACAAUUAUUGUUAGCCUAUAUGGUUAUAAAUAUUGAUUUUGAUGAUAACAAACCACAUGUAUUGAUUAAGAAAAGAUUUAUUAAUUGUACUUUUAUAAUAAGAAAAUGAUGUUAUGGAAUUAAAGUAUUUUGGACUAAAAUGAAAGUAUUUUAAAAUCUUUGAUAGUGUUUUAAAUUUCGGAUUUGGACCUGUUUGAAACUAUUUAAAUAUUUUUUGAUUAUUCUAUAAUUUCAUAUAGUUUGGGUGAAAUCAUAAUUUCAGAAAGUUUUGGGAUUGACAAAGCAUUAUUUAAAAUUCUGAAAUUGGACCUAUUUGCAAAGUUUCAUAAAGUUUUGAGCCAUAAUAUAGUUUUAUAAAGUUUUGGGGUCAAACUAUAAAUUUAAAAAAUAUUUCACUGUAGCAGUAACUGUAGCAAGCGGCUUACCGGAUAUGGUUAAACGACAAACUGGAUAUUGGGCAGUAAGCGUCUGGAGCAUAAACGGCUUACCGGAUUUUGUAAGCAGCAAGCCGGAUAUUCUGAAAUUCAAAAUUUUGCCAUAACGGUAACAUAAAAGCGGCUUACCAGAUUCCUAAAUGGCAAGCCGGUUAUAACAGAAAAUGUGCAUAACAGCUAGUUUUUUAGCUCAAACUAUAAGAACUCAAAUCCAAAUCAUUUUCAAGCUCUCCAACAAGCAUAAACAAAAAGCACACGAGAUAUCUUGAGCUUUCAAGUUGCAAAACACAAAACAUUUAAUCAUGUCUUGUUUUUCAUUUUUGAAUAUCUGCUUUUUGAGUGAGUUUUAUUGUAACUUUCAUUUCUUCAUCUCAAUUGUAAGAGUUUGAGUGUGUGAGACACUUGAGUGAAGAGAUUGUUAGAUAAUCUCUUUGUUGUAAAGGUUCAUUGACACCUUGAAGUCAAUUGUAAACAGUUAAAACCUUGGAAAGGCUUGGAUAGUGAAAACCUCAAGCUUGGAUCGCUUGGAGGUGUGGACAUAGGCGGAGAUUGCCGAACCACGUAAAAAUUCGUAUGUUUGUUUCUUUUCUCCCUUACUCAUUAGUUAUUGUGUUUUUAUUGAACUUAUUGCUUUUAAUUUUUAUUAAGACAUUUAGAUUGCUUGUUGUGUGGAUUUGCUAAGAAAUUUUUUAAAAUUCCAAUUCACCCCCCUUUUUGGGUUGCACACUUAUAUUUCAUUUGGUAUUAGAGCGAGGUGCUCUUAUUUGGACCUAACCGUUUAGAACUAAAUAUCAAUGGCAACUCAAAAUGAUUCCACAUUUAGGGAAGGACAGUCCACUACUAGACCACCUUACUUUGAUGGAAACGAUUACCCAUAUUAGAAAACUAGGAUGAGAAUUUACUUGCAAGUCUUAGAUUAUGAAAUUUGGGAAAUCGUUAAUGAUGGUUCUUUCAUGCCUUUGACUAAAAAUGAAGUCGGAGAAGAUAUUCCAAAACCUUCACGGGAAUGGAAUGGAUUCGAAAAGAGAAAAGCUUCUCUAAAUUCCAAGGCCAUGAAUGCCUUAUUUUGUGCACUAGAUAAGAAAGAGUUUCAUAGAGUGUCUAGUUGCGAAAGUGCUAAUGAGAUUUGGCACAAACUUGAAGUUGUCUAUGAAGGCACGAACCAAGUGAAAGAAUGUAAAAUAAGUAGGUGCACUCGACAAUAUGAAUUGUUCCAAAUGGAACAAAAUGAAAAUGUGUACUCUAUGUAUACUAGAUUUACAGACAUAGUGAACACUCUAGGAGCCCUAGGAAAGACCUUUUUAAAUAGCGAGAAAGUCAAGAAAAUCAUUAGGUCGCUACCUAAGGAAUGGAGACAAAAAAGGACUGUCAUUGAGGAAGCCAAAGAUUUAAAUGUAUUACCUAUUAAUGAUUUAAUUGGUUCUCUCAUUUCAUAUGAAGAAGAUUUGGCAGCUGAAAAAGGGCAUGAGGAAAAGAAGAAAAACAUUUCUCUCAAGGCUUCAAAAUGUGAGAGUGAUGGGGAAAGCGAAAUGGAUGAUGAGGAGUUGGCAAUGUUGGCUAGAAGAUUUAGAAAAUUUUACAAAAAGAAUAAUGAGCAGAGAAAGUUCAGAGGCUACAAGAAUAAGAAGGAGAAGAAUGAGUCAAUCACUUGUUAUGAAUGCAAGAAACCCGGAUACAUACGACCGAAAUGUCCUCUUUUCAACAAACUCAAGAAGAAAGCUAUGGUGGCCACAUGGGAUGAUAGCGAUGAGGAAACAAGUGAUGAUGAUGAGCAACAGGAAAUGACAAAUUUAGAUCUCAUGGCCAUUGGGGAAGAAUCAUGUGAUGAACUUGAUGAGGUACGUGUUCUUCCUACAUAUGAUGAAUUACAUAAUGCCUUUAAGGAUUUGCAUGAUGAGCUGAUGAAGAUUGGUAAAAAGAAUAUAUGUCUUAAAAAGAAGAUAAUAGAGCUUAAAAAUGAAAAUGAAUCAUUUAGUGCAAAGAUUACAUGCCUAGAAUUAGAAAAUAAAACAUUGCAUGAUAGCAUUGCAUUAUUUGAGAAUUCUAGCACUCCACAUGAGCACUUAGAGUCACACAUGAAUGACUUGAAAAAUGAAAAUGAAAUGCUUAGAAAGAAGAGCAAUGAACUAAAUGAAAUUCUACUAAAAUUCACAAAUGGGAGAAAGAUGUUGGACAAUUUGCUAAACUCACAAAAAUGUGUAUUUGACAAAAGUGGCAUUGGUUAUAAACCAAAUUUGAAACAAAAAUUUUACAAGAGUUGUUUUGUGAAGAAUACAUCUAUUAACAAUCAAAUUGUAUGUCAUUAUUGUAAUCAAAAUGGUUAUAUGAAAAAUAGAUGUGCAGUGAAGAGAAAUGCAUAUUAUGGUGUGAAAUGUGUUUGGGUUCCGAAAGGAACCAUUGUUAACUCUUAAGGACCCAAAAAGGUUUGAGUACCUAAAACUUGAGAUUUUCUCUACAGGGCUUGAAGAAGAAGAAUAAUAAGUGUUACUUGGACAGCGGUUGUUCAAGACACAUGACAGGGAAUUAUUCUUGGUUUUCAAGUUUUACUAAGAUCGAAAAUGGUGGAGAUGUAUCAUUUGGAGAUAAUUCAAAAGGAAAAAUCAUUGGGAUUGGAAAUGUCGGUAAUGCAUCCUCUACUCUCAUUGAAAAUGUGUGUUUGGUUGAAAACUUGAAAACACAACUUGCUUAGUAUUAAUCAAUUAUGUGAUAAAGGAUAUAGAGUUAUCUUUGAUAAAUCAAAAUGUGUUAUUGAGAAUGCAUGUGAUGGGAAAGUUUUGUUUGUAGGAAAUAAAUGUGUUAAUGUCUAUACUAUUAAUAUAGAUUGUGUAUCAACAAAUGAUAAAUGUCUCUCUGCAUUACAUGAUGAUGGUUGACUGUGGCAUAGAAGAUUAGGUCAUGCAAGCAUGGAUUUGAUUUCAAAAAUCGUGAAAAAUGAUUUAGUUAAAGGUCUUACAAAAAUUAGUUUUCAAAAAGAUAGAAUUUGUGAAGCAUGCCUAUUUGGAAAAAAAAUCAAAACUUCCUUCAAAAGCAAGAAUCAUGUCUCUACUUCAAAACCACUUCAAUUACUUCACAUAGAUUUGUUUGGACCUUCUAGAUAUGCUAGUUUAAGUGGCAAAUUUUAUGCAUUUGUAAUUGUGGAUGAUUAUUCUAGAUACACAUAGGCAUUGUUCUUAGCUAAUAAGGAUGAUGCCAUUGAUGCAUUUCAAAUUUUCUCUAAAAAGGUUCAAAAUGAAAAAAGGUUAUUCUAUUACUUGUAUUAGAAGUGAUCAUGGUGAAAAAUUUGAAAAUCAUGCAUUUGAAAAUUUUUGUAAUGACUUUGGCAUUGAACAUCAAUUUUCAUCACCUAAGACUCCACAAUAAAAUGGAGUAGUAGAGAGAAAGAAUAGGUCUAUUCAAGAAAUGACUAGGAGCAUGUUGAAUGAAAACUCUAUGCUUGAGUAUUUUUAGACCGAAACCGUCAACACCGCUUGUUAUGUUUUAAAUCGUGUGUUGAUUAGACCUAAUCUUAAUAAAACUCCAUAUGAGCUUUGGAAAGAUAGAAAACCCAACAUUGGCUAUUUUAAAGUUUUUGGAUGCAAAUGUUUUGUUUUGAUCACAAAAGAUAAUCUUGGUAAAUUUGAUCCAAAAUCUGAUGUUGGUAUUUUUCUUGGUUAUUCAAAUUCAAUCAAAACUUAUAGAGUUUAUAAUAAAAGAACUUUAGUUGUGGAAAAAUCUAUGCAUGUUACAUUGAUGAGUCUAACCCCUCCUCUACGGAGAAAGUCGUUGUUGAUGAUAAUGCAGAAGAAGAACUACAAGAAGAAGCAUCAAAUGACAACCAGAAGAUGCACCACAUGAAAUUCAAGAGGAACAUCAUGAAGAAAACAAAUGUAGAGCAAAAUGAAGUACUUCUCAAACACUCCCAAGGAGUGGAGGUGUGUUUCCUCUCACCCUUAGGAUGUAAUUUUAGGAGAUCCCUCACGAGGUGUUACCACUAGAUCAUCUCUUAGGAACACAUGUGAGCAUGCUGCAUUUAUUUCUCAAAUUGAACCAAAAUCCUUUGCGGAUGCAGAAAAUGAUGAAUCUUGGAUUAUGGAAAUGCAAGAAGAGUUGAAUCAAUUUGAGAGAAACAAUGUGUGGGAGUUAGUUCUAAAUCCAGAACAUCAAUCCAUUAUAGGCACUAAAUAGGUAUUUAAAAACAAAAUGGAUGAAUUUGGUGUGGUUGUAAGAAAUAAAGCUAGAUUAGUGGCUCAAGGUUACAACCAAGAAGAAGGAAUUGAUUUUAAUGAAACUUUUGCACCUGUAGCAAGGUUAGAAUCCAUUAGGAUGUUGUUAGCAUAUGCAUGUCAUAAGGAUUUUAUUUUAUAUCAAAUGGAUGUCAAGAGUGCUUUCUUAAAUGGUUAUAUUAUGGAGGAAGUUUAUGUGAAACAACCUCCUGGUUUUGAAAAUGAAAAUUUUCCAGAUCAUGUGUAUAAGUUAUCUAAGGUUUUGUAUGGUCUAAAACAAGCACCUAGAGUUUGGUAUGAUAGGCUUAAAAACUUCUUGUUGGAUAACGAUUUUUCGAUGGCUUAAAAAUCAGAAUGCCAAAAUAUAAAACAACAGUUAAAUUCCAUUUAAACUCCAAGAAAAGUAAUUCAAAUUCCGGCCACCGAGCCAAGUUCUCCAACAAAAUUUCCAAAGAUUAAUGGAAAUAUUCCAAUAGCAAGACUUCCAGAAGCAAUACCCUCUUCCAGCGGCAAUACAUUGUUUAGAACUACAACACUAAAACAUAAAAGCCAAAUACUAUAUUAAACUCAUAAAAAGCUUAUAAUUUACAGGAGAAACUGAAAGUAUCAAUCAAUUUUGAGGCAACCAAUUUGACAAUUUAAUAUUAAACUCAUAAAAAGCAUUGCCAGUAGUGAGUUUAAAUAUACCUGCAUCUGUGUCCUUGCCAAUUCAAUGGGGUAGCAACUAAUACAUGCUAAUGAACGUGCAACAGACCCAGCAACUAGGGGAACAUAUUGUGCCAACAUUGGAGCAUUGUCAAUAGGGAAUUUUCCAUCAAAUUGCGAAAACUGUCAUAACAAGGAAGGUAAAUUCCCACCUGAAAAGAGUAAUUAACAGAAAAAAAAGAAAAUAAUCAUCAUAAUGCAAAAAAAUUUCAAUGCCACACUGAUGUAUGGGAUGAAAUAUUUGAAGAAACACAAGCAAUUUAUGUACAAGAGAGACUUAUUGUUGGCAUAGACAACGCUAAACUUGCAUAAGUGCCUCUCCAUAGUCGGGCAAAUCCCUCCUGCACAUGUUUAGCUCUUAUGAAACCUUUGAUAUUAAAGAUCAAAAUUUAAGAUUCACUAACAGUAGCACCAAGAAAUCUAUUUAUUGAAGGCACAUUAACUACACAAUACAAAAUCUCUUUCCAUAAUAUAUGUAAUCACACUGCAAGUAUAAUGCAGUACACUAAAAUGCCAUCAGUUGACUUGUUCUAAAAAAUGUCUAUAAGACAUUCUGUACAAAUCCCAGUUCUUACGGAGUUAUUUUGCCCAUGGAUCAAAUCACUUUAGGACUGGAAAAAUGACGUCAUCUAAAUAGGAAAUUAGGAGUAAUAACAUGUAAUUCCAAUUGAAUUUAGUUUUUCUUCUUCAUAAUUUUCCUGUGAACUAUAACAACUGCUUUCUAGGAUCUCUUUCUUCUUUAGAGAUACAAUAGUUUUACAAAGAUCCAAUAUAAAACUCUUUAGGAUAAAAAUAGUCCAAGGAAAGCUUUUCUCAACAGCAUAAACUAUACACUUUUGGAAAACUUCAGUUCUUUUUAUUAGAUAUAUGUGUAAUUUAUUCAUAAAGUCCUUGUAUCCACCAACCUGGCAUACGAAUUUGUAGAAAACAUCCAGUGUUCCUUUAUAUUUAUUACAUUCUGGAGCUGGUUUAGAGCCUGGAACUGCACACGUGCAUGAUGGGGAAUUUCUCAUAUCUGGAAGCAUCUACAGAAACAAUUUGAAAGACAACACUUGUCACAAGAUCAUAUAACAAAGAGCAAUAAGAAUAGUAAUUGUUGAGUGUUAGAAAAUGUAUAUUUAUAAAGGAGAAAAUCGUCAUUUUACAUUUCAAGUCUUACUAACAACCCUUACUUUUAUGUAUUUAAGCCUCUUGUAAUUUAAUUAUGUGUGUUUUAUUUUAAUUAAGUAUUUUAUGUAUUUUAGGGACAUCAUAGUCAUUUCACAAUAAACGAGAGAUCAAAUGGCAAAACGACAUCACUUUUGAACUCAAGACGGUCGAAAACCUUAGGAGGAGCAUAAAAGGAAAAAUGGUAUUGUUCACAUGUACGAUACUAUUCACGUGUACGGUACUGUAUACGUUACUGUUCACGACAUGUUCACAUAGACGGAAGAUGACGUGGCAUUGACCGAUGAUGUGCAUUGACUGAUGAGGUGUCACGAUCCUGUUGGACUAAAAUUCUUAUGUACUGGAGGUAACGUGGCAGCAUAUAGUGGACUAAAAAUCUCGCGUACGGUACAUGCAUACACAUGAUUAUUUUCAACCAAACCGCGUUACUGUUCAAACCCGGUCAAAUCGUGUUACUGUUCAUCCGCGUGGUCAAACCGCGUACUGUUGACUGAUGACGUGGCGCAAUCCUGAGUAUCCAAACUGUUUUUAAUCCGAUGACCAUGAUUUACUCCAUGUAUCUAUAAAAGGGGCCUUCCCCCCUAAUUUGCAUCUUGAAUCUAUUUUUGGGAUCCAUUUUCUGUAAUUCCUUCUCCAUUUUGUAUUUUCUACGUAUUUUAAUAAAUUACCAUUUUGCCCCUAGUUCAAUUAUGAGUAGCUAAUUUUCUUUCAAACUUGGGUUGAAGGUGAAAUCUCAACAUGUGUCAUGGGCUUUAUUUGGGAAAUUUAUUUUCUUUUCCCCUCUAAUUUUUGUGGAUGAUUUGACUUUUUCGUCGACAAAUAAUAAUAAUCUUGUCUAAAUACCGCAUUGGUUACACCGGCUCUCUAGUACAAUGUUAUUAUUAUUUGGCACGAUAAGCCCUUAGCACCAUAUUGAUUAGAGCGUGGUUCAUGAGGUGUGGAUUCCCCCCUCAUGAUUUAAUUGCAUUAAUAUGGAUUAUUUAGCCCAUGUUGCAUGUUGAUACGGAUCCAGAUACCCAAGUACAUCAUUUCAAUAGAUUUCACUUCAAUUUAUUCUCACCAUUUCAAUUCCAAUUUUAGAAUAAUCUAAAGUUACUUUCACCACAAAUCCAACCACCCAUUUACAAAAUUAAUUCUACACACAAUUAAAAUCUACCUCCUCGUGGGAUCGACACUCGUCACCAUUGAUCUAUACUACAAUAGAUUCGUGCGCUUGCGAGUACAUUAAAAUUUGCACAACACUAGCCUCCACUUAUAAAUGACUUAUUCACCUAAUUAGGGCAUGUCGUCAUCUCUUUGCUUCCUUUUCUUCAAUUUUCUCUCUAUCUUUUAAAUCAUCAGUCAUUUCUCCACUUUAGGAGGCCAUUUUUAUUCUCCACCUUUAUCAUAUUCUCUAAGAUAUUAUCAUUCUCAAUAUCUUAUUAACAAUCUUCAUUUUUAUCAAUACCAAACAUCUCUGUAUUGCUAUCUAGCUUGUGUUAUUCAUUUUGAAUAAUGUAAAAUCUUAUAUAACCUCUCAUUUAUAUAAUGGAUUGGUGAUGAUCUGCUCUCAUGGAUGUAGGCCAAAAGGUGAAACAUGUAAAUACUGUGUGUUCUUUAUAUUUAUGUUUUAUUUUGCUAUUUUCAAUUUGAGGUCGAGAUUGUUUUUCAUGUAUGAGCUUAUCAAUAGAUACCCAGUUACACCAAGUAUUCUGUGAGACUAUCUAUACUAUUCCUUGAGUAUAUCUGAGCCAUACCUAAACAUAUAUUAGCCCUCUAUCAAAUCCUACAAGACUCCAUUGAGCUCUCCCUAUUUUUCCUCCCACCUGAACUCACUAUAUCUACUACUUUUGCUCACUAUCUAGGAUAAUUCAGCUAAACUACCUGGCCCAAAUACUAUAAAAAUACACGUAAACCCAAACUUAUCACAAGCUCCCUUCAAAUAUAAGUUUAUUUGUUUGAAUCAAAUUUAAACUGGGUCCAAUGAGAAUCAGCCAAUUGGUACGAAUAAGAUCUUAAUGAAAAUUUGGUGAACACAUAUAUUAAAUUAUAGAGUAUGAUUGCUACAACUAUUUUAUUAUACUUAGAAUAAGAAAAGAUAAAAUAUUGUGUGCAUUAUUUUAAUCCAUAUUCCAAGAUACUCAUUGCCCAAAAGAUACCAAAAUCAGUUUCAAGAUUCCAAUAUGUGAAUAUAUAUAUAUACAUAUUUUUAAAUUUCAUCCGUUAAUGCAUACAUACGCAAGAUUCAAAAUCCCAACUACAUCCAUAUAAUUUUUAUUAAUUUAUGAAAUUAAUAGUACCUAUCGAAAUGAUGAAUGAUACAUGACCCACCAUAUUGUCACUUUUUAUAUUUUCUUUAUACAAACAUUUAUUCAUAUCUCUAAAUACCCACUUUGUCAUAGAGUUCGGUUAUACGGUUCACAGCUUAUACAAAUAUAGUGGUUGAUUUUUUAAUCAAAUUUUAAAUUCAAUUUCCCAAAUUGGUUUAAAUUGAACUUUAAAGAUAAAACAGUUAUUUUAUUUUAUUUUAUUAUCACUGCUACACAAAAAGAUAAAAAAUUGAUACAGUUUAUAAAUUUGGAGUUAAAUCGUUAUUCGUUAAACAAUGUAUAUUUUUUGAUUUUUUAAAACUAGAGAAAGUAAUAACUGGACAAUUAAAAUUAAAAAAAUCCAAACUUACAUAAUGCUUGCACAUUAUACAUUGUUGCAACGGUUGUUCCAUGGUCAAAUUUACAUCUGCAUAAAAAGUAUCAUACUUUAACACAUGUAUAUUAUAUCAUUCAUAUACUGAUCUAAUAAAAUUUUACUGUAUACAUAUUCAAUUUUGAGAUAAAUCAUGAUGUGUGAUAGGGAUUUUAUUAAGAAUAUCUGAGGAUAUGAAAAACAAGGAUUUUUCUAGUUUAGCAAGUCGUGAGAGCAUAUCAGGAAUAAGGUUGUGGUCUCUUUUAUAUGUUUCACUGAGAAAUCAUAUUUUGAAAACCAGUCUUUGAGCCUAAGCAACUUUUACUUUUCUAAAAGCUUGUGGCUUGUAAUUAUGACUUUGCUUUUCAAAAAGUGAUAGGGGUCCUGUCCUAUCCUUUUUCUUGGUUUGCCUCCUAUUUAAGCUCGGCUUCUCUUGGUUCCCAUAUGCCUAAUAAGGAUAUCUUGUUAGGAUUUGAUAUCAUUCACCAGAAUAAAACACCUUCAAAUCAUUCCUAUUGAAAUUCGAGUCAAGUCCAUGUUUAAACCAUACAUAGUAGCUAUGCUUAAAAAUCAUUAAACGUGUAAGGUGUAUUUGACACAUUAUAUUACAAUAUAGUGUAUUGCAUUAACAUGCAUUGCAUUAAGUUGUAAUGCAAUACUAUGUUUGGGUAAUAUGGACUCUAUAUAUAAAAUAAUAUUAUAUUAUAUAAAUGUUAAAAUUAAAUAAUAUUUAUUAAUAUUUAAGAUUUUAUUAUUAAUUUUUUAAAUUAAGUACUUACUAAUUACUUUUAUAUAUUAUUAUUAUAAUACAAAAAUGACCUAAUAAUAACUAUUAUUAAAUAAUAAAUAUUAAAUUGGUAAAGGAAAUUAUGCAAGAAAACGACGAGCUCGAAGAAUUUCUGUUGCUUGUCAUAAGUGUGCCAGAAUGGAGUUGCGAUAGAAACCCAUGUUCUUUAGGAAUGGUGUCUGAUAACAGGGAAGAUAAGAUUCAAUUCAUUAGGGAUGGCUUGAAUAAGGAGUCAUUGGAUGAUAUCCUUUUGUCUCUUGAAACGCAUCCCAGUGGAUAUGUGCAAGGAGCGAUUCUCCGGUUAUGGCCAUUAUUCCAGAAAGAGCAUGCACGAUAUAGUCUCGGGAAUCUGACUAUAAACGACCCUGUUUGCCAGUUUAUAAGAAAACUGGAUGGGAAGCCCAUCCUCGACCUAUAGAGGGCGUUCAAGCCGUUUCUGGACGUAAAACCAGAGGAAGAUGUGAGCCACAGUCGCAACUACGUGUAAAUAUCCUUUUACUUUACUGUUAUUUUAUUUCAUUUCACUGUUGUUUUAUUGUUUGCAUUAUUGUCUUUAAUAAUUUUAUUACUGUUUGUUUUUUCCUUUUUACUAUUUCCUUUUUGACUCGCGAGCCACGUGCUUUACGCGUUAUUUGACACUGACAUGUUACCUCAUUCACAGCUGUGAUCCAUUGUCACCAAGAUUCUUAAAUGUGAUUUAUCUUUUGUCAAGCACUCACAAAUUAUUUUUGAGAAAGUAUCACAAUGGCAGCUACUCCCAAUAGACAAUUCAAGAACAUUUGUGUGCUUUCUGGAUUUACCUAUGGCAAACAUAAAGAGUUCGUGGAGGCAGCCAUAGAUCUUGGUCGAAGCAUAGCAGCGAGAAAAUUACAUUUGGUGUAUGGAGGAGGUAACCGAGGGUUUAUCAAAAAUGGUCUCAGAAGCAGCUUUUAUCAGAGGAAGUCAAGUGUUAGGCAUCAUCCCAAGAGUCCUAAAACCAUUGGGCAGUUCGUCUGACUCAUCAACUGGAGAAGAGUUAGUCGUCUCAGGUAUGCAAGAAAGAAUAACUGAAAUGCUUAAUCAUGCUGAUGCUUUUAUUUUCCUUCCAGGAGAUCUUGCAACACUAGAGGCACUUUAUGACACUAGCAUCUUGGGCCCAUCUGCACAUCCACCAGAAACCCAUCGGUUUGUUAAAUGUCAAUAACUUUUAUGAUGGCUUUAUCGCAUUUCUUAACCAUGCAAUAAAAAACUAUUUCAUUCCUUCUAAUGUGAAAAAACUCUUUAUUUGUGCUCACACUGCUAAUGAGCUACUUGAUAUGUUACAAGCUUAUAAACCGGAGCCAGACCCCUGGACCUUUGUGUUGGAGCGACCAAAUAAUGAUGGUAACAGUAGCCGCAGUAAGAAGUACAAAUUAGAUUUAACUCUCCGCCUGUAAAUAUUUUCUUCUGUGUUGCACCACCCAGGUGAUGUCUUCUAAACUCUACUUCUUUCCUUUAAAACAUUGAGGACAAUGUUUCAUUCUGGUUGGGGGGAGGGAAUAGUCGACAAUUGUGGAAUCUUGGUUAAGUUUUUACUGAUUUUUUGUUGUAGAAACUAACUGUUGCUAACGUUUUGUGUUGAAGAUGGCUGAAUAUGGAGUGUAGUUACUCUAGAAACGCAUUUUUUGUUGUAGAAACUAACUGUUGCUAACGUUUUGUGUUGAAGAUGGCUGAAUAUGGAGUGUAGUUACUCUAGAAACGCAUCUUCAUUGUUUAAAAAAAAAAAAAAAAAACCGUUUUCUUCCUCUUUCUCCUUUAUAAAUAUGCAGUUUCAAAUUUUUUAGUCGAAGAUGGCUGAAUAUGGAGUGUAGUGCCUCUAGAAACGCAUCUUCUUAGUUAAAAAAAAAAAAAAAAAAAAAUUCUUUUUCUAAUUAAUUUUUUCUACAUCAUUUUCACAUUUCUGCAUGCAUAUUUUCCUUUCAUGUUUAGAAUAGGUUGGGGGGUAGAAUGUUGUUUAAAAAAAAAAAAAAAAAAUUUUGUGUUAUUUGUUUUAACAUUGGAUGACAUGAUUAAUUUCAAAUUUUAGUAUUUGUAUUAUCUUUGGUCUUAAGUGAUGUUACGCUAUGUUUGCUACUUUACAUGUUGAUGUCAGAGACAAAUAUGAGUUGCUUGAAGGAAUGAACAUGUCAUAAAUAAGUGCCAAGUGAGUAGUUGAGCCUAUCAUUUUUCUUGGAGAGUAACCAUUUUGCGCAUUCUCUAUACAGCUUAGCAGUUUAUUAUUUUAUACACGAUCUCUAGAUUUCUUUUAAGUUAACCCUUUAAAAAAAAUAUGGUAAAAUUAAAAAAAAAAAGAAAAAAAAAAGAAAAAAGAAAAAAAUGUGUGUUGCUACAUUGGGAGGCCCAUCUAACUAGUAGAUAUGGAUAAUUAUUUAGAGCCCUAAAAGACGAUGGAAAGGCCAUCUUUGAUCCGUUUGAGCCUUUCUAGCCAUCCCUUUUAUUAAAUAUCCAUAGUUACCCCUUUUGAGCCUUUAAAAAAAAAAAAAAAAAGAACAAAAACCUUUUCUUUGUCAACUUAUCAUCUUGACCCACUCCGAUUUGGAGUAUUACCCAAUGUCUUUUAAGUUCCAUCACCUAUUUAUGUUUGAGAAAAUGUAAAUAAUUAUGUUGUUCAGUGAAGUUAUGCCAAAUAAAAGCAAAAAGAAAAAAAAAAACAAAAACAAAAGUUGUUGUUUCAAAAGAAUAAAAAUAACAAUAAUAGGUGAAAUCCACCUUGCAAGUUCCAAAAAAAAAAAAAAAAAUUCUGCAUUUUUCUCAAACAUACACUUUGUUUUCCUUAUUUCCUUUCUUUGUUAGCCAUAUCCCUAGCCUACGUUACGUCCUAAUAAAAGUCCUUCUUGAUUUUAGGGAACUAUAGUUUGAAGUAGAAGCUAGUUAUAUGGGCUAAAAAGAUGUAGUGAUGCAUAAUAAAAAAAAAAAAAAAAGAUAAAUAAAGUGGGUUGACUAACAUUUUAUUUGACUUGAGAUCGUAUUAUUUCUAAGCUGAGGGCAUAUUUAUUUCAUCUUGGUGAGAGCAUGUGAUAUCAUUUCUUUAUUAUUUUCUCUCUCAAUUACCAUUCAUUGGAGUGACUAUGUUUAUUGGGUUUUAAUUUCUUUGUGAGAGUGUCAUUACUUCCAGUGAGAUUUUGGGGUUUGACAUGUCAUUCUUGAAAGUAGCUAUAACAAAGUCUACUGGGCUAAUUCAUGUGGAUGGUUGAUGUGGGUGUGAUGUUGCUUUAGACUGAAGAUAAUGCUUAUACUUUUAUUUGAUUGCUAUCAUUAAUCUGAUUGAAUAAACACGAGUGUUUCCCAUAAAAAAAAAAAAAAAUCAUUUUGAAUUUGAAUUUUGUUUUCGCUUUAUUUGCUAGGGACUAGCAAUAAGCUGGUUGGGGGGUGUAUUGAGUGUUAGAAAAUGCAUAUUUAUAAAGGAGAAAACCGUCAUUUUACAUUUCAAGUCUUAUUAACAACCCUUACUUUUAUGUAUUUAACCUUCUUGUGAUUUAAUUACAUGUCUUUUAUUUUAAUUAAGUAUUUUAUGUAUUUUAGGGGCAUUAUAGUCAUUUCACAAUAAAGGAGAGGUCAGAUGGCAAAACGGACAUCACUUUUGAACUCAGGACGGUCGAAAACCUUAGGAGGAGCAUAAAAGGAAAAAUGGCACUAUUCACAUGUACGGUACUAUUCACGUAUACGGUACUGUCUACGUUACUGUUCACGACACUGUUCACAUAGACGGAUCGAUGACGUGGCAUUGACCGAUGAUGUGGCAUUGACUGAUGAGGUGUCACGAUCCUGUUGGACUAAACUUCUUAUGUACUGUUGAUGGUGACGUGGCAGCAUAUCAGUGGACGAAAAAUCUCGCGUACGGUGCAUGCAUCACACAGGAUUAUUUUCAACCAAACCGCGUUACUGUUCAUCCGGGUCAAACCGUGUUACUGUUCAUCCGCGUGGUCAAACCGUGGACUGUUGACUGAUGACGUGGCGCAAUCCUGAGCGUCCAAACUGUUUUUAAUCCGAUGGCCAUGAUUUACUCCAUGUAUCUAUAAAAAGGGGGCCUCCCCCCCCUAAUUUGAUAUCUCUGAAUCCAUUUUUGGGAUCCAUUUUCUGUAAUUCCCUCUCCAUCUUGUAUUUUCUUUGUAUUUUAAUAAAUUCCCAUUUUGCCCCUAGUUCAAUUAUGAGUAGCUAAUUUCUUUUCAAGCUUGGGUUGAAGGUGAAGUCUCAACAUGUGUCAUGGGCUUUAUUUGGUAAAUUUAUUUUCUUUUCCCCUCUAGUUUUUGUGGAUGAUUUGACUUAUCGUCGACAAAUAAUACUGAUCUUGUCUAGAUACCGCCUUGGUUACACCGGCUCUCUAGUAUAAGGUUAUUAUUAUUUGGCACGAUAAGCCCUUAGCACCAUAUUGAUUAGAGCGUGGUUCAUGAUGUGUGGAUUCCCCCAUCAUGAUUUAAUUGGCAUUAAUACGGAUUAUUUAGCCCAUGAUGCAUGUUGAUACGGAUCCAGAUACCCAAGUACGUCAUUUCAAUAGAUUUCGCUUCAACUUAUUCUCGCCAUUGCAAUUCCAAUUUUAGAAUUUAUUAUCGCAAUUUCAAUUCCAAUUUUAGGAUAAUUUAAAUCACUUCCACCACAAUUCCAACCACCCAUUUUGCAAAAUUAAUUCUAUACACAAUUAAAAUCCACCUCCUCGUGGGAUCGACACUCGUCACCAUUGAUCUACACUACAAUAGAUUCGUGCGCUUGCGAGUUCAUUAAAAUUUGCACAACAGACAAAUAAUAAUAAUUUUGUCUAGAUACCGCUUUGGUUUCACCGGCUCCCUAAUACAAGGUUAUUAUUAUUUGGCACGAUAAGCCCUUAGCACCAUAUUGAUUAGAGUGUGGUUCAUGAGGUGUGGAUUCCCCCCUCAUGAUUUAAUUGACAUUAAUAAGGAAUAUUUAGCCCAUGGUGCAUGUUGAUAUGGAUCCAGAUACCCAAGUGUUUCAUUUCAAUAGAUUUAUCUUCAAUUUAUUCUCGCCAUUUUAAUUUAAGUUUUAGAAUAUUCCAAAUCAAUUUCACCAGAAAUCCAACCACCCAUUUACAAAAUUAAUUCUACACACAAUUAAAAUCCACCUCUUAGUGAGAUCGACACUUGUCACCAUUAGUCUAUUGUACAAUAGAUUCGUGCGCUUGCGAGUUCAAUAAAAUUUGCACAACAGUAAUGUCUAUGCAUAAUGAUCAUAACAGAAAAGAGAAUUCAUCUAUCACAUUUAUCAUUCCAACCCUCUCAAAAUACUAACUGAAGGAAAGGAGGAGACAAAUUUAACAAAAGCAAACCAAGGGGGAAAACUAGAGGAAAGCAAAACAGAUGACAUGCAUUUUUAAAACAUUUGGAUUCAUUCUCUUAACAAGUUAUCUAACACUUAAUACAUUUAGUACCUAUAGAAGUUAGACGAUGGCAAGAGCUUAGACCAUAAUAGCAAUUGAUGAAAUUUCAUUACGUAAAAUACCACUCAGUUUUGGUAAGACUGUUAUGUGUGCUCAAUAUAAGUCAUUUUGAUAUCAGUACACUAAGAUUUUUUUUCUUGAUAUGGCUGUUCAUGUAUAGAGAAGAUACCCCACUUUCUCUAAUAUCAAUGUUUCAAGCAUUUUCUUUCCUCAUAAGAUACCAUUUCGGAUAGUGUACAAUGCAAAGUAAAGAAUCCCAAAAAGGGCAGUUCACAUACCAUGUUACUUUCAAAAGAUGCUGUACAACAUAGACCCUCAUAAGGGACGCCAGCAGCCUGGGCUUGCAACCUUGUCUGAAGAUGAAGGCAGGAAAUCUAUUAGCUUUGUAGCUUCAUCAUGAAAUCUCAAAAGAUGAAGCAAUGUGAAGACUAGGAUUUCUGAAAAAAACUGGAGAAGAGAUAGAGGAUCCAUGCAACAAGCAUCACUCAAAUUUAGAAAAUAAUUGGGUGACUUUAGCCCACGUUUAAAAUAUUUAUAAUAAUUAGUAAAAGAAUAGUGAAAAGUAGCUGAAUAAAGAAAAUUUAAUUUUUCCAUCUUUUUGCUUCCUUUUCUUUCAUUCUCCGAAAGAAUCAUAGCUUCUCAAGGACUGAGAAUAAUGACACAACAUUUGGAUUUUAUUCUUGAGAUAAAGAGAAACAAUAAUUAACAUCUAUCCACAAUACCAUUCUCAAAAGUAGAAAAAAUAAUAAUAAUACUAACAAUAAUAAAAAAUAAUGAAAAUGACAAUUAAAGGGAAGAAAAUUUUUGAUAUAACAGACAAAAUUAGCAAUGAAUAAGUUAAAUAAAGAAAAAAUGAAAUGAAAAUUUAGGUGGAGUAGAGUCAUUAUAAAACCUUAGUGACAUCGAGAGGAUUAAUAAUAACGGCAGAAACAAUAGCAGCGCCGUUAGCAGAGAAAGCCCUUUCUGCAAACCCCAAACUGAAAUCUUUUAUGGCUUCUGAAUGUCGUAAAGCUUCCUCUUUAGACGAAGUCUCUGAUGAUACUGAGAUAGACAAAACGCUUCCCUCCAAAUCAACCCUAGUCGCCGCCAACCUGAAACGGAAUUAAGAAGCGGCAGCGAGCUGACUGAGGAGAUCGAAAAUACGCUUCUGAAAAGUAAAAUAAAUUGAACAAAUCUUGAAAAUUUGAACAAACACCCAUAAAUUUGAACAAUUUUUACAAAACAAGAAUCAUCAAAACCUAACUCUAGCAAAAAUUGAAAAUUAAAAAACAAAACAAACAAGAACAUCGAAAUCACACAAGCUAACCCUGAAUAGCGCGAACAAAUCAAAGCUUGAAAUUAUGAAAACACAAUUGAAAUCAUGGCAUAAUGGAUUCACAUAAGCGACGAGAAACAACAUGCAAAUGAGAAAUUGGACAUGAGGAGUGGCUAAGAGGCCGUUGUUGAAGAAGUGCUUGCUGUACCAGUGCUUCUUGCUGCUGCUGAUGCUGCUUCAACCUCUAGUACUGCAUUUUCCUUCAGAAUCGAAGGAUUUGUAAACUGUUUGUCGAAGGAUUUGUAAACUGUUUGGUUCCCAAGAAAAUUUCGUUAUGGUUUCUCGAGAAAAUGAAAUAAAAGAAAUAAACAAAGAAAACGAGAGACGAGAGAAGCAACGUUUUAUUUUCUAAGUGUGUAUUCGUUUAAUACUUAGGGAAAAAAAAAAGGAAGAAAUAAAGUUUAAAGUACCCAAAACGGUACAGUUUUGCUAGCAUUUUUUCUUAAUUAUUAAAAACCACCUUUUGUUUUUUAAAUAAAAUAAUAUAUAAAAUUUGAGUCAAAUAUAGUCAAAGUAAUUUUUCUAUCAUAAUUUCUUGAUAGAUUAAAUUUCUAUCACGAUUCUAUCAUAAGUUCGUGAUAAAUGAUAAUCAUAUCAUAAAGUCAUCAUAUAUUCAUGAUAGAAAAUAUUUCUAUCACAAGACCAUCAUUAAUUAAUGAUAGAUUGAAAAUUAUGUCAUAAGUUUAUCAUAAUUUUAUGAUAUACCUAGAAUCUGUCAUAAGUUGUUUGUCAUCUAUUAGCAAUUUUCUUGUAGUAUUCAAAAUGAAUAACUUUAUUCUACCAUCUCUCAAAUAAUAAAAACAUCAACAGCACAUCAUCGUCAUCAAUAAUAAUAAUAAUAAUAAUAAUAAUAAUAAUAACAACAACAACAACAACAACAAUAAUAAUAAUUUAACUUUGUAGGAUGGAGCUCUCGCAAAUCUUCAAGACACAAAAUGUGCUUGGCCCCGUUGUUGUUAUUAUAAUUUCAAAAUGACUUGAAUUAUAUAAAAUUUGGGAAUAAGACAUAGCAAAAUUGAUGGUACAUAUGUUGCAAUAUACUUGUUCAUGUAGCGACACAUUAAAGUAAAGCAAAACAAUAUACUUGUUCACUCAUUAUGUAGAUUUUCAAUAGAAGUAAUGCAAAUUUCACAAGGGCAAUGGCCUUAUUUCGAAUGUUGCACUUGUGGAAUGACAUGAACCUUCGAUACGUCACAAAUGUAUCAUGAAAGUGUGAUAAAUUUGUGACAUAUAUAUAUAUGUUCAGAGUUUAUAGCAUAUUCAUGACUUAUAAUUUAACUAACAUAAAUAAAUGAUAGAUAUAAGUGAUGCUCAAGUUUUGUGGAUUUAUAAUAUCUUAAAAUGAUGACUAUUUAAACGACAAGUGUUGAAUAAACCCCUCUCUCGCCGCAACCUAAAAUCAAUGAACUUUGAGCCAUUCUCAACAACAUUGUGUAGAACCCUAGCCCUAACCCUCACUUCCACCACCGAUAAAGCUAAGAAAGUUUUCCGUAUAUCAGAACCAUGGCGAAUUGCCUUCAGCUCGUAGGACCCAUAAUAAAUCUUGUAGUCCCUCGCUUUCACUUUGCUAAUUUUUUGUAUUAUUCCAUCUCUUUCACUUUAAUAACCCAAAAUCUUUCUCUGUUUCAAUUGAAAGAAGACCCUAGCUUAAAUUAAGUUGAAAUUUACGUAUCAAAGCUCUCGCUCAGCUUCCCUCCUUCAAUUGAAACAAAACGAAGCCAUAAGACCCCAAUAUGCCACGCCCUUUUGUCUCAGGCCAACAUUCAUUUAAACCCUACCUUUUGGUUCAAUGCCAUUUAAUGCGAUUGCAGAUGCCGUUUCAACUCAUUAUUUAGUUAACGCCAUUCAGUUCUUUGCGGUAAGCCUUAACCCUAAUAACUAAUCAACUGUGGUAGCACGUUGCUGACUGGGGUGGGAAUACAUUAAUUGAAUAUAUGAAUUGGGUGAUGUCAGUGAUUCAUCCCCCUAUUUGCCGUGAAUUGAGAUUUGUGUAUAAUGUUUGUAAGAUUGUUAAAAAUUUCAUGUUCCAGUCGAAUUUCUUGCUUGUGGAAGAUAAAACAAAAGUUUAAUCUAUAUAUAUAUAUAUAUAUAUAUAUAUAUAUAUUAUCUUCUUUAUAGUCAGGCUCUGGCUUUGCUGCUAUGCUUAGAGCAGUUCAUGGUUUCAAGAUUAAAUUAGGUUUAUUUGACGACAUCGAUAUCUUAUCUAGCUCUGCUUGAAAAUGAAAAUGUUUUACUAGCAAUCAUAGACUUUGUUUAUUCAGUUGAUAUUUUAAUUAUACGUAUAAGAAUGAAGGUUUAUUUGGGAAAAAAAGAAAUAAAGAAAUAGGCUCUGUUGAAGCUAAUUAAUACUUCAUUCUUUCUAUACGUGCGACCUGUGGUGGAAACAUGAUAUGAGAAUGUGUUACUGGUGAGGUUGCUGCUUGAGAUGAGAAUGAUGAGAAUGCCUUCUAUUCGGAAAUCCUUGGUAGGUAUUAUAUAAUUAUAUUUGAUGGAAUAUUAAAUAGCUAAAGAACCUGUGAUAAUGUCUUUGUUCAAUGGUUACUGUAGUAGUGUUUGUUGGUCUUUUUCUGGUUGGCGUUUGGAUGUUAAUGUCAUCAUCAGUUGUACUGGUGUGGGAUCCAGGAUGUUGUCCUCUUAAGAGCCUAUAAGCAAAGUGAAACAGAGAGGAUCUGAGAUUUUUCUGGGCCUUUCGUAGAAAAUCAAGGUGAUGAAUGACAGGAUUCAACAAAUGGGGAUGGGGAUGAUGUUCCUGUUGAAAAGUUAGAGAAUAGAGUGGAGGAUAAUCACGAAGAGAUGAAUAUGUAUGAGGGUGAUGGUGAGACGAGUGAAUCUAAGAAUAUGGUUAAUCAAAACCAGGAAGAGAAUUUAGUGAAGGAGAGUUUUGAUGAGAAUACUGAGUCUGAAGAGGAAUCUAAGGCGGUGUCUAAAAAUUACAAUGUUAGAAAAAGGGAAGAUAAGGAAUCUAAAAGUGAAGGUGGAGAUUCAAAUUCAGAAGCUGGAGAAACAGAAGGCGGCGAAUUGAAUAAAAUUGAGCAAAUUGAAUCAGAGAAUAGCUUGGAUGAAAAUAAAUGGAUGAGGCUAAUCAGAUUGAAAAGGAGAAGGAUUCUCAAGAUCAAGAUAAUGACACUGAGAGCCGUUGAAAGGAUCAGGCUUCAACUGAGAUUUUUCCUUUUGGUGACUAGUCAGAAAUUCUGAAGGAAACUAAUGCUCAGAAUGGGGCUUGCUCAACUCAACCUAUUGAGUCAUAGAAUCAGAAAAUAUCACAACAAUCUUCUAUAUCUAAGGACCAGUAUGGUCAUCGUUGGAAAGUGUGUAAUGCCACUGCUAGGCCAGAUUGCAUCCCUUACCUGGACAAUUUGCAAGCAAUUAGAAUGCUUUCCAGCACAAAAGCAUUAUGAACAUCGAGAGAGGUAUUGCCCUGAAGAAACUUGUACCUGUAUUGCUCCUUUACCGGAAGGAUACAAACACUCAAUUAAGUGGCCCCAAAGCAGGGAUAGGGUAUGAUCUUAUAUUAUGCAUUAUAAAAUAUAUACUUGACUACUUUUAAUUCACUUGGGCUAAGAUUUGUUCUCAUGCUGUGUGGGAUAGAUUUGGUAUUAUAAUUUUCCCCACACAAAGCUUGCAGAAGUUAAGGGUUAGCAAAAUGGGGUUAAAGUUACUGGUGAAUACCACAUUUUUCCAGGUGGCAGAAUUGAAUUUGAGAAUGGUGCUCUUCAUUACAUUGACUUCAUUCUGAAGGUGAGCAUUUUUCAUUUAUCAUUUUAUGUCUGUUGUUAGCUUCAAUUAAUAUGUGGCUUAUUCUUUUCUUUGUAUGAACCAUGGGCGGUCCAUUUCAUUUUAUAAGCUAUUUCUUGGGUUUUAGCAAGACAAAUAAUAAGAUUUGUGCUGUUUUUGUUUUAUGCGUCUAUAUAAAUUGUGUGCGCGCAUAUCAUACUAGGGGAGUAUUGCUUUAAUGCUAUAUACAGUCAAGGACACACGGUGGGUCACAUUCUGACUCGUUUCAAUGCUUCUUUUAUAAAUAUUUACUUGUAUAUAUUUUGUAGUACUUUUAGAGAUGUACUCUGCACUGGAUUUUUUAAGUGCUUUUAAUGUAGCCUACUGUCUUUGUCUUUAUCUCUCUUUUUGUGAAACUGAAAGGUUCAUAUAAUUUUUUAGAAACCAGUAAUCUUACAAAAAAUUUUAACCUGUUAAUUAAUGCGGUUUCAUUAUCUUGAAAAAUUUUCAAGCGUGCUUGCUUUUUUCUUUUCUUUCUUUUGAAAUAAUUGUUGAUAUUCCCCUUCUCUUCUAUCAAGUUUCUGAUUCUCUAAAGCCCACAUUAUUUUUGUCUUUCUUUAUACAGGCCUUUAUCAUUUAUUGGCCAGCACCCUUUCCUCGGUUUUAUAUAAGAAUGUAAUUUCGCCGGAAUCUGCCAAAAACCGUGUACUAUUGUCAACAACAAAUCAGAAUUCCAUCUCCACCUCCUGACAAACCAUGCGUCACCACCUGCUUAGGAAUCCGAAGCCUUUGCUGGUGUUGAUAGUAUGUUCUCUCUCUAUCUCUGUUUUUUCCUCAGUUGAGCAUUUAAAACAACAUCAUACUCAUCAUAUACCCUGUUUGGAUUCCUUGAAAUAAUAUUUUUUUUAAUUUUUAUUGUUAUUUUGAAUUGUUUUCUACAUAUUUUGAAUCAGAGUUGUUUGAGUAAAAUUUAAAUAUCAAUAUUACCGAUACGUGCCUAAUCUCAACUUCUUACCUUAAUAGCUUACUCACCUGUGCUUUUUUUUUCUCCCCCCUUUUAAGAAUUCAAAAGCUAUAUUAUGGAUUUUUGUUUUUGUUGUUUAUUGUCAUGAAGUAGGAGUGGGCAGAAAAUUGAAGAACUGUAUCAGAUUCCGUUUGAUAUUUGAUUCGGUUGUGCAAUAACCUAAAUUGGACAGUUUCAUUUCGGUUGGGAUGAAUGAAAACCGAAACCGAACCAAUAAUAAAAUUAACAAGCAAACCAAAUGAAAGUCCCAAAACAGUAACAAAACAAACACGUUGUGGUUUCUUAUCAAAUUUCACAGCACGACAUGGUCAUUCUCUUUGGUAAAAAAAUAGAAAAAAGAAUAAUGGGUCUCGAAAAUUUUUUAGAGCAUUUCUGUCGCUUACAUUUUUUUUCCAUCGAUUAAUGUUAGUUGUAGGUGAAUGAUUGUUGCAAAUGCAUGUUAGCUUGUGAUUGAUUGAAAAUGGCUUGUGAUUUGUUAUGCUGCCGUGUGACAGAUUGAAAAUGGCUCUGAAAUUUUUUUAUUUGUUUAAGGUAUUACUGCUGAUUAUUGAACAGAGAUUCAUGCUAGAUUUUGUUAAAUUGAAGAUGAGAUUUUUUUUAGGAGAUCUGCAAAACCUUCUCUACUAUAGAUUUGGCUUCUAGCAUACCUGGUUGGCUGGAAAUAAUUGUUUAUACAGUCAUUGCUGCCUAUAUUAAUCAGGAAUAUUGAUUAGCAAUGUACUGGGUUAGAGAUUGGUAUAAUUUUGGAAAAUUAGUUGUAGAUGCAACUAGGGGUGGCAAUAUGGGUCAGGAUUUGUUUAUUCGAUUCGAUUUGAUGCGAAUUAAAUGGGUUUGGGUUUGAAAAAAUUGAUUCGUUUAAUAAAUGGGUGAAUUCGAUUUGAUUCGCUAAUUAAACGAAUCGAAUGCGGGUUUGAAGAUUUUGAUUCGUUUAUUCGUUUAGGAUUCGUUUAAUAAACGGGUCAUAAACGAAUCGAAUAUAGGUCGAUUCGUUUAAAAUUUAUUUAUUAUUUGUUUAAUUAAAUUACUUUUUAUCCUUAAAUUUAUUUAAAAACUUUUUAAAAUAUCAAGGUUAAUAUUGUAAUUUUAAGCAUAACUCAUAAAGCCAAAAGAUCAACCCUAAUUUUACACUUCAUUUCCAUCUCCAAAUCCUUUUCUUUUUCUUUUUAAUUUUUGCAUCCAGCAAGUGCUACGUUUUGCCACUGCUCCAAAUCCUUGGAUUUGUGUGAGUGUGAUAAGUAAAAUUUUAUCUUGUUUAAUUAUUAUUUCCUUUAAAAUAUUACAAAUUUACUAUAUAUUUGAUAUUUUUGAAAUUUUACAAUGAUUAUUAUCAAUAUUGCAGUAUGUUAGAUUGUUAAUAACAUUUUAUUUACUUUUUGGUGUAGGAUUUUGUUUUCAAGGUGAAAAAGACAAAUGAAGAGAAUUAAAGAAAUUACCUUACUUUAUAAUUUGAAUUUGAAUUAUUAUUAUUUGUAUUAUUAGGGAUUUAUAAUUUGGUAUUUAGAUGACUGCAUAAUAUGGUUUGAGUUAUUUGUAUUUUGUUGUGGGAUGUUAAACUUGUGAUUUUUUUAUAUUUUAUUUUGCUUAAUUUUAUUUAUUAAUUAUAUUUUUCUAAACGAAUUGUAAACGAAUCCUGAUUCGGUUCGAUUCGUUAAGGAUAAACGAAUAAUAAACAAAUCCAGACUCGAUUCGAUUCGAUUCGUUUAUCAAUUAUUUUAAACGAAUUAAACGAAUCGAACCGAAUAUUCGUUUAAUAAACGAAUCGAAUCCGAAUCCUGAAAUUUCAAUUCGUUUAAUAAACGAAUCGAAUCCAAAUCCUCAUAAUUUUGACCCAAUUAGUUUACGAUUCGAUUCGUUUAUUCGUUUUGCCACCCCUAGAUGCAACCUGAUUAUGGUCUCAAAUAGUGUGAUCUGUCAAUUUUGUUUGCUCUGGCCUAAUAACCUUGAAUAUGAGCUAUGCCACUAUACAAAGUCUGACCUAAUCACACUUGUUAGCCAAUGUCCAAAAUUGCAGUGUCUUUAGAUAAGUCCUGUCUUUUUUGUUUGAGUUAUAAAUGAAAAUUGCAGUGUCUUUGGAAAAAUCACGCUGAAUGUUCAAGUUAUUGACGAGAGGAGACCCCCAGAUUCAAGGGCGGAGCUCCCUGUUAAGAAGCUUUACAUAUAUAGGAUUGUCGCCUGGCAGAGGAUUGAUAUGCCUGGUUUUGUUGUUUGGAAAUAUGGAUGAAGAUUUUGCAUUGAGGCUUUUUUGAUAGAUCAUUUGGCAAAUCAAGCUCCAUGUAUCUAUCUUCAGACUCUUGGAUAUUUAUAAAGCAGGUGCAUGCUCCAUAUGUUACUUAAUGUAUCACGAUUAUUUUUCUAUUGCUUAAUAUAUUUGCAGUCCUUGAUGAAGUUGAGGACAACUUAUGGAGGGUAUACAGAGGCUCAAGAGCUCGAUCGCCAUUCAUUUUACACUGGGCUGGGCUAUAGCAUACCAACUAGUGAUUAAUAAAGAGAAGGUAUGAAGGUCAUGUUGCUGGUGGUAGUAUCAAUCAGAAUUGUUAUUUUACUUAGUCAUACUUACCAUGUAUACUAAUCGUAGGCUUUUUUCAUUUUCAUGCAUUCGCAUCAUCUUCUGGUUAAGCUACAGAUGGUUGAUUUGUGUACUCAUUUGUAUCACUUGUAGCUCUUGAGGAAUAAAAUUUAAAAAUUAUGUUGCAUCUCUUGUACUAAAUAGUAAUUUUUGUUGGCUUUAUGUAUGGGAAAUGGUUUGUUGUCUUAUUUCUUUGAUGUGUAUGGUGUUACAUUGUCUAAAGUUAAGAAGUAUUUCUAUCACUUGUGUAAAAAACAACCUACUUUUUUCAUUCUUCUUAUAUUGAAUAAAAGAGGGACACCAAGAUUGAACGAAAUUUGAUUCAGAAAGCAUAGCAAUUAGGCCAGUGCAAAACAGCUUCCUUCUGAUUCUUUGAUAUUUGACUUAAAUCUUUUGUUUAUUUCAUUUAUCAAAGUCAUUUUGGAAAGUAACGGGGGUGAUUUGAUAUUUUAAUUGCAUUCACAUCCCUUGGCACCAAAACAAACAUGCUGGUACUAACCAAUAAUUUUUUAUUUUCAGUAUACAAAUUAUUUUUUUCUAAAUUAGGGGUAUUAAGAAAAGGUAUAUUAGCACCAGGGGAGGUAUUUGAGAAUACACAAAUAUAAUCUAUUAAACUAAGGUGGCAUUUGUUUUUUAAUUUAAUGACUUAAAGUGACUUAAUUAAUUAAGUUAAUUAGAGGUGUUUGUUUUAUAACUUAAUGAGAUUUUUUAGAUAAUUUAGACUUAAUAAAAUAAGUUAAUUUUUUUUGGCUUUUUUACUUAAUAGAGACAUUUGAAUUAAGUCAAUAACUUUCUAAUGUCAAAAAUAUCCUUGUUUUUAAUUUAUUCUUCAUGCCUAUUCCAAAAUUCACCCAUAGACAUUUAACUCCACAUAAUAAUCUCAUCAUUAUUUUUUUUAGCCGUCAUGAAAUCCCUCCUCACUUGAUAUCAACUCCUCGAGUAUUGAAGAUCAAAAUUACAUGCGAGAAUUUUGAGAUGAAAUGGCAAAUCAACUGUUUCAAGCAUUUUAUUAGUUUUUUUUUCUUAUAUUAUAUACGAUAAAAUUUGAAAUUUAUGAUAUUUUAUAUAUUAAAAUUUCAAAAUCAAUUAUGUAUUCACUUGAAUAUAAUUUUACUUAUAAACGUUAAAAUAUUGUGGUAUUUAAUAUAUUAUUUAUUUUGACAUUCAAAUUUAGUAAGGAUACAAAUGUAAAAGUACAUAUUUCAGUUUUUUAAGUUGAAAAAAACAUAAUUAUAUAAUUAUUUUUCAAGAUUCAAACGAAAAAACAAACAUAUUAUUCUGAUUCAGACAUUCAGAUCUAUUCAGAAUUCAGACUAAUUCAGGUCUAUUCAGAUUUUAAACAAAAAAUCAAACACCACCUAAGAAUAUGCCAAACUUCAGGGGAGGUUUCUGAUAAAUCUCUUUUUCUUUUUCCUCCAUUCACCAUAGGUUCAAUUUAGAAACUGUUGACCAAACGGAAGGUUUAGGUUGGUAAACGCACUAAGUGCCUGUUUGGUAUGGCUUAUUCAAGAGCCAUAAAUGCUUAUUUAAUCGCAUAAGCACUUUUUUAAAUUUUUAUGGUGUUUGGUUAUUUUUUUUAGUAGAGUUUUUUAGCUUAAAUAAGCUAAUUUACCUCUACUAGUAAAAGCCCAAAAUUUAAGCUUUUGGGAGUAGAGGUUAGAGAGCUUUUAAAAAAAUAUAUAUAAUAUAAAAAAAUAUCACACAUUUUAAUGGUUCAAAAGUGUUUUUUUUAUUGACAACCAAACACCUAAUGACUUUUUAUCCAAAAGCUCUAUGGUAUAAGCUCUACUGCUAUAAACUCUACUGUUAUAAGCUCUAUUUAAUAAGCUGUACAAACGGAGCCUAAGUGUUAAUGUCAACAACCCAAGGGGCUUCAUGGUCCUCUGGGCCGAAAUAAUUAUUAAUUCUCCUCUAGUGAAAAUCUUCAUCUUGGGACAAAUAAUUACAAAUUGACAUUAUAGCUGUGGAAAUUUGGAGGUGUAAUUACCGGAAAUUACAUCUAUUUCAAUUUGCUAAAAGUAAUGGUAUCAUUUCUUGUAUGGAAAAUGGAUGAUUAGAUUUUCUUUUUUGUUAUCCGACGAAGGAUAUUCAGUUGUUCUUUUUUGUUCAUAGGCAAGAGCAUGAGCAUAUGCAUAUUUAAUAUAUGCUUCUUGCAUUUUCUAAUUAAGUGCUCUCUUUCCUUGCCUUCUUAGUUUUGAAAGAAAGUUGUGAAGCAAAGCAAACCCAGUGAAAUACACAGAGCAACAGAACCAUCAGAGGAAAAACUAAAUAACAGAACUACAAUUGAACCAAACAAAAUCAAUAAACCGAGGCAACAGAUGCCCUGAAUCAGGCAUCCCUUUUUCUCCAAAGAAAAUAUUUUGCAUGGGUGGGAACCUAGUAAUUGUUGGGGAAAAAUUAGGUUUUUAAAUUUUUAUAAAACCUUUUGAAGAUCGCUCUCAUAUAAUAUAUAAGAAUUUGUAUUCUAGAAAUCGUACCUUGAAAAUUUGAGUUUGCUUUUUCCGCUGAAGUGAUUUAGGCUCCUAGAUCACGAUCCGCCACCACCACUCCUGUUAGAUCACGAUCCGUCACCACCACGCUUGUUAGAUCACGAACUGUCUCCAAUGAUUUUCCAGAUUAUGACUCAGGUUCGAUCUGCACUUGACGUGUGGGCGCCUUUAUCACUACCAAAGCAACUAGCACGAUAAAAUUUUCUCUCAACAAUAGAGAGAAAAAUCUUAUUCUCCGAUUUGUAUAAAGUGGCUUCUCUUAUUCUUUAGAGAAAAUAGCCUUUUAUAUCACCCUUUAGUGAAAACCUUAGGCUCCAAAUAAUGCCCUAAAUAAAUCACGUUACUUUCUUUUUCAAUAGGGGACCCACCUUGUAAAAUACAUAAGGCCCCUUAUACAAAAGCUAAUUAAAUGGAGCCUCCCACUAAAUGAUAUAUUUAGGCUUUUGACCCAAAUAGCUAGUUAUCUUACUUAUUAGUCCAGUAGUGGUGCAGUCAAUUAAAUGAGCUAACCCGGGGAUCAUUUGGGAACAUACAAUAGUGGCUACAAUAAUUAGGCCUGUAAUUAAACUAGCCCAAAUAUUUAAUUCCAAAUCUACUCCACUAAAAGAUUGGAACUGACUUCCAUAAUUGUAUGCUCGAAUAAUAAUUCGUCCCAAGCCACAUUGAUUUCUUUACUGCACAAUCCUUUGUACCACAUCGUUAAUUAAAUUGAUAUCUCAACUGUCCAAUCAAUUUAAUAACAUCUUAUUCCUUGAUCCUUACUGGUUUUCUAAUGAUCAUUUCAACAUACUAAAUAUGUUGACACACUCUGGCCAGAGAAUUCUAUGAUCAAGUGCCGAAAACCCAUCAAGAGAUGUAGAAACUGUUGACCAAACGGAAGGUUUAGGUUGGUAAACGCACUAAGUGCCUGUUUGGUAUGGCUUAUUCAAGAGCCAUAAAUGCUUAUUUAAUCGCAUAAGCACUUUUUUUAAAUUUUUAUGGUGUUUGGUUAUUUUUUUAGUAGAGUUUUUUAGCUUAAAUAAGCUAAUUUACCUCUACUAGUAAAAGCCCAAAAUUUAAGCUUUUGGGAGUAGAGGUUAGAGCUUUUAAAAAAUAUAUAUAAUAUAAAAAUAUCACACAUUUUUAAUGGUUCAAAAGUGUUUUUUUUAUUGACAACCAAACACCUAAUGACUUUAUCCAAAAGCUCUAUUGGUAUAAGCUCUACUGCUAUAAACUCUACUGUUAUAAGCUCUAUUUAAUAAGCUGUACCAAACGGAGCCUAAGUGUUAAUGUCAACAACCCAAGGGGCUUCAUGGUCCUCUGGGCCGAAAUAAUUAUUAAUCUCCUCUAGUGAAAAUCUUCAUCUUGGGACAAAUAAUUACAAAUUGACAUUAUAGCUGUGGAAAUUUGGAGGUGUAAUUACCGGAAAUUACAUCUAUUUCAAUUUGCUAAAAGUAAUGGUAUCAUUUCUUGUAUGGAAAAUGGAUGAUUAGAUUUUCUUUUUUGUUAUCCGACGAAGGAUAUUCAGUUGUUCUUUAUUUGUUCAUAGGCAAGAGCAUGAGCAUAUGCAUAUUUAAUAUAUGCUUCUUGCAUUUUCUAAUUAAGUGCUCUCUUUCCUUGCCUUCUUAGUUUUGAAAGAAAGUUGUGAAGCAAAGCAAACCCAGUGAAAUACACAGAGCAACAGAACCAUCAGAGGAAAAACUAAAUAACAGAACUACAAUUGAACCAAACAAAAUCAAAUAAACCGAGGCAACAGAUGCCCUGAAUCAGGCAUCCCUUUUUCUCCCAAAGAAAAUAUGUUUGCAUGGGUGGGAACCUAGUAAUUGUUGGGAAAAAUUAGGUUUUUAAAUUUUUAUAAAACCUUUUGAAGAUCGCUCUCAUAUAAUAUAUAAGAAUUUGUAUUCUAGAAAAUCGUACCUUGAAAAUUUGAGUUUGCUUUUCCGCUGAAGUGAUUUAGGCUCCUAGAUCACGAUCCGCCCACCACUCCUGUUAGAUCACGAUCCGUCACCACCACGCUUGUUAGAUCACGAACUGUCUCCAAUGAUUUUCCAGAUUAUGACUCAGGUUCGAUCUGCACUUGACGUGUGGGCGCCUUUAUCACUACCAAAGCAACUAGCACGAUAAAAUUUUUCUCUCAACAAUAGAGAGAAAAAUCUUAUUCUCCGAUUUGUAUAAAGUGGCUUCUCUUAUUCUUUAGAGAAAAUAAGCCUUUUAUAUCACCCUUUAGUGAAAACCUUAGGCUCCAAAUAAUGCCCUAAAUAAAACUCACGUUACUUUCUUUUUCAAUAGGGGACCCACCUUGUAAAAUAACAUAAGGCCCCUUAUACAAAAGCUAAUUAAAUGGAGCCUCCCACUAAAUGAUAUAUUUAGGCUUUUGACCCAAAUAGCUAGUUAUCUUACUUAUUAGUCCAGUAGUGGUGCAGUCAAUUAAAUGAGCUAACCCGGGGAUCAUUUGGGAACAUACAAUAGUGGCUACAAUAAUUAGGCCUGUAAUUAAACUAGCCCAAAUAUUUAAUUCCAAAUCUACUCCACUAAAAGAUUGGAACUGACUUCCAUAAUUGUAUGCUCGAAUAAUAAUUCGUCCCAAGCCACAUUGAUUUCUUUACUGCACAAUCCUUUGUACCACACGUUAAUUAAAUUGAUAUCUCAACUGUCCAAUCAAUUUAAUAACAUCUUAUUCCUUGAUCCUUACUGGUUUUCUCUAAUGAUCAUUUUCAACAUACUAAAUAUGUUGACACACUCUGGCCAGAGAAUUCUAUGAUCAAGUGCCGAAAACCCAUCAAGAGAUGUGUUGUACAAAUUCUAUAUUGUUAAUCCAUAACUCCAAUACUCAUAAUUGCUCCCACCAAGAUACCGGGUACUCUGACCACAAUGAUGUGUCGUGCCCAUUGGUAACUCAAAUGGAAUACAAUUACAAUCAUGAAAUCAUAAUUAACUCAAGAUUAAGAUUACAGUAAAAUCAACGCCUAUGAGAUUUAAUAAGUCUGACAGUUAUUACAAAGUUAAUUAAAUCUCAUAUGUGAUCCUGUUCAAUGUAGUCGUACUACAUCAAUAAAUUCAUACAUGAUUAAGACAAAUCAUUCAAUGAAUUUAUUACAGUCUAUACCUAAAUAAAGUGCCCAACUUUAUUUAUCAACUGCGAACUAAAUUUAUUUAAUCAUAAGAUAACUUGUAUUUAUGUCUUCUGUGAAUCCACAUGGUGAUCACAUAAAUACAUAUAAUAUGAUUAAAUGAACUUUUAAUACAAGUAUUAAUGCAAUUAAGAUAUUUGAAUAAAAUACCUCAUUUAUUUAUUAAUCAGAAAAAUUGUUUAUUACAAUUAAAUAAACACAUAUGCUUUAAAAGAGCAUAUUUUCCAACAAUCUCCCACUAGCUCUCAAAGCAUAUCUAGCAUAUUGCUCAUGCUCUAGGGCUCUAAGUGCAGGUUAUAAAGGUUUCCCACUAAUGGCCAUUGUAAUAAGAUCUGCCAUUUAGCAUCUAAUGCCAUUUGGGGUACUGUCAAGUGACCCUUCUGUCCACAUUUGUAACACUUGCCUUUUGGCUUGCCACUUCUUUUAAUGGACAGUUUGCCGAUCCCAACUCUUGCUUGCUCAUUCUUGUCUUUCGACUUAAGCCUUGAAGAGAAUCCUUUUUCAGGAAGUUUUCUGCUAUUAUAAAAUUCUUCUAUAGCAUGUAGUUCGUGCAUUAAUUCAAUUAAGGUCAUAUCUUUAUUGUUAAGAUAUAGCUGACCUUAAACUCUUUGAAUGUAUCAGGUAAAGAUUCAAUCACCAUGUUAAUCUUUGAUUUAUCAUUGAUUUGAACACCAUGAAUCUCUACCUCAUUCAAAUAGUCCAUCAUUUUGAGGACAUGAUCACGAACUUUUGUGCCCUCUUCCAUCUUAGUAUCCAUAAUACGUUUUAAUGCUGCUUCUCUGGCAAAAUGGGUAUUUUGCCCAAACAUCUGAUGAAGACUAGCCAUUAUUUCAGUGGCUGUUUCCAUGCUCCGAUGUUUCUUAUGCAGUUCCAUAGAAAUCGAAGCCAAUAUAUAGCGCUUAGCCAUUUUGUUAGCUUCGCACCAUUUCUCAUAAGGCUCCCUCUGAUUUCUAUAAUCGUAUAACGAUGGUUCAGGAGGGCAAGGCUGGGUCAACACAUAUUUGCUUCCUUUAGCAGUGAGAUAUUAAAUAGAUUGCGUUUCCAAUCUAAAUAAUUUUCGCCAGUGAGUUCAUUUUUAACAAGGAUAAAUAAUAAUGGGUUGAUGGAAGACAUUUUCUGAAAAAAAUAAAAUACACAUGCAUAAAUACUUUGAAACAAUAUUCACAAUAAAUGACAAAAAUGCAAAAAACCAUAAAUGCAUUUUAAUUUAUUGUAACGAUAAUCUAGUACCGCUUCGACAAGCUAUUCGUUGGGGAAGUCAUGUCUACACUUACUAGACCCAAUUAUCCAUUGGAUUAUUUCAUUUCACAUGAUAAAUAAUUAUCGUUAUCCCUUUGGACCUAAAUUUGUUAACAGAGCUUCGUUGGGAAGGUUAAUAACAAACUUUUAGUUGAGUGUAUAACCAUUGUUUCAAUCUACGUAUUUUUCAUAUCAAUAGUCACCGUUGGGGUGAACAAUCGAUUGAAAAAUAUUUCAAUUUUAUCUUUGAAGAAGUUCAUCAAAUAAAAUAUCUAAUAUAUAUACCCUCGAAGGAGCAUCACCGUAUCAUGAAGUCGAGGUAUAUAUAUAAUUUUAUUAUUGAACUAACAAUGGAGCCCGUGGGAAAAUUAUCUUGAAUUUUCCCUCUCCCACUCAAUAUUUUAAAAUUGGUUUUUCCUUUUUAAAACAUACAUAUUGUUAAUUGCAUGCUUCCUAUAAUAUUAUCUAGAUGAUAUCAAAUUAUUAAGCAUACGCAAAUUUCAAACAAUAUAAUGAAAUUCAUUAUUAAUGAAUGACAUGUAUCAUUAUGCAUAGAGUGGCACUACCUAUUCUAUAUGACAUGUUAUCAUGGCAUGUAAUCAUCCAAAACAUAACAUAUAGAAAAAAUAAUUAAAUAAUCUUAAUUCAUGGCUUUCCUAAUAAUGAAAAAUACAUUAACCCUAAGCCUAAUCUUCAUUGGGCUUCUUGUCAAUAUCCAUCUUCCAUAGCUUGUCUUUGUUGAUGGACUAGGGGAAAUUGAGCUUUUAAAUUUAUAAUUGGUCCAAUUUUAAUUUGGAAAGAAAAUAAAUAAUUAAAAUUAAAAUUUAUUAAAAUAAAACUUUUGGACCAAAAAUAAAUUUAAUAUAUUCAAUUUUAUCUAUGCAUUUUAAUCCAUUAAGCCCAAUUGAAAUUGGGCCUAAAACUAGGAUUCAUUAAGCCCAAAACUAUUUUUGGAUUUAAACGCAAAAAAUUAAAAAUGUUUCUGCCCAACUGAAAAAAUAUGAAACUAUAGGGACCUCCACGAUAAAAACCAUGAAACCCUAAAAUCACAUUUUCUUUUCCUCCUCUUCCCUAGCCGCCACCAGCACAAAAACCCAGCCGUUGUUUACUGUUUCCACACCGGACAGCCGUCAUCAACGCCGGAAAGACGCCAACCAAAACGCUCCGCGCCUUCAGCCCACGUUCACGCUGUUGCUUGGGUGCUGCAGCUGCUGCUCGCGCGCUGCGGUUGCUGCUGUGCAGCGCGCGCUGCAGCUGCUGCGUGUGUAGCUCGCGCUGCUAGCAGCGUGGCUGCUGGCCGCUGCGCGUGCAGCGCGCGCUGCUGGCAGCAUGUGCUACUGGCCGCGCGCUGCUCGCACAGCAGCUUGUGCUGCUGGCCGCUCGCUGCUGCGUGUGCUGGUUCGUUGCUGCAGUUUCCGGCCUCGAUUGUUUGCGCUCGUUUUCCAGUGAUGAUGCUUCGGUGAUUUACAAAUUUUCAACGCAAAUUUUUGCUUACAAAAUUUCAAUUACAGUAAAAUAAAUCAAGAGAGAAUUAUGGUGAUAAAAAACCACCCCUCUUGUUACAGAUCCAAACGAAAAAUACAAUAGAAAAUCUAACAAUGAAUUAACUGCGUUUACUUUUUGGAUUGGAGUGGGAAUCCUGAGGAAUGGGAAUCCUUGGAUUAGGAGUGUGGAGUGGGAGUGGGAGUAGGGUGUUUACUUAGACUAAAUGAAAGUAUGGAUUGUCAAUUAGAAUUCCAAUUAUUUGUUUACUUUGUCUUGGAUUGGGAGUAAAUUGUUUUAAAUUACAAUUUUAUCCUUAUGUACAGAAUUAUAAUUUGUAAUUAAAAAUUAAUAAAAAAUAUAUUUGGAAAAUAAAUAAAUAUUUUAUUAUAUUUAUAAAUUAUUAAUAAUUACUAAUAUUCUUAAUUAUGUAAAUCAUAAUUUUUUAUUAAUUUUAAUUUAAAUUAUGUGAAUAAAAAUUAUUAAUAAUAGCAACACAAAUGGAAUAUUAUUAUUGAUAAUAUAGUACAAAAUUAAUAUUUUUAGAAUAAAAUAUUUAUUAUUAUUAAUAAAUAAAUAAUUAAUUAAUAUUUAUUAAAAUUAAUGUUUUUAUUAUUAAUUUAAAUAUAAUAUUAUUUAUUUUUAUUUAUUAAUUUUAUAAAAAAAAAUAUGAAUAUAUAUUUUUUAAUAAAUAUGAUAUUAUUUAUUUUAUGAAAUUUAUUUAUUUAUUAAAUAUUAUUUAUUUAUUAAAAUAUUAUUUAUUUAUUUUAAUUUUAUAAGGAUAAAAUGGGAAGAGGGGGAGUGGAUUCCCACUCCCUCCCCCAAUGGGAGUGGGAAUCCCACUCCCCACUCCAAAUUUAGGUGGGACCCGGAUUCCCACUCCCACUCUCCCUAUUUUUAAAGUAAGUAAACACUGGAGUGGGAGGAAUCCACACUCCACACUCCCACUCCAGAAAGUAAACACUACCUUAAGACAAACCAUAAACAUGCUUUAUUCAUAUAUUAAACAAAUAAUAUAUAUCUGAAUAAAUUGUGCCACUCUAAUACAUAAAUUUCAAGAUUAAUUUCAUACGAAAUUCUUAUUUAUUAAUAUGAGAUGGCUCUGAUACCAAUUGUUAGGGAAAAAUUAGGUUUUUAAAUUUUUAUAAAACCUUUUGAAGAUCGCUCUCAUAUAAUAUAUAAGAAUUUGUAUUCUAGAAAUCGUACCUUGAAAAUCUGAGUUUGCUUUUUCCGCUGAAGUGAUUUAGGCUCCUAGAUCACGAUCUGCCACCACCACUCCUGUUAGAUCACGAUCCGUCACCACCACGCUUGUUAGAUCACGAACUGUCUCCAAUGAUUCCAGGUUAUGACUCAGGUUCGAUCUGCACUUGACGUGUGGGCGCCUUUAUCACUACCAAAGCAACUAGCACGAGAAAAUUUUUCUCUCAACAAUAGAGAAAAAAAUCUUAUUCUCCGAUUUGUAUAAAAUGGUUUCUCUUAUUCUUUAGAGAAAAUAAGCCUUUUAUAUCACCCUUUAGUGAAAACCUUAGGCUCCAAAUAAUGCCCUAAAUAAACUCACGUUACUUUCUUUUUCAAUAGGGGACCCACCUUGUAAAAUAACAUAAGGCCCCUUAUACAAAAGCUAAUUAAAUGGAGCCUCCCACUAAAUGAUAUAUUUAGGCUUUUGACCCAAAUAGCUAGUUAUCUUACUUAGUCCAGUAGUGGUGCAGUCAAUUAAAUGAGCUAACCCGGGGAUCAUUUGGGAACAUACAAUAGUGGCUACAAUAAUUAGGCCUGUAAUUAAACUAGCCCAAAUAUUUAAUUCCAAAUCUACUCCACUAAAAGAUUGGAACUGACUUCCAUAAUUGUAUGCUCGAAUAAUAAUUCGUCCCAAGCCACAUUGAUUUCUUUACUGCACAAUCCUUUGUACCACAUCGUUAAUUAAAUUGACAUCUCAACUGUCCAAUCAAUUUAAUAACAUCUUAUUCCUUGAUCCUUACUGGUUUUCUCUAAUGAUCAUUUUCAACAUACUAAAUAUGUUGACACACUCUGGCCAGAGAAUUCUAUGAUCAAGUGCCGAAAACCCAUCAAGAGAUGUGUUGUACAAAUUCUAUAUUGUUAAUCCAUAACUCCAAUAUAUAAAGUACUAGAUGUUUUACUGAGAAAAUGACUAGAUCAUUUACCAAAUUUCUUGCGCAUAUAUACGUAUGUAUACAGAAAUGGGAAUCAAUGAUUAUAAGACCUUGCAAUGAGACAAUAAUACAUCAUCAAAUCUAAAAAUACACAAGAAAUUCGGGACAUAUAUAUAACAAAGACCUCUCAUUGAGUCAUACAUAUUGAGAAUAAAAUGUCAAAAUGCAUACAAAGAGCUUAUACAGAAAAUGAAUUUACACAUAUUUAGAAUAAAUUGUCUUUGAACUUUUGAUGGUCAAAUAAAGGAAACAGACAGGAUAUAACACACACUAUCAUAGAUGUAGCGACACGGUGAAGUAAAUCAUGAAGAUGGAAACGGAAACCCUUCACAAUAUAAAAUUUGAAUAGAGGGGGGAAAAAAGGCUUCAUUUGGAAUGUUGCACAGAAGAAGAGUGACUUGAAUCUCCAUCAGUAUCCAGACAUUCUACAACACAGUGCUGAGAAUUUUAACAAGAAUAACAGACAAAAUAUUGUGCUUCUAUACUUGUCACAAAACUAGACCAAAUUAGUUCCCUUUUGGUUUGUGAAAACUUGAUAUUUUUGAAAAUUCUAUCCAAUGCUUUUAAACAAUAUUUCCAUAAUAUAGUUGUUCAUAGCUAACCUUUGAUGGUUUAAGCAUUUGUUGUAGGCAUGACGGGCUGAUUAGAUUAUUAUUUUUUUUAUCCGAUGAAUGAUAUUCAGCUGUUCUUAAUUAUGUGUUAAUAGGCAAGAGCAUUUUCUUAAGUACUUUCGUUGCCUUCCAAGUUUCCAAUGAACAAACAGAGCACAAACAAAUUUAACGAAACAAACAGAGCAUUUUCUUCAGUGUGCUUUCUUGAGACAUUUUGAUUUAGUCUCAUUAUGAUUAAAAAAGGAAGCUCGCUUCUCGAGACAUUUUGCUAUAGUCUCAUUAUGGUUAUAAAGAAGCGAUGGUCUAGGAGACAUAUUGUUUUCGUCUCAUUUUGCUAGACAUCUGGACUUUAUGGAAAUGAGCAUGUUGAUCACAUUGUCAUGUUAUUUCCAUAAUUAUACUUGUAUACUACUACAUGGUCACGUGUUUAUAAGUGUCUUGUUAUAUGGAGCAUCCUGUCGGUGCACAUAUGAUUUGAUAUUUAUGGCACAUUUUGGACUUGUUUAUGUUCUGGGUGAUUGCUUGUAUUUGACCUUUUGUUAUAGUCACAUAUUGAUUAAUUCGGUUGUUUUCAAAAUAUUAUUUUAUUUUAAAUUUAUCAUUGGAGUGAUUUCUGUCGUCCAAGUGGGAGAUUGUUAGAUUUAUUUCUCAUAUUAUGUGGACUGACAUAAAUCAUUCUAAUUGUUUUCUAUAUUUUACCGAAUUAAUACGUGACUAUUGUCAAAUAUUAUGGAGCAAUUUUGACAUACCUUGUACAGUAGUAUAUUAUGGACAAGUAUAUCCUUAAUUGUGUUAUUUUCGCCCAUAAUGGGAUGGGCAAUUUUGUACUAACACAUGAGGGGUCCCUGCGCUCAACCACUGUAUUUAAGUAACUUCAGCCCAUUGGAAGUUAACUGUUCAAGAAAUCUGUGGCAUGAGUGCAGUGCAUCUCUCUCUCCGUUUGUCUCCCGUGUGUGUGCACAGUAAAUUUUGAAGCAAGCCGAUCCUUGAGCUAAGGAAAAGAAAGCGGAAUUCAGAAGCUAAACCGAAGCAGCAGCAACUCUGUUGAAGCUCCAUAACAAGCUGCAAGCUUGGAUUCAUGGGAGAUCGUGGUAAAUUUCGAAAUUUACUACAAUAUGUGUUUAAUUUGGAAAUGCACGAUUAAAGGGCAUAAAGUAUGUUUUUGUUUCAUCAAUUGGUAUCAGAGCCCAUGGUUAUGCGUUUCCUUGUAAACCAUAGUUGUUUUGUUGAAGAAAUCUCACUCAUGGAAUUUUUUUUUUAUUUUCGGAUUUUUCGAAUUCUUCGAAUUUGGACAUAUUUCCUCAAACGGUUGUUAAAUAAUGCAUGAGUGAUGAUUUUGGAGCAAAGAUAUAAUUUUUUCGUGUUUUUUGGUGGCCAAAAUCGGGUUGGUAUGGAUGUGGAUGCUGUAAAUGUACUGUACAAUACUGUAGCAACAGCCCGAGGUUGAAGAUGAUGGGACAAUUUCAUUUGGAUCCCUAAAUUUUGUGAAUUGUCACUAUGGCCCAAAAUCUUUGCAAACUUUUCGAAAAGGUCCUUGACCGAGGGUCAACUAUGUAAAAGAUAAGUUGGUCCCUUGAAUUUUGGGAAAUUAUAGUAUGGCCCAACAGUUUAUUUUAUUUUAUUUACAGUUUGGGCCAAAAGUUUUAAUAGUUAAAACAGUAAAUAAUUCUGAAAAUUUUUCAUUUUAGUCCAAAAUCCUUUCAAUUUUGGCGAUUUUUCAGAAUUUAAAUUUUAAAAUAAUCCAUCAGUUAUUGAAUCUUAUGGGCAUAUCAUUUAUAUAUUUUAUUGAGGCAUGUAGAUAUUUUAUUUGAUUUAAUAUCUUGUUAAUUUCAUUUGACAAAAUUUAUUUAGCCUCAAUUUUGUUAAUAUACGAAAUAUAUAUAUGAUGCAAAACUACAAUUUAGAGUGAUUGUGUAUCUACUUAUCGUAGGACCAAUCAUGAUAAAUUAUUUGGUGGUUUGCAAUUGAUUGUCCAUUUACAAUUAUGAAUUAUGGAUUAUGUGAUGGAUUGUUAUUGUUUGACCAAGAUCCAUACGGGUGAUGAUACUGCCCUGUCGGCAAAUCACUACUUGGUACUUGGUAGGAUGCUUGGGAAGAUAAAGAGAUUUGUUGAGUAUUUUCUACUGAGUGGCUUAAUUACCCUGUCGGUAAUAGGUCAAUGUUGGUGUUAUAUUCAACUUGUCUGCUUUAUCUUUAGGUUAGUGCAUUCCUAUAUUGUUAAAGGAUGCCUAACAUAUUGUGUUGCUAUUGGAGAAACUUAGAAUGAGGAGCAAUUGAUUAUAGCAUGAUUUUAAUUUUUGCAUGCUUGAUAUUCUUUUGUUAUUGCUUCCUCAGCUCUAGAUAUUCUCUCCUUUCUCCAAGUAGCCUCCCUCAAGAAUUUAACUGGGACAAAUUUUGAGGACUGGCGUGAGUCCAUUUUGUUUUAUUUGUCUACACUGAAUAGAGACUUGGCAUUAAGAGUUGAUGAACCAGCCAAGCCCACAGAUAAGAGCACUGCUGCUGAAAAAGCAGAGUGGGCAGCUUGGGAUGAAUCCAAUAGACACUGUCUGGAUACAAUGAAAUACACCAUUGAUAGAACCACUAGAGAUAGCAUCCCUGCAUGUGAUAAGGCCAAAGAUUACUUGGCAGCUGUGGGAAGAACCUUUAAGAAGGUAGAUAAGGCAGAAAAGGGUAACUAUCUGAGGCUGCUUGCUAAUACCCAGUAUGAUGGUGUUUUCUGGGGUCAGAGAACACAUCCUUAAGAUGACUAGUUACCAUAAGAAGCUGAAGGACAUGGAUGUCACUUUGCCUGAUGACUACCUGGUCUUCCAAAUCCUUGAAUCUCUUCCACCACAAUUUGGCAAUUUGAGAAGCCAAUACAAUACUCAGAGAGACACUUGGAAUAUCACUGAGUUGACUGCUUAUGUGGUUCAGGAAGAGGAAUCAUUGAAGAAGGGGAAAUCUCACACUGUCAUGGUGGCAACUACUCAAGAGAGUGGAAGUGUGAAGAAAGGCUCUUCAAAGGGCAGCAAUAAGUUUUUUAAGAAGAAAAAGUUUGGCAAGAAAACUUCACGUGGUACUUCUUCUACCACUUCUGGUUCCACUUCUGAGAGCUUUAAGGGAAAGUGCCACUUUUGUAAGAAACCUGGGCACAAGAGAGCUGACUGCAGGGGAUUCAAAGCAUGGUUGGAAAAGAAAGGUAUUCCUGUAGCCUUUGUAGGCUUUGAAUCUAAUCUUAUUGAUGUUCCUUCUGAUACUUGGUGGUUGGAUACUGGUGCAACCAUUAAUAUAACGAAUUCCUUACAGGAAUUCAGAAGCAGGAGGGAGCCCAAUGAAGGGGAGUUGAUAGUUCACAUGGGCAAUGGAGUGACAGCCAAAGUUGAAAGCAUAGGAGUUGUCAGACUACAUCUAGCCACAGGCCAUGUUUUGGAUCUAUUAGAUACAGCUUAUAUUCCUUCUAUUAGGAGAAACUUGAUAUCUGUAUCUAUUUUGGAUAGAUGUGGCUAUACUUUUCAUUUUGGUGAUAGAAAAGUUUACUUAUUCCGCAAUUCAGAGUUAGUUGGUUCUGGCACUCUAUAUGAUGGCUUGUAUAUGAUUGAUUUAUUUUCUCGUGCUGUUGAAUCAUCAUCCAAUGCUCAUGUUAUGCAUGUUGUUAGCUCUAAUCGUGUUAGGGUUGAUGAAAAUUCCUCUAUGUUGUGGCAUAAACGGUUAGGUCACAUUUCUAAACAGAGGAUGAGAGGCUUAUUAAAGAUAUUCUACAUAAGUUGGAUUUCUCUGAUUUUGGCACUUGUGUUGAUUGUGUCAAAGGCAAACUUACUGCCAAAACCAGAAAAGAGAGAACUCAGAGGAGUCAACAGGUGCUGGAGUUGGUACAUACAGACAUUUGUGGGCCAUUUACUCCUAUUGCCAUUGGAGGUUAUAAGUACUUCAUCACGUUCAACGAUGACUUUUCUCGUUAUGGUCAUGUUGAACUUCUUGCUGAAAAGUCUAAAUCCUUAUCUGUGUUUCAAGCCUUUAAGGCUAAUGUUGAGCUCCAAAAGGGCAAGCAAAUUAAAGCAGUAAGGUCAGACAGAGGUGGUGAGUACUAUGGGCGAUAUGAUGAAACUGGGCGUAAUCCUGGACCUUUUGCUAAAUUUCUUCAGGAAUGUGGAAUAGAAGCCCAGUAUACAAUGCUCGGGACUCCUGAACAUAAUGGAAUUGCAGAAAGGAGAAAUCGUACCCUUCUUGACAUGGUGCGGUGUAUGCUGAGUAACUCCACCUUACCAGAUUUUCUGUGGGGUGAAGCCUUAAGAACUGCAGCUUACAUUUUGAAUCAGGUACCUAGUAAAUCGGUGCCCAAAAGUCCUUAGUUGUGGUCAGGAAAGAGACCGAGUCUUCGUCAUUUUCAUGUAUGGGAUGCAGAGCAGAAGUGAGGCCCUAUAAUCCACAAUCAAGGAAACUUGAUCCGAAAACAAUUAGUGGUCAUUUUAUUGGCUAUUGUAUCGGCUCAAGGGUUUCUAGAUUUUAUUGACCUUCCCACACUACUAGAAUCAUUGAGUCUGAUCGUGCCAUUUAUUUUGAGGAUGAUCACAAUGGUGGGAGUUCUGAGCCUCGCAGUCUGACAUUGAGAGAAGAACGUGUGGUUUUGCCUAUUCCAUCUUUUCCGACUUCUGCGAUGGGAUUACCACAUAUUGAUGAUUCUUCUGUUGAUCCUAAACUUCAUCAUAAUAUGGAGCCUAUGAUUGUAGAGGAUGAUGGUACUGAUGUGCCAUUGAGGAGAUCAGAGAGGAUCAGGAGACCUGCAAUUUCUGAUGAUUAUGUUGUUUACUUGCAGGAGCAUGAUUUUGAUGCUGACUCUUCAUCUGAUCCUAUUACCUUUCAAGAGGCCAUCAGUUGUUCAGAAUCAUCAUCUUGGAUACAUGCGAUGCAUGAUGAGAUGGCAUCUAUGUAUCAUAAUGAGGUUUGGGAUUUAGUUGAGUUACCAGAUGGAUGCAGACCAAUUGGUUGCAAAUGGGUUUUCAAAACCAAAAGAGAUGCCAGAGGUCAGGUAGAGAGGUAUAAGGCCAGGCUUUGUGGCUAAGGGUUUCAGUCAAAGAGAAGGCAUUGAUUACACUGAAACCUACUCUCCUGUUUCUACCAAGACUCUUUUCGUAUUAUCAUGGCAUUGGUAGCUCAUUUCAAUUUAGAAUUGCAUCAGAUGGAUGUGAAGACAGCUUUUCUUAAUGGGAGCUUGUCUGAAGAUGUAUACAUGGUGCAACCUGAUGGUUUUGUUGAGUCUGGUAUAGAAAACAUGGUGUGUAAGCUUAAAAGGUCCAUUUAUGGACUUAAGCAAGCAUCCAGACAGUGGUAUUUGAAAUUUCACGAUAUUGUCACCUCUUAUGGGUUCCAGGAGAAUGCCGUUGAUCAGUGUAUAUACUUGAGAGUCAGUGGGAGCAAGUAUAUCAUUUUGGUGCUUUAUGUGGAUGAUAUCUUGCUCGCUGCUAAUGACAGUAAUUUGUUACUUGAGACAAAGCAAAUGUUGUCAUGCAGCUUUGAUAUGAAGGAUCUUGGUGAAGCCCAUUAUGUAUUAGGGAUAGAGAUUCUUCAUGAUAGAUCUAGAGGAAUUCUAGGUUUGUCUCAAAAGACUUACAUUGAUCGCAUUUUGAAAAGGUUCAAUUUGCAGUCUUGUGCUCCUGGGAAAGCUCCAAUUUCGAAAGGUGACAAAAUUUCCAAGUCUCAAUGUCCCGAUAAUGAUGUAGACAAAGCUAGAAUACAAACAGUCCCGUAUGCAUCCGUUGUGGGUAGCUUGAUGUAUGCUCAAGUCUGUACUCGCCCUGAUAUUGCUUUCCAGUGGGAGUACUUGGAAGAUACCUGAGCAAUCCUGGAUUUGAACACUGGAAGGCUGCAAAGAAAGUACUCAGAUAUUUGCGAGCCACUAAAGAUUUUGUAUUGACAUAUCAGCAAUCUGACUUUUGAAUAUAGUUGGAUAUUCUGAUGCUGAUUUCGCAGGGUGCUUGGAAGACAAGAAAUCCACAUCUGGUUACAUCUUUAUGAUGGCAGAGGAGCUAUAUCGGAAAGUGUCAAGCAGACACUUAUAGCUUCUUCAACAAUGGAAGCAGAAUAUGUAGCAUGCUUUGAGGCUACACGUCAUGCUUUAUGGAUGCAAAAUUUUAUCACAGGGCUAGAUUGUAUAGUGGCCGUACCGAGGCCAUUAAAGAUAUACUGUGAUAAUUCUGCUGCUGUUUCUUUUUUCACAAUACAGGGAGUUCCUCACGUUCCAAGCACAUUGAUAUUAAAUACUUGUUUGUGAGAGAGAAAAUUGCUCUAUCUUGUGUAUCAGUAGAGUAUAUCCCUACAGAACUCAUGUUAGCCGAUCCACUUAUUAAAGCUUUAGCUCCAAAAGUAUUAGGGAGCAUGUAACGCAUAUGGAUUAUUUGAAUCCACUUAUAUAUGCUGAGUCAGUGGGAGUUCUGGUUGUAUUAUGAGUUGCAACUUAAAUGAGCUUAUGUAUUACUCAUUUUGUUAUCAUGCAUGCAUGUUGUUAUGUGAUAUUGAUAUGCCAUAUAUUGUGUACACAUUUGGCUGCGUAUGGCAUUAUGUAUAGAAUGAGGAUACGAUGGUCCGAGACAUUUUGCUCAGUCUCAAUAUGGACAUUAAAGACUGAAGCAUUAUGAUUUUCUUCAGUGUGCUUUCUUGAGACAUUUUGAUUUAGUCUCAUUAUGAUUAAAAAGGAAGCUCGCUUCUCGAGACAUUUUGCUAUAGUCUCAUUAUGGUUAUAAAGAAGCGAUGGUCUAGGAGACAUAUUGUUUUCGUCUCAUUUUGCUAGACAUCUGGACUUUAUGGAAAUGAGCAUGUUGAUCACAUUGUCAUGUUAUUUCCAUAAUUAUACUUGUAUACUACUACAUGGUCACGUGUUUAUAAGUGUCUUGUUAUAUGGAGCAUCCUGUCGGUGCACAUAUGAUUUGAUAUUUAUGGCACAUUUGGACUUGUUUAUGUUCUGGGUGAUUGCUUGUAUUUGACCUUUUGUUAUAGUCACAUAUUGAUUAAUUCGGUUGUUUUCAAAAUAUUAUUUUAUUUUAAAUUUAUCAUUGGAGUGAUUUCUGUCGUCCAAGUGGAGAUUGUUAGAUUUAUUCUCAUAUUAUGUGGACUGACAUAAAUCAUUCUAAUUGUUUUCUAUAUUUUACCGAAUUAAUACGUGACUAUUGUCAAAUAUAUGGAGCAAUUUUGACAUACCUUGUACAGUAGUAUAUUAUGGACAAGUAUAUCCUUAAUUGUGUUAUUUUCGCCCAUAAUGGGAUGGGCAAUUUUGUACUAACACAUGAGGGGUCCCUGCGCUCAACCUGUAUUUAAGUAACUUCAGCCCAUUGGAAGUUAACUGUUCAAGAAAUCUGUGGCAUGAGUGCAGUGCAUCUCUCUCUCCCGUUUGUCUCCCGUGUGUGUGCACAGUAAAUUUUGAAGCAAGCCGAUCCUUGAGCUAAGGAAAAGAAAGCGGAAUUCAGAAGCUAAACCGAAGCAGCAGCAACUCUGUUGAAGCUCCAUAACAAGCUGCAAGCUUGGAUUCAUGGGAGAUCGUGGUAAAUUUCGAAAUUUACUACAAUAUGUGUUUAAUUUGGAAAUGCACGAUUAAAGGGCAUAAAGUAUGUUUUUGUUUCAUCAAUUGGUAUCAGAGCCCAUGGUUAUGCGUUUCCUUGUAAACCAUAGUUGUUUUGUUGAAGAAAUCUCACUCAUGGAAUUUUUUUUUUUUUCGGAUUUUUCGAAUCUUCGAAUUUGGACAUAUUUCCUCAAACGGUUGUUAAAUAAUGCAUGAGUGAUNUAUUCUAUAUGACAUGUUAUCAUGGCAUGUAAUCAUCCAAAACAUAACAUAUAGAAAAAAUAAUUAAAUAAUCUUAAUUCAUGGCUUUCCUAAUAAUGAAAAAUACAUUAACCCUAAGCCUAAUCUUCAUUGGGCUUCUUGUCAAUAUCCAUCUUCCAUAGCUUGUCUUUGUUGAUGGACUAGGGGAAAUUGAGCUUUUAAAUUUAUAAUUGGUCCAAUUUUAAUUUGGAAAGAAAAUAAAUAAUUAAAAUUAAAAUUUAUUAAAAUAAAACUUUUGGACCAAAAAUAAAUUUAAUAUAUUCAAUUUUAUCUAUGCAUUUUAAUCCAUUAAGCCCAAUUGAAAUUGGGCCUAAAACUAGGAUUCAUUAAGCCCAAAACUAUUUUUGGAUUUAAACGCAAAAAAUUAAAAAUGUUUCUGCCCAACUGAAAAAAUAUGAAACUAUAGGGACCUCCACGAUAAAAACCAUGAAACCCUAAAAUCACAUUUUUCUUUUCCUCCUCUUCCCUAGCCGCCACCAGCACAAAAACCCAGCCGUUGUUUACUGUUUCCACACCGGACAGCCGUCAUCAACGCCGGAAAGACGCCAACCAAAACGCUCCGCGCCUUCAGCCCACGUUCACGCUGUUGCUUGGGUGCUGCAGCUGCUGCUCGCGCGCUGCGGUUGCUGCUUGUGCAGCGCGCGCUGCAGCUGCUGCGUGUGUAGCUCGCGCUGCUAGCAGCGUGGCUGCUGGCCGCUGCGCGUGCAGCGCGCGCUGCUGGCAGCAUGUGCUACUGGCCGCGCGCUGCUCGCACAGCAGCUUGUGCUGCUGGCCGCUCGCUGCUGCGUGUGCUGGUUCGUUGCUGCAGUUUCCGGCCUCGAUUGUUUGCGCUCGUUUUCCAGUGAUGAUGCUUCGGUGAUUUACAAAUUUUCAACGCAAAUUUUUGCUUACAAAAUUUCAAUUACAGUAAAAUAAAUCAAGAGAGAAUUAUGGUGAUAAAAAACCACCCCUCUUGUUACAGAUCCAAACGAAAAAUACAAUAGAAAAUCUAACAAUGAAUUAACUGCGUUUACUUUUGGAUUGGAGUGGGAAUCCUGAGGAAUGGGAAUCCUUGGAUUAGGAGUGUGGAGUGGGAGUGGGAGUAGGGGUUUACUUAGACUAAAUGAAAGUAUGGAUUGUCAAUUAGAAUUCCAAUUAUUUGUUUACUUUGUCUUGGAUUGGGAAGUAAAAUUGUUUUAAAUUACAAUUUUAUCCUUAUGUACAGAAUUAUAAUUUGUAAUUAAAAAUUAAUAAAAAAUAUAUUUGGAAAAUAAAAAUAAAUAUUUUUAUUAUAUUAUAAAUUAUUAAUAAUUUACUAAUAUUCUUAAUUAUGUAAAUCAUAAUUUUUUAUUAAUUUUAAUUUAAAUUAUGUGAAUAAAAAUUAUUAAUAAUAGCAACACAAAUGGAAUAUUAUUAUUGAUAAUAUAGUACAAAAUUAAUAUUUUUAGAAUAAAUAUUUAUAUUAUUAAAUAAAUAAAUAAUUAAUUAAUAUUUAUUAAAAUUAAUGUUUUUAUAUUAUUAAUUUAAAUAUAAUAUUAUUUAUUUUUAUUUUAUUAAUUUUAAUAAAAUAAAUAUGAUAUAAUUAUUAUUUUUAAUAAAUAUGAUAUUAUUUAUUUUAUGAAAUAUUAUUUAUUUUAUUAAAUAUUAUUUAUUUUAUUAAUAUUAUUUAUUUAUUUUAAUUUUAUAAGGAUAAAAUGGGAAGAGGGGGGAGUGGAUUCCCACUCCCACCUCCCCCAAUGGGAGUGGGAAUCCCACUCCCCACUCCAAAUUUAGGUGGGACCCACGGAUUCCCACUCCCACUCUCCCUAUUUUAAAGUAAGUAAACACUGGAGUGGGAGGGAAUCCACACUCCACACUCCCACUCCAGAAAGUAAACACUACCUUAAGACAAACCAUAAACAUGCUUUAUUCAUAUAUUAAACAAAUAAUAUAUAUCUGAAUAAAUUGUGCCACUCUAAUACAUAAAUUUCAAGAUUAAUUUCAUACGAAAAUUCUUAUUUAUUAAUAUGAGAUGGCUCUGAUACCAAUUGUUAGGGAAAAAUUAGGUUUUUAAAUUUUUAUAAAACCUUUUGAAGAUCGCUCUCAUAUAAUAUAUUAAGAAUUUGUAUUCUAGAAAUCGUACCUUGAAAAUCUGAGUUUGCUUUUUCCGCUGAAGUUGAUUUAGGCUCCUAGAUCACGAUCUGCCACCACCACUCCUGUUAGAUCACGAUCCGUCACCACCACGCUUGUUAGAUCACGAACUGUCUCCAAUGAUCUUCCAGGUUAUGACUCAGGUUCGAUCUGCACUUGACGUGUGGGCGCCUUUAUCACUACCAAAGCAACUAGCACGAGAAAAUUUUUCUCUCAAACAAUAGAGAAAAAAAUCUUAUUCUCCGAUUUGUAUAAAAUGGUUUCUCUUAUUCUUUAGAGAAAAUAAGCCUUUUAUAUCACCCUUUAGUGAAAACCUUAGGCUCCAAAUAAUGCCCUAAAUAAAACUCACGUUACUUUCUUUUUCAAUAGGGGACCCACCUUGUAAAAUAACAUAAGGCCCCUUAUACAAAGCUAAUUAAAUGGAGCCUCCCACUAAAUGAUAUAUUUAGCUUUUGAACCCAAAUAGCUAGUUAUCUUACUUAUUAGUCCAGUAGUGGUGCAGUCAAUUAAAUGAGCUAACCCGGGGAUCAUUUGGGAACAUACAAUAGUGGCUACAAUAAUUAGGCCUGUAAUUAAACUAGCCCAAAUAUUUAAUUCCAAAUCUACUCCACUAAAAGAUUGGAACUGACUUCCAUAAUUGUAUGCUCGAAUAAUAAUUCGUCCCAAGCCACAUUGAUUUCUUUACUGCACAAUCCUUUGUACCACAUCGUUAAUUUAAAUUGACAUCUCAACUGUCCAAUCAAUUUAAUAACAUCUUAUUCCUUGAUCCUUACUGGUUUUCUCUAAUGAUCAUUUUCAACAUACUAAAUAUGUUGACACACUCUGGCCAGAGAAUUCUAUGAUCAAGUGCCGAAAACCCAUCAAGAGAUGUGUUGUACAAAUUCUAUAUUGUUAAUCCAUAACUCCAAUAUAUAAAGUACUAGAUGUUUACUGAGAAAAUGACUAGAUCAUUUACCAAAUUUCUUGCGCAUAUAUACGUAUGUAUACAAGAAAUGGGAAUCAAUGAUUAUAAGACCUUGCAAUGAGACAAUAAUACAUCAUCAAAUCUAAAAAUACACAAGAAAUUCGGACAUAUAUAUAACAAAAGACCUCUCAUUGAGUCAUACAUAUUGAGAAUAAAAUGUCAAAAUGCAUACAAAGAGCUUAUACAGAAAAUGAAUUUACACAUAUUUAGAAUAAAUUGUCUUUGAACUUUUGAUGGUCAAAUAAAGGAAAACAGACAGGAUAUAACACACACUAUCAUAGAUGUAGCGACACGGUGAAGUAAAAUCACAUGAAGAUGGAAACGGAAACCCUUCACAAUAUAAAAUUUGAAUAGAGGGGGGAAAAAAAGGCUUCAUUUGGAAUGUUGCACAGAAGAAAGAGUGACUUGAAUCUCCAUCAGUAUCCAGACAUUCUACAAACACAGUGCUGAGAAUUUUAACAAGAAUAACAGACAAAAUAUUGUGCUUCUAUACUUGUCACAAAACUAGACCAAAUUAGUUCCCUUUUUGGUUUGUGAAAAACUUGAUAUUUUUGAAAAUUCUAUCCAAUGCUUUUAAACAAUAUUUCCAUAAUAAUAGUUGUUCAUAGCUAACCUUUGAUGGUUUAAGCAUUUGUUGUAGCAUGACGGGCUGAUUAGAUUAUUAUUUUUUUUUAUCCGAUGAAUUGAUAUUCAGCUGUUCUUAAUUAUGUGUUAAUAGGCAAGAGCAUUUUCUUAAGUACUUUCGUUGCCUUCCAAGUUUCCAAUGAACAAACAGAGCACAAACAAAUUUAACGAAACAAACAGAAGCAUUUUCUUCAGUGUGCUUUCUUGAGACAUUUUGAUUUAGUCUCAUUAUGAUUAAAAAGGAAGCUCGCUUCUCGAGACAUUUUGCUAUAGUCUCAUUAUGGUUAUAAAGAAGCGAUGGUCUAGGAGACAUAUUGUUUUCGUCUCAUUUUGCUAGACAUCUGGACUUUAUGGAAAUGAGCAUGUUGAUCACAUUGUCAUGUUAUUUCCAUAAUUAUACUUGUAUACUACUACAUGGUCACGUGUUUAUAAGUGUCUUGUUAUAUGGAGCAUCCUGUCGGUGCACAUAUGAUUUGAUAUUUAUGGCACAUUUUGGACUUGUUUAUGUUCUGGGUGAUUGCUUUGUAUUUGACCUUUUGUUAUAGUCACAUAUUGAUUAAUUCGGUUGUUUUCAAAAUAUUAUUUUAUUUUAAAUUUAUCAUUGGAGUGAUUUCUGUCGUCCAAGUGGGAGAUUGUUAGAUUUAUUUCUCAUAUUAUGUGGACUGACAUAAAUCAUUCUAAUUGUUUUCUAUAUUUUACCGAAUUAAUACGUGACUAUUGUCAAAUAUUAUGGAGCAAUUUGACAUACCUUGUACAGUAGUAUAUUAUGGACAAGUAUAUCCUUAAUUGUGUUAUUUUCGCCCAUAAUGGGAUGGGCAAUUUUGUACUAACACAUGAGGGGUCCCUGCGCUCAACCACUGUAUUUAAGUAACUUCAGCCCAUUGGAAGUUAACUGUUCAAGAAAUCUGUGGCAUGAGUGCAGUGCAUCUCUCUCUCCCGUUUGUCUCCCGUGUGUGUGCACAGUAAAUUUUGAAGCAAGCCGAUCCUUGAGCUAAGGAAAAGAAAGCGGAAUUCAGAAGCUAAACCGAAGCAGCAGCAACUCUGUUGAAGCUCCAUAACAAGCUGCAAGCUUGGAUUCAUGGGAGAUCGUGGUAAAUUUCGAAAUUUACUACAAUAUGUGUUUAAUUUGGAAAUGCACGAUUAAAGGGCAUAAAGUAUGUUUUUGUUUCAUCAAUUGGUAUCAGAGCCCAUGGUUAUGCGUUUCCUUGUAAACCAUAGUUGUUUUGUUUGAAGAAAUCUCACUCAUGGAAUUUUUUUUUUUAUUUUCGGAUUUUUCGAAUUCUUCGAAUUUGGACAUAUUUCCUCAAACGGUUGUUAAAUAAUGCAUGAGUGAUGAUUUUGGAGCAAAGAUAUAAUUUUUUUCGUGUUUUUUGGUGGCCAAAAUCGGGUUGGUAUGGAUGUGGAUGCUGUAAAUGUACUGUACAAUACUGUAGCAACAGCCCGAGGUUGAAGAUGAUGGGACAAUUUCAUUUGGAUCCCUAAAUUUUGUGAAUUGUCACUAUGGCCCAAAAUCUUUGCAAACUUUUCGAAAAGGUCCUUGACCGAGGGUCAACUAUGUAAAAGAUAAGUUGGUCCCUUGAAUUUUGGGAAAUUAUAGUAUGGCCCAACAGUUUAUUUUAUUUUAUUUACAGUUUGGGCCAAAAGUUUUAAUAGUUAAAACAGUAAACAUAAUUCUGAAAAUUUUUCAUUUUAGUCCAAAAUCCUUUCAAUUUUGGCGAUUUUUCAGAAUUUUUAAAUUUUAAAAUAAUCCAUCAGUUAUUGAAUCUUAUGGGCAUAUCAUUUAUAUAUUUUAUUGAGGCAUGUAGAUAUUUUAUUUGAUUUAAUAUCUUGUUAAUUUCAUUUGACAAAAUUUAUUUAGCCUCAAUUUUGUUAAUAUACGAAAUAUAUAUAUGAUGCAAAACUACAAUUUAGAGUGAUUGUGUAUCUACUUAUCGUAGGACCAAUCAUGAUAAAUUAUUUGGUGGUUUGCAAUUGAUUGUCCAUUUACAAUUAUGAAUUAUGGAUUAUGUGAUGGAUUGUUAUUGUUUUGACCAAGAUCCAUACGGGUGAUGAUACUGCCCUGUCGGCAAAUCACUACUUGGUACUUGGUAGGAUGCUUGGGAAGAUAAAGAGAUUUGUUGAGUAUUUUCUACUGAGUGGCUUAAUUACCCUGUCGGUAAUAGGUCAAUGUUGGUGUUAUAUUCAACUUGUCUGCUUUAUCUUUAGGUUAGUGCAUUCCUAUAUUGUUAAAGGAUGCCUAACAUAUUGUGUUGCUAUUGGAGAAACUUAGAAUGAGGAGCAAUUGAUUAUAGCAUGAUUUUAAUUUUUGCAUGCUUGAUAAUUCUUUUGUUAUUGCUUCCUCAGCUCUAGAUAUUCUCUCCUUUCUCCAAGUAGCCUCCCUCAAGAAUUUAACUGGGACAAAUUUUGAGGACUGGCGUGAGUCCAUUUUGUUUUAUUUGUCUACACUGAAUAGAGACUUGGCAUUAAGAGUUGAUGAACCAGCCAAGCCCACAGAUAAGAGCACUGCUGCUGAAAAAGCAGAGUGGGCAGCUUGGGAUGAAUCCAAUAGACACUGUCUGGAUACAAUGAAAUACACCAUUGAUAGAACCACUAGAGAUAGCAUCCCUGCAUGUGAUAAGGCCAAAGAUUACUUGGCAGCUGUGGGAAGAACCUUUAAGAAGGUAGAUAAGGCAGAAAAGGGUAACUAUCUGAGGCUGCUUGCUAAUACCCAGUAUGAUGGUGUUUCUGGGGUCAGAGAACACAUCCUUAAGAUGACUAGUUACCAUAAGAAGCUGAAGGACAUGGAUGUCACUUUGCCUGAUGACUACCUGGUCUUCCAAAUCCUUGAAUCUCUUCCACCACAAUUUGGCAAUUUGAGAAGCCAAUACAAUACUCAGAGAGACACUUGGAAUAUCACUGAGUUGACUGCUUAUGUGGUUCAGGAAGAGGAAUCAUUGAAGAAGGGGAAAUCUCACACUGUCAUGGUGGCAACUACUCAAGAGAGUGGAAGUGUGAAGAAAGGCUCUUCAAAGGGCAGCAAUAAGUUUUUUAAGAAGAAAAAGUUUGGCAAGAAAACUUCACGUGGUACUUCUUCUACCACUUCUGGUUCCACUUCUGAGAGCUUUAAGGGAAAGUGCCACUUUUGUAAGAAACCUGGGCACAAGAGAGCUGACUGCAGGGGAUUCAAAGCAUGGUUGGAAAAGAAAGGUAUUCCUGUAGCCUUUGUAGGCUUUGAAUCUAAUCUUAUUGAUGUUCCUUCUGAUACUUGGUGGUUGGAUACUGGUGCAACCAUUAAUAUAACGAAUUCCUUACAGGAAUUCAGAAGCAGGAGGGAGCCCAAUGAAGGGGAGUUGAUAGUUCACAUGGGCAAUGGAGUGACAGCCAAAGUUGAAAGCAUAGGAGUUGUCAGACUACAUCUAGCCACAGGCCAUGUUUUGGAUCUAUUAGAUACAGCUUAUAUUCCUUCUAUUAGGAGAAACUUGAUAUCUGUAUCUAUUUUGGAUAGAUGUGGCUAUACUUUUCAUUUUGGUGAUAGAAAAGUUUACUUAUUCCGCAAUUCAGAGUUAGUUGGUUCUGGCACUCUAUAUGAUGGCUUGUAUAUGAUUGAUUUAUUUUCUCGUGCUGUUGAAUCAUCAUCCAAUGCUCAUGUUAUGCAUGUUGUUAGCUCUAAUCGUGUUAGGGUUGAUGAAAAUUCCUCUAUGUUGUGGCAUAAACGGUUAGGUCACAUUUCUAAACAGAGGAUGGAGAGGCUUAUUAAAGAUAGCAUUCUACAUAAGUUGGAUUUCUCUGAUUUUGGCACUUGUGUUGAUUGUGUCAAAGGCAAACUUACUGCCAAAACCAGAAAAGAGAGAACUCAGAGGAGUCAACAGGUGCUGGAGUUGGUACAUACAGACAUUUGUGGGCCAUUUACUCCUAUUGCCAUUGGAGGUUAUAAGUACUUCAUCACGUUCAACGAUGACUUUUCUCGUUAUGGUCAUGUUGAACUUCUUGCUGAAAAGUCUAAAUCCUUAUCUGUGUUUCAAGCCUUUAAGGCUAAUGUUGAGCUCCAAAAGGGCAAGCAAAUUAAAGCAGUAAGGUCAGACAGAGGUGGUGAGUACUAUGGGCGAUAUGAUGAAACUGGGCGUAAUCCUGGACCUUUUGCUAAAUUUCUUCAGGAAUGUGGAAUAGAAGCCCAGUAUACAAUGCUCGGGACUCCUGAACAUAAUGGAAUUGCAGAAAGGAGAAAUCGUACCCUUCUUGACAUGGUGCGGUGUAUGCUGAGUAACUCCACCUUACCAGAUUUUCUGUGGGGUGAAGCCUUAAGAACUGCAGCUUACAUUUUGAAUCAGGUACCUAGUAAAUCGGUGCCCAAAAGUCCUUAUGAGUUGUGGUCAGGAAAGAGACCGAGUCUUCGUCAUUUUCAUGUAUGGGGAUGCAGAGCAGAAGUGAGGCCCUAUAAUCCACAAUCAAGGAAACUUGAUCCGAAAACAAUUAGUGGUCAUUUUAUUGGCUAUUGUAUCGGCUCAAGGGGUUCUAGAUUUUAUUGACCUUCCCACACUACUAGAAUCAUUGAGUCUGAUCGUGCCAUUUAUUUUGAGGAUGAUCACAAUGGUGGGAGUUCUGAGCCUCGCAGUCUGACAUUGAGAGAAGAACGUGUGGUUUUGCCUAUUCCAUCUUUUCCGACUUCUGCGAUGGGAUUACCACAUAUUGAUGAUUCUUCUGUUGAUCCUAAACUUCAUCAUAAUAUGGAGCCUAUGAUUGUAGAGGAUGAUGGUACUGAUGUGCCAUUGAGGAGAUCAGAGAGGAUCAGGAGACCUGCAAUUUCUGAUGAUUAUGUUGUUUACUUGCAGGAGCAUGAUUUUGAUGCUGACUCUUCAUCUGAUCCUAUUACCUUUCAAGAGGCCAUCAGUUGUUCAGAAUCAUCAUCUUGGAUACAUGCGAUGCAUGAUGAGAUGGCAUCUAUGUAUCAUAAUGAGGUUUGGGAUUUAGUUGAGUUACCAGAUGGAUGCAGACCAAUUGGUUGCAAAUGGGUUUUCAAAACCAAAAGAGAUGCCAGAGGUCAGGUAGAGAGGUAUAAGGCCAGGCUUGUGGCUAAGGGUUUCAGUCAAAGAGAAGGCAUUGAUUACACUGAAACCUACUCUCCUGUUUCUACCAAAGACUCUUUUCGUAUUAUCAUGGCAUUGGUAGCUCAUUUCAAUUUAGAAUUGCAUCAGAUGGAUGUGAAGACAGCUUUUCUUAAUGGGAGCUUGUCUGAAGAUGUAUACAUGGUGCAACCUGAUGGUUUUGUUGAGUCUGGUAUAGAAAACAUGGUGUGUAAGCUUAAAAGGUCCAUUUAUGGACUUAAGCAAGCAUCCAGACAGUGGUAUUUGAAAUUUCACGAUAUUGUCACCUCUUAUGGGUUCCAGGAGAAUGCCGUUGAUCAGUGUAUAUACUUGAGAGUCAGUGGGAGCAAGUAUAUCAUUUUGGUGCUUUAUGUGGAUGAUAUCUUGCUCGCUGCUAAUGACAGUAAUUUGUUACUUGAGACAAAGCAAAUGUUGUCAUGCAGCUUUGAUAUGAAGGAUCUUGGUGAAGCCCAUUAUGUAUUAGGGAUAGAGAUUCUUCAUGAUAGAUCUAGAGGAAUUCUAGGUUUGUCUCAAAAGACUUACAUUGAUCGCAUUUUGAAAAGGUUCAAUUUGCAGUCUUGUGCUCCUGGGAAAGCUCCAAUUUCGAAAGGUGACAAAAUUUCCAAGUCUCAAUGUCCCGAUAAUGAUGUAGACAAAGCUAGAAUACAAACAGUCCCGUAUGCAUCCGUUGUGGGUAGCUUGAUGUAUGCUCAAGUCUGUACUCGCCCUGAUAUUGCUUUUCCAGUGGGAGUACUUGGAAGAUACCUGAGCAAUCCUGGAUUUGAACACUGGAAGGCUGCAAAGAAAGUACUCAGAUAUUUGCGAGCCACUAAAGAUUUUGUAUUGACAUAUCAGCAAUCUGACUAUUUGAAUAUAGUUGGAUAUUCUGAUGCUGAUUUCGCAGGGUGCUUGGAAGACAAGAAAUCCACAUCUGGUUACAUCUUUAUGAUGGCAGGAGGAGCUAUAUCAUGGAAAAGUGUCAAGCAGACACUUAUAGCUUCUUCAACAAUGGAAGCAGAAUAUGUAGCAUGCUUUGAGGCUACACGUCAUGCUUUAUGGAUGCAAAAUUUUAUCACAGGGCUAGAUUGUAUAGUGGCCGUACCGAGGCCAUUAAAGAUAUACUGUGAUAAUUCUGCUGCUGUUUCUUUUUCUCACAAUACAGGGAGUUCCUCACGUUCCAAGCACAUUGAUAUUAAAUACUUGUUUGUGAGAGAGAAAAUUGCUCUAUCUUGUGUAUCAGUAGAGUAUAUCCCUACAGAACUCAUGUUAGCCGAUCCACUUAUUAAAGCUUUAGCUCCAAAAGUAUUUAGGGAGCAUGUAACGCAUAUGGGAUUAUUUGAAUCCACUUAUAUAUGCUGAGUCAGUGGGAGUUCUGGUUUGUAUUAUGAGUUGCAACUUAAAUGAGCUUAUGUAUUACUCAUUUUGUUAUCAUGCAUGCAUGUUGUUAUGUGAUAUUGAUAUGCCAUAUAUUGUGUACACAUUUGGCUGCGUAUGGCAUUAUGUAUAGAAUGAGGAUACGAUGGUCCGAGACAUUUUGCUCAGUCUCAAUAUGGACAUUAAAGACUGAAGCAUUAUGAUUUUCUUCAGUGUGCUUUCUUGAGACAUUUUGAUUUAGUCUCAUUAUGAUUAAAAAGGAAGCUCGCUUCUCGAGACAUUUUGCUAUAGUCUCAUUAUGGUUAUAAAGAAGCGAUGGUCUAGGAGACAUAUUGUUUUCGUCUCAUUUUGCUAGACAUCUGGACUUUAUGGAAAUGAGCAUGUUGAUCACAUUGUCAUGUUAUUUCCAUAAUUAUACUUGUAUACUACUACAUGGUCACGUGUUUAUAAGUGUCUUGUUAUAUGGAGCAUCCUGUCGGUGCACAUAUGAUUUGAUAUUUAUGGCACAUUUUGGACUUGUUUAUGUUCUGGGUGAUUGCUUGUAUUUGACCUUUUGUUAUAGUCACAUAUUGAUUAAUUCGGUUGUUUUCAAAAUAUUAUUUUAUUUUAAAUUUAUCAUUGGAGUGAUUUCUGUCGUCCAAGUGGGAGAUUGUUAGAUUUAUUUCUCAUAUUAUGUGGACUGACAUAAAUCAUUCUAAUUGUUUUCUAUAUUUUACCGAAUUAAUACGUGACUAUUGUCAAAUAUUAUGGAGCAAUUUUGACAUACCUUGUACAGUAGUAUAUUAUGGACAAGUAUAUCCUUAAUUGUGUUAUUUUCGCCCAUAAUGGGAUGGGCAAUUUUGUACUAACACAUGAGGGGUCCCUGCGCUCAACCACUGUAUUUAAGUAACUUCAGCCCAUUGGAAGUUAACUGUUCAAGAAAUCUGUGGCAUGAGUGCAGUGCAUCUCUCUCUCCCGUUUGUCUCCCGUGUGUGUGCACAGUAAAUUUUGAAGCAAGCCGAUCCUUGAGCUAAGGAAAAGAAAGCGGAAUUCAGAAGCUAAACCGAAGCAGCAGCAACUCUGUUGAAGCUCCAUAACAAGCUGCAAGCUUGGAUUCAUGGGAGAUCGUGGUAAAUUUCGAAAUUUACUACAAUAUGUGUUUAAUUUGGAAAUGCACGAUUAAAGGGCAUAAAGUAUGUUUUUGUUUCAUCAAUUGGUAUCAGAGCCCAUGGUUAUGCGUUUCCUUGUAAACCAUAGUUGUUUUGUUGAAGAAAUCUCACUCAUGGAAUUUUUUUUUUUAUUUUCGGAUUUUUCGAAUUCUUCGAAUUUGGACAUAUUUCCUCAAACGGUUGUUAAAUAAUGCAUGAGUGAUGAUUUUGGAGCAAAGAUAUAAUUUUUUCGUGUUUUUUGGUGGCCAAAAUCGGGUUGGUAUGGAUGUGGAUGCUGUAAAUGUACUGUACAAUACUGUAGCAACAGCCCGAGGUUGAAGAUGAUGGGACAAUUUCAUUUGGAUCCCUAAAUUUUGUGAAUUGUCACUAUGGCCCAAAAUCUUUGCAAACUUUUCGAAAAGGUCCUUGACCGAGGGUCAACUAUGUAAAAGAUAAGUUGGUCCCUUGAAUUUUGGGAAAUUAUAGUAUGGCCCAACAGUUUAUUUUAUUUUAUUUACAGUUUGGGCCAAAAGUUUUAAUAGUUAAAACAGUAAACAUAAUUCUGAAAAUUUUUCAUUUUAGUCCAAAAUCCUUUCAAUUUUGGCGAUUUUUCAGAAUUUUAAAUUUUAAAAUAAUCCAUCAGUUAUUGAAUCUUAUGGGCAUAUCAUUUAUAUAUUUUAUUGAGGCAUGUAGAUAUUUUAUUUGAUUUAAUAUCUUGUUAAUUUCAUUUGACAAAAUUUAUUUAGCCUCAAUUUUGUUAAUAUACGAAAUAUAUAUAUGAUGCAAAACUACAAUUUAGAGUGAUUGUGUAUCUACUUAUCGUAGGACCAAUCAUGAUAAAUUAUUUGGUGGUUUGCAAUUGAUUGUCCAUUUACAAUUAUGAAUUAUGGAUUAUGUGAUGGAUUGUUAUUGUUUUGACCAAGAUCCAUACGGGUGAUGAUACUGCCCUGUCGGCAAAUCACUACUUGGUACUUGGUAGGAUGCUUGGGAAGAUAAAGAGAUUUGUUGAGUAUUUUCUACUGAGUGGCUUAAUUACCCUGUCGGUAAUAGGUCAAUGUUGGUGUUAUAUUCAACUUGUCUGCUUUAUCUUUAGGUUAGUGCAUUCCUAUAUUGUUAAAGGAUGCCUAACAUAUUGUGUUGCUAUUGGAGAAACUUAGAAUGAGGAGCAAUUGAUUAUAGCAUGAUUUUAAUUUUUGCAUGCUUGAUAAUUCUUUUGUUAUUGCUUCCUCAGCUCUAGAUAUUCUCUCCUUUCUCCAAGUAGCCUCCCUCAAGAAUUUAACUGGGACAAAUUUUGAGGACUGGCGUGAGUCCAUUUUGUUUUAUUUGUCUACACUGAAUAGAGACUUGGCAUUAAGAGUUGAUGAACCAGCCAAGCCCACAGAUAAGAGCACUGCUGCUGAAAAAGCAGAGUGGGCAGCUUGGGAUGAAUCCAAUAGACACUGUCUGGAUACAAUGAAAUACACCAUUGAUAGAACCACUAGAGAUAGCAUCCCUGCAUGUGAUAAGGCCAAAGAUUACUUGGCAGCUGUGGGAAGAACCUUUAAGAAGGUAGAUAAGGCAGAAAAGGGUAACUAUCUGAGGCUGCUUGCUAAUACCCAGUAUGAUGGUGUUUCUGGGGUCAGAGAACACAUCCUUAAGAUGACUAGUUACCAUAAGAAGCUGAAGGACAUGGAUGUCACUUUGCCUGAUGACUACCUGGUCUUCCAAAUCCUUGAAUCUCUUCCACCACAAUUUGGCAAUUUGAGAAGCCAAUACAAUACUCAGAGAGACACUUGGAAUAUCACUGAGUUGACUGCUUAUGUGGUUCAGGAAGAGGAAUCAUUGAAGAAGGGGAAAUCUCACACUGUCAUGGUGGCAACUACUCAAGAGAGUGGAAGUGUGAAGAAAGGCUCUUCAAAGGGCAGCAAUAAGUUUUUUAAGAAGAAAAAGUUUGGCAAGAAAACUUCACGUGGUACUUCUUCUACCACUUCUGGUUCCACUUCUGAGAGCUUUAAGGGAAAGUGCCACUUUUGUAAGAAACCUGGGCACAAGAGAGCUGACUGCAGGGGAUUCAAAGCAUGGUUGGAAAAGAAAGGUAUUCCUGUAGCCUUUGUAGGCUUUGAAUCUAAUCUUAUUGAUGUUCCUUCUGAUACUUGGUGGUUGGAUACUGGUGCAACCAUUAAUAUAACGAAUUCCUUACAGGAAUUCAGAAGCAGGAGGGAGCCCAAUGAAGGGGAGUUGAUAGUUCACAUGGGCAAUGGAGUGACAGCCAAAGUUGAAAGCAUAGGAGUUGUCAGACUACAUCUAGCCACAGGCCAUGUUUUGGAUCUAUUAGAUACAGCUUAUAUUCCUUCUAUUAGGAGAAACUUGAUAUCUGUAUCUAUUUUGGAUAGAUGUGGCUAUACUUUUCAUUUUGGUGAUAGAAAAGUUUACUUAUUCCGCAAUUCAGAGUUAGUUGGUUCUGGCACUCUAUAUGAUGGCUUGUAUAUGAUUGAUUUAUUUUCUCGUGCUGUUGAAUCAUCAUCCAAUGCUCAUGUUAUGCAUGUUGUUAGCUCUAAUCGUGUUAGGGUUGAUGAAAAUUCCUCUAUGUUGUGGCAUAAACGGUUAGGUCACAUUUCUAAACAGAGGAUGGAGAGGCUUAUUAAAGAUAGCAUUCUACAUAAGUUGGAUUUCUCUGAUUUUGGCACUUGUGUUGAUUGUGUCAAAGGCAAACUUACUGCCAAAACCAGAAAAGAGAGAACUCAGAGGAGUCAACAGGUGCUGGAGUUGGUACAUACAGACAUUUGUGGGCCAUUUACUCCUAUUGCCAUUGGAGGUUAUAAGUACUUCAUCACGUUCAACGAUGACUUUUCUCGUUAUGGUCAUGUUGAACUUCUUGCUGAAAAGUCUAAAUCCUUAUCUGUGUUUCAAGCCUUUAAGGCUAAUGUUGAGCUCCAAAAGGGCAAGCAAAUUAAAGCAGUAAGGUCAGACAGAGGUGGUGAGUACUAUGGGCGAUAUGAUGAAACUGGGCGUAAUCCUGGACCUUUUGCUAAAUUUCUUCAGGAAUGUGGAAUAGAAGCCCAGUAUACAAUGCUCGGGACUCCUGAACAUAAUGGAAUUGCAGAAAGGAGAAAUCGUACCCUUCUUGACAUGGUGCGGUGUAUGCUGAGUAACUCCACCUUACCAGAUUUUCUGUGGGGUGAAGCCUUAAGAACUGCAGCUUACAUUUUGAAUCAGGUACCUAGUAAAUCGGUGCCCAAAAGUCCUUAUGAGUUGUGGUCAGGAAAGAGACCGAGUCUUCGUCAUUUUCAUGUAUGGGGAUGCAGAGCAGAAGUGAGGCCCUAUAAUCCACAAUCAAGGAAACUUGAUCCGAAAACAAUUAGUGGUCAUUUUAUUGGCUAUUGUAUCGGCUCAAGGGGUUCUAGAUUUUAUUGACCUUCCCACACUACUAGAAUCAUUGAGUCUGAUCGUGCCAUUUAUUUUGAGGAUGAUCACAAUGGUGGGAGUUCUGAGCCUCGCAGUCUGACAUUGAGAGAAGAACGUGUGGUUUUGCCUAUUCCAUCUUUUCCGACUUCUGCGAUGGGAUUACCACAUAUUGAUGAUUCUUCUGUUGAUCCUAAACUUCAUCAUAAUAUGGAGCCUAUGAUUGUAGAGGAUGAUGGUACUGAUGUGCCAUUGAGGAGAUCAGAGAGGAUCAGGAGACCUGCAAUUUCUGAUGAUUAUGUUGUUUACUUGCAGGAGCAUGAUUUUGAUGCUGACUCUUCAUCUGAUCCUAUUACCUUUCAAGAGGCCAUCAGUUGUUCAGAAUCAUCAUCUUGGAUACAUGCGAUGCAUGAUGAGAUGGCAUCUAUGUAUCAUAAUGAGGUUUGGGAUUUAGUUGAGUUACCAGAUGGAUGCAGACCAAUUGGUUGCAAAUGGGUUUUCAAAACCAAAAGAGAUGCCAGAGGUCAGGUAGAGAGGUAUAAGGCCAGGCUUGUGGCUAAGGGUUUCAGUCAAAGAGAAGGCAUUGAUUACACUGAAACCUACUCUCCUGUUUCUACCAAAGACUCUUUUCGUAUUAUCAUGGCAUUGGUAGCUCAUUUCAAUUUAGAAUUGCAUCAGAUGGAUGUGAAGACAGCUUUUCUUAAUGGGAGCUUGUCUGAAGAUGUAUACAUGGUGCAACCUGAUGGUUUUGUUGAGUCUGGUAUAGAAAACAUGGUGUGUAAGCUUAAAAGGUCCAUUUAUGGACUUAAGCAAGCAUCCAGACAGUGGUAUUUGAAAUUUCACGAUAUUGUCACCUCUUAUGGGUUCCAGGAGAAUGCCGUUGAUCAGUGUAUAUACUUGAGAGUCAGUGGGAGCAAGUAUAUCAUUUUGGUGCUUUAUGUGGAUGAUAUCUUGCUCGCUGCUAAUGACAGUAAUUUGUUACUUGAGACAAAGCAAAUGUUGUCAUGCAGCUUUGAUAUGAAGGAUCUUGGUGAAGCCCAUUAUGUAUUAGGGAUAGAGAUUCUUCAUGAUAGAUCUAGAGGAAUUCUAGGUUUGUCUCAAAAGACUUACAUUGAUCGCAUUUUGAAAAGGUUCAAUUUGCAGUCUUGUGCUCCUGGGAAAGCUCCAAUUUCGAAAGGUGACAAAAUUUCCAAGUCUCAAUGUCCCGAUAAUGAUGUAGACAAAGCUAGAAUACAAACAGUCCCGUAUGCAUCCGUUGUGGGUAGCUUGAUGUAUGCUCAAGUCUGUACUCGCCCUGAUAUUGCUUUUCCAGUGGGAGUACUUGGAAGAUACCUGAGCAAUCCUGGAUUUGAACACUGGAAGGCUGCAAAGAAAGUACUCAGAUAUUUGCGAGCCACUAAAGAUUUUGUAUUGACAUAUCAGCAAUCUGACUAUUUGAAUAUAGUUGGAUAUUCUGAUGCUGAUUUCGCAGGGUGCUUGGAAGACAAGAAAUCCACAUCUGGUUACAUCUUUAUGAUGGCAGGAGGAGCUAUAUCAUGGAAAAGUGUCAAGCAGACACUUAUAGCUUCUUCAACAAUGGAAGCAGAAUAUGUAGCAUGCUUUGAGGCUACACGUCAUGCUUUAUGGAUGCAAAAUUUUAUCACAGGGCUAGAUUGUAUAGUGGCCGUACCGAGGCCAUUAAAGAUAUACUGUGAUAAUUCUGCUGCUGUUUCUUUUUCUCACAAUACAGGGAGUUCCUCACGUUCCAAGCACAUUGAUAUUAAAUACUUGUUUGUGAGAGAGAAAAUUGCUCUAUCUUGUGUAUCAGUAGAGUAUAUCCCUACAGAACUCAUGUUAGCCGAUCCACUUAUUAAAGCUUUAGCUCCAAAAGUAUUUAGGGAGCAUGUAACGCAUAUGGGAUUAUUUGAAUCCACUUAUAUAUGCUGAGUCAGUGGGAGUUCUGGUUUGUAUUAUGAGUUGCAACUUAAAUGAGCUUAUGUAUUACUCAUUUUGUUAUCAUGCAUGCAUGUUGUUAUGUGAUAUUGAUAUGCCAUAUAUUGUGUACACAUUUGGCUGCGUAUGGCAUUAUGUAUAGAAUGAGGAUACGAUGGUCCGAGACAUUUUGCUCAGUCUCAAUAUGGACAUUAAAGACUGAAGCAUUAUGAUUUUCUUCAGUGUGCUUUCUUGAGACAUUUUGAUUUAGUCUCAUUAUGAUUAAAAAGGAAGCUCGCUUCUCGAGACAUUUUGCUAUAGUCUCAUUAUGGUUAUAAAGAAGCGAUGGUCUAGGAGACAUAUUGUUUUCGUCUCAUUUUGCUAGACAUCUGGACUUUAUGGAAAUGAGCAUGUUGAUCACAUUGUCAUGUUAUUUCCAUAAUUAUACUUGUAUACUACUACAUGGUCACGUGUUUAUAAGUGUCUUGUUAUAUGGAGCAUCCUGUCGGUGCACAUAUGAUUUGAUAUUUAUGGCACAUUUUGGACUUGUUUAUGUUCUGGGUGAUUGCUUGUAUUUGACCUUUUGUUAUAGUCACAUAUUGAUUAAUUCGGUUGUUUUCAAAAUAUUAUUUUAUUUUAAAUUUAUCAUUGGAGUGAUUUCUGUCGUCCAAGUGGGAGAUUGUUAGAUUUAUUUCUCAUAUUAUGUGGACUGACAUAAAUCAUUCUAAUUGUUUUCUAUAUUUUACCGAAUUAAUACGUGACUAUUGUCAAAUAUUAUGGAGCAAUUUUGACAUACCUUGUACAGUAGUAUAUUAUGGACAAGUAUAUCCUUAAUUGUGUUAUUUUCGCCCAUAAUGGGAUGGGCAAUUUUGUACUAACACAUGAGGGGUCCCUGCGCUCAACCACUGUAUUUAAGUAACUUCAGCCCAUUGGAAGUUAACUGUUCAAGAAAUCUGUGGCAUGAGUGCAGUGCAUCUCUCUCUCCCGUUUGUCUCCCGUGUGUGUGCACAGUAAAUUUUGAAGCAAGCCGAUCCUUGAGCUAAGGAAAAGAAAGCGGAAUUCAGAAGCUAAACCGAAGCAGCAGCAACUCUGUUGAAGCUCCAUAACAAGCUGCAAGCUUGGAUUCAUGGGAGAUCGUGGUAAAUUUCGAAAUUUACUACAAUAUGUGUUUAAUUUGGAAAUGCACGAUUAAAGGGCAUAAAGUGUGUUUUUGUUUCAUCAGGGAACUCUCAAAACAAAAUACUCAAAUUAAAUUAAAUUAGACCAAAAGACGCUCAAUGACGCAAAAUCUGCCCAUAAAAGCCUGAACGAAUCAUGAAAAGUGCAUUCCAUAUUGACAGUAAACCAAGUGACCCAUUCUAAACAAUUGAGAUGAAAUUGUGAAACAACCCACGAGAUCAAAUAAAUAAAAUAAGAAUUAAUUACCAGCUGGGACUUUCUUCUUCAAAUUCGUAACUCCAAGUCAUAAGAAGCCAAUGAAAUUAGUCGUAAUCCACAGAGUAUGACGACGACCCCGCCAACAGCUGAAAAUAAAAUUCUUAUUCAUCAAUUUAAACUAACUUUAUAACAAAUAUCUUAUCGAUAUUUUAUUUAAAAAGAAAAAGCAAAUUUUGUAAAAUUUUUCCAUGGGAGAUAGAGAGUAACACGUAUAUCCGUACCUUCUCAGCAUGUAAUUGUUGUAUGGUCGUGUUAAGAUCAUUACUAGCCCAACGCCGUUGAUUCGAUGUCUCUCCAUACCAGACGUUUACUCUUGGAGGCGUGCUUGAUUCUCCUCUAGUGAAAAUCUUCAAUUUGGGACAACCAAUCACAGAUAGAUCUUGCAAAGAUGGGAAUUUGAAGGUGUAAUUGGCAGAGCAGAAACUUGUGAGGCUGUCUAAAUCACGCAGUUCCAACCUCUUCAAUUUGCGGAAAACAAUCUCUUCUUUUUCAACCCCGUCUUUGUCAUUUAUUACCACCUCUGUCAUUGCUCUGCAUCCGUAUACACAAAGUGAUACGAGUCGCACUAGAGUUUUUGCUGUGGAGGAUGUUACUAAGUGUAUCAAUUUCUUGCAAUCGAAAGCUACAAGUUUUGUUAGGUUCCCAAAAGAUACCGAUGAUGUUGGCAAUAGAAUUAACAGACUUUGACAAUGAUAUACUCUUAGAAUUUCAAGAUACUGAAAAAUGGGGCCAAAUUUGGAGUCUUGUUUGCACAGCUGCUUCAGAUGAUAGUGCCGGUACAGCUCUAAUUCUUUUAUCAUUGCCAACUUCCCCACAUGUUUCUCUAAGCAUCCUUCCAUCGAAAAUACCUCUUCGUGGAAUGAAAAAUAACACAGUACGAGCAUUUCGAGAUUGUGAAAUCUCUCCAGUACAUUCCAGAUUGGAAAACAAGCUGAGUCAUCAGCAGCAAUCCCUAGAUCUCUAAGACUGCCAAAAAGGUGUUGUGGGAAAUCGGCCUGCAAAAUCAUCUUCACGUCUUUUCCGCAUAGUGAUAGUUCCGUCAAGUUGGGUAAGAUCUGAUCAUCAUCAAUCAUAAUAACUAAUAAGGUCAAUUGAUGUUUUCUCAAAUGAUUUUGAGUAAUCCAAUCAUAAGCAGUGAGUUUAUAGUAUUUGUUUUAUAUUAUAUUUUAAAAAAAAUUGUAUUAUUGAUAAAAUUUAUUAAAUGAUUUUUUAUAUGUUAAUUUUAGAGGUAAAAAAGAAAUUAGGGAAAAAAGGUUGAUUUAUACUGACUCGAAAUUAUUUUAUUGCACAAUAAUAAAUUACUAAUUUAUUUUGUAAGUUCUUCUAUAUGGAAAGACUCAAGAUUCUUUUACAAAUGCUAUACCUAAAAAAGUUUAUAUAAUCAUUAAUCUACCACAUUGAUCCCUUAGUCUAGACUAGCAAAGAUUAUUGUAUAAUAAAAGUUUUCAAAUUUAUUGAGCAUUAAUUUAUCAAAGUUAAAAAUAAGCUAUAGAUAAAAAAUCUAGAAAAUGGCUUCAUACCUUUUCCAACGGCAAUAGGGGCUGUUGUGCAGGAAUACCAAGUUGAUCAUUCCCAUUAUUCUGCGAUAAAUCUGCCGCGAAUAUCUUUAAUCUGUCACAACGAUACACUAAAAGAAUUUCUAGGGCGGGCCAUUCCGAAGUAUGCAUUCCAGGGUACAAACAUCUAAGUUUUGGUAGAUCAUGGAGUAUCAAAGUGGUGAGCUGUGGAAAGACAAAAUAAGGGAUCACUUGAUCUGCUCUGUUUUCAGAAAUGAUCUCCUGUAAAUCCUCACAGGAGCGUAUUUCUAGGCGUUGGAGCUGCUUAAGGCUUCCGAUCAUAGACGCUGAAAAUAUGUAUUUUAAUUUGUGACAACCCCACACAAUCAAUCGUGUUAAACUUUGAAAGUGAGGAAACACUGCAGCUGGAAUUUGAUUGUAGUGCCAAAUCUUGUCGACAUUAAUUUCAGAUAUCUCCAAAGCCUCCAAGUUAGGCAACGCAACCUAAAAAGAUAAGAAUUUCUUGUUGAAAAUUUCUCUUUGAUUACAAAUUAAUGCAAGUCAGAAUCAAUUUCCAACUGACAGCUGAGUAUGCAUUCUAAUUCAUACUACUUGUUAAGAGCUCAAUUAGUGAGUGCGUGAGAUUAUUUUUUUCCCCAUUGUUUUCAUUUUCUUUCAAUUCUCUAAAUGAUUUAAUUAUUUUCCACGUUUGACAUAAGAGAACGCAUGAUAGAAUAAACUCUGUUAUAUAUAUAUAUGAAUAAAAUGUUAGCCUACGCACCUUCUCAUUGAAAAGCAAAGUUGAAAUAUCCAAAGUGAUUUCGCUGGAGCAAUACAUAGUCGUCGAUUCCUCUUGCGACACUUGUCUGUUCGGUGAUGCUGAAGGAGUCUCCACCUCACGGCAAAAACUUGUAACCUCUGGAAGAUUCCCCAGACUCAAAGAUCUUAAUUGAGCAAACUCUAUCUUCUCAAUUGCAUUAUCAACUUCUUUCCCAAUUGCAAAAAUCUCUUUCAUCUUGCUGCAAUUAAUAACUGCAAUUCUCUCAAGUCUUGGAAGGCAUUUUGUAGUAGAGAGCCAAAAGAUAUUACUCAACUUAUCACAAUUAUAUACUUCUAUGUUUUUUGAGUUCGUUGAAAGACUCUACUUUGAGCCGAUCAAUACAUAUCCUCUCCAUGUUGAUCAAAUUGUGAAGGGCAAGUGACUCCAAAAGAGGAAAGGCAUCACAAGCGACCAUCUCCCUUGAAUCGACGAUACAAAAGAAGUCAGGAUUAUUUUGAACCCAGAGGACCUUCAAUUGUGAAAAGCCCUCCGUGUCCAAAUUGAAAAGAACAUUCUCGAUGCCUUGCAGCUUGUCCAACCGUAAGUAUUGAACGUUAUUGAUGCCUUGCAAUUUCAUGGAGCAAAUGUCCAUAAAAUCAAGCUUGAGCUUCAAUGCUCUUGAAAUCUUGCGAUUACUGUCGAUCAAAAAGUGCAGCUGACUUUUAAACCAAUGUUGUCCAAAAAGCAUGGGAUGCAUGAAUAACCCAUUUCCAAUAUGUAUUUUGAACCUUUCGAGCUUUCUGGCCAAAAGCCUUCUGGUAACAUACUCUCAUUUUUAACAUCAAUUUCUAGAGUAGUUAGCCGAGGUAAAUGCAUCAAUUCGUCAAGGCUAGCAUUACUUCUUUUGCUGUUGGCUCUUUCAACCUCCCAUUCAAUGAAGCAAUUACCAUAUACAAUUCUUCUAAUCGGAUUAAGCUUGAUAUGACAUUUGGGGCAAUAACUUUCAGACGGAAACAGUGUUAAAUCUAACAGCCUUAGCUUAGUCAGUUGACCCAGUGCUUUAGGCAACUCUACAAUAUCAGAUUGCAAAAAGCUAAGGAUUUCUAGAUUUUCCAACUUUCCAAUAAUGGCUAUGUCUAUGCCUCCGAAAAUGCUUUGAUUAAGACAAAGUGUCUGAAGAUUUACUAGAAGACCAAUUGAAGAUGGCAAUGACAAUAACCGCAUUCUAGUCAAAUCCAAAACCCGAAGCUUUUUCGUCCUUUUGAAGAAGUUCUCGGGAAUAUUAGGCACAGCAAAAGAGUUCUUGGGAGACCAUGAAUAGAAGUUCAAGUUGUAGAGAUUCCGACCCUUCAGGAAUGUCAUUAACAAUACUAUCUUUUAAAAGAAAUUGCAAAAUAUUUUUUAAUUCAUCUGCAUUUUGGCCAUUUCAAUCAUCCUCAUUUUCACCACAAAUGCAUUCAUGUCACGAAAUGCAAUUGAAAUGGCAACAUCGCGAACAACAUCGUGCAUAGAAAUGUAUUUACUGCCACCAUCCUCAAGCAACAAACAAGAGUCUCUUAGUUGAUGGACCCAUGCAUGUAAUUUGUUAUGUGCAUCUUCUAGCUUAUGGACACUUUUAAAUACACCCAAGCCCAUGCUGUAUUUGAACAAAUCCAUAAUUGGUGCUGGCGUAAUAAGACUACACAGUAAAAAAGUUUUCUUGAGUUGCUCACCUCUUAAGUACUUGUAACUCAGCUCAAUUGUUGAGUAUGCCUCUGCUGGUACUCCUUCGUCGAAGCUUGCCUCUGAAGGCGUUUUGGAGUUCUUGCAAGGCAUUCUUCCACACAGGCAGCUCUUUUUUUCUCAGUGCCUUUGCUACUGUGGUUAGGGCAAUAGGCAAACCUCCGCAUGCCUUGGCUACACUUGUUGCUGUAGAUUUUAACUCACGAUUUUCAACAUAAUCACCAGCCAUUAUCUUGAACAAUCUCCAGGCUUCUUGUUCAUUUAAAAUGCCAAUCGAGAAGUUUUUUUCAGAUCCCAUCCUUAACAGCACAUCAAGAUCUCUUGUUGUGAAUAAUAAUUUACAUCCUCUGUGCUCAACUCCAAAAGGAAUGCCAAUAGUCCCCAAAUCAAGAGGAUUCCAGAUGUUAUCGAGAAUCACAAGGAUCUUCUUCUCAUUCUUCAAUCUUUUCAUAUAGUCUACUAGCUCUUCUAGACUCAGCUUCCUCGGACAACUCUAGGCCUAACGUUUCCGCAAUUUCCUCUUGGAUCUUUCUUAUGUCUGGACAUUGGGUAACCUCCGAAAAAACCACCAUAUCGUAAAGCUUGUCUUCAAUGGCUCGCCUUGCAAACUCCUUCACCAGUGUCGUCUUUCCAAUGCCGCCCAUGCCGUACACCCCAAUGAUGCUGACAUCAACAUCGAUCAAAUGCAUUUUGUAUGGCCUUCAAAGUAGAAAGUCUUGAUUCGAAGGCUUCGUAGCCUUUGUGAGACUUGAGCCAUAUAUCCUCCGGGAAUGGUACGGUAGAAAUUCCAUCAACAAAUCUCCCAGCUUCUUCUCGGAGUUUAACAAUGGCCUUCACCUUUGUUUCUGCUUUCUUGCUAAGCUGAUAGCGGGUCUUCAAAUUAGGACACAAGCCCAUGAGACAUCGUUUAUUUGUUGUCUUCUCAUCAUCAAUGAAUUUGGCUGCCUGCUCAAUGAUGAUGUUCGCACUAACCAGCCACUUCUCAACCUUCUCUUCAAUAUUUUCCCCUUUUCUUUCAGCCUCAGAAACCCUGUGCUGAAUGCUUCUCCUUUCAUCCUUGAGCUUGUCUAUUUCUGCCUUGAGUUUCUCAACGUUGGCUUUAUAGUUACGCAAAUAACCAAGUCGGCGUUCUGUUGAGGAGCCAAGCAUUUCACAAAUUCUAAAACAAUAGUAACAAUGCUUUCCACCAUCCUGGAUCCCUUUUCUUUUUUUUCGAAGUUUCUGACAAGAAAAUAAACAAUGAGCGAAACACAGAGAGAGUGAGGAGAAAAAGAAAAAGAAACGCAAAGAUGGACAGUUUAUCUGGUUGUGGAAGCGGAGAAAUGAAGAAAUCGUAAUAGCUGUUAUGGAUCUGCUGAGAAGAUGGAAACAAGGAAAAGGUUUCUAGUUCAACAACUGGAUUGCGAGCGGAGAGACUAAUUAACAAAGACUGGAGAUUACAACAAAGCAGAUGCCAAGAGAAAAGUUGAUCCAGUGAAAUUCAAGAAGUUGACAGCAAAAGGGAGCAAAGAUUAAUAACAAAACAGCAGUGACUACAAUGAACAAAAGCAUAUGCGUUUCUUGAUUGAGAAUGAGUGCAAAGAAUGAUCCUUAAUCAAUAAAAUAUCUAACAAUAUCUUCACCGAAAGUUUGAGACAUGUGAUCCUUAUUCCACUUCGUCAAUUACACUCCAGACCAAUGCUGCCGUCAUUAUCGAACGGUCGAUAUCCAACACUUGCACGAAGAUUCCAAGAAGUUGCGUGGCUGCCGACUUUUAGAUGCAAAGCCUCAUUGUGUCGAUGUUACACGAAAGAGAGCAGUCCGGGUAAUUGCCAAAACUUAGAACUAAACAGUAGCUUAGUCAGAAAAUCAAACGCCCAGUACCGGUAAAAUGACCGAUAAAAUAUAAAAAAAACAAAAAUUUUAAAGUUUUACUUCAUUGCUUUUUUAAUCUUAUUACUAUUUCUCCUUGCACUUCUAAAGAAACCAAAGCUUUAAAAGAAAUCAGCCAAAUCACGAAGAUUGAAAACUAAAUCUAUGGUUUUAGAUUUUUAUUUUAUUUUUUUAGAUAAUAGAUAUUGUUGAGUAAUGAAAAGUACCAGCUCAGCUAUCCCCGCUUCCCUCACCUUGGGGCGAAUCCCCAGAUGAAUGGCACAAGCAGAUUCCUGGUAAUACAUCCUGUACGGGGCAUAUGCCAACUAGAAACGAGUACCGACCAGAUGUACAUACCGACCAAGUACUCAUUAUUCAAAGAAAGAGGACACGAACUCAACAAACUCACGACAAUUUUGUUAUGCCCCCAAACCGUUGGGGAGAACAUGACGCCCCACGUUUACCCACGAUUCGGUGGUUGGAGACCCAUGAAGGUUUGUCAUCACCCGAAAAUGAGGGGCAUGAAUAAGACUCAGAAAACAGGGGAUGAUUGCCUAUAAAAGGCCAAGAAAUCGAUGAAAAAUGGGAGACACAAAUUGAGAGUAAAGGGGAAACUCUGUCAAAUUAUAAUCAGAAAUUCAUAUAUCCAAAUCCUUGAUACAUUUGGUAUUGAGAAUAUUGCAACUAAUAUGUACAACACAAAUCAUUCACUUUUCUCGUAAACACCUUGUACUAACUUAAGUAUCGAAGGGUUUAUGCCCAAAAAACCAUCGGCGUCUCUGAUUUGUUUCUGUGAACGCAGGCCUGGAAGGAAGAAGACGGGUGAUUUGGGUCCCAGAAGCUCGGGAAAUUGCUGAAGCUAAUGGAUCGCAGCCUCUGUUCCUUUGCCAAUACAAGCGUUGGUGAACCAAUCUGGUCGGUCCAAAGGCGACUAGAUUUCAGCAUCAACAGAUAUUAUUUUGAUGAAUUUUUUAAUAUUAGAAUAAUGUUAGGAAUUCCAAUAAUAAAAUUCUAACUUGAGACCCAAUUGUUAUGUGUUAUUUUUUUAUUGAAUAAUGAAUUUCACAACUAAUAAAAUUUAUAUUUCCAUCAUCUAAUAAAUGACUACCAUAUCAGUUGGGACUCAAUUAUUAGGAUCCUUAACAUUGCUCUUAGUAUUAAAUUGGACAUCUUAGCUAAAUCAGAUUAAAAAUCAAAUUAGUUUUUAAGCUUUUAUUCAACAUCUCUUUUUUUUUUUUUGUCUAUUGGAAGUGAACGAAAUAAAAAUACAACAGGGUCAACGACUGGGCAAUUGGUAGUCAAGUAGAAGCAAAUCAAGGCUAAAUGGGAAAGAGAAAUGAUAUUUGUGCAAAAUAAGGAGAAAAUCAGUGUAACAGAAGAGAAUCAAAGUGCUUUUGAGAUAAAAAAUUGAAACAAGAAAAGGGUCGCUUGAUCCAAUGAAAAUGCAAAGAGCUGAUGGCAAAAGGGAACAAAGUUAAAUAAGAAAACAGCUAGCGCUAGCAGCGACCACAAUAAACAGAAAAUUUGAGAUGGAUUUACAAUAUUUCUGCCUUUCUUUAUGCUUUAAAAAAUAUUGCUCUAUCAAAAAAAAUAUUGAACAUUUUUAUUAUUGGAGUCACAAAUGACCUACACAAUAUAGCAAGUGACUAGGAAUAAAUAAGAAUAUAUAACUCUCUCUAAUUCUCACUCUGGCUUUUAAUUGUCACUCAAAACCCAGAAUUCAUCCUUAAAGUGUAGGCAAAUCAAGGAUGACACCGUUUGGUUGUCAUACGUGCCUUUUAGUUUUCGGAUGACAUGGCGUACACUUCUUCUGUAAACCCAACAAGACAUGUCGUACUCUUUUGUUUUGAGAUUCUAUUUCAAACUUUUCAUGCUAUGAAUGAAAGAUAAACUCCAAUCAUCAAAAUAUUUAGUGUUUGUUUGGUAAUGUAAUGUCAUAGUUGUGAAUUGAAAUUAUUUCUAUAAAAUAAAAGGAUUUGGGUCAUUGUUUGUUAUUUUCUGACAACAUUUAUUAAAUAUUAAAAAAUAAAUUUAUAUUUAUUAGGUAUUAAAAAUAAAUAAACAAACAAAAAUAAAAGUAAAAGUUUAUACAUUACGUAAAAUAAUGACAAUAUCAAUAUUUCGCACUCUAUAAUUGAGUGAUGUGUUGUCCAACUGGCAUACAUUGGUCCCAAACGGAGACUUAAAUAUCAAAGUCCAAAGUUAUUAUGAUGAUGACUUAUAAUCGCCAAACUUGACAUACGGGUAAUCAUGCAUUAUAAGGUGCUAAUUUCUUCCGAUCGGAACCUUAUUUUUCAUUUACAAAUAAAUAAAUGAUGUGACUUCACGGUUGGCGGGGUCCUUUGUGUCAUUUGGGCAUUUCACUAAAUGAUUGAUUGUAGCAGGAAGAUUCCUGGAAGUUGCCAUUUGCCAAUGCUACUAACAUUUUCAAACUUGGAAAACCCUUCAAUCAAUCUUUUAGUGGUAGGCUCUGGUAACUUGGUUUGAUUAUGACGUAUAAUUAUUUGAUAAUAAAGUUAGAGGAUGUAUUAAUAUAAAAUUUGUUUAUUGGUGUUGAAGUUAAUUAUCUCAUUAAUAAUAGUAUAAAAAGUUAAUUACUAAGAAACACAUAGCAAUAGUUAAUUGGUGUCAUAUUAUUGGGAUUCUGGGAUAUAAUUUUAUAUCAUAACUUUGUAAGUGUAUACUUACUCAUCAAACUAAUAAAAUUAUUUAAAAAUUUCAGUUGGAAAAAAUAAAUUAUAUUAUUUUCAUUUCAAAUAAUCUAUAAGUUAACUCAAAACAUAAUCAAGCUGAGAAUUAAAAUAAUGCUACUGUAUGAGAGGAUUUUUAUUUUUUCCCGAAGUUUCACUAGGAAAUUAUUGAUACAUAGCUUUAUUCGGAUCAUCUCAGUUCAAACGACAAAUAAUUGAAAGACUAAGCUAAAUAGACCAGCCAACAACUUUGUACAAGAGAGUUCAAAAAUUAAGGUCAUGGUAUUAAGGUGUUCUAUCUUGAAAAGUAUAGAGUAGUAAUAAAAUAAAAACUAAUAGUUUUUGGUAAGAUAUGACAUUUAAAUAAUAAUUUUCACAAAAAUACAAGGAAUAUUUAUAAAUUACUUUUAUAGUGAGGGGACCCUCACUCUGUUAAAGUGAAAAUAUCAAUAAUAUACAAAAGACAUAUAUUUUAACACAUUAAAAAUUGUAUUUUUUUAUCUAUUGGUGUAUUGAAAUAUGUGUUAUUUAGUUUGUUAGUGAUAUCAUUACUUUGUUAAAAUGAGAAUGUCGUUACUAGAGAAUCAUUAUGUAUACAUAUAUAAAGUGCUUCUGUCCAAGACCUAGACUUUAUUAAAAUUUGAGAAAGCAAAUAUAUUUUAUAUGGUAUAAUAGUGUAAUAACAUCACACUAUUAUAUCAUAUAGAGUAAUAGUUUUUCGAACUUUAAUAAAAUUCAAGAUUAUAGAAUGAAUGAUUUUUAUAUAUUAUAAAUUUUUUUAUCAUAAAUGGAGGACAAAAUUAACAUAUUUUCAAAUUAUAAUAAGCAUUUAUCAAAUAAUUUAACAUUGCAAUUUCUCCUAACUAGUAUAGUAAAUAAUACGACCUAGGAGAUACAUUCAAAGCAUUUCAUAAGUUAGUUGUUAAUAAUAAAUUAUAUAUGCAGCUCCAAUCAUCAUUGUACGGUGAGUAAUUUCCAGUUAUAAAUAGAUAUUACUCCCUUCCCAGCAAUUUUUGAUGACUUAAUUUAGUGGGAUCAAAAUCAACAUUGAAUUUUUGACCAGCUGCCAACAACUUGUGAGCAGUUCACAGUGGGUACUGCACAUGAUGCCUGUUUCUCCUUUUGCAUCUAUUUUUGUUGUUAACAUUAAUUUCAAUAGCAGCUCGUUAAUCCCAUUUGUUGAUUUGGGACUAGAUAAGAAUUUAUCUUGGAACUCCAAUUCUCCAAUUAUUUUAGUUGACAAUAUAUUUAACAUUAUUAAUUGCAUAUUAUUUAAUUAUCAGUAUAUAAUAUUCUUUAAUUUUCUAAUUUUAUAGGAUUAGACACAAAAUUGAUUAUGCCUUUUGAAAUUUAAGGGUUAUGUCAAUUGAAUAGAAAACUUGGAGGUAAACUUGUGGAUGUUUUUGUUGAUUAUCAAUUUAUGCAUGAAUUUUUGUACGUUUACUUUGGUUUAUAAUUAUUACUUUUAAACAUUUUUAUUGGUUUGAUUUAGGGUCAAUUUGGUAAUCCUGUAGCUUUAAAAUAAUUACAAUUAGCUAUGCUGUAGAAAUGAUCAAUCGUCAAGAGAAUCAGCUGAGCAUUUAGUAAAAUUUAUUUUUAAAAGUACUUUUAGUUUUAAAAGCGUUGUAUGAAUAAAACUGUUACACUAAAAAAUUAAAUGUAUUGCCCACUUGGGUAAAUAAAGCUAUAUAUUACAACUGUUACACUAAAAUUAAAUGUAUCUUAAACCCAAACUUCUUCUUCUUCUUUUUUGACUAACAAAAUUAAAAACAAUAGUGAACACAUUCUUUAAUAAACAAUAAGUAAUAAAUAAAAUCGUGUUAAAUUUCUUAAAAACUUUCUUUCACGGUUUGCUAAAUAUUUUUAUUAGUAUUUUAAAUAAAUAAAAAUAGUUGAUUUUAAUUUUUUUAAAUAAACUUAUUAGGUUUCAUGUAAAGAUGUUUUUGUUAUUUUAAAAAGUGUAGAAAGUACUCCUAAAAAAAAGCGUAGAAAGUAAAACUUAAUUUUUUAAAUUUAUUAGCUGAGUGCAUAAAUAAUUGAGUGUUCAUAAUGAUUUUUAAAGUAUAGAUAGUCGGACCCUAAUAUUUUUAAUAAAUGGAAAUUUUGCUAAUAUGUUAAUGAGAAUUAAAAAGAUAAUUAAGGGAGGCAAUCGAGACAUUCAGGAUAGUUAGGAUGGGACAUGAUUGUGAGCGGUUAGAUAUUGGUCCUAAUUUUGAUCACAAAUAUAUAAACAGGACGAGUUUAUCUCUACUUACAUUCCAUUUGAUAAUUAAGAUGAGAGUGGAAUUGUCAAAUCCCAAAUCAUCCCGGACCACUGCCACCAAGGGUACUCUCACUAAUAAUAUCUAAAGAAAAAUCUACAUCUAUUUCAUACUUUUUUUAAUGGAAAGAGCCCUCAUGGGGCUUGAAAUGGUAUCCUAAAUAAUAUUGAGAAUAUCAGGUCAUGAUUGGGUUUGUGACAAACAAAUACUACAUAGUUGGGAUACGUAGUUAUAAUGUCCCAAUUUAUGUAGUAUCUAUCAUUUAGCGCACAUAUAAAAUAUUAAUCAGCUUAAUUAAUUUAUAAAAUUUAAAUCUAAUUAAUAAGUGAUACAUAAAUGCCAAGUGCAAUACUGUAUAUGCAAAUCAUGUUUGUGGAUCAUUACAAAAUUGGCUCUUGAAAACAAGCAAGAAAGCUUAAUUAAGAACUUAAAACAAAAGAAUUAGAUUGAGAACAGUCAAGCCUUAUUUUUUCAAGGAUGGAGCUUAUAAAUCUUCAAGUACCAACAUACGCUUGGCCCAAUUGUUGUUAUUAAAAUUUCAAUAUACAUAUAUAAGUAUGAUAUAGCAAAAAUUUGAUGGUACAUAUGUCGGAAUAUACUAGUUCAUGGGUGCAUUUGAUUAUUGUUUCCAUAAAUUUGAACCAGGAAGGACGACACGAUAAAAAUUUGAUUUAUGGUAUGGUUGAUUUCAUAGCUCAUGCACUCAUUUCUUAAGAUAAUCAAAUUUUCUCUGACAUCUUUUUCAACUGUCGAAAUAUCAAUUAUGAUCAAUCAAAACGAUUUCAAAACCUUUCAACGAGACAUAUUUCUAAUACAAUAUUGUGAAAAUUACACUAAAAAAUAAUUUAUUAUAUAUUAUUAUCCAACGAGCACACAAAAAUGAUUUCGUACAAAUCUAAAAUACUAAGCAAUUUUCAAAUAGAAUUUACCAUGUACUACAAGAAAAUAGGGUAUAUGUGACCCCUACUGUGAAUGCAAAAGCAGCCAUUACGCAUAACCCCGAGUUGCUUUUGUUACCCUUUAUGUGACGGCCACACUGCUGUCACAUAUGUUACGACCGCGUGACGGUGAAGAGCCGUUCGGUAUACUAAUAUUUUAGAAUUUUAAAUUUAUUUCCAGUUAGAAAACUAUUCGCUGGACUCCGUGUUGCUGGCCACCAUCGUAAACAUAACUGGUUGCCAGCGAACGGCGUAAAACGCCGGCCAUCUUCUUCUUCAACGUAUUCUCCCUUCAUCUUUGAGGUAAGCUUGUGAUUAUGAGUUUCUUCUCUUACUUAGCUUGUAAUUAUAGAUUUUGAUUUUUUUUAAUUCGUAUUGUAGCCGUUAUUGUCAAUUUUUGUCCCGCCAGCAAUAUUUUUUUAUUCCUACAAGUUGAAACCCCUGUGUUCUUGUUCCAUUGGUGAGUUUGCUCACUCAAAUUAAUUUUGUUCUGCGGAAUUUACAAAGUUCAAAUGGAUUCAUUUGAAUUACUAUUGAAUUUAGCUUUAAUUCCAACAUCCAUUCUAAUGUUUUGCAAUUAGAUUUAAUUUAAUUUUAUGUUUAAAGCUUCUACAAUGAAUAGCGGAGCUUGGGUUUUAGUUUCAUUUUCUGGAUAACUUGUUUUUAGUUUAUCUUGUAUGCUCACCAAAUGCUUGUUAUAUUGUCUGAUAAGUUAUAUACAUUGCUGAUUCUACAUUAAUAAUGUUACGUUGUAUUUUCAGAAAUUAUAAUACAAAAGUUUUUUGCAAUGGCGUGCAUCUACAAACUGAAUUGACUUGUAGAAUAAGAGCUCGGAGUAGUGUUAUGUUCUUGAAUAAUUGAAAGUUCAUAUUGUGUAAGAGCAUUGUAGAUGUAAAGCAUCAUUACCAUUUCUACAAAGUGCUUUCAUUCUGUUCAUAUGCUCUUCUUGAACUUUGAAAGGUGCCUCGUUCAAGUCCUAGCUAUAACUACUAGCUUUGAUUAAUUAAGUUCCUAUACUAGCUGAAACAGAUUUAUUUAAUUAAUUAAUUGUGUAUGUACUAAUUAUAUUGAAAGUAUAUGAAUUUUUUUUUUAACAUGAAUGACUUCUAAAUGACUUAAAAACCUAAAGGGAUGUGUGAAACAAUGCUCAUUUCAUUUGAAUGAGCCCAUUAAUACUUUUAUGUCUAUGAUUUUCAAUAUUGGCUAAAGCAUUUCAGUUAAGUGGUUUACCUAACAGAGAAAAAAAUUUAAUAGAAAACUUCAGAGUUUCUAACAGAAAUAUAGUUCACUAUGCAGAUAUAGUUAUUUUACGGUAUACAAAUCAAGUUGUCCUAAUCUCAAUGUCCUAUGACCGAUUUUAUUUUAUAUAGUCAUUAAUUUUUUUCCUUGGUUUUUUGUGUUUAUGAGUAUGAAAUAGUGGGAUUUGGUGUACCUUAGCAUCUUUUGAAAAUUCUCUUUCAGUGUGGCCAACAGAAAUAUACAUAUAAUCAAGUUCUUAAUCGUGUAUAUUAGUUUUGGGUAUGAAUGUUCUAUUCUAGUUCGAGGCAAAGCUUCUUCGUUUUUGGUCUUCAGAUUUCCAGUAGGUUAAGUUAAUCAACUAUCAUAACUGGCUAGCUAGUUAUUGUCUGCCUUGGCGCCAUUACCAGGCCAUUAUAUUGCAUAGCAUAAGGAAUAGUGAUUAGGGGAUUAUUAGUGAUUUGUUGAGCUUAUUAUCGACCAAACAAACAUAUUCGCCUUUGCCCACAACUUAGUUUGAUUAGUUAUUAGACCAUAAAGAGCCUUGAUCUAUUCAUUGGCUUUAUUAUUUUUAUUUGGUUUUUCUUUCAACAAUAUUGUUGAUUUCUUAUAAAAAUAUUCAUUGGUUUUUAAACACCUAAUCAUUGGCUAUAUGAAGCUAAUUAAAACUGAGGCUUUGGAUCAAUUUCUUCUAACAAGAUACAAAUGAGCAUUAACCUAUCUCCUAUGAGUAAAUUUUUUUAAUAUCCUUGAUUUGUAAGGAUCUGGAGGCCUGAAAUCCUCUAGAUUUUUUUUAACACUGUCAAUGUUCUUUUAUUUCUGAGAAGGAAAUAAAAGGUUUUAUCUUUCAUACCCAAAUAGUAAGCUGGCCUUGUCUUAACAUGGCCUCCGAGGACUUGCAAGAUUCAUAGUGCCCCCACCCCAAAAAAAUAAAAAUAAAAAAACACAAAUAGGAAGAUUUUGCAAGAUUCACCACCAGGUUUUUUUUAAUUUGUUAAUUGUGUGUACGUGCUAGUUAUAUGUUGAAAGAAUAGGAAAGAAGUAUUUCAACAUGAAUGACUUAAAACUUAUUGCUCAGUAAACAUAAUCUGCAUGUAUUUAUCGUUUGUAUUUUUUAUGGUUUUGCUAAAGAAAUGAUAUGUGAAAUAAUGCUACAUUUGCAUCAGGAAUAAAUUGAAGAGAUUUAUGAUAUUUAUGUGUUAUUCAAAUUUCAGAUUCAAUUUUAAACUUUUGAUACGUGCAUUGAAAGCUUAGACUUGUUUAAGAAAUUAUUAAUAGACACAUGUUUUUAUUAGUGUCAUCUUUGGAUGAUAGUGAGGAUCAUAUGUCUAUUAAUAAUUCUUGAAUUGUCCAGGCUUGGACAGUUUGGGAAUGCAUAGUUCACUCUGGUAGCUAGUAGCUGAAGUUUUUUCCCACGUAAAAAUGGGUUUUUCAGUAGCUGCUCCUCGUGUUCUCUGGGUACGUACUAGGUGAAUGGGUGUCAUGUGUUGUUUUGGCAUAACGCAUAAACACUUAUAUAGCUAUGUCGUGUGCUUGGAGAAUUAUAGGGAGAUGGUGCCGAAAUUUUUAUAAACGUGGAAGAAAACUUUAGGUACUUGAGAUUGAAGAAACUUAUGCAUUCUUGAGUGGGAUAUGUAGGAUUACUUACCUUUUGUAAAUAUGAAGGGAAUGUUGGAUAUAUUGGGGAUAGUGUAGGAGCUGAGUUGGAUGAAUGUAAUUGGUGAUGAUUUUUGCUGAGCUGACCUUGGUUUUGAGCUUGUAAUUUUGUUUGUAAAUGGAGUGCUAUCUCCAAUGUUGGUUUAUAAAUAUGUUUCAGGACUUGCUGACCUAAUUUUUUGUUUCUAGGUUACAGGCUUUAUAUAUCUGUAAUUGAUGGCGAAGUGAAGUUCCCAGAACUUGGCGAGGAUGUUUCUUUACAGAAGGUAUUGGAAACUGUUUUUUACAUUAAUUAUUGUUGUAUAUAUACUUUGAUUUUCACAUCUUUUUCUCUGAUUCUUGUGGCUUUGCUUGCUUUCAUAUAUGUAAAUUCUAAUGAAAAUUAACCAUAAAAUUGUUUAAAAUGAUCUUUUUAUUAUAUUGCAAAACUGUGCACACACGAAAAUAUAUUGUUUAGUAGUAGAAAUGAAGAACUAAAAUGAUUUACUUAACUAAUUUUUGUAGCGCAUUAAAAGGAGAUAGUCAUGGACAUGUGUUGGGUUGGUUUGCCAAAUAGAUAUCCAAGUCAUAUACUGAUGGGGAUGAAAAAUUUAUAGAUUUUGCAUUUGAGAAUGUUGUUGGUGGUACAAGAAUUUAAUGUCCUUUUAAGAAGUGUUGUAAUCUAUAUUUCGUUAUAAAGGAAAGUGGCUGAUGAUGAUAUGGUUGGAAUGAUACAAUGCAUCACGUAAUCAAAUGUUCAAGUUACACGGAGCAUUGUUAUGGACUAUCAGUGACUUUCUAGCAUUGCCAACUUGUCUGGGUGGAGUAUUAAAGGUAAAUAAGCAUGUCUUGUUUGCCAACAAAACACUAGAUCUAAUUGGUUGAUACAUAGUAGAAAAUUUUGUCACGUGGGUCACCGUCGAUUUUUACCAACAAAUCAUAGGUUUCGAAAAUAUAGUGUCUUUUGAUAAAACUAGAGAGUAGGGACCAGCACAUUCUCGGUUGUCUGGAUCUGAAGUGAAAAAGCAGUUUAAUAUACUUACUGAGUAUAAGAUUGAAGACUUGAAAAUAGGAGAAUGAAUAAAAUGAGAGAAAUGAUAAGAUUACUUGGAAGAAGAAAAGCAUAUUUUAUGAACUACCGUGUUGGGAGUUCAAUUUGAUUCAUCAUAUCUUGAUCUCAUGGGCUGUUUUGAUUUUUGUUAUGAACUCAGAUCAAAAGUUUAAUGUGAUCAAAAUUUCUUAAAAAUAGUGAAAACGACUCCUAAUAAUAUGGAAGAUGGCUAUAAAAAGAUAAAAGGAAAGGCUUAAAAAGAAAAGCCAUGCCUGUCCAAAAAAAAAAAAAUCAACAAAAAUCAAAACGGUGCGUUUGAGAGUGUAUAAAAUACAUUUAGAGUGGGAGUUGUGUUGUUGCUUGAAGGCAGAAAGAUAUUUGUCGACGAAGCCAAAACCAAAGAUGAAGCCCAUAAAGCUCAAACUCCACCGGAGCAAAUUCAGGACAAUUACGAGGGUUAUGUUUGACAUAGUCAAGGAAGACGGUCCUCUCACCGUUGCCGAAACUUGGGAACGCGUCAAGGUGUGUGUAUCUGUUAAAUUGAAUUUCAACCGUUUGAUCUGUAAUUAUAAUUAAUCCAAUCGAUCUGACAGUGAUCACUGACCAUAAUACUAGUAGUUGUUUUACAUUUUCAGCAGGCUAGAGCGGGUGGAUUGACGGGCAAAAGCUCAGGCUCGUCUGCAAUCACAUGGGCCCUCAUAAGCAAAUCCUGUACACAACUUGGUUCACUAAACCCAACAACUUGAAGCAGCCAAAAUCAGGGAAUGAUCCUUCUCCGUCACAACCCUAGCUGCCUUAACCUUGUAGUGACACGGUGAAGAUGGAAGCCCCUCAGCAUGUAAACUUUUCAACAGCGACAGAGCUCUUAUUCCAGAGGCUGCACAGAAGAGCGACCUGGAAUCCUCUUCAAAACUUUCAAAUUUUUAUCAAGUAAAGCUUUCAAAAUUUCUCAACAAACUGAUUAUUUGGUGUGGUUGCCACAUUUUGUGCAACUGCUAUUCGUCUUCAAGUACAAAUUCCUUGCCUUCUAAGUUAGGGAACAUAGAUGUGGAGCAAACAGGGAAAUAGAUGUGGAGCAAACAGGGAAACAGCAAUGAUGGCAAUUAACAAACUAAUAGCAGUAUUACAUUUGAUUCUUUAGCCCAAUUUUGUUCCUUCUGUCAGCCAUUCUUCAAAAGUUUUUGAAAAUUAGAUGUGAAGCAAAAAAAAAACAAAUUUAGACAACAGAAGCCCUGUGCUCAACAUCAUAUAUAUACCUUGAAUACCUAAUAUACUAAAUUUCACAUAUAAAAUACUAGAGAUUUCAAACAGUACCAGCAAUAGAAUAAUGACAACGACAACAAUAACAGAAAAUUACAAGAUUGCUGACAAAAUUUAUGUGAUUUACUGUGCCUUUAUGCAUGCAAAAUGAAACUGAAGAUAAAAAAUUUAGGGAAAAGGACACAGAGACCCCCAACGUUUGAAUAAGGGACACAAAAUCCCUUAAUGUUUCAAAAAAGACACUCAGACCCCCAUUUGUUAACAUUAAAUUAUAAUUUUACCAUUGUACCCUUAUAGCAUAUUAAAAAAUAAUUAUUCAUUAUCCAAUUUAUUUCUAUAUUAUUAAUAAAAUUACGAAUAUAACUUCAUUACUCAAUUUUUCCAUUUAAUUUUUAUCAAAUUUUAUCUUCAAACUAAAUAAAUUUAAUCCAUUGCUCAAAAAUAAAAAUAAAUUAAAUUGAUUAUUAAUAUAAUAAAAAUAACAAUUCUCCAUAUGUUAUUUCUUAUAAUUUCUUAUAUAUAAAUUAAAUUGAUAAUUUCUUAAAAAUAACAAUUCUCCAUAUAUAAAUUAAAUUUAUUUUAAUUUAAUAUAUGUUAUUUUUAUAUUAAAUAUAUGUUAUUUUUAUUAUAUUAGUAAUCAAUUUAAUUUAUUUUUAUUCUUGAGUAAUGGAUUAAAUUUAUUUAGUUUGAAGAGAAAAUUUGACAAAAAUUAAAUGGAAAAAUUGGAUAAUGAAGUUAUAUUCGUAAUUUUAUUAAUAAUAUAGGAAUAAAUUGAACAAUGAACAAUUAUUUUUUAAUAUGCUAUGAGGGUAUAAUGGUAAAAAUUAUAAUUUACUGUUAACAAAUGGGGGUCUCAGUGUUUUUUUUGAAACAUUAGGGGGUUUUGUGUCCCUUAUUCAAACGUUGGGGGUCUCUGUGUCCUUUUCCCAAAAAUUUAUAAACUAGAAAUUUAUAAUAAUCUAACUUAUUCUCGUUACUAUUAAAAAAUAAGUAAACAUAUCAAUAACAAUAUAGUUUAUUAUGAUUAUAAUUCAUUCAAUUAAAAUAAAUAAUUUAUUCUUAUUUCUAUUCUCUAUUCUAAUUUCAGUAAAUUUUGAUUUUAGUUUAUUUUAAUUAUUGAUUAGUUGUAAACUUAACUGGAAAUUUAUUGCAUAUAUUACGAGAAGCAGUACACACCAAUGGUAAAUUGAUACAUCGUUUUUGAGCUUAAGAUAGUCAAAUGAAAGAAACACAACGUAGGGUUCAUGAAACACUUUCAAAGCUGCUGAUGACUUAAAGUGAAUAACCUCAGCAUGUAAACUUAACUUCAAAGGACGGAGCACAAGUUUCACAGAAAAACAGCUCUUAUUUCUGAUGCUGCGAACACAGAGGAGUGACCUCAAUCUUCUUCAUCACUUGGGAAUUCUGCAAUUAUAGAGCACGACAUUGAGCAUGAACUAGAAAAAAUAUUUAUUUUCUACAAUUUUCAUAUAACCUCACUAACCAAGAUUAAUUUUGUGGUAAUGUAUUGGGUCAUUAAUUCAUAUGUUUUUACUGUCAUCACUUUAGAAAAAACUAAUUUCUCAAUGUGAAAUGGCCCAUAAAAGGUAUUCUCAUUUAAAAACUAAAUUUGACAAACCCUCGAUUAAAGCAGGGGAGAGAAAAGAAAAAAAAAAGAUCUGAAGGCUUUCCACAUGAAAAUGUUGUCACUUUGGAUGAUAUUUUCAAGGGAUUUCAUUCUAAAAAUAAAAUACCUGGGACCUUAUUCUUCAAAUUGACAGCUCGCCCAGUACUAAACGCGUAUGAGAUCAGUACUGGGACAAGUAACGAGACGACCCCUCCAACAGCUGAAAAUAAAAUUCGCAUUCAUCAAUUUAAAUUGAAAUUCAUAUUAUGAAAUUAAAACUAAUGAUUAAUGAAUUUUCAAGGAAUUUAAUAAGAUUCUCAUAUAUAAACGUGAUAAAAAAUUCACUCAUCAAUAACAAAUAUUCUAACAUUUUGUUGAUGUAAUUGUUGUAUGGUUGUGUUAAGGUCAUUAUUAGACCAACGCAGUUUGUCAUCACUCAUUCCGUACCAGACGUUUACUCUCGGAGGCGUGAUUGAUUCUCCUUUGGUGAAAUCUUCAUCUUCGGACAACCAAUCACAGUAAGAUAUUCCAAAGAUGGGAAUUUGAAGGCGUAAUUGCCAGAGGAGAAGCUUGUGAGACUAUCUAAAUCAAACAGGGACAACGUAGUCAGUUUGCUGAAAACAAUCUCUUCUUUUAAAUAUGCUGUUUCAUUUCAAGACUGGCAAAAUUCAUUGUGUAAUCAAAGUUUUCAAUGAUCCAACUAAUAUAUAUAUAUAUGUAUGUAUAUUCCUUCUCUAGUGCAGACAUUCUCAUUUUUUUUUUUCAUGUGGACCAGUUUUUAGAUCCCCUGGUUUAAAAGAGUUAGUUUUUAACUCUUUAAAACCGCAUGGCUUCAUAAUUUAUUUAAAAACUAACUCUCUUAAACCGCACGGUUUAAAAGCGUGUCCACAUUAAAAAAAAAUACGGACCCCCACACCUGAGAAUGAUUAUAUAUAUAUAUAUAUAUAUAUAUAGACACACGCUCUUAAACCGUGGGAUUUGAAAGCUUCUCCGCAUGAAGAAAGUAAAAAAUAAGGGCAUUCCCACUAGAAACAAACUCCAUAUAGGUAUUUAUUAAACCUCCUGAUCUGUGAGUGAGGAACAACAAAUAUAAUUGAUAAAAAAAAUCUAAAAUUUGGUUUCAUACCUUCUUGAACGAGAACAGGGGUUGUUGUGCCGGAAUACCAAAUUGAUCAUUCUCGUUAUUCUGGGACAACGUUAUUUUAUCACAAUUACAGGCCUCCAAUGUUUUUUAGUGCUGGCCAUUCUGAAGUAUGCAUUCCAGGGUAUAAACAUCCGAGUUCUGGUAGACCUUCGAGAUUCAGAGUGGUCACUUGUGGAAAGACAAAAUAUGGGGUCACUUGAUCUGCUCUGUCUUUGGAGAUGAUCUCUUGUAAACCCAUACAUAUCCGUAUCUCCAGGUGUUGGAGGUGCUCAAGGCUUUGGAUCAUAGAAGCUGAAAAUAUGUAUUUUAAUUUGUCACAGCCCCACACUAUCAAUCGUGUCAAACUUUGAAAGCCGCAAGUUGAUUGUCAUGCAAAAUCUCGUCGACAUUAAUAGCAUUCAGCUCCAAAGCCUCCAAAUUUGGCAACACUACCUGAAGAUAAUUUUCUCUUUAGAUCCAAUAUCCGUAUGGAAAGCACUUGUUUUGACACAAUAUCCAUAUAAGAAGCACUUAAUUAAGAGCUUAAUUAGCGAGUGUAUGAGACUUUUUUUUUUUCAAAUGCCAGUGCAUGAUAGAACUAAAAAAAAAAAAGAAGCAUUAGCCUACGUACCUUCUCGUUGAAAGCAGAGUUGACGUUUCCGAACUGAUCUCGUUGGAACUGGCUGUCAAUUCCUCUUGCGACUCUUGUCUGUUUGGUGAUGUGGAAGAAGUCUUCACUUCACCGCAAAACCUUGUAACCUUUGGAAGCUUUCCCAGACUCAAAGAUCUUAAUUGACCAAACUCUAUCUUCCCAUCAACAUCAACAUCAGCUUCUCCUCCAGUUGCAAAAAUCUCUUCCAUGCUGCUGCAAUUGAUAACUGCAAUCCUCUCCAGUCUUGGAAGGCAUUUUGUACUACUAGAGAGCCAGAAGAUAUUACUCAACUCAUCACAAUUUUCUACUUUUAUGGUUUUGAGUUCAUUGAAGGACUCUAUUUUGAGUCGAUCAAUACAUAUCCUCUCCAUAUUGAUCAAAUUUUGAAGAGUAUGGGACUCCAAAAGAGGAAAGGCGACACAUGGUUCUCUCUCCAUUGAAUCGACGAUACACAGGAAGUCUGGAUUAUUUUGAACAUGGAGAUGCUUCAAUUGUGAAAAGCCCUCAGUGUCCAAUUCUAAAACAACAUUCUUGAUUCCUUGCAACUUAUCCAAACAUAAGUAUUCAACGUUAUUGAUGCGCUGCAACUUCUCGGAGCAAAUGGCCAUAGAAUCAAGCUUGAGCUUCAAUGUUCUUAAACUCUCAUGAUUACUGAUCAUAAAGUGCUGCCGACUUUCAAACCAAUCAUUCUCAAUAACCAGGGUAGAGUCGAAUGAUGCAUCUCCUAUUGAUAUAUCAAACCUUUCCAGCUUUUUGGAAAAAAAGCCAUCCGGUAAAAUGCUAUCAUUUUUAACAUCUAUCUAAGGUGGUCAAUCGCCUCAUAUGCAUCAAUUCGUCGAGGGUGGCAUUACUUCUUUCACUAUUGGCCUUUUCAACUUCCCAUUCAAUAGGGGAAUUACCCAUAUACAGUUCUUCCAAUCGAGUGAAGCUUGAUAAGACGUUGGGCACAAUAAAUUUUAGUUGCAAACAAUCUGUUAAAUCUAACAGCCUUAACUUAGUCAGUUGACCUAGUUCGCCAGGCAACCGUACAAUAUCAGAAUUUAAAAAGCUAAGGAUUUCUAGAUUCUUCAACUUUCCAAUUAUGGCUAUGUCUCCCAACAUGCUUUGAUCUAGACAGAGUGUUUGAAGAUUUGCUAGAAGACCGAUUGAAGAUGGCAAUGAAAAUAAUCGCAUUCGUGUCAAAUCUACAACUCGAAGCUUUUUCAGCCCUUUGAAAAUGUUGUCAGGAAUAUUGACCUCAACAAAAGUGUUUUGGGAAAUAUGUAAAAAUUCAAGUUGCAGACAUUCAAAUUCCUCAGAAACUUCAUGAAUGCUACUAUUUAGUAAAGAGAUUGCAUAGCAUUUUUUAAGUGCAUCCUCAUCUGGCCACUCCCACACAGCCUCAUUUCUCACCAAUAAAGCAUGUUGGUCUCGAUUUAAACUUUAACUCAAUUUGAAAAACUGAGCAAGUAUGCGUUACAGGAAAUCAAAAAAGCUCCACAUACCCAGAUCAUGAUCUCACGUUGAAUCCAGGUGGGAGAUAUAUUUAUGAUCAAGCCCAACAUCGAAGGGGCAAAAAAAAAAAAAAAAAAAAAAAUCUACCAGACAUAUGAUCAUAUUGACCACGAGCUUCAUACGCCGUGGAUUUAUUAACAAAAGUGGGAAUUAAUUAAUCAUGAGCAUGUGUUCUAGUUAAGUCAAAAGAGAGACUUAAUUAAGAACGCAUAUAUAAUUCAUAAUCAGCACAUAAAAAGAUCACUAGUGCUUGCCCCUCCUGCCCUUGCCGUGCUUGCCGUGCUUGCCCCUGCCCUUGCUCUUUCCAUGCUGGUAGUAGCCGCCGUGCUUGCCGUGUGUGUAUGCACCGUGAGCUCCAGGAUAUGCGUUAUUAUCUGCAACAAAAUAAGAAAUUAAAUCAUAAGCUUAUAAUUAGCUCGCUCGCUAAGAGUGAUUAAAAUAAUACCGUGCGGAACGGAUGGGCCAGGAUAUCCCGUUGGUGUGUAACCACUGGCGAGUGCUGCUCCUGUAGGCGGGUAGCCGGCACCGGCUGGGCAGCAUGAUCAGCACCUUCCAUGAUUUUGAUGAUCACCUAAUAAAUAAUAACUUGGUCCAAAAUAAACAACAAUAAAUAAUUGUGAUUAAUAAAAAGUAAUAUAUUCUCUAAUUAAAACAUUAAUGAUCAUUGGAGAGCAAGCGAGAAAUACUUACUGAAUGCGAUGGGACAGACAACAUCAUGCAUAGAGAAUUGUUCAUCUUCAACGAAUUUGGCUGCCCGGUCAAUGAUGCCGUUAGCACUAACCAGCCACUUCUCAACCUUCUCUUCAAUCUCUUCCCCUUUUUCUUUUGCCUCUGAAACUCUGCGCCGAAUGCUCGUACGUUCAACCUUCAACUUCUCCAUUUCCGUCUUGAGAUUCUCAAGGUUGGCAUUGUAGUUCCGCUUGCGCAAAUAAACAAGUUGGCGUUCUGUUGGAGGAGCCAAGCAUUUUACAAGUUCCAAAACGAGAGUAACAAUGAUUUCCAGCAUCUUGAAUCCUGACAACAAUGUAGAAGUGAAGAAGGCCAAAGGACAGUCAAAACAGAGAGACAGCGUUACGACAAGCAGUUAUGGAGCUAAAAAUAAAUAACAAACAAACAGAAGCAAAGUGUUUUUCGAAUGAGAAGAAGGAAGCAAGAAAAACUUAAAACUAGUAUAAUAAAUUUAUACUAAAACUAGUAUAGUAAAACAAGAAGUCAAGAACCAGCAACUUUUACACACAAAAUAAAACCUUAAAACUAGUAUAAUAAAUUUAUCAUCAAGUUGCAGCCUUCUUAUUCAACAAUUACAGCAUUAUCUUGAGCUCUGUGUUUCUUUUUUUAAAAAUUAUUCAAAAAAAUCUGCAUUUGUUUUUCAACGAUAAAAAUUAUAUUUUUGUCUCAUAUAAUAUAAAAUUAAAAAAAAAACAAACAUAUAUUAAAGGUCUGUUUGGGAUUAUUUUUAGAGGCUCAAAAGUAAUUUUAAAAAGUUAAAUGCUAAUUUUGGUAUUUAAUAAAAUUUUUAGAAGUCACCUUUGGUAAAAUCAUCAAUCCUACAACAAAUUUUGAAAGCAAAUAGUUUUUCAAAUUUUUAUUUUGAUAAUUAAUUUUAUACUUAAUAUAAUUCCAUAUACAUCCCUACAUAUAUUAAUUAUCCUUAUUAAUUAGAAAAUAAAAUUAUUAACUUUAAAGAUAUUAUCAACAAUUACAUUGAGAUAACAAACUAAAAAAUAAAAUUAAUAAUAUAAAAUAUUUAUUUUAGUAAUCAAUUAUUAUACUUACAAGAUAAAAAAUAUUUUAUUUAAAUGUUUAUAAAUGUACAAAUAAAUUUUAUUUAAUAUUAUAUUCAAUUUAGUCAUUUACAUUGUCAAUAGGACUUCUAAAAAUAAAUUUUCCUAAAUGUUUAACUAAUUCUCUUCAUAGUGAUUAUUUCCAAACAUAACUACCAAAAAUUACUAUAAUAGAUACAACAUUACCAAAAAAAUAUUGAGAUAGAUUUUAAUUAGGUAAUUGACUUAAUUAUGAAUCAAUUUAUUAUUUCCAUAUGUGUUAUCAAAACCAGCUCAAUAAUGAGAUCACUCUUUUUCUUAAAUAAAAAUAUUUGUGCCAAACAAUUGUUGCAAAAUUUCAAAUAUAAAUUACAAACAACAAAAUUUUUCUAAAAUCAUAACAAUAAUUUAUGUUGUGAAUACAUGUAACUAAACCACAUUGAAAUUUUAUUGUUAGUAAAAUUGUUUUUCACGCAAAUGCAGUGACGGAUUCAGUUUCAUGUUUCACCCUCAAUAACUUAAUUUUCAUAUCUAACAAAUCAUCCAUAUUAUUAACAAUAUCAUCACCAAACAUAAUCUACCUAAACAUAAACUAAACAUAACACAUACAUAUAACUAUAUACAUACCGAAUCAGGAAAACAAUGAAAGCUACACGUAUCCGGCUCUACAAUUCCUUCUUGAUACCCUUGUGCUUCUGAAAUAAUCAACCAAUUAUAAAAAUUAGCUUAGGCGCAACUUUACCCCUUUUUUGGAAAACUUAACGAUAAAUAAAGUAUACAAAUCUCUAAAUUAACUUCGUCCCCAUGAAAUUCAGCAUAAAUAGAAAUAGAAUUAUAGAAACCUUACUACCUUUUAUGAGAAAUCCAACUUAUAUAUUUGAGACCUCUCUCUCUAAACACGCGCUUCCUCUCUCUGUACACUUUCCACCUUUGAAUUUUCCUUCACUAAGUCUACCUAAAUGAAUUUAGCAUUCUUCCAGUUUCUUUAGCAUUUUUUCUCCGUGAAAAUAGGUGAAAAAGAGAAAGUGGUUUGAUUAUUUUAAUGUAUGACAGAUCUGGUUUCCAUCUCUGUAAUUUAAGUUUGUCAAACGAGAUAAUCAACUCUUUGUCGAGUCAGUCAAAUAUAAAAGACAAAUUACUAAACCAAGCAGAGCCCAAAAAAAAAAUAUUUCCAAUUAAAUAAUCAUCAAGUCUUUUUCAAUUAAAUUAGGGAGUGCAGAACAACUGUCGAGAGAUAAUCAUUGUUUAUGGAGCCAUAUUAUAUUUUCGAUUAAAAUAGUUGCGCGUGAACAAUUGGCAGAAUUCGUAUAAAUUGUUGUCAGGUCUAUUAUAAUUAACAAGCGGAAUGGCCAAUGGAUGAAGAACCACUGUAAUUUCGUUUAUGAAUUCAAAAUGCUAAAGAAACUGGACAUCAACGCUAAAUGUCAGCCUGCGGCCCUUGCCUCAGUGUCUUUCAGGCGUUACUCUGGGUAGUUGAUAUACUGACCGUCCCUUUAUCAAUUAAUAAUCGAAAUAGGUUAAAAAUAUGAAUGGAUUGAAUGGUAUGACUUGGAAUUAAAAUAUGGAAUGACGAUUAGAUUAAUUAAUUUAUUUAAAUUGAGAAAUUAGAAUCAUAAUAAAUUAUAUUGUUAUUGAUGUAUUUGUUUUAUCUUAAAAUUGCGAUGAGUUGUUACAAAUUACUAAUAUGCCUUUGAUUUUGUAUUAUGAUAAUUAUUAUUUAUUAUAACAUUUGUCAUAUAAUAAUAAUAAUAAUAACAACAACAACAAUUAAUAUUGAAAAAUUUUUAUUGUUAAUAAUAAAUAGGCAAUUAUCCACCGAUCAUGUGAUCUUUUGGACGUUUUAAAAAAUAUACAAACACUUUUUUCUUUGCAGAAAUCCACCUGAAAUUUACAAGUGUUUCAAUUGUUCACUGUUCAUCUAAAUUUUGUUAGAAUUUUCUUGACGUUGUAAGGAUAAAAUUGUUAUUUUUACCUUGACUUCCAAAGAGGAUGUCUUUCAAACAUGAUGAAAAUAAAAAAAAAGGAUAAAAAAUUAUCUGUAAACUAUCUGAUCUUUUAGCCAUUAUACAAAAUAUUAAAAAAAUAUACGAACAUUUUUUAUUUUUUUCAACAAUCCAUCUGAUAGUUAUGAAGUGCAUUAGUGCUCCACUACUAUCAUAACCCUUUAAAAAUAUCGCUUAAACACGAGAACCUAUUGCCUAAAAUUAUUUUUCAAGAAAUGUAACUACAGAUUUGGUUUUGAUCUUCAUGACUUUUAAGUGUACAAGAACAAGAUGAACGAACCUUUGUCGAGUUGAUGAAUUAAGAUAAAUCAAUUACAAAUCGAGAACAAACUUACGGGUGACAUUUUAGUAUUAAGCAAACUAUAAUUGAUCAUCCAAUGAUAGGCUUAUUUUCAAUUAAAUUAGAGUAAAGAUAGACAUUCCAAAUUUUUCUCUCAAAUUUAAUCUAGAUAAUGUGUUAUUAAUUGAGUGCUUGGUAAUUCUUUCAAGAUCUAAGUGAAUUAAUUAUAUUAUCUCUCCAACCAAUUGAUGAAUAUUAUAUUAUUUGAGAUAAUUUUUUUUUAUCUCAAAUCCCAGCAAAGAAAACAGAACAAACGGAGCAAAAAUAUUUUUAGAAACCUAAAAUAACAAAAAAAAACUUUUUCUUGUUUUUCUUAUUUUCCACUGUUAAACUUCAAAAUGAACAACUUUAUUCUACCAUCUCUCAAAUAAUAAUAAUAACAACAAUGUCAUCAUCAUCAAUAAUAAUAAUAAUAUAUUAACUUUGUAGGAUGGAGCUCUCGCAAAUCUUCAAGACACAAAAUGUGCUUGACCCCAUUGUUGUUAUUAUAAUUUCAAAAUCAUCUGUAUUAUAUAAUAUUAGGGAAUAUGACAUAGCAAAAUUGAUGGUACAUAUGUUGCAAUAUACUUGUUCAUGUGGCGACACAUUGAAGUAAAGCACAAGCAAAACAACGAAAAAUGUAACGGGAGAGCUCUCAUUAUGUAGAUUUUCAAUAGAAGUAAUGCAAAUUUCACAAGGAAUGGCCUUAUUUCGAAUGCUGCACCUGAGGAAUGACUUGAAUCUUCUUUAGAACUCAAGCAUUCUGUAAUCAUAGGGUAUAACAUUUCAACAAAAAUAUUAUAUAGGUCGUUCCUUUAUAUAUUUUCUGGGUACACAUACAGAAAUAUUAUUUUAGGUACAUUUCUCACAAUAAAGCCUGCCCAAUCUAGCAUUUUCGUAGUUGGGUUUCUUAUUUACAUGUUUUUUCCAUUGGUUAAUUAUCACAAACCUCCACUGAGAUUUAGCAUGUUUUUAGUUUGAUAGAUUGUAUUCGCGUAUUCUCAAAUACCUUUUAGUUUACCACUUCGUAUAAAUUAAGUUGGUGAGGAUAAAAUCAUAAAAGUACACAUUAAUGAUAAAAAAAUUCAAGUAAACUUGAAAUUUUCAAGGGGUAAUUUUUCGGGACCUCCCCUGAGGUUCGGUGUAUUAAAAGUCUCAUAGAAAGUAUUCAUGUAAUUAUAAGAACCUCCCCUGACGUUAGUACACAGUUAACUUGACUGUUAGUGGACUGAUAAAAAGUCAAAAAUGCCAUUGGCUACAAAAAUGAGUGCAACAAUUUGGAGUUAAAUAGUAAACACCACAUUGGAGCACUAAAAAGUCUAUAAUAAUCAUGGAAAAAAAUCAUUGACAUUUACAUAAUAUAAAAAAAAAAAGUAAAAUAUAAAUUAAGAAAAUCAACAAAAUUGUCAACGUAUAGAAUAUUUACAGCAGCAGUGGCUAUAAAUACAACCGUCGUCAAAUUAAAAUAUCACCAUUAGUAAACUACUUCAAUAAGACAAUAAACCAUGAUUCACUCUUCAAAGCAUUCAAAAUACACAACCCGCACAAUAGAAUCACAUACGCACACCUGCUAAUGAAAUAUAAGAACAAACAGGAAAUUGAACUGACAUGGCUAAGAUACUCCUUCCCCAUAGCUAUUAGAAAGAUAAUGAGCGAUUUAUGAAUCAUGAUGCUUGCUUUACUUUCUGGCAGUGUUAGCUUCAAAUUCAAUGAUAGUAAAUGAACAAUGGUUCAUUCAUUAUGAAAGUAAGUGUAAAGCUAGGAAUUUAUAAUAUUCAGAUGUUGGAAUUGGAAAAAUAUUCCUUAAUCGUUUCAAUUGAAGCCAAGGAAGAAAAGAAAUGAGUCUUCUUUUUUCAGGAGACAAGCCAUAUGAAGAAGGCAGACCAGAGCAUAAGAACGAAUGCUACUGCCACAGUAAAAGCCUGGAUCAAUGGGUAAUGGUACCUGCCAUGUCAAUUUCAAGACAAACAAAAAUCAAUUAUCAUCCCCAGACCACAACACCACCAAACCAACCUUUUGAAUCUAAAAUAACAAGUUAAUAAAUCAAAGAUUUCAAUUCAUUUAAGUUUGAAAUCAACUAAAAUAGAAAAAAAAAACCCAAUUUCUUUUUUGUUCAAUAUAACUCAUUCAGCAUCUUCUUCAACACAUUUUUUAUCAUUCUUCAUCAUCCACAACAAUAAAAAGAAAAAAAAAAACAUUGAGUCCAACAUGCAAGUUUUUUUUUUGGAAAACUAACCGUUUUUAGGUUCCAAUUUCUAGUAGUCUUAAACAGUAGCCGCCGACGAAAUUCGCUUGGCGACACCCUUUUGCCACCAUUGCAGCUUGUCAUGUUCAUACUCAGCUUAAAAUUACUUGAAGGCAGCAGGGAUUUUAUAGUUACAAAAGUUUCUUCAGAGCUUUUCAAGCUUGAAAAUGGCUGAGAGUUUCAUUUCAUGAGAGAGAAAAUGGAGUUUUCAUUCAUCUUAGAUAAAUUGAAGAUAAUUUGCAUUGUGGUAAUAAAUUGAUUGUCAGUGCCUAAAUUUGGGUCAUUCGACACAACUUGGAAUUUUUUUUAUUUUUUCUUUGAUUUUUAUUAUGAAACUACUAAUUUACCCUCAUAUACUAACAUAUAUGAAAUGGCAUACUAACGUCAGUUAUGUCAAGCAGCUCCCUGUAAUUACGUGAAUAUUUUUCAUGAGACUGUCAAUACACAAAAUCUCAGGGGAAAUCCCUAAACAUUACCUAAUUUUUAAGUUGUGUUCUGAAAUUGGUCUCAACUUUGUAAUGUGUAAUGCCCACAAAAAAAGAAAAGGAAAAAUGGUCAUCUCUUUCCUCCAUUCGAACUGAAGCCAUGAAACGCAAUAUCCCUUUCAUCUUCUCUCUAAUGCUUUGAUUAAAAAACUUGCUUACGAACGGGAGACCAUGACACUGAAUCCGAAGACAGAAAUACCUGAGAUGACUGAUUCACGCCGGCGAUGUGGAAGAAUACCGACCAGUGACUUUCGCCGUCGACCCACAAACAAUCCCAGUGUUUUCGAGCCGCGAAUGAGGUAUGAAUAAGAUUAUUUCCGUGCGUGUCAGUUUUGUAAGGAGAUUUGAUUAAAAAAAGAAUAAUGGGUCUCGAAAAUUUUUGAGUAUUUCUGUUGCUUAAAUUUUUUCCAUCGAUUAAUGUUAGUUGUAGGUGAAUGAUUGUUGCAAACGCAUGUUCGCUUGUGAUUGAUUGAAAAUGACUUGUUAUUUGUUAUGCUGCCAUGUGACUCAUUGAAAAUGCCUCUGAAAUUUUUUUAUUUGUUUAAGGUACUGAUUCUGAUUAUUGAACAGGGAUUCAUGCUAGUUUUUAUUAAAUUAAAGAUGAGAUUAUUUUUUAAGAGAUCUACCAAACCUUCUCUACUAUAGAUUUGGCUUCUGACAUACCUGGUUCGCUGGAGAUAAUUGUUUAUAUAGUCAUUGCUGCUCGUAUUAAUCAGGAACAUUGAUUAGCAAUGUACUGGAAUAGAGAUUGGUAUAAUUUUGGAAAAUUAGUCGUAGAUGCAACCUGAUUAUGGUCUCAAAUAGUGUGAUCUGUCAAUUCCGUUUGCUCUAGCCUAACAACCUUGAAUCUGAGCUAUGCCACUAUACAAAGUCCUGACCUAAUCAAGCUUGUUAGCCAAUGUCCAAAAUUGCAGUGUCUUUAGAUAAGCCCUGUCUUACUUGUUUGAGUUAUAAAUGAAAAUUGAAGUGUCUUUGGAUAAUCACGCUGAAUGUUCAAGUUAUUGAAGAGAAGGGACCCCAGAUUCAAGGCCGGAGCUCCCUGUUGAGAAGCUUUACAUAUAUGGGAUUGUCGCUGGGCGGAGGAUCGAUAUGCCCGGUUUUGUUUGGAAUAGGGAUGAAGAUUUUGCAUUGAGGCUUUCUUGAUAGAUCAUUCUGCAAAUCAAGCUCCAUGUACCUAUCUUCAGACUCUUGGAUAUGUAUAAAGCAGGUGCAUGCUCUAUAUGUUACUCAUUGUAUCACGAUUAUUUUUCUAUUGCUUAAAAUAAUUGCAGUCCUUGAUGUAGUUGGAGACAACUUAUGGAGGGUAUACAGAGGCUCGAGAGUUUGAUUGCCAUUCAUUUGACACUUGGCUGAGCUACAGCAUACCAACUAGUGAUUAAUAAAGAGAAGGUAUGAAGGUCCUGUUGCUGGUGGUAUUAUCAAUCAGAAUUGUUAUUUUACUUAGUCAUAGUUACCAUGUAUAAGAUUCGUAGACUUUUUGCAUGUUUAUGCAUUCGCAUCAUCUUUUUGUUAAGCUAGAGAUGGUUGAUUUGUGUACUCAUUUGUAUCACUUGUAGCCCUUGAGGAAUAAAAUUUAAAAUUUUGUUGCAUCUCCUGUACUAAAUACUAAUUUUGUUUGCUUUAUGUAUGGGAAAUGGUUCAUUAUCUUAUUUCUUUGAUGUGUAUAGUGUUACACUGUCUAAAGUUGAAAAGUAUUUCUAUCACUUGUGUAAAAAACAAACAAUUUUUUUUUCACUCUUCUUAUAUUGAAUAAAAGAAGGACACCAAGAUCUUCACCAAGAUUGAACGAAAUUUGAUGCAGAAAGCAUAGCAAUUAGGCCAGUGCAAAAUAGCUUCCUUCUGAUUCUCUGAUAUUUGACUUAAAUCUUUUGUUUGUUUCAUUCAUCAAAGUCAUUUUGGAAAGUAGCAGGCGUGAUUUGAUAUUUUCAUUGUAUUCACAUCCGUUGGCACCAAAACAAACAUGCUGGUACUAACCAACAAUUUUUUAUUUUUAGUGUACAAAUUAUUAUUUUUAAGACAAAUAAGCUGGUACUAACCAACAAUAUUUAUUUUCAGUAUACAAAUUAUUAUUUUUUUUUCUAAAUUAGGGGUAUUAAGAAAAGGUAUGCUAGCACCAGGGGAGGUAUUUGAAAAUAUACAAAUACAAUCUAUCAAACUGAGAAUACACCGAACCGGCAGGUUUCUGAUAAAUCCUUUUUUUCUUUUUCCUCCAUUCACUAUAGGUUCAAUUUAGACGCUGUUGACCAAACAGAAGGUUUGGGUUGGUAAACGCACUGGUGUUAAUGCCAACAACCCAAGGGGCUUCAUGGUCCUCUGGGCCGAAAUAGCGUAAUUAUUAAUUCUCCUCCAGUGAAAAUCUUCAUCUUGGGACAAAUAAUUACGAAUUGACAUUAUAGCUGUGGAAAUUUGGAGGUGUAAUAACCGGAAAAGUAAAAAUCUUAAGAGACUUUUUAAAUAAAAAAGAUACAACACCUUCAAUUUGCUAAAAGUAAUGGUAUCAUUUCUUGUACGGAUAAUGGAUGAUUAGAUUUUGUUUUUGUUAUCCGACGAAGGAUAUUCAGUUGUUCUUUAUGUGUUCACAGGCAAGAGCAUGAGCAUAUUCAUGGUUUCAUAUAUGCUUCUUGCAUUUUCUAAUUAAGUACUCUCUUUCCUUGCCUUCUUAGUUUUGAAAGAAAGAUGUGAAGCAAAGCAAACCAGUGAAAUAUACAGAGAAACAGAACCAUCAGAGGAAAAACUAAAUAACAGAACCACAAUUGAACCAAACAAAAUCAAAUAAACCGAGGCAACGGAUACCCUGAAUCAGGCAUCCCUUUUUCUCGAAAGAAAAUAUGUUUGCAUGGGUGGGAACCUAAUAAUUACUCAAGAGUUGGAGUUGGAAAGAUUUGGUAUUCAUAUCUUCACAAUUCAUAAGCUUUAAUGCAGAAUCGACAGCUUUAUAUUAAUUUAUUCAACCAAAAACGAUAAAGUAGGAAAACCACAAUAAUCCACCAACUUUUGCUACUUUUAGGAAUAAUUUUUAGUCAACUUUCAAAAAGUGAGAUGACGAUCUUUGAGUUGAUAAAUCUUGGCCUGCUGCUUAGUACCCUUCCAACAUAUAAAGUACUAGAUGUUUAGCUGAGAAAAUGACGAGAUCAUUUAUCAAAUUUCUUGCGCAUAUAUACAUAUAUAUACAAGAAAUAAGAAUCAGAGUGAUUAUAAGACCUUGCAAUGAGGCAAUAAUACAUCAUCAAAUCUAAAAAUACACAAGAAAUUCGUGACGUAUAUAACAAUAGACCUCUCAUUGAGUCAUACAUAUUGAGAAUAAAAUGUCAAAAUGCAUACAAAGAGCUUAUACAGAAAAUGAAUUUACACACAUUUAGAAUAAACUGUCUUUGAACUUCCGAUGGNNNNNNNNNNNNNNNNNNNNNNNNNNNNNNNNNNNNNNNNNNNNNNNNNNNNNNNNNNNNNNNNNNNNNNNNNNNNNNNNNNNNNNNNNNNNNNNNNNNNNNNNNNNNNNNNNNNNNNNNNNNNNNNNNNNNNNNNNNNNNNNNNNNNNNNNNNNNNNNNNNNNNNNNNNNNNNNNNNNNNNNNNNNNNNNNNNNNNNNNNNNNNNNNNNNNNNNNNNNNNNNNNNNNNNNNNNNNNNNNNNNNNNNNNNNNNNNNNNNNNNNNNNNNNNNNNNNNNNNNNNNNNNNNNNNNNNNNNNNNNNNNNNNNNNNNNNNNNNNNNNNNNNNNNNNNNNNNNNNNNNNNNNNNNNNNNNNNNNNNNNNNNNNNNNNNNNNNNNNNNNNNNNNNNNNNNNNNNNNNNNNNNNNNNNNNNNNNNNNNNNNNNNNNNNNNNNNNNNNNNNNNNNNNNNNNNNNNNNNNNNNNNNNNNNNNNNNNNNNNNNNNNNNNNNNNNNNNNNNNNNNNNNNNNNNNNNNNNNNNNNNNNNNNNNNNNNNNNNNNNNNNNNNNNNNNNNNNNNNNNNNNNNNNNNNNNNNNNNNNNNNNNNNNNNNNNNNNNNNNNNNNNNNNNNNNNNNNNNNNNNNNNNNNNNNNNNNNNNNNNNNNNNNNNNNNNNNNNNNNNNNNNNNNNNNNNNNNNNNNNNNNNNNNNNNNNNNNNNNNNNNNNNNNNNNNNNNNNNNNNNNNNNNNNNNNNNNNNNNNNNNNNNNNNNNNNNNNNNNNNNNNNNNNNNNNNNNNNNNNNNNNNNNNNNNNNNNNNNNNNNNNNNNNNNNNNNNNNNNNNNNNNNNNNNNNNNNNNNNNNNNNNNNNNNNNNNNNNNNNNNNNNNNNNNNNNNNNNNNNNNNNNNNNNNNNNNNNNNNNNNNNNNNNNNNNNNNNNNNNNNNNNNNNNNNNNNNNNNNNNNNNNNNNNNNNNNNNNNNNNNNNNNNNNNNNNNNNNNNNNNNNNNNNNNNNNNNNNNNNNNNNNNNNNNNNNNNNNNNNNNNNNNNNNNNNNNNNNNNNNNNNNNNNNNNNNNNNNNNNNNNNNNNNNNNNNNNNNNNNNNNNNNNNNNNNNNNNNNNNNNNNNNNNNNNNNNNNNNNNNNNNNNNNNNNNNNNNNNNNNNNNNNNNNNNNNNNNNNNNNNNNNNNNNNNNNNNNNNNNNNNNNNNNNNNNNNNNNNNNNNNNNNNNNNNNNNNNNNNNNNNNNNNNNNNNNNNNNNNNNNNNNNNNNNNNNNNNNNNNNNNNNNNNNNNNNNNNNNNNNNNNNNNNNNNNNNNNNNNNNNNNNNNNNNNNNNNNNNNNNNNNNNNNNNNNNNNNNNNNNNNNNNNNNNNNNNNNNNNNNNNNNNNNNNNNNNNNNNNNNNNNNNNNNNNNNNNNNNNNNNNNNNNNNNNNNNNNNNNNNNNNNNNNNNNNNNNNNNNNNNNNNNNNNNNNNNNNNNNNNNNNNNNNNNNNNNNNNNNNNNNNNNNNNNNNNNNNNNNNNNNNNNNNNNNNNNNNNNNNNNNNNNNNNNNNNNNNNNNNNNNNNNNNNNNNNNNNNNNNNNNNNNNNNNNNNNNNNNNNNNNNNNNNNNNNNNNNNNNNNNNNNNNNNNNNNNNNNNNNNNNNNNNNNNNNNNNNNNNNNNNNNNNNNNNNNNNNNNNNNNNNNNNNNNNNNNNNNNNNNNNNNNNNNNNNNNNNNNNNNNNNNNNNNNNNNNNNNNNNNNNNNNNNNNNNNNNNNNNNNNNNNNNNACAAUUUUGUUAUGCCCCAAACCGUUGGGAGAAACAUGACGCCCCACGUUUACCCACGAUUCGGUGGUUGGAGACCCAUGAAGGUUUGUCAUCACCCGAAAAUGAGGGGCAUGAAUAAGACUCAGAAAACAGGGAUGAUUGCCUAUAAAAGGCCAAGAAAUCGAUGAAAAAUGGGAGACACAAAUUGAGAGUAAAGGGGAAACUCUGUCAAAUUAUAAUCAGAAAUUCAUAUAUCCAAAUCCUUGAUACAUUUGGUAUUGAGAAUAUUGCAACUAAUAUGUACAACACAAAUCAUUCACUUUUCUCGUAAACACCUUGUACUAACUUAAGUAUCGAAGGGUUUAUGCCCAAAAAACCAUCGGCGUCUCUGAUUUGUUUCUGUGAACGCAGGCCUGGAAGGAAGAAGACGGGUGAUUUGGGUCCAGAAGCUCGGGAAAUUGCUGAAGCUAAUGGAUCGCAGCCUCUGUUCCUUUGCCAAUACAAGCGUUGGUGAACCAAUCUGGUCGGUCCAAAGGCGACUAGAUUUCAGCAUCAACAGAUAUUAUUUUGAUGAAUUUUUUAAUAUUAGAAUAAUGUUAGGAAUUCCAAUAAUAAAAUUCUAACUUGAGACCCAAUUGUUAUGUGUUAUUUUUUAUUGAAUAAUGAAUUUCACAACUAAUAAAAUUUAUAUUUCCAUCAUCUAAUAAAUGACUACCAUAUCAGUUGGGACUCAAUUAUUAGGAUCCUUAACAUUGCUCUUAGUAUUAAAUUGGACAUCUUAGCUAAAUCAGAUUAAAAAUCAAAUUAGUUUUUAGGCUUUUAUUCAACAUCUCUUUUUUUUUUUUUUUUGUCUAUUGGAAGUGAACGAAUAAAAAUACAACAGGGUCAACGACUGGGCAAUUGGUAGUCAAGUAGAAGCAAAUCAAGGCUAAAUGGGAAAGAGAAAUGAUAUUUGUGCAAAAUAAGGAGAAAAUCAGUGUAACAGAAGAGAAUCAAAGUGCUUUUGAGAUAAAAAAUUGAAACAAGAAAAGGGUCGCUUGAUCCAAUGAAAAUGCAAAGAGCUGAUGGCAAAAGGGAACAAAGUUAAAUAAGAAAACAGCUAGCGCUAGCAGCGACCACAAUAAACAGAAAAUUUGAGAUGGAUUUACAAUAUUUCUGCCUUUCUUUAUGCUUUAAAAAUAUUGCUCUAUCAAAAAAAAAAUAUUGAACAUUUUUAUUAUUGGAGUCACAAAUGACCUACACAAUAUAGCAAGUGACUAGGAAUAAUAAGAAUAUAUAACUCUCUCUAAUUCUCACUCUGGCUUUUAAUUGUCACUCAAAACCCAGAAUUCAUCCUUAAAGUGUAGGCAAAUCAAGGAUGACACCGUUUGGUUGUCAUACGUGCCUUUUAGUUUUCGGAUGACAUGGCGUACACUUCUUCUGUAAACCCAACAAGACAUGUCGUACUCUUUUGUUUUGAGAUUCUAUUUCAAACUUUUCAUGCUAUGAAUGAAAGAUAAACUCCAAUCAUCAAAAUAUUUAGUGUUUGGUAAUGUAAUGUCAUAGUUGUGAAUUGAAAUUAUUUCUAUAAAAAUAAAGGAUUUGGGUCAUUGUUUGUUAUUUUCUGACAACAUUUAUUAAAUAUUAAAAAUAAAUUUAUAUUUAUUAGGUAUUAAAAAUAAAUAAACAAACAAAAAUAAAAGUAAAAGUUUAUACAUUACGUAAAAAUAAUGACAAUAUCAAUAUUUCGCACUCUAUAAUGAGUGAUGUGUGUCCAACUGGCAUACAUUGUCCCAAACGGAGACUUAAAUAUCAAAGUCCAAAGUUAUUAUGAUGAUGACUUAUAAUCGCCAAACUUGACAUACGGGUAAUCAUGCAUUAUAAGGUGCUAAUUUCUUCCGAUCGGAACCUUAUUUUCAUUUACAAAUAAAUAAAUGAUGUGACUUCACGGUUGGCGGGGUCCUUUGUGUCAUUUGGGCAUUUCACUAAAUGAUUGAUUGUAGCAGGAAGAUUCCUGGAAGUUGCCAUUUGCCAAUGCUACUAACAUUUUCAAACUUGGAAAACCCUUCAAUCAAUCUUUAGUGGAGGCUCUGGUAACUUGGUUUGAUUAUGACGUUAAUAUUUGAUAAUAAAGUUAGAGGAUGUAUUAAUAUAAAAUUUGUUUAUUGGUGUUGAAGUUAAUUAUCUCAUUAAUUAUAGUAUAAAAAGUUAAUUACUAAGAAACACAUAGCAAUAGUUAAUGGUGUCAUAUUAUUGGGAUUCUGGGAUACAAUUUAUAUCAUAACUUGUAAGUGUAUACUUACUCAUCAAACUAAUAAAAUUAUUUAAAAAUUUCAGUUGGAAAAAUAAAUUAUAUUAUUUUCAUUUCAAAUAAUCUAUAAGUUAACUCAAAACAUAAUCAAGCUGAGAAUUAAAAUAAUGCUACUGUAUGAGAGGAUUUUUAUUUUUUCCCGGAAGUUUCACUAGGAAAUUAUUGAUACAUAGCUUAUUCGGAUCAUUCUCAGUUCAAACGACAAAUAAUUGAAAGACUAAGCUAAAUAGACCAGCCAACAACUUUGUACAAGAGAGUUCAAAAAUUAAGGUCAUGGUAUUAAGGUGUUCUAUCUUGAAAAGUAUAGAGUAGUAAUAAAAUAAAAACUAAUAUUUUUGGUAAGAUAUGACAUUUAAAUAAUAAUUUCACAAAAUACAAAGGAAUAUUUAUAAAUUACUUUUAUAGUGAGGGGACCUCACUCUGUUAAAGUGAAAAUAUCAAUAAUAUACAAAAGACAUAUAUUUUAACACAUUAAAAAUUGUAUUUUUUUUAUCUAUUGUUAUUGAAAUAUGUGUUAUUUAGUUUGUUAGUGAUAUCAUUACUUUGUUAAAAUGAGAAUGUCGUUACUAGAGAAUCAUUAUGUAUACAUAUAUAAAGUGCUUCUGUCCAAGAACUAGACUUUAUUAAAAUUUGAGAAAGCAAAUAUAUUUUAUAUGGUAUAAUAGUGUAAUAACAUCACACUAUUAUAUCAUAUAGAGUAAUAGUUUUUCGAACUUUAAUAAAAUUCAAGAUUAUAGAAUGAAUGAUUUUUAUAUAUUAUAAAUUUUUUUAUCAUAAAUGGAGGACAAAAUUAACAUAUUUCAAAUUAUAAUAAGCAUUUAUCAAAUAAUUUAACAUUGCAAUUUCUCCUAACUAGUAUAGUAAAUAAUACGACCUAGGAGAUACAUUCAAAGCAUUUCAUAAGUUAGUUGUUUAAUAAUAAAUUAUAUAUGCAGCUCCAAUCAUCAUUGUACGGUGAGUAAUUUCCAGUUAUAAAUAGAUAUUACUCCCUUCCCAGCAAUUUUUGAUGACUUAAUUUAGUGGAUCAAAAUCACAUUGAAUUUUUGACCAGCUGCACAACUUGUGAGCAGUUCACAGUGGGUACUGCACAUGAUGCCUGUUUCUCCUUUUGCAUCUAUUUUGUUGUUAACAUUAAUUUCAAUAGCAGCUCGUUAAUCCCAUUUGUUGAUUUGGGACUAGAUAAGAAUUUAUCUUGGAACUCCAAUUCUCCAAUUAUUUUAGUUGACAAUAUAUUUAACAUUAUUAAUUGCAUAUUAUUUAAUUAUCAGUAUAUAAUAUUCUUUAAUUUUCUAAUUUUAUAGGAUUAGACACAAAAUUGAUUAUGCCUUUUGAAAUUUAAGGGUUAUGUCAAUUGAAUAGAAAACUUGGAGGUAAACUUGUGGAUGUUUUGUUGAUUAUCAAUUUAUGCAUGAAUUUUUGUACGUUUACUUUGGUUUAUAAUUAUUACUUUUAAACAUUUUUAUUGGUUUGAUUUAGGGUCAAUUUGGUAAUCCUGUAGCUUUUAAAAUAAUUACAAUUAGCUAUGCUGUAGAAAAUUGAUCAAUCGUCAAGAGAAUCAGCUGAGCAUUUAGUAAAAUUUAUUUUUUAAAAGUACUUUUAGUUUUAAAAGCGUUGUAUGAAUAAAACUGUUACACUAAAAAUUAAAUGUAUUGCCACUUGGGUAAAUAAAGCUAUAUAUUACAACUGUUACACUAAAAAUUAAAUGUAUCUUAAACCCAAACUUCUUCUUCUUCUUUUUUUGACUAACAAAAUUAAAAACAAUAGUGAACACAUUCUUUAAUAAACAAUAAGUAAUAAAUAAAAUCGUGUUAAAUUUCUUAAAAACUUUCUUUCACGGUUUGCUAAAUAUUUUUAUUAGUAUUUUAAAUAAAUAAAAUAGUUGAUUUAAUUUUUUAAAUAAACUUAUUAGGUUCAUGUAAAGAUGUUUUUGUUAUUUUAAAAAGUGUAGAAAGUACUCCUAAAAAAAAGCGUAGAAAGUAAAACUUAAUUUUUUAAAUUUAUUAGCUGAGUGCAUAAAUAAUUGAGUGUUCAUAAUGAUUUUAAAGUAUAGAUAGUCGGACCCUAAUAUUUUUAAUAAAUGGAAAUUUUGCUAAUAUGUUAAUGAGAAUUAAAAAGAUAAUUAAGGGAGGCAAUCGAGACAUUCAGGAUAGUUAGGAUGGGACAUGAUUGUGAGCGGUUAGAUAUUGGUCCUAAUUUUGAUCACAAAUAUAUAAACAGGACGAGUUUAUCUCUACUUACAUUCCAUUUGAUAAUUUAAGAUGAGAGUGGAAUUGUCAAAUCCCAAUCAUCCCGGACCACUGCCACAAGGGGUACUCUCACUAAUAAUAUCUAAAGAAAAAUCUACAUCUAUUUCAUACUUUUUUUUAAUGGAAAGAGCCCUCAUGGGGCUUGAAUGGUAUCCUAAAUAAUAUUGAGAAUAUCAGGUCAUGAUUGGGUUUGUGACAAACAAAUACUACAUAGUUGGGAUACGUAGUUAUAAUGUCCCAAUUUAUGUAGUAUCUAUCAUUUAGCGCACAUAUAAAAUAUUAAUCAGCUUAAUUAAUUUAUAAAAUUUAAAUCUAAUUAAUAAGUGAUACAUAAUGCCAAGUGCAAUACUGUAUAUGCAAAUCAUGUUUGUGGAUCAUUACAAAAUUGGCUCUUGAAAACAAGCAAGAAAGCUUAAUUAAGAACUUAAAACAAAAGAAUUAGAUUGAGAACAGUCAAGCCUUAUUUUUUCAAGGAUGGAGCUUAUAAAUCUUCAAGUACCAACAUACGCUUGGCCCAAUUGUUGUUAUUAAAAUUUCAAUAUACAUAUAUAAGUAUGAUAUAGCAAAAAUUUGAUGGUACAUAUGUCGGAAUAUACUAGUUCAUGGGUGCAUUUGAUUAUUGUUUCCAUAAUUUUGAACCAGGAAGGACGACACGAUUAAAAUUUGAUUUUAUGGUAUGGUUGAUUUCAUAGCUCAUGCACUCAUUUCUUAAGAUAAUCAAAUUUUCUCUGACAUCUUUUUCAACUGUCGAAAUAUCAAUUAUGAUCAAUCAAAACGAUUUCAAAACCUUUCAACGAGACAUAUUUCUAAUACAAUAUUGUGAAAAUUACACUAAAAAAUUAAUUUAUUAUAUAUUAUUAUCCAACGAGCACACAAAAUGAUUUCGUACAAAUCUAAAAUACUAAGCAAUUUUCAAAUAGAAUUUACCAUGUACUACAAGAAAAUAGGGUAUAUGUGACCCCUACUGUGAAUGCAAAAGCAGCCAUUACGCAUAACCCCGAGUUGCUUUUGUUACCCUUUAUGUGACGGCCACACUGCUGUCACAUAUGUUACGAACCGCGUGACGGUGAAGAGCCGUUCGGUUAUACUAAUAUUUUAGAAUUUUAAAUUUAUUUCCAGUUAGAAAACUAUUCGCUGGACUCCGUGUUGCUGGCCACCAUCGUAAACAUAACUGGUUGCCAGCGAACGGCGUAAAACGCCGGCCAUCUUCUUCUUCAACGUAUUCUCCCUUCAUCUUUUGAGGUAAGCUUGUGAUUAUGAGUUUCUUCUCUUACUUAGCUUGUAAUUAUAGAUUUUGAUUUUUUUUAAUUCGUAUUGUAGCCGUUAUUGUCAAUUUUUGUCCCGCCAGCAAUAUUUUUUUAUUCCUACAAGUUGAACCCCUGUGUUCUUGUUCCAUUGGUGAGUUUGCUCACUCAAAUUAAUUUUGUUCUGCGGAAUUUACAAAGUUCAAAUGGAUUCAUUUGAAUUACUAUUGAAUUUAGCUUUAAUUCCAACAUCCAUUCUAAUGUUUUGCAAUUAGAUUUAAUUUAAUUUUAUGUUUAAAGCUUCUACAAUGAAUAGCGGAGCUUGGGUUUUAGUUUCAUUUUCUGGAUAACUUGUUUUAGUUUAUCUUGUAUGCUCACCAAAUGCUUGUUAUAUUGUCUGAUAAGUUAUAUACAUUGCUGAUUCUACAUUAAUAAUGUUACGUUGUAUUUUCAGAAAUUAUAAUACAAAAGUUUUUGCAAUGGCGUGCAUCUACAAACUGAAUUGACUUGUAGAAUAAGAGCUCGGAGUAGUGUUAUGUUCUUGAAUAAUUGAAAGUUCAUAUUGUGUAAGAGCAUGUAGAUGUAAAGCAUCAUUACCAUUUCUACAAAGUGCUUUCAUUCUGUUCAUAUGCUCUUCUUGAACUUUGAAAGGUGCCUCGUUCAAGUCCUAGCUAUAACUACUAGCUUUGAUUAAUUAAGUUCCUAUACUAGCUGAAACAGAUUUAUUUAAUUAAUUAAUUGUGUAUGUACUAAUUAUAUUGAAAGUAUAUGAAUUUUUUUUUAACAUGAAUGACUUCUAAAUGACUUAAAAACCUAAAGGAUGUGUGAAACAAUGCUCAUUUCAUUUGAAUGAGCCCAUUAAUACUUUUAUGUCUAUGAUUUUCAAUAUUGGCUAAAGCAUUUCAGUUAAGUGGUUUACCUAACAGAGAAAAAAAUUUAAUAGAAAACUUCAGAGUUCUAACAGAAAUAUAGUUCACUAUGCAGAUAUAGUUAUUUUACGGUAUACAAAUCAAGUUGUCCUAAUCUCAAUGUCCUAUGACCGAUUUUAUUUUAUAUAGUCAUUAAUUUUUUCCUUGGUUUUUUGUGUUUAUGAGUAUGAAAUAGUGGGAUUUGGUGUACCUUAGCAUCUUUUGAAAAUUCUCUUUCAGUGUGGCCAACAGAAAUAUACAUAUAAUCAAGUUUCUUAAUCGUGUAUAUUAGUUUUGGGUAUGAAUGUUCCUAUUCUAGUUCGAGGCAAAGCUUCUUCGUUUUGGUCUUCAGAUUUCCAGUAGGUUAAGUUAAUCAACUAUCAUAACUGGCUAGCUAGUUAUUGUCUGCCUUGGCGCCAUUACCCAGGCCAUUAUAUUGCAUAGCAUAAGGAAUAGUGAUUAGGGGAUUAUUAGUGAUUUGUUGAGCUUAUUAUCGACCAAACAAACAUAUUCGCCUUUGCCCACAACUUAGUUUGAUUAGUUAUUAGACCAUAAAGAGCCUUGAUCUAUUCAUUGGCUUUAUUAUUUUUAUUUGGUUUUUCUUUCAACAAUAUUGUUGAUUUCUUAUAAAAAUAUUCAUUGGUUUUUAAAACACCUAAUCAUUGGCUAUAUGAAGCUAAUUAAAACUGAGGCUUUGGAUCAAUUUCUUCUAACAAGAUACAAAUGAGCAUUAACCUAUCUCCUAUGAGUAAAUUUUUUUAAUAUCCUUGAUUUGUAAGGAUCUGGAGGCCUGAAAUCCUCUAGAUUUUUUUUAACACUGUCAAUGUUCUUUUUAUUCUGAGAAGGAAAUAAAAGGUUUUAUCUUUCAUACCCAAAUAGUAAGCUGGCCUUGUCUUAACAUGGCCUCCGAGGACUUGCAAGAUUCAUAGUGCCCCCCACCCCAAAAAAUAAAAAAUAAAAAACACAAAUAGGAAGAUUUUGCAAGAUUCACCACCAGGUUUUUUUUUAAUUUGUUAAUUGUGUGUACGUGCUAGUUAUAUGUUGAAAGAAUAGGAAGAAGUAUUUCAACAUGAAUGACUUAAAACUUAUUGCUCAGUAAACAUAAUCUGCAUGUAUUUAUCGUUUGUAUUUUUUAUGGUUUUGCUAAAGAAAUGAUAUGUGAAAUAAUGCUACAUUGCAUCAGGAAUAAAUUGAAGAGAUUUAUGAUAUUUAUGUGUUAUUCAAAUUUCAGAUUCAAUUUUAAACUUUUGAUACGUGCAUUGAAAGCUUAGACUUGUUUAAGAAAUUAUUAAUAGACACAUGUUUUUAUUAGUGUCAUCUUUGGAUGAUAGUGAGGAUCAUAUGUCUAUUAAUAAUUCUUGAAUUGUCCAGGCUUGGACAGUUUGGGAAUGCAUAGUUCACUCUGGUAGCUAGUAGCUGAAGUUUUUUCCCACGUAAAAAUGGGUUUUUCAGUAGCUGCUCCUCGUGUUCUCUGGGUACGUACUAGGUGAAUGGGUGUCAUGUGUUGUUUUGGCAUAACGCAUAAACACUUAUAUAGCUAUGUCGUGUGCUUGGAGAAUUAUAGGGAGAUGGUGCCGAAAUUUUUAUAAACGUGGAAGAAAACUUUAGGUACUUGAGAUUGAAGAAACUUAUGCAUUCUUGAGUGGGAUAUGUAGGAUUACUUACCUUUUGUAAAUAUGAAGGGAAUGUUGGAUAUAUUGGGGAUAGUGUAGGAGCUGAGUUGGAUGAAUGUAAUUGGUGAUGAUUUUGCUGAGCUGACCUUGGUUUUGAGCUUGUAAUUUGUUGUAAAUGGAGUGCUAUCUCCAAUGUUGGUUUAUAAAUAUGUUUCAGGACUUGCUGACCUAAUUUUUUGUUUCUAGGUUACAGGCUUUAUAUAUCUGUAAUUGAUGGCGAAGUGAAGUUCCCAGAACUUGGCGAGGAUGUUUCUUUACAGAAGGUAUUGGAAACUGUUUUUUACAUUAAUUAUUGUUGUAUAUAUACUUUGAUUUUCACAUCUUUUUCUCUGAUUCUUGUGGCUUUGCUUGCUUUCAUAUAUGUAAAUUCUAAUGAAAUUAACCAUAAAAUUGUAAAAUGAUCUUUUUAUUAUAUUGCAAAACUGUGCACACACGAAAAUAUAUUGUUUAGUAGUAGAAAUGAAGAACUAAAAUGAUUUACUUAACUAAUUUUUGUAGCGCAUUAAAAGGAGAUAGUCAUGGACAUGUGUUGGGUUGGUUUGCCAAAUAGAUAUCCAAGUCAUAUACUGAUGGGGAUGAAAAAUUUAUAGAUUUUGCAUUUGAGAAUGUUGUUGGUGGUACAAGAAUUUAAUGUCCUUUUAAGAAGUGUUGUAAUCUAUAUUUCGUUAUAAGGAAAGUGGCUGAUGAUGAUAUGGUUGGAAUGAUACAAUGCAUCACGUAAUCAAAUGUUCAAGUUACACGGAGCAUUGUUAUGGACUAUCAGUGACUUUCUAGCAUUGCCAACUUGUCUGGGUGGAGUAUUAAAGGUAAAUAAGCAUGUCUUGUUUGCCAACAAAACACUAGAUCUAAUUGGUUGAUACAUAGUAGAAAAUUUUGUCACGUGGGUCACCGUCGAUUUUUACCAACAAAUCAUAGGUUUCGAAAAUAUAGUGUCUUUUGAUAAAACUAGAGAGUAGGGACCAGCACAUUCUCGGUUGUCUGGAUCUGAAGUGAAAAAGCAGUUUAAUAUACUUACUGAGUAUAAGAUUGAAGACUUGAAAAUAGGAGAAUGAAUAAAAUGAGAGAAAUGAUAAGAUUACUUGGAAGAAGAAAAGCAUAUUUUAUGAACUACCGUGUUGGGAGUUCAAUUUGAUUCAUCAUAAUCUUGAUCUCAUGGGCUGUUUUGAUUUUUGUUAUGAACUCAGAUCAAAAGUUUAAUGUGAUCAAAAUUUCUUAAAAAUAGUGAAAAACGACUCCUAAUAAUAUGGAAGAUGGCUAUAAAAGAUAAAAGGAAAGGCUUAAAAAGAAAAGCCAUGCCUGUCCAAAAAAAAAAAAAAAUCAACAAAAAUCAAAACGGUGCGUUUGAGAGUGUAUAAAAUACAUUUAGAGUGGGAGUUGUGUUGUUGCUUGAAGGCAGAAAGAUAUUUGUCGACGAAGCCAAAACCAAAGAUGAAGCCCAUAAAGCUCAAAACUCCACCGGAGCAAAUUCAGACAAUUACGAGGGUUAUGUUUGACAUAGUCAAGGAAGACGGUCCUCUCACCGUUGCCGAAACUUGGGAACGCGUCAAGGUGUGUGUAUCUGUUAAAUUGAAUUUCAACCGUUUGAUCUGUAAUUAUAAUUAAUCCAAUCGAUCUGACAGUGAUCACUGACCAUAAUACUAGUAGUUGUUUUACAUUUUCAGCAGGCUAGAGCGGGUGGAUUGACGGGCAAAAGCUCAGGCUCGUCUGCAAUCACAUGGGCCCUCAUAAGCAAAUCCUGUACACAACUUGGUUCACUAAACCCAACAACUUGAAGCAGCCAAAAUCAGGGAAUGAUCCUUCUCCGUCACAACCCUAGCUGCCUUAACCUUGUAGUGACACGGUGAAGAUGGAAGCCCCUCAGCAUGUAAACUUUUCAACAGCGACAGAGCUCUUAUUCCAGAGGCUGCACAGAAGAGCGACCUGAAUCCUCUUCAAAACUUUCAAAUUUUUAUCAAGUAAAGCUUUCAAAAUUUCUCAACAAACUGAUUAUUUGGUGUGGUUGCCACAUUUUGUGCAACUGCUAUUCGUCUUCAAGUACAAAUUCCUUGCCUUCUAAGUUAGGGAACAUAGAUGUGGAGCAAACAGGGAAAUAGAUGUGGAGCAAACAGGGAAACAGCAAUGAUGGCAAUUAACAAACUAAUAGCAGUAUUACAUUUGAUUCUUUAGCCCAAUUUUGUUCCUUCUGUCAGCCAUUCUUCAAAAGUUUUUGAAAAUUAGAUGUGAAGCAAAAAAAAAACAAAUUUAGACAACAGAAGCCCUGUGCUCAACAUCAUAUAUAUACCUUGAAUACCUAAUAUACUAAAUUUCACAUAUAAAAUACUAGAGAUUUCAAACAGUACCAGCAAUAGAAUAAUGACAACGACAACAAUAACAGAAAAUUACAAGAUUGCUGACAAAAUUUAUGUGAUUUACUGUGCCUUUAUGCAUGCAAAAUGAAACUGAAGAUAAAAAAUUUAGGGAAAAGGACACAGAGACCCCCAACGUUUGAAUAAGGGACACAAAAUCCCUUAAUGUUUCAAAAAAGACACUCAGACCCCCAUUUGUUAACAUUAAAUUAUAAUUUUACCAUUGUACCCUUAUAGCAUAUUAAAAAAUAAUUAUUCAUUAUCCAAUUUAUUUCUAUAUUAUUAAUAAAAUUACGAAUAUAACUUCAUUACUCAAUUUUUCCAUUUAAUUUUUAUCAAAUUUUAUCUUCAAACUAAAUAAAUUUAAUCCAUUGCUCAAAAAUAAAAAUAAAUUAAAUUGAUUAUUAAUAUAAUAAAAAUAACAAUUCUCCAUAUGUUAUUUCUUAUAAUUUCUUAUAUAUAAAUUAAAUUGAUAAUUUCUUAAAAAUAACAAUUCUCCAUAUAUAAAUUAAAUUUAUUUUAAUUUAAUAUAUGUUAUUUUUAUAUUAAAUAUAUGUUAUUUUUAUUAUAUUAGUAAUCAAUUUAAUUUAUUUUUAUUCUUGAGUAAUGGAUUAAAUUUAUUUAGUUUGAAGAGAAAAUUUGACAAAAAUUAAAUGGAAAAAUUGGAUAAUGAAGUUAUAUUCGUAAUUUUAUUAAUAAUAUAGGAAUAAAUUGAACAAUGAACAAUUAUUUUUUAAUAUGCUAUGAGGGUAUAAUGGUAAAAUUAUAAUUUACUGUUAACAAAUGGGGGUCUCAGUGUUUUUUUUGAAACAUUAGGGGGUUUUGUGUCCCUUAUUCAAACGUUGGGGGUCUCUGUGUCCUUUUCCCAAAAAUUUAUAAACUAGAAAUUUAUAAUAAUCUAACUUAUUCUCGUUACUAUUAAAAAAUAAGUAAACAUAUCAAUAACAAUAUAGUUUAUUAUGAUUAUAAUUCAUUCAAUUAAAAUAAAUAAUUUAUUCUUAUUUCUAUUCUCUAUUCUAAUUUCAGUAAAUUUUGAUUUUAGUUUAUUUUAAUUAUUGAUUAGUUGUAAACUUAACUGGAAAUUUAUUGCAUAUAUUACGAGAAGCAGUACACACCAAUGGUAAAUUGAUACAUCGUUUUUGAGCUUAAGAUAGUCAAAUGAAAGAAACACAACGUAGGGUUCAUGAAACACUUUCAAAGCUGCUGAUGACUUAAAGUGAAUAACCUCAGCAUGUAAACUUAACUUCAAAGGACGGAGCACAAGUUUCACAGAAAAACAGCUCUUAUUUCUGAUGCUGCGAACACAGAGGAGUGACCUCAAUCUUCUUCAUCACUUGGGAAUUCUGCAAUUAUAGAGCACGACAUUGAGCAUGAACUAGAAAAAAUAUUUAUUUUCUACAAUUUUCAUAUAACCUCACUAACCAAGAUUAAUUUUGUGGUAAUGUAUUGGGUCAUUAAUUCAUAUGUUUUUACUGUCAUCACUUUAGAAAAAACUAAUUUCUCAAUGUGAAAUGGCCCAUAAAAGGUAUUCUCAUUUAAAAACUAAAUUUGACAAACCCCUCGAUUAAAGCAGGGGAGAGAAAAGAAAAAAAAAAAGAUCUGAAGGCUUUCCACAUGAAAAUGUUGUCACUUUGGAUGAUAUUUUCAAGGGAUUUCAUUCUAAAAAUAAAAUACCUGGGACCUUAUUCUUCAAAUUGACAGCUCGCCCAGUACUAAACGCGUAUGAGAUCAGUACUGGGACAAGUAACGAGACGACCCCUCCAACAGCUGAAAAUAAAAUUCGCAUUCAUCAAUUUAAAUUGAAAUUCAUAUUAUGAAAUUAAAACUAAUGAUUAAUGAAUUUUCAAGGAAUUUAAUAAGAUUCUCAUAUAUAAACGUGAUAAAAAAUUCACUCAUCAAUAACAAAUAUUCUAACAUUUUGUUGAUGUAAUUGUUGUAUGGUUGUGUUAAGGUCAUUAUUAGACCAACGCAGUUUGUCAUCACUCAUUCCGUACCAGACGUUUACUCUCGGAGGCGUGAUUGAUUCUCCUUUGGUGAAAUCUUCAUCUUCGGACAACCAAUCACAGUAAGAUAUUCCAAAGAUGGGAAUUUGAAGGCGUAAUUGCCAGAGGAGAAGCUUGUGAGACUAUCUAAAUCAAACAGGGACAACGUAGUCAGUUUGCUGAAAACAAUCUCUUCUUUUAAAUAUGCUGUUUCAUUUCAAGACUGGCAAAAUUCAUUGUGUAAUCAAAGUUUUCAAUGAUCCAACUAAUAUAUAUAUAUAUGUAUGUAUAUUCCUUCUCUAGUGCAGACAUUCUCAUUUUUUUUUUUCAUGUGGACCAGUUUUUAGAUCCCCUGGUUUAAAAGAGUUAGUUUUUAACUCUUUAAAACCGCAUGGCUUCAUAAUUUAUUUAAAAACUAACUCUCUUAAACCGCACGGUUUAAAAGCGUGUCCACAUUAAAAAAAAAUACGGACCCCCACACCUGAGAAUGAUUAUAUAUAUAUAUAUAUAUAUAUAUAGACACACGCUCUUAAACCGUGGGAUUUGAAAGCUUCUCCGCAUGAAGAAAGUAAAAAAUAAGGGCAUUCCCACUAGAAACAAACUCCAUAUAGGUAUUUAUUAAACCUCCUGAUCUGUGAGUGAGGAACAACAAAUAUAAUUGAUAAAAAAAAUCUAAAAUUUGGUUUCAUACCUUCUUGAACGAGAACAGGGGUUGUUGUGCCGGAAUACCAAAUUGAUCAUUCUCGUUAUUCUGGGACAACGUUAUUUUAUCACAAUUACAGGCCUCCAAUGUUUUUUAGUGCUGGCCAUUCUGAAGUAUGCAUUCCAGGGUAUAAACAUCCGAGUUCUGGUAGACCUUCGAGAUUCAGAGUGGUCACUUGUGGAAAGACAAAAUAUGGGGUCACUUGAUCUGCUCUGUCUUUGGAGAUGAUCUCUUGUAAACCCAUACAUAUCCGUAUCUCCAGGUGUUGGAGGUGCUCAAGGCUUUGGAUCAUAGAAGCUGAAAAUAUGUAUUUUAAUUUGUCACAGCCCCACACUAUCAAUCGUGUCAAACUUUGAAAGCCGCAAGUUGAUUGUCAUGCAAAAUCUCGUCGACAUUAAUAGCAUUCAGCUCCAAAGCCUCCAAAUUUGGCAACACUACCUGAAGAUAAUUUUCUCUUUAGAUCCAAUAUCCGUAUGGAAAGCACUUGUUUUGACACAAUAUCCAUAUAAGAAGCACUUAAUUAAGAGCUUAAUUAGCGAGUGUAUGAGACUUUUUUUUUUUCAAAUGCCAGUGCAUGAUAGAACUAAAAAAAAAAAAGAAGCAUUAGCCUACGUACCUUCUCGUUGAAAAGCAGAGUUGACGUUUCCGAACUGAUCUCGUUGGAACUGGCUGUCAAUUCCUCUUGCGACUCUUGUCUGUUUGGUGAUGUGGAAGAAGUCUUCACUUCACCGCAAAACCUUGUAACCUUUGGAAGCUUUCCCAGACUCAAAGAUCUUAAUUGACCAAACUCUAUCUUCCCAUCAACAUCAACAUCAGCUUCUCCUCCAGUUGCAAAAAUCUCUUCCAUGCUGCUGCAAUUGAUAACUGCAAUCCUCUCCAGUCUUGGAAGGCAUUUUGUACUACUAGAGAGCCAGAAGAUAUUACUCAACUCAUCACAAUUUUCUACUUUUAUGGUUUUGAGUUCAUUGAAGGACUCUAUUUUGAGUCGAUCAAUACAUAUCCUCUCCAUAUUGAUCAAAUUUUGAAGAGUAUGGGACUCCAAAAGAGGAAAGGCGACACAUGGUUCUCUCUCCAUUGAAUCGACGAUACACAGGAAGUCUGGAUUAUUUUGAACAUGGAGAUGCUUCAAUUGUGAAAAGCCCUCAGUGUCCAAUUCUAAAACAACAUUCUUGAUUCCUUGCAACUUAUCCAAACAUAAGUAUUCAACGUUAUUGAUGCGCUGCAACUUCUCGGAGCAAAUGGCCAUAGAAUCAAGCUUGAGCUUCAAUGUUCUUAAACUCUCAUGAUUACUGAUCAUAAAGUGCUGCCGACUUUCAAACCAAUCAUUCUCAAUAACCAGGGUAGAGUCGAAUGAUGCAUCUCCUAUUGAUAUAUCAAACCUUUCCAGCUUUUUGGAAAAAAAGCCAUCCGGUAAAAUGCUAUCAUUUUUAACAUCUAUCUAAGGUGGUCAAUCGCCUCAUAUGCAUCAAUUCGUCGAGGGUGGCAUUACUUCUUUCACUAUUGGCCUUUUCAACUUCCCAUUCAAUAGGGGAAUUACCCAUAUACAGUUCUUCCAAUCGAGUGAAGCUUGAUAAGACGUUGGGCACAAUAAAUUUUAGUUGCAAACAAUCUGUUAAAUCUAACAGCCUUAACUUAGUCAGUUGACCUAGUUCGCCAGGCAACCGUACAAUAUCAGAAUUUAAAAAGCUAAGGAUUUCUAGAUUCUUCAACUUUCCAAUUAUGGCUAUGUCUCCCAACAUGCUUUGAUCUAGACAGAGUGUUUGAAGAUUUGCUAGAAGACCGAUUGAAGAUGGCAAUGAAAAUAAUCGCAUUCGUGUCAAAUCUACAACUCGAAGCUUUUUCAGCCCUUUGAAAAUGUUGUCAGGAAUAUUGACCUCAACAAAAGUGUUUUGGGAAAUAUGUAAAAAUUCAAGUUGCAGACAUUCAAAUUCCUCAGAAACUUCAUGAAUGCUACUAUUUAGUAAAGAGAUUGCAUAGCAUUUUUUAAGUGCAUCCUCAUCUGGCCACUCCCACACAGCCUCAUUUCUCACCAAUAAAGCAUGUUGGUCUCGAUUUAAACUUUAACUCAAUUUGAAAAACUGAGCAAGUAUGCGUUACAGGAAAUCAAAAAAGCUCCACAUACCCAGAUCAUGAUCUCACGUUGAAUCCAGGUGGGAGAUAUAUUUAUGAUCAAGCCCAACAUCGAAGGGGGCAAAAAAAAAAAAAAAAAAAAAAAAAUCUACCAGACAUAUGAUCAUAUUGACCACGAGCUUCAUACGCCGUGGAUUUAUUAACAAAAGUGGGAAUUAAUUAAUCAUGAGCAUGUGUUCUAGUUAAGUCAAAAGAGAGACUUAAUUAAGAACGCAUAUAUAAUUCAUAAUCAGCACAUAAAAAGAUCACUAGUGCUUGCCCCUCCUGCCCUUGCCGUGCUUGCCGUGCUUGCCCCUGCCCUUGCUCUUUCCAUGCUGGUAGUAGCCGCCGUGCUUGCCGUGUGUGUAUGCACCGUGAGCUCCAGGAUAUGCGUUAUUAUCUGCAACAAAAUAAGAAAUUAAAUCAUAAGCUUAUAAUUAGCUCGCUCGCUAAGAGUGAUUAAAAUAAUACCGUGCGGAACGGAUGGGCCAGGAUAUCCCGUUGGUGUGUAACCACUGGCGAGUGCUGCUCCUGUAGGCGGGUAGCCGGCACCGGCUGGGGCAGCAUGAUCAGCACCUUCCAUGAUUUUGAUGAUCACCUAAUAAAUAAUAACUUGGUCCAAAAUAAACAACAAUAAAUAAUUGUGAUUAAUAAAAAGUAAUAUAUUCUCUAAUUAAAACAUUAAUGAUCAUUGGAGAGCAAGCGAGAAAUACUUACUGAAUGCGAUGGGACAGACAACAUCAUGCAUAGAGAAUUGUUCAUCUUCAACGAAUUUGGCUGCCCGGUCAAUGAUGCCGUUAGCACUAACCAGCCACUUCUCAACCUUCUCUUCAAUCUCUUCCCCUUUUUCUUUUGCCUCUGAAACUCUGCGCCGAAUGCUCGUACGUUCAACCUUCAACUUCUCCAUUUCCGUCUUGAGAUUCUCAAGGUUGGCAUUGUAGUUCCGCUUGCGCAAAUAAACAAGUUGGCGUUCUGUUGGAGGAGCCAAGCAUUUUACAAGUUCCAAAACGAGAGUAACAAUGAUUUCCAGCAUCUUGAAUCCUGACAACAAUGUAGAAGUGAAGAAGGCCAAAGGACAGUCAAAACAGAGAGACAGCGUUACGACAAGCAGUUAUGGAGCUAAAAAUAAAUAACAAACAAACAGAAGCAAAGUGUUUUUCGAAUGAGAAGAAGGAAGCAAGAAAAACUUAAAACUAGUAUAAUAAAUUUAUACUAAAACUAGUAUAGUAAAACAAGAAGUCAAGAACCAGCAACUUUUACACACAAAAUAAAACCUUAAAACUAGUAUAAUAAAUUUAUCAUCAAGUUGCAGCCUUCUUAUUCAACAAUUACAGCAUUAUCUUGAGCUCUGUGUUUCUUUUUUUAAAAAUUAUUCAAAAAAAUCUGCAUUUGUUUUUCAACGAUAAAAAUUAUAUUUUUGUCUCAUAUAAUAUAAAAUUAAAAAAAAAACAAACAUAUAUUAAAGGUCUGUUUGGGAUUAUUUUUAGAGGCUCAAAAGUAAUUUUAAAAAGUUAAAUGCUAAUUUUGGUAUUUAAUAAAAUUUUUAGAAGUCACCUUUGGUAAAAUCAUCAAUCCUACAACAAAUUUUGAAAGCAAAUAGUUUUUCAAAUUUUUAUUUUGAUAAUUAAUUUUAUACUUAAUAUAAUUCCAUAUACAUCCCUACAUAUAUUAAUUAUCCUUAUUAAUUAGAAAAUAAAAUUAUUAACUUUAAAGAUAUUAUCAACAAUUACAUUGAGAUAACAAACUAAAAAUAAAAUUAAUAAUAUAAAAUAUUUAUUUUAGUAAUCAAUUAUUAUACUUACAAGAUAAAAAAUAUUUUAUUUAAAUGUUUAUAAAUGUACAAAUAAAUUUUAUUUAAUAUUAUAUUCAAUUUAGUCAUUUACAUUGUCAAUAGGACUUCUAAAAAUAAAUUUUCCUAAAUGUUUAACUAAUUCUCUUCAUAGUGAUUAUUUCCAAACAUAACUACCAAAAAUUACUAUAAUAGAUACAACAUUACCAAAAAAAUAUUGAGAUAGAUUUUAAUUAGGUAAUUGACUUAAUUAUGAAUCAAUUUAUUAUUUCCAUAUGUGUUAUCAAAACCAGCUCAAUAAUGAGAUCACUCUUUUUCUUAAAUAAAAAUAUUUGUGCCAAACAAUUGUUGCAAAAUUUCAAAUAUAAAUUACAAACAACAAAAUUUUCUAAAAUCAUAACAAUAAUUUAUGUUGUGAAUACAUGUAACUAAACCACAUUGAAAUUUUAUUGUUAGUAAAAUUGUUUUUCACGCAAAUGCAGUGACGGAUUCAGUUUCAUGUUUCACCCUCAAUAACUUAAUUUUCAUAUCUAACAAAUCAUCCAUAUUAUUAACAAUAUCAUCACCAAACAUAAUCUACCUAAACAUAAACUAAACAUAACACAUACAUAUAACUAUAUACAUACCGAAUCAGGAAAACAAUGAAAGCUACACGUAUCCGGCUCUACAAUUCCUUCUUGAUACCCUUGUGCUUCUAAAAUAAUCAACCAAUUAUAAAAAUUAGCUUAGGUGCAACUUUACCCCUUUUUUUGGGAAACUUAACUAUAAAUAAAGUAUACAAAUCUCUAAAUUAACUUCGUCCCCAUGAAAUUCGGCAUAAAUAGAAAUAGAAUUAUAGAAACCUUACUACCUUUUAUGAGAAAUCCAACUUAUAUAUUUGAGACCUCUCUCUCUAAGCACGCGCUUCCUCUCUCUGCACACUUUCCACCUUUAAAUUCUCCUUCACUAAGUUUACCUAAAAGAAUUUAGCGUUCUCCCAGUUUCUUUCGCAUUUUUCUCCGUGAAAAUUGGUGAAAAAGAGAAAGUGAUUUGAUUAUUUUAAUGUGCGACAGAUAUGGUUUCCAUCUCUGUAAUAUAAGUGUAUCAAAACGAGGUGAACAACUCUUUGUCGAGUCAGUCAAAUAUAAAAGACAAAUUACGAAACCAAGCAGAGCCAAAAAAAAAAAAAAAAAUUUCCAAUUAAAUAAUCAUCAAGUCUUUUUCAAUUAAAAUCGGAGGUGCAGAACAACUGUCAGGAGAUAAUCAUUGUUUAUGGAGCCAUAUUAUAUUUUCGAUUAAAAUAGUUGCGCGUGAACAAUUGGCAGAAUUCGUAUAAAUUGUUUUAAGGUCUAUUAUAAUUAACAUUUAACAAGUGGAAUGGCCAAUGGAUGAAGAACCACUAUAAUUAGGGGGGUUUUGUGUCCCUUAUUCAAACGUUGGGGGUCUCUGUGUCUUUUUCCCAUAAAUUUAAAAUGCUAAAGAAACUGGGGAAAUUUACAAAAAUAACCAUAAAAUUUUUGUUAUUUUUACAAUUAACCCUCUCAACUUUUUUCUAUCAACAUUAGCCAAACACGUGCUUUUCUCCCCAAAUUACCCUUCUUUACAAACCAAAAGCAACAUUCUUUCUCCCCUUUCGUCAAACAAAGGCAGCUUCCACUCUUGAAUCAUCAACCAACGACAACGGCAAAAGGCAACGAUAAAAAGUGAAAUCCGAUCAUAAUUUAUUCGGAUCCAACACUAAUCGGCAUCACAUAGUGGUAUGAGUUAUUUUCUUGCUCGUGAGUUUGCCUGUCGCACCAAAAGCCAGAUUCAUUAUAAUUAACUAUUAAUUUGAUAGGGCUGAAAUAAUUUAUUUUUUUAUAAUUUCAGGCUUAAUGGAUUCAGUUGUACUUGAAUUGUGUUACGAUGGUUGUUGGGAGACAUUAGAGGAUGGGCGUAUGGAGUAUGUCAAUGGUAAAAAUAGAGCUUUUUUGGUUGGAAAAAAUUGUCUUUUUGAUCAGUUAUUGGCAAGAGUAUACGAUGUGUUACAAAUUAAUCCUAAUGAAUAUAGUAUCACAAUGAAGACAACUUUGAGGUCUAGUAACACAUUAUAUCGUGUAUGUGCACUGCCCAUGGAUAUAUUUGAUGAUGAAAUGGUGAGGGUUGUGUUACAUAUGGCAUCCGACGUAGCUAAUUUUGGAUGCAUUCCUAUAUUUGUUACCACAUCACCUCGAGUUCCGAGUGGAGGUAUUGAGCCACAUGUCGAUACAGAAACUUCGUUUAGAGCAAAUAUGUCUAGCCUCGAUAAUGAAGAAGAGGUGUUGCCAAGGACAAUAUCACUGCAGCAAUAUUACUCUCCAAUCCACGACAAUUAUGACAACAUUGAUGAUGACGGCGUUACGUUACAGGAUGUUGGAGCAACGGUAUUUCCAAUAACGACGUCGUUGGAGCAACGGUAUUCUCCGUAUCACAAUAAUGAUUUUCGGGACAAUGAUGAUUUUCAUGAUGAGACAGAGGGGGAUAAUGUUUGUGCAGAACCUUCUAAUAAUAUGAGGGGCACUCAUUUCAAUAAUGAUGGUGAUGAUGGAGGAGCCGGUCCUUCGAAUGUUCCGUCGUUUCAGCAUGAGGAUGAGUGUGAAGACAAUACUCCUGCGAAUAAUAGAGGCAAUAGACCUAUUCUAGCAAUGGUUCGAUCGAGAAGGAGAAUUGACCCUCUCACAAGUCUUGCUCCAACUUUGCCUUCGAACAUGGUUGCUCCAAGUUUUGUUAGCAGUUGUGACUCAGAUGAUAUCAGUGUCGGUAAGCUAUUUGCUGAGAAGAAUGAGUUUAUAUUACAACUACGCAAGGUUGCCUUUCAGGAUAAGUUUGAUUUCAAGAUUGCACGGUCUACUACGACACGUUUCGAGGCUCACUGUAGUUCAGAAUCAUGUAAAUGGCGUAUUCGAGCAACUAGAUGUUCGAACGAGGAAAAUGUUCCUUGGGUGGUGCGGAGAAUUGAUAAUGUACACACUUGUCAUAAUGAGGUGUUGGUUGCUGGAUGUCAUCAAGUCAGGAGCCGGGUUGUCAGUCAUAUUAUCGCAGAUAAAUAUAUUCAAGUCAAGAGAAUUUAUACUCCGAAUGACAUAAGAGCAUAUAUGCAACAAGAAUACGGUGUUCAGUUAACAUACCAGCAGGCAUAUCGGGCAAGAGAAGUUGGUCUUGAAAUAGUUCGAGGCAACCCUGCAGAGUCAUACAACUUGCUCCCUAAAUACUCUCGCGUACUAACUGCAGCGAAUGAGGAUACAGUCACUCACAUCGAGCUGGUGCGACAGCCGCGCCUGUUACACCAAAAAAUUGGUGCGACAGGCGCGCGCUGUCGCACUUGAUCUGGUGCGACAGUGGGGCACGCAUGGGCGCGCGCGCGCGCCCUGCCCCCCUCCCUCUCCACCCCCAAAAUUAAGCCACAACACUUUAAAAUCGAAAAACAAUACUCCCAAACACCACCAACCACCACAAACACCACCACUACCACCAUUAUUCUCAAGCUAUAACUAUUAUUAUUCUAAAAUCUCAUUUUAAAUUAAUGAAAAUAAGAAAAAUGACUAACCUAGGUUUUGUUGAAGGUUGUAGAUCGUAGAUCGGAUGCCGGUGAGAGAUGGAGCCACCGCCGACGAGGGUUGAUGUUGCCGCCGAUGAUGGGAGUUGGAUCGGUUUGGGAGAGAUGAGUGAAAGGGAGUGUUGGGGAAGAGAUGAGGGAGGGGUAUUUUGGUCUCAAAAGUUGUUUAAUGGCUAAUGUUGAUAGAAAUAUUUUUGGGGGGUUAAGAUGAAAAAAAUCAAAACUUUUAUGGUUAUUGUUGUAAAUUUCCCAAGAAACUGACAUCAACGCUAAACGUGAAUCUGCAGCCCUUGCCUCAGUGUCUUUCAGGCGUUACUCGGGGUAGUUGAUAUACUGACGAGCCCUUUAUCAAUUAAUAAUCGAAAUAGAUUAAAAUAUGAAUGGAUUAGAAUAGAAUGAGUUGGAAUUAAAAUACGAAAUCACAAUCAGAUUAAUUUAUUUUUUUAAAUUGAGGAAUUAGAAUUGGAAUAAAUUAUAUAGUUAUUGAUGUGUUUAUUUUAUUUUAAAAUUACAAGAGUUGUUGUAAAUUACUAAUAUGCCCUUAAUUUUUUAUUAUAAUUAUAAUUAUUUAUUACUACAUUUGUCAUAUUAUUAAUAUUAUAAUAAUAAUGAUGAUAAUAAUAAUAAUAAUGAUUGUAACAAUUAAUAUUGAAAAAAAUUUAUUGUUAAUAAUAGUAAAUAAAAUAAGAAUAAAUAGGCAAUUAUUCACUGACCACGUGAUCUUUCGGACUCUUUCAAAAAUACACAAAUACUUUUUUCUUUGCAGAAAUCCUCCUGAAGUUUACAAAGUGUUUCAAUUGUUCACUGUCAUCUUAACUCUAUUAGAAUCUUGUUGAUGUUGUCAGGAUAAAAUUGUCAUUUUACCUAAACAUCCAAAAGGAAGUAUAAGAUGAAGCUCAACUUGGAGAAGUGUGCUUUCGGGGUUGGAUUCGGCAAAUUCCUUGGGUUCAUGGUGAGUGAUAACUCUAUGAAAUGAGAGUUAUCAUGAAAUUUUUAAGUUUAAAUCAAGACUACUCAGAGAGUAAUUGAUAUGUUUUAGUGCACUUUAAUGAUAGUUUGCAUUACAUUCAUUUUAAUUUAAGUUUAAUAAAGUUUAUGUGAUUUCUGAAUAAUUGUAUGCUUAGAACAUAUGUUUAAUUGUAGGUCAAUGGAAACUUGAAUUUCAUGGAAAAGAUGCUUUUGCAAUGGACUUAUAAAGAGGACAAACGAGCAUGGCUAUAGUAGAAUUGGAGCAAGUUUGGAACAGUGGAGUUGCUGUAGCCAUUACUGUAGCAACCAUUGAUGUAGCAAUCCUCGAGCAUUGCGAUCUGCAGUUUCCUAAUCUGAAGAAAAAGUGGCAUAAGAGAGAGAGCCAUCAAUUAAGAUCAAAAACAGAAAAGAACCAAGGAAGUAACAGAAUUCCUGAGCAGAAUUCAAGGCUGAGCCAGUUGAAGAAAUUUGCAGAGUCAAUUGGAAUUCACUCUUUCUCAUUCUUUUCUUAUUUACUUGUUAUUUAUUGAUUAUGAAGAUGUACUAAAUGGCUAGAAUUUGGUUGUUUAAUCUCCUUUCACAAAUUAUGAACUAAAUUCAUUUGUGGUUGAGUAUUAAACUAUCUUGAUGGUUAAUUGACUAAAUAUAGGUGUUGCUAUAUGUUUGCUACAACAUUUUGCUUUAAUAACAUUUAUUUACAUUCAUUAUUUCGGUUGACCACCCAUUUAAUGAUACAAGUUAAGAAAGAGCUGUAAAAAGGGUCUAUCUUAUUGAAACAUAUUAGAGUAAUACUUGGUCUUAAAUUGGGUUUCCUAGAUUGAGUUUAACUUGAGACCAAAAAGGGUUGUACUUAAUUUAAGAUUAGUAAUGAACUAGAUAUAGGGAUUUGCCUUGUAGGGUAAAAAGAACAUAAAUGUGUAAUACUAUAUCUUACGUUGACAUAGUAACUGGUCACUGUUAGGUUGUAUAAAGAUAUAAAACAUUCGAACAUGCUACCGUUGAGGAUAAAGAUGGUUUCUGCCCAGUGCUGUAGCAGAUGCUGCAGCAACUGAGCUUGACAUGAAUAACACAGUCAACACCAUCAAGAGAGUUUAAUCACUCAACUACUCUAUUCUAAUUAAAUUUAAUUUCAUGUUUAAUGUAAAAAAUUUAUUUAUUACAUUUUUAAUUAUUGUGAUUUUAUUUUACCUAGUCAUUUAGUUGUAUUAGUUGCAUUGAUUUAAUUGAUAACAUAGGUUGCUCUGUGAAAUUACUGUAGCAAGUCUAAUAGCAUCAAUCCCUAUGGAGACGAUCUUGGAUACUUAUCCUUAUAUUACUUAUUGUGUACACUUGUGCAUUGACACUAAUAGCAAUGGAGUUAAAAUUAGCAACAAAUUUUUUGUGCUAUUGCUGGGGUUUGAUUGUUUACUUUUCAGUUGUGAAAUCAAUUUUGACGGUGCUAAUCUUUGAUUUUAUUUUGAAUUGUUUACUUUGUUAACAGAUCACUCUUGCAUGUGAAAAUACAAACUUGUUGAAUUUCAAUUUGAUCCAGAGAUUGAAAGAACUACAAGGAGAUUGAGAAGAGAGCAAAGAAAUUCAAAAGCUGCUGUAGCAAUAGAUGACUUGCAAAACUUAGGAAACUUAGACCCUCACGGACCAAUAUAACCUGUUAAUGCUCAAGAAAGUCAGAAUGGGAAAAUUAAUCAGAGACCAUCAGGGAAUAACAAUAUUAGCUACAUGGAAAAUGAUAGAGACAGGGCCAUUAGAGAUUAUGCUUUGUUAGCCCCUUAAGUUAUACAUCCUGACAUUGUCAGACCUGAGGUAAAAGAUGCCAAUUUUGAACUCAAACCAGUGAUAUUUCAAUUAUUACAAACAGUGAGGUAAUUUAAUGGAUUACCAUCAAGAGGUGAGUGAUGCUUUUAAAAUUAUUGGAGCAUCACAAGAUGCAUUGAGACUCAGAUUCUUUCCUUACUCCCUAAGAGACCGAGCAAGAGUAUGGUUGAACUCUUUACCACCAGACUCCAUUACAACAUGGAAUGACUUAGCUGAUAAGUUUAUGAUGAAGUACUUCACACCAACCAAAAAUACAAAAUUAUGUAAUGAGAUUACUUCUUUUCGUCAACUAGAAGAUGAAAACUUAUAUGAGGCUUGGGAAAGAUUCAAUGAGUUAUUCAGGAGAUGUCUUCAUCAUGGCAUUCCUUACUGCAUACAAUUUGAAACCUUCUAUAAUGGGUUGAACCCAAGCACUAGAUUGAUGGUCGAUACUUCAACAAAUGGGGCUUUGUUAUCUAAAUCUUACAAUGAAGCCUAUGAAAUUUUAGAGAGAAUUGCUAAUAACAAUUAUCAGUGGCCAUCACCUAGACAAAUUGUAUCAAGAGGAGCAGCAGGUAUACAUAAUGUGGAUGCAUUUACAGCAUUAUCAGCCCAAGUAACAUCAUUGACCAAUAUGGUGAAAGCUAUGACUACUGCUCUAUCGAAUGACAAUCAAGUUGCCGAUGUUUCUUGUCUGUAUUGUAGAGAGGGGCAUUUAUUUGAUAAUUGCCUAAGGAAGUCAACGUCAGUCAAUUAUGUGGGCAACUCCAAUAGAUAGAACCAGAACAAUCCAUAUUCCAGUACCUACAAUCCUAGAUAGAGGCAGCACCCAGUGGACAGAACAGACCUACUCAGCCAGUUGAUUUUCAUCAGCAAAAUCAAGGGUAAAAAAACACCAGCAAUGAUCAAUUCAGUUCUUUGGAGACCCUAAUUAAGGAGUACAAUGUGAAUAAUGAAGUAAUUGUCCAAAGUCAGGCUGUACCAUUGAGAAAUUUAGAAAAUUAAAUUGGACAGCUUGCCACAUUAUUAAGUAACAGACCUUAGGGGAGUUUACCCAGCAACACAGAAGAUCCAAGGAGAGAAGGUAAGGAAUAUUGAAAGGUGAUCAAAUAUUGCACAAACUAGAAGCCUCAGGUCGGCUGGUGAAAUGGGCAAUAGAGUUGAGUAAAUUCUAUAUAAGCUACAAACCCCGAGCAACAAUCAAAGCCCAUGCAAUGGUGAACUUCGUGGAAGAAUUUACAGAAUCACAUGUGGAACCUAGCCACAUUGAUAUUGCUAUAGGCAACAACAAAGGUCAAAUCUGGCAGAUGACAGUGGAUGGAUCUUCAGGUGAGCAAAGUACUAGAGCGGGGUGGUCCUGGAGAGUCCAGAUGGAGAGGAAAUCUCUUACGCUGUUAGACUGGAGUUCAAGGCCACAAAAAAUCAGGCUGAAUAUGAGGCUCUAAUUGCAGGGCUAGAGUUAGCUAAGGCGGUGCAGGCAAAUAAGGUGAAAAUUCGGACAGAUUCACAGCUAGUCGCCAACCAUAUUAGUGAAAUGUUCUAACCUAAAGACGAAAAGAUGGGGCAAUACCUGAGGAGGGUCAGGCAGAUGAUCAAAAAGUUCGAGUCGAUGGAUAUUGUGCAAAUUCCAAGGAGUGAAAACUAUCGAGCUAAUAUCCUAGUUGGAAUGGCUGCUACAGCGGACUAAAAAAUGCCAAAAUCAGUCCCUAUGGAAGUCAAGUCCUCCCCCCAGCAUUGUGUAAAGUCUGGAGAUGAUGCAGAUAGAGCAAAAAGGCUCAUGGAUAGACCCAAUAAUCUCAUAUAUACUGGAUAGAGUGUUACCAGCAGAUAAAACGCAAGCAUGAAAAAUCAAGGGCCAGCGUCUAGGUGUACACUAAUUGAUGGGGUGUUAUACCGACGAGGGUACACCUUGUCGCUCUGCGGUGUCUGGACAAAGACGACGCGAACUACGUUAUAAUGGAAGUACAUGAAGGGGUUUGUGAAAAUGAAUCUAGAGUUAGAUCUCUUGCCUACAAAGCCUUAAGACAAGGUACUUAUGGCCGACGAUAUACUAAGAUGCUCAAGAGAAAACCAGGAGUUACAGAAGUUGCCAGAACUUUGCUAGUUUCCCUACACAGCAAUAAAAAAUACUUACUACUAUGACUUCACCAUGGCCGUUUACUCAAUAGGGAAUCAACCUAAUCGAGUCUUUGCCAAAAUGAUGAAGAGCAGUUACACAUGCUAUCGUGGCAAUAGAUUAUUUCACAAAAUGGGUCAAGGUAAAAGCACUCAGAAGAAUCACAGAGAAUGAUAUAACUGAUUUCAUGUGGAGAAACCUUGUCAACCGGUAUGGAAUCCCAUACGCCUUGAUAGCGGACAACAACUAACAAUUUGACAAUCACAACUUUAGGGAGUUUUGUCAGAACUUUGACAUAGAGCUAAGUUCUGCUCCCCUGCCCACCCUUAGUCCAAUGGACAGGUGAAAGUGGCCAACAAGGUUAACAAAAAAACUCCUGAAGACCAAACUAUGAGAGAAGAAGUGUGCAUGGGUUGAUGAGCUUCUAGGAGUGUUGUAGGUAUAUAGGACUUCUCAUAAAACCGCCACCGAUGAGACACCCUUUGCUGUAGCCUUUGGGCAUAAAGCAGUCUUGCAUGCAGAGAUAGGGGUAACCACGCACCAAACUGAGCACUUUGAUGAGAGUGAGAAAGGUGAAUCAGAGUACCAAAGAUUCGACCCAUGGUGUGUAUCCGGAUCAAGAGCCUACAAGCUUGCUCUCGCGAAUGGACAUGAGCUGAAACAACCAUGGAACGUAACACAUCUAAAAAAAUACUUCCAAUAAGGCCCAUUGGUAGCGAGUUAGAGUUAUUUCUGUUCAUUUCUGUUGUUGUUUAAACUUUAUGAUCAGUCAAUUUCAUGUAUGUCGUAUGCCAUGAUUAAUAAAGUUUGGAGGAAGUUCAUUCAAUUAAUUUAAAGAAAAAAAAAGUUCGUAAGGUAAAUAAAUGCCUCAAAGUCUCAAAGCCUGCUCGAUGGUGAGACCAGAAGCCAGAUUUUCCAGACUCUGCUCUACCGAACGAUGACGAGCAGACAAUCAAAUAUUUCAAAAAGUUUCUAAGGCAGACAAAAGCUUCAAAGUCUCAAAGCCUACUCGAUGGCGAGACUAGAGGCCAAGUUUGCCAAACUCUGCUCGACCGAAUGAUGGCGAGCAGACGAUCAAAUAUUCCAAAAAAUUUCCUAAGGGAAAUAAAGGCUUCAAAGUCUCAAAUCCUACUCGAUAGCAAGAUUAGAAACCAAGUCUGCGAGACUUUGCUCGAGCAGGCUACAAGAAAAACCAAGUUAUUCGUUAAUAAUCUAGUGACAAUGACAACUAGCCUCAAAACUUGGCAUACAACGUUUACAAAAGAAAAUUAUGGUACAUUCACGAGGAUGAAGGAUCUAUAAGUAGAGCAGCUUUUGUUGGAUUUUCAAGCAGUAGAGAAUGAGGGGUCUGGCCAAUUCUGCCCGAGGGAGUGCUUGCUUCGAUCGGGGUUUUGCCUUUCAAGACCGGCAAUGAUGCAUCGACAGAAGUGCCUGAGCCCUUCGUUAAAUUGUCAUCAACUUCCUUUUCCAAGUUCUCAAUCUGAGUCUGGUGUGAAGCACAAAGUGAUUCCAACUAAGACUCGUAGGAAGCUUUUUAUGUCUCCAAAUUCUUAUUGACCUUGCUCAGCUACUCCUCAAGGGUGAUCACAUUGGCCUGUGCAAGAGAUGUCUGCUCCACUAAUUUCAAGUUCUCGAGGGUGAGGUCUCUUGCUUUCUUCUCAGUAGCAUCAACUUCGUUUUUAGUUGAUUGAAUAUUAUACUUCAUCUUGUGGUCAUAACGGCCAACUUUCACCUUGUAGUAGGUAGUCAUGCAACAUAGGUGGAAAACACUGAAUUGCAUAGCCCUAACUAGCUCACGAGGGUAAUGCCGUCAAAGUCCUCUAAAUCGUUUUUUUUCACGAGCCUAGAAAACUCACUUAUGUAAGGGCCAUAUGCUCUGGUCGAUCCUCAGGCAAUUGCGGUUCGGAUCUUGGUGGAGGAGGAGUGGUAACAAGACCAGUGCCGCUCGCAGCUCCACCAACUUCACCUGCCUUAGGACGGGGAGGAGGAUGUGGCAGCAUCUUCAGAGGGGAAGCUUUCCCUACAAUAUUGACCCACUUCUCAAGGGAGCAUAGUUGCUGCAACCCCCCUUUACACCACGAAAGCGAGGGCGUUUUCUGUUCAAAGCCCCAAUCACAGCAUCCUCUAUAGCAAUUCACCUUCGAUGCGGUAUUAGACACUCCAGGAACUUGCAACAUAGGCAGAGACUCUGUUAGAAAUUACUCAAUCACUUGAUCAGCUGGUGGUGUAAAACAACUUAAAUAAGCAGGCAACCUGGAACUAAGAAACGGAUGGGGACAUGGACAUUCUCAUCAUCAGUCGGCCACUUGACCCUAAGGACCCCCAGCAAAAAAGAAACUGCUUUUCUAAUUCUCACCACCUGUUAGGAGGCCAGUUAUAGGUUUCCUAGUCUUGGUACUUGACAUAAAAUAGUACCAACUAACAUCUUUAAGGCUACUCUUUAAUUGGUAUAAGUGUUUAACCUCAUCAAUUAUAGGCUCACUCUGACCACAUCUGUCCCAAAGUACGAGUACACCAGAAAGUACCCUCUAUCCAUUAGGGUUAAGCUGACCAUGAGCUAAGUGUAAUCUACCAAGCAUCUGGACGAAGUAAAGCGGCAAAGGAAGCCUCAUCCCUUGUUUAAAACUCUCUAAAAAUAUAGCAACAUACCCCCUGGAAGGUCGAUUAGGGGUAUCUUUUUUCUUAAGAACCCUAAGGUUUAUGUCAUCAGAAAUCUUGUAAGUAUUUUGGAGGGGUUUAAAGUCAUCUACUGUGGUCCUACAAGUCAUGAGGUCAAUAGGGUAGUUUUCGGCCGGAGUCCUACCACCUAAUUUCCUCCUCUUUGCUGGUCUUACUACCUUUAGUGAGGAUGCUUCACCAAACUCUUCAUCUGGGUACCCGCUUAGGGUCUCCUCUGAGCUAGAAGAUUCGUCAUUGUUACUUUUGCUAGAUGAGGUAGAAACCUCAGGAGACAUCCUCCUAGCACUACUUCUAACACUAGAAUGGCCUACAAGCUCUAAGGGGAUCCUAGGGUCGAAAAUGGGCUCUGUGAGCAAACCAGGUAGGAAAUCCAGUUCGUCAUCAUCAAUCUCAAUUUCUUUUUCCUUGCCUUUUGACAUUUUCUAAGCGAUAUCCAAGAAGAUACAACUAAAUCCCUCUUAACCCUAGAAAAAAAUGACAAAUAUCUAAGACAAGAGAGAAGAAGACCGUACCUAAAGCAGCGGCACCUCAAAAUCAAAAUGGAGGAAGUGACUUGAUAUUCGAUGGAGGAAAUAGCUGAGUCACCAAAGGGCGAAAGAAAAGCCGGAAAAAAACUUUCUUGUGAAGAUUAGGGUUCCCCAAGAGACACGGAGACCCCUAAUUUAUUACCAUUUAACGACACGCACUCCGAGGGUUCUUAACAGGCAGUUAAAAAUUUAAAUGAACGAGUGGAUUCCUGCCACAUCACCUGCUUUUAAUUAUGACGUGACUCUUUGGAUAAACAGCUAAUAGUAGCUUAAAGGAUCAAGUGGAUAAGGUGACCAGUCCUCAUUUCAAUGCCAAGAAGCCAAAGUGUGUUUUGAGCAAGAUAAGACUACCAAGUUUCUAGUGUUGAUCCAUUGCAUUAUCAGCACCAGAAACUGAGGGACUAGUAUUUGAGGCGUAUAACGACGCGACCAGCUACACUCGAGCGAGGAUUUCCUUUUUGUGGGCGAUGGGCUAUAUAGUGUCCGUGAGCAGAAGUGCUCUAUUCGACACCGAGGAGUUUUCUGCUAAACACCGAGGAUAUCUCCUGAUGGGGCCAAGGUCGGAAGACCCAGUCUAUGGCAGUUGUUAGAACAUGUGUCGCUCUCCGAGAAUCCAGGCACGAGGCCUAUUCAGCCACGAUCACAACGCCCGAGCAUCCAUGACCGGGAACUAAGGUAGAGUGGCAAACGUGGGUCAUGGUGACUAAAUUCUCAGGAGGGCUAUAAAAGGGGCUUGCAAAGAAGGUAAAGGGUUUAGACAUUUUUAAACUAAAAAUUAACCUAAGAGAAUUGGGGGGUGCAUCUUUAUUGGCGAGAAUUGGGAAAAUUUUUGAGAUUUUUCCAGUGUUUGAGAAAUUAUUACAGAGCCACGAGAUUAGUGGCAGGGUUUUUUCACAAUAAGCCCAGAUUGCUGACUUGAGCGUCGGAGGGUUUACGUCGGGAAAACCCUCAGCGUUCUUUGACCAAUUUCUGUGUGUACAGGAAUUCACAGAGGAGGAACGGUGAGCCUCAUAGUUCUGCUUAUCAAACAGGAGCAGAGUAAAGUUAUCCCCUACCACUACAAAUUUAAGUGUUGAAGAGAGAUCAUGGUCUCGAACGAGCAGAUGCAAAAUCCCGUAUCAAUAAUAACAACAACAACAACAACAACAUCAUCAAUAAUAAUAAUAAUAAUAAUAAUAUAUUAACUUUGUAGGAUGGAGCUCUCGCAAAUCUUCAAGACACAAAAUGUGUUUGACCCCAUUGUUGUUAUUAUAAUUUCAAAAUCAUUUGUAUAUAUAAUAUUAGGGAAUAUGACAUAGAAAAAUUGAUGGUACAUAUGUUGCAAUAUUCUUGUUCAUGUGGCGGCACACUGAAGUAAAGCAUAAGCAGAGCAACAACAAAUGUAAUGAGAGAGCUCUCAUUAUGUAGAUUUUCAAUAGAAGUAAUGCAUAUUUCACAAAGGCAAUGGCCUUAUUUUGAAUGCUGCACCUGAGGGUUGACUUGAAUCUUCUAUAGAACUCAGGCAUUCUGUAAUCAUAGAGUAUAGCAUUUCAACAAAAAUAUUAUACAGGUCGUUCCUUUAUAUAUUUUCUGGGUACACAUACAGAAAUAUUAUUUUGGGUACAUUUCUUGCAGUAAAACCUGCCCAGUCUAGCGUUCUCGUAAGUUGGGUUUCUCAUUUGCAUGUUUUUUCCAUUGGUUAAUUAUCACAAACCUCCACUAACAUUUAGCAUAUUCUUAGUUUAAUAGAUUAUAUUGGCGUAUUCUCAAAUAUAAAUUAAGCUGGUGAGGAUAAAAUCGUAAAAGCACCAUUAAUGAUAAAAAGAAACCAAGUAAACUUGAAAUUUUCAAGUUGUGUUUUGAAAUUGGUCUCAACUUUGUAAAUGUCCAUUGGGUAAAGAAGUAAAGAACAGAAGCAAGCUGUUCCCAGCACACAUAAGCAAGCUUUACGCAGCACAAAUUAACACCCACAAAAAAUGAAAAGGAAAAAUGGUCAUCUCUUUCCUCCAUUCGAAUUGAAGCCAUGAAACACAACAUCCCUUUCAUCUUCUCUCUAAUGCUUUGAUUAGAAAACUUGCUUACAAACGGGAGACCAUGACACUGAAUCCUGAGACGGCAAUACCAGAGACGACUGAUUUACGCCAACGGUGUGGAAGAAUACCAACCAGUGACUUUCGCUGUCGACCCACAAACAAUCCCAGUGUUUUCUAGCUGCGAAUGAGGUAUGAAUCAGAUUAUUUCCGUGCAUUUCAAUUUUGUCAGCUGACAUUAGGAGAUUUGGUUAAAAAAAAAAGAAUAAUGGGUCUCGAAAAUUUUUUGAGAGUGUUUUUGUUGCUUACAUUAUUUUCCAUCGAUUAAUGUUAGUUGUAGGUGAAUGAUUGUUGCAAAUGCAUGUUCGCUUGUGAUUGAUUGAAAAUGGCUUGUGAUUUGUUAUGCUGCCGUGUGACUGAUUAAAAAUGGCUCUGAAAAUUUUUCAUUUGUUUAAGGUACUGCUGUUGAUUAUUGAACCAGGAUUCAUGCUAGUUUUUGUUAAAUUGAAGAUGAGAUUACUUUUUAAGAGAUCUGCAAAACCUUCUCUACUAUAGAUUUGGCUUCUGGCAUACCUGGUUGGCUGGAGAUAAUUGUUUAUAUAGUCAUUGCUGCCCAUAUUAAUCAGGAAUAUUGAUUAGCAAUGUACUGGAUUAGUGAUUGGUAUAAUUUUGGAAAAUCAGUCGUAGAUGCAACCUGGUUAUGGUCUCAAAUAGUGUGAUCUGUCAAUUCCGUUUGCUCUGGCCUAACAACCUUGAAUCUGAGCUAUGCCACUAUACAAUGUCCUGACCCAAUCAAGCUUGUUAGCCAACGUCCAAAAUUGCAAUGUCUUUAGAUAAGUCCCGUCUUAUUUGUUUGAGUUAUAAAUGAAAAUUGCAGUGUCUUUGGAUAAUCACGCUGAUGUUCACGUUAUUGACGAGAGGAACCUCCAGAUUCAAGGCCGGAGCUCCUUGUUGAGAAACUUUGCAUAUAUAGGAUUGUUGCCGAGUGGAGGAUCGAUAUGACUGGUCUUGUUUAGAAUAGGGAUGGAGAUUUUGCAUUAAGGCUUUCUUAACAGAUCAUUCUGCAAAUCAAGGUCCAUGUACAUCUCUUUAAACUCUUUGAUAUGUAUAAAGCAGGUGCAUGCUCUAUAUGUUACUUAUUGUAUCACAAUUAUUUUUCUAUUGCUUAAUAUAAUUGCAGUCCUUGAUGAAGUUGAAGACAACUUAUGGAGGGUAUACAAAGGCUCAAGAGCUUGAUCGCCAUUCAUUUUACACUUGGCUGAGCUACAGCAUACCAACUAGUGAUUAAUAAAGAGAAGGUAUGAAGGUCCUGUUGCUGGUGGUAUUAUCAAUCAGAAUUGUUAUUUUACUUAGUCAUAGUUACCAUGUAUAAGAUUCGUAGACUUUUUGCAUGCUUAUGCAUUCGCAUCAUCUUUUUGUUAAGCUAGAAAUGGUUGAUUUGUGUACUCAUUUGUAUCACUUGUAGCCCUUCAGGAAUAAAAUUUAAAAUUCUGUUGCAUCUCAUGUACUAAAUACUAAUUUUGUUGGCUUUAUGUAUGGGAAAUGGUUCAUUAUCUUAUUUCUUUGAUGCGUAUAGUGUGACAAUGUCUAAAGGUGAAAAGUAUUUAUAUCACUUGUGUAACACUGUCUAAAGUCAAAAAGUGUUUCUAUCACUUGUGUGAAAAACAACCUACUUUUUUUUCACUCUUCUUAUAUUGAAUAAAAGACAGACGCCAAGAUUGAACGAAAUUUGAUGCAGAAAGCAUAGCAAUUAGGCCAGUGCAAAACAACUUCCUUCUGAUUCUCUGAUAUUUGACUUAAAUCUUUUGUCUGUUUCAUUCAUCAAAGUCAUUUUGGAAAGUAGCAGGGGUGAUGUGAUAUUUUCAUUGUAUUCACAUCCCUGGCACCAAAAACAAACAUGCUGGUACUAACCAACAAUUUUUUAUUUUCAGUAUACAAAUUUUUUUUUUUCUAAAUUAGGGGUAUUAAGAAAAGGUAUACUAGCACCAGAGGAGGUAUUUGAGAAUACACAAAUACAAUCUAUCAAAUUGAGAAUACGCCAAAUCUCAGGAGUGGUUUUUGAUAAAUCCUUUUUUUCUUUUUCCUCCAUUCACUAUAGGUUCAAUUUAGGGUGGUUGUUAAGUUAUAUCAUUGUGUAAUAUAGAUCAAUUCAACAGUUGUUAUCAGUAACACAAAAGUAUAACGAACAAAAACUAAUUGUGUGUUACUGAUAGUAACUAUUAAAUUGAUGUAUGUUACAUAAUUAUGUAACUUAACAAGUUCUUCAAUUUAGACACGGUUGACCAAACUGAAGGUUUAGGUUGGUAAACGCACUAGUUUUAAUGUCAACAACCCAAGGGGCUUCAUGGUCCUCUGGGUCGAAAUCGCGUAAUUAUUAAUUCUCCAACACUGAAAGUCUUUAUCAUCUUGGGACAAAUAAUUACAAAUUGACAUUAUAGCCGUGGAAAUUUGGAGGUGUAAUAACCGGAAAAAUAAAAAUCUCAAGAGACUUUUUAAAUAAAAAAGAUAACACCUUCAAUUUGCUAAAAGUAAUGGUAUCAUUUCUUGUAUGGAUAAUGGAUGAUUAGAUUUUGUUUUUGGUUAUCUGACGAAGGAUAUUCAGUUGUUCUUUAUGUGUUCAUAGGCAAGAGCAUGAGCAUAUGCAUGAUUUGAUAUAUGGUUCUUGCAUUUUCUAAUUAAGUGCUCUUUUUCCUUGCCUUCUUAGUUUUGAAAGAAAGAUGUGAAGCAAAGCAAACCCAGUGAAAUGUACAGAGAAACAGAACCAUCAGAGGAAAAACUAAAUAACAGAACUACAAUUGAACCAAACAAAAUCAAAUAAACGGACGCAACAGAUGCCCUGAACCUAGUAAUUACUCAAGAGUUGAGGAGUUGGAAUGAUUUGGUAUUCAUAUCUUCACAAAUCAUAUGCUUUAAUGCAGAAUCGACAGCUUUAUAUUAUUUUAUUCAAAAAACGAUAAAGCAGGAAAACCACAAUAAUCCACCAACUUUUGAUACUUGUAGGAAUUUUUUUUAGUCAAAUUAAGUUUCAUGAUGAAACAAGUGGCUCGUCCACACACUUGCACUUGCUUGAAUAUUUGUGCCGACAUUUUCAUAUGUGAUGGUACUUCUUAGCCAGUAGAUAUGUUGAAGUACUACAAAACAGAGUAUUUGAUGAAGUUUUGCUACAUUCGUAUCCCCUUUUUUUGUUGCAUAACUAAAUUCUUUAUAAACACAAAUUAGAAAGAUACAAAUAAUACAGUAGCUUGAAUUUAUAUGCUUUUAUGGUUAUUUGAUAAUCUAGUGCUGAUCAUAUGUGAUGAUAAACUUAGCUAGUAGUUUUAUAUUUGUUUUCGCAGUUUCCUUAGCGUUCACAUUUUGAUGAGUAAAUUAAGGAUUUCCAGAUGAAGUACAUAAUUAGAUGAAUGCUAAGGAACUGAAGUUUAAUUAAUUGAAAACAAAAAUAAUAAUGAACGUAAUUACGAAAAUGAACAAUGCAGAAGUAGUCCCUAUAGUAUUUCUAAAUUUUCUCUUGGGAUUUCUUAGUAUUCCUCAAUAUUUUAAAAAAAUGACAUGACGAUCUUUGAGUGGACAAAUCUUGGCCUGCUGCUUAGUACCCUUCCAACAUAUAAAGUACUAGAUGUUUUACUGAGAAAAUGACAAGAUCAUUUAUCAAAUUUCUUGCGCAUAUAUACGUAUGUAUAAGAGAAAUGAGAAUCAGUGAUUAUAAGACCUUGCAAUGAGACAAUAAUACAUCAUCAAAUCUAAAAAUACACAAGAAAUUCGGGACAUAUAUAUAACAAAAGACCUCUCAUUGAGUCAUACAUAUUGAGAAUGAAAUGUCAAAAUGCAGACAAAGAGCUUAUACAGAAAAUGAAUAAACUGUCUUUGAACUUCUGAUGGUCAAACAAAGGAAACAGGCAGGAUAUAACACACACUAUCAUAGAUGUAGCGACACGAUGAAGUAAAUCACAUGAAGAUGGAAAGGGGAACCCCUCACAGCAUAAAAUUUGAAUAGAGAGGGGAAAAAGGCUUCAUUUCAAAUGUUGCACAGAAGAAGAGUGACUUGAAUCUCCAUCAGUAUCCAGACAUUCUGCAAACACAGUGCUGAGAAUUUUAACAAGAAUAACAGACAAAAUAUUGUGCUUCUAUACUUGUCACAAAACUAGACCAAAUUAGUCCCCUUUUUGGUUUGUGAAAACUUGAUAUUUUUGAAAAUUCUAUCCAAUGCUUUCAAACAAUAUUUCCAUAAUAUAGUUGUUCAUAGCUAACCUUUGAUGGUGUAAGGAUUUGUUGUAGGCAUAAUGGGCUAAUUAUAUAUAUAUAUAUAUAUAUUUUACCCCCUGAAUGAUAUUCAGCUUCUUAAUUAUGUGUUCAUAGGCAAGAGCAUUUUCUUAAGUACUUUCGUUGCCUUCCAAGUUUCCAAUGAACAAACAGAGCACAAACAAAUUUAACGGAACAGUAACGAUGACAAUAAAUAAUUGGCAAGGAAAGAAAGAAAAAAGUUUGCAUGAUUUCAAGGAAUUAUAAAAUCUGAACACUUUCAACAUGCAAGUGUUGCCCCUUUUGAUGAAAUUUCAUCAUAAAAUGCUUGCAAAGAAUUAUAAAAUUUUAGAGAACAAGCGAACUCUCAAACAAAAUACUCAAAUUAAAUUAAAUUAGACCAAAAGACACUCAAUGACGCAAAAUCUGCCAUUCUAAAUAAUUGAGAUGAAAUUGUGAAACAACCCACGAGAUCAAAUAAAUAAAAUAAGAAUUAAUUACCAGCUUUGACUUUCUUCUCCAAAUUCGCAACUCGAAGACAUAAGAAGCCAAUGAAAUUAGUCGUAACCCAUAAAGUACGACGACGACCCCGCCAAUAGCUGAAAAUAAAAUACUUAUUCAUCAAUUUAAACUAACUUUAUAACAAAUAUCUUAUCGAUAUUUUAUUUAAAAAAAGCAAAUUUGUAGAAUUUUUCCAUGGGAGGUAGAGAGUAAUAUGUAUAUCCGUACCUUUUCAGUAUGUAAUUGUUGUAUGGUUGUGUUAAGAUCAUUAUUUGCCCAACGCCGUUGAUCCUCUGACUCUCCAUACGAGACGUUUACUCUCGGAGGCGUGUUUGAUUCUCCUGAAGUGAAAGUCUUCAUCUUGGGACAACCAAUCACUUCCAGAUAUUCCAGAGAUGGGAAUUUGAAGGUGUAAUUGGCAGAGCAGAAACUUGUGAGACUGUCUAAAUCACACAGAAUCAACGCCUUCAAUUUGCUGAAAACAAUCUCUUCUAUGUCAACUCCUUCUUUGUCAUUUAUUACCACCUCUGUCAUUGCUCUGCAUCCAUAUACUUGCACUGUUACGAGUCGCACCAGAGUUUUUGCUGUGGAGGAUGUUACUAAGUGUAUCAAUUCCUUGCAACCGACAGCUACCAGUUUUGCUAGGUUCCGAAAAGAUACCGAUGAUGAUGGCAAUAGACUUAACAGAUUUUGACAAUGAUAUACUUUUAGAAUUUCAAGAUAUUGAAAAAUGGAGUCAAGUUUGGAGUCUUGUUUACAUAGCUGCUUCAGAUGAUUAAGGUGGCCCAGCUCUAUACAUUUUAUCAUUGCCAACUUCCUCAAACGGUUCUCUAAGCAUCCUUCCGUUGAAAAUACCUCUUCGUAUGAACAAUGAUACAGUAAGAGUAAUUCGAGAUUGUGAAAUCUCUCAAGUACAUUCCUGAUUGGAAAACAAGCCGAGUCAUCAUAAGUUAUGUCUAGUUUUUUAAGACUGCCAAAAAGGUGUUGUGGGAAAUCGGCGUCCAAAAUCAUCUUCACAUCUUUUCCGCUUAACGCCAGUGACUCCAAGUUGGGUAAGAUCUGAUCAUCGUCAAUCACGUAGUAACUAAUCAGGUCAGUUGAUGUUCUCUCCAAUAAUUUUACCUUAGAGUACUUGUUGUAGAUUAUAUAUAUUUUACCAAAAAAAAAAAAGAAAAGAAAGGAAAAAUUGAAUUAGUGAUAAAAUUCAUUCUAGGAUUUUUGUAUGUUAAUUUGAGAGAUAAGAGAGAAAUUAGAAAAAAAAAAGGAUGAUUUAUACUGGCAUAAAAAUAUUUUAUUGCACAAUAAUAAAUUAUUAAUUUAUAUUGUAAGUGAUUAUAUAUGAGAAAACUGAGGAUUCUUUUUUAAUGCUAUACCUAAAAUAAUUCAUCUAACUAUUAAUUUAGUACAUUGAUCCCUUAGUCCAGACUAGCAAAAAUAUUAAUUUUGUACUAAAAGUUUUCAAUUUAUUGAGUAUUAAUUUAUUGAUGUUUAGUUAUAUUUUACAAAGUCAAAAGUCGCUAAUGAUCUAAUUGAUAAGAAAUCUAGAAAGCGGCUUCAUACCUUUUUGAACAAGAAUAGGGGCCGUUGUGCAGGAAUACCAAGUUGAUCAUCCUCAUUAUUCUGUGAUGAAUCUGCAGCGAAUGUCUUCAAUUUGUCACAACCAGACACCACUAAAAUUUUUAGUGCAGGCCAUUCCGAAGUAUGCAUUCCAUGGUAUAAACAUUUAAGUUCCGGUAGCUCUUGGAGUAUAAGAGUGGUCACCCGUUGAAAGACAAAAUGAGGGGUCACAUGAUCUACUCUGUCUUCCGAAAUGAUCUCUUGCAAACCCCUACAAUUCACUAUCUCUACUUGUUGGAGAUGCUCAAAGCUUUGAAUCAUAGAAACUAAAAAUAUGUAUUUUAAUUUGUUACAGUGGCACACAAUCAAUCGUGUUAAACUUUGAAAGCGAGGAAGCAUGACCGGACGAUGAUUGUAAUGCCAAAUCUUGUCGACAUUAAUUUCAGAUAUCUCCAAAGCCUCCAAAUUAGGCAACCCUACCUAAAAAAAUAUUAAUUUCUUGUUAGAUCCAACACCCAUAUGAGAAGGACUUAUUGAAAUUUUCUUCUUUGAUUACAGAUUAAUAAUUCAAGUCAAAAUCAAUUUCCAACUGACAGCUGAGUAUGCAUUCUAAUUCGUAUUACUUGUUAAGAGCUCAAUUAGUGAGUGCGUGAGAUUCUUUUUAUCCUUUUUUUUUCACUUUCUUUCAAUUCUUUAAAUGAUUUAAUUAUUUUCCACGUAUGACAUCAAAAGAGAAUGCACAAUAGCAUAAAGAAAGUGUUAGCCUACGCACCUUGCCGUUGAAAAGCAGUGUUUCCAAAUUGAUUUCGUUGGAGCAAGAACUUGUCAAUUCCUCUUGCAGCCCUUGUCUGUUUGGUGAUGCUGAAGGAGUCUUCAAAUUACGGAAAAAAGUUGUAACCUCUGGAAGAUUUCCCAAACUCAAAGAUCUUAAUUGAGCCAACUCUAUCUUCUCAGCAGCAUUAUUGUUGUCAACAUCAGCAUCUCCCCCAGUAGCAAAAAUCUCUUUCAUCUUGCUGCAAUUAAUAACUGCAAUUCUCUCAAGUCUUGGAAGGCAUUUUGCAGUGGAGAGCCAGAAGAUAUUACUCAACUCAUUACAAUUUUCUACUUUUAUUGUUUUGAGUUUAUUGAAAGACUCUACUUUGAGUCGAUCAAUGCAUAUCCUCUCCAUGUUGAUCAAAUUGUGAAGAGUCAGUGACUCCAAAAGAGGAAAGGCAUCACAAGCGACCAUCUCCAUUGAGUCGACAAUACAAAAGAAGUCAGGAUUAUUUUGAACCCAGAGAAGCUUCAAUUGUGGAAAGCCCUUUGUGUCCAAAUCGAAAAGAACAUUUUUGACACCUUGUAGCUUGUCCAACCAUACGUAUUCAACGUUAUUGAUGGCCUGCAAUUUCAUGGAGCAAAUGUCCGUAAAAUCAGGCUUGAGCUUCAAUUCUCUUAAACGCUCAUGAUUAUGGUUGAUCAAAAAGUGCGACCGACUGCGAAACCAAUCUUUUGUAACAGGCAAGGAAGCCAUGAAUGACUCAUUUCCAAUAGAUAUUUUGAACCUUUCGAGCUUUCUGGCCAAAAAGCCUUCCUGUAAAAUACUGUCAUUUUUAACAUCAAUUUCUAGAGUGGUUAGCCAAGGUAAAAGCAUCAAUUCAUCAAGGCUUGCAUUACUUCUUUCAGUGUUGGCUCUUUCAACCUCCCAUUCAACGGAGCAAUUACCCAUACACAAUUCUUCUAAUCGGAUUAAGCUCGAUAUGACAUUUGGGGCAAUAACUUUUAGAUGGAAACAGUCUCUUAAAUCUAACAGCCUUAGCUUAGUCACUUGCCCUAGUGCUUUUGGUAACUCUACAAUAUCAGACCACACAAAGCUAAGGAUUUCUAGAUUUUCCAACUUUCCAAUAAUGGCUAUGUCCAUGUCUCCCAAAAUGCUUUGAUCAAGACAAAGCGUCGGAAGAUUUACUAGAAGAUCAAUUGAAGAUGGCAAUGACAAUAACCGCAUUCUAGUCAAAUCCAAAACCCGAAGCUUUUUUGUCCUUUCGAAGAAGUUCUCAGGAACAUUAGGCGCAACAAAAGAGUUCUUGGGAGACAUGAAUAAAAAUUCCAAGUUGUGGAGAUUCCAACACUUCGGGAAUGUCAUUAAUAAUACUAUCUUUAAAAAAAUUGCAGGAUAUUUUUUUAAUGCAUCUGCAUCUGGCCAUUUCCACACAUCCUCAUUUCUCACCGCAAAUGCAAUUUUGUCACGACGUGCAAUUGAAAUGGCAACAUCGCGAACAACAUCAUGCAUGGAAAAGAAUUUACUGCCACCAUCCUCAAGCAACAAACAAGAGUCUCUUAGUUGAUGGACCCAUGCAUGUAAUUUGUUAUGUGCAUCUUCUAGCUUAUAGACACUUUCAAAUGCACCCAAGCCCACGCUAUAUUUGAACAAGUCCAUAAUUGAAGUUGGUGUAAUUAGACUACACAGUAAAAAAGUUUUCUUGAGUUGCUCACCUCUUAAAUACUUGUAACUUAGCUCAAUUGUUGAGUAUGCCUCUACUGGUACUCCUUCAUCGAAGCUUGCCUCUGAAGGCGUUUGGAGUUCUUGUAAGACGUUCUUCCACACAGGCAGCUCUUUGUUUCUCAGUGCCUUUGCUACUGUGGUUAGGGCAAUAGGCAAACCUCCACAUGCCUUGGCUACAUUUGUUGCUGUAGAUUUUAACUCACGAUUUUCAACAUAAUUACCAGCCAUUAUCUUGAACAACCUCCAAGCUUCUUGCUCAUUUAGAAUGCCAAUCAAGAAGUUUUUUUCAGAUCCCAUACUUAACAAAACAUUACGAUCCCUUGAUGUUAAUAAUAACUUGCAUCCUCUAUGAUCAACGCCAAAAGGAAUUCCGACUGUCUCUAAAUCAAGAUAUUUCCAGAUGUUAUCCAGAAUCACAAGGAUCAUCUUCUCUUUCUUCAAUCGUUCAUAAAGUCUACUAGCUCUUCUAGAUUCAGCCUCCUCGGACAACUCCAGACCUAGUUUCUCUGCAAUUUCCCCUUGAAUCUUUUUUAUGUCUGGAGUUUGGGAAACCUCUGAAAAAACCACCUGAUCAAAGAGUUUCUCUUCACUGGCUUGCCUUGCAAACUCCUUCACCAGUGUUGUCUUUCCAAUGCCGCCCUUUCCGUAUACCCCAACGAUGCUGACAUUGACAUCAGUCAAUGCAUCUUGUAUAGACUUCAGAGUAGAAAGUCUUAAUUUAAAGGCCUCGUAACCUUUGUUAGACUUUAGCCAUACCUCCUCCGCAAUGGUACGGUAGAAAAUUCUAUCAUCAAAUCUCCUAGCUUCUUCUUUGAGUUCAACAAGGGCCUUCACCUCUGUUUCUGCUUUCUUGCUAAGCUGAUAGCGGGUCUUCAAAUUAGGACACAAGCCCUUGAAACAUCGCUUACUUGUUGUCUCCCCAUCUUCAAUGAAUUUGGCUGCCUGCUCAAUGGUGUUGUUCGCACUAACCAGCCAGUUCUCAACCUUCUCUUCAAUCUUUUCUCCUUUUCUUUCAGCCUCAGAAACUCUGUGCUGAAUGCUCUUACUUUCAUCCUUGAGCUUGUCUAUUUCUGCCUUGAGAUUCUCAAAGUUGGCUUUAUAGUUUCGCAAAUAACCAAGUUGGCGUUCUGUUGGAGGAGCGAAGCAUUUCACAACUUCUAACAGAACAGUAACAAUGCUUUCCACCAUCUUCGAUCCUCUUUUUUUCAAAGUUCCGAAAUGAAAAUAAACGACGAGCGAAAAACAGAGAGAAAGAGAGGCAAAAAAAAAAAAAAAAAAAGAAAAAGAAAAAAAAGAAAAUGAAACAACAAAGAUGACAAGUGUAUCUGUUUGUGGAAGCGGAGAAAUCAAAGAAAGCUUAAAAACUGUUGUGAAUCUGGUGAGAAGAUGGAAACAAGGAAAAGGUUUCUAGUUCAAAACUGAUUGAAUUGAUAUAAGGAAUGAUUUAGAUAAUAGAGGAAAAUUGAAUCAGUCAAAAUAACUUAAGUAUUGACCAGAAGAAAGAUGCAAACAAUAUUAGAGACAACAACCGCGCUAUUGACUGGUAAUAGAGAUGGAGAAAAAGAAAAUAUCUUCACACGGUGGAAGUACAAAGGGUAGAUAUGGAACCAAACAGAGACAACAACAGGCCACAACUAGAUUGGGAAUGGAGAGAAACAAAUUAACAAAGACUGGAGAUUACAACAGAACAGAUGCCAAGAGAAAAGGGUUUCUUCAUCCAGUGAAAUUCAAGAGAGUUGACAGCAAAAGGGAGCACAUGUGUUUCUUGAUUGAGAACGAGUGCAAAGGAUGACUUUUUAAUGAGGUUCUGAAGCUGACGAAUAACGAUUUGCUAAAAUUUUGAGAAAGUUAUAUAUUCCGUAACUUCAACAAGUGAAGAAUAAAAGAAUAAUAGUUCGUCAUCUUCACAAUGAAGAUCAUGGACGAGAUUAAAAGCUAAAACUAGUCCAUUUGAAAAGCCAAAGUUCAAGUUCCUUGGCUAAGUUCAGAAGUGAAGCAAAGAAUAAAUAAAUAAAGAUCAAGGGAUGGGAAUAAAGUCACCCCCAGACAGUUGCAGAAAGAUUAUUAUUUGGUAAGCGUAGUUGAUUAUUAGUACAAAACAGAGUAGGUGAAACACAUCCUUUCUAUUUAGACUGAUCAGCAUCUAAAAUUUUAUGAAUUAUGAGUUGCAUUUUAUUUUGUACAUUCUGUUAACACAUUUUAAUUUAGCCAAUUUUGCAAUAAAUGUUAUUGAUGUAUUAAAUUGCAACAACAAAACACAAUUAUUGGUAUUAAAGAAUGAAAAAAAAUAAAAAUAGAAAAUGAAUUGAAUUCCACUCAUCGUCAUCUUGGGAAAUCAAGUCAAAAAAUAAAAAUCCAUAUGCUUUUGUUAAAGUUAAAAGCUACAUAAAUAAUAUCACAGAAGCUUCUGCUAAGGUUCAUGUGAAGUCACAGCUUUGAUACUUGUACUACAAGGAGCACGGAGAAACCAUAAACUUCAGUUUAGGUAUGUACAUUGCUUGUCUUUCAAACUUGAAUUGAUAAGGGGGAAAAAAAUAAUACUAAAGCAAACAGAAGGAUCAUUUAGUUGACAAAAUUAUUAUUAUUUUGAAAUUCGGGUCAUUCAGUUACUUUCAUUUCAGUUUCACUUCUGAUUCAAUUUAACCAGUUAACGUUGACAAAAAUAAAAUGCAAAUAUAAGGCUAAGGCUGCUAAUUUGAUGAACUAAUUAUCUCAGGAACCAAAGCAUCUAUAAGCAUGCAUGGGUGGCAACACCAUAAUUACUCAAGACUGGAGGAGUAAAAAGAUUGAAGAUGAUAAACAUUAAAUUUUAGGAAAAUCAUUCACAAAUAUGCUUUUAUAAAAGUAUUGUUGGUAAAGUUCGAGAAAUGCAUACAUGUCAAAUUUCCAUUUCUUGUGAGCAUUUCACCAAAUAGCUGAUAUGCAUUAAUAACUCCUAUCCUAUACUAUUGGCCAGUAGGUUGUUGCUGCUUCCCCAUUUUUAAUGAUGCGAACGUCUCAUACUUAGAAAUAAGGGCGGAGCCUGGAGAUUGAUGUAUAAGAUAAUCUUUUGAAUAAAAAUAAAAACAAUUACAGAUUUCAAAUGUGAGAAAAAUAAAAUUGCGUUAUAAAAUUAAUCCCACUAAGAAAGUCGUCUACGAAAUUGCCACAUUAAAAGAAAUUUUUUCCAUAAAUUAAAAUAAAAUUAAAUGAAAACUAUUUUUCAGUAAAGUCAAUUGCCCACGCUAGGCUAAGGCGUUUGUUUAUUUGUUUGUUUGUUUUUAUAAUCUGAAUAGGUAUAAAUUUUUCGUAAGCAUGAAUGAGCUGAGUACAAAUAUAUGAAUGAUAUAUUUAUUUUUCUUUUUCUUAAUACCCAAAUAUAAGUGACAUCUUAUUUAUCUUAAAUAUGGUUAUUUGAUAUUUAUAUUUUUACAAAUAAAAAUAAAAAAAGUAGUUAGAUUUUAUAGUUUAAGAAAUAAAUAUAUUUUAUAAAAAUAUUUUUAGAAUAUAUAUUUAAUUCUUAUUUAGACUUUUUUCUAUUCAAUAAAAGUCACAAAAGGUACUUUUUCUAUUCAAAUGUAAAUGCUUAAAAAUCAGAUAUAAGUUACAAAAAAAAUAAAUUUUAGAAAAAGUCAUAAAUUAAUAAAAUUUCAUAUAUUUAACUCCCAAUGCAGAUCCACCCCUAUCAGUGUGAGGAAAUUGACUGGUGAAGUAGGUUCACAGCUAAAAUGAAAUUGGAAGAAAAUGAAGAACAAGCACAUAGAGGACACCAAAAAUUACAUGGUUCGACUUUUAGCCUACGUCUACGGGUAAAGACAAAAGGAUAAAACUUUACUGGUGAAAUGAGGAUUACUAGUAUUAUAAUAUUUUGUUUCACUUCCCAGAACCCCAAUCCACUCAAUCUCUUAAAAUACUAAUCACUCAAGAGCAUUAAAACUCUUAGUCUCUCACUCUAGAAUUGAAGAAGAAAAGAAUGAAAUGCGGGGGUGAACCCCUCAUUUAUAGUUAAAAAUUUGGGCACUAUUUAUAUUUUUAUAUAUUUUUUUAAAUUAAAAGUUUGAACUUGACAUUCAAACUUUGAAUAUCAAAAGGUAUUGGUCACUCUUCUAGAAAAGUGACAUUGACUUUGACAUUCUCCCACUUAGAAAUUUGAUUGAGAAUCAAUCAAUCUCCACACCAUCCUUUCUGCUUCGCCGCUAUCAUGUUGCUUAUGUCUCUACUAGGCCAUAAAAUGAUCUACUCCAAACAAAUUUAUCAGCAUUGAUAGGCUUGGGCAAAACAUUUGUUAAGUUCUCCUUGGUAUCCACUCUUGUAUCUUUCACUACUUCACGAAGAAGUGAUAUUGUACUCCUAUAUUCUUUGUCCUAAAAUAAAAGGUUGGAUUCCUUGCAUUCUAACUAUCACAAACCAUAAAAAUUUUAUGCCCAAGCUCCUUCAGUAACCUUUGUAUCCAAAUAGCCCUUCCAAGCUUGUGUAGCUGCUAUGUAAUCUGCUUCUAUUGUUGAUAAAGCCACAAUGGUCUGCAAUUUUGAAAUCCAACUAACAAUUUCGCCUUCUGGUGUAAAUACUUAGCCAGUAGUGGGUUUCCUUUUAUUAAGAUUUUCUGCAAAAUCUGAAUGCACAAAGCCCUUGACAGUAAAUUCUAAUCCUUCGUAGCAUAAUGCAACAUCUGAUGUUCCUCUGAUAUUUCUCAGAAUCCUCUUAAUAGUCUUCCAAUGUUCUUUGCAAGGAUUCGCUAUGUAUCGACUAACUGCUCCCACUACUUGUACAAAUCAUAGCGAACCUUAAAUUUUCCACUGCUGAUGCAUACAGUUCUCAAGACAUCUCUUCUUCUCUACUUCAUUACUAUAUGAAUACUUAAGAAUAACUUGAAAUUAAUAGGAGGCGGGGUAGAAAGCCAAAUCUUCUUGCUAUUACUAUCUCGGUGAAUUUGCAUCCCUAAAAUCUUGUUUGUUGGUUCUAAGUCUUUUAUUUCAAACUCCCUAGUUAACUGUGCCUUCAGUUCUUGGACUCGAUCUUUGUUGGGGCUUGCUACCAAUAUGUCAUCCACAUACCACAGUAGAAUGAUGAAAUCAUUAUUAUCAAACUUGUUGUAAUAUGUACAAUAGUCUGAACUGAUUCUAUUGUAUCCAAGGUUUAUGAUGAAGGGAUCAAUUCUCUUAUAUCAACAUCUCGGUGCAUGUUUGAGAUCGUAUAGAGAUUUGUUCAACUUGCAAACCAAGUGUCCCUUUUUAGUAAAACCUUCUAGUUAGAGCAUAUAAAUCUUUCCUUCAAGUUCUCCAUGAAGAAAUGAAAAUUUCACAUCUAACUGCUCCAAAUAUAGGUCAAAUGUAGCACACAUCGACAAGAACACUCUAACUGUCCUGGGUCAAAUCACUGGAGAAAAUAUCUCAUUGAAGUUAAUACAUUCUUUCACCACCAAUCUUUCACGAUACCGCUCCACUAGGUUAUUACCAUCAUGUUUGAUCUUGUGAACCCAUUUGCAACCAAUGGUUUUUUUUUUAUAUGGUAGUAGUACGAGUUCCUAUGUCAUAAUCUUGUGUAGAGCCUUAAUUUCUUCCUGCACUGCUAUCAUUUACAAAGUAACAUCUAAGCUGUUUAAAAUUUCAUAGAAAGUUGAUGGCUUUCCAUUCUCUAUUAAAAGACAGUAUGCAAAAUUGAUAUCUGUGACAUAAUCCAAAUGCCACACAUACAGUUAUCUAUCACGAGUUGACCAACAAACUUUUAGGGCCUCAGACUCGAUUGGUUCUUGUUCUCAUACUUUAGUGCUGCUUCAAAAAAAUCUGAAUCUUCAUUUUCCAGAUUAUUUUCAAACAUAUAUUAGCACAAUCUCUAAAUUUUAAUAGUGCUAUCAUCCAUAUCUCUCUUUUGCAUUUGAUCUUCUACAAAGAUAAUAUCUCUGCUAAUAACGAUUUUGUGGGCAUUGAGGUCCCACAGAUAAUACCCUUUCACUCCAUCAAUAUAUCCUAAGAAGAUACAUCUCUUGGAUUUUGGAUCCAUCUUUAAUCUCACUUGGGUAUCGUAUAUCACGUAAAAGGACAUCAAAAUGCCUGAGAUGAGAGUAAUCAGUUGGCUUUCCUGUCCAUUUUUCCAUUGGAAUCUUCAACCCGAUUGCCUUGAAUGAUGACCCACUUACCACAUAAUAAGUAGUUUUUGCUACUUCCGCCUAGAAUGAGUUGGUAGACCAGCAGUUCUCAACAUAAUUCUUAUUUUUUCUAUAAGAGUCAUGUUCUUUCACUCCACUACUCUAUUUUAUUGAGGAGUGUAUGCCACUGUGAACUAUCUCUAGAUACUUUCUUACUUACAUAUGCAAGAAACAUGCUAUAUGUAUACUCUCCACCAUUGUCUGUCCUCAGGCACUUGAUCCCUUGCCCUGAUUUAAGUUCAAUCUAUGCUUUGAAUUCUUUGAACAAUGGAAAUACAUUUGACCUUUUCUUGAUUAGAUACACUAAAUAUCUCCUAGAAUAAUCAUCAAUAAAAGUCACCAAAUACUUUGCACCUCUCAUAGAUAUAUCAAUUGAUUCCCAAACAUUAGAAUGAAUCAAGUCUAAAAUACAUUUACUUUUGAAAGUGGAUCUGCUAAACUUUCAUCUAUGUUGCUUCAUUGUUUCGACAUGUGGCUAAGCUUAAGAUGCCACAUCAUCGCUGAAUUUUCUCUAUUUGAUGUGACACACACAAAAGCUUUCUGUAGUGUUUCCAUUUAAUUAUGAAUAGAUUAGCACCGAUCUUUUCCACCUUCAUUAAUGCAAGUGUGCCUUUGACUAUCUUUAUGAUCCCAUUUUCUACAUGAGUUUUGUGCACAAGGCUAUCUAUUUGUCCUAAAGACAAGAGAUAUUUUUCAAGUUUUUGACAUGUCUUACCUUCUCAAUUGUGCGAACCGUACCAUUAAACAUAUUUAUUUUGACAGUACCAAUAUCAAUGAUCUCAAAGGCAUGAUUAUCGCCUAUGUAUACAGAUUCUCUUGAAAUAGGUUCAUAUUUGUGAAAUCAUUCUCUUGGAGAGAUCAUGUGCCAGGCAACUAUUAAGUCUAUAAGCCAGACGUCAUAUAGUGGUUUUCUGCCUUCUGAAGCAGUUGUUGCCUUACUGUAGAGAAUUUUGCCAUCAUACGAGGUACUUACUACAUACCCUUGAGCAUUUGAUGACUCAGGAUCUUUACCCUCUCUUCUCUUCUAGUUGUUCCAAUACUCUUCCUUGACAUACUCUUUCUUGCCACAGUUGUUGCAUUCAACAUUCUUAUUACUUCUUGAUUUCGAUCUACUGUGAUUGUGGCUCUCACUAGGGCCACGUUCCAUGGAUCUUCCUUUCAUCAUCAAUAGUGUUUCUACUUGCUGCGAACUUGUCUGUCUAUCUUUUUUAUUUUUUGCUACUCUCCUCAUUUAAUACGGAGGCUGCCAUAUUGUCAAAGACUAACUUGUCUGCUCGAUUGUUAUUAGUUAGAUUAAUGACGAAUUGAUCAUACGAAUCUGGUAAACCUUGAAGUAAAAGCUCUACAUGAUCAUUUUCCUCUAUUUUAUGACCCAAUGUUGUAAGUUAUGAAAAUAAAGUCUUUAAAGUGUUGAUAUGGUCGAUCACUGAUGUAGAUUCCGUCAUUCGAAGAGUAUAAAGCCUCCUCUUUAAAAAGAUUUUAUUUUGUAGUGAUUUGACCUCGUAUAGUCUUGUGAGAGUAAACCAUAUUUCCUUUGCUCUCUUUUACUCUACUACAUUGAAUAAUACCUUAUUUGAAAGUGGUAUGUGUAGAUUUGCAAUGGCAUUAUUGUCUAUCUCAUUCCACUUGUCAUCAUCAGUUAUCUUUGUGAGCCUCUCUUCAAUUGCUGCCAAGCAAUUACUCUUCCUCAAUACAACCUUCAUCUUCAUUUUUCAUGACGAAAAAUUAUUUUUGUUGAACUUCUAAAUUUUGUAUUUUUCUGCCAUCACUGUUCACCACGAGCUACCUUUGCUAAGAUUGAUUCCUACCAUUUCACAUGAGCAGUAACUGUAUAUAUGAAUAAAGUGUUGUAUACAGAAACAAUAUCAUAGACAUGAACAGUACAAUAUAUGUAAACAGUAUCUCGACCCCAAAAAAUACAACCCGACUCUAAUACCACUAUUAGAAAAUUAAUUGGUGAAGUAGGGCCGCGACUAAAAUAAAAUUGGAAGAAAAUGAAGAACAAGCACACUGAGGACACCAUAAAUUAUUUGGUUCGACUUUUAACUUAUGCCCAUAGGUAAGGACAAAAGGAUAAAACUUUACUAGUGAAAUGAAGAUUAUAAGUAUUUUAGUAUUUUGUUUCACUUCUCAAAACCUUAAUACACCCAAUCUCUCCAAACACUAGUCACUCAAGAGUAUAAAACUCUUAAUCUCUCAUUAUAGAACUAAAGAAGAAAAUAAUAGAAUGAAUGAAAUGAGGGGGUGAACCCCUCUAUUUAUAGCUAAAAAUUUGGGCACUUUUUAUAUUUAUUAUUAUUUCAAAAUUUAAAGUUUGAACUUGAUAUUCAAACUUUGAAUAUCAAAAGAUACGGGUUGUUCUUCUAGAAGAACCGCACCAACAUUGACUCUUAGGCAGACCUUUAGAGCUUUAAAUAAAGAAAAAGCUUUUAAAAAUGCCAUGUGUACUUGAUUAUACAAUAAUCUCCACCACAUAGAAUGAUUUGAUAAAAGAAAUUUUUAAUUUUUAAUUUUACUUUUAUCAGGCACGGUGUAUUUCCCCUUGGGCUCAUAUGUAAGGAUGUCAAUAAGAUGGGAAGGAGAGGGGAUUGAUUUCCCCAUACUCAUCUUUAAUACUCUGUGUAUCUCUUUGUACUCUAGACAGUUCCUUCAAAAUUACUUGAAACGAGGGGAUGGAUGUUUCUAAAUAAUACAAAGGGAUCUCUUAUGGCAUCCGAUCUCUGAUUAUUUAAUUUCUUUUUUUUUUCUUAAUUUAAUCAUCUUAAAGUAAAAAUAUAAAAUCAUAUUAACACAAAAAAUAUCAAAUUAACUAAAGUGAUUAAAAUCAUUUCCAUCAAAUUAAGUCAAUGUCAUCAAAUUAGAAGAUAAUCUUUGAACUAAUUAAGCAAAAGUAAAUCUUCAAAGUUGAACUCAUCCAUAAAUGUCAUAUAGUAUAAACCAUCAAUUAAAUUAUCUUUGUCAAUUUUAAAGUGUUUAUAUUUACUUUAUAUUGGCUGUUAUUUAUAUUAUUUUUAUAAAUGUAUUAUGAUAUUUUUUAUUUACAUCACACUAUUACAAUUGAAAUUUUAAAUGUAUUUACUAUAAAUUUGAAAAAAAUGAAUUAAAAAUAGAAACUAAAGAUAGAAAUAAAAAAAUGUGGAGCCAAAUAAAAUAUUAGGGCAAACACUAAGUUAUAAUUCAAGUAACUUACACCCACACAUAUUAAUUUAUCACAGCCUUGUCUCCACAUAGAAAAAUUAGAUCUAAAAUUAUCAAACUCCCGAAUGAGGAAGAUCCCUCGGGGCCAUCGUCCCUGUGGAAAUUUCUGCAUCCCUGCAGUCUACAACGCCUAAUAAUGAAUUGAACGGUUGAAAUCCCUCUAAAUUUUUUAUAAUUUCUAAUCGCCCCUCCAUAUUUGAUUGAACAUCAAAACUAUGGAGUCCAAAUUUAUAACUUUGAUUUAUCUUCCAUUCCAUAGUUUUCAAGUUCUCUCUCUCUCUCUCUCUCUCUCUCUCUUUUAACCCUUUUUACUGCAACCACCAUCAAAGCCUAGUAGUUAAUAUGUAUGCUGCUUUGCUUUCAAAAUCGGACACUACUGGUAUUUAUGGUUUUUAUUCUUUAUUUGACACAAAAUUUGGCGAUAUCUCCGAGGAAAAACACUACUGGUGUAUUCAAUUUUAUCCGGUAAUGAUUAAAUUGAUUAUUACAUGAACCGUAACUUCGCCGAGCCCAAAAUACAUAUUAAGUUAUAAAGCGUUCGCACUCAUUAUUUUUCGCAAAAAGUUUCGCCCAAAAUACAUAUAUUUUUUUAAUUUUUUCUGUGAAAAAAACUACUGUUAUAUUCAAUUUUAUCAUUAAAGUUGUUAGUUACAUGAACCUUAAAUUAACACAAACCGUAACUUAGCCAAGCCCAUAAUACAUAUUUCAUAUUUGUAUGAAAUUUAAAGUUUUUCCACUUAUUAUUUUUCGCUAAAAGUUUCUAAAUUGUAUUGUAGUUUGAACUUGCCCAUCAUUCAAUUUUUUAACUCCACAAUUAUUUGACCUUACCAAGCUUGAAAAUAUCCUUCCAUACAUAUUUAAUUUUCUCCAAGUAUGAUGAAGAUUUAAUCAAGAGCCUCCGGGAUCUUAAAGUGCAAGAAAGGUCCGGAAAAUUUUUAAAACCCCACUGUUUAAAGUUUUUUUGGACUUUCUUGCACUUUAAAAUCUUGGAUUGAUAUAUAUAUAUAUAAUCAUUAUUAGGUGCUAGUGUUCUCAUUUUUUUUUUUAAUGCAAACACCCUUUUAAGCCGUAGGGUUUAAUAACAUUAAAAACUAACUUUCAACUAGCUCUCUUAAAUUGUACGGCUUAAAAGCAUGUUAGCAUGAAAAAAUGAACGUGUCUGUACCAAAAAAGGACUAUAUAUAUUAUUUACUUUAUAUAGACAUACGUGCGCGCGCUCGCAUAUAUAUAUAUAUAUCAUUUUAAUAUAUUCCAUUACUUUAAUAAUCAAUUUAAAAUAGUUUGUGAUAUUUCCAGCUAUUUAUUUAUCUACUUUUAGUUAGUUAUUUACACCGAAUGAAGUGAUAGGGUCCAACUUUUAGUAUCCUUCUCAGCUGUUUGGGGUUAGUAAAUACUAAUUAGCUUAUUCGUCCCGAACAGCCGCGUAAAUGCUGUUAGAUUUCGGAGAGAUGCUGAGGAUGGUACAAGAUUUAUCAAAUUGUGGCGACAUUUUUAUACCUUUAGAAUUUCAAGAUUUUGAAGAAAUAAAUGGAAUCUGUUUUCCAUAAGUGAUCCACUAUCUAUCAGGAGGAAUUCUAAAAUACAUUACAGAUUAAUGAUUUUUCAUAAUAAAUAAACAUAUGUUAUAAUAUUAUUUAUUUAUCAUAUGACUGAUAUAAUACUUCUGAUAUAUUUUGAAAUUUUUAAUUCACCAAAGUUCAUUUUUAGCUUUUAAGGUUUUUAUGUGUGAGCCUCUCAGCAUGUUCCCCAACCUCCUCACGUGAAAAUAUUUCUAUGUACGGUUACAAGCUUUUCCAGAUUGUGAGUAUUCCGAAGCAAUCCAACUUGAAAAACAGCUGGUUCGUAGAAAACGACAGUUUACGAAGCUGGCCCUGCUGCCAUACAUAUGAUGAUGAAGACCAUUUUGCUUUAUGUCAAUUCCUCCAAGUUGAAAUCUUUCUCGGUCUGGGACACUUCCAACACAUAAAGUACUACUAGGCUAGAUGAUUUUAAAAAAUGUCAAGGUCCUUUAUCAAAUUUCAUUUGCAUUCAAGACCAACCCCCUUUGAUGAAAAUCAAUAAUUAAAGACUUUCCAAUGAGAAAUUAUUACGUCUUCAAAUCUCAAAAAACGCCAGAAUAUUAAUUCGCUACAUAUAAUCAAGAUAUCUCAUUGAGACGCAUUAAUAAAAAAUGUCAAAAUGCAUAGAAAGAGCAGACACACGGAUGAUGAAUUUACUCAUCUUUAUUAGUAUUUGAAUUUGAGAGACAGAAUGAAGUACAUGUCAAGAAUAUCAUAAAGAUGGAAACCGGAAGUCCUCCGCACAUAAACUUUGAAGAAACUGGAAAACGACUUUAUUCCAGAUAAUGCACACCAGAGUGACCAAAAUUCUCUUCAGUAACUAUGGAGAAAAUAUUAUUUUGCAUGCAUUUCACGUAACUGGAUCAAACUACUCCCCUGUUGGUUUGUCAGACCACAUUUUUAUGGUGCAAUAUAAACCAUCUUUUCAAAACACUUCGACAAUGUGAGAAACAAAUGAUUUUUAUAUAGUUGUUCAUAGCUAACUUUUGAUGGUUUAAUGAUCUGUAGAUUUUGUUUUAUGCUGUUCAAGGAAUGAUAUCCAAUUGUUCCUAAGAGUUCAUAGGCAGGGGCAUAUAUGCAUGAUUUGAUAUAAUUCUUGCAAUUUCUAAGUACUUGCUCUUUUCAUCCCUUCUAAGUUUUGAAAGAAAGGUCGAAAUAAACAGAGAAACAGGACAAACAGAAGAAGACUGAAUUAACAGAUCAACAAAGAUGGCAACUAACAAAUGGAAAAGUUCUCUUGUAAUCAAACUAUAGCAAACAGACAAUACCAUUGCCAUAUAUCUUAAUCAGUAGAUUGAUUCUCAACAUAUAUGUUAGGAUACAUUUGGUUGUUUAAUAGUUCGAAAUAAAGAGGAUGAGAUGGUUUCCACAUAAAAGUGCUGGGCCUUUCAAUGACAUUUUCAAGGAAUUAUAAAAUUCAAAAUAAAAAAAAAAAUAGCACAUUAUAAAGCCACACCGUCAAAAAAAUAAAUAAAUAAAUAAGUGAAGACCUUUAAUGAUAUAAAAAUAAAUAAAUAGAUAAGUCACUAAGACCUUUAAUGAUAUAAAAUAAGCAUAUAAAUCUCAUAACAAAACAUUAAAACUCAUUCUAAAAGUAAAAAUAAACUAGUGGUGUAUUCCAAACAAUUUAGAUGAAGCAAUAAAACAAGCCAAGAAAUCAAAUAAAAUGAAAUGAAAUUGAAUUAACCGGGACUUUGUUUUUCAAAUUCACAACUCGCUUGUAAUUAAAGUAAAAUGCCAAUGCCAUUAGGACACAUACAUCGUUGAAUAAGAUGAGGACCCCUCCAACAGCUGAAAGUAAAAUUUUCAUUCAUUAGUUUCAAUUAAAAUUAAAGCACACAGAGAUUUGCAGGGAAGCAAGAGAUUUAAUAAAUUUAACAGCAGCAAUUUAAUUUGACAGGACUUCCAUACAGUAAUGAAGUUAAAAACUAAUGAUUAACGAAUUUAGUUUGGUCCCAAAGCUGUUGAUCAUCUCUCUCUCCAUAGUAGAAGUUUACUCUCAGAGGCGCGUUUAAUUCUCCUUUAGUGAAAAUCUUCAUCUUGGGACAACCAAUUAUAGAUUCCUUGAAGGUGUAAUUGGCAGAGCAGAAACUUCUGAGACUGUCAGCAGAAACUUGUGAGACUACCCAAAUCAUACAGAUACAAAAUCUUCAAUUUGGUGAAAACAAUCUCUUCUUCAAAAUUUGCUGCUCCAUCUUCGUCAUUUAUCACCACCUCUCUCAUUGCUCUGCAUCCAUACACCAACAUUGAUAAGAGUCGCUGUAGAGUUUGGAGUGACAGAUUCGAUAAUGAUCAACUCCAAAUACUCGCCAAGAUCGCAAAUCAAACAACCAAGAUGCAAAAAGAAUCAAUCCAGAACAAAUCACAGAGAAACUUAAGAACCGAAAAGAAUUAAAGAAUUAGCAGCAAAGACAAAAGAUAUAACAGAUUUUGACAAUAAUGUACAUUUAGAAUUUCAAGGCAUUGAAUAAAGGAGUCCAAUUUGGAGUCUUGUUUCCACAAUUGCUUCAGAUGAUUAAAUUUGUGCAGAUCUAAAUGUUUUAUCAUUGUAAACUUCCUCACAUGUUUCUUCAAGUAUCCUCCAUUCGAAAAUACCUCUUCGCAUGAACAACGACGCCGUAUGAGAGUUUCCAGAUUAUGAAAUCUCUCAAGUAAAUCAAGUGGAAAACAAGUUGAGUCAUCAUCCACUGUUUGUAGUAGUUUAAGACUGCCAAAAAGGUGUCGUGGGAAAUCGCUCUGCAAAGUCAUCCUCGAGUCUUUUCCACUUAAUGCCAGUUGGGUAAGCUCUGAUCAUCAUCAAUCACGUAAUAACUUAUUAAGUCAAUUCAUAUUCUCUCAAAUAACUUUUAAUAAUCCAAUCAUACACAGUGACUUUAAUAUAAAUGCAUAAUAUUUUACAAAAAAGAAGAAAAAAUCGAAUUAGAGGUAAAAGUUAUUCUACGAUUUUAUUUUUUAUAUAUAUCUUGCAUGCUAUUCCCAAAAGCAAUCCCAAACGACCCUUAAAGCAAUUUUACAAAAGCGGCCCGUACAUGUAUUGCCAACUUUGUUAGGAAUGGCAAUGGAAAGGGGAGGGGAAGAGACUGAUCUCCCCGUACCCAUUCCCGAUAUUCUGCAUAUAUCCAUGUCCUCUUCCCAUUCCCGACAAAAUUACUUUAGGGAAUCCCCCUCCCCUCCCCAAAUAAUAAUAGGGGAUCCUUAAAGGUCCUCGAUUGUCGAAUAACUGAUACGUUUUUAGUUUUAAAUUUUAAUUUAAUCAUAUUAAAAUAAAAAAUAAAAAUAAAGUUUGACGAUAUAUCUUACAUUAACAUUAAUCUAUUACAAAAGUCACAUUACAAAGUAUAAAUCACCAUAAUAAUUAUCUUCGGCAAUCUUCAAAAUCAUAUAAUAAAAAAAAAAGAAAUUACUUUUAUAUCAACAAUGAGAUAAAUGAAAUGAAUAUAGAUACUUAAUCAAUAUUUCUAAUAAAAGUAUUUACCUCUUGUGUCUCCUACUCUUCUUGUUCUUCCUCGAGGAAUGUGACAAAUUGAGAGAUAGCCUCAGAUUUCAAAUUUAAAACAACAAAAAUAAUAUAAGUAAUGUAAAUUCUAAGUGAAAAUAUUAAUAAUUAUAUAAUAUAAUUACAAUGUAAAAUAAACUCAUACUGCCAUUGUAAGCUUGUAGUCAACUUUGACAACAUAUUAAAGCCUCCAAUGUGCUUGAAUAAAGCGUGUUACAGUACUCUAACACUGGUGCUAAAAGCUAAUUCAAAAGCAACAUUUGUAAUUAGAAUUGCCAAAAUAUCUCUAGCAAUUCAUAUACCCUCCUUAUGUUACUAACCACGUGACGGUAGAGAGCCAAUUGGCAUACUAUUAUUUUGACGGUAGAGUUAUAAAUUUGUUUCUAAAUAGAAAACUAUUUGCUGAAGUCAAUAUUUUCAAAACCAAAGUCCCAAAUUCUCUCUCGUGCGUGCCUGGCCAUCCUAAACCUUACUGGUAGCCGGAGAAUGGCGUAAAACGGCGGCGAUCUUCUUCUUCAUCUUAUUAUCUCUCUCAUCGUUUCAGGUAAGCUUGUGAUUAUGAGUUUCUUCUCUUUCUUAGCUUGUAAUUAUAGGUUUUGAUUUCUUUAAUUCGUAUUGUAACCAUUAAUGUCAAUUUUUGUCCCGCCGGCAAUAUUUCUUGUUCCUAGAAGUUGAAGCCCUUCUGUUCUUGUUCCAUUGGUGACUUUGCUCACUCAAAUUAAUUUUGUUCUGCGGAAUUUACAAAGUUCAAAUGGAUUCAUUUGGAUUACUAUUGAAUUUAGCUUUCAUUUCAACAUUCAUUCUAAUGUUUUACAAUCAUGUAUUUAGAUUUACUUUAAUUUUAUGUUUAAAGCUUCUACAAUGAAUAGCGGAGCUUGGGUUUUAGUUUCAUUUUCUAAUUAACUUCUUUUAGUUUAUCUUAUAUGCUCGCCAAGUGCUUGUUAUAUUGUCUGAUAAGUUAUAUAACAUUGCUGAUUCUAUAUUAGUAAUGUCAUGUUCCAUUUACGGAAAUUAUAGCACAAAAGUUUUUACAAUGGCUUGCAUCUACAAACUGAAUUGACUUGUAGAGUAAGAGCUUGGAUUAGUGUUAUGUUCUUGAAUAAAUGAAAGUUCAUAUUGUGUAAGAGCAUGUAGAUGUAAAGCAUCACUACCAUUUCUACAAAAUGCUUUCAUUCUGUUCAGAUGCUCCUCUUGAACUUUGAAAGGUGCCUCAUUCAAGUCCUAGCUAUAACUAAUAGCUCUGAUUGCUUAAGUUCCUGUGCUAGCUGAAACAGAUUUAUUUAAUUAAUUAAUUGUGUAUGUACUAAUUAUAUUGAAAGUAUAUGAAGAAAUUGUUUAACAUGAAUGACUUCUAAAUGACUUAAAAGCCUAAAGGAUAUGUCAAAUAAUGCUCAUUUCACUUGAACGAGCCUAAUACUUUUAUGUCUAUGAUUGUCAAUCUUGCUUAAGUGUUUCAGUUAAGUGGUUUACCUAACAGGGGAAAAAAUUUAAUGGAAAACUUUAGAGUUCGAACAGAAAUAUAGUUGACUGCAGAUAUAGUUAUUUUACGGUACAUAAAUCAUAUUGUCCUAUACUCAAUGUCCUACGACCUAUUUUAUUUUAUAUGGUCAUUCAUUUUUGCGAUGGUUUUUUGUGCUUAUGAGUAUGGAAAUAGUGGGAUUUGGUGUGGCAAACAAAAAUAUACAUAUAAUCAAGUUUCUUAAUCAUGUAUAUUGGUUUUGGGUAUGAAUGUUUUCCUAUUCUAGUUCUAGACAAAGUUUCUUCAUUUUGGUCUUCAGAUUUCCAGUAGGUUAAGUUAAGCAACUAUCAUAACUAGCUAGCUAGUUAUUGCCUGCCUUGUCGCCAUUACCGACGCCAUUACAUUGCAUGGCAUAAGGAAUAGUAACUAGGUGAUUAUUGGUGAUUCCUUGAGUUUAUUAUUGGCCAAACAAACAUAUUCGCCUUUACCCACAACUUAGUUUGAUUAGUUAUUAGAUAAUAAAGAGCCUUAAUCUAUGCAUUGCUUUAUUAUUUUUAUUUGGUUUUUCUUUCAACAAUAUUGUUGAUUUCUUAUAAAAAAUAUUCAUUGGUUUUUAAACACCUAAUCAUUGGCUAUAAUGAAGCUAAUUAAAACGGAGGCUUUGGAUCAAUUUCUGUUAACAACAUACAAAUGAGCAUAACCACCCCCCCCCCCCCCCCCCCAACCACCACCAAAAAAAAAAAAAACCAAAUAGGAAGACUUUGCAAGAUUCACAACCAGGUUACAUUUAAUUUAUUAAUUGUGUGUACGUACUAGUUAUUUGUUGAUAGAAUAGGAAGAAGUAUUUUAAUAUGAAUGGCUUAAAACUUAUUGCUCAGUAAACAUAAUGUGCAUCAGUGCUAGAAAAUGUAUUUAUUGUUUGUAAUUUUUUAUGGUUUUGCUUAAGAAAUGAAAUGUGAAAAAAUGCUACAUUUUAUUAGGAAUAAAUUGAAGAGAUUUAUGAUUUUUAUGUGUUAUUCAAGUUUCAGAUUCAAUUUUAAACUUUUGAUACAUGCAUUGAAAGCUUAAACUCCUUUAAGAAAUUAUUAAUAGACACAUGUUUUAUUAGUGUCAUCUUUUGGAUGAUAGUGAGGAUCUUAUGUCUAUUAAUAAUUCUUGAAUUAUCUAGGCUUGGACAGUUUGGUAAUGCAUAGAUUUCUAUGGCAGCUAGUGCCUGAAAUUUUUUUCCCACGUAAAAAUGGGUUUUUCCGCAGCUGCUCCUCAUGUUCUCUGGGUGCAUACUAGACAAAUGGGUGUCAUGUGUUGUUUUGGCAUAACACAUAAACACUCAUAUAUCUAUGUCGUGUACUUGAAGAACUAUAGGGAGAUGCUUCCGAAGUUUCUAUAAACGUAGAGGAAAACUUUAGAUACUUAAGAUUGAAGAAACUUAUGCAUUCUUGAGUGGGAUAUAUAGGACCACUUACCUUUUGUAAAUAUGAAGGGAAUGUUGGAUAUAUUGAUGGGAGUGGAGGAGCUGAGUGGGAUGAAUGUAAUCGGUUAUGAUUUUGCUGAGUUGACUUGGUUUUGAGUCUUGUAAUUUUGUUUAUAAAUGGAGUACUAUCUCCAAUGUUGGUUUAUAAAUAUGUUUCAGCUGGCUGACCUAAUUUUUUGUUUCUAGGUAACAGGCUUUAUAUAUCUGUAAUUGAUAGCCAAGUGAAGUUCUCAGCAGUGGGUGAGGAUAUUUCUUUACAGAAGGUAUUGCAAACUGUUUUUUAGAUUAAUUAUUAUUGUAUAUAUACUUUAAUUUUCACAUCUUUUUCUCUGAUUCUUGUGGCUUUGCUUGCUUCCAUAUAUAUAAAACCAUAAAAUUGUAUAAUAAUUUUUUUAUUAUAUUGCGAAACUGCGCACACAUGAAAAUAUCUUGUUUAGUAGUAGAAAUGAAGAAUUAAAGUGAUUUAUUUAACUAAUUUUUCUAGUGCAUUAAAAGGAGAUAGUCAUGGACCAGAGUUGGGUUGGUUUGCCAAAUAGAUAUCCAAUUCAUAUACUGAUGGGGUCAAAAAAUUUAUAGAUUUUGCAUUUGAGAAUGUUGUUGGUGAUAAAAGAAUUUAUUGCCCUUUAGAAGUGUCGUAAUAUCGAUAUUUCAUUAUAAGGAAAGUAGCAAGAGACCAUAUCAUUAUAAAUGGCUAUUGGUUAAAGUAUUAAAACUGGAUAUUGGAGGGUGAGCCAUCUUCAUCUUUGAAAUCUAACUAAGAAACAGGUUAGUCAUGACUCGGGUAGUGAUGCUAGUAUGCUUGGAAUGAUGCAUAAUGCAUCACGUAAUCAAAUGUUCAAGUCACACGCAGCAUUGUUAUGGACUAUCUCCGACUUUCUAGCAUAUGCCAACUUGUUUGGGUGGAGUAUUAAAGGUAAAUAAGCAUUUCUUGUUUGCCAACAAAACACUAGAUCUAAUUGGUUGAUACAUAGUAGAAAAUUGUCACGUGGGUCACCGUCGAUUUUUACCAACAAAUCAUAGGUUCCGAAAAUAUAGUGCCAUCUGAUAAAACUAGAGAGUGGGGACAAGCACCUUCUCGGUUGUCUGGAGCCGAGGUGAAAAACCAGUUCAGUAAUGUACUUAAGAUUGAAGACUUGAAAAGAGGAGAAAAGAGGAGAAUGAAUAAAAUGAAAGAAAUGAUAAGAUUACUUGGAAGAAGAAAAGCAUUUUUUAUGAACUAACGUAUUGGGAGUUCAAUUUGAUUCAUCAUAAUCUCGAUGUCAUGCACCGUUUUGAUUUUUGUUAUGAACUCAGAUCAAAAGUUUAAUGUGAUCAAAAUUUCUUAAAAAUAGUGAAAACGACUCCUCCUAAUAAUAUGGAAGAUGGCUAUAAAAGAUAAUUUCUUAAAAGUUUAAUGUGAUCAAAAUUGCUUGUGAACGCAAGGGUUUUAGUUACACUGUCAACGCUGUCAAUGUAGUGAUACAAUGAAGAUGAAGUAAAGCAUUAGUAGAAUAAUGAAGUUGACCAGUAACACAGUAAAGCAAAUUUUAUUCCAGAGCAUGAAAACUUUUAAACAGUAACACAGCUCUUAUUCCAGAGGCUGCACGCGAGUGACCUGAAUCUUCUUCAGAACUUUCAAAUUUUAUCAAGCAAAGCUUUCAAAAUCCUUUGCCUUCCUAAGUUAGGAAAGAUAGAUGUGGAGCAAACUAUUUUUUUUAGAUAUUUUCACUUUGGGCUGUCAGCCCGAGGAAGUAGGGGGGUCUGAGUUAUUCAACUGAAAAUGUCGGCCAAGUUCUUGUGUUAGUUUUAGUAUAUUGUGUACAAAUGAUACACUAACUUGAAUUUAUAUGCUUUUAUGACUAUUUGAUAAUCAAAUGGGUAAAUGACACGAAUAACUUUGAGUUUAAAAAUCUGGCCCUGAUGCCUGGUAGCCCUCCAACCUAUGAAGCACUAGAUGUUUUAAUGAUAAAACGACAAGACCAUUUAUCAAAUUUCUUGUGGAUAUAAAUACAUACACAUAGACGAGACCAACCUCCUCAAAUGAGAAUCAGAGUGAUUACAAGACCUUUCAAUGAGACAAUAAUACACCAUCAAAUCUCAAAAUACAAUAGAAAUUCAUGACAUAUAUAUAAUAAAAGACCACUCAUUGAGUCAUAUAUAUUGAGAAUAAAUUUUUUUUAAUACAUACAAAGAGCUUAGCUAGAAUGAAAUGUCUUUGGACUUGCGAUGAAAACAAAGGAAACAGACAUGUUGCAACUCACACUAUCACAGAUGUAGCGACACAAUGCAGUGAAUCACAAGAAGAUCACGAAGAUGGAAACGGGAACCCCUCAGAAUGUAAACUUUGAAUAGAGGAAAAAAGGAAAACGACCUUAUUCACAGAGGACGAGUGACUUAAAUCUUCAUCAGUAUCCAAACAUUCUGCAAUCAUAGAGUAGAGAAAUUUUAACAGGAACAGCAGAGAAAAUAUUAUGAAUAUGCACUGAUUACGUUUUUUUUUUUAAUUUUUUUAAUCCGAUUAAUGAUAUUCAGCUGUUCUUUAAUUAUGUGUUCAUAGGGAAGAACAUUUUCUAAGUACUUUCCUUGCCUUCUAACUUUCCAAGGAAAUAUAGGUGUGAAGAAAAGCAAACCCAAUGAACAAACAGAGCACAAAGUAAAAUAAAAGAACAGCAAUGAUGACGAUAAAUAAUUGGCAAAGAAAGAAAGGAAAAAGUAUGCACGUUUUCAAGGAUUUAUAAAAUACGAAGGCUUUUAAUGGAAUUUUAUCAUAAAAACGUAUGCAAGGAGUUAUAAAAUUUUAGAAGACGAGGGGAGCUCGCAAAAAAAAAAAAAAAAGACUCAAAUUAAACUAGACUAAAAAGACAUUCAAUUAUGCAAAAUCUGUCCAUAAAAGUCUGAAAGGAUCAUUAAAAUUGCAUUGCAAAUUUAACAGUAAACCGAGGGAUCCAUUCUAAAUAAUUCAGAUGAAAUUGCGAAACAAGCCAUGGGAUUAAAUAAAUGAAAUAAAAAUUAAUUACCAGUUGAGACUUUCUUCUAAAAAUUCGCAACUCCAAGUCAUAAGAAGCCUAUGAAAUUAGUCGUACUGCGUAGAGUAUGACGACGACACCGCCAACAGCUGAAAGUAAAAUUCUUAUUCAUCAAUUUAAACUUUUACUUUAUAAAAAAUAUCUUAUCUAUAUUGUAUUUAAGAAAGCAAAUUUUGUAAAAAUUUAUCAUGGGAGAUAGAGAGUAAUAUGUAUAGACGUACCUUCUCAGCAUGUAAUUGUUGUAUGGUUGUGUUUAGAUCAUUAUUAGCCCAGCGCCGUUGAUCCGCUGUCUCUCCAUAGCAGACGUUUACUCUUAGAGGCAUGAUUGAUUCUCCUGUAGUGAAAAUCUUCAUCUUGGGACAACCAAUCACACACAAAUCUUGCAAAGAUGGGAAUUUGAAGGUGUAAUUGGCAGAGCAGAAACUUGUGAGGCUAUCUAAAUCACGCAGUUCCAACGUCUUCAAUUUGCGGAAAACAAUCUCUUCUUUUUCAACUCCUUCUUUGUCAUUUAUUACCACCUCUGUCAUUGCUCUGCAUUCACGCAUACGCACUGUGACGAGUUGCACUAGAGUUUUUGCUGUGGAGGAUGUUACCAAGUGUAUCAAUUCCUUGCAACCGAAAGCUACAAUUUCGGUUAGGUUCCGAAAAGAUACCGAUGAUGAUGGCAAUAGAAUUAACAGACUUUGACAAUCAUAUACUUUUAGAAUUUCAAGAUACUGAAAAAUGGGGCCAAGUUUGGAGUCUUGUUUGCACAGCUGCUCAAGAUGAUAGUGCUGGUGCAGCUGUAAUUCUUUUAUCAUUGCCAACUUCCCCACAUGUUUCUCUAAGCAUCCUUCCAUCGAAAAUACCUCUUCGUGGAAUGAAAAAUUACACAGUAUGAGUAUUUCGAGACUGUGAAAUCUCUCAAGUACAUUCCAGAUUGGAAAACAAGCUGAGUCAUCGCCACCAAUAUUUAGUUGUUUAAGACUGCCAAAAAGGUGUUGGGGGAAAUCGGCCUGCAAAAUCAUCUUCACGUCUUUUCCAUUUAAUGUUAGGUCCUUCAAGUUGGGUAAGAUCUGAUCAUCAUCAAUCAUAAUAAUUAUUAAGGUCAAUUGAUGUUCUCUCAAAUGAUUUUAAGUAAUCCAAUCACACGCAGUGACUUUAUAGUAUUUGUUUUAUAUUAUAUUUUACACAAAAAAAUGAAUUAUUGAAAAAAAUUAUUAAAUGAUUUUUUAUAUGUUAAUUUUAGAGGUAAAAAAGAAAUUAAGGAAAAAAUUUUGAUUUAUACUGGCUGGAAAUUAUUUUAUUGCACAAUAAUAAAUUACUAAUUUAUUUUGUAAGUUCUUAUAUAUGGAAAGACUAAGUAUCUCCAAAAGGCUCUAUAAAUUUUACUCUUUCAAAUUUCUAUUUGCUUACCUAUGUGGCAAAUAGAAAAGUGAAAAAAUAUGUUAUUCUCCAAAAGACUCUUCAAAUAGAAAUGAAUUAAUAUUAUUUUAAUUAAAUAACUAUUUUUAAAAAAUAAAAAGUCAAUAGUAAUUAAAACACCUCUCUCUCUUUCUCCAACAAAAAGUAAUAAAAUAUAAAUUGAAGAGGGGGAAUGCAACUCUCCAAAUUUGAAGAGAGAUGAUCAUUUCUUAUUUGAAGAAUCUUAAUUGGAGUAUCUUUUGGAACUUUAAAUGCUGAUGUGGCUCUUCAAAUAAGUAAUAAAAUCUUAUUUAAAGAGUCUUUUGGUGAUGCUCUAAGGAUUCUUUUAUAAAUGCUAUACCUAAAAAAGUUCAUAUAAUUAUUAAUCUAUCAAUAAAUCCCUUAGUCUAGACUAGCAAAGAUUAUUGUAUAAUAAAAGUUUUCAAUUUAUUGAGUAUUAAUUUAUUGAUGCUUUGUCAUAUUUUUUAAAGUUCAAACUAAGCUAUUGAUAGAAAUCUAGAAAAUGGCUUCAUACAUUUUCCAACGGCAAUAGGGCCUGUUGUGCAGGAGUAUCAAGUUCAUCAUUCUCAAAAAAAAAAAAAAGAUUGAAUUAUUGAUAAAAUUUAUUAAAUGAUUUUUUAUAUGUUAAUUUUAGAGGUAAAAAAGAAAUUAGGGAAAAAAUGUUGAUUUAUACAGGCUCGAAAUUAUUUUAUUGCACAAUAAUAAAUUACUAAUUUAUUUUGUAAGUUCUUCUAUAUGGAAAGACUGAGGAUUCUUUUACAAAUGCUAUACCUAAAACAAUUCAUAUAAUUAUUAAUCUACCACAUUGAUCCCUUAGUCUAGACUAACAAAGAUUAUUGUAUAAUAAAAGUUUUUAAUUUAUUGAGUAUUAAUUUAUCGAUACUUUGUCAUAUUUUUCAAAGUUAAAAAUAAGCUAUUGAUAAAAAAUCUAGAAAAUGGCUUCAUACCUUUUCCAACGGCAAGGGGGGCAGUUGUGCAGGAAUACCAAGUUGAUCAUUCUCAUUAUUCUGCGAUAAAUCUGCAGCGAAUAUCUUUAAUUUGUCACAACCAUACACAUAAAGAAUUUCUAGCGCGGGCCAUUCCGAAGUAUGCAUUCCAGGGUACAAACAUCUAAGUUUUGGUAGAUCUUGGAGUCUCAGAGUGGUGAGCGGUGGAAAGACAAAAUGAGGGAUCACUUGAUCUGCUCUGUUUUCAGAAAUGAUCUCCUGUAAAUCCUUACAGAAGCGUAUAUCUAGGUGUUGGAGCUGCUUAAGGCUUCCGAUCAUAGACGCUGAAAAUAUGUAUUUUAAUUUAUGACAACGAUGCACAGUCAAUCGUGUUAAAUUUUGAAAGCGAGGAAACAUGACCGGAAGAUUAUUGUAGUGCCAAAUCUUGUCGACAUUAAUUUCAUAUAUCUCCAAAGCCUCCAAGUUAGGCAACGCAACCUAAAAAAAUAAGAAUUUCUCGUUAGAUCCAAUAUCCAUAUGGGAAGCACUUGUUGAAAUUUUCUUCUUUGAUUACAAAUUAAUGCAAGUCUGAAUCAAUUUCCAACUGACAGCUGAGUAUGCAUUCUAAUUCAUACUACUUGUUAAGAGCUCAAUUAGUGAGCGCGUGAGAUUCUUUUUAUCCUUUUUUCCAUUUUCUUUCAAAUCUUUAAAUGAUUUAAUUACGAAAAAUUAAAUGAUUAAGCCCAUUUUAGUUGACCAAUUUUCUUAAUUAUAUGAAUAAAAUCUGUUAUAUAUGAAGAAAAUGUUAGCCUACGCACCUUCUCGUUGAAAAGCAGAGUUGAAGUAUCCAAAGUGAUUUCGCUGGAGCUAUACGUAGUCGUCGAUUCCUCCUGCGACGCUGGUCUGUUUGGUGAUGCUGAAGGAGUCUUUACUUCACGGCAGAAAUUUGUAACCUCUGGAAGAUUCCCCAGACUCAAAUAUCUUAAUUGAGCAAACUCUAUCUUCUCAAUUGCAUUAUCAACUUCUUCCCCAAUUGCAAAAAUCUCUUUCAUCUUGCUGCAAUUAAUAACUGCAAUUCUCUCAAGUCUUGGAAGGCAUUUUGUAGUAGAGAGCCAAAAGAUAUUACUCAAUUUAUCACAACUAUAUGCUUCUAUGGUUUUGAGUUUGUUGAAAGACUCUACUUUGAGCCGAUCAAUACAUAUCCUCUCCAUGUUGAUCAAGUUGUGAAGGAUAAGUGACUCCAAAGGAGGAAAGGCAUCACAAGCGACCAUCUCCCUGGAAUCGACGAUACAAAAGAUGUCAGGAUUAUUUUGAACCCAGAGAAGCUUCAAUUGUGAAAAGCCCUCCGUGUCCAAAUUGAAAAGAACACUCUCGAUGCCUUGCAGCUUGUCCAACCAUAAGCAUUCAACGUUAUUGAUGCCCUGCAAUUUCAUGGAGCAAAUGUCCAUAAAAUCAAGCUUGAGCUUCAAUGCUCUUAAACUCUUGCGAUCUCUGUCGAUCACAAAGUGCUGCCAACUUUUAAACCAUCUGUGUCUAAAAAGCAUGGGAUGUGUGAAUAACCCAUUUCCAAUAUGUAUUUGGAACCUUUCGAGCUUUCUGGCCAAAAAGCCUUCUGGUAAAAUACUAUCAUUUUUAACAUCAAUUUCUAGAGUGGUUAGCCGAGGUAAAUGCAUCAAUUCAUCAAGGCUAGCAUUACUUCUUUUGCUGUUGGCUCUUUCAACCUCCCAUUCAAUGGAGCAAUUACCCAUAUACAAUUCUUCUAAUCGGAUUAAGCUUGAUAUGACAUUUGGGGCAAUAACUUUCAGACGGAAACAGUCUGUUAAAUCUAACAACCUUAGCUUAGUCAGUUGACCGAGUGCUUUAGGCAACUCUACAAUAUCAGAUUCCAAAAAGCUGAUGAUUUCUAGAUUUUCCAACUUUCCAAUAAUGGCUAUGUCUAUGCCUCCCAAAAUGCUUUGAUUAAGACAGAGUGUCUGAAGAUUUACUAGAAGACCAAUUGAAGAUGGCAAUGACAAUAACCGCAUUCUAGUCAAAUCCAAAACCCGAAGCUUUUUCGUCCUUUUGAAGAAGUUCUCAGGAAUAUUAGGCACAGCAAAAGAGUUCUUGGGAGACAUGAGUAGAAGUUCAAGUUGUAGAGAUUCGGACCCUUCAAGAAUGUCAUUAAUAAUACUAUCUUUUAAAGAAAUUGCAAGAUAUUUUUUUAAUUCAUCUGCAUUUGGCCAUUUCCAAUCAUCCUCAUUUCUCACCACAAAUCCAAUUUUGUCACGACAUGCAAUUGAAAUGGCAACAUCGCGAACAACGUCGUGCAUAGAAAAGUAUUUACUGCCACCAUCCUCAAGCAACAAACAAGAGUCUCUUAGUUGAUGGACCCAUGCAUCUAAUUUGUUAUGUGCAUCUUCUAGCUUGUGGACACUUUUAAAUACACCCCAGCCCAUGCUAUAUUUGAACAAGUCCAUAAUUGGUGCUGGCGUAAUAAGACUACACAGUAAAAAAGUUUUCUUGAGUUGCUCACCUCUUAAGUACUUGUAACUCAGCUCAAUUGUUGAGUAUGCCUCUGCUGGUACUCCUUCGUCGAAGCUCGCCUCUGAAGGCGUUCGGAGUUCUUGCAAGGCAUUCUUCCACACAGGCAGCUCUUUUUUUCUCAGUGCCUUUGCUACUGUGAUUAGGGCAAUAGGCAAACCUCCGCAUGCCUUGGCUACACUUGUUGCUGUAGAUUUUAACUCACGAUUUUCAACAUAAUCACCAGCCAUUAUCUUGAACAAACUCCAGGCUUCUUGUUCAUUUAAAAUGCCAAUCGAGAAGUUUUUUUCAGAUCCCAUCCUUAACAGCACAUCAAGAUCUCUUGUUGUGAAUAAUAAUUUACAUCCUCUGUGCUCAACUCCAAAAGGAACUCCAAUAGUCCCCAAAUCAAGAGGUUUCCAGAUGUUAUCCAGAAUCACAAGGAUCUUCUUCUCAUUCUUCAAUCUUUCAUAUAGUCUACUAGCUCUUCUAGACUCAGCUUCCUCGGACAACUGUAGGCCUAACGUUACCGCAAUUUCCUCUUGGAUCUUUUUUAUGUCUGGACUUUGGGUAACCUCCGAAAAAGCCACCAUAUCGUAAAGCUUGUCUUCAAUGGCUCGCCUUGCAAACUCCCGCACCAGUGUCGUCUUUCCAAUGCCGCCCAUGCCGUAGACGCCAAUGAUGCUGACAUCAACAUCGAUCAAUGCAUUUUGUAUGGCCUUCAAAGUAGAAAGUCUUGAUUCGAAGGCCUCGUAGCCUUUGUGAGACUUGAGCCAAAUCUCCUCCGGAAUGGUACGGUAGGAAAUUCUAUCAUCAAAUCUCCCAGCUUCUUCUCGGAGUUUAAAAAGGGCCUCCUUCUCUGUUUCUGCUUUCUUUCCAUGCUGAUAGCGAGUAAUCCAAUUAGGAAACAGCCCCAUGAGACAUCGUUCAUUUGCUUUCUCUUCGUCUUGAAUGAAUUUGGCUGCCUCCUCAAUGCUCUUGUUCGCAUUAACCAGCCAUUUCUCAACCUUCUCUUCAAUCUUUUCACUUUUUCUUUCAGCCUCAGAAACUCUGCGCUGAAUGCUUUCUCUUUCAUCCUUGAGCCCAUCGAGUUCUUCCUUGAGAUUCUCAAAGUUGGCAGCGGAGUUAUACCAAUAACUAAAUUCGCGUUGUGCGUGAGGAGACAAGCAGUUUACAAUGCUUUUCAAAAUGUCCAUUGUUUUUUUGGGUUGGGGGGGGGGGGGGGGGGGGGGGGGGGGGGGGGGGGGGGAGGGGGGGGAAGGGAACGAAAUAGAAAUAGAACAGGGUCAUCGACCGCGCAAUUGAUAAUCAAGUAGAAGCAAAACAAGGCAAAAUUGGAAAAAGAAAUGAUAUUUGUACAAAACAAGGGGAAAAUCAGUGUAACAGAAGAGAAUCAAAGUGUUUUUGAGAUCAGAAAAUUGAAUCAAGAAAAGGGUUGCUUGAUCCAAUGAAAUGCAAACAGCUGGUGGCAAAAGGGAACGAAGCUAAAUAAGAAAACGGCUAGCACGAGCAGUGACCACGAUAAAUAGAAGCAAAGUGUGUAUGAGAUCAAAAGACGAAAAUCAGGAGAGGUUUUCUUGACUGAGAAUUGAAGGCAAAGAGUAGGAGCUGACGAAUACGGGGAUCAAGAGGGAAAAACUGCUUGCUCGUAAAACUACUUUCAAGCGAAUCUGAUAAAAUUAUUUCAAUACUCAUGGGCGACUCCUUUUUAAACUGCAGAAGGAAAAAAAAAAAAAAAAAAAGAGUUCUGAAUUUCAAUAUAUUAAUUUUUAUCCUAAUUUAUGUUGAGAUUCGUAAUCUCGUCUCAAUGAUUAAUUAGUAGAUAUUCUUUCUAACAAAUAUGUGUUGAAUAGAUAUAUUUCUUGACUAUUAGUAAGUUAGAUAUAUUUUGGCAUAGGAAUGAAAGUACCAAGUUGUGUCAUAUUAGAAUAAAAAUUUGAGCUAAAAAUAUUUUUCUAUGACCUUUUAAUUAUUUGUCAGCAAAUAAUUAAGUCAUAUAAAAAAAUUAAUAAUCUGAAUUAGUCUUUAAGUAUUAUAAAUAUUAUUUUUAUUUUUAAUUAUAAUAUCAUUAUUUAAAAAUAAUUGCUUGACUUAUAUUAGUAACAUUACGAUUGUCAUAAAACAUGUGAUCCUGAUCCAAUAUCCAUUAUUUGUGAUCCUUAAUCAAUAAAAUAUCUAACAAUAUCUUCACCUAAAGUUUGAGACAUGUGAUCCUUAUUCCACUGCGUCAAUUACACUCCAGACCAAUGCUGCCGUCAUUAUCGAACGGUCGAUAUCCAACACUUGCACGAAGAUUCCAAGAAGUUGCGUGGCUGCCGACUUUUAGAUGCAAAGCCUCAUUGUGUCGAUGUUACACAAAAGAGAGCAAGUCCGGGUAAUUGCCGAAACUUAGAACUAAACAGUAGCUUAGUCAGAAAAUCAAACGCCAGUAACCGUUAAAAUGACCGAUAAAAAUAUAAAGAAACCAAAGCUUUAAAAGAAAUCAGCCAAAUCACGAAGAUUGAAGAGUAAAUCUAUGGUUUUAGAUUUUUAUUUUAUUUUUUUAGAUAAUAGAUAUUAUUUUGAUGAAUUUUUAAUAUUAGAAUAAUGUUAGGAAUUUCGAUAGUAGAUUUCUAACUUGAGAUCCAAUUGUUAUGUAUCAUUUUUUUAUUGGAUAAUGAAUUUCAUAACUAGUAAAAUUAAUAUUUCGAUCAUCUAAUAAAUGACUAUCAUAUCAGUUGAGACUCAAUUAUUGGGAUCCUUAACAUUGCUCUUACUAUUAAAUUGGACAUCUUAGCUAAAUCAAAUUAGAUUUUAGGCUUUUAUCCAACAUCUCUUUUUUUUUUUUUUUGGUCUAUUUGAAGUGAACGAAAUAAAAAUACAACAGGUUCAACGACUGGGCAAUUGAUAGUCAAGUAGAAACAAAUCAAGGCUAAAUGGGAAAGAGAAAUGAUAUUUGUGCAAAACAAGGAGAAAAUCAGUGUAACUGAAGAGAAUCAAAGUGCUUUUGAGAUAAAAAAAAAUUGAAGCAAGAAAAGGGUCGCUUGAUUGAAUGAAAAUGCUAAGAGCUGAUGGCAAAAGAGAACAAUGUUAAAUAAGAAAACAGCUAGCUCUAGCAGCGACCACAAUAAACAGAAAAGUUGAGAUGGAUUUACAAUAUUUCUGUCUUUCUUCAUGCUUUAACAAAUAUUGCUCUAUAAAAAAAAAUAUUGAGCGUUUUUAUUAUUGGAAUCACAAAAGACCUACACAAUAUAGCAAGUGACUAGGAAUAAAUAAGAAUAUAUAACUCUCUCUCUCAUUCUCACUCUAGCUUUUAAUUGUCACUCAAAACCCAUAAUUCUUCCUUAAAGUGUAAGCAAAUAAGAGAUGACAGCGUCUGGUUGUCAUACGCGCCUUUUAGUUUUCGGAUGACAUGGGGUACACUUCUUCUGUAAACCGAACACGACAUGUCGUACUCUUUGUUUUGAGAUCAUAUUUCAAACUCUUCAUGCUAUGAAUGAAAGAUAAACUACAAUCAUCAAAAUAUUUAGUGUUUAUUUGGUAAUGUAAUGUCAUAGUUGUUGUGAAUUGAAAUUAUUUAUGUAAGAUAAAAGGAUUUGGGUCAUCGUUUGUUAUUCUCUGGCAAUAUUGUUUGGCCGUGACUACUUGAAAUUAUUUCUGUAAGAUAAAAGGAUUUGGGUCAUUGUUUGUUAUUCUCUGGCAAUAUUGUCUGGCCGUGACUAUUUGUUAAAUAUUUAAAAAAUAAAUUUAUAUUUAUUAAGUAUAAAAAAAAUAAACAAACAAAAAUAAAAGGAAAAGUUUAUACAUUACAUAAAAUAAUAAGAACAAUAUCAAUAUUUCACACUCUAUAAUUGAGUGAUGUGUUGUCCAACUGCCAUACUGAUAAACAGUGAACUCGAAACUCAAGUACUACAAGUCGUUUAGAGGAUUCAGUCUCGGAUGACUUGUCACUUGUAGAAGUUCCUGAAGCCAGAACCGACAUAAUCUUAGUCAUCUGUUCUAUCUUUAGUAGUACACGUGGUUUGCACAUGUGUUGAAGCUAACUCUUGCUUGGAUCAAGAAACGACGUCUCUGAGUGCAGUUUCUUAAUCACACUUAAAUCAGCGUGUGACAAGCACGUGAGGCAGAGCUUCUUGGAUAGAUUUGGCGGGAAUGGUAGUUGGCGUAACAACCCAGAAACAGAGGAUAAAAAGGUGCAGGCUUUGUCAUCGUCUUCACAUGAUUUGGGAAACACUGAGAGUAGAGAGAAGAUAGAGAGAGAAAGGGGUUUACAAGUUCUUGUUCUCUGUAAAUCAAUUCCUAUUCUUGUAUUGUUUUGUGAACGAAAUAGUGAAAGACUGUUGCUUUGUUUCCAGUGGAUGUAAGCACCACUUCUUGGUGCUGAACCACUUAUGCUUGGUGUCUUGUUUGUGAUCUUGAAAACUUUGAUUCGUGUGUGUAUUUGUUGCUGAAUAGUCUGUGUUAAUCAUUCUUAAAACCAUCGAUACAGAACUAAGUGUCUUGGGGAGAAUUUGGUUAAUCUUAUCAAAGCCAAAUUCACAACACAUACAUUGGUCCCAAACAGAGACUUAAAUAUUAAAGUCCAAAGUUAUUGUGAUGAUGACUUAUAAUCGCCAAACUUGACAUAGGGGUAAUCAUGCAUUAUAAGGUGCUGAUUUCUUCCGAUCAGAACCUUAUUUUUCAUUUACAAAUAAAUAAAUGAUGUGACUUCACGGUUGGCGGGGUCCUUUGUGUCAUUUGGGCAUUUCACUAAAUGAUUGAUUGCAGCAGGAAGAUUCCUGGAAGUUGCCAUUUGCCAAUGCUACUAACAUUUUCAAACUUGGAAAACCCUUCAAUCAAUCUUUUAGUGGUAGGCUCUGGUAGCUUGGUUUGAUUAUGACAUAUGAUUAUUUGAUAAUAAAGCUAGAGGAUGUAUUAAUAUAAAAUUUGUUUAUUGGUGUUGAAGUUAAUUAUCUCAUUAAUAAUGGUAUAAAAAGUUAAUUACUAAGAAACACAUAGCAGUAUUCUGGGAUAUAAUUUUAUAUCAUAACUUUGUAAGUGUAUAAUUACGCAUUAAAUUAACAAAAUUAUUUUAAAAUAUUUCGUUAGAAAAAAUAAAUUAUAUUCUUUUUAUUUCAAAUAAUCUAUAAGUUAACUCAAAACAUAAUCAAGUUGAGAAUUAAAAUAAUGCUACUGUAUGAGAGGAUUUUUAUUUUUUCCCGAAGUUUCACUAGGAAAUUAUUGAUAUAUAGCUUUAUUCGGAUCAUCUGAGUUCAAACGACAAAUAAUUGAAAGACUAAAGUAAAUAGACCAGCCAACAACUUUGUACAGCAGAGUUCAAAAAUUAAGGUCAUGGUAUUGAGGUGUUUUGUCUUGAAAAGUACGGCAUAAUGAUAAAAUAAAAACUAUUAGUCUUUGGUAAGAUAUAACUUUUAAAUAAUAAUUUUCACAAAAAUACAAAGAAUAUUUUAUAAAGUACUUCUAUAGUGAGGAGACCCUCACUUUGUUAAAGUGAAAAUAUCAAUAAUAUACAAGAAACAUAUAUUCUAACAUAUUGAGAACUGUAUCUUUUUAAUCUAUUAGUGUAUUGAAAUAUGUGUUAUUUAGUUUGUUAGUGAUAUCAUCACUUUGUUAAAAUACGGAUGUCAGAACCAUUAUAUUUUAAAGUUUUACUUCAUUGCUUUAUUAAUCUUAUUACUAUUUCUCCUUUGCACUUCUAAAGAAACCAAUUAACCAAAGCUUUAAAAGAAAUCAGCCAAAUCACGAAGAUUGAAGAGUAAAUCUAUGGUUUUAGAUUUUUAUUUUAUUUUUUAGAUAAUAGAUAUUAUUUUGAUGAAUUUUUAAUAUUAGAAUAAUGUUAGAAAUUUCAAUAGUAGAAUUCUAACUUAGGACCCAAUUGUUAUGUGUCAUUAUUUUAUUAGAUAAUGAAUUUCAUAACUAGUAAAAUUAAUAUUUCGAUCAUCUAAUAAAUGACUAUCAUAUCAGUUGAGACUCAAUUAUUGGGAUCCUUAACAUUGCUCUUAGUAUUAAAUUGGACAUCUUAGCUAAAUCAGAUUAAAAAUCAAAUUAGAUUUUUUGCUUUUAUCCAACAUCUCUUUUUUUUUUUGGGGUCUAUUUGAAGUGAACGAAAUAAAAAUACAACAGGGUCAACGACUGGGUAAUUGAUAGUCAAGUAGAAGCAAAUCAAGGCUAAAUGGGAAAGAGAAAUGAUAUUUGUACAAAAUAAGGAGAAAAUCAAUGUAACAGAAUUACAGAAGAGAAUCAAAGUGCUUUUGAGAUCAGAAAUUGAAGCAAGAAAAGGGUCGCUUGAUCCAAUAAAAAUGCAAAGAGCUGAUGGCAAAAGGGAACAAAGUUAAAUAAGAAAAUAGCUAGCGCUAGCAGCGACCACAAUAAACAUAAAAAGUUGAGAUGGAUUUACAAUAUUUCUGUCUUUCUUCAUGCUUUAACAAAUAUUGCUCUAUAAAAAAAAUAUUGAGCAUUUUUAUUAUUGGAGUCACAAAAGACCUACACAAUAUAGCAAGUGACUAGGAAUAAGAAUAUAUAACUCUCUCUCUAAUUCUCACUCUAGCUUUUAAUUGUCACUCAAAACCCAGAAUUUAUCCUUAAAGUGUAAGCAAAUCAAAGAUGACAGCGUUUGGUUGUCAUACGUGCCUUUUAGUUUCUGGAUGACAUGGCGCACACUUCUUCUGGAAACCCAACACUACAUGUCGUACUCUUUUGUUUUGAGAUCGUAUUUCAAACUCUUCAUGCUAUGAAUGAAAGAUAAUCUACAAUCAUCAAAAUAUUUAGUGUUUAUUUGGUAAUGUAACGUCAUAGUUGUUGUGAAUUGAAGUUAUUUCUGUAAGAUAAAAGGAUUUGGGUCAUCGUUUGUUAUUAUCUGGCAAUAUUGUCUGGCCGUGACUAUUUGUUAAAUAUUAAAAAAAUAAAUUUAUAUUUAUUAAGUAUAAAAAAUAAAUAAACAAACAAAAAUAAAAGGAAAAGUUUAUACAUUACGUAAAAUAAUAAGAACAACAUCAAUAUUUCAUACUCUAUGAUUGAGUGAUGUGUUGUCCAACUGCCAUACAUUGGUCCCAAAUGGAGACUUAAAUAUCAAAGUCCAAAGUUAUUGUGAUGAUGACUUAUAAUCGCCAAACUUGACAUACGAGUAAUCAUGCAUUAUAAGGUGCUGAUUUCUUCCGAUCGGAACCUUAUUUUUCAUUUACAAAUAAAUAAAUGAUGUGACUUCAUGGUUGGCGGGGUCCUUUGUGUCAUUUGGGCAUUUCACUAAAUGAUUGAUUGUAGUAGGAAGAUUCCUGGAAGUUGCCAUUUGCCAAUGCUACUAACAUUUUCAAACUUGGAAAACCCUUCAAUCAAUCUUUUAGUGGUAGGCUCUGGUAGCUUGGUUUGAUUAUGACAUAUGAUUAUUUGAUAAUAAAGCUAGAGGAUGUAUUAAUAUAAAAUUUGUUUAUUGGUGUUGAAGUUAAUUAUCUCAUUAAUAAUGGUAUAAAAAGUUAAUUACUAAGAAACAAAUAGCAGUAGUUAAUUGGUGUCAUAUUAUUGGGAUUCUGGGAUAUAAUUUUAUAUCAUAACUUUGUAAGUGUAUACUUACUCAUCAAACUAAUAAAAUUAUUUAAAAAUUUCAGUUGGAAAAAAUAAAUUAUAUUAUUUUCAUUUCAAAUAAUCUAUAAGUUAACUCAAAACAUAAUCAAGCUGAGAAUUAAAAUAAUGCUACUGUAUGAGAGGAUUUUUAUUUUUUCCCGAAGUUUCACUAGGAAAUUAUUGACACAUAGCUUUAUUCGGAUCAUCUCAGUUCAAACGACAAAUAAUUGAAAGACUAAGCUAAAUAGACUAGCCAACAACUUUGCACAAGAGAGUUCAAAAAUUAAGGUCAUGGUAUUAAGGUGUUCUAUCUUGAAAAGUAUAGCGUAGUAAUAAAAUAAAAACUAAUAGUCUUUGGUAAGAUAUAACAUUUAAAUAAUAAUUUUCACAAAAAUACAAAGAAUAUUUAUAAAGUACUUCUAUAGUGAGGACACCCUCACUUUGUUAAAGUGAAAAUAUCAAUAAUAUACAAAAGACAUAUAUUUUAACACAUUAAAAAUUGUAUUUUUUUUUAUCUAUUGGUGUAUUGAAAUAUGUGUUAUUUAGUUUGUUAAUGAUAUCAUUACUUUGUUAAAAUGAGAAUGUCGUUACUAGAGAAUCAUUAUAUAUACAUAUAUAAAGUGCCUCUGUCCAAGACCUAGACUUUAUUAACAUUUAAGAAAGCAAAUAUAUUUUAUAUGGUAUAAUAGUGUAAUAACAUCACACAAUUAUAUCAUAUAGAGUAAUAGUUUUUCGAACUUUAAUAAAGUUCAAGAUUAUAGAAUGAAUGAUUUUUAUAUAUUAUAAAUUUUUUUAUCAUAAAUGGAGGACAAAAUUAACAUAUUUUCAAAUUAUAAUAAGUAUUUAUCAAAUAAUUUAACAUUGCAAUUUCUCCUAACUAGUAUAGUAAAUAAUACGACCUAGGAGAUACAUUCAAAGCAUUUCAUAAGUUAGUUGUUAAUAAUAAAUGAUAUAUGCAGCUCCAAUCAUCAUUGUACGGUGAGUAAUUUCCAGUUAUAAAUAGAUAUUACUCCCUUCCCAGCAAUUUUUGAUGACUUAAUUUAGUGGGAUCAAAAUCAACAUUGAAUUUUUGACCAGCUGCCAACAACUUGUGAGCAGUUCACAGUGGGUACUGCACAUGAUGCCUGUUUCUCCUUUUGCAUCUAUUUUUGUUGUUAACAUUAAUUUCAAUAGCAGCUCGUUAAUCCCAAUUGUUGAUUUGGGACUAGAUAAGAAUUUAUCUUGGAACUCCAAUUCUCCCAAUUAUUUUAGUUGACAAUAUAUUUAACAUUAUUAAUUGCAUAUUAUUUAAUUAUCAGUAUAUAAUAUUCUUUAAUUUUCUAAUUUUAUAGGAUUAGACACAAAAUUGAUUAUGCCUUUUGAAAUUUAAGGGUUAUGUCAAUUGAAUAGAAAACUUGGAGGUAAACUUGUGGAUGUUUUUGUUGAUUAUCAAUUUAUGCAUGAAUUUUUGUACGUUUACUUUGGUUUAUAAUUAUUACUUUUAAAUAUUUUUGUUGGUUUGAUUUAGGGUCAAUUUGGUAAUCCUGUAGCUUUUAAAAUAAUUACAAUUAGUUAUGCUGUAGAAAUUGAUCAAUCGUCAAGAGAAUCAGCUGAACAUUUAGUAAAAUUUAUUUUUAAAAGUACUUUUAGUUUUAAAAGCGUUGUAUGAAUAAAACUGUUACACUAAAAAUUAAAUGUAUUGCCCACAUGGGUAAAUAAAGCUAUAUAUUACAACUGUUACACUAAAAAUUAAAUGUAUCUUAAACCCAAACUUCUUCUUCCUUUUUUUUUUUACUAACAAAAUUAAAAACAAUAGUGAACACAUUCUUUAAUAAACAAUAAGUAAUAAAUAAAAUCGUGUUAAAUUUCUUAAAAACUUUCUUUCACGGUUUGCUAAAUAUUUUUAUUAGUAUUUUAAAUAAAUAAAAAUAGUUGAUUUAAUUUUUUUAAAUAAACUUAUUAGGUUCAUGUAAAGAUGUUUUUGUUAUUUUAAAAAGUGUAGAAAGUACUCCUAAAAAAAAGCGUAGAAAGUAAAACUUAAUUUUUUAAAUUUAUUUGCUGAGUGCAUAAAUAAUUGAGUGUUCAUAAUGAUUUUUAAAGUAUAGAUAGUCGGACCCUAAUUUUUUAAUAUAUGAAAAUUUUGCUAAUAUGUUAAUGAGAAUUAAAAAGAUAAUUAAGGGAGGCAAUCGAGACAUUCAGGAUAGUUAGGAUGGGACAUGAUUGUGAGUGGUUUGAUAUUGGUCCUAAUUUUGAUCACAAAUAUAUAAACAGGACGAGUUUAUCUCUACUGACAUUCCAUUUGAUAAUUAAGAUGAGAGCGGAAUUGUCAAAUCUCAAAUCAUCCUGAACCAUUGCCAUCAAAGGUACUCUCACUAAUAAUAUCUAAAGAAAAAUCUACAUCUAUUUCAUACUUUUUUUUUUUAAACGGAAAGAGCCUUCAUGGGGCUUGAAAUGUUAUCCCAAAUAGUAUUAAGAAUAUCAAGCCAUGAUUGGGUUUGAGACAAACAAAUAUUACAUAGUUAGGAUACGUAGUUAUAGUGUCCCAAUUUAUGUAGUAUCUAUCAUUUAGUGCACAUAUAAAAUAUUAAUCAGCUUAAUUAAUUUAUAAAAUUUAAAUCUAAUUAAUAAGUGAUACAUAAAAGCCAAGUGCAAUAUUGUAUAUGCAAAACAUGUUUGUGGAUCAUUACAAAACUUGCUCUUGAAAACAAGCAAGAAAGCUUAAUUAAGAACUUAAAACAAAAAGAAUUAGAUUGAAAACAGUCAAGCUUUAUUUUUUCAAGGAUGGAGCUUAUAAAUCUUCAAGUACCAACAUAUGCUUGGCCCAAUUGUUGUUAUUAAAAUUUCAAUAUACAUAUAUAAGUAUGAUAUAGCAAAAAUUUGAUGGUACAUAUCUCGGAAUAUACUAGUUCAUGGAUGCAUUUGAUUAUUGUUUCCAUAAAUUUGAACCGGGAAGGAUGACAUGAUAAAAUUUGAUUUUAUGGUAUGGUUGAUUUCAGAUCUCAUGCCCUCAUUUCUUAAGAUAAUCAAAUUUUCUCUGGCAUCUUUUGCAACUGUGGAAAUAUCAAUUAUGAUCAAUCAAAACGAUUUCAAAACCUUUUAACGAGACAUAUUUAUAAUACAAUAUUGUGAAAAUUACAACAAAAAAUUAAUUUAUUAAAUAAUAUAUUAUUAUCCAACGAGCACACAAAAAUGAAUUCGUACAAAUCUAAAAUACUUAGCAAUUUUCAAAUAGAAUUUACCAUGUACUACAAGAAAAUAGGGUAUAUGUGACCCCUAAUGUGAAUGCAAAUUUGCAAAAGCAGCCAUUACGCAUGCCACUAACUUCUAACUUUGCAACCUCGAGUUGCUUACUUGCUUUUGUUACCCUUUAUGUGACGGCCACACUGCUGUCACAUAUGUUACUAACCACGUGACGGUAAAGAGCCGUUCGGUAUAGCACUAUUUUAGAAAUUUAAAUUUAUUUCCAGUUAGAAAACUAUUCGCUGGAAUAGCCACCAUCGUAAACCUAACUGGUUGCCGGCGAACGGCGUAAAACACCGGGCAUCUUCUUCUUCAUCGUAUUCUCCCUUCAUCUUUUGAGGUAAGCUUGUGAUUAUGAGUUUCUUCUCUGACUUAGCUUGUAAUUAUAGAUUUUGAUUUUUUUUUUUAAAUUCGUAUUGUAGCCAUUAUUGUCAAUUUUUGUCCCGCCAGCAAUAUUUUUUUAUUCCUACAAGUUGAAGCCCCUGUGUUCUUGUUCCAUUGGUGAGUUUGCUCACUCAAAUUAAUUUUGUUCUGCGGAAUUUACAAAGUUCAAAUGGAUUCAUUUGAAUUACUAUUGAAUUUAGCUUUAAUUCCAACAUCCAUUCUAAUGUUUUGCUAUUAGAUUUAGUUUAAUUUUAUGUUUAAAGCAUCUACAAUGAAUAGCGGAGCUUGGGUUUUAGUUUCAUUUUCUGGAUAACUUGUUUUAGUUUAUCUUGUAUGCUCACCAAGUGCUUGUUAUAUUGUCUGAUAAGUUAUAUACAUUGCUGAUUCUAUAUUAAUAAUGUUACGUUCUAUUUUCAGAAAUUAUAAUACAAAAGUUUUUACAAUGGCGUGCAUCUACAAACUGAAUUGACUUGUAGAAUAAGAGCUUGCAGUAAAUGAAAGUUCAUAUUGUGUAAGAGCAUGGAGAUGUAAAGCAUCAUUACCAUAUCUACAAAGUGCUUUCAUUAUGGUCAGAUGCUCUUCUUGAACUUUGAAAGGUGCCUCGUUCAAGUCCUAGCUAUAACUACUAGCUUUGAUUAAUUAAGUUCCAAUACUAGCUGAAACAGAUUUAUUUAAUUAAUUAAUUGUGUAUAUACUAAUUAUAUUGAAAGUAUAUGAAACUUUUUUUUUUUUUAAACAUGAAUGACUUCUAAAUGACUUAAAAACCUAAAGGAUGUGUGAAAUAAUGCUCAUUUCACUUGAAUGAGCCUAUUAAUACUUUCUAUGAUUGUCAAUAUUGGCUUAAGCAUUUCAGUUAAGUGGUUUACCUAACAGAGAAAAAAAUUUAAUAGAAAACUUCAGAGUUCUAACAGAAAUAUAGUUCACUCUGCAGAUAUAGUUAUUUUACGGUAUACAAAUUAAGUUGUCCUAAUCUCAAUGUCCUGUGACCGAUUUUAUUUUAUAUAGUCAUUAAUUUUUGCCAUGGUUUUUUGUGUUUAUGAGUAUGAAAUAGUGGGAUUUGGUGUACCUUAGCAUCUUUUGAAAAUUCUCUUUAAGUAUGGCCAACAGAAAUAUACAUAUAAUCAAGUUUCUUAAUUGUGUAUAUUAGUUUUGGGUACGAAUGUUCCUAUUCUAGUUCUAGACAAAGCUUCUUUGUUUUGGUCUUCAGAUUUCCAGUAGGUUAAGUUAAUCAACUAUCAUAACUGGCUAGCUACUUAUUGUCUGCCUUGGCGCCAUUACCCAGGCCAUUAUAUUGCAUAGCAUAAGGAAUAGUGAUUAGGUGAUUAUUAGUGAUUUGUUGAGCUUAUUAUUGACCAAACAAACAUAUUCGCCUUUGCCCACAACCUAGUUUGAUUAGUUUUAGACCACAAAGAGCCUUGAUCUAUUCAUUGGCUUUAUUAUUUUUAUUUGGUUUUUCUUUCAACAAUAUUUUUGAUUUCUUAUAAAAAUAUUCAUUGGUUUUUAAACACCUAGUCAUUGGCUAUAUGAAGCAAAUUAAAACUGAGGCUUUGGAUCAAUUUCUUCUAACAAGAUACAAAUGAGCAUAACCUUUCUCCUCUAAGUAAUUUUUUUUAAUAUCCUUGAUUUGUAAGGAUCUGGAGGCCUGAAAUCCUCUAGAUUUUUUUUAACACUGUCAAUGUCCUUUUUAUUCUGAAAAGGAAAUAAAAGGUUUUAUCUUUCAUACCCUAAUAGUAGGCUGGCCUUGUCUUAACAUGGCUUCUUGAGGAUUUGCAAGAUUCAUAGUUCCCCCAACACACGCCCCCCAAAAAAAAAGAAGAAAAAGAAAGAAAAAAGAAAAAAGGAAGAUUUUGCAAGAUUCACCACCAGUUUUUUUUUUUAAUUUAUUAAUUGUGUGUACGUACUAGUUAUAUGUUGAAAGAAUAGGCAGAAGUAUUUCAACAUGAAUGACAUAAAACUUAUUGCUCAGUAAACAUAAUCUGCAUCAGUGGGAAAAUGUAUUUAUCGUUUGUAUUUUUUAUGGUUUUGCUUAAGAAAUGAUAUGUGAAAUAAUGCUACAUUGUAUCAGGAAUAAAUUGAAGAGAUUUAUGAUAUUUAUGUGUUAUUCAAAUUUCAGAUUCAAUUUUAAACUUUUGAUACGUGCAUUGAAAGCUUAGACUUGUUUAAGAAAUUAUUAAUAGACACAUGUUGUAUUAGUGUCAUCUUUGGAUGAUAGUGAGGAUCAUAUGUCUAUUAAUAAUUCUUGAAUUGUCCAGGCUUGGACAGUUUGGGAAUGCAUAGUUCUCUCUGGUAGCUAGUAGCUGAAGUUUUCUUCCCACGUAAAAAUGGCUUUUUCGGUAGCUGCUCCUCGUGUUCUCUGGGUACGUACUAGGUGAAUGGGUGUCAUGUGUUGUUUUGGCAUAACGCAUAAACACUUAUAUAGCUUUGUCGUGAGCUUGGAGAAUUAUAGGGAGAUGGUGCUGAAAUUUUUAUAAACGUAGAAGAAAACUUUAGGUACUUGAGAUUGAAAAAACAUAUGCAUUCUUGAGUGGGAUAUGUAGGAUUUAUCACUUACCUUUGGUAAAUAUGAAGGGAAUGUUGACUCCUUGAAAUAUGCCCAAACCCAUGGAGUAUCUAAAUAAGUCUGAAAACCAAACACUGUUACCUACUAGACGACAAAGCAGAAAAAUUUUCUUGACUCGCUCACCUUUUAAAUAAUUGAAACUCAGCUCAAUACUUGAAUAAGUUUCUGCAGGCACAUCUUCGAAGUUUACCAUUGAAGGCGUUCGGAGCUCUCGCAAGGCAUUCUUCCAUUCAUGGAGACUCUAGUUUCUCAGUGCCCUCAACGCAAUGGGCAAACCUCCAUAUGCCUUAACUACAUUAAUUGCUGUAGACUUGAACUUACAAUUUUCAACAUCAUCACCAUUCAUUAUCUUAAACAAUCUCCAGGCUUCUUGUUCAGUUAGAUUGCCAAUCAAAAAGUUAUCUUUGGAGUCCAUACUUAAAAGCACAUUAUUAUCUCUUGCUGUCAGCAAUAGUCUACAUCCUUUAUGAUUAUUUCCAAAAGGAAUUCCAACCGUCUCCAAAUCAAGAUGUUUCCAGAUAUUAUCUAGAAUCACAAGAAUCUUAUUCUCACUCUUCAAUCGUUCAUACAGCCUACUAGCUCUUCUAUAUUCAGCUUCAUCGGACAACUCCAGACCUAACUUCUCUGCAAUUUCCCCUUGAAUCUUUUUUAUCUCUGGAGUUUAUGAAACCUCUGAUAAAACCACCCCAUAAAACAGCUUUUUUCCCUGGCUUGCCUAGCAAACUCUUUCACCAGUGUGGUCUUUCCAAUGCCGCCUAUGCCGUACACCCCAAUAAUGCUGACAUUCGCCUCCGUCAAUGCAUUUUUAAUAGACUGCAAAGUAGAAAGUCUUGAUUCGAAGGCCUCGUAACCACUGCUAGACUUAAGCCAUAUCUCCUCCGGAAUGGUACGGUGGGAAACAGUAUCAAACUUCUUAACUUCUUCUCCAAGUUCAAUAAUGGCCUUCACCUCCGUCUCUGCUUUCUUGCUAAGCUGAUAGCGACUCUUCCAAUGAGGACUCAAGCCCUUGACACAGCGCUUAUUCGUUGACUCCUCAUCUUCAAUGAAUUUGGCUGCCCGGUCAAUGAUGCCGUUCGCACUUCGCAGUAACCAGCCACUUUUCAACCUUCUCUUCAAUCUCUUCCCCUUUUUCUUUCGCCUCUGAAACCCUGCGCUGAAUGCUCGUAUGUUCAACCUUCAACUUCUCCAUUUCCGCCUUGAUAUUCUCAAAGUUGGCAUUGUAGUUCCAAAUAAACAAGUUGGCGUGCAGUUGGAGGAGCCAAGCAUUUUACAAGUUCCAAGACGAUAGUCACAAUGAUUUCCAGCAUCUCGAAUCCUGACAAAAACGUAGAAGCGAAGAAAGCCAAAGGAAAGUAAAAACAAAGAGACAGCGAUAGGACAAGCAAUUGUGUUUUUCAGAUGAGAUGAAGGAAACAAGAAAAGGGUUUCUAUCACGACGUAAAGAGCUAAAAGAGCUGAUGGGUACAGAAUAAGAAAUGAGACUGAGGAGUGAGCAAAGCUAAAUAAUAACAGAACAAGAACAAUGACGAAUAGAAGAAACAGUAGCAAAGAGCCGUUUAGAUGAUUAGAAUGAAACUAAGCGACUGGAAAUAGUAGAUGGUAGACUAAAGAGAAAGUGAUUGAUUAUUUUAGGAGGCCAAUUAACGUAAUGACAGAUCCGGUUUCGAUGUUUGUAAUUUGAGUAUGAGGUAAAUCGAUUCUUUGUCGAGCCAGUCAAAUACAAAGGCAAAUUAGUAAAACACGAGCCAGCAACUUUUACUCACACAAAAGCCAAUAAUAUAUUGAGAUCACGCAACAUUGCAAUAAAGUUAUCAUCAAGUUGUAGCCUUCUUAUUCAAUCAAUUAUGGCAUUAUCUCUAGCUCUGUAUUUUUCAAAAAAAAAAUUAUUAUUCAAAAGAUGUCUGUCAUUAAUUUUUCAAUGAUUAAAAUUAUAAUUUUUGUUUAAUAUAUAUAACGUAAAAUUUUAAAAGAAUCAGACAUGCAUUAGGGUUAAAAUAAAAAAUAUGGAGGUAGCUUUUAACUAGGUAAUUGGCUCAACUAUGGAUCAGUGUGAGAUCACUAUUUUUCUUAUUAAAAAAAAUUCCAGCCAAACAAUUGUCGCAAAAUCUUAAUAUAAAUUACAAAAAAAGACAAUAUUUUCUAAAAUCAUAGCAAUAAUUUAUAUUUUGAAUACCUGUAAAUAAACCACUUAGAAAGCUUUCGAAACACGAAUAUUGUUGUCGUUUUUAAAGACUUGACAUUUUGGGUAAUCUGAAUUAACAAUGCACAUCACUUGUUUGUCACAAUGUCCAAAUAAAUAAUUUUAAAAAAAAGUUAUUUUCAUUCUUUCUUUUCAGGUAUCCUAAUUCCUUUUGCAGUUUGAUUCCUCUUUUCCUGAAUUUCACACAGCGCACCCACAUUUUUUGACCAUGUGCACCUCCCCCUAUUUCUAUUAAAAAAUCAACUAAUCUAACUGUUUAGGCUGUUAUAAAUUUAAAAGACUAUACUACCCUUAUUUUGAAUGAAUUGGGUAUAUAAGUACUAAAAUACCCUUACAACUAAUAAAAUUUAAAUCAAAAAGUAAAAAUUUAUUAUAAUAUUUUUAAAUUUAUAUGUAUACGAUUUUUUCCCGGAUUACAAACCCAAGAUUAUAAACCUAGUAAAUUACAAAAUCAGAGGCAAAGCAUGAUUCCAAUGUGAAAGAAAAAAAUCAAACACACAUUCAUCAGUACAUUACAAAAUAAAUCCGAUAAUCCCACCAAAACAAAUAAAACCCAAUAGAAAGAAACCCUAAACUAAUGAUACCAAAAUCCCUGAGAGCAAAUUUCAUUGUAAAAUUCUAUUACAAAAUAAAUUCAUACUAAGAAAAUUCAAUAAAAAGAAACCCAAUAAUCAAAAAUCUUAAAACUAAAGAUAUCAAACCCAAAAUUAAAUUAUAGAGGUGGCGAAAGAAAAAGGGUUUUUUUAAUUAUAUAUAUUAUUUUAAUCUUGUGUUAAUUACCAUUCUACCCUUCUUUCCGUUAACAUUAGAUUUGAAAGAAAUGAGGGUGGUGGACAUGGUCUGUAGAUUGGGGGCACAAUGCAAAAUGUCAAAACAAUUGGGGCUAAUGCUAAAUUACACAUUAUUUAAAUUAAAUUAUCCUAAUUGUAUUUUUAUUAAUUAAUUAACAAUUAGUUUCAUUACUAUGAUAGUUUUGUCACUAUGUUUGUUACCAUCUCUCAAAAAAAAAAAAAAUUACUUUUACAUGUCGAAUUGUGUAACAACGAUUUAAUGAAAAAUUAGAAAACAGCACGACAUCUCGUGGCUUAACAUGGUCAUCAUGAAUAUCCCUUAUUAUUAAAAAAUGAACAAACAAACUCUUUUUUAAUACAUGUAGUCCUUUUUUUUAUAUUUCAAAAUAGUUAAACAGAUCCUGAAUUUGUGUGUUCCUCAAUAAAUUUUCAUGAUCAUUUUUUAAAAUAAGGGAUUUUUGUGAUUAUUUUGCCACGUCCAAGGAUGCCGCUGUUCUUGUCACCAAAAAUUAUUCUCAUAAGAGUCAUGAUUAAUUGGACGUCAGCAAUGAGGGCAUGUAAUGAAAAAAAUUUGUUUUGCAUGGGAUCCAAUAAUUUUAAUUACAAUGGUGGUGACAGACCCAGCUGGAAAAUCAACUGAUUUUAGAAUUCUGUUGAAAAUUCUUUAAAUGAUCACUAUAUCUCUAGUUCGAUUAUAUCCUUAAGCUCAUUGAUUCUUUUGUAUUGAUUUUGUUACUUCUUUUCUAAGAAAUAUUAUAAGAACUGCUCAGGCUGUAAGAUUGAUAAGCUUAAAGAGUCGGAACGAGGCUUACCAGUUCGUAAGCUUUUAAUUAUUUGGAUUGCUGUGCUUGCAACUGGUAAAUUUUUCAACUUCAACUCGAUAUAAUGAUUUUGGAGAGAACCAUUUACAGUGAUUUUCAAUUCUUUUGUGAUUUUUUUUUUCAGUUCUGCCAGUCUCAUCUCUCUUUCCCUUCCUUUAUUUUAUGGUGAGUGGAUUAUUAUUGCCUUCAGCGCAGUGGUUAUUAGUGAGAAAAUUUAUAUUUUCCUAUCAAGCUUGGUGAUUUUCUGAGAAAUAUAAGAAAAGACAAGUUUUAUAUGUCAAAUAAUUCAUUGCUUUUUCACAGCAGUCAUUUAUGAUUUCUUUUCAGAUUAGGGAUUUUCACAUUGCAAAAAGGGAGGAAGAUAUUGGAUUCUAUGCUGGUUACGUGGGUGAGUUAUUCUAUGUUUUUUUUUAUCGUAUUUAAUAAAUGACACACAGUAUGGAGUCCGUCUUGGGUACGAAUGUCCACACCUUAUAAAGUGCUGACUCACGCCUUUACAACUCUGGGAAGACAUUCUACCGAGACUUUACAUCACUGUAAACGCACUGUACAAGAGCUUUACAAUACGGACCCGCGUCUUUACAACUUUAAAGGGCCAAGUCUAUGCUUUAAAAAGUACAUAUGUUCGCACCUGGAAACGAUUUACAUAUGUAUGUAUAUAUGUAUAUAUGUAUGUAUGUGUGUGUAUAUAUAUGUAUGUAUGUAUGUGUGUGUGUGUGUGUGUAUGUAUGUACGACCAAUAAAACAGUUCAAAUUCCUCGAGAAGUUAUCCUAACAAGCAUCUUAAUACCUUGAUGAAAUUGAAGGGUCUUAAUACAUGCUUGGCAGAGCUCUAACAUCUGUUUUGUGGGGAAUGGUGGCUGACCGCUGUGGUCGAAAGCCUGUAAUAAUAAUAGGAAGCAUCACAGUGUUAGUGACUUCUAUUUUCAUAUGAUCAAGCUUGAAAUUGAUGAUACUUCGGCAAUUUCUGGAUUUCUUGUCUGUCUUAAAAUGCUCACAGGGUUAUUUUUAACACUCUUUUUGGGCUUAGUGUGAAUUUCUGGAUGGCCAUAGCUACAAGGUUUCUCCUUGGGGCUUUGAAUGGUUUACUUGGACCAAUAAAGGUAUUGAUUGGGGGUAUUUGUUGAUAAUUCCAAUUUAAUUCCUGCAAAUAUUUGUGCUCAAACUUCUCUUACACCACGAGGCAUAUGCAUGUGAAAUAUUGCGCGAUCAGCACCAAACUUAUUACGAAACCAAAAAUGUUACUUGUUUUCUGUACUUGCUUUCGCAUGCAUCACCCCCACAAAACUGCUUGACGAUUGUCCUCAUUUUGAACUUACUAUAGGUUUCAUUCUCCUUGUUUUUCAACUUACUCUGUACCCUUACGUCGAGAGGAUUAUUGGGCCAAUAAUCAUAACACGAAUUGCAGGGGGUAAUAUUUUGAACACCUCAUGCGGCAUUUGGACCAUUUGAUAGUUUGUUUCAAACAUAUCUGUUUAUAAAAUACUUUUCUUCAUGGUUUUGGUCCCAUAACUUUCUAUGUAUGUACAGGUUUUAUCGAUACCGCUUUUGACAAGUUACACUUACAUAGCAAUGCUAUCUGGGUUCAGCCUUGCCUUUUUGAUAAACUGUGCUUCUGUGAUGAAGAAUGUUUUAUCUGUAAGUGGAUAUCCUAAUCAUUGAUCCAUAUACUAAGGUUAUAUUAUCCAUCAGCAAGUAUGUAUAAAAUUAUUUUGUCUUUUUUAUUAGAAUUUUUGUAAUUCUUUUUUACUUUUCCUGAAUUGUAGCAUCAGGUGUCUAUAAUAACUGGAUCGUUCCUUCUGCAAAUCAGAGCAGUGGUAAAUAUAUUUUCUUUUGUUUGUUUAGUACAUUUCCAUGCUUUCAGCUUUUUCAAAUUUUGUAUGUGCCAAAGUUUAAAUUAAUUGGUUGGUUUAUGGUAUAAUAACAGGUAUGAUAAUUUACUAAUGAAAUUUCUCACUAGUUUGUGAAUUACUUGGUGCUAAUUAGCUUAAUCAGCUGCUUAAACUAAAGUGCAGGUAACCAGAUGAUUUUUUUCAUUCUGAAUUCGGUGGAGGCACUUGGAGUAAUAUUGACAUUCAAACCGUUUCUAACUCAACGUGCCCCGUGAGUGGAGAAAAGAUGCAUCUGUUGAAAUAUUCAAAUAUAUAUCAAGCAAAUUAAAGCUUUCAAAAUCUUUCAACAAUUUGAUUGUUUGAUGUGGUUGCCACUUGCCAUAUUUUGUGUUACUUUUCUAAAGGCUUAAAUAUGAAAAUGGUUGUUGGUGCUCACGCCAAUUGAUUGCUGGUAACAUUAAUUGUGCAGUACUUGUCAGAACUACCACAAUUUAUCUUCACAAUGAUGCUAGCUAGAAAGAAAAUUUCAUGUUAAGUAAAAUAUUGAAGCCAUAAAGAGUCUUAUUCCAGAGCCUCAUUAAGUACUAAGUUUUCUGCCAUGCUUUCAAAGUUUACAAAUUCGAAGCUUGGGGAUUCUGUAACAAUGGAGGAUAAAAAUUAUAUAAGAAUAUUUUUUGUACAAUUUUCAUACGACCAGACAGAAGCGAGCAUAAUUUUUUGAUCAUAACUCAGAUCAAAAGACCUUCAAUGAUGUAUAAUAUGCACAUAAAGCUAGCUCAGAACCAGACAUUAAAACUUAUGAUGAAAGGGAAACAUAGAUGUUGAGAUUGAAAACAUAGAGAAAUUUUUUUAAAAAAUCUGAAAUUUUAUUAAUAGAAGUUUGAAUAACAAAAUUAGGGUAUUGGACCCUUUUUAUACAAAUUCUAAAUAUUAUGUAUUUAUCAAAAUAGGCAAACUUGAAAUAUUAUUACAUAAUAACGUUCUCCUAACUGAAAUAAAAAAAAUAAAACAAAUCAUACUUAAAAUCUUAUAUUUAGAGAAAAAAUAUAAAAAUAUUGAAAAUAAUAAGAAAAAUAAGAAAAUAACUUAAACUUUGUAAAAUAACUACGAAAUAAACAGAAUUUCUUGCCGAAUAGAUACCCGCUCAAGUUAUGAUCUAGGAGUGAUAUCCUACUCAUCCUAUGCAACCAUCAGCUGCAUCAACUUCAUUCCAAAAUUAACAAAUAAACCAACUGACGCAUUGCAAAUAAUAAGAUGAAACGAUAAAAUAAACCUAGAGAUCAAACAACACAAGGUAAUAUAUUAAAAAGCCUAUGGGAUCAAAACACAUCGUACUAUGUCGAGAGAGAUGACGACUCCUCCAACAGCAGAAAAUAAAUUCUUUCAUUCAUUAAUUUAAAGUAAAUUUGGUGCUCCAUCUUCUUCUCCGUCACCUAUUACCACCUCUGUCAUUGCCCUGCAUCCAGCUACCUUCAUUGAUACGAGCCGCACUAGACUUUCUGCUGUAGUGGACGGAUGUUACAAUUCCUUGCAAUGGAAAAUCAACAGUUCUGUUAGAUUCCCAAAAGAUAUAGAUGAUCAUGGGAAUAGACUUAAAUGCUUGUAAAAUAGUCGUAGAAUGUCAAGAUAUUUAAAAUGGAGUCCAGUUUGGAGUUGCUUCAAUGAUUAAGUCUGGACAGGAUUAACCAUUUUAUCAGUGCCUACUUCCCCACUUGUUUUUAGCAGUAUCCGGCUUGAUUUAAGAAUCUCUUUGUAUGAACUAUAUUACCCAAAAAAAAAAAAAAUCUUAUUUCAAAUGAUGCACAGGAGAAGAGUUACUUGAAUCUUCAUCAGUAUCCAGACAUUCUACAAUCACAGAGUAAAGAGUUCUAGCAGGAAAAACUGAGAAAACAACGUACUUCUAUAGUUUUUCACAAUAUUUCCAACGUUUUCAAACAAUAUUUCCACAAUAUAGUUUUUCAUAGCGAAGAGUUUUGCUUUGGUGGUCUAAGGAUUUGUUCUAGGCAUAAUGCUCUGAUUAGAUUUUGUUUAUUUUUAAUUUUUUAUCCGAUGAAUGAUUUUCAGCUGGUCUUAAUUAUGUGUUCAUAGGGAAGAGCAUUUGGAAAGAUCAUCAAAAAAAAAAAAAAAAAAAGUUUCCAAAGAAAGAUAGGUGUGAAGCAAACCAAACUAAAUGAACAAACUAAAAUAACAGAACAGCAAUGAUGUUUUCAAGGAAUUAUAAAAUAUGAAGGCUUUUAAUGAAAUUUUAUCAUACAAAGUAUGCAAGGAAUUAUAAAAUUUUAGAAAACAAGGGGAACUCUCAAAAAAAGAAAAAAAGAAAAAAAUACUCAAAUUAAACUAGACUAGAAGACAUUCAAUGAUGCAAAAUCUGUCCACAAAAGUCUGAACGAAUCAUUAAAAUUGCAUUCCAAAUUUAACAGUAAGCCGAUUGACCCAUUCUAAAUAAUUCAUAUGAAAUUGCGAAACAAGCCAUGAGAUCAAAUAAAUGAAAUAAAAAAUAAUUACCAGCUGAGGCUUUCUUCUAAAAUUCACAACUCCCAAGUCAUAAGAAGCCUAUGAAAUUAGUACUGGGUAGAGAUCGCCGACUGCACCGCCAACAGCUGAAAAUAAAAUUCUUAUUCAUCAAUUUAAACUUUUACUUUAUAACAAAUAUCUUAUCUAUAUUUUAUUAAAAAAAAAAAUUGUAAAAUGUUUCCAUGGGAGAUAGAGAGUACUAUGUAUAUCCGUACCUUUUCAGCAUGUAAUUGUUGUAUGGUUGUGUUUAGAUCAUUAUUGGUCCAAAGCAAUCGAUCCUCUGUCUCUCCAUAGCAGACGUUUACUCUUGGAGGCGUGAUUGAUUCUCCUGUAGUGAAAAUCUUCAUCUUGGGACAACCAAUCACCCACAAAUCUUGCAAAGAUGGGAAUUUGAAGGUGUAGUUGGCAGAGCUGAAACUUGUGAAGCUAUCUAAAUCAAACAGUUCCAACGUCUUCAAUUUGCUAAAAACAAUCUCUUCUUUUUCAACUCCAUCUUUGUCAUUUAUUACCACCUCUGUCAUUGCUCUGCAUCCACAUACUUGCACUUUGACGAGUUGCACUAGAGUUUUUGCUGUGGAGGAUGUUACCAAGUGUAUCAAUCCCUUGCAACCGAAAGCCACCAGAGCUGUUAGGUUCUGAAAAGAUACCGAUGAUGAUGGCAAUAGAAUUAACAGACUUUGACAAUGAUGUACUUUUAGAAUUUCAAGAUACUGAAAAAUGGGGCCAAGUUUGGAGUCUUGUUUGCACAGCUGCUUCAGAUGAUAGUGCCGGUUCAGCUGUAAUUUUUUUAUCAUUGCCAACUUCCCCACAUGUUUCUCUAAGCUUCCUUCCUCCGAAAAUACCUCUUCGUUGAAUGAAAAAAAACACAGUAUGAGCAUUUCCAGAUUGUGAAAUCUCUCCAGUACGUUCCAGACUGGAAAACAAGCUGAGUCAUCUCCAGCAAUCUCUAGUUGUUUAAGACUGCCAAAAAGGUGUUGUGGGAAAUCGGCCUGCAAAAUCAUCUUCACAUCUUUUCCACUUAGUGAUAGUUCCUUCAAGUUGGGUACGAUCUGAUCAUCAUCAAUCAUAAUAACUAAUGAGGUCAAUUGAUGAUCUACGGUCACACGCAGUGACUUUAUAGUAUUUGUUUUAUAUUAUAUUUUUUUAAAAAAAUUGAAUUAUUGAUAAAAUUUAUUUUAUAUGUUAAUUUUAGAGGUAAAAAAGAAAUUAGGGAAAAAAGGUUGAUUUAUACUGGCUCGAAAUUAUUUUAUUGCACAAUAAUAAAUUACUAAUUUAUUUUGUAAGUUCUUCUAUAUGGAAAGACUAAGGAUUCUUUUAUAAAUGCUAUACCUAAAACAGUUCAUAUAAUUAUUAAUCUACCACAUUGAUCUCUUAGGUAAUGUUUAUAUAAUUAUGGCAAGGCAUGAUUAAAUUGAUCAUUUGUUUGGUAACAACUUUAUUAAUCGGGUUCUGGCAGAUUUUCUUGGUCACAAAAGCGUCAAGAUGCUGGUUUCCUCCCAGGUAUGAUGAUAUACUAAUGAAAAUUCCCACUAGUUUGUGAGUUGCUUUGUGCUAAUUAGCUUAAUUAGCUGCUUAAAUUAAAGUGCAGAUAACCAGGUGAUUUUUUUCAUUCUGAAUUUGGUGGAGGCACUUGGAGUAAUAUUGACAUUCAAACCGUUUCUAACUCAACGUGCCCCGUGAGUAGAAAAGAUGCUCUGUUGAAAUAUUCAAAUAUCUAUCAAGCAAAUUAAAGCUUUCUAAAUCUAUCAACAAUUUGAUUAUUUGAUGUGGUUGCCACUUGCCAUAUUUUGUGCUACUGUUCUAAAGGCUUAAAUAUGAACAUGGUUUUUGGUGCCCACGCCAAUUGAUUGCUGGUAACAUUAAUUUAUCUUCACAAUGAUGCUAUCUACAAAGAAAUUUUCAUAUCAAGUAAAAUAUUGAAGCCACAAAGAGUCUUAUUCCGGAGCCUUAUUAAGUACUAUGUUUUCUGCCAUGCUUUCAAAGUUUACACAUUCGAAGCUUGGGGAUUCUGUAAUAAUAGAGGACAAAAAUUUUAUAAGAAUAUUAUUUUGUACAAUUUUCAUACAACUGACAAAAGCAAGCAUAAUUUUUUUAUCUUAACUCAGACCAAAAGACCUUCAAUGAUGUAAAAUAUGCACAUAAAGCUAGCUCAGAACCAGACAAUAGAACUUAUGAUGAAACGGAAACAUAAACGUUGAGAUUAAAAACAUCGAGAAACACCCUUUCAAAAAAAAAAAAAAAAAAUCGAGAAACACAGCUUUUGAAAAGUCUGAAAUUUUAUUAAUAGAAGUCUGAAUAACAAAAUUAAGGUUUUGAACCCUUUUUAUACUAAUCCUAAAUAUUACGAAUUUAUUAAAAUAAGCAAACCUGAAAUAUUAUUACAUAAUAAGGUUCUCCUAACUGGAAUAAGAAAAAUAAAAUAAAUCGUAUUUAAAAUCUUAUAUCUAAAAAUAAAAUAUAUAAAAAUCUUGAAAAUAAUAUGGAAAAAUAAGAAAAUAUCUUAAACUUGUAAAAUAACUAUGAAAUAAACAAAAUUUCUGGUUGGACCAUGAGGCCAAUAGGGUGUCAUAGUAUUAGAUUAAUGGUAUAUUAUACGCCCUAGAUAGAUACUAUAGCUCAAUUUAUGAUCUCGGAGUGAUAUCCUACUCAUCCUAUGCAACCAUCGUCUGCAUCAACUUCAUUCCAAAAUAAACAAUAAACGAAUUGACGCAUUGCAAAUAAUUUAGAUGAAACGAUAAAAUAAACCUAGAGAUCAAAUAAAAUGAAAUGAAAAUGAUAGUUACCUCGGACUUUCUUCUUCAAAUUUCGCAGCACUAUGUAAUAAAUUAAAAAGCCUAUGGCAUCAGAACAUAUCGUACUGCGUCAAGAGAGACGACGACUCCUCCAACAGCUGAAAAUAAAUUCUCUCAUUCGUUAAUUUAAAGUAAAAUUUGUAAAUUUAGGUACUUGCUGAAGAAACGUGUUUUCAUUUCUUAAAUAAAGCAUUAUACAUUGAGAGUUAUUUAUAGAUGCAGAGGCUACAUUUUUUCAAAGAUUACAUAUGUGAAUACGGAAGGAAAUGUGUCAAUCCGUUCGGCGCGAAUCAUCCGUUCGGCGCGAAUCUUGUCUUUGACAAGUGCAGAUUACCCCUUUGACAAGUGCAGAUUCUGUCUUUGAAAGCUUCAUUCAAUGUCGUUUUAUUUGAUUUUCAACACUCCCCCUCAAGCUGGUGCAUAGAUGUCUUUCAUACCCAACUUGUCUAGGAAUUUUGUAAAUGCCCUGCUUGAAAUGGCCUUCGUUAAAAUAUCUGCAAGUUGAUCUUCUGAUCGAAUUUUCGGCAGUUCUAAGAUUUUUUCAUCUAAUUUCUCCUUGAUGAAAAAUCUAUCUACCUCCACAUGUUUUGUUCGAUCGUGUUGAACUGGGUUAUGAGCAAUAUCUCGUGCAGCUUUGUUGUCACAGUAUAGUUGUAUUGGUUGUUGUGAUGGAUAGCCCAUAUCGUUUAAGAUAAAACUUAUCCAUAGCCCUUCACAUAUCCCAAGGGCCAUGCCUCGAUAUUCUGCUUCAGCGCUCGAACGGGCAACGACAUGUUGUUUCUUGCUUCUCCAUGUGAUAAGGUUUCCUCCCACAAAGGUAAAGUAUCCUGAAGUAGAGCGUCUAUCACUAACUGACACGGCCCAAUCUGCAUCAGUAUAAACUUCUAUGUUGCUGUAAUCUUCAUUUUUGGAAAGUAAGAUUCCUUUUCCUGGAUUUGUCUUCAGGUACCUCAGGAUCCGCAUUACUGCUUUCAUGUGUUGUUCUCCGGGAUUAUGCAUAAACUGGCUUACAACACUCAAUGCAUAAGCAAGAUCUGGCCUUGUGUGGGACAAGUACAUCAAUCUUCCAAUCAGCCUUUGAUAUCUUCCUUUGUCUACUGGAACUUGGUCUGAAGUAAUACAAAACUUCAGUCCUUCUUCUAUUGGGGUGUCAAUAGGCUGACAAGCUGUCAUUCCCGUUUCGUGCAAUAGAUCUAAGGCAUAUUUCCUUUGAGACAGAAAGAUUCCUCCCUUAGAUCGAGAAACCUCAAUUCCAAGAAAGUAUUUUAAGGCACCUAAAUCCUUCAUCUCAAACUCUCUUGACAAGUACUUAUGAAGAGCCUCUGUUUCUUCCUCGUCGUUGCCUGUAACUACCAUAUCAUCCACAUAGACAAUAAGGGCAGUGAUUUUACCUUGUCGUUUUUUAAUGAAUAAGGUAUGAUCUGAAUUGCUUUGGUUAUAUCCAAAACGAACCAUAGCCUUUGUGAAUUUCCCGAACCAUGCUCUUGGGGAUUGCUUCAACCCAUACAAUGAUUUCUUCAAUUUGCAUACUUUCUGAUUGAGUCGUUCUGGUCCACUGCAUCCUGGUGGCAGAUCCAUAUAAAUUUCUUCAGACAGGUCUCCAUGGAGGAAAGCAUUCUUUACAUCGAACUGUUGCACUGGCCAAUCCAAGUUGACUGCUAAUGAUAAUAAGAUACGAAUAGUAUUAAUUUUUGCUACCGGUGCAAACGUAUCAGUAUAAUCAAUCUCGUAGGUUUGGGUGUAACCCUUAGCUACGAGUCUUGCUUUGUAUCGUUCAAUAGAGCCAUCUGCUUUGUAUUUUAUAGUGUAGAUCCAUCGACAACCCACUAGUUUCUUUCCUGGUGGAAGAUCAACUAGUUCCCAUGUUUGAUUUUUCUGAAGAGAUCUCAUUUCAUCAUUCAUAGCCGCUUUCCACUUUGGAUCUUUUAAAGCUUCCUGCACACUGUUAGGAAUAGAUACAGCAGAUAAUUGAUUCACAAAUGACUGAUUUGAUUCUGACAAGCAAUGGUUAGACACAAAAUGACUUAUAGGGUAUUUGACUAUACUAGAGAAGUCAGGCUCAUAUGUGGGUUUAGGGAUACCUCUAUUUUGACGCUGGGGAAGAAUUCUUCUGAUUGGACUUGUGGUAGGAACAUCCUCUGCAGACGAUUGGUUAGGUAUUUCUUCAUGUGACUCAUUCUCGAUUGCAGUUGUGUCUGAGUUAUUGUGCUCCCCAAAUGUGUCUUCACAUAUCUUAGCCUGCGAAUUAUCACCAUUUGCUUUUCCAGUAUCUUGAAGGUUUACUAUCUCAAUGGAAGAUUGACUUUCUUCAGGUGGAAGAUAUGUAAGAGUAUGAAUUUCCUCUUCAUUAUACUCCCCCUGAAAUUCAGACUCUGACAAGUAGUACAUGAUAUCUUCAUGAAAAACGACAUCCAUGGUGAUGUAUAUUUUUCUUGAUGGUGGAUGAUAGCAUCGGUAUCCCUUUUGAUGUAAGGCAUACCCUACAAACACACAACGUAGUGCUCGAGGAGAUAAUUUUUCUUGUUGCGGCAAAUGAACGAAGGCAACACAGCCAAACACAUGUGGGGGCAGAUUCGGCACAUUUGGUGACAUAAUUGCAUCAUUCAGAACUUGGAAAGAAGUCUGGAAUCCAAGGGAGCUUGAAGGUGUUCGAUUGAUCAAGUAUGUUGCGGAUGCCAGUGCUUCUCCCCAAUAAGAUAAUGGCAUGUGGGCUUGGAUUAGUGAUGCUCGAACAACUUCUAGUAAAUGUCUGUUUUUUCGUUCAGCAACGCCAUUUUGUUGGGGUGUCCCCACACAAGUGGUUUGAUGGACAGAUCCUUGUGAUUUCAAAAACUGUUGAAUUGCUGUGCUCAUAUACUCGCCUCCAUUAUCAGUAUGUAGAACUCGAAUUUGUGUCUGAAAUUGAGUUGUCACCAUCUUAUGAAAUCUUUGAAAUAAAGAGUUUACUUCGUCUUUCGAUUUCAUCAGAAAAAUCCAUGUCAUUCUGCUACAAUCAUCAAUAAAUGUAACAAACCAACGAGCACCUCCAAUUGUAGAAACUUUAGAUGGCCCCCAUACAUCAGAAUGUACUACCAUAAAAGGAACUGGAUUUUUAUUUAAGGACAAUGGAAAAGUAGUUCGAUGGCUUUUUGAAAGUUCACAAACAUCACAUUUAAAGUUACAAACAUCAAAUUUCAGAAACAAACUAGGAAAUAAUUUUUUUAAGUAACCAAAUGACACAUGCCCUAAACGUCUAUGCCAUAACCAAAUUUCUGAUUUCCCUUUUUUUAUGGAACUAUCUGCGACUAGUGCAGGGCUUAGCUUUCCAGUGUUUGUUGAUGACAUCUCCAAGUAGUACAAGUUGCCUCGUCUAAUACCAUAACCAAUCGUUUGCUUCGUUUGGAUGUCCUUAAACACACAAUGAUCAGGCCAAAAAAUUACAACACAUGAUAAGUAAGUGGUUAAUUGAGACACAGAUAAAAGAUUAUAAUCUAAAGAUGGAACAAUUAACACAGCGUCUAAAUUUAAUUCAUUUGUGAGUCGUAAAGAUCCUUCCCCAAUAACUGAGGUUGUGGUUCCAUUUGCAGUGGAAAUAUGUUUUUGUGAAGAUGGUUUCAAUUGAGAAACUUGUCGAGAAUCAAAAGUCAUAUGAUCAGUUGCCCCAGAAUCAGUUAUCCAUGUACUAUUAAUAACAGGUGUAAGAGUUUUAAGGGCCUUACCUGGACUGACAGAGGUUGCGAUUUGCACUGAAGAUUCUUUUUUAAGAUCUGUAGUGGAUGUGGAUUCAGCUACUGCAGUUUUUGAUCCAUGCUUGGUGUUCUUCUUUCGAGUAUCCCACCAGUCAGGAUAUCCAAUGAUUUCAAAACAUUGUUCUUUCGUAUGACCCUUCUUUCUACAAUGAGUGCAAUGGAGUGAUGACUUGUCAACAAACUUCCUUUGAGGUUGCUGUCGUGCUAUCAUAGCAGACGUUUCUGAGUCGACCUUCUUGUUUAGUUUGCUUUGCCAUAUAUCUUCUCUUCGGAUCAGAGAAUAACAUUCUUCUAAGUCUGGAAUAAUGUCUUUUCGUAGAAUUUCUCCACGAACUUGGUCAAAUUCUUCAUCUAGCCCAGCAAGAAAAAUGUGCACUCUCAAUCUUUCAACAGACCUUCUGUAUAUUACAACAUCUUCUGGAUCCUUCAUGACCACUUUAUCUCGGUGAUCAAGUUCUCGAAAUAUUUCGACCAAUUCUCCAUAGAAUUUAGAGAGUGGUUGUCCAUUUUGCUUGGUAGAGAAUGCCUUUUGGUUUAGAGUGAAAACUUGUAAUUCAUCGCUUCCAUCAUAGAAGGCUUUUGAUAAUGCAUCACAGAUUUCGUAGGCUGUAGAAAUUCGUAAAUAUUGCUUCAUGAUCUCCGGAGACAUGGAUAUGAGUAACAAUCUUUUUACUUUUUGGUUCUCACUAUACCAUUUCUCAUAUUCCUUUUAAGAUUCCUCAAAUGGCUUUGUGCUGCUACGAAUAUAUGAGAGUUUUUCUCUUUCUGCAAGAUGCAUUUCCAUUAUUUGAGACCAAACAUCGUAGUUUGUCUCAGUGAGGAUAAUUCCAGCAUUAAAUACUCCAUCAGAUUGAACAGAUUGAAUGACAACAGGACUAGAUUCAGUUGGAGUUUUCUCCAUUUUUUUUGUUUUUGUUUUUUUUUUCUUUUUCUUUUUUCUCUUUUUUUUCUUUUUUUUUGUUUUCUUUUUUUUUUUGUUUUUUUUCCCGUCUAGAUUGAAAGAAGAAAAAAAAAAUAACCUUUUUAGGUAACAAAACGACAGGUCGUUUAGCCACUGCUUACCAAACCGACAUGUCGGUUAUGGUGGAAUAUAAACGACAUGUCGUUUUACUCCUGCUGCACUUCUGGAAACUAAGCGUCACGUCGUUUUAUCUCUAAUUUAGAAAAGACAUAUCGGUUUUAAUAUAACACAAAACGACACGUCGGUUUUUGACUGCUGCACUUCUGAGAUAAAAAUGACAUGUCGGCUGACGUCUUCUUCAACCUCUGGAGCGCGUGAGGGCGCGUGAAUGAUGACAGAGGUGCGUGGUUGACUGGCCGUGGCUUCGGUUGGCGCGUGGGAGCGCGUGGGAAUGUGUUUAAAUGCGAAAGUUUUACAGUUUCCUCACUAAAAACUGAGAAAUUUUAUGGUGUUCUUGGUUUUGGACGAACACACUCUCGGAAAAUUGAUGGGAUUGUUGAUAAAUUUGUAAACUCAAGUUUUUUACGUAUUGGUGGCUUGUUUCUUGAUCGGCAUGGAUAUCUGUAAUGGUAGGAAUGGGUUUAAGAAAGAAAAUGGUGGGAAAAAUGGUUGUGGGAGGAAUUUGGUUUCCUCUGUUUUUGUUACAAACAGAGCAACGGAACUUGAAGAAACUUGAGCGUAUUCAUGGCUCUGAUACCAUGAAGAAACGUGUUUUCAUUUCUUAAAUAAAGCAUUAUACAUUGAGAGUUAUUUAUAGAUGCAGAGGCUACAUUUUUUCAAAGAUUACAUAUGUGAAUACGGAAGGAAAUGUGUCAAUCCGUUCGGCGCGAAUCUUGUCUUUGACAAGUGCAGAUUAACCCUUUGACAAGUGCAGAUUCUGUCUUUAAAAGCUUCAUUCAAUGUUGUUUUAUUUGAUUCUCAACACUUGCACAUAGAGAUUUGCAAGGGGAGCGAGAGAUUCAAUAGCAGCAAUUUAAUUUGACGGGACUUUCAUUGAAUAAUGAAAUUAAAAACUAACGAUUAUUGAAUUUUUUAUAUUCUCUUAACUCUUGUGGAAAUGUCAGCUCUAAAUAGGACAGCUUCAAGAAUCUUUAUCUGAAAGUGUAAUUGGCAGAGCAGAAACUUGUGACACUAUCUAAAUCACAAAGACUCAACGUCUUCAAUUUGCUGAAAACAAUCUCUCGUUUUGAAUUUACAUUUGGAGCUCCAUCUUCUUCUUCGUCACCUAUUACCAUAUCUGUCAUUGCCCUGCAUCCAGCCACCUUCACUGAUACGAGCCGCACUAGACUUUUAGCUGCAGUGGAUUUUACAAUUCUUUGCAAUGGAAAACCACCAGUUCUGUUAGAUUCCCACAAGAUAUAGAUGAUCAUGGCAAUAGACUUAAAAGAUUUUUACAUGCAGUAAUAUACUCUUAAGUGGUGUUUGGUUGGGAGGAGAGAAUAGAAGAAAGGAAAGUAAUUUAAAUGCUCUUUUUAUUUCCAUUAUUUGGUUUGACAAAAUAGAUAAGAAUUUAAUUUCCAUUAGAAUUUGAAUUCCACACCAAGUAGUGAAAAAUUUAAAUUCCUCUUAUGUUAAAAACUAAAGUUUCCAAAAUUAUCCUUCAAAUUUUUAACUUGUUUAAUGUCAUUAAUAAUUAUUAUUUAUAAUUUUAUUUUAUUGAUUUAAUAUUAUAAAUAGACCUCCACCGGUAAGUCGCCGGACCACUGUCGGACUUCACCGGACCACCGCUGAACUUUCGCCAGACCAUUGCCGAACUUCCACCGGAAAGUCGCCGGACUUCCACCGGAAUAUAGUUUUUCAUAGCGAAGAGCUUUACUUUGAUGGCUUAAGGAUUUGUUCUAGGCAUACUGCUGUGAUUAGAUUUCGUUUAUUUUUAACUUUUUUUAAUCUUUUAUCCGAUGAAUGAUUUUCAGCUGUUCUUAAUUAUUUGUUCAUAGGGAAGAGCAUUUUCUAAGUACUUCCUUGCCUUCUAAGUUUCCGAAGAAAGAUAGGUGUGAAGCAAAGCAAACCAAACCAAAUGAACAAACAGAGCACAAACUAAAAUAACAGAACAGCAAUGAUGACAAUAAAUAAUUGGCAAAAAAAGAAAAGAAAAAAGCAUGCACAUUUUCAAGGAAAUAUAAAAUAUAAAGCUUUUAAUGAAAUUUUAUCAUAAAAAGUAUGCAAGUAUUUAACAAGAUGUUUGGAACGAUAGAAAAUGAAAGAAAAUUGAUUAAGAAGAUUCUGGAACAAUCAUAAUUCUUAUUGAUGAAACUGAUCAAAAUCGUACAUUGUGAACGAGCUCAGCACUAUUUAUAGUUACACACAUGCUGAUUAGAAAGUGUAGAGCUCAAAACUGCAAUAUUAACAAACUAAUUAACCUUCCAAUCAUAUUAAGCCAGCUGGACAGUUAGUUACAACCAAUCAGUACAAAUAACAACCUAAUCCAGCUUGGCAACUUUGUUACACAUCAUCAGCCAGCUCAGCUUAGCAAACUUACACUCUUAACAGCAAGGAAUUAUAAAAUUUUAGAAAACAAGGGGAACCCUAAAAAAAAAACUCAAAUUAAACUAGGCUAAAAGACAUUCAAUGAUGCAAAAUCUGUCCAUAAAAUUCUGAACGAAUCAUUAAAAUAGCAUUCCAAAUUUAACAGUAAACCGAGUGACCCAUUCUAAAUAAUUCAGAUGAAAUUGUGAAACAAGCCAUGAGAUCAAAUAAAUGAAAUAAAAAUUCGCAACUCCAAGUCAUAAGAAGCCUAUGAAAUUAGUCGUAAUGCGUAGACAACGACGACGGCACCGCCAACAGCUGAAAAUAAGAUUCUUAUUCAUCAAUUUAAACUUUUACUUUAUAACAAACAUCUUAUCUAUAUUUUAUUUAAAAAAAGCAAAUUUUGUAAAAUUUUUCCAUGGGAGAUAGAGAGUAAUAUGUAUAUACGUACCUUCUCAGCAUGUAAUUGUUGUAUGGUUGUGUUCAGAUCAUUAUUAGCCCAGCGCCGUUGAUCCGCUGUCUCUCCAUAGCAGACGUUUACUCUUGGAGGCGUGAUUGAUUCUCCUGUAGUGAAAAUCUUCAUCUUGGGACAACCAAUCACCCACAAAUCUUGCAAAGAUGGGAAUUUGAAGGUGUAGUUGGCAGAGCUGAAACUUGUGAAGCUAUCUAAAUCAAACAGUUCCAACGUCUUCAAUUUGCUAAAAACAAUCUCUUCUUUUUCAACUCCAUCUUUGUCAUUUAUUACCACCUCUGUCAUUGCUCUGCAUCCACAUACUUGCACUUUGACGAGUUGCACUAGAGUUUUUGCUGUGGAGGAUGUUACCAAGUGUAUCAAUCCCUUGCAACCGAAAGCCACCAGAGCUGUUAGGUUCUGAAAAGAUACCGAUGAUGAUGGCAAUAGAAUUAACAGACUUUGACAAUGAUGUACUUUUAGAAUUUCAAGAUACUGAAAAAUGGGGCCAAGUUUGGAGUCUUGUUUGCACAGGUGCUUCAGAUGAUAGUGCCGUUUUAGCUCUAAUGUUUUUAUCAUUGCCAACUUCCCCACAUGUUUCUCUAAGCUUCCUUCCUCCGAAAAUACCUCUUCGUUGAAUGAAAAAAAACACAGUAUGAGCAUUUCCAGAUUGUGAAAUCUCUCCAGUACGUUCCAGACUGGAAAACAAGCUGAGUCAUCUCCAGCAAUCUCUAGUUGUUUAAGACUGCCAAAAAGGUGUUGUGGGAAAUCGGCCUGCAAAAUCAUCUUCACAUCUUUUCCACUUAGUGAUAGUUCCUUCAAGUUGGGUACGAUCUGAUCAUCAUCAAUCAUAAUAACUAAUGAGGUCAAUUGAUGAUCUACGGUCACAUGCAGUGACUUUAUAGUAUUUGUUUUAUAUUAUAUUUUAAAAAAAAUUGAAUUAUUGAUAAAAUUUAUUUUAUAUGUUAAUUUUAGAGGUAAAAAAGAAAUUAGGGAAAAAAGGUUGAUUUAUACUGACUCGAAAUUAUUUUAUUGCACAAUAAUAAAUUACUAAUUUAUUUAGUAAGUUCUUCUAUAUGGAAAGAUUAAGGAUUCUUUUAUAAAUGCUAUACCUAAAACAGUUCAUAUAAUUAUUAAUCUACCACAUUGAUCCCUUAGUCUAGACUAGCAAAGAUUAUUGUAUAAUAAAAAUUUUUAAUUUAUUGAGUAUUAAUUUAUCGAUGCUUUGUCAUAUUUUUCAAAGUUAAAAAUAAGCUAUUGAUAAAAAAUCUAGAAAAUGACUUCAUACCUUUUCCAACGGCAAUAGGAGCUGUUGUGCAGGAAUACCAAGUUGAUCAUUCUCAUUAUUCUGCGAUAAAUCAGCGAAUAUCUUUAAUUUGUCACAACGAUACACUAAAAGACUUUCUAGCGCGGGCCAUUCCAAAGUAUGCAUUCCAGGGUACAAACAUCUAAGUUUUGGUAGAUGUUGGAGUCUCAGAGUGGUGAGCUGUGGAAAGACAAAAUAAGGGAUCACUUGAUCUGCUCUGUUUUCAGAAAUGAUCUCCUGUAAAUCCUCACAGAAGCGUAUAUCUAGGUGUUGGAGCUGCUUAAGGCUUCCGAUCAUAGACGCUGAAAAUAGGUAUUUUAAUUUGUGACAAUGCCGCACAGUCAAUCGUGUUAAAUUUUGAAAGCGAGGAAACAUGACCGGAAGAUGAUUGUAGUGCCAAAUCUUGUCGACAUUAAUUUCAGAUAUCUCCAAAGCCUCCAAGUUAGGCAACGCAACCUAAAAAAAAGAAGAAUUUCUCGUUACAUCCAAUAUGCAUAUGAGAAGCACUUGUUGAAAUUUUCGUCUUCGAUUACAAAUUAAUGCAAGUCAAAACCAAUUUCUAACUGACAGAUAAGUAUGCAUUCUAAUUCAUACUACUUGUUAAGAGCUCAAUUAGUGAGCGCGUGAGAUUCUUUUUAUCCUUUUUUUUCCAUUUUCUUUCAAUUCUUUAAAUGAUUUAAUUAUUUUCCACGUAUGACAACAAAACAGAACGCAUGAUAGAAUAAAGUCUGUUAUAUAUAUAUAUAUAUAUAAAGAAAAUGUUAGCCUACGCACCUUCUCGUUGAAAAGCAGAGUUGAAGUAUCCAAAGUGAUUUCGCUGGAGCUAUACGUAGUCGUCGAUUCCUCUUGCGACGCUGGUCUGUUUGGUGAUGCUGAAGGAGUCUUUACUUCACGGCAAAAACUUGUAACCUCUGGAAGAUUCCCCAGACUCAAAGAUCUUAAUUGAGCAAACUCUAUCUUCUCAAUUGCAUUAUCAACUUCUUCCCCAAUUGCAAAAAUCUCUUUCAUCUUGCUGCAAUUAAUAACUGCAAUUCUCUCAAGUCUUGGAAGGCAUUUUGUUGUAGAGAGCCAAAAGAUAUUACUCAAUUUUUCACAAUUAUAUGUUUGUAUGAUUUUGAGUUCGUUGAAGGACUCUACUUUGAGCCGAUCAAUACAUAUCCUCUCCAUGUUGAUCAAAUUGUGAAGGCCAAGUGACUCCAAAAGAGGAAAGGCAUCACAAGCGACCAUCGCCCUUGAAUCGACGAUGCAAAAGAAGUCAGGAUUAUUUUGAACCCAGACAAGCUUCAAUUGUGAAAAGCCCUCCGUGUCCAAAUUGAAAAGAACGUUCUUGAUCCCUCGCAGCUUGUCCAACAAUAAGUAUUCAACGUUAUUGACGCCCUGCAAUUUCAUGGAGCAAAUGUCCGUAAAAGCAAGCUUGAGCUUCAAUGCUCUUAAACUCUUGCGAUCACUGUCGAUCAAAAAGUGCUGCCAACUUUCAAACCAAUUUUGUCCAGCAAUCAUGGGAUGUGUGAAUAACACAUUUCCAAUAUUUAUUUUGAACCUUUCGAGCUUUCUGGCCAAAAAGCCUUCUGGUAACAUACUCUCAUUUUUAACAUCAAUUUCUAGAGUGGUUAGCCGAGGUAAAUGCAUCAAUUCAUCAAGGCUAGCAUUACUUCUUUUGCUGUUGGCUCUUUCAACCUCCCAUUCAAUGGAGCAAUUACCCAUAUACAAUUCUUCUAAUCGGAUUAAGCUUGAUAUGACAUUUGGGGCAAUAACUUUCAGACGGAAACAGUCUGUUAAAUCUAACAGCCUUAGCUUAGUCAGUUGACCCAGUGCUUUAGGCAACUCUACAAUAUCAGACCGCACGAAGCUGAGGAUUUCUAGGUUUUCCAACUUUCCAAUAAUGGCUACGUCUAUGCCUCUGAAAAUGCUUUGAUCAAGACAAAGUGUCUGAAGAUUUACUAGAAGACCAAUUGAAGAUGGCAAUGACAAUAACCGCAUUCUAGUCAAAUCCAAAACCCGAAGCUUUUUCGUCCUUUUGAAGAAGUUCUCAGGAAUAUUAGGCACAGCAAAAGAGUUCUUGGGAGACAUGAGUAGAAGUUCAAGUUGUAGAGAUUCGGACCCUUCAGGAAUGUCAUUAAUAACACUAUCUUUUAAAGAAAUUGCAAGAUAUUUUUUUAAUUCAUCUGCAUUUGGCCAUUUCCAAUCAUCCUCAUUUCUCACCACAAAUCCAAUUUUGUCACGACAUGCAAUUGAAAUGGCAACAUCGCGAACAACGUCGUGCAUAGAAAAGUAUUUACUGCCACCAUCCUCAAGCAACAAACAAGAGUCUCUUAGUUGAUGGACCCAUGCAUCUAAUUUGUUAUGUGCAUCUUCUAGCUUGUGGACACUUUUAAAUACACCCCAGAGCAUGCUAUAUUUGAACAAGUCCAUAAUUGGUGCUGGCGUAAUAAGACUACACAGUAAAAAAGUUUUCUUGAGUUGCUCACCUCUUAAGUACUUGUAACUCAGCUCAAUUGUUGAGUAUGCCUCUGCUGGUACUCCUUCGUCGAAGCUUGCCUCUGAAGGCGUUUGGAGUUCUUGCAAGACAUUCUUCCACACAGGCAGCUCUUUUUUUCUCAGUGCCUUUGCUACUGUGGUUAGGGCAAUAGGCAAACCUCCGCAUGCCUUGGCUACACUUGUUGCUGUAGAUUUUAACUCACGAUUUUCCACAUAAUCACCUGCCAUUAUCUUGAACAAUUUCCAGGCUUCUUGUUCAUUUAAAAUGCCAAUCGAGAAGUUUUUUUCAGAUUCCAUCCUUAACAGCACAUCAAGAUCUCUUGUUGUGAAUAAUAAUUUGCAUCCUCUGUGCUCAACUCCAAAAGGAAUUCCAAUAGUCCCCAAAUCAAGAGGUUUCCAGAUGUUAUCCAGAAUCACAAGGAUCUUCUUCUCAUUCUUCAAUCUUUCAUAUAGUCUACUAGCUCUUCUAGACUCAGCUUCCUCGGACAACUGUAGGCCUAACGUUACCGCAAUUUCCUCUUGGAUCUUUUUUAUGUCUGGACUUUGGGUAACCUCCGAAAAAGCCACCAUAUCGUAAAGCUUGUCUUCAAUUGCUCGCCUUGCAAACUCCCGCACCAGUGUCGUCUUUCCAAUGCCGCCCAUGCCGUAGACGCCAAUGAUGCUGACAUCAACAUCGAUCAAUGCAUUUUGUAUGGCCUUCAAAGUAGAAAGUCUUGAUUCGAAGGCCUCGUAGCCUUUGUGAGACUUGAGCCAAAUCUCCUCCGGAAUGGUACGGUAGGAAAUUCUAUCAUCAAAUCUCCCAGCUUCUUCUCGGAGUUUAAAAAGGGCCUCCUUCUCUGUUUCUGCUUUCUUUCCAUGCUGAUAGCGAGUAAUCCAAUUAGGAAACAGCCCCAUGAGACAUCGUUCAUUUGCUUUCUCUUCGUCUUGAAUGAAUUUGGCUGCCUCCUCAAUGCUCUUGUUCGCAUUAACCAGCCAUUUCUCAACCUUCUCUUCAAUCUUUUCACUUUUUCUUUCAGCCUCAGAAACUCUGCGCUGAAUGCUUUCUCUUUCAUCCUUGAGCCCAUCGAGUUCUUCCUUGAGAUUCUCAAAGUUGGCAGCGGAGUUAUACCAAUAACUAAAUUCGCGUUGUGCGUGAGGAGACAAGCAGUUUACAAUGCUUUUCAAAAUGUCCAUUUUUUUUUUUUGGUUGGGGGGGGGGGGGGGGACGAAAUAGAAAUAGAACAGGGUCAACGACCGCGCAAUUGAUAAUCAAGUAGAAGCAAAACUAGGCAAAAUUGGAAAAAUAAAUUAUAUUUGUACAAAACAAGGGGAAAAUCAGUGUAACAGAAGAGAAUCAAAGUGUUUUUGAGAUCAGAAAAUUGAACCAAGAAAAGGGUUGCUUGAUCCAAUGAAAAAGCAAAGAGCUGAUGGCAAAAGGGAACAAAGAUAAAUAAGAAAACGGCUAGUACGAGCAGCGACCACGAUGAACAGAAGCAAAGUGUUUAUGAGAUCAAAAGACGAAAAUCAGGAGAGGUUUUCUUGACUGAGAAUUGAAGGCAAAGAGUAGGAGCUGACGAAUACGGGGAUCAAGAGGGAAAAACUGCUUGCUCGUAAAACUACUUUCAAGCGAAUCUGAUAAAAUUAUUUCAAUACUCAUGGGCGACUCCUUUUUAAACUGCAGAAGGAAAAAAAAAAAAAAAAGAGUUCUGAAUUUCAAUAUAUUAAUUUUUAUCCUAAUUUAUGUUGAGAUUCGUAAUCUCGUCUCAAUGAUUAAUUAGUAGAUAAUCUUUCUAACAAAUAUGUGUUGAAUAGAUAUAUUUCUUGACUAUUAGUAAGUUAGAUAUAUUUUAGCAUAGGAAUGAAAGUACCAAGUUGUGUCAUAUUAGAAUAAAAAUGUGAGCUAAAAAUAAUUUUCUAUGACCUUUUAAUUAUUUGUCAGCAAAUAAUUAAGUCAUAUAAAAAAAUUAAUAAUCUGAAUUAGUCUUUAAGUAUUAUAAAUAUUUUUUUUUAUUUUUAAUUAUAAUAUCAUUAUUUAAAAAUAAUUGCUUGACUUAUAUUAGUAACAUUACGAUUGUCAUAAAACAUGUGAUCCUCAUCCAAUAUCCAUUAUUUGUGAUCCUUAAUCAAUAAAAUAUCUAACAAUAUCUUCACCUAAAGUUUGAGACAUGUGAUCCUUAUUCCACUGCGUCAAAACAAGGAGAAAAUCAGUGUAACUGAAGAGAAUCAAAGUGCUUUUGAGAUCAGAAAUUGAAGCAAGAAAAGGGUCGCUUGAUCCAAUGAAAAUGCUAAGAGCUGAUGGUAAAAGGGAACAAAGUUAAAUAAGAAAACAGCUAGUGCUAGCAUCGACCACAAUAAACAGAAAAUUUGAGAUGGAUUUACAAUAUUUCUGCCUUUCUUUAUGCUUUAACAAAUAUUGCUCUAUCAAAAAAAAUAUUUAGCAUUUUAUUAUUGGAGUCACAAAAGACCUACACAAUAUAGCAAGUGCUAGGAAUAAAUAAGAAUAUAUAACUCUCUCUCUAAUUCUCACUCUAGCUUUUAAUUGUCACUCAAAACCCAGAAUUCAUCCUUAAAGUGUAAGCAAAUCAGAGAUGACAGCGUCUGGUUGUCAUACGUGCCUUUUAGUUUUCGGAUGACAUGGCGUACACUUCUUCUGUAAAUCGAACAUGACAUGUCGUACUCUUUGUUUUGAGAUCAUAUUUCAAACUCUUCAUGCUAUGAAUGAAAGAUAAACUACAAUCAUCAAAAUAUUUAGUGUUUAUUUGGUAAUGUAACAUCAUAGUUGUUGUGAAUUGAAAUUAUUUAUGUAAGAUAAAAGGAUUUGGGUCAUCGUUUGUUAUUCUCUAGCAAUAUUGUUUGGCCGUGACUAUUUGUUAAAUAUUAAAAAAAUAAAUUUAUAUUUAUUAAGUACAAAAAAUAAAUAAACAAACAAAAAUAAAAGGAAAAGUUUAUGCAUUACAUAAAAUAAUAAGAACAAUAUCAAUAUUUCACACUCUAUAAUUGACUGAUGAGUUGUCCAACUACCAUACAUUGGUCCCAGAGACUUAAAUAUUAAAGUCCAAAGUUAUUGUGAUGAUGACUUAUAAUUGCCAAACUUGACAUACGGGUAAUCAUGCAUUAUAUAAGGUGCUGAUUUCUUCCGAUCGGAACUUUAUUUUUCAUUUACAAAUAAAUAAAUGAUGUGACUUAACGGGUGGCGGGGUCCUUUGUGCCAUUUGUGUAUUUCACUGAAUAGUUGAUUCAACUUGAUUGCAGCAGAAAGAUUCCUGGAAGUUGCCAUUUGCCAAUGCUACUAACAUUUUCAAACUUGGAAAACCCUUCAAUCAAUCUUUUAGUGGUAGGCUCUGGUAGCUUGCUUUGAUUAUGACAUAUGAUUAUUUGAUAAUAAAGCUAGAGGAUGUAUUAAUAUAAAAUUUGUUUAUUGGUGUUGAAGUUAAUUAUCUCAUUAAUAAUAAUAUAAAAAGUUAAUUACUAAGAAACACAUAGCAGUAUUCUAGGAUAUAAUUUUAUAUCAUAACUUUGUAAGUGUAUAAUUCCUCAUUAAAUUAACAAAAUUAUUUUAAAAUAUUUAGUUAGAAAAAAUAAAAUAUUUUACAAUACCUCCCUUCAGAUUGCACAAAUUACAUAAAAAAAAAAAAUUGCUUUAUGUAUAAAACUUUCAAACAAAUUGGGCCAAAAUCUAACUUUACCAAGUUUAGAGUAAUUUUGGGCUCUACAUUCCAUUUCCGACAAACGAAUUUUCUUUAUCACCAAGGUAUGAUACUUUUCAUAUUUAUCCAACGGCUCGUCAAUGACAAUACCUUUGUAAAAAGUACUUAUUUUCAAUAGUAUAUUGUGGAAAUGUCUGGUCGGUAAUACAACUAUUUCUUAUAGUGUAAAAAUGAUACACUAAGCGUUCACAUUUUGAUGAGUAAAUUAAGGAUUUCAAGAUGAAGUACAUAAUUAGAUUAAUGCUAAGAAACUGAAGUUUGAUCGAUUGAAAACGAAAAUAAUAAUAAAGGUAAUUAAGAAAAUGAACAAUAUAUGCAGAAGCGGCUCCUUAUUAGGACUUCUAGAUUUUCUCUUGGGCUUUCCUUAUUAUUGUUAAAAAAUGACACGAAGAACUUUGAGUUUAAAAAUCUGGCCCUGAUGCCUGGUAGCCCUCCAACAUAUGAAGCACCAGAUGUUUUGAUGAGAAUAUGACAAGACCAUUUAUCAAAUUUCUUGUGGAUAUAAAUACGUACACAUGGACGAGACCAACCUCCUCAAAUGAGAAUCAGAGUGAUUACAAGACCUUGCAAUGAGACAAUGAUACACCUUCAAAUGUCAAAAUACAAUAGAAAUUCACGACAUAUAUAUAAUAAAAGACCUCUCAUUGAGUCAUAUAUAUUGAGAAUAAAAAUGUUAUAAUACAUACACAAAGCUUAGCUAGAAUAAAAUGUCUUUGAACUUGCGAUGAUCAAAUAAAGAAAACAGACAGGUUGUAACUCACACUAUCACAAGAAGAUCACGAAGAUGGAAAUAGGAACCCGACAGAAUGGAAAUUUUGAAUAGAGGAAAAAAGAAAAACGACCUUAUUCACAUAAGAAGAGUGACUCAAAUCUUCUUCAGUAUCCAGACAUUCUGCAAUCAUAGAGUAGAGAAAUUUUAACAGGAACAGCAGAGAAAAUAUUAUGAAUAUGCUAUAGACCAAUAUACUUGUUCAUAGCUAACGUUUGAUGGUUUAAAGAUUUGUUCUAGGAAUAAUGGGCUGAUUACUUUUUUUUUAUUUUAAUUUUUUUUUAAUCCAAUGAAUGAUAUUCAGCUGUUAAUUAUGUGUUCAUAGGGAAGAACAUUUUCUAAGUACUUUCCUUGCCUUCUAACUUUCCGAAAAGCAAACCCAAUGAACAAACAGAGCACAAACUAAAAUAAAAGAACAGCAAUGAUGACAAUAAAUAAUUGGCAAAGAAAAAAGGAAAAAGUAUGCACGUUUUCAAGGAAUUAUAAAAUAUGAAGGCUUUUAAUGAAAUUUUAUCAUAAAAAGUAUGCAAGGAAUUAUAAAAAUUUAGAAUUUUUGGAAUUUUUAAUGCACCAAAGUUCAUUUUUAGCUUUUAAGGUUUUUAUGUGUGAGCCUCUCAGCAUGUUCCCCAACCUCCUCACGUGAAAAUAUUUCUAUGCACGGUUACAAGCUUUUCCAGAUUGUGAGUAUUCCGAAGCAAUCCAACUUGAAAAACAGCUGGUUCGUAGAAAAUGACAGUUUACGAAGCUGGCCCUGCUGCCAUACAUAUGAUGAUGAAGACCAUUUUGCUUUAUGUCAAUUCCUCCAAGUUGAAAUCUUUCUCGGUCUGGGACACUUCCAACACAUAAUGUACUACUAGGCCAGAUGAUUUUAAAAAAUGUCAAGGUCCUUUAUCAAAUUUCAUUUGCAUUCAAGACCAAUCCCCUUUGAUGAAAAUCAAUAAUUAAAGGCUUUCCAAUGAGAAAUUAUUACGUCUUCAAAUCUCAAAAAACGCCAGAAUAUUAAUUCGCUACAUAUAAUCAAGAUAUCUCAUUGAGACGCAUUAAUAAAAAAUGUCAAAAUGCAUAGAAAGAGCAGACACACGGAUGAUGAAUUUACUCAUCUUUAUUAGUAUUUGAACUUGAGAGACAGAAUGAAGUACAUGUCAAGAAUAUCAUAAAGAUGGAAACCGGAAGUCCUCCGCACAUAAACUUUGAAGAAACUGGAAAACGACUUUAUUCCAGAUAAUGCACACCAGAGUGACCAAAAUUCUCUUCAGUAACUAUAGAGAAAAUAUUAUUUUGCAUGCAUUUCACGUAACUGGAUCAAACUACUCUCCUGUUGGUUUAUCAGACCACAUUUUUAUGGUGCAAUAUAAACCAUCUUUUCAAAACGCUUUUACCAUGUGAGAAAUAUACGCAUUAAAUUUCAUAAACUAAAAACUCCAAUUGUCAAAAAAAAAAAAAAGGGUGAGAAACUCAGUAGAAUUUACAACUUCUCAGACUCACGAAAAGGUGAGAAACAAAUGAUUUUUAUAUAGUUGUUCAUAGCUAACUUUUGAUGGUUUAAUGAUCUGUAGAUUUUGUUUUAUGCUAUUCAAGGAAUGAUAUCCAAUUGUUCCUAAGAGUUCAUAGGCAGGGGCAUAUAUGCAUGAUUUGAUAUAAUUCUUGCAAUUUCUAAGUACUUGCUCUUUCCAUCCCUUCUAAGUUUUGAAAGAAAGGUCGAAAUAAACAGAGAAACAGGACAAACAGAAGAAGACUGAAUUAACAGAUCAACAAAGAUGGCAACUAACAAAUGGAAAGUUCUCUUGUAAUCAAACUAUAGCAAACAGAUGACACCAUUACAAUAUAUCUUAAUGAGUAGAUUGAUUCUAAACAUAUAUGUUAGGAUACAUUUGGUUGUUUAAUAGUUUGAAAUAAGGAGGAUGGGAUGGUUUCCACAUAAAAGUGCUGUCCCUUUCAAUGACAUUUUCAAAGAAUUAUAAAAUUCAAAAUAAAAAAAAAAUUAGCAAAUUAUAAAGCCACACCGUCAAAAAAAUAAAUAAAUAGAUAAGUUAAGACCUUUAAUGAUAUAAAAAUAAAUAAAUAGAGAAGUCACUAGGACCUUUAAUGAUAUAAAAUAAGCAUAUAAAUCUCAGAACAAAACAUUAAAAUUCAUUCUAAAAAUAAACUAGUGGUGUAUUCCAAACAAUUUAGAUGAAGCGAUAAAACAAGCCAAGAGAUCGAAUAAAAUGAAAUGAAAUUGAAUUAACUGGGACUUUGUUUUCCAAAUUCACAACUCGCUUGUAAUUAAAGUAAAAUGCCAAUGCCAUUAGGACAUAUACAUCAUUGAAUAAGAUGAGGACCCCUCCAACAGCUGAAAGUAAAAUUUUCAUUCAUUAGUUUCAAUUAAAAGUAAAGCACACAGAGAUUUGCAGGGAAGCAAGAGAUUUAAUAAAUUUAACAGCAGCAAUUUAAUUUGACAGGACUUCCAUACAGUAAUGAAGUUAAAAACUAAUGAUUAACGAAUUUAGUUUGGUCCCAAAGCUGUUGAUCAUCUCUCUCUCCAUAGUAGAAGUUUACUCUCAGAGGCGCGUUUAAUUCUCCUUUAGUGAAAAUCUUCAUCUUGGGACAACCAAUUAUAGAUAAAUCUUCCAAAGAUGGGAAUUUGAAGGUGUAAUUGGCAGAGCAUACAAAAUCUUCAAUUUGGCGAAAACAACUCUUCUUUUAAAUUUGCUGCUCCAUCUUCGUCAUUUAUCACCACCUCUCUCAUUUCUCUGCAUCCACAUACCACCAUUGAUAAUAGUCGCUCUAGACUUUUUGCUGUGGAGGAGGUUGCUAAGCUCAUCAAAUUCCUUGCAACGAAGAACUAGAAGUUCUUUUAGGUUCCCAAAAGAUACCGAUGAUGAUGGCCAUAGAUAUAACAGAUUUUGACAAUAAUGUACAUUUAGAAUUUCAAGGCAUUGAACAAAGGAGUCCAAUUUGGAGUCUUGUUUCCACAAUUGCUUCAGAUGAUUAAAUUUGUGCAGAUCUAAAUGUUUUAUCAUUGUAAACUUCCUCACAUGUUUCUUCAAGUAUCCUCCAUUCGAAAAUACAUCUUCGCAUGAACAACGACGCCGUAUGAGAGUUUCCAGAUUAUGAAAUCUCUCAAGUAAAUCAAGUGGAAAACAAGUUGAGUCAUCAUCCACUGUUUGUAGUAGUUUAAGACUCCCAAAAAGGUGUUGUGGGAAAUCGCUCUGCAAAGUCAUCCUCGAGUCUUUUCCACUUAAUGCCCGUUCCUCCUAAGUUGGGUAAGCUCUGAUCAUCAUCAAUCACGUAAUAACUUAUUAAGUCAAUUCAUAUUCUCUCAAAUGACUUUUAAUAAUCCAAUCAUACACAGUGACUUUAAUAUAAAUGCAUAAUAUUUUACAAAAAAGAAGAAAAAAUCGAAUUAGAGGUAAAAGUUAUUCUACGAUUUUAUUUUUUAUAUAUAUCUUGCAUGCUAUUCCCAAAAGCAAUCCCAAACGGCCCUUAAAGCAAUUUUACAAAAGUGGCCGGUACAUAUAUUGCCAACUUUGUUAGGAAUGGCAAUGGGAAGGGGAGGGGAAGAGACCGACCUCCCCGUACCCAUUCCCGAUAUUCUGCAUAUAUCCCCAUCCUCUCCCCAUUCCAGACAAAAUUGCUUUAGGGAAUCCCUCUCCCCUCCCCAAAUAAUAAUAGGGGAUCCCUGAAGGUCCUCGAUCCUCGAAUAACUAAUACGUUUUUAGUUUUAAAUUUUAAUUUAAUCAUAUUAAAAUAAAAAAUUUAAAUAAAAAUAAAGUUUGACGAUAUAUCUUACAUUAACAUUAAUCUAUUAAAAAAGUCACAUUACAAAGUAUAAAUCACCAUAAUAAUUAUCUUCGGCAAUCUUCAAAAUCAUAUAAUAAAAAAAAAGAAAUUACUUUUAUAUCAACAAUAAGAUAAAUGAAAUGAAUAUAGAUACUUAAUCAAUAUUUCUAAUAAAAGUAUUCACCUCAUGCGUCUCCUACUCUUCUUGUUCUUCCUCGAGGAAUGUGACAAAUUGAGAGAUAGCCUUAGAUUUCAAGUUUAAAACAAUAAAAAUAAUAUAAGUAAUGUAAAUUCUAAGUGAAAAUAUUAAUAAUUAUAUAAUAUAAUUACAAUGUAAAAUAAACUCAUACUACCAUUGUAAGCUUGUAGUCAACUUUGACAACUUAUUAAAGCCUCCAAUGUGCUUGAAUAAAGCGUGUUACGAUACUCUACCACAGGUGCUAAAAGCUAAUUCAGAAGCAACAUUUGUAAUUAGAAUUGCCAAAAUAUCUCUAGCAAUUCGUGCCAAUAUAGGAUAUCUAUAGACAUUUGUUUUACACCAACUCAAAAUAUUAAAAUCUUUCAUCCGUGGCAUAACUUUUUCAUCCAAAUAUUAAUGUAGUCAAUUAGGCCUAAAGUUUAAUAAUAUAAUUAUUUUAAUUUUUUUAUUUAUACUAAUAUUUAAUAUUUUAUUAUUUAUAUUUUAUUAUUUAUUUACAAAUAAUUUUAAAAAAAUUAAAAUUAAAAUUAAAAAAUUGGAAGGGGAUAGGGAUUCCGCUGCAUCCCCGUCCUUUUUUUGAAUAAGAAAUUGGGUAAAAAAACUAUUUCCGUCGCUUUUCUAAAUAAAAAAUUAAGUAAAAAAUUAUGUACCCUCCUGAAUUGGGAAAAUCUCGAGGGUCAUGUCCCCGCGGGAAUAUCUGCCAUUCCAAAACUUUGUAACAGCCACUUGCUUUUGUGACCGUUUAUGUGACGGCUAGACUGCUCUCACUUAUGUUACUAACCACGUGACGGUAGAGAGCCAAUUGGCAUACUAUUAUUUUGACGGUAGAGUUAUAAAUUUGUUUCUAAAUAGAAAACUAUUUGCUGGAGUCAAUAUUUUGAAGACCAAAGUCCCAAAUUCUCUCUCGUGCCUGGCCAGCAUCCUAAACCUUACUGGUAGCCGGAGAAUGGCGUAAAACGGCGGCGAUCUUCUUCUUCAUCUUAUUCUCUCUCUCAUCGUUUCAGGUAAGCUUGUGAUUAUGAGUUUCUUCGCUUUCUUAGCUUGUAAUUAUAGGUUUUGAUUUCUUUAAUUCGUUUUGUAGCCAUUAAUGUCAAUUUUUGUCCCACCGGCAAUGUUUUUUGUUCCUAGAAGUUGAAGCCCUUCUGUUCUUGUGCCAUUGGUGAGUUUGCUCACUCAAAUUAAUUUUGUUCUGCGGAGUUUACAAAGUUCAAAUGGACUCAUUUGGAUUACUAUUGAAUUUAGCUUUAAUUCCAACAUCCAUUCUAAUGUUUUGCCAUUAGAUUUACUUUAAUUUUAUCUUUAAAGCUUCUACAAUGAAUAGCGGAGCUUGGGUUUUAGUUUCAAUUUCUAAUUAACUUGUUUUAGUUUAUCUUAUAUGCUCGCCAAGUGCUUGUUAUAUUGUCUGAUAAGUUAUAUAACAUUGCUGAUUCUAUAUUAGUAAUGUCAUGUUCCAUUUUCGGAAAUUAUAACACAAAAGUUUUUACAAUGGCUUGCAUCUACAAACUGAAUUGACUUGUAGAGUAAGAGCUUGGAUUAGUGUUAUGUUCUUGAAUAAAUGAAAGUUCAUAUUGUGUAAGAGCAUGUAGAUGUAAAGCAUCACUACCAUUUCUACAAACUGCUUUCAUUCUGUUCAGAUGCUCCUCUUGAACUUUGAAAGGUGCCUCAUUCAAGUCCUAGCUGUAACUACUAGCUCUGAUUGCUUAAGUUCCUGUGCUAGCUGAAACAGAUUUAUUUAAUUAAUUAAUUGUGUAUGUACUAAUUAUAUUGAACGUAUAUGAAGAAAUUGUUUAACAUGAAUGACUUCUAAAUGACUUAAAAGCCUAAAGGAUAUGUGAAAUAAUGCUCAUUUCACUUGAACGAGCCUAUUAAUACUUGUAUGUCUGAUGGUUGUCGAAGCCAACAAAAAUAAAUUCAUACUCUAAAUAAAUUGUGUAUAGUGAUUGAGCAAGGUCAUGUCCACAGAGAUCGGUAAUUAUUUAAAUCCUUUUGAAACGUAAAACGUAAAAUGGGGGAAUUGUUGACAAUAAUAAAAAUCAAAUUAAAAUAACAAGAAUGCAAAUUAAAGUUGUAAUUCAAAUUAGAGAAAGCUCUGGUUGAAGGAAUUAAUUCAGCUUGAUUCGACUACUGAUCAUUGAUUCAAAUAUAGAUUAUUAUUACUUAUGAAUAGACCGGUUAUAGCUACUGAGACCCUCUAAUAGCCAAUCUCUCCUUAACUAGUCGAUAACCAAGGUACGACUGUUGGUUAUUUCCCUAAUCAAUAGACAACCCUAGAUACGAUCAUAGGAUUUAAUCAAUUGACAGCCUGAAAAACCAGAGAGACCCAAAUCCUAAUCAACACAUACGAUGAUUCAUUUAAAUUAGAUUGUUUAUUCUCACAACACAACUCUCUGCUAUGUUAUUUGUCACAAACAUUAAAUUCUUCAUACGAUGAAUCCUUUAAUUGACAAUAGAUUAAGUUGAUAAUUAAAUAGUGGCCAAUUACCUAAUUAACAAACAUAAUCAUGAAAAUAAUUCAGAGAAUAAACAAAUACCCAAAAAGUAAUAAAACAAUUAAAGCAUAAAAUAGAUCUCACAAUAGUGAUGAAUCAAAGCUUCAUUAUCCUUCAACCAGAAAAAUAUAUUUAGUUCUUCAUAGAGAGAAGAGAAAAGUUUAGAUCUAGGGUUUCUUUCUCUUCUCUUCAAAAGUCCCAUUUUUCACAAUAGAUUCCUCUCUUAAAUACUCUCUCUCUCUUCUCCUCUAGAAUUCUAUUUAAAAUAAAAUACUAAUAUAUGAAAUAUUAAAUUCGUAAUUACAAAAAUAACCAAAAAUACAAAACACGUUAAACUAAAAACUGUAGGUCCGUAGUUGCAGCACGCGCCCACGCGUUAUCAACAAAGUUCUUCUGACGCUCAUAAUUUCUCCAAGAAAGCAAUCAUCUUUAAACAUCAUCUUAUAGCUCAAUUUUAUCACAAAUCAAUAGAAUUGCACCUACAAAAGUAAAACACAAGUAAAUUAUCAUUAUUAAGUGCAAAACAUCAAUAUUAAGGGAAGUAAACAAUGCAAAACUAGUGCAUAAAUUGCACUCUAACAAAUUCCCCCACACAAAGAUGAUGCUUGUCCUCAAGCAUAUAACUCAAGACUAAUCCCAAAUCUCCACUCAAUUCUCAUCUCAACUCAUCCAAAAACAAUUUUAAGCAAGUAUACCUCAAGAAAUUAAGUCGAUCAACAUUCGAGAGACAAGGAUUUUAAAGCAUAGAAUCUCAUAAGAUAGAAUAAGAACAUUCAACCACCAAGAAGAUCCAUUCAAAAUUCAAGUGCAACAAGAUUUAAUAGCCCUCUCAUUGACCUCACUCCAUGCACUCAAAGUGUUUAGGGUGUCAUUUAUUCACUCAAAUCAAAUCAAAGAAUGUUAUUACCAUAAACUUGCUUAUAUAUCACAUCUCAAUCCACAAAACAUGAAUUAAAUGCAAAAAUCUAAGGGUCUUAAAAGGUUGUAACGGGGUUAAAUGGGUUAAAUGAAAAAGAAAAGUUUAUGAAAGAAAAAGAGAUCAAAAUGAGAAGAAUGAACUCAUUGAACGAACUUUAUGAUAUCGAAACGCUUAUUUCUACACAAGUCACCAAGAAUGUAAACAUUUUUUUUUCUUUUUCUUUUUUUUUUUCAAUUUUUUUUUUCGAUUUUUCUUUUUCUUUUUCUUUUUUUUUUUGAAUCAAACAAAAGAAACGAACCUUGCACAAUUUAAUUCAGGCAUAAUGCUUGUUGAUCUAAUUGAGAAACUUUAAUACAAGGUAGAAAAAGCAACAAAAUAUAUACAAAAUAUAUCCACACAAUGAGUCCAAAAAUCUCCUUAAAUUGAGGCUCAAAAAGAAGAAAAAUGGUUAAGUAGACGGAGAGAAUUAGAUGGGUAAUGGUUAAGGCUCAAACAAAGAUAGUAAAUCAAGGUCUUCGGGUAGAGAAAAAAAAAUGCGAGAAUAGAAAAAUGGUAAAUGGUUUGCCCUUAUCAUUUUAAUGCAAAAAAUCCGUAAUGUGGCUUCAACAUGCAUAACAAAGCAAGUUCUAGAAUAAACAAACUAAGAUUGAUAUUCACAUAACAAAAAUAAUAGAGCAAAGUGGUUGCUCAUAGGCUCAAAUCCUCACAAAGUUGGUAAAUUUGCCAUCAAAUCAUGUGCACUCUUCAAAUGAAUCAACCAUCAAUAGUGGUGUAGAAUGAGAAGAAGGUAUGAUUGAGAUAUGAAAGGAAAGGUAAAAAGGAUAAUAAGCGAGAAAGAUGUAUGUAGUAAAAAAAAUGAAUGAUAAAAUGUGAGUGAUGAAAGAGUAUGAUAGAAUAAAAAUAUAUGUAAAUAAUUUGAGGUAGAUGGGAAAAGAGUAGUGAGAGAGAAAGGAAAAGAAAAUUAAUAAUAUAUGAAGCAUACUAACUCCAAAAUCAUUUAAGGAUGAGUAGAGUGAAAAUAAUAAUUCCAAACAUCAAUAAUGUAAAAAAAUCCCUCCCCCACACCAAGAACUUACAUUGUCCUCAAUGUAAGAUAAUCAAAGCUCACAUAAAAAUUAAAGCGUAAGGAUAAAAGAUUAAAGACAAAAAAAAAAAAAAACUUCCCUGAAUUAUGAGCUUUGAUCCACAUAACGUCUAUGGGCUUGGCAGAAAUGGUGGGGUAAAUCCCACACUCUCGAAGUAUGCGGCCAAAUUCUGCUCCAUCUUGUUCAGCUUGUGCUCCAUUUUCUCUAACUGAAUGCUCAAAGGUGGUGCGGAUGUAGAAGGAAUAGUUGGCGGGGCAGCAGUGUCGUCGUCAAACUCGUCAUCAGAGGUAGCACCACUCCUAGCAUAAAGCUUCUUCGGAGGUUGAGUGGGUCCUGGUUCAGUAAAAUGAAAUCUCCCCUCCUUGAAUUCGACCAUACCUGUUCUUUCAAACACAGACAUAUCCAAAAAUUCCUUUUUGCAAGCAGGAUGCAAAUCAUUAUUGUCAGGAUCAAGCACACAUAGGUUUAUAGCUAACAGAGUAAUGUAUGGACCAAGAAAUAAAGUUCUAUACCGUUUAAGCACACUUUGAAAUUGAUCCGCUAACCAAAAACCUAAAUUAGGCCUCACAUCAUUUAACAUGCACCAGAUAAAAUAACAUUCAGUUUUAGAGAAAACUCCUGAGUGAUCUUUCUUACCGAAAAAAUUAUAUGCUAAGAAUCGAUGCACACAUUUCAAAACAGGAUCACGUAAGAAAGAACUCUUUGAUUUACUCGGGUCAUAGGCAUUGUGAUCAAUAGAUAAAUUACGCCAAAGACCAUAAGGCUCAAAAUUUUCGCUAAAGUCACAAGUUGUUCCUAAAUAUGCAUCACUAGAAGAAUAAUCAUCAUCAAUGAAUCCUAAAGCUAGGUUAAAAUCCGUGAUAGAGUGUAAAAAAUUUCGUCCCAUUAACCUAAACUUAAUGACAUCCGGGGUAUGCAAAGUAAAAUCAUUCGGCAUAUUAAAUUGAAAAGUAGCAUAAAACUUCCUAAUCAACUCAACAUAACCCAAACAAUCAACAUCAACAAACUUAUGUGACCCAAUCUUAUCUAUCAAAGAAUCAAAAUUAUCCUUAACAUUCAAUUUUUCAAGAGUCGGGUAAUGAAUAUACUUAGCUGGAAGUAUUUUGCGCGUGGAAAUAUCUUUGUACCUCUCUUUCUCUUGUUGAGUCGCGAAUGCGAGGCACUCUUUGAGAUUGGAUUCCGCAAGUGGCAAAACACUCAUGCCUUUUCCAUGUUUCGAUCUUUGUCUCACGGCUUGGCGUGAAUAUGAAAUUGUGUUCCAUGGAACCGUAGUGGGAGCGGCAAUCUUAGAUUUCUUUGCGACGAGUGUCUUUUUAGAUGACUUGGAAGUAGAUGCUUUCCUCUUCGGCAUUGUUACAAUAAUUGCACUCACGGAUUUCGAUUUACCUGGCUGGAAUACAGGGCGUAGGUUGGAUCUGCGUUGCGUUGCUGCUUGGCUGGAGCUUGCUGCGCAGGUUGGGGCUGGUUGCGCGCUGCUGCUGGUUGUGUUGCGCGCUGCUGCUGGUUGUGUUGCGUGAUGCUGCGCGCUGCGGGUGGAAUUGGUUGCGCGCUGCUGGGGCUGGAUUCGGGUUGCGCGCGGGGGCUGGGGAUGCUGGUGCGCGCUGCGGGUGGGACUAAUGCGCUGCGCUGAGGCUAAUUCGCGUUGCUGGGGCUGCGUUGUGGGAUGCUGGUGCUGUGUUGCGUUGCGCGCGGCUGCUGCUGCUGCAUGGCUGCGGCUGCUGCUGCUGCGGGUGAAAACGAUAAUCAACAGUGAAUUUUUAUUUUAUUUUUUUGAAUUAGGGAUUUAUGAACAGUGAUUUGUGAUUUUUGUUUUUUUUUUGUUUUUUUUAAAUAAAAAAAAUAUGUAUAUAUAAAAGAAAGAAAAGAAGGAAAAAAAAUAAUAUUUUUUUUUUUGUGAUGAAUCACUUUGAGACACUAAAAAUUUCAGAAGUACUUUUCUAAUAAGCACGUGGGCACGCCUUAAAACCAUUUUAUUUUAAAAAUCACAGAAGUACUUAUUAGUUAAGACGUGGGCACGCCUUAUCAAAAAUUUUCUUCUGACCAAAAUAAGCAAACACAUUAAAAAAAAAUGAAUCAAAAUUAAAAGAAGAUAUAACAAAAACCAAAAUAAAUAAAUCAUUUGGGUUGCCUCCCAAAAAGCGUCUUUGUUUUAUGUCUUUGGCUAGACACAUUUAUGCAUCAAUCUCCAUAAUUGGGACUCUCGAGAGCCACAUCCUCCACAAUAUUCACAAAAAAACCUUCAUAAAAAGGUUUUAAGCGAUGACCAUUAACCUUAAAAAUUUUGUCAGAGGUCGGACUUCGAAUCUCAACUGCACCAUGAGGGAAAACAUUAGUAACAAUAAAAGGUCCAACCCAGCAAGAACGUAAUUUACCCGGAAAAAGUUUAAGCUUAGAAUGAAAAAGAAGAACUUUUUGACCAACAGAGAACUCCUUUCUCAAAAUCAUUCUAUCAUGAAAUGUCUUCGUUUUUUCCUUGUAAAUAACUUCCUGCACUAUAGGGUUAAUAACAUCCACAGAAAAUACCGAAUGUUCCUCACUAGGAUAUUUCAUGGCAUCAUUCAUAUUGAAUUCUAUAACCUCUCCAUCAAACUCCAUAGUGAGAGUCCCUUUAUGUACAUCCAUUUUAGUCCUAGCAGUCUUAAGAAAAGGUCUUCCUAGCAAAAUUGGGACAAAAUUGGAGGAGUUAUCCUCUUCCAUAUCAAGUGCAUAAAAAUCAGCAGGAAAAACCAACUCAUUAACUUGUACUAAGACAUCUUCUAAUACCCCAUCAGGAUAUGCAUUAGACCUAUCAACUAGUUGAAUUAUCACGCCAGUUUCUUUUAAUGGACCAACAUUCAAAGAUGAAUAAAUGGAACGAGGCAUGACAUUAAUAGAAGCUCCUAGAUCUAACAAAGCCUUUUCAAUUCUAACACUACCAAUUUUACAAGGGAUAGUAAACAUACCUGGAUCCUUGCACUUAGAGGUAGUUUCUUUUGGAGAACUGCUGAAACAUUCUCCCCCAUGUGAACUUUUUCAUCUCCUCUUAAUUUUCUCUUAGAGGUGCACAGUUCCUUAAGGACUUUAGCAUAUCGAGGUAUUUGUUUUAUAGCAUCUAAUAAAGGAAUAUUUACCUCAACCUUGCGAAAUGUCUCAAGGAUGUCUUUCUCUUGUUCCUCCUUCUUGGAUAUUGCAAACCGGCUUGGAAAAGGAGGAGGUAUCACAAUAGGUAGGGGUUUCGCUCUGGUGGGUUGCGCAUCUUGAGAUUUAGGCAUCAAUUCAUUCUUCUCAAGCUCAUCUUCUACAUGCUUUGUCACUUUCUUACUAGGCUCUUGCAACUCCUUCCCACUUCUAAGGAUGACAGCACUAACGUUUUUCUUUGGAUUCACCUCAGAUUGUGAAGGCAAUCUCCCUAAUACUUGAGACUCCAGAAGGCUCACUGUAGUCGCCAAUUGACUCAUUUGGUUCUCCAAAUUCUGAAUGCUUGUUGUAGUUGCCUGCUGAAAUUGUUGAGUGUUAGUCGCAAGUGAUUUAACAAUUUCUUCAAGAGAUAUACCUGACUUAGAGUUUGAUUGUGGAGGUGCUGGUUGUCUUGGUGGAUACUAUUGUGGGAAUCCUGACGGCCUAACUCCAUAGCUGAAGUUGGGGUGAUCCUUCCAUCCCGGAUUGUAUGUUUAUGCAUAAGGAUCAUACCUCCUCUGAGGCAUGCCUGGAAAUCCUCCAACUGCAUUGGUUUGUUCAACGGGUUCUUCUUGAAGUGUAGGACACAUAUCAGUUGAAUGACCCAUAUUGUAACAAAUGCCACAAGUCUUCACCUGUUGCACAUUACCUACAACAAACUUUUCCACAAGAGAAGUAAGUUUAUCUAAACUUUGUCCAAUAGAAGAAAUAUUUACCUCAUUUACCUUCCUUGAAGUGAGAUCUUGCCUGCUGCCAAAUUGUUGUGCGUUGGCAGCCAUAUUUGAUAUCAGCUCCUUUGCUUGAGUAGGGGUCUUGUUCACCAACACGCCUCCACUAGCAGCAUCUAUCAUACUCCUAUCCAUCAAUGACAGUCCUUCGUAAAAAUAUUGAAUAAGAUGUUGAUCAGAAAUCUGAUGCUGAGGACAGCUGGCACACAAUUGUUUGAAUCGCUCCCAAUACUCAUACAAAGUCUCCCCAGGAAGUUGUCUGAUCCCACAAAUGUCUUUUCUGAUGUUAGCAGCUCUUGAAGCAGGAAAGUAAUUCUCGAGGAAUUGCUUGUUCAAACCAUUCCACGUUGUAAUUGAUCCAGGAGGCAAGUAGUACAACCAGUCUUUAGCUAGUCCAUCUAAAGAGAAAGGAAAAACACGCAGCUUAAUCUGCUCUUCAGUCACGCCUUGUGGUCUCAUACUUGAACACACAACAUGAAACUCCUUAAGAUGUUUAUGAGGAUCUGCACCUGCAAAACCAUGAAACUUGGGUAAUAAAUGAAUAAGACCAGACUUUAAUUCAAAAUUUACCUCCAAGUCUACAUAUUGAAUGCAGAGUGGUUGUUGACUCAAGUCUGGUUCAGCUAACUCUCUAAGAGUUCUUUCUACAGGUGCAGGUCUAUCUAUCAUUUGUUCUUCUGAAUCGCUAGAUGAUUCAACUAAAUCAGGCACUGUAUCUAUUUCAGAAAGCAAAGGCGACGAGGAUCGUUACUUAGCUCGCUUCGUCUGCUGUCUCAGCUGGCGAGCUGUCUUCUCAAUUUCAGGAUCAAACGAAAGUGUACCUGUACGAGAAGAACGAACCAUACACCAAGUAAAACGUAAAAAGGAUUAAAUAAAUGACACCAAUCCCCGACAACGGCGCCAAAAUUUGAUGGUUGUCGAAGCCAACAAAAAUAAAUUCCUACUCUAAAUAAAUUGUGUAUAGUGAUUGAGCAGGGUCGUGUCCACAGAGAUCGGUAUUUAAAUCCUUUUGAAACGUAAAACGUAAAAUGGAAGAAUUGUUGAUAAUAAUAAAAAUCAAAUUAAAAUAACAAGAAUGAAAAUUAAAGUUGUAAUUCAAAUUAGAGAAAGCUCUGGUUGAAGGAAUUAAGUCAGCUUGAUUCGACUACUGAUCAUUGAUUCAAAUAUAGAUUAUUAUUACUUAUGAAUAGACCGGUUAUAGCUACUGAGACCCUCUAAUAGCCAAUCUCACCUUAACUAGUCGAUAACCAAGGUACGACCGUUGGUUAUUUCCCUAAUCAAUAGACAACCCUAGAUACGAUCAUAGGAUUUAAUCAAUUGACAGCCUGAAAAACCAGAGAGACCCAAAUUCUAAUCAACACAUACGAUGAUUAAUUUAAAUUAGAUUGUUUAUUAUCACAACACAACUCUCUGCUAUGUUAUUUGUCACAAACAUUAAAUUUUUCAUACGAUGAAUCCUUUAAUUGACAAUAGAUUAAGUUGAUAAUUAAAUAGUGGCCAAUUACCUAAUUAACAAACAUAAUCAUGAAAAUAAUUCAGAGAAUAAACAAAUACCCAAAAAGCAAUAAAACAAUUAAAGCAUAAAAUAGAUCUCACAGAAGUGAUGAAUCAAAGCUUCAUUAUCCUUCAACCAGAAAAAUAGGUUUAGUUCUUCAUAGAGAGAAGAGAAAAGUUUAGAUCUAGGGUUUCUUUCUCUUCUCUCCAAAAGUCCCCUUUUUCACAAUAGAUUCCUCUCUUAAAUACUCUCUCUCUCUUCUCCUCUAGAAUUCUAUUUAAAAUAAAAUACUAAUAUCUGAAAUAUUAAAUUCGUAAUUACAAAAAUAACCAAAAAUACAAAACACGUUAAACUAAAAACUGUAGGUCCGUAGUUGACAGCACGCGCCCACGCCUUAUCAACAAAGUUCUUCUGACGCUCAUAAUUUCUCCAAGAGAACAAUCAUCUUUAAACAUCAUCUUAUAGCUCAAUUUUAUCACAAAUCAAUAGAAUUGCAUCUACAAAAGUAAAACACAAGUAAAUCAUCAUUAUUAAGUGCAAAACAUCGAUAUUAAGGGAAGUAAACAAUGCAAAACUAGUGCAUAAAUUGCACUCUAACAAUGUCUAUGAUUGUCAAUCUUGCUUUAAGUGUUUCAGUUAAGUGGUUUACCUAACAGGGAAAAAAAUUUAAUGGAAAACUUUAGAGUUCUAACAGAAAUAUAGUUGACUGCAGAUAUAGCUAUUUUGCAGUACAUAAAUUAUGUUGUCCUAUUCUCAAUGUCCUACGACCUAUUUUAUUUUAUAUGGUCAUUCAUUUUUGCGAUGGUUUUUUGUGCUUAUGAGUAUGGAAAUAGUGGGAUUUGGUGUGGCAAACAAAAAUAUACAUAUAAUCAAGUUUCUUAAUCAUGUAUAUUGGUUUUGGGUAUGAAUGUUUUCCUAUUCUAGUUCUAGGCAAAGUUUCUUCAUUUUGGUCUUCAGAUUUCCAGUAGGUUAAGUUAAGCAACUAUCAUAACUAGCUAGCUAGUUAUUGCCUGCCUUGUCGCCAUUACAUUGCAUGGCAUAAGGAAUAGUAACUAGGUGAUUAUUGGUGAUUCGUUGAGUUUAUUAUUGGCCAAACUAACAUAUUCGCCUUUACCCACAACUUAGUUUGAUUAGAUAUUAGAUAAUAAAGAGCCUUAAUCUAUGCAUUGCUUUAUUAUUUUUAUUUGGUUUUUCUUUCAACAAUAUUGUUGAUUUCUUAUAAAAAAUAUUCAUUGGUUUUUAAACACCUAAUCAUUGGCUAUGAUGAAGCUAAUUAAAACGAAGGCUUUGGAUCAAUUUCUUCUAACAACAUACAAAUGAGCAUAACCACCCCCUCCCCCCGAACCCAAAAAAAAAAAAAAAAAAAGGAAGACUUUGCAAGAUUCACAACCAGGUUACAUUUAAUUUAUUAAUUGUGUGUACGUACUAGUUAUUUGUUGAUAGAAUAGGAAGAAGUAUUUUAAUAUGAAUGACUUAAAACUUGUUGCUCAGUAAACAUAAUGUGCAUCAGUGCUAGAAAAUGUAUUUAUUGUUUGUAAUUUUUUAUGGUUUUGCUUAAGAAAUGAAAUGUGAAAAAAUGCUACAUUGUAUUAGGAAUAAAUUGAAGAGAUUUAUGAUUUUUAUGUGUUAUUCAAGUUUCAGAUUCAAUUUUAAACUUUUGAUACAUGCAUUGAAAGCUUAAACUCCUUUAAGAAAUUAUUAAUAGACACAUGUUUUAUUAGUGUCAUCUUUUGGAUGAUAGUGAGGAUCUUAUGUCUAUUAAUAAUUCUUGAAUUAUCUAGGCUUGGACAGUUUGGUAAUGCAUAGUUUUCUAUGGUAGCUAGUGCCUGAAAUUUUUUUCCCACGUAAAAAUGGGUUUUUCAGCAGCUGCUCCUCAUGUUCUCUGGGUGCAUACUAGACAAAUGGGUGUCAUGUGUUGUUUUGGCAUAACACAUAAACACUCAUAUAUCUAUGUCGCGUACUUGAAGAACUAUAGGGAGAUGCUUCCGAAGUUUCUAUAAACGUAGAGGAAAACUUUAGAUACUUAAGAUUGAAGAAACUUAUGCAUUCUUGAGUGGGAUAUAUAGGACCACUUACCUUUUGUAAAUAUGAAGGGAAUGUUGGAUAUAUUGAUGGGAGUGGAGGAGCUGAGUGGGAUGAAUGUAAUCGGUUAUGAUUUUGCUGAGUCGACUUGGUUUUGAGUCUUGUAAUUUUGUUUAUAAAUGGAGUACUAUCUCCAAUGUUGGUUUAUAAAUAUGUUUCAGCUGGCUGACCUAAUUUUUUGUUUCUAGGUAACAGGCUUUAUAUAUCUGUAAUUGAUAGCCAAGUGAAGUUCUCAGCAGUGGGUAACAGGCUUUACAGAAGAAUACUAUAAAUAAUUCUUGAAUUAUCUAUGCUUAUUGACCAUAGAUCAAAACAAUCUCUUCCUUUUCAACCCCAUCUCUGUCAUUGCUCUGCAUCCGUAUACAUAAAGUGAUAUGAGUCGCACUAGAGUUUUUGCUGUGGAGGAUGUUACUAAGUGUAUCAAUUUCUUGCAACCGAAAGCUACAAGUUUUGUUAGGUUCCCAAAAGAUACCGAUGAUGAUGGCAAUAGAAUUAACAGACUUUGACAAUAAUAUACUCUUAGAAUUUCAAGAUACUGAAAAAUGGGGGCAAGUUUGGAGUCUUGUUUGCACAGCUGCCUCAGAUGAUAGUGCCGGUGCAGCUUUAAUUCUUUUAUCAUUGCCAACUUCCCCACAUGUUUCUCUCAGCAUCCUUCCUUCGAAAAUUCCUCUUCGUUGAAUGAAAAAUAAACCAGUGCGAGUAUUUCGAGAUUGUGAAAUCUCUCCAGUACGUUCCAGAUUGGAAAACAAGCUGAGUCAUCUCCGGCAAUCUCUAGUUGUUUAAGACUGCCAAAAAGGUGUUGUGGGAAAUCGGCCUGCAAAAUCAUCUUCACAUCUUUUCCACUUAGUGAUAGUUCCUUCAAGUUGGGUACGAUCUGAUCAUCAUCAAUCAUAAUAACUAAUGAGGUCAAUUGAUGUUCUUUCAAAUGAUUUUGAGUAAUCCAAUCACGCAGUGACUUUAUAGUAUUUAUUUUAUAUUAAUUUUACCCCUAAAAAAAUUGAAUUAGUGAUAAAAUUCAUUAUAUGAUUUUUUUAUAUGUUAGUUUUAGAGGUAAUAAAGAAAUUAGGGAAAAAAACGAAAUUAUUUUAUUGCACGAUAGUAGACUCUUGCUUCUCAGUGCCUUUGCCACUGUAGUCAAGGCAAUGGGCAAACCUCCACACAACCUGGCGACGUCUGUUGCUGUAGAUUCCAACUCACGAUUUUCAACAUCAUCACCGGCCAUCAUCUUAAACAAUCUCCAGGCUUCUUCUUCAUUUAAAUUGUUAAUCAAGAAGUUGUCUUUAGAUCCCAUUUUUAAGAGGACGCCACGAUCUCUUGCUGUCAGCAGUAGUUUGCAGCCUUUAUGAUCUUCUCCAAAAGGAAUUCCAACUGUCUCCAAGUCAAGGUGCUUCCAGAUGUUAUCUAAAACCACAAGGAUCUUCUUCUCAUUUCUCAAUCGCUCAAAUAGUUUACAUGCUCUUCUAGAUUCAACUUCCUCGUGCAACUCCAGGCCCAACUUCUCGGCAAUUUCCUGUUGAAUCCUUUUUAUGUCUGGAAUUUGGGAAACCUCUGAAAAGACCACCAUAUCAAAGAGCUCGUCUUCCAUAGCUUGCCUGGCGACCUUCUUCACCAGUGUCGUCUUUCCAAUGCCGCCCAUGCCGUACACCCCAAUGAUGCUGACACUAACAUCGAUCAAUGCGUUUUUUACAACUGACUUCAUCAACAAAGCUUUUGUGAAUAUGCGUUACAUUACAACUGCGAUAUCCUUUCACUGUAUAUUCAUACAGUGGCAGGCCAUGUGACGUUGUGACCCAUGUGCUAGCUUUCACUAUUCAUAUUAUUUUUUUACACGGUGUUUAACAAAAUCUUCACGUAAAGAUUUCAGACGCGUGAUCCUAAUUCAGUAUGCAUUAUUUAUUUAUAAAAUGAAAAUAAAAAGAUAAAAGGAUGUGACUUAACUUGCUAUCAGUGCGGAUCCAGGACUUAAUAUUAUUUCGGGUUAAAUUUUAUAUUUUAAAAUUUAUAUUUUGAAGUGAACAUAAAAAUUUAUAAGUAGAAAGAAGUAUAUUAAAUGAGGGGAGAUAUGGAGAGCUUUAUCCCUAUGAAUAUGUAUUAUAAACGAAAAUAAUUGUAAGAAAAGAGUAGAAACCAAAAGGCAAUUCAAAUAUCAAAACAUUAUUUUUCAAUUAUGGAAUCCGAUAUUGCAACCUAUAAUAACAUGUAAUUAUAUAAGGAUUAAUAAAUCAAUUAAGAAUUUCAAACUAAAUUAGAUCAGUACAUGUGAUUAAAAUUAAUUAAAGAUUACAAGUAAAACUUUUUUGUUUGAAGUCAAGUACUAAAUUACCAAGCUUAAAUAAAUUUAAAAAAUUAAAAUUCAUUCAUUCUUUCGAAUUAUAAAAGUAUUAUUAAUAAAAAAUUUAGUAAUAAACUAAAUUCAAUUCAACAAAAAGUUAUUUGGAUAUCGUUGUUUCAUUGCCAGUGCACUAACUUUCUUUAUAGAAGUAGAUGUUGAUGAUUCUUCUAUUAAAGUUCCUCAAAAUACCUAAAUUUUAUUUUCUAACUUCUUCUCGUAGUUAAUGUAACUAAUAAAUAGAAUCUAAAAAAUCACAUAAAAUGUUUAUGAAAAUGUUGAUAAUUGUUACUAUUUAUUGUUUUCGUAAGUACUUUUAAUGCUAGUGACGAUGUUAUAUUACAUUGAUUUAUAUUUUUUUUCAAUUAGAAGUUUUUUAAAAUAAAUUAAAGCGAUAAUAAUACUUUAGCUCCUAAUGUUUUCAAUCUAUCCACUAAGUAUAUAAUUUAAUCAUUUUAUAAAAUAAGUCACUAAUUUCAAUUGGAAAUAAUACAAUUUAAUUAGGGAUAUAUUUGAAUAUAAAAUAAUAGCCCAAUUGUUAUACUAAAUUGAUGAAAAUAUAAGGGUAAUUGAGUUAGGGAAAUAUUUGAAUAUAAAGUAAAAACUCUAUUGUUAAACUAAAUUGAUGAAAACAUAAGGAUACUUGAGUUAGGGACAUAUAUGAAAACAAAAUAAAAACUCUAUUUUUAUAAAAAAAUUAUAAGAAAACAAGGUGUAUAAAUGAUUUUUUCUGUGCUAGACCAAGCUACAACCCAGUCUAGCCCAACUGUAGGUCCGCCACUACUUGCUAUUUACAUACAGACAUGUAGCCCUUAUUCUAAUAUCUAUAGGAAAAGACACUUAUACUCCAAGAUUUGAAGAAAUGGUCACGUAGAUCUCUAAGUUUUCAGUAACCAAAAUUUCUUUUUGACUAUAAUACUUUUUGUACAUAGUAAAUAAAAAAUGACUUUAAGAUUUUUUUUAAUAAAUAUAAAUAUAACUUAAAUAGUUUAAUCUGUCUAAUAGACUAAUAAUAUUAGAAUAUUUUUAAUAUAUAAAAUAUUUUUUAAAUAAAAACAUUAUAUUUAUUUUAAUAAUAUAUUUUUAUUUAUCAUAAAAAUAUCAAAUAAAUCAUUGGGGUUAAAUAGAAUUUAAAAUUAAUAAAACACAUCUCAUUAAUAAAAUAUAUCUCAUGUAGUAAUAAUAUUGAAAUUAUUUUAUAUAAUAUUUAAAAAAUUUAUAAAAUUUAUAAAAUUUAUAAAAUUUAUUUUAAUAUUAUGUUCUUAUUUAUUAUAAAAUUUAGUCUAAUAUAAUAUAAGAUUGUUAAGUAUAUAAAUAUUUUCCUAAAUUGAAGUUGUUUUAAAAUGUUAAUAUUUUAUGUUUAUUUCAAUAUUAUAUUUCUAUUUAUUAUAAAACAUAGGAGUCAAUUUUUUUGAGUUAAUAGAGUCAAAUGUAUUAUAGUCGAAAGAGGUAUUGGUAUUCCUUAUUAAAAAUUUAGGGGUCUACAUGACUAUUUGCCAAACCUUAGGUGUAACGUCCUUUUCUCCAAAAUUGAUUCUCUAUAGGUAUUUCAUGAAGGAAAAUGAUAUUUACAAUGAAUCAAACCCCGGACUAGUUAAAAUGCAUUAUUUCAGCUUAAAUAAUGGUAAAUAUUUGUUCAGUCUCUAUAUUUUGAAUUAAGUACCGUUUAGUCCCUCAAGACACCUUUGUCAGUAAGCACAAUAUAAUCCUACCCUUACUUUUUCUUUGAUUUUAUAAUAACAUGCUUGCAACAAUAUUCUUAGAUAUGUUAAUGUAAAGAAAAAUUUAAAUUUAUCAAAUCAGCCUUAAAAGUAAAAUACAAAUUAGUUGUUAUUAUUAUUAAUAAAAUAAUAAAAUAAUAAAAUAAUAAAAUAAUAAUAACAAUAAUUAACAUUAAUUAAAAUAAUAAAGUUAAUAUAUUAUAUAACAAAAAAAACAAUAUUUACAUUUAUCAAAUUUUCAUGUGUUUAAAAAAAAUUAUGUGAUAUUACAUUAUUAUCUUUACACAAUCAAUCAUUUUUAUGAUCAAGUUAGGCUAAUGGAUCAAGCUUUAAAAAAUUUAAAACAAUAGGAGUUAUAUAAAUAAAUAUUUAAAAAAUUUUGUUUUAUGAUAUUAUAAUAAACAGUAAAGAUUUAAGUCUUAAUAACCAAUUGAACACAUCUCAACCGUUGACAGUAGCGGCUCGACCUCUAGGCAACUUAAGCGGUUGUCUAGAGCCCCGCUUUACAUUAAGGUCCUAUGAAAUGAUUAUUUUGUAUAUAAAAGGGAAAAGUGAAUUUAAAAGUCAUUACUAUGCAUUUAAUUUGUUAUUAUUUUGUAAUUAUCUUUUUCUAAAUAAACUAUCAAAUUCCUAUAAAGUUUAUUUAAUGUAGUACUUAGUAGUUUUAAUUCCUACAAAACCGAUAAAUUAAUAGUUUCAAUCCUACAAAUUCUCUAUUUAAUUGUUAGAAUUAAUAUGUUAUAAUUAAAAAGUUUUAUAUUCAUUUUAAACCUCUAUAAAAGCCCCACAUUUUAUUACUUAUCUAUUAAAUUUUUCCUCUAAUAAUCAAGACACGAUAUGUUGUUAGUGUUUGAGAGAAAGAAAGACAGAGAUGGAAAAAAUCAUGCUUCCUCUACUUUCCACUCAAGAAGAAAAAAAAAAAUCUAAUAAUUUUCUCUAUACUCUAUGGCUAUUGGUCAUUACUUAAAUCCUCAAAUAAUUAAUAUAAAUAUAAAGUUAAUUCAUGAUUUCAUCUCAAAUUCCAGAUUUUAUCUUUUUAUUAUUCUCUUAAUUAGUUGUGUUAUUUACUUGUUCUUAUUUUUUUUCAAUAUAUUCUUUUAUUCAUCUACUUUUUUUUGUAUGCUUGUUUUAUCUAUUUUGAAAUAAAAUUAUAUCGAAAAACUUUAGAAAAUAGAAAAAUUAGUUUAAUCUAGAAAAGGAGUAGUAAAAAAGAUGUAAUUUGAGUUGAAGAACAAUAAGUGAAAAUAUUAUAAUUGAAUUAAAAUUUAAUAGAUAACCCUAAUUUUUUUAUAAGAACUAAUUAAAAUCAUUUGCCUAGGGCCCCAAAUAUGGUUGAGUCGGCCCUGACCGUUGAACACUUUAGCUAUUAGAUUCAUCAGUUGAAUUAGAAAAAUAUAAAAUUUGGGGUACCGUGCAACUGUUGCAAGGUAGGCGGACACGUUAUAUUUAAUAUAGAAUAAAUAAACUAAAUAUGUGUAAAGAAUAUAGGUUAUUAACCUUGCAAUACUUCAAAAAAUUAUAAAAUAAAAAAGGUGAAAUUUCAAAAUAAGGAACUGUAAAAAGUAUUAGGUUCUAAAAUUUUAUUAUUUUAAUAUUACAAAACUUUACUUUUUUAUAACAUUUUUGUUUUUAAUAUUAGUUGACAUGUUAGUUUAUUUGUAUAUAAAAUAUGUUAAUUUACCUAUAAAAUACUAAUAUUACUCUUGAAAUUUAAGGAAGCCAUUUUAAUUUUUUAAAAUUUUAAAUGUAGCCCAACAAAGUCAUAGAAAUAUAAAUAAAGAAUAGCAUAAAAGGAAGUUAGUUUAAUUUUUUGAAGAAUACUUCAAAAGCAUUUGAGUUUUAUGUUUCUUGAGAAUUAUACCUUUUUGUUUUUUAGAUAUUUGAGCUUGUGAAUCUUGUUGUAAUGAUAAUUUAUUAUUUAUUCUUGAUUAAAAAUAAUUGAAUAGUAAAUUUAUUGGUUUCUAAUUACUCUUUUAAAUGUAGGGCGAUUGCUUAAUUUUUAUUAUGUUACCCUAAAUUUUUUGAUGAUGGCUAAUCAACCACUGCAAAAGACUCUACCAUGAUUAUUUUUACUUUCUCUACAUCCCUCUAGACCAUCAUCACUCAAAGAAUUAAGAGUCCAUUUGGCAUACUGUAUUAUAUUAUACUGUAUUGCAUUAUUUAAUAUAGGUAUAUUGUAUUAUGUUAUAUUACAUUAGUACUAAAUUAUAAUAAUAUUUGUACAACAUUUGGUAAUUGGUAUUACAUUGUACUGCAUUAAUUUUAUAUUAAUAUUAUACUAACAUUAUUUAAAUUUAUUAUUAAUUAUAUUAAAUUAUUAUUUUUAUAUAAAUAUAAUAUGAUAUAAUAAAAUAAUAUGAUAGUAUAAUUUAAUUUUAUAUUUUUAUUUAUUAUUAUAAUAAAUAAAAAUAUAAUAAAAAUAUAUUUAAUGCUUAAUUAAGGUAAAAUAAUAAUAAUAACAAUAGUAUUACUUUAAACAAAAAAAUCUAUAAAGUUUAAAGAUGAUGAUGAUGAUGUUGACGACAUUAAUAAUAACAUAACAAUUAAAAUAAUAAAACAAAUAAAUUUUAAUGAUAUUAAUAUUAAUAAAAUAAUAAUAACAAUAAUUAAAAUAAUAAAAUUAAUAUAUUUUAAUAAUAGUAAUAAAAAUAAUAUUAAUGACAGUAAUAAAAUUAAUAAAUAAUAAUAAUGACUUAAUUAAAAAUAAUCAUAAUAAUUAAAAUAAUAAAUUUUGAUGAUAAUAAUAAUAAUAUUAUUAUUAUUCUUAUUAAUAUAAUAAUAAUGACAUUAAUAAAUAAUACUAAUAAUAACAGUCAAAUGUUUUUGAAAAACCAUUUUAUCCCAAAAAAAGGGACUUAUAUAUAAAAUUUUGUAACUUCUAAUGUCUAUUCAAUUUUUUCAUAAAAUAUAAGGUAGUGCAGUGUAAUUAAUAAAAAAGACAAAAUUCGGUGGUAUGCUGCAAUUGUUGCAACAUAGUUUCAUCUUUAUUUGUGAUCCUAAAGUUUGAGAUAUGUGAUCCUUAUUCUAUUGUGUCAAUUAUAGUCCAGUCCAAUGCCGCCAUCAUUAUCGAACAGUCGAUAUCCAACACUUGCACGAAGAUUCCAAGAAGUUGUGUGGCUGCCGACUUUUAAAUGCUAAGCCUUAUUGUGUCGAAGAUACACAAAACAGAGCAGUCCAGGUAAUUGCCAAAACUUAGAACUAAACAGUAGCUUAGUCAGAAAAUCAAACAAGUACCAAUAAAAUGACUGAUAAAAAUAUAAAGAAAUCAGUCAAAUCACGAAGAUUGAAGAGUAAAUCAAUGGUUUUAGAUUUUUAUUUUUUUUUUUAGAUAAUAGAUAUUAUUUUGAUGAAUUUUUUAAUAUUAGAAUAAUGUUAGGAAUUCCAAUAGUAGAAUUCUAGCUUAAGACCCAAUUAUUAUGUGUCAUUUUUUUAUUGGAUAAUGAAUUUCAUAACUAAUAAAAUUAAUAUUUCGAUCAUUUAAUAAAUGACUACCAUAUUAGUUGAGACUCAAUUAUUAGGAUCAUUAACAUUGCUCUUAGUAUUAAAUUGGACAUCUUAUCCAAAUCAGAUUAAAAAUCAAAUUAGAUUUUAAGCUUUUAUUCAACAUCUCCUUUUUUUUUUUUUUUUUUGGUCUAUUUGAAGUGAACAAAAUAAAAAUACAUUAGGGUCAACGACUGGGCAAUUGAUAGUCAAGUAUUUUGUUGUUUUUGCUACCUUGAAUUAAAUUUUCUCAAUUAGAUCAACAAGCAUUAAGCUUGAAUUAAAUUAUGCAAGGUUCAUUUCUUUUGUUUGAUGCAAAAAAAGAAAAAAAAGAAAAAAAAAUGUUUACAUUCUUGGCGACUUGAGUAGAAAUAAGCGUUUUGAUAUCAUAAGGUUCAUUCAAUGAGUUCAUUCUUCCCAUUUUGAUCUCUUUUUCUUUCAUAGACAUUUCUUUUUCAUUUAACCCCAUUACAACAUUUCUAAGACCCUUAGAUUUUUGCAUUUAAUUCAUGUUUUAUGGAUUGAGAUGUGAUAUAUGAGCAAGCUCAUGAUAAUAGCAUUCUUUGAUUUGAUUUGAGUGCAUAAAUGAUACCUUAAACACUUUGAGUACAUGGAGUGAAGUUAAUGAGAGGGCUAUUAAAUCUUGUUGCACUUGAAUUUUGAAUGGAUAUUUGAUAACUCUAGGAAAUGAGAGUUAUUACAUCAAUUCUAGACUUGAAUCAAGGUCACUUAGAGAACAAAUAAAGUGUUUUUAUUACAUUUUGGGUACCUUUUUGCAUAAACAUUCAUUUUAGUUGAGUCUAAUAAAUUUUGCUUGAAUCAUAGUAAUUUGUGCUAAAAACAGGUUUUAAAUUGUAGGUUUUAAAUUCGUGAGAGGAUGUUGAGGCAUUAGAAGAGCAAGAGGAGGAAGGAAGUUGGCCACAAAAGAAGUAAAGCACAAUCGGGAAUAAAACAGUAUUGUAGCAGCUGUUAGAGCAACCAGUGCUAUAACAAUCUUGGAGCAAUGCGGGAGAAAACUUAGGCGCGAGUCAGCCACAAAAUCGUGAUCUGCAUGUUUCCUAAUUCAAGCAUAUGCACGCUCAUAGGCUUUGGUUUAACCUAAUUUGCAAUAUAAAAAAGAGGCGUGCAGCACAUAGAAAGGCGGCAAGGAAUUAUCAUAAAAAAUAAUUACAAAGGCAAGAAGAAGGAGAUCAAGAUUAAAGAGUGCUAUUCGGAAACAAAAGGAGAGAGCCGUGCAGAAUUAUUUGCCUUUCAUCGUGCUCAACUUAUAUUUUCUCUUUUUCCUUGAAUUGUUGGGAUGUAUUCCGAGUUCAACAUAUUUGUGUUUAUUUUUCUCAUCCAGAUUAUGAACUAAAUUUACUUGUGGUUGAGUGAAAAAUAAUCCAAUGGGUUCUUGACUAUUCUUUUAUGUUGUUAUGGUAAUGUUGUAGCAUUAUACUCUAGUAGUUUUUAUGAAUACAACUGUUGUUUCGGUUCACCACCCAUUUAAUAGUUUCAGUUAAGAUAGAGCAGCAAAAGGGCAUGUCUUAGCGGACAUUAUUAGAGUAUUACUUGUUCUUAAGUCGAGUUUCCUGGAAUAUGUUAUCUUGAAUCCCAUAAGGGCAAUACUUGAAGUUAAGAUUUGUGACACUCUAGACAUAGGUGUUCACCUUGUAGGGUAGAGAGAUUAAAGGUUAUAAUGCCAUACCAUAAAUAUAUGAGCAACUGGUCAUUGUUAGUAGAUUUAAAAGUAUGAAAUUUCCAACAUGCGAUAGCUGCGGAUGCAGAUUUAUUCUACCCAUUGCUGCAGCACUUAUUGAAACAAUUGGUGCUAAUUUGGUAAACAACAGUCACCCCAUUAGGAGAGUUUGAUCAUUCAACUACUAUAUUUUCAAUUGAAUCUUAGACACAUUUAACUUAGUUUACUUCAUUACAGUAUUGUUUUAUUUUCAUCUCUCAUAAUUAUUAGUUACAGCAGAAUUAUUUGACAAUUGUUUGUUUCGAUCUUUAAUUGAUUUGCACUAUUGUGAUUGUUUUAGCAUUUUGAGUAACAGCAAUCCCUGUGGAGACGAUCUUGAAUACUCAUCACUUUAUUACUUGUUGUGUAUACUUGCACAUUGGCAUUGAUAAUAAUUGCUUAUAGAAAUUAACCAACAAGUUUUUGGCGCCGUUGCUGGGGAUUGAUUGUUUAUUUUUGAAGUGUGAAGUAAAUCUUGAUAGCGCCAAAUCUGAUUUGAUUUAUUCUAUUUAUUGGCAGAUCGGUACAUGCAUGUGUAAAGACAAAUCUGUGGUAUUCUAAUUCGAUCCUGAGAUUGAAAGGACUGUCAGGAGAUUACGAAGAGAACAAAGGAAUUCAGAAAUUGCUUCAAGCAUGAAUAAUUUACAAGAUGCAGGAAAUUUGAAUCCUCACGGGCCCUUACAACCAGUGAACAUUCAAGAAGAGCAGAAUGACCAUGCUAACGGGAGACAGCCAGGCAAUAACAAUAUUAUUUACAUGGCUGAUGACAGAGACAGAGCUAUAAGAGACUAUGUUGUGCUAACUCCUCAAGUUAUAUAUCCUGGCAUCAUCAGACCUGAAGUAGACGCUGCCAAUUUUGAGUUGAAGCCAGUGAUGUUUCAAAUGUUGCAAACUGUUGGGCAUUUUAUUGGAUUACCAAAUGAAGAUCCUCAUCUCCAUCUUAAAUUGUUCUUGGAAGUAAGUGAUGCUUUCAAGAUUGCUGAAGCAACACAAGAUGCCUUAAGGCUGCGGCUUUUCCCUUAUUCCUUAAGAGAUCGAGCAAGAGUAUGGUUAAAUUCGUUACCAUCUGAUUCCAUCACUACAUGGAAUGAAUUGGCUGAUAAAUUCUUAAUGAAAUAUUUCCCACCGACAAAAAAAUGCGAAGUUGAGGAAUGAGAUUACUUCCUUCCAUCAACUUGAAGAUGAAAGUUUGUACGAGGCUUGGGAAAGAUUCAAGGAAUUGCUCAGAAGGUGUCCUCAUCAUGGUAUCCCUUGUUGCAUUCAAUUGGAAACUUUUUACAAUGGGUUGAAUCCAAGUACAAGGUUAAUGGUGGAUGCUUCAGCAAAUGGAGCUCUGUUAUCCAAAUCUUACACUGAAGCCUAUGAAAUUCUGGAAAGAAUUGCCAACAAUAAUUACCAGUGGCCUUCAGCCAGGCAACCAGCAGCAAGAGGAUCAGCAGGGGUACAUAACAUUGAAACAAUUACAGCUUUAUCAGCUCAAGUAACCUCAUUGACUAACAUGGUAAAAGCCAUGACAGCUGCUCCAGCAACAGUAAAGCAAGUUACUGAACUUUCUUGUGUCUACUGUGGUGAAGAACAUGAUUUUGAUAAUUGUCUUGGAAAUCCAGCCUCAGUAAACUAUGUGGGUAACUUCAAUCGACAACCUCAGAACAACCCAUAUUCAAAUACUUACAACCCAAGCUGGAAACAACACCCAAAUUUCUCAUGGAGCAGUCAAAAUCGAAAUGCUCCAGCAUUGAAUGGACUAAGUACAAACACACAACCACUUAGUUUUCAUUAGCAAAGUCAAGGGCAAAAGCAUAUUAGUCAGGAUCCAAUCACUUCACUAGAAACACUGAUUAAGGAGUAUAUUGCAAAGAAUGAAGCAAUUGUGCAAAGUCAAGCUGUAUCUUUAAGAAACCUUGAGAACCAAAUGGGACAACUAGCUACAGCAAUGAGCAGCAGAACUCAAGGAAGCCAACCUAGCAACACAGAAGACCCUAGGAGAGAGGGCAAAAAAGAAGUUACAACACCAGUAGUUACAACUUGCACAAAAUCAAACAAACAAAGUUUAAUAUCCCCUGAAGUUACCCAGCAGUUUAGACAUCCACCACCUUUCCUACAAAGGUUCCAGAAGCAAAAAUAAGACAAGCAGUUCAGCAAAUUCCUGGAAGUGCUGAAAUAAUUGCACAUAAACAUACAUUUUGUGGAAGAUUUGGAGCAAACGCCAAAUUAUGUUAAAUUUCUAAAAGAUAUCUUGGCACGAAAAAGAAGGCUGGGAGAGUUUGAAACUGUUGCUUUAACACAAGAAAGCAGUCAUAUGCUCCAGAGCAAAAUUCCCACAAAAUUGAAAGAUCCAGGGAGUUUUACAAUACCUUGUUCUAUAGGAACUAGAUAUGCUGGCAGAGCACUUUGUGACUUGGGAGCUAGUAUUAAUCUGAUGCCAUUAUCUGUAUUUAAGCAACUGGGAGUAAGGGAGUGCAGACCAACAACAGUCACUCUGCAAUUAGCUGACAGAUCUCAUGCAUACCCUGAAGGAAAGAUAGAGGAUGUAUUGGUGAAGGUUGACAAAUUCAUCUUUCCAGUGGAUUUCAUUGUGUUGGACUUUGAAGCCGACAAAGAGGUACCCAUUAUACUUGGAAGACCUUUUCUAGCAACUGGAAAAACUCUGAUAGAUGUGCAGAAAGGAGAGCUCACCAUGAGAGUGAAUGAUCAGCAAGUCACAUUUAAUGUGCUAGAGGCAAUGAGAAACCCUAGAAGAUUGUAAUUUCCUAAGUGUAGUGGAUCUUGUUGUAGCAGACAGAAUGGACAGAUGCUGCAGUAAUAUACUUGACAAAGUCACCACCUUUGAGGAUGUUGAAGAGGAAGAUGUUGCAGCAAUCCAAACAGAUUGGAUGGACAAACAACAAUCUGAUAGGUACAACAGGUUUAUUGAACACCUGAAUCUUUUAGACAUGGAAGUAAAAACAACUUUACCAUCUAUUGAAUCACCUCAUAAUUUUGAGUUAAAAUUGUUACCUUCACAUUUAAAGUAUGCUUAUCUUGGUCAAAACAACACACUCCCUGUAAUCAUUUCUUCUACUUUGGAUGCAGGUCAAGAACAUAGUUUAGUAGAUUUGCUGGGAAAAUACAGAAGAGCAAUUGGAUGGACCAUGGCAGAUAUAAGGGGGAUAAGCCCAUCCAUCUGUAUGCAUAAAAUCCUAUUAGAGGAUUGUUCCAGCAAUUCGGUGGAACACCAGAGAAGGCUGAAUCCUAUUAUGAAAGAAGUGGUGAAGAAGGAAAUCAUCAAAUGGCUAGAUGCUGGAAUCAUAUACCCAAUAUCAGACAGUUCAUGGGUAAGCCCAGUUCAGUGUGUUCCAAAGAAAAGAGGGAUAAUAGUAAUGGCUAAUGAGAAUAAUGAACUUAUUCCUACAAGGACAGUGACUGGAUGAAGAGUGUGUAUGGAUUACAAGAAGCUUAACAAAGCCACAAGGAAAGACCAUUUCCCACUUCCAUUCAUAGAUCAGAUGUUGGACAGACUUACUGGAAAACAGUACUACUGUUUCUUAGAUGGGUAUUCAGGCUACAACCAGAUUGCUAUAGUUCCAGAGGAUCAAGAGAAGACUACAUUUACUUGUCCUUAUGGAACAUUUGCCUUCAGAAGAAUGCCAUUUGGGCUAUGCAAUGCUCCAGCAACUUUUCAGAUAUGCAUGAUGUCUAUAUUUUCUAAUAUGGUAGAGCAAACUUUGGAAGUUUUCAUGGAUGACUUCUCAGUUUUUGGAGAAACAUACAAUGAUUGUUUACACAACUUGGAAGAAGUUCUUAAAAGAUGUGAGAUGACCAACUUAGUACUCAAUUGGGAAAAGUGCCAUUUCAUGGUGCAAGAAGGAAUAGUGCUGGGUCACAAGAUAUCCAAGGAUGGUAUUGAGGUAAACAAAGCCAAGUUAGAGGUAAUAGAUAAACUGCCACCUCCAACUUCAGCAAAGGGUGUUAGGAGUUUUUUGGGUCAUGCUGGAUUCUACAGAAGAUUCAUUAAGAAUUUCUCCAAUGUAGCUAAACCUCUGUGUUCAUUGCUGGAGCAUAACAAACCAUUUCACUUUGAUACAGAGUGCCUUAAGGCAUUUGGAGAAUUAAAGAAAGCUCUUAUCAUUGCUCCAGUAGUUAUAUCUCCAUAGUGGACUUUACCAUUUGAAUUGAUGUGUGAUGCUAGUGAUCAUUCUGUGGGGGCAGUAUUAGGGCAAAGAAAGGAUAAGGUUUUUCAUUCCAUAUACUAUGCAAGCAAAACGUUCACUCCAACUCAGAUCAAUUACACAACUACAGAGAAAGAGUUGCUAGUAGUAGUUUUACUUUUGACAAAUUCAGAGCUUACCUGGUGGGUACCAAAGUAACUGUUUACACAAACCAUGCAGCCAUCAAAUAUUUAAUUUCAAAGAAGGAUGCCAAACCAAGAUUAAUCAGAUGGAUCUUAUUGCUUCAAGAAUUUGAUCUGGAAAUUAAAGAUAGAAAGGGGACUAAGAAUCAAGUGGCAGACCACUUGUCACGGUUGGAAUCAGACACUAGUACAUUGACAAGGAAGGACAUCACCGAAACUUUUUCUGAUGAACAGUUGUUGGUAAUACAGCAAGCACAGAUGCUGCAGCAGUCAGAAUCUCCAUGGUAUGCAGACUUUGCUAACUACUUAGUAAGUGGGUUGCUACCACCUGAGCUGAAGUUUUAAGAGAAAAAUAAAUUUCUUCAUGAUGUUAGAAGUUAUCAGUGGGAUGACUCACAUUUAUAUAAGCUAUGCUCAGAUCAAGUAAUAAGAAGAUGUGUUGCAGCAGAAGAAAUACCUCAUAUACUGGAGUCAUGUCAUGCUGCAGCAUAUGGAGGAUAUUUUGGUGGUCACAGAGCAACUGCCAAAGUUAUGCAAUCAGGUUAUUAUUGGCCCACUAUCUUUAAAGAUGCUUAUGAAUUUGUUAAAUGUUGUGAUAUGUGUCAAAGGACAGGGAACAUAACUAGCAGACAUGAGAUGCCUUUGACUAACAUAUUGGAAGUGGAAGUUUUUUAUGUUUGGGAAAUAGAUUUCAUGGGACCUUUUCCCCCAUCCUUUGGGAACUUAUAUAUCAUUGUUGCUGUAGAUUAUGUCUCCAAGUGGGUAGAAGCUGCAGCAUUACCUACCAAUGAUGCUAAAACAGUGGUGACUUUUCUUCAAAAAAAUGUUUUCUCUAGGUUUGGCACUCCUAGAGCAAUUAUUAGUGAUGAAGGCACACAUUUUUGCAACAAAAUCUUUGCUGCAGCAAUGAUGAAAUAUGGAGUCAGACACAAGAUAGCAACAGCAUAUCACCCACAAUCCAAUGGUCAGGCUGAAGUGUCCAACAGAGAAAUUAAAAAGAUCUUAGAAAAAGUGGUGAACCCAAAAAGGAAGGAUUGGUCUUUACAUUUGCAUGACUCUCUAUGGGCCUACAGAACAACAUACAAAACUCCACUCGACAUGUCUCCUUACCGAAUUGUUUAUGGCAAAGCAUGUCAUUUGCCACUAGAGCUAGAGUACAAAGCCCAUUGGGCAUUAAAGAAAUUAAAUUAGGAUAUGCAUGCUGCAGCAGGGCAAAGGAAACUUCAACUUUGUGAGCUUGAUGAAUUACGGCUGUUUUCAUAUGACAAUGCAAGAAUCUAUAAAGAGAGAACAAAACACUGGCACGACAAGCAUAUUCAACACAGGAAAUUCACCCCUGGUCAAUUAGUGUUACUCCACAAUACAAGACUAAGAUUAUUUCCAGGAAAGCUCAAGUCAAGAUGGUCUGGCCCGUUUAAGUUGUUAAAAUCUUACCUUCAUGGAGCUGUUGAUCUUCUAGAUGAACAAACAGGCCACGAGUUCAAGGUUAAUGGACACAGGGUUAAGCAUUACAUACAUCCAGCAGCAGAAUGUUCAAAGGAGGUGUUACUCCUUAAAGAACCUAGCUAUUGAACAAAGAAGGAAGGUCAUGCUGAAGGACCUUAAAUCAAGCGCUUCAUGGGAGGCAGCCCAUUGAGGAGAUAGCCACUUCAAACCAAGUUUGAUAGCCUUUGGUUUUGUAGACAGCUUUCUCUCUUUGCCAUCUUAUUUAAUUUCUGUUUUUCUAUGAUUAGCCCUUAUUUUCAUCCAUUUACAUUAUUGCAUUCUUUACUUUCACUUUAAUUUGCUAUAUCUAUUUCUUUUAAUAAAUUUUAGACUUAAUGUUAGUAAGUGUGAUAAUUGAAUUUCAUAUUGACAAGUGAGAGUGAAUGGUGGCAGAAUUCAGAGGUGAAUCACGUGUUAGAAGCUUUUAGUGGGGAGUCUGUAUCCGUUGUUAGAAUAAGCGAAUGGGUGCUGCAGCAGCUAAUUUUACCGUUACAGUAAAUUAAAAGCUGGAGCCUUUCACUUACCGUUGGAGAUAAAAUCGUGACAGAUGGAUGCAUGGACAUGGAUAGAAAAUUGAGGAAACCAAUCUAUGAAAUUAAAGCUUUAAUUUCAUUGGCCGAUAAUUUUGGGGAUAUGGACAUUUAAUUCAAAUAUUUUAUUCCCUCAAUUAUCUCUCGUUACCGUAUUUAUCUUCAAAUUAAAGUCCAUUAUAAAAAAGAAUCACUGUGCUUAGUGCUCUACGCCACUAUUCCCCAUCUCCUUCGCAAAGACAACUCUAAAAACUCUUAAACUCUUUUUCUCUUUUUAUUCUCAGGAACAGUAGCUUCAAUUUGUUAUUGCUACAGCAAUGCCGAGAUACAAGAAAAUAGUCAGUCGCCUCAAAGAUCUAUCACGAUUCCAGAGUUACCACGCUGAAGAAAAAUAUGAAGAAUUCAUAGAGCCACGUCGGAUUCUGGAAGAAAAAAGGGUUUCAAUUCCCAGACCAACUCACGGGAAUUGUGCAAACCAUUCAUAAUGCUAUAGCAAAGCGAGGAUGGUUAGAGUUUUGCAACCACCCUCGCGAUCCUGUGUUGCCUGUAGUCAAAGAAUUUUACGCCAAUUUGGUGUUCGUCUUGACGCUAGAGAUGAACAUGUAAAAAAUGAUGGUGCCUGUACGGCACGUACCAUUGAGAGAGUUGCUGGUGAGAGUGCUGGAACAACCACUGAACCAGCUGCUAUCACUGGAGCAAGACGAGCCAUUGGUUUAGAACAGACUAUCCAGGUACUCAGCAAUAGUAUAACUCAAUGUGUGGAAGCUCAACAGAGGGAAAAUGGUCGAUUUUGGAGCUAUCUACAGCACUUGGAUAACCAACUACACCAAUUUGAUCUGUACAUGAAACGCACUCACUGGAACUUCCCUGAUGCACUGCUCCAGCAGUUCCAUUUUGCCAUAAACACCACAGGUGCUCCAGCAGCAGCCAGUGAAGAAGCCACUCCUUCAGAUGAACCAGCAGAGGACGCUGCCACUGAGCUACAAGCAGCAGUCGACUCAGAAGAGGCUGAACCGUCUGAUCCACCUGAGGACGAAGGUGACAAGUCUGAGACUGAUAGCUCACCCUCAGAGGCAGAGGAUAACUCAGAGAAAGAAAGUGAGGAACCAACCAUCCCAAGCUAGCCCAAAACUAGAAAAAAGCAUAUUAUUCAAGAAGAAGAAGAGGAAGACCUUGAAGAGGAGCUGCCUAUUCCAGUCUUUAAGGGUAAGAGGAAGGAUAAGGGUAAAGCAAAAUUGGCAACCCCUCCAGCCUCUGAAGAUGAAAUGGAGCAAGUCGAUGCUGAGUUGGCUGCUGCAGCAGCCAGAGCUAUGCCUACACCUGAGCAAGCCUAGCAACUACUUGCGGUUAUUGCUGCCAUCACCGCUGAGGGCCAGGCAGCUGAUGCAUUGACUCAAAAGCCUCCACAGCAAACUCCUGACCAGCCUAUCCGCACCAGUCCAAGACAAUCCAGCAAAUGAAAAGGCAGUACGUCUACAGGUACUGCUACAACAACCCCAGCCACCACUCCUCUCACCAGCCCCGCAGCGAAAAAGACAAAGACAUUGCCAGCCACUUCCCCAAAAGCUUCACCAAAGGAUAAGCUGCGCAGUGCGUCCAAGAAGCGCUGAUAGCAUCCUGUCAUGUGCUGCAGUCCCCACCACAGGGGAGUACUCUUUCCUUACUAGUGCAUUAAAAAAAAAAAAUUCAAUUUGUGUGUCAUUGUUAUGUUUGCUUGUGAGGACACAGCAACUCUCAAGUUUGGGGCGGGUUGUGUUCCCAAAUGCAUAUGUUUAUGUUUGUAUGCAUGUGUUUAUGUUUGUGUGGUGUGGAGCUCUAUUAUCUAAUAUUUGUGUAUGGAUUUGAAAGCCUAAUGAAGAUAAAUUGAGUGCUAUUCAAUAUAUAUAUGCCAAGUAGAGAUAGUUAUAGAUGAAAGUGAAAUUCUGUCCCGACACUUAGACUUUGGUUGAAUUGUACGAGACUGUUAGAGCAAAGCCAAAAGAAGAGAAAAGAUCUCAAGUUUGGGGGGGGGGGGUAGAAGCAAGUUUGAAUAACUGUGAUAUCUAUGGAAUACAAUUUGUUCCAAUGACUCAAGUUGCUGAGUAACCAUAUCUGAGUAUGUACCCCAUAUGCAGACUUGUGUUCAAAGGUAGCGAGAGUUAUGAGCAAUGCUGCACCAUAUAUAUAUAUAUAUAUAUAUAAAGAAAUCAUCUGUCUAAGGCAUUGAGUAGUUAGGUCUGUUCAUGAGCCCCAUGUUCAGCCUUGAGUAAAAGAUACUUCUAGAUAAGAUUACCUUACAAUUACUGGUGCAGCAACUCUAAUCUGGGCAUGGUUUGAUUAAUUGGGUGUCAUCAUUACAAUUGAUUGACAUUCACAUGAAAGAUAAAUGUUACAGUGAGGAGGUUAAAUAUUUCCUAGUUUGUCAAUCCUAAAAUAAUCACAGUUGAGUAUGUGAAAGUUAUGAUUACCCCAUUUAUGAAUGAAGUGUUCUCACUGUUGAAAUUCAUGCAAUCCCUUGGUGAUGCUAUAGCAUAUCUAGAAUUCAACCGAAAGAGCACACACACACACUAUGGACAGAAAGAAGCUUAAGUCUAGGACUAAUUUACUAUGGUCAUCUUGCUUGAUUGAGAAUAUGAUCUAAAGGUGGAAGAAUCCUUGCAAAGUUGAUAAAAGAGUUAAAUUUGUGUAAAGUGUUAGUAUGUGUCAUUACUUGAGGACAAGUAAUAGUUUAAGUUUGGGGGUGUGAUAACUCUAGGAAAUGAGAGUUAUUACAUCAAUUCUAGACUUGAAUCAAGGUCACUUAGAGAACAAAUAAGGUGUUUUUAUUACAUUUUGGGUACCUUUUGCAUAAACAUUCAUUUUAGUUGAGUUUAAUAAGUUUUGCUUGAAUCAUAGUAAUUUGUGCUAAAAACAGGUUUUAAAUUGUAGGUUUUAAAUUCGUGAGAGGAUGUUGAGGCAUUAGAAGAGCAAGAGGAGGAAGGAAGUUGGCCACAAAAGAAGUAAAGCACAAUCAGGAAUAAAACAGUGUUGUAGCAGCUGUUAGAGCAACCAGUGCUGUAGCAAUCUGGGAGCAAUGCGGGAGAAAACUUAGGCGCGAGUCAGCCACAAAAUCGUGAUCUGCAUGUUUCCUAAUUCAAGCAUAUGCACGCUCAUGGGCUUUGGUUUAACCUAAUUUACAAUAUAAAAAGGAGGCGUGCACCACAUAGAAAGGCGGCAAGGAAUUAUCAUAAAAAAUAAUUACGAAGGCAAGAAGAAGAAGAUCAAGAUUAAAGAGUGUUAUUCGGAAACAAAAGGAGAGAGUCGUGCAGAAUUAAUAGUUUCAGUUAAGAUAGAGCAGCAAAAGGGCAUGUCUUAGCGGACAUUAUUAGAGUAUUACUUGUUCUUAAGUCGAGUUUCCUGGAUUAGGUUAUCUUGAAUCCCAUAAGGGCAAUACUUGAAGUUAAGAUUUGUGACACUUUAGACAUAGGUGUUCACCUUGUAGGGUAGAGAGAUUAAAGGUUAUAAUGCCAUACCAUAAAUAUAUGAGCAACUGGUCAUUGUUAGUAGAUUUAAAGGUAUGAGAUUUCCAACAUGCGAUAGCUGCGGAUGCAGAUUUAUUCUACCCAUUGCUGCAGCACUUAUUGAAACAACUGGUGCUAAUUUGGUAAACAACAGUCACCCCAUUAGGAGAGUUUGAUCAUUCAACUACUAUAUUCUCAAUUGAAUCUUAGACACAUUUAACUUAGUUUACUUCAUUACAGUAUUGUUUUAUUUUCAUCUCUCAUAAUUAUUAGUUACAGUAGAAUUAUUCGAUAAUUGUUUAUUUCGGUCUUUAAUUGAUUUGCACUAUUGUGAUUGCUUUAGCAUUUUGAGUAACAUCAAUCCCCGUGGAGACGAUCUUGAAUAGUCAUCACUUUAUUACUUGUUGUGUAUACUUGCACAUUGGCAUUGAUAAUAAUUGCUUACAGAAAUUAACCAACAAUAUUCUUGGUGGUUGAUUUUGUUUUUUUAUACUAGCUUAUGAGAUCCUAUGCUUUAAAAUUCUUGUCUCUCGAAUGUUGAUUGAUUUAAAUUCUUGAGGUAUGCUUGCUUAAGAUUAUUUUUGGAUGAGUUGAGAUGAGAAUUGAGUGGAGAUUUGGGAUUAGUCUUGAGUUAUAUGCUUGAGGACAAGCAUUAUCUUGGUGUGGGGGAAUUUGUUAGAGUACAAUUUAUGCACUAGUUUUGCAUUGUUUACCUCCUUUAAUAUCGAUGUUUUGCACUUAAUAAUAGUGAUUUACUUGUGUUUUAUUUUUGUAGGUGCAAUUCGAUUGAUUGGUGCUAAAAUUGAGCUACAAGAUGAUGUUAGAGGAUGAUUGUUUUCCUGGAGAAAUUAUGAGCUUCAGAAGAACUUUGUUGAUAAGGCGUGGGCGCGUGCUGUCAACUAAGGACCUGCAGUUUUUAUUUUAACGUGUUUUGUCUCUUUGUUUAUUUUUGUAAUUUUGAAUUUAAUAUUUAGAUAAUAUUUUAGAUAUUAGUAUUUUAUUUUUGGAAAAACUCUAUAAGAGAAAGGAGACGUGAAAAACAAAGGAGGAUGAGAUUUUUAAAAAAAGAAAAAGAAACCCUAGAUCUAAAUUUUUCUCUUCUCUCUAUGAAGAACUAACCUAUUAUUCUGGUUGAAGGUUAAUAAAGCUUUGAUUCGUCAUUACUGGGAGAUCUUUCUUAUGCUUUAAUUGUUUUAUUACUUUUUGGGUAUUUGUUUAUUCUCUAAAUUAUGGUUAUGAUUAUGUUUGUUAAUUAGAUAAUUGGCCACUAUUUAAUUAUCAACUUAAUCUAUUGUCAAUUAAAAGAUUCAUCGUAUGAAGAUUUUAAUGUUUGUGACAAAUAGCAUAGCAAUGCGUUGUGUUAUGAGAAUAAACAAUCUAAUUUAAAUGAACCAUCGUAUGCGUUUGUUGAUUAGGAUUUGGGUCUCUUUGGUUUUUCAGGUUGUCAAUUGAUUAAACCCUAUGAUCGUAUCUAGGGUUGUCUAUUGAUUAGGGAAAUAACCAAUGGUCGUACCUUGGUUAUCGACUAGUUAAUGAGAGAUUAACUAUUAGAGGGUCUCAGUAGCUAUAAUCGGUCUAUUCAUAAGUAGUAAUGAUUUAUAUUUGAAUCAAUGAUCAGUAGUCGAAUCAAGCUGAGUUAAUUCCUUCAACUAGAGCUUUUCUCAAUUUGAAUUACACAUUUAAUUUGCAUUCUUGUUAUUUUAAUUUGAUUUUUAUUAUUGUCAAAAAUCCCCCCAUUUUGUAUUUUACAUUUUAAAAGGAUUCAAAUAAUUACCGAUCUCUGUGGACACGACCCUGCUCAAUCACUAUACACAAUUUAUUUAGAGUAGGUAUUUAGUUUUGCUGGCUUCGACAACCAUUAAUAUUAAAAAAUAAAUUUAUAUUUAUCAAGUAUAAAAAAUAAAUAGACAAACAAAAAUAAUAUGUUACCUAAAAUAAUGACAAUAUCAAUAUUUAACACUCUAUAAUUUAGUGAUGUGUUGUCCAACUGCCAUACAUUGGUCCCAAACAGAGCCUUAAAUAUCAAAGUCCAAAGUUAUUGUGAUGAUGACUUAUAAUCGCCAAACUUGACAUACGGGUAAUCAUGCAUUAUAAGGUGCUGAUUUCUUACUAUCAGAACCUUAUUUGUCAUCUAUAAAUAAAUAAAUGAUGUGACUUCACGGUUGGCGGGGUCCUUUGUAUCUCCUUUUGCAUCUACUUUUGUUGUUAACAUUACUUUCAAAAGCAGCUCGUUAUGUAUGCAACAUUUCAAAAUUAAUCUAAAAAAAACAAAAAUUAGUUCAGCUGACUAAAUUUGAAAGCAUGGAUUUGCUGUCGAUUAAAAACCGUUUUGUAGGGAAAAUUUUUGGAUUGCAAUUCUCAUAUAAUACAUAGAAUUAUCAUAAUUUAUAAAUUUUAUUUUCGCUUUUCUGUGGUAGUAAGUCAGACUCCUUAGUGACAAUUUAAUUUGAAAAAAUAAAAUCAUAAAUAAGAAUUAUUCGAUAAGAAUUAAAAUAAUUGAUAAAUAUUUGAGACGUGCAAUUUUGGAAGAUUCGAUUUCUAAUAGGAGGGGAAUUUAAAUUUUACAGCCUUUGGUGAGGAAUCCAAAAUGCACAAUUUGAUGAAAAUUAAAUUUCAAUAGAAAUUGAAUUCCCAUAUAUUAGUGAAAACCAAACAACAGAAAAGUGAAAUGAAUUUGAAUUUAUUUCCUUCCUCUCUUCUCCCUCCAACUAAAUACCAUUGAAAUCCAAAGGUAUGGGAUUUGUUUCGGAGUUUAAGAUUGAAAUUAAUCCCAAUUGUUGAUUUGGGACUAGAUAAGAAUUUAUCUUGGAACUCCAAUUCUCCCAAUUAUUUUAGUUGACAAUAUGUUUAACAUUAUUUUUUUAACAUUAUUAAUUGCAUAUUAUUUAAUUGUCAGUAUAUAAUAUUCUUUAAUUUUCUAAUUUAUAGGAUUAGACGCAAAAUUGAUUAUGGCUUUUGAAAUUUAAGUGUUAUGUCAAUUGAAUAGAAAACAUGGAGUAAAAAUUUUGGAUGCUUUUGUUGAUUAUCAAUUUAUGCAUGAAUUUUUGUACAUUUACUUUGGUUUAUUAUUAUUACUUUUAAACAUUUUUAUUAGUUUGGUUUAGGGUCAGUUUGGUAAUCCUGUAGCUUUUACAAUAAUUACAAUUAGCUAUGCUGUAGAAAUUGAUCAAUCGUGAGGAGAAUCAGCUGAACAUUUAGUAAAAUUUAUUUUUAAAAGUACUUUUAGUUUUAAAAACAGUCGUAUGUAUUUCUUAAAUCUUAUUGUUAAACUGGUGCAAGAAUAUAAAUGAUGAAUUGGACAUAAUGCGAAAUAAAAUUUAUUUACAAACAUGUAUAUAAAAUAUUUUUAUUAUGUACAUAUAAUUAUUGAUAACUAAAAUAAAUAUUUUAUAUUAUUAAAUUUUAUUCUCUAUUUUGUUAUCUCAAUAUAAUUGGUAAUAAUAAUAAUCUUUUUAAAGUUAAUGAUUUUAUUUCUUAAUUAAUAAAGAUAAUUUUGGAUUUUUAUUAUAUAAUGAGAAUAUAUAUAUAGAAUUGGAUUAAGUAUAGAAGUGAUUCUCAAAACCAGAUUUUGAAAAACUAUUCAUUCCCUACUUUUCAAAAUCUAAUGUAUGAUGAAAUGAUUUUGCCAAAACUAAUUACUAAAAAAAUUUAUAAAACACUAAGAAUUAACUUUUACUUUUUAAAAUCACUUUUAAGCUUCCCAAAAACAAUCCUAAGGGCCUUUAUUUGGGUGGUGUUGGAACUUGUAACUUUUGGAUCUUUUAGCUUUUAUUGGUUUGACACAACUGUUACACUAAAAAUUAAAUGCAUCUUAAACCCCAAACUUCUUCUUCUUCUUUUUUGAUUGCACAAAAUUAAAAACAAUAGUGAACACAUUCUUUAAUAAACAAUAAGUAAUAACUAAAAUUGCGUUAAAGAAUUUAGUUGAUAUAUAAAUUGAUUUCAAUGUUGUAUAUGCUAAAUUUCUUAAAAGUUUUCUUUCACAAUCUGCUGCAUAGUUUUAUUAGUAUUUUGAAUAAAUAAAAAUAAUUGAUUUAUAUUUUUUUAAAGAAACUUAUUAGGUUCAUGUAAAGAUGUUUUUUUUUUUAUUUUAAAAAAGUGUACAAAGUAAAACUUAAUUUUUUAAAUUUAUUAGAUGAGUGCAUAUAAUAUUUGAGUGUUCAUAGUAAUUUUUAAAGCAUAGAUAGUCGGGCCCUAAUAUUUUUAAUAUACGGAAAUUUUGCUAAUAUGUUAAUGAGAAUUAAAAUGAUAAUUAAGGGAGGCAUUCGAGACAGUCAGGAUAGUUAGGAUGGGACAUCAUUGUGAGCGGUUUGAGAUUGGUCCUAAUUUUGAUCACAAAUAUAUAAACUGGAUGAGUGUAUCCAUACUUACAUUCCAUUUGAUAAUUAAGAUAAAUGUGGAAUUGUCAAAUCCCAAAUCAUCCCAGACCAUUGCCACCAAAGGUACUCUCACUAAUAAUAUCUAAAGAAUAAUCUACAUCUAUUUCAUACUUUUUUUUUAACGGAAAGAGCCCUCAUGUGGCUUGAAAUGUUAUCCUAAAUAAUAUUCAGAAUAUCAUACCAUGAUUGGGUUUGUGACAAACAAAUAUUACAUAGUUGGAAUACGUAGUUACUAGUGUCCCAAUUUAUGCAGUAUCUAUCAUUUAGUGCACAUAUAAAGUAUUAAUCAGCUUAAUUAAUUUAUAAAAUUUAAAUCUAAUUAAUAAGUGACACAUAAAUGCCAAGUGCAAUAUAUGCAAAUCAUGUUUGUCGAUCAUUACAAAACUGGCUCUUGAAAACAAGCAAGAAAGCUUAAUUAAGAACUUAAAACAAAAAGAAUUAGAUCGAGAACAGUCAAGCCUUAUUUUUUCAAGGAUGGAGCUUAUAAAUCUUCAAGUACCAACAUAUGCUUGCCCCAGUUGUUGUUAUUAAAAUUUUAAUAUAUAUAUACACACACACACACACACACACACACAUAAAAAAGUAUGACAUAGCAAAAAUUUGAUGGUACAUAUGUCGGAAUAUACUAGUUCAUGGAUGCAUUUGAUUAUUGUUUCCAUAAAUUUGAACCAAGAAGGAUGACUCGAUAAAAAUUGAUUUUACGGUAUGGUUGAUUUCAAUCUCAUGCACUCAUUUCUUAAGAUAAUCAAAUUUUCUCUGGCAUCUUUUGCAACUGUGGAAAUAUCAAUUAUGAUCAAUCAAAAGGAUUUCAAAAACUUUCAACGAGACAUAUUUAUAAUACAAUAUUGUGAAAAUUACACCAAAAAUUUUAUUUAUUAUAUAUUAUUAUCCAACCAGCACACAAAAAUGAAUUCGUACAAAUCUAAAAUACUUAGCAAUUUUCAAAUAGAAUUUACCAUGUACUACAAGAAAAUAGGGUAUAUGUGACCCCUAAUGUGAAAAUAGGGUAUAUGUGACCCCUAAUAGAAUUUGUUGAACCUAGACCAGACUUAAUAUCCAAUCAAGAAUCUCCAGGAUCUAGCUGAACUCUCUAAUCAAGAUCUAAAGAAUGGUUAAUCAAUUCACAGAAAAGAAUCACCCAGAAACAGUAUGCAAAGAACAACAAAUAUAAGUGGUUCGGCUGAAAGAGCCUACAUCCACUGAAGAACAGACCAACAGCUUUUCACCAUUAACAAAGAACAAGUUACAAGUUUAGAGAUGAAGUUACAAGCAAUACAUUCCCUGAUUUUCCAGUCCUUAAGACUACUUAUACUAGCUUAAAGGCCCUCACAAAGACCCCCUGUCAACCAGCUGUAAUCUAGGUUUGUUAGCUAACAAACCCAGAAUUCUCCCGCCUAUUGUAACUGACUUUAACAGCUUCCAGGACACGUGUUGAAUUCUUACAAACAGCAAGCCCCAAAACGACAUUCUUUCAUGCCGUUCAGAGUAAGUGGAAGCACGUGACAUUUACGUGCUUCACUUAAAGCUUUGGGUGACGACCAAAGUUUGUCAUACAGGCUUGUAUCCUUUACAGCUGACAUGUCGUAUACCAACAUGACCACAAACUGACAUGACGGUUGAUCUUCUGGAAAUCAGUUUAAAGCUCAUACUUUAACAUUCUCCACCUUGAGCUUGAAACUCUCAUGACCUGCUCAUCUUCUCUCCCACCAUCUGUAUUUUAAUUAUCACAGAUGCCAGCCAAAUCCAAACAGAAUUUGAAUUUAGCCCCUGAAAUAGCUUUAGUUAACAUAUCUGCAACAUUGUCAUCUGUAUGGAUUUUCUGAAGCAUCACAGUUGCUUUUGAGACUUCCAGCCUGAUGAAGUGCACCUUAAUGUCAAUGUGUUUGGUUCUUUUAUGGUGAGUUUGAUUCUUACUUAGACAUAUAGCACUUUGGCUAUCACAAUGUAUCACCACAGACCUCUGAUUGACUCCAAGCUCCUUCAACAUACCCUUCAGCCAUAUUGCCUCUUUUAUGGCUUCAGCAUCUUUUAUGGCUUCAGCAGCAGCUGUGUACUUUGCUUCAGUUGUGGACAAAGCCACAACACUUUGUAGUUGUGAUUUCCAGUUUAUUGUGCAGUUGUUGAAUGUGAACAGAUACCCAGUUAGAGACCUUCUUCUAUCCAAGUCUCCUGCAUAAUCAGCAUCCACAUAUCCUACAAUUAAACUGUCAUCUCUUCUCUGUCCCCCAUAUAUCAGACCAUGCCCAGAAGUUCCCCUUAGAUACCUGAGUAUCCACUUUACAGCCUUCCAAUGUUCUUUUUCAGGAUUGGACAUAUACCUACUAACCACACUGACUGCAUGUGCUAUGUCAGGUCUGGUGAGUACCAUAGCAUACAUUAAGCAGCCUACAGAACUUGCAUAAGGAAUUUUCAUCAUUUUAGACUUGUCAGCAUUAGCUUUUGGGCACUGCUGCUCUGAUAAUCUGAAGUGGGCUGGUAAUGGUGUUUGCACUGGUUUGGCAGUAGCCAUGUCAAACUUAUCAAGUACUCUCCUGAUGUAUUCCUCAUGUGUAAGAAACAAGGUGCCAGAUUUCCAAUCUCUGAUUAGUUGCAUUCCAAGUAUUUUCUUAGUUGGUCCCAGAUCCUUCAUCUCAAAUUCACCUUUGAGUUGUUGUUUCAGAACUUUAUUUGUUCCAUGCUCUUACUAGCAAUAAGCAUGUCAUCCACAUAUAGAAUCAGAUAAACCAUUUCCCCUGAUAUCUCUUUGUAAUAAACACAGCAAUCUAGAUUACAUAUUUGAAAACAAAUUUUCAUCAUAAAGCUGUCAAACCUGAGAUACCAUUGUCUUGGAGACUGCUUGAGGCCAUAAAGUGAUUUCUUCAGAAGGCAUACCCAAUCACCAUUUGACUAGUCUUCAAAGCCUUCAGGUUGAGACAUUAUUAUUUGUUCUUCAAGCUCACCAUGUAAAAAUGCAGUCUUAACAUCCAUCUGUUCAAGAUGCAUGCUAUGAACUGCAACCAGUGCUAGGAUCAUUCUUAUUGAGGUAUGCCUAACUACAGGUGAGUAGACUUCUGUAAAAUCUAUCCCUUCCUUCUGUGUGUAGCCUUUGGCAACCAGCCUAGCCUUAUAUCUCAUGGAUUCAAUCCCUGGUAUACCCUGCUCGACCUUGUAAACCCAUUUGCAGCCUACUACCCUUUUGUUUUCUGGUCUUUUUACAAGCUCCCAAGAGUUAUUCUUGUGUAAUGACUCCAUUUCAUCCUUCAUAGCUUUUAUCCACUUGUCUGCAUCUUUUCCUGAAACAGCUUCUCUGAAGGUUUUAGGUUCAUCAUUGUCUAGUUCAUGGGCUGCUGUUAGAGCAUAUGCUAUCAAAUCUGGAUAUGCAAACCUCUUAGGUGUUUUGAUAAUUCUCCUUUGUCUGUCUCUUGCCAGCUGAUAGUCUUGAAUAUCUGUAUAAGUUCCAGAAGUUUCACUAAUAUCUUUAGUUUCUUCUCUCUCCAUGUCUUCAGCUUCAUCAUGGUAGUUCAGAGUUGAUUUACCUUUCAACUCCAUCUUCAAAUGUUGUCCCUGUGAGUCCACUCCUCCUUCUGGUUUAGCAGGAUCUUUUUUAUGUCUUUUCAUCAGCAUCUCUGACUCAUUGAAGACUACAUCUCGGCUAACUAUACACUUUGGUGGCCUCAUUUCAGUGCACCAGAGCUUAUAACCUUUGACACCUUCAGGAUACCCUAGGAAUACACAUUUCAGUGCUCUUGGCUCCAGCUUCCCUUGCUUGACAUGUGCAUAAUCUGGACAACUAAAAAUCUUUAGAUUUGUAUAAUUUGUUGUUCUUCCUGACCACAUCUCUACUGGUGUCUUGAAGUUUAAGGCACUGGAUGGGCUUCUAUUCACUAGAUAAUAUGUUGUCAUCAAAGUUUCAGCCCACAAUGUUUGAGGAAGCUUUGAAUGAAUCAGUAAACAUAUGACCUUAUCCAUCAAAGUCUUGUUCAUUCUUUCUGCUAACCCAUUUUGCUGUGGGGUGUAAUUCACUGUUUUGUGUCUUGCUAUGCCAUUGAGUUUAUAGAAAUCAUCAAACUGUUGAUUGCAGAAUUCAAGCCCAUUAUCAGUCCUCAGUCUCUUAAUCUUCCUACUACUCUGAGUUUCUACCAAUGCUUUCCAUUGUUUAAACCUCUCAAAGACUUCAUCCUUGCCUUUCAAGACAUAAACCCAUACCAUUCUCGAGUAAUCAUCUAUAAAGAAGAGAAAGUAUUUUGCUCCACCUAGAGAGACAGUAUGUGAUGGCCCCUACAGAUCUGAAUGGAUGUAAUCUAGGGUCCCUUUUGUGUUAUGCACUGCAGUUUUGAAACUAGUUCUUGAGGAUUUGCCUAGGACACAUACCUCACAGAACUCCAGAGACCCCAACUUAUCAUCCCCUAAGACUCCCUGUUUUUCUAAAAUUUUUAGCCCCUUCUCACUCAUAUGUCAUAACCUUAGAUGCCAUAUGAGAGUUUUAUCCAAACCCAGACUUGCUGAAAUACUGACAUCUCCAGUUACAGUAGUGCCUUGAAGCACAUAUAAGCCAUUUUGCUUAUUCCCUUUCAUUAUCACUAUAGACCCUCUAACAACCUUCAUUACUCCAGAUUCAACUUUAAUGGAGCAUCCAACCUGAUCUAGAGUGCCUAGAGAUAUUAAAUUCCUCUUUAAAUCAGGAAUAUGCCUUACCUCUCUUAGCUCCCUAAUCAUCCCAUCAAACAUCUUAAAUCUAAUGGUUCCUAACCCAACAACCUUACACAUUGUGUUAUUCCCCAUUAGAACCUCACCUCCAUUAAAAGAAUUAUAAGUAGUAAAAAGAUUUUGAUCAGGGCACAUGUGAUAUGAACAUCCAGAAUCAUGAAUCCACUUACUGUUUGUCUGAGUUUCAGAAGCCAAAAGUACACCAGCUGAGUCAUAGCCCUCAUCCUCGGAUGCAACAGCAGCAUCACCAUUAUUUCCAUGCCCUUCCUUACCCUUGUUCUUUCUGUCUGGACAGUCCCUCUUGAAAUUCCCUUCUUUAUGGUAGUGAAAGCAUUUCAUAUUUUUAUUCUUGGACUUUGACUUGUCUCUUUUCUUCCCUUUGUUGUAUUCUCUCUUUUCAGGUCUUCAUCUUGCCAUCAGACCUUCCCCAGCUUUUGUUUCUGACCUCUUUGUGACUUCUUUAUAACUGAGAGAAUCCUUUACAUCAGCCAUCGAUAUUGACUGCCUUCCAUAGAGCAGUGUAUCUACAAAGUGUUCAUAGGAUGGUGGGAGAGAUGAUAAUAAGAUUAUUGCCUUGUCUUCAUCCUCUAGACUCACAUUUAUAUCUUCAAGAUCCAGGAUGAUCCUGUUAAAGCUAUCAAUGUGAGUUGCCAAAGAACUUCCUUCCUCCAUUUGCAAAGUAUAUGGCCUCUUUUUGGUACAAAGUCUUUUGGUUAGAGACUUCUUGGUAUAUAGGUCUUCAAGCUUUUUCCAGAGGCCUGCAGCAGUAGUUUGAUCUCCCACUUCCCUAAGAACUCCAUCUCCCAGACUCAAGAUUAGAGUGUUAUGAUCUUUAUCCAAAGCAUCUAGCAUUUCUUCAUCAAAAAGCUUGCUGGGUUUCUUUUCAGAUCUUGGAUCACCCAAAGUAUCCUCCAGCCCCUGAUGAACCAACAGAGCUCUCAUCUUGAGCCGCCAUAGAUGGAAGUCAUUUUCUCCAGUGAAUUUUUCUACCUCAAACUUAGAGGUUCUCAUUUCUUGGAUCAAAGAUCAGAGAUAAGGCUCUGAUACCAAUUUGUUGAACCUAGACCAGACUUAAUAUCCAAUCAAGAAUCUCCAGGAUCUAGUUGAACUCUCUAAUCAAGAUCUAAAGAAUGGUUAAUCAAUUCACAGAAAAAAAUCACCCAGAAAUAGUAUGCAAAGAACAACAAAUAUAAGUGGUUCGGCUGAAAGAGCCUACAUCCACUGAAGAACAGAGCAACAGCUUUUCACCAUUAACAAAGAACAAGUUACAAGUUUAGAGACGAAGUUACAAGCAAUACAUUCCCUGAUUUUCCAGUCCUUAAGACUACUUAUACUAGCUUAAAGGCCCUCACAAAGACCCCCUGUCAACCAGCUGUAAUCUAGGUUUGUUAGCUAACAAACCCAGAAUUCUCCUGCCUAUUGUAACUGACUUUAACAGCUUCCAGGACACGUGUUGAAUUCUUACAAACAGCAAGCCCCAAAACGACAUUCUUUCAUGCCGUUCAGAGUAAGUGGAAGCACGUGACAUUUACGUGCUUCACUUAAAGCUUUGGCUGACGACCAAAGUUUAUCAUACAGGCUUGUAUCCUUUACAGCUGACAUGUCGUAUACCAACAUGACCACAAACUAACAUGACGGUUGAUCUUCUGGAAAUCAGUUGAAAGCUCAUACUUUAACAUAUAUCACUAACUUCUAACUUUGUAACCCCGAGUUGCUUUUGUUACCCUUUAUGUGACUGCCACACUGCUGUCACAUAUGUUAUUAACCACGUGACGGUAAAGAGCCGUUCGGUAUACUACUAUUUUACAAUUUUAAAUUUAUUUCCAGUUAGAAAACUAUUCGCUGGACUCCGUGUUACAUAUGCCACCAUCGUAAACCUAACUGGUUGCCGGCGAACGGCGUAAAACACCGGCCAUCUUCUUCUUCAUCGUAUUCUCCCUUCAUCUUUUGUUCGUAUUAUAGCCGUUAUUGUCAAUUUUUGUCCCGCCAGCAAUAUUUUUUUAUUCCUACAAGUUGAAGCACCCGUGCUCUUGUUCCAUUGAUGAGUUUGCUCACUCAAAUUAAUUUUGUUCUGUAGAAUUUACAAAGUUCAAAUGGAUUCAUUUGAAUUUAGCUUUAAUUAUGUAUGUCAAUUAUGUAUUUAGAUUAUGAAUUUAGCCGUUAUUGUCAAUUAUGUAUUUAGAUUUACUUUAAUUUUAUGCUUAAAGCUUCUACAUUGCUGAUUCUAUAUUAAUAAUGUUAUGUUCUAUUUUCAGAAAUUAUAAUACAAAAGUUUUUACAAUGUUGUGCAUCUACAAACUGAAUUGACUUGUAGAAUAAGAGCUUGGAGUAGUGUUAUGUUCUUGAAUAAAUGAAUGUUCAUAUUGUGUAAGAGCAUGUAGAUGUAAAGCAUCAUUACCAUAUCUACAAAGUGCUUUCAUUCUGUUCAGAUGCUCUUCUUGAACUUUGAAAGGUGCCUCGUUCAAGUCCUAGCUAUAACUACUAGUUUUGAUUAAUUAAGUUCCUGUACUAGCUGAAACAGAUUUAUUUAAUUAAUUAAUUGUGUAUGUACUAAUUAUAUUGAAAGUAUAUGAAUUUUUUUUUUAAAACAUGAAUGACUUCUAAAUGACUUAAAAACCUAAAGGAUGUGUGAAAUAAUGCUCAUUUCACUUGAAUGAACCCAUUAAUACUUUUAUGUCUAUGAUUGUCAAUAUUGGCUUAAGCAUUUCAGCUAAGUGGUUUACCUAACAGAGAAAAAAAUUUAAUAGAAAACUUCAGAGUUCUAACAGAAAUAUAGUUCACUAUGCAGAUAUAGUUAUUUUACGGUAUACAAAUCAAGUUGUCCUAAUCUCAAUGUCCUAUGACCGAUUUUAUUUUAUAUAGUCAUUAAUUUUUGCCAUGGUUUUUUGUGUUUAUGAGUAUGAAAUAGUGGGAUUUGGUGUACCUUAGCAUCUUUUGAAAAUUCUCUUUAUGUGUGGCCAACAGAAUAUAAUCAAGUUUCUUAAUCGUGUAUAUUAGUUUUGGGUAUGAAUGUUCCUAUUCUAGUUCUAGGCAAAGCUUCUUCAUUUUGGUCUUCAGAUUUCCAGUAGGUUAAGUUAAUCAACUAUCACAACUGACUAGCUAGUUAUUGUCUGCCUUGGCGCCAUUACCCAGGCCAUUAUAUUGCAUAGCAUAAGGAAUAGUGAUUAGGUGAUUAUUAGUGAUUUGUUGAGCUUAUUAUUGACCAAACAAACAUAUUCGCCUUUGCCCACAACUUAGUUUGAUUAGUUAUUAGACCUUAAAGAGCCUUGAUCUAUUCAUUGGCUUUAUUAUUUUUAUUUGGUUUUUCUUUCAACAAUAUUGUUGAUUUCUUAUAAAAAUAUUCAUUGGUUUUUAAACACCUAAUCAUUGGCUAUAUGAAGCUAAUUAAAACUGAGGCUUUGGAUCAAUUUCUUCUAACAGGAUACAAAUGAGCAUAACCUAUCUCCUCUAAGUAAAUUUUUUUAAUAUCCUUGAUUUGUAAGGAUCUGGAGGCCUGAAAUCCUCUAGAUUUUUUUUAACACUGUCAAUGUUCUUUUUAUUCUGAAAAGGAAAUAAAAGGUUUUAUCUUUCAUACCCUAAUAGUAAGCUGACCUUGUCUUACCCGAGGAUUUGCAAGAUUCAUAGUGCCCCCCCCCCCCCCCCCCCAAAAAAAAAAAAAACACAAAUAGGAAGAUUUUGCAAGAUUCACCACCAGGUUUUUUUUCAUUUAUUAAUUGUGUGUACGUACUAGUUAUAUGUUGAAAGAAUAGGAAGAAGUAUUUCAACAUGAAUGAAUGACUUAAAACUUAUUGCUCAGUAAACAUAAUCUGCAUCAGUGCGAAAAUGUAUUUAUCGGUUGUAUUUUUUAUGGUUUUGCUUAAGAAAUGAUAUGUGAAAUAAUGCUACAUUGUAUCAGGAAUAAAUUGAAGAGAUUUAUGAUAUUUAUGUGUUAUUCAAAUUUCAGAUUCAAUUUUAAAUACGUGCAUUGAAAGCUUAGACUUGUUUAAGAAAUUAUUAAUAGACACAUGUUUUAUUAGUGUCAUCUUUGGAUGAUAGUGAGGUUCAUAUGUCUAUUAAUAAUUCUUGAAUUGUCCAGGCUUGGGCAGUUUGGGAAUGCAUAGUUCUCUCUGGUAGCUAGUAGCUGAAGUUUUUUUCGCAAGUAAAAAUGGGUUUUUCGGUAGCUGCUCCUCGUGUUCUCUGGGUACGUACUAGGUGAAUGGGUGUCAUGUGUUGUUUUGGCAUAACGCAUAAACACUUAUAUAGCUAUGUUGUGUGCUUCGAGAAUUAUAGGGAGAUGGUGCCGAAAUUUUUAUAAACGUAGAAGAAAACUUUAGGUACUUGAGAUUGAAGAAACUUAUGCAUUCUUGAGUGGGAUAUGUAGGAUUACUUACCUUUUGUAAAUAUGAAGGGAAUGUUGGAUAUAUUGAGGAUAGUGUAGGAGCUGAGUUGGAUGAAUGUAAUUGGUCAUGAUUUUGCUGAGCUGACCUUGGUUUUGAGCUUGUAAUUUUGUUUGUAAAUGGAGUGCUAUCUCCAAUGUUGGUUUAUAAAAAUGUUUCAGGACUUGCUGACCUAAUUUUUUUUUUCCUAGGUUACAGGCUUUAUAUAUCUGUAAUUGAUAGCCAAGUGAAGUUCUCAGCACUUGGCGAGGAUAUUUCUUUACAGAAGGUAUUGGAAACUGUUUUUUACAUUAAUUAUUGUUGUAUAUAUACUUUGAUUUUCACAUCUUUUUCUCUGAUUCUUGUGGCUUUGCUUGCUUUCAUAUAUGUAAAUUCUAAUGAAAUUAACCAUAAAAUUGUAAAAUGAUCUUUUUAUUAUAUUGCAAAACCGUGCACACACGAAAAUAUCUUGUUUAGUAGUAGAAAUGAAGAACUAAAAUGAUUUACUUAACUAAUUUUUGUAGCGCAUUAAAAGGAGAUAGUCAUGGACAAGUGUUGGGCUGGUUUGCCAAAUAGAUAUCCAAGUCAUAUACUGAUGGGGUUGAAAAUUUUAUAGAUUUUGCAUUUGAGAAUGUUGUUGAUGAUGAUAUGAUUGGAAUGAUACACUGCAUCACGUAAUCAAAUGUUCAAGUUACACGCAGCAUUGUUAUGGAUUAUCAGUCACUUUCUAGUAUUGCCAACUUGUCUGGGUGGAGUAUUAAAGGUAAAUAAGCAUGUCUUGUUUGCCAACAAAACACUAGAUCUAAUUGGUUGAUACAUAGUAGAAAAUUUUGUCACGUGGGUCACCGUCGAUUUUUACCAACAAAUCAUAGGUUUCGAAAAUAUAGUUUCUUUUGAUAAAACUAGAGAGUAGGGACAAGCACCUUCUUGGUUGUCUGGAACUGAAGUGAAAAAGCAGUUUAAUAUACUUACUGAGUAUAAGAUUGAAGACUUGAAAAGAGAAAUGAUAAGAUUACUUGGAAGAAGAACAGCAUUUUUUUAUGAACUACCGUAUUCAUCAUGAUCUUGUUGUCAUGCACUGCUUUGAUUUUUGUUAUGAACUCAGAUCAAAAGUUUAAUGUGAUCAAAAUUUCUUAAAAAUAGUGAAAACGACUCCUCCUAAUAAUAUGGAAGAUGGCUAUAAAAGAUAAAAGGAAAGGCUUAAAAAGAAAAGCCAUGCCUGUCAAAAAAAAAUAAAAAAAUUGGCAGCGUCAAAUUUAUAACAAAAAUCAAAACGGUUUUGAGAGUGUAUUAAAAUACAUUUAGAGUGGGAGCUGUGUUGUUUUUUGAAGGUAGAAUGAUUGUGAGAUAUUUGUCGACGAAGCCAAAACCAAAGAUGAAGCCCAUAGAGCUCAAAACUCCACCGGAGCAAAUUCAGACAAUUACGAGGGUUAUGUUUGACAUAGUCAAGGAACACAGUCCUCUCACCGUUGCCGAAACUUGGGAAUGCGUCAAGGUGUGUGUAUCUGUUAAAUUGAAUUUCAACCCGUUUGAUCUGUAAUUAUAAUUAAUCCAAUCGAUCUGACAGUGAUCACUAGUAGUUGUUUUACAUUUUCAGCAAGCUGGAGCGAGUGGAUUGACGGCCAAAAGCCACAUGAAGAUUGUGUUGAGAUGGAUGAGGGACAGACAAAAGCUCAGGUUCGUCUGCAAUCACGUGGGCCCUCAUAAGCAAAUCCUGUACACAACUUGGUUCACCAAACCCGACAACUUGAAGCAGCCAAAAUCAGGGAAUGAUGCUUCUAUGUCACAACCCUAGAAAUUUCAAACACGGUGAAGAUGAAGUAAAGCAUAAGUAGAACAAUGAAGAUGGUAGCCCCUCAGCAUGUAAACUUUUCAACAGUAACACAGCUCUUAUUCCAGAGGCUGCACAGAAGAGCGACCUGAGUCCCCUUCAAAACUUUCAAAUUUUUAUCAAGUAAAGCUUUCAAAUUUCUCAACAAAUUGAUUAUUUGUGUGGUUGCCACAUUUUGUGCAACUGCCAUUCGUGUUCAAGUUCAAAUUCCUUGCCUAGUAAGUUAGGGAAGAGAGAUGUGAAGCAAACAGGGAAACAGAACAAACCGGCCAAAUUUAAAAUGACAGAACAGUAAUGAUGGCAAUUAACAAACUAAUAGCAAUAUUACAUUUGAUUCUUUAGCCCAAUUGUUCCUUCUGUCAGCAUUCUUCAAAAGUUUUUGAAAAUUAGAUGUGAAGCAAACAAAAUAAAACAAAUUUAGACAACAGAAGCCCUGUAUUCAGCAUCAUAUAUAUACCUUGAAUACCUAAUAUAAUAAAUUUCACAUCUAAAAUACUAGAAAUUUCAAACAGUACCAGCAAUAGAAUAAUGACAACGACAACAAUAACAGAAAAUUACAAGAUUGCUGAUAAAAUUUCAUUUGCAUGGAUGUAUAACAAAAAUUCUGUGAUUUAAUGUGCGUUCAUGCAUGCAAGUCCUAACGUUCCUGUGAUCACAAAAUGAAACUGAAGAUAAAUCAGAACAACUACCAAACCUCUGACUGAAAGUUCAAAAGAAUUUAUAUUCAAAAUGUCAAAAUAUACUGGAAAUUUAUUGCACAUAUUACAAGAAGCAGUACACACCAAUGGUAAAUUGAUACAUCGUUUUUGAACUUAACAAAGUCAAAUGAAAGAAACACGACGGAGGGUUAAUGUAAAAGUGAAUACCCUCAGCAUGUAAACUUAACUUCAAAGGACGGAGCACAAGUUUCACAGAAAAGUAGCUCUUAUUCCUGAUGCUGCAAACACACAGGAGUGACCUCAAUCUUCUUCAUAACUUGGGAAUUCUGCAAUUAUAGAGCACGACAUUGAGCAUGAACUAGAAAAAAUAUUUAUUUUGUACAAUUUUCAUAUAACUUGACUAACCAAGAUUAAUUUCGUGGUAAUGUAUUGAGUCAUUAAUUCAUAUGUUUUUAAAUAUUUUUAAAAAACUAAUUUCUCAAUUUGAAAUGGCCCAUAAAAAUUAUUCUCAUAUAAAAACUAAAUUUGACAGACCCCUCGAUUAAAGCAGGGGAAAAGGCUUUCCACAUGAAAAUGUUGUUUGUCACUUUGAAUGAUAUUUUGAAGGGAUUUCAUUCUAAAAAUAAAAUACCUGGGACCUCAUUCUUCAAAAUUGACAACUCGCCAGGUAUUAAAAGCGUAUGAGAUCAGUACUGCGACGAGUAAGAAGACGACCCCUCCAACAGCUGAAAACAAAAUUCGCAUUCAUCAAUUUAAAUUAAAAUUCAUAUUAUGAAACUAAAACUAAUGAUUAGUGAAUUUUCGAGGAAUUUAAUAAGAUUCUCAGAUAUAAACGUGAUAACAAAUUCACUCAUCAAUAACAAAUAAUCUAACAGUUAUCCGUACCUUUUCUUGAUGUAAUUGUUGUAUGGUUGUGUUAAGGUCAUUAUUAGACCAACGCAGGUUGUCCUCUCUCUGCCCGUACCGGACGUUUACUCUGACAUGGGUACUUAAUUCUCCUGAAGUGAAAAUCUUCAUCUUGGGACAACCAAUCACAGCAAGAUAUUCCAAAGAUGGGAAUUUGAAGGCGUAAUUGCCAGAGGAGAAGCUUGUGAGACUAUCUAAAUCAAACAGGGACAACGUAGUCAGUUUGCUGAAAACAAUCUCUUCUUUUAAAUUUGCUGUUUCAUCUUCGUCACUUAUUACGACUUCUGUGAUUGCUCUGCAUCCAAAUACACCCAAUGAUACGAGUCGCUCUAGACUUUUUGCUGUGGAGGAUGUUAGUAAGUUCAUCAAUUUCUUGCAAGCACAAGCUUGCAGGCGUGUGAGAUUCUGAAAAGAUACCGAUGAUGAUGGCAAUAGACUUAACAGAUUUUGACAGUAAUAUGCUCUUAGAAUUUCAAGAUGUUGAAAAAUCAAGUCCGGCUGUUUGGAAUCGUGUUUCCACAGUUGCUGCAGAUGAUUAAGUCUGGUCAGGUGUAACAUUUUUAUCAGUGCCAGCUUCCUCGCAUGUGUCUCCAAAUAUCCUUCAUUUGAAAAUACCACUUCGUACGAACAAUCCGACAGGUGGAGAAAUUCCAGAUUGUGAAACCUCUCAAGUAAACCAAGUGGAAAGCAAGCUAAGUCAUCAUCCCCAACCUGUAGUCGUUUGAGACUGCCAAAGAGGUGUUGUGGGAAAUCGCCUUGCAAAAUCAUCGUGAUGUCUUUUCCACUUAAUGCCAGUUCCUCCAAGUUGGGUAAGAUCUGAUCAUCAUCAAGCACAAAUUAUUAACUUAGCACAUUGAUCCCUAAUUCGAGACUGGCAAAAUUCAUUGUUAUAUACACACACAUAUAUAUAUAGUAUUUAUUAAAAUUUCUGGUCUGUGAGUAAGAAACAACAAAGACAACUGACAAAAAAUCUAAAAGUUGGUUUCAUACCUUCUUGAACGAGAAUAGGGGCUGUUGUGCCGGAACACCAAAUUGAUCAUUCUCGUUAUUCUGGGAUAACGUCAUUUUAUCACAAUUACACGCCUCCAAUAUUUUUAGUGCUGGCCAUUCCGAUGUAUGCAUUCCAGGGUAUAAACAUCUAAGUUCUGGUAGACCUUCGAGUUUCAGAGUGGUCACCCGUGGAAAGACAAAAUAAGCGGUCACUUGAUCUGUUCUGUUUUCAGAAAUGAUUUCUUGUAAACUCUUACAUAACCGUAUCUCCAGGUGUUGGAGUUGCUCAAGGCUUUGGAUCGUAGAAGCUGAAAAUAUGUAUUUUAAUUUGUCACAGCCCCACACUAUCAAUCGUGUCAAACUUCGAAGGCAAGGAACCAUGGCCGGAAGUUGAUUGUAAUGCCAAAUCUCGUCGACAUUAAUAGCAUUCAGCUCCAAAGCCUCCAAAUUUGGCAACACUACCUAAAGAUAAUUUUGUCGUUAGAUCCAAUAUCCAUAUAAGAAGUGCUUAUUGAGAGCUUAAUUAGUGAGUGUAUGAGAUUUUUUUUUUUUGCAUUUUCUUUUUCUAAAUGAUUUAAUUUUUUUUCACUUAUGGCAUCAAAUGCAAGUUCAUGAUAGAAUAAAAAAAAAAAUGCAAUAUCCAUAUGAAAAGGACUUGUGUGGUCCAGUUUGGGAUUAUGGAUGCUGAUUAAAUAAGUUGCUCCUGCUGUACGGAUGCAAUAAGUAGUUGAUUAAAAAAGCAGUUAGCUGUUUGGUAAACUGUGUUGUUGCAGUUGCUGUGAGUUUGAAAAGCAAUGUACAUGCGUUUGGUAAAUUUUAUUACAAACGUGUUAUUUUAUCAUAUAAUGACCAAAAUAUAUAUAAGUUUAAAUUUCCGUUUAUUUUUUUUAAGCAUGUUUAAUAAUCUUUAGAUAUGUCAUUUUCUUUUUAAAAUACGUAAAAUUAUAUUAAGUGAAAAAACUUAAUAAUUUGUUACAUAAAAUAUGAUAAAAAUUUAUACUAGUAUAUGAUCCAAAUAAAAUAAAAAAAGUAAUAUGCAUUACUUUCACAUUAAACUUGUUGCAAUAAACACCAUGACUAUAGAAAAUAUAAAUAGAUUGAAUGUUAAAAGCUAUGGUUAUAAAAUUGAUUUUAAAAGUUAUGAUUAAUUUUCAUGUGAAAUUGUUUAUAGUUCAAAAAAAAUUUACAUAAUUACAUGCAAGUCUUUUUUAAUCUUAUUAUAGAAAAUACAAGUAUAAUAUAAAAAAUAUGAACUUACUAAAUCAAAACUUUGAUAUUAGAGAGAAUAUAUAGUAGUUGUGGUGGUAAUAUGAUAUCUAAUAACUUAUAUAUUAGAGUGUAUGGAAAUAUAUGACAUAAUUAUUUUUGUUAAAAUAUUAAUUAAGGUUAUAAUAGAAACUUUAAAAAGAUGUGAUAGCUUAUUUAAUAAGCUGCUUAUGAAAAGUAACUCCCUAUCUGCUUUUAAAAGUUAAUGUCAAAAUAGAGAAAAUUAUAAAAUAAACAGUUUUUACAAAAUUUAACAAAUACUAUUUUUGUCACAGAUUAUGAAAUAGACAGUUUAUUGAGUUUUAACCUCAAUUCCAAACAGGGGCCACAAUAUCCACAUGACAAGCACUUAUUGAGAGCUUAAUUUGUGAAUAUAUGAGAUUUUUUUUUCUUUUUCUAAAUGAUUUAAUUUUUUUGCACAUAUGGCAUCAAAUGCGAGUGCAUGAUAGAAUAAAGGAAAAAAAAAAAAAAAGAAUGCAUUACCCUACGCACCUUCUCGUUGAAAAGCAGAGUUGAAGUAUCCGAACUGAUCUCGUUGGAACUAGCUAUCAAUUCCUCUUGCGACUCUUGUCUGUUUGGUGAUGUGGAAGGAGUCUUCACUUCACGGCAAAACCUUGUAACCUUUGGAAGCGUUCCCAGACUCAAAGAUCUUAGUUGACCAAACUCUAUCGUCUCAUCAACAUCGACAUCAGCUUCUCCUCCAGUUGCAAAAAUCUCUUCCAUGCUGCUGCAAUUGAGAACUGCAAUCCUCUCAAGUCUUGGAAGGCAUUUUGUACUACUAGAGAGCCAGAAGAUAUUACUCAUCUCAUCACAAUUUUCCACUUUUAUGGUUUGGAGUUCAUUGAAGGACUCUAUUGUGAGUCGAUCAAUACAUAUCCUCUCCAUAUUGAUCAAAUUGUGAAGAGUAAGGGACUCCAAAAGAGGAAAGGCGACACAAGGUUCUCUCUCCAUUGAAUCGGCAAUACACAGGAAGUCUGGAUUAUUUUGAACAUGGAGAUGCUUCAAUUGUGAAAAGCCCUCAGUGUCCAAUUCGAAAACAACAUUCUUGAUUCCUUGCAACUUAUCUAAACAUAAGUAUUCAACGUUAUUGAUGCCCUGCAACUUCUCGGAGCAAAUGGCCAUAGAAUCAAGCUUGAGCUUCAAUGUUCUUAAACUCUCAUGAUUACUGAUUGUUAGAGCAGCUCAUUAUGCUGAACAGAAGAAGGUGAAGACUAAGAUGAAGAAAAUACAGAGCAAGUUACAGGGCAAGUGUGUCAGCAGUGCCAGCUCAGCUAACAGCUCAGCAGAUUAGUUAAAGAUGGUUGUAAGCAUGAUGUGCAUUGUACUGAAGUUAGUUAGCUUUGAUUACAGUUAGUCUUUGGAUUAGUUAAAUGAAGUUACCGUGAUUGCAUUGUAUAUAAACAGGUGAUGCUUUGUAAUCAAAAGUUAAGCAAAAUAAAAAUCAAAGUUUGUUAAGGAAAUAUCUCCAGAAUUAUCAAUUCAUUUUCUUAGUAACCAAACAACUUUAUUUCAUUUUUCUUUCAUGGUAUCAGAGCAAGGUUAAUGGCUAGUUCCAGUAGCACAACAUCAAAUCCAAAUCAAAUGAAUAUAAAUCAAUCAUCACAUAUCUCCUUUUCGUUCAGCACUCCAGUCAAAUUGGAUCGAUCAAAUUUCAUGAUUUGGCGAAAGCAAGUUCUUACUACAAUAAGAGGAAAUCGUCUUGAAGAUUUUAUUUCUGGAAAUCAAAUCAUACCAGAACAAUACAUUUCUAAUACAGUAGCUGAUGGAUCAGUACAGAGAAUCACGAAUCCAGCUUACAUCAACUGGCGAGCUCAGGAUCAAACUUUGCUUGGCUGGAUUUUGUCAUCCAUAAGUGAAGGUAUCUUAAAUACUGUUCUUAAUUGCGAAAAUUCAUUUGAAGCAUGGAGAUCAAUUGAAAAACAAUUUGGAGUACAAUCUGAGGCUAGAGUAUUGCAAUUGAGGUAUGAAAUGAAUGUCCUUAGAAAAGAGAAUAUGUCUGUUGAGGAGUACUGUUUAAAAGUAAAAGCUGUUGCUGAUAAGCUUGCUUGUGCUGGUAGCCCUGUGUCUGAGAAAGAUCUGCUAAUGCAAAUUUUGAAUGGCCUAGGACCUGGAUUUCUAGAUCUUGCUUCAAUAAUUACUGCUAAUAGAAUGUCGUAUGAUGAUGCUUAUGCAUUACUCUUAACACAUGAGGCAAGAAUGGAACAAAAUCAUAAUACUAAAGAUCUUUUUAGUGCAAACUAUGGGAUGAUGAAUGCUAACUACUCUCAGUUUAGAGGAAAUAAUAAGAGAGGUGGUUAUAGUGGAUAUCAAGGGCAAUUUAAUGCUGGAAAUAGGAAUCAAAAUGGAGGAAGAGGAAUGUUUUUCAAUUCAUUCUCAAGAGGUUUUCCAGCUGGUGGAUAUACUGGUAAUGCUGGUGGCAGAGGACAGCAAAUGAAUGCAUAUGCUUAUAAACCUGUGCUUAACAACAGGCAUAAUUUCAAUAUGAAUCAUGGCUCAACUUCAAUGUCCAAUGGAAAUGGAUCUGAUGAUAAUGUGCUUAUCUGUCAAAUCUGUCAUAAAGCUGGACAUGCAGCUGAUGUUUGUUGGCACAGACACUUUGAUGGCUAUGCUCCUCAACCCAGACAAUUUGGAAGGGGCAGAGGGCAUAAGUCUGCUUAUAUGGCUAACUUUGAUCCACAAAUUGGCUUUACUUCACAAUUUGAAGAUUCGUUUGCUACAGAAUAUCCUGGUUAUCAUGGGUACCAUCCACCUGAUAUGAAUGCAUCAGUUGCAUCAGUAAGUCAUCACUCAUCUGAUAUGCAUUCUGUACCUGGAGCAGCUUAUAUUGCAAAUUUUGAAGGACCAGCUGAUGAAGGGUGGUAUCUUGAUAGUGGAGCUACGCAUCACAUCACUAACAACAUGGCCAAUAUGCAUAUCAGAGAUCAAUUCAGUGGAGCAGAUCAGCUCAUUAUUGGAAAUGGACAAGGUUUGCCCAUAACUCAUGUUGGUGAUGCAUCCUUUCUCUUUAAAAGUUCCAAUUCUACACACAAACACUCACCUAUAGUACUUAAAGAUAUUCUGUUGGUGCCUUCCAUUACCAAAAAUUUGUUAAGUAUCUCGAAGCUUACCACUGAUAACAACUUGUCUGUUGAAUUUCUUGGAAAUGUUUGUUUUGUGAAGGAUUCUCUGAGGGGACAGGUACUUCUGCAGGGUCUUGCUGAGAAAGGGUUAUACAGGCUGUUAUUGAAAUCAUCAUCAUCCUCUCAGUUAUCAUCAUCUUUUCUUUCUCACAUGUGUUCCAAUAAACCUUUGUCUAUGCUUUCUUGUUGUUGUUUCAAUUCUGUUCCUUCUGGAGUUGUUACAGAAUCUCAGAAAUCAUGUAAUCAAACUGAUGAUUCAUCUUGUAAAACUUCAGUUAAUAAAGCUAUUUUGCUUCAUAGAAAGUUUGGUCAUCCCAAUCAUCAAAUAUUAACUCAUAUACUCAAAACAGCAAAAUCUAUUCAUUUACCUGCAUAUCAAAAGCAACAAAUGCAUCAGCACAUCUGUGAGGCCUGUCAAAUGGGCAAAACACAUAAACUUCAUUUUCCUAUUACUGAAACCAAAACCUCCAAAACUCUAGAACUUAUACACACUGAUUUAUGGGGUCCUUCUCCCAUUAUUUCUAGAGAUGGUUAUCAGUAUUAUAUAAGUUUUGUAGAUGACUACAGCAGGUAUACAUGGAUUUAUCAUUUGAAGCUAAAGUCUGAGGCAUUAGAAGUCUUUAAGCUCUUUAAACUGCAGGUUGAAAAUCAGUUUAGCACAACCAUUAAGAUGAUGCAAUCUGAUUGGUGGGGAGAGUAUAGACCAUUCACUGAGUUUUUAAGCCAAUUUGGUAUCAUCUUUAGACAUCCUUGUCCUUAUACUCAUCAUCAAAAUGGGUUAGUUGAAAGGAAGCAUAGACAUAUUGUUGAAUUGGGUCUGACUCUCUUAGCUCAAGCUCAACUUCCCUUUAAGUUCUGGUGGGAUGCAUUUCAUACUGCUGUAUAUCACAUCAACAGACUUCCAUCUCCUGUUUUGCACCUUUUAACCCCAUAUGAAAAGACAUUCAAACACAAACCUGAUUAUGAUUUUCUCAGAUGUUUUGGGUGUUCUUGUUAUCCUUACUUGAGAGAUUACAAUAAACAUAAAUUUGCCUACCAUUCUAGUAAGUGCAUAUUCAUUGGUUACAGUCCUUCACAUAAGGGCUACAAAUGUUUACACCCUUCAGGUCGAGUCUAUGUGGCAAGACAUGUUACCUUUGAUGAAUCAGUUUUUCCUUAUGCCACUGAGUUUGUUUUUCAUAGUCAUGCUAAAACUGAUUCUCAAAUUUCUCAUUCCCAUACACCACAGCAAAUCCAUCAUAUCUCUUCUUUGCCUGUCAAUAACAGCACUGGUAAUCUGAACUCUGUAAGAUCUGGAAGCAGCAGUUCAAGUCACUCAGAUCAUCUAGAACAGACAGCAACUGAUCAGAAUUCACAACAAGCUACCAUAAAUGACAGGUCACCUUUUCAUACAUGUCCAACAAUUGUUGAAUCUAUACAAAAUAUUCCAGAACCUCCACAUCACUCUUUGCCUAUACAAAGUCACCAUCCUAGCAACACCUCUUUCUAUCCAUAUACACAACCAAAUACACAUCAGAUGAUAACCAGAAGUAAAGCAGGGAUUUUCAAACCCAAAAUUUAUACUGCUGUGCUUACUCACAAGGAACCAGAUACUGUGCAAGAAGCAUUAAAUGAUUCAAAGUGGCUACAAGCUAUGAGGGAGGAAUAUGAUGCCUUGAUUAAGAAUAAUACAUGGACAUUGGUUCCAAGACAAGCUGAUCAGCAUGUGGUUGGAAAUAAAUGGGUGUAUAGAAUCAAAUAUAAUACAGAUGGAAGUAUAGCUAAGUAUAAAGCUAGACUUGUUGCAAAGGGUUUUCAGCAAGUGGCAGGGAUUAACUAUUUUGAGACAUUUAGUCCAGUUGUGAAGUCAGCUACAGUUAGAGUAAUACUUAGCUUGGCAGUGAUGAAUCAGUGGAGAAUAAGGCAAGUGGAUGUCAAUAAUGCCUUUUUGAAUGGAGAGCUAACAGAAGAAGUUUUCAUGUCUCAACCUGAUGGCUUUAUUGAUGCUCAGAGAUCUGAUUUUGUAUGCAAAUUACACAAGUCUCUGUAUGGGCUCAAGCAAGCUCCUAGAGCCUGGUAUGACAAGCUUAAAGGAUGCUUAAUAAGCUGGGGUUUCACUACUACUAGUUCUGACACCUCAUUGUUUGUUAGGAAGAUCAAGACAUCUAUGAUCAUAGUUCUUAUAUAUGUUGAUGACAUACUGAUCACAGGUCCAAACACUGAGGAGCUGGAAGGUUUCAUAACUGAAUUCAGCAAAACUUUUGCUCUAAAGGAUCUGGGAGUGUUAUCUUAUUUCCUUGGAAUUGAGGUAUUAUAUGAUGCAGAUUGUAUGUACUUGUCACAGAGAAAGUAUAUCAGAGAUUUGUUAUCGAAGGUAGAAAUGACUGAAUGUAAGGGCAUUGAUACACCCAUGAGUACUGGCUCUAAACUGCAAAAGAUAGUUCAGGGGGAACUUGGAUACUAUCUUGAAGAUCCAACUCAUUAUAGAAGCAUAGUUGGAGGAAUGCAGUACCUGAUACUUACCAGACCUGAGAUUGCGUUUGCUGUAAACAAGCUCAGUCAGUAUGUAGCUGCACCAACACUACAACAUCUAAUGGCAUGCAAGAGAGUUCUAAGAUAUCUGAAGGCAACUCAAGAUUAUGGUUUAAAAUUUUUCAGAGAAGGAAGCUUAACACUCACUAGUUUUACUGAUGCAGAUUGGGCAUGUGACUUAGAUGAUAGGAAAUCAGUUGGUGCUUAUUGCAUUUAUUUAGGCAAUAAUUUGAUAUCCUGGUCUUCUAAGAAACAAUCAGUGAUAACCAGAUCAAGUGCCGAGAGUGAGUAUAGAGCUUUGGCAUCAGUGAGUGCAGAGCUGACAUGGUUACAAUCCUUAUUUUCUGAGUUGGGAUUAAGUUGCAUAGAAAAGCCAAUCAUAUGGUGUGACAACAUUAGUGCCACUGAACUAGCAAAGAAUCUUGUGUAUCAUUCAAGAACAAAGCAUAUCGAAAUUGAUAUGCACUUCAUUAGGAAUAAGGUUCUUGCUGGUGAGUUGAUUAUUCACUAUGUACCAAGUGAAGAACAGAUUGCAGACAUAAUGACCAAGCCUCUCUCAUUUGUAAGGUUUAACUACUUGAGGUCCAAACUCAAUGUCCAUCUUUGUCCUCUGAGUUUGAGGGGGGCUGUUAGAGCAGCUCAUUAUGCUGAACAGAAGAAGGUGAAGACUAAGAUGAAGAAAAUACAGAGCAAGUUACAGGGCAAGUGUGUCAGCAGUGCCAGCUCAGCUAACAGCUCAGCAGAUUAGUUAAAGAUGGUUGUAAGCAUGAUGUGCAUUGUACUGAAGUUAGUUAGCUUUGAUUACAGUUAGUCUUUGGAUUAGUUAAAUGAAGUUACCGUGAUUGCAUUGUAUAUAAACAGGUGAUGCUUUGUAAUCAAAAGUUAAGCAAAAUAAAAAUCAAAGUUUGUUAAGGAAAUAUCUCCAGAAUUAUCAAUUCAUUUUCUUAGUAACCAAACAACUUUAUUUCAUUUUUCUUUCACUGAUCAUAAAGUGCUGCCGACAUUCAAACCAGUCGUUCCCAAUAACCUUGGUAGAGUCGAAUGAUGCAUCUCCUAUUGAUAUAUCAAACCUUUCCAGCUUUUUGGAAAAAAAGCCAUCCGGUAAAAUGCUAUCGUUUUUAACAUCUAUUUCUAAAGUGGUCAAUCGCCUCAAAUGCAUCAAUUCGUCGAGGGUGGCAUUACUUCUUUCACUAUUGGCUUUUUCAACUUCCCAUUCAACAGGGGAAUUACCCAUAUACAGUUCUUCCAAUCGAGUGAAGCUUGAUAAGAUGUUGGGCAAAAUAAAUUUUAGUUGCAAACAAUCUCUUAAAUCUAGCAGCCUUAACUUAGUCAGUUGACCUAGUUCGUAAGGCAACCGUACAAUAUCAGACCUUAAAAAGCUAAGGAUUUCUAGAUUCUUCAACUUCCCAAUUAUGGCUAUGUCUCCCAACAUGCUUUGUACUAGACACAGUGUUUGAAGAUUUGCUAGAAGAUCGAUUGAAGAUGGCAAUGAAAAUAAUCGCAUUCCUGUCAAAUCCACAACUCGAAGCUUUUUCAUCCCUUUGAAAAAGUUCUCAGGGAUAUUGAGCUCGACAAAAGAGUCUUUGGGAUGAAUAAGUAAAAAUUCAAGUUGCGGACAUUCCAAUUCCUUAGAAACUUCAUGAAUGCUACUAUACAGUAAAGAGAUUGCAGAGCAUUUUUUAAGUGCAUCCUCAUCUGGCCACUCCCACACAACCUCACUUCUCACCAAGAAAACAUGUUGUUCUCGACAUGCAAUUGAAAUGGCAACAUCGCAGACAACAUCAUGCAUAGAAAAUUGUUCAUUACUAUCACCCUCAAGCAAAAAACAACAAUCUCUAAGUUCAUGGAGCAAUGCAUAUAAUUUGUUUCGUGCAUCUACCAUCCUGUUGACUCCUUGAAAUAUGCCCAAACCCAUAGAGUACCUAAACAAGUCUAGAAACCAAAAACUGUUACCUAUUAGACUACAGAGAAGAAAAUUUUUCUUGAGUUGCUCACCUUUUAAAUACUUGAAACUCAGCUCAAUACUUGAAUAAGUCUCUGCAGGCACACCUUCGAAGUUUACCAUUGAAGGCGUUUGGAGUUCUCGCAAGGCAUUCUUCCAUUCAUGCAGAGUCUUGUUUCUCAGUGCCCUUGCCACUGUAGUCAAGGCAAUGGGCAAACCUCCACAUGCCUGGGCUACAUUAAUUGCUAUAGACUUGAACUUACAAUUGUCAACAUCAUCACCAAUCAUUAUCUUAAACAAUCUCCAAGCUUCUUCUUCAUUUAGAUUGCCAAUCAAAAAGUUAUCUUUGGAGCCCAUACUUAAUAGUACAUUAUUAUCUCUUGCUGUGAGCAAUAGUCUACAUCCUUUAUGAUCAUUUCCAAAAGGAAUUCCAAUCGUCUCCAAAUCAAGAUGUUUCCAGAUAUUAUCUAGAAUCACAAGAAUCUUAUUCUCAUUCUUCAAUCGUUCAUACAGCCUGCUGGCUCUUCUAUAUUCAGCUUCAUCGGACAACUCCAGACCUAACUUCUCUGCAAUUUCCCCUUGUAUCUUUUUUAUGUCUGGAGUUUGUGAAACCUCUGAAAAAACCACACGAUCAAACAGCUUCUUUUCCCUGGCUUGCCUAGCAAACUCCUUCACCAGUGUCGUCUUUCCAAUGCCGCCCAUGCCGUACACCCCAAUAAUGCUGACGUUCACAUCAGUCAACACAUUUUGUAUAGACUUCAAAGUAGAAACUCUUGAUUCGAAGGCCUCGUAACCUUUGUUAGACUUAAGCCAUAUCUCCUCCGGAAUGGCACGGUGGGAAACGAUAUCAAACUUCUUAACUUCUUCUCCAAGUUCAACAAGGGCCUUCACCUCUGUCUCUGCUUUCUUGCUAAGCUGAUAGCGGGUCUUCAAAUUAGGACACAAGCCCUUGAGACAGCGCUUAUUUGUUGACUCUUCAUCUUCAACGAAUUUGGCUGCCCGGUCAAUGAUGCCGUUAGCACUAACCAGCCACUUCUCAACCUUCUCUUCAAUCUCUUCCCCUUUUUCUUUCGCCUCUGAAACUCUGCGCUGAAUGCUCGUACGUUCAACCUUCAACUUCUCCAUUUCCGCCUUGAGAUUCUCAAGGUUGGCAUUGUAGUUCCGCUUGCGCAAAUAAACAAGUUGGCGUUCUGUUGGAGGAGCCAAGCAUUUUACAAGUUCCAAAAUGAGAGUAACAAUGAUUUCCAGCAUCUUGAAUCCUGACAACAAUGUAGAAAUGAAGAAGGCCAAAGGACAGUAAGAACAGAGAGACAACGAUACGACAAGCAGUUAUGGAGCUAAAAAUAAAUAACAAACAAACAGAAGCAAAGUGUUUUUCGAAUGAGAAGAAGGAAGCAAGAAAAGGGUUUCUAUUUAGAUUAAGAAUGAAUGUAAAGAAGUGACAAAGAUGUCACAUAAUGUAAUUAAGUACUGAAUCCAAAUCCUAUCCUAAAUGGUUAGAUAAAAAUAAGGGAAUGAAAAGAGUAAUGGUAGAUUAAUUUAUGAGGCCAAUUAACGAAACGACAGAUCUGGUUUCCAUGUUUGUAAUUUAAGUGUAUGAGUACGAGGUGAACCAACUCUUUGUCGAGUCAAGCAAUUAGAAGGAGAAAUUACUAAAACAAGAACCAGCAACUUUUACUCACACAAGAGCUAAUAAUGUAUUGAGAUUGUGCAGAGUAAUACAAAACCUUAAAACUAGUAUAAUAAAUUUGUCAUCAAGUUUUAGCCUUCUUCUUCAACCAAUUACAGCACUAUCUUGAGCUCUGAGUUUCUUUUUUUAAAAUUUUUCAAAAGAUCUUUGUCAUUAGUUUUUCAAUGAUAAAAAUUAUAUUUUUAUCUCAUAAAAUAUAAAAUUUUAAAAAAAUCAAACAUAUAUUAUAGGUUUGUUUGAGAUUAUUUUUAAAGGCUCAAAAGUCACUUUUUAAAGUUAAAUGUUAAUUUUGGUAUUUGGUAAAAUUUUUAGAAAUCACCUUUGGUAAAAUCACUUAUCCCACAACAAAUUUCGGAAAGCAAAAAAGGAAUAGUUUGUCAAAAUCUAAUUUUGAUAACCAGUUUUAUACUUAAUAUAAUUCUAUAUACAACCUUAUAUAUAUUAUAAAAAAAAAAUAUCCUUAUUAUUUAGGAAAUAAAAUUAUUAAUUUUAAAGAUAUUUUAACAAUUACAUUGAGAUAACAAAAUAAAAAUAAAAUUAAUAAUAUAAAAUAUCUAUUUCUGUUAUCAAUUAUUAUAUAUACAAGAUAAAAAAAAUAUGUUAUAUACAUGUUUAUAAAUGUAUAAAUAAAUUUUAUCUAACAUUAUGUUCAAUUAAGUCAUUUACAUUAAUAGCACUUUUACAAGUAAAUUUUCCUAAAUGUUUAACUGAUUAUCUUCACAGUGAUUAUUUCCACAACAUAACUACCAGAAAUUAUUGUAAAAGAUACAACAUUACCAAAAAAAUAUUGAGGUACAUUUUAAUUAAGUAAUUGACUUAAUUAUGAAUCAAUUUAUUAUUUUCAUCUGUGUUAUCUAAACCAGCUCAUUAAUGAGAUCACUCUUUUUCUUAAAUAAAAUAUUCCUGCCAAACAAUUGUUGCAAAAUUUCAAAUAUAAAUUACAAACAGCAAAAUUUUCUAAAGUCAUAACAAUUAUUUAUGUUUUGAAGGGUCCAGCUAGCUUGCAACCGUGAUUUGGUACCCCAUUUUUUGUCUUUUUGUGAUCCAACCAUUAGAUCCAACCCAAAAGUUGUAAAAGCUAUUCCAACGGCAAGGAUGCAAUUACUUAGUUAUUAACGCUGAAGCCCCUCUUGUUUCAUAAAAAAAAGAAAAGGUUAAAUUUCAAGAUUUUGACACAUAAGUCCAUCAAAAUAUUUUAUGAUUUUUAUAUGAGUCCAGGUAAUUUAAUAAAUGAAUAUAUUUAGAUAUACAAAAAUAUGGAUGGAUUAUUUUAACUUGCUAAAAUACUCCCCACAUCCAUUUAUUUAAAAUAUCAAUUACAAAAAAUCCCAUUUUUUAGUAUAAUUUUUUUAAAAAUAAAAUACCCAUUUAAUGUUUUACCAUUUAAGAUAGUGUUACUUAUAAGGAUAAAUAAUUAUUUUAACUAAAUAAAUGAAACUUAACUUUUAUUUCUAUAAAUUUGCUCAACAUCAUAUAACCUUAUAAUUGUUAGCAUAAGAUAUAAAUUUAGUCUAAAAAAUUUAUUCAAAGGGUCCCCUUAGGGCAAAAAAUUAAUUAUCAUAUGAUAAUUUGGUUGGCACAAACUCUAUUAUUCUUAAUUUACUUAUCCAUGCCAAACACUAUAUUGGAAUUAAAUUUUAGUAAAAUAAACAUAUGUCAACAUCUUUAACCGCAUUCAACUGACCCUAAUUGUUUAGAUUUUGUUAUAGAGAGCAAGAUAUAGUUCUUUUCUUAUUAUAGUAGUAAAAAUAAAUAAAAAUAAACACAAUAGAUUUCUUUUAAGAGAAUGCAAGCAUUAUUUUUAUGAGAUUUUGUGUUCAAGAAAUUAAUCUAAUUAUGUGGUUAGAAGACUCUCUAUUUUGUGAUAUUUUAGAAGAAUUAUAUGUUGGAUAAAUGAAUAAAUUAAGAUCAAAGCAAAACAAAAAUGAUUGAGAAGAAAACCGAGAGAGAAUAAUUUUUUAAAUUUUAAAAUUUUCAUUUUUUAAUUGGGGUUUAUUUUGUAAAAUUAUUGCAAUUUAUAGUUUUUAAUAUUACCAAAAACAGUAGAGAUUGCUAAAGAAAAUGCCAAACAAAUUUUUUAGAAUUAUAAAAUUAUUAUAUUUUAAUUAGGGCUUGUUGUGUAAAAUUUUUAAAAUUUAUAGUUUUUAUUAUUUACCAAAAACAAUGAGGAUUGUUAAAGAAAAUGUCAAAAUUGGGUGUUUGGUAUAACGGAGGCAAAGUAGUUUCGUCCUGUUUUGAAUACAUGUAACUAAACCACAUUGAAAGUUGUCAAAACAGGAGGACCUAAUGUUAGUAAAAUUAUUUUUCAAGCAAAUGCAGUGACGAAUUUGGUUUCAUGUUUCACCCUCGAUAACUUAAUUUUCAUAUCUAACAAAUCAUCCAUAUUAUUAACAAUAUCAUCACCAACCAUAAUCUACCUAAACAUAAACUAAACAUAACACAUACAUAUAACUAUAUACAUACCGAAUCAGGAAAACAAUGAGAGCUACACGUAUCCGGCUCCACAAUUCCUUGUUGAUACCCUUGUGCUUCUAAAAUUAUCAACCAAUUAUAAAAAUUAGCUUAGGCGCAACUUUACCCCUUUUUUUUGGAAAACUUAACUAUAAAUAAAGUAUACAAAUCUCUAAAUUAACUUUUUUCCCAUGAAAUUCAGCAUAAAUAGAAAUAGAAUUAUAGAAAUCUUACUUCCUUUUAUGAGAAAUCCAACUUAUAUAUUUGAGACCUCUCUCUCUAAGCACGCGCUUCCUCUCUCUGUAUACUUUCCACCUUUAAAUUCUCCUCAUUAAAUCUGUCUAAAUGAAUUUAGCAGUCUCCCAGUUUCUUUAGCAUUUUUCUCCGUGAAAAUAAGUGAAAAGCGAAAGUGAUUUGAUUAUUUUAAUGUAUGACAGAUCUGGUUUCCCAUCUCCGUAAUUUAAGUGUAUCAAAUUGUCGAGUCAGUCAAAUAUAAAAGACAAAUUACUAAACCAAGCAGAGCCAAAAAAAAAAAAAAAUUCCAAUUAAAUAAUCAUCAAGUCUUUUUCAAUUAAAAUAGGGAGUGCAGAACAACUGUCGAGAGAUAAUCAUUGUUUAUGGAGCCAUAUUAUAUUUUCGAUUAAAAUAUUUGCGCGUGAACAAUUGGCAGAAUUCGUAUAAAUUGUUGUAAGGUCUAUUAUAAUUAACAAGCGGAAUGGCCAAUGGAUGAAGAACCACUGUAAUUUCGUUUAUGAAUUUAAAAUGCUAAAGAAACUGGACAUCAACGCUAAAUGUUAGCCUGCGGUCCUUGCCUCAGUUUCUUUCAGGCGUUACUCUGGGUAGUUGAUAUACUGACCGUCCCUUUAUCAAUUAAUAAUCGAAAUAGGUUAAAAUAUGAAUGGAUUGGAAUGGUAUGACUUGGAAAUGGGAUGACAAUCAGAUUAAUUUAUUCAUUUAAACUGAGAAAUUAGAAUCAAAAUAAAUUAUAUUGUUAUUGAUAUAUUUACUUUAUCUUAAAAUUAUGAUAAGUUGUUACGAGUUAUUAAUAUGCCUUAUUUUUUAUUAUAAUAAUUAUUAUUUAUUAUAACAUUUUUCAUAUAAUAAUAAUAAUAAUAAUAAUAAUAAUUAAUAUUGAAAAAAUUUUAUUGUUAAUAAUAAAGUAUCAUUAGAGUACUAGACAAGCUCACCACGUCUAAGCUAAGUGAAGAAAUAGACUUCAUCAACAAAGCUUUUGUGAAUAUGCGUUACAUUACAACUGCGAUAUCCUUUCACUGUAUAUUCAUACAGUGGCAGGCCAUGUGACAUUGUGACCCAUGUGCUAGCUUUCACUAGUCAUAUUAUUUUUUUACACGGUGUUUAACAAAAUCUUCACGUAAAGAUUUCAGACGCGUGAUCCUAAUUCAAUAUGCAUUAUUUAUUUAUUUAUAAAAUGAAAAUAAAAAGAUAAAAGGAUGUGACUUAACUUGCUAUCAGUGCGGAUCCAGGACUUAAUAUUAUUUCGGGUUAAAUUUUAAAAUUUAUAUUUUGAAGUGAACAUAAAAAUUUAUAAAUAAAAAGAAGUAUAUUAAAUGAGGGGAGACAUGGAGAGCUUUAUCCCUAUGAAUAUGUAUUAUAAACAAAAAUAAUUAUAAGAAAAGAAUAGAAACCAAAAGGCAAUUCAAAUAUCAAAACACUAUUUUUCAAUUAUGAAAUCCGACAUUGCAACCUAAUAACAUGUAAUUAUAUAAGGAUUAAUAAAUCAAUUAAGAAUUUCAAACUAAAUUAGAUCAGUACAUGUAAUUAAAAUUAAUUAAAGAUUUCAAGUAAAACUUUUAUGUUUGAAGUCAAGUACUAAAUUACCAAGCUUAAAUAAAUUUAAAAAAUUAAAAUUCAUUCAUUCUUUCGAAUUAUAAAAGUAUCAUUAGUCAAAAGUUUUAGUAAUAAACUAAACUCAAUUCAACAAAAAGUUAUUUGGAUAUCGUUGUUUCAUUGCCAGUGCACUGACUUUCUUUAUAGAAGUAUAUGUUAAUGAUUCUUCUAUUAAAGCUCUUCAAAAUACCUAAAUUUUAUUUUCUAACUUCUUCUCGUAGUUAAUGUAACUAAUAAAUAGAAUCUGAAAAUUCACAUAAAAUAUUUAUGAAAAUGUUGAUAAUUGUUACUAUAUGUUGUUUUCGUAAGUACUUUUAAUGCUAGUAACGAUGUUAUAUUACAUUGAUUUAUAUUUUUUUCAAUUAGAAGUUUUUUAAAAUAAAUUAAAGCAAUAAUAAUAUUUUAGCUCCCUAAUGUUUUCAAUCUAUCCAAUAAGUAUAUAAUUUAAUCAUUUUAUAAAAUAAGUCACUAAUUUCAAUUGGAAAUAAUACAAUUGAAUUAGGGACAUAUUUGAAUAUAAAAUAAUAGCUCAAUUGUUAUACUAAAUUGAUGAAAAUAUAAGGGUAAUUGAGUUAGGAAAAUAUUUGAAUAUAAAGUAAAAACUUUAUUGUUAAACUAAAUUGAUGAAAACAUAAGAAUACUUGAGUUAGGGACAUAUAUGAAAACAAAAUAACAACUCUAUUAUUAUAAAAAAUUUAUAAGAAAACAAGGUGUAUAAAUGAUUUUUUCUGUUCUAGACCAAGCUACAGCCUAGUCUAGCCAGCUGUAGGUCUCCCACUACUUGCUAUUUACAUACAGACAUGUGGCCCUUAUUCUAAUAUCUAUAGGAAAAGACACCUAUACUCCAAGAUUUGAAGAAAGAUUUGAAGAAAUAGUCACGUAGAUCUCUAAGUUUUCAGUAACCACAAUUUCUCUUUGACUAUAAUAUUUUUUGUACUUAGAAAAAAAAAUGACUUUAGAUUUUUUUAAUAAAUAUAAAUAUAAGUUAAAUAGUUUAAUUUGUCUAAUAGACUAAUAAUAUUAGAAUAUUUUUAAUAUAUAAAAUAAUUUUUAAAUAAAAAAUAUUAUAUUUAUUUUAAUAAUAUAUUUUUAUUUAUCAUAAAAAUAUUAAAUAAAUCUUUGGGGUUAAAUAGAAUUUAAAAUUAAUAAAACACAUCUCAUUAAUAAAAUAUAUCUCAUGUACUAAUAAUAUUGAAAUUAUUUUAAUAUAAAAUUUAUUUUAAAAUAAAAAUAAAUUUAGAAUAUUGAAAAAUUUUAUAAAAUUUAUUUUAAUAUUAUGUUCUUAUUUAUUAUAAAAUUUAGUCUAAUAUAAUGUAAGAUUGUAAAGUAUAAAAAUAUUUUCCUAAAUUGAAGUUGUUUUAAAAUGUUAAUAUUUUAUGUUUAUUUCAAUAUUAUAUUUCUAUUUAUUAUAAAUCAUAGGAGUCAAUUUUUUUCAGUUAAUAGAAUCAAAGGGUAUUAUAGUCAAAAGAGGUAUUGGUAUUCCUUAUUAAAAAUUUAGGCGUCUACAUGACUAUUUCCCAAACCUUAGGGUGUAACUUUCUUUUCUCCAAAAUUUAUGAUUCUCUGUAGGUAUUUCAUGAAGGAAAACGAUAUUUACACUGAAUCAAAUCCCGAACUAAUUAAAAUGCACUAUUUCAGCUUAAAUAAUGGUAAAUAUUUGUUUAGUCUCUAUAUUUUGAAUUAAGUACCGUUUAGUCCCUCAAGACACCUUUUUCAGUAAGCACAAUAUAAUCCUACCCUUACUUUUUCUUUGAUUCUAUAAUAACAUGCUUGCAACAAUAUUUUUAGAUAUGUUAAUGUAAAGAAAAAUUUAAAUUUAUCAAAUCAGCCUUAAAAGAAAAAUACAAAUUAGUUGUUAUUAUUAUUAAUAAAAUAAUAAAAUAAUAAAAUAAUAAUAACAAUAAUUAACAUUAAUUAAAAUAAUAAAGUUAAUAUAUUAUAUAAAAAAUAAUAUUUACAUUUAUCAAUUUUUCAUGUGUUCAAAAUUUUUUAUGUGAUAUUACAUUAUUAUCUUUACACCAUCAAUCAUUUUUAUGAUCAAGUUAGGCUAAUGGAUCAAACUUUAAAAAAUUUAAAACAAUAGGAGUUAUAUAAAUAAAUAUUUAAAAAAUUUUGUUUUUAUGAUAUUAUAAUAAACGGUAGAGACUUAAGUGUUAAUAACCAAUUGAACACGUUGAACACUUUAGCUAUUAGAUCUGGCUAAAUUAGAAAAAGACAAAAUUUAGGGUACCGUGCAACUGUUGCAAGGUAGGCGGACCCGUUAUAUUUAAUAUAGAAUAAAUAAACUAAAUAUGUGUAAAGAAUCUAGGUUAGUAACCUUGCAAUACUUCAGAAAAUUAUAAAAUACAAAAGGUGAAAUUUCAAAAUAAGGAAUUGUAAAAAGUGUUAGGUUCUAAAAUUUUAUUAUUUUAAUAUUACAAAAAUUUACUUUUUUAUUACAUUUUUAUUUUUAAUAUUAGUUGACAUUUUAGUUUAUUUGUAUAUAAUAUAUGUUAAUUUACCUAUAAAAUACUAAUAUUACUCUUGAAAUUUAAAGAAGUCAUUUUAAUUUUUAAAAAUUUUAAAUGUAGCCCAACAAAGUCAUAGAAAUAUAAAUAAAGAAUAACAUAAAAGGAAGUUAAUUUAAUUUUUUUAAGAAUAUUUCAAAAGCAUUUGAGUUUUAUGUUUCUUGAGAAUUAUACCAUUUUUUUUUAGAUAUUUGAGCUUGUGAAACUUGUUGUAAUGAUAAUUUAUUAUUUAUUCUUGAUUAAAAAUAAUUGAAUAGUAAAUUUAUUGGCUUCUAAUUACUCUUUUAAAUGUAGGGUGGUUGCUUAAUUUUUAUUAUGUUUCCUUAAACUUUUUGAUGAUGGCUAAUCAACCAUUGCAAAAGACUCUACCUGAUUAUUGUUUCCUUAAACUUUUUGAUGAUGGCUAAUCAACCAUUGCAAAAGACUCUAGCAUGAUUAUUUUUACUUUCUCUACAUCCCUCUAGACCAUCAUCACUCAAAGAAUUAAGGGUUCACUUGGCAUACUGUAUUAUACUAUACUGUAUUGCAUUAUUUAAUAUGGGUAUAUUGUAUUAUGUUAUAUUACAUUAGUAAUAAAUUAUAAUAAUAUUUGUACAACAUUUGGUAAUUGGUAUUACAUUGUACUGCAUUAAUUUUAUAUUAAUAUUAAACUAACAUUAUUUAAAUUUAUUAUUAAUUAUAUUAAAUUAUUAUUUUUAUAUUAAUUAUUUUUAUAUAAAUAUAAUAUGAUAUAAUAAAAUAAUAUGAUAGUAUAAUUUACUUUUAUGUUUUUAUUUAUUAUAAUAAAAAUAAAAAUAUAUUUAAUGCUCAAUUAAGGUAAAAUAAUAAUAAUAACAAUAGUAUUACUUAAAAAAAAAUCUAUAAAGUUUAAUGAUGAUCAUGAUGUUGACGACAUUAAUAAUAACAUAACAAUUAAAAUAAUAAAACUAAUAAAUUUUAAUAAUGUUAAUAUUAAUAAAAUAAUAAUAACAAUAAUUAACAUUAAUUAAAAUAAUAAAGUUAAUAUAUUUUAAUAAUAGUAAUAAAAUUAAUAUUAAUGACAGUAAUAAAAUUAAUAAAUAAUAAUAUGACUUAAUUAAAAUAAUUAUAACAAUUAAAAUCAUAAAUUUUAACAAUAAUAAUAAUAAUAAUAAUAUUAUUAUUAUUAAUAUAAUAAUAAUGACAUUAAUAAAUAAUACUAAUAAUAACAUUCAAAUUUUUUUUAAAGCUAUUUUAUCCCAAAAAAGGGACUUAUAUAUAAAAUUUUGUAAAUUCUAGUGUCUAUUCAAAAUUUUCAUAAAAUAUAAGAUAGUGCAGUGUAAUUAAUAAAAAAAAGACAAAAUGAUAUGCUGCAACCGUUGCAACAUAUUUUCAUCCUUGUUUGUGAUCCUUAAUCAAUAAAAUAUCUGACAAUAUCUUCGCCAAAAGUUUAAGACAUGUGAUCCUUAUUCCACAGCGUCAAUGAAACUCCAGUCAAAUGCUGCCAUCAUUAUUGAACAGUCGAUAUCCAGCACGUGCACGAAGAUUCCAAGAAGUUGCAUGGCUAUCGACUUUUAGAUGCUAAGCCUCAUUGCGUUGAUGAUACACAAAACAGACGGUCAAGGUAAUUGCCAAAACUUAGAACUAAACAGUAGCUUAGUCAGAAAAUCAAACGCCAGUACCGGUAAAAUGACCGAUAAAAAUAUAAGGACAUAAAAAUUUUAAAGUUUUACUUUAUUGCUUUUUUAAUCUUAUUACUAUUUCUCCUUGCACUUCUAAAGAAACCAAAGCUUUAAAAGAAAUCAGCCAAAUCACAAAGAUUGAAGAGUAAAUCUAUGGUUUUAAAUUUUUAUUUUAUUUUUUUAGAUAAUAGAUAUUAUUUUGAUGAAUUUUUUAAUAUUAGAAUAAUGUUAGGAAUUCUAACAGUAGAAUUCUAACUUGGAACCCAAUUGAUAUGUGUCAUUUUUUCAUUGGAUAAUGAAUUUCAUCACUAGUAAAAUUAAUAUUUGGAUCAUCUAAUAAAUGACUACCAUAUCAAUUGGGACUCAAUUAUUGGGAUCCUUAAAAUUGCUCUUAGUAUUAUAUUGGACAUCUUAGCUAAAUCAAAUUAAAAAUUAAAUUAGAUUUUAGGCUUUAUUCAACAUCUCUUUUUGUCUUUUUUUUGGUCUAUUUGAAGUGAACGAAAUAAAAAUACAAUAGGGUCAACGACUGGGCAAUUGAUAGUCAAGUAGAAGCAAAUCAAGGCUAAAUGGGAAAGAGAAAUUAUAUUAGUGCAAAACAAGGAGAAAAACAGUGUAACAGAAGAGAAUCAAAGUGCUUUUGAGAUCAGAAAUUGAAACAAGAAAAGGGUCGCUUGAUCCAAUGAAAAUGCAAAGAGCUGACGGCAAAAGGGAAUAAAGUUAAAUAAGAAAAUAGCUAGCGCUAGCAGCAACCACAAUAAACAGAAAAUUUGAGAUGGAUUUACAAUAUUUCUGCCUUUCUUCAUGCUUUAACAAAUAUUGCUUUAUAAAAAAAAAGAAAUUGAGCGUUUUUAUUAUUGGAGUCACAAAAGACCUACACAAUAUAGCAAGUGACUGGGAAUAAAUAAAAAUAUAUAACUGAUAAGUGCAUAUUUUCCAUAUAUUUUGUUAUUAAUUUCUCCAUCUUUUUCUUGAUUUGAUCUUAAAUAUUCUAGUUAUUUUAGUUAAUUUUUAAUUAAUUGUAUUAUUUUAUUGAAUAGGGAAUUAAUUGGAGAUUGUGGAUAAAAAGGGCAUGAAGAAAUUCAAAUUGAGAAGGAAUAAGGAUUAAAUUGGAAAAGGAUUUCAAUUAGAAUGGAAAAAGGAUUUCUUUAUUCUUGUUGGAGAAGAAUUCGGUCAACUAGCUUUAUAAAAGGGGAGCUGCUGGAUGAAAAAAAAGGAGGAGAAUAUUCGGCAGCCAAGAGGAUUUGAGGAACUAGCAGCCGAAAGAAGGAAAAGCAAGGGAGAAACCGAAAAGGAAUUGAAGAAAAAGGCAGCUGCUUGAAUUAAUCUCCAUGAUUGGUUUUGUCAAUUCUCUUAUUUCCAAUUCAAUUAUGUUAGGCUAGAUUUUUAUUUGGUUGAGGGUGAAUUCAAAACCCUAAACAUGCUAUGCAAUUAAAUUUAAAUUCUAUCAUUUAAUUUAUUUAAUUGAGAUUGUUUAUGUUCUUCUAUAAUUAAUGUUCAUGGUUUGUUCUUGUUUUAUUUGAGUGGCCAAUUAGAUAGGACUUGAAUAAAUUUUAUUGCUAGAUUAAAAUUCUUGAUCCGUAAUUAUCUUGAUAUUUUAAUUAUUAGUAACAUGUUGGAAUUAGUGAUUUCAAUUAAAGAACAUAACCUAGGUUAAAUAAUCCGAGCUUGUGUGUUUAUUGCCUAGAUCAACCUAAUAUCUUUCUCUGUUUAAUGCUUCCAUUAUCUUAAAUUUAAAGAGCUUGUUUUAAAUUAUUUAAUGGUUAGAGAUUAGGUGAAGAGCUUAUUUUGCCUAACGACACACUAAGGAAAGAUUGAGACUAACAGAGCUUAUUGUUGUCUACGGUUGAUAGUUUUAAUAUAAAUUAAUGAUAGAAUUGAUAUAUUAUGUGCAUGUUUGGUGGUGGCGAAUGAUCCUUUAACCAAAGUUUUCAUCAUUAAUAUUUCUUUCUCCUUUAAUUAGAGUUUUUAUUAAAUUCUUGUUCGUAGUUUUAAUUUCUUUACUUCUUACUAUUUAGUUAAAAAUUCAUAAACCCCCUCUUUUAUUUAUAAUUGGUAAUUUCCUUAGUUAGAUUAAUUUAUAUUAUUAUUACUACUAUUAUUUUAUUUUAAAUCUUGCUUUAGAGUUGAUAAUAAAUAUAACUACAUAGUCUUUGUGGGAUCGAUCCUUACUCGCUCUGUACUAAUUAUUUAUAUUAGUGGUAAGGUUAUAAAUUUGGUGCACCUUAACGACACUACCAAAUUUUUGUAACUCUCUCUCUAAUUCUCACUCUAGCUUUUAAUUGUCACUCAAAACCCAGAAUUCAUCCUUAAAGUGUAAGCAAAUCAGAGAUGACAACGUCUGGCUGUCAUACGUGCCUUUUAGUUUUCGGAUGACAUGGCGUACACUUCUUCUGUAAACCGAACACGACAUGUCGUACUCUUUGUUUUGAGAUCAUAUUUCAAACUCUUCAUGCUAUGAAUGAAAGAUAAACUACAAUCAUAAACAUAUUUAGUGUUUAUUUGGUAAUGUAACGUUAUAGUUGUUGUGAAUUGAAAUUAUUUCUGUAAAAUAAAAGGAAUAUUUAUAAUAGUAUAAAAGGAAUAUUAAUAGAGGAUGUAUUAAUAUAAAAUUUGUUUAUUGGUGUUGAAGUUAAUUAUCUCAUUAAUAAUACUAUAAAAAUUUUAAUUACUAAGAAACACAUAGCAGUAGUUAAUUGGUGUCAUAUUAUUGGGAUUCAGGGAUAUAAUUUUAUAUCAUAACUUUGUAAGUGUAUAAUUACUCAUUAAAUUAAGAAAAUUAUUUAAAAAUAUUUAGUUGGAAAAAAUAAAUUAUAUUCUUUUUAUUUCAAAUAAUCUAUAAGUUAACUCAAAACAUAAUCAAGCUGAGAAUUAAAAUAAUGCUACUAUAUGAGAGGAUUUUUAUUUUUUCCCGAAGUUUCACUAGGAAAUUAUUGAUAUAUAGCUUUAUUCGGAUCAUCUCAGUUCAAACAACAAAUAAUUGAAAGACUAAGCUAAAUAGACCAGCCAACAACUUUGUGCAAGAGAGUUCAAAAAUUAAGGUCAUGGUAUUGAGGUGUUCUGUCUUGAAAAGUACAGCAUAGUGAUAAAAUAAAAACUAUUAAUCUAUGGUAAGGUAUGACUUUUAAAUAAUAAUUUUCACAAAAAUACAAAGAAUAUUUAUAAAGUACUUCUAUAGUGAGGAGAUCCUUACUUUGUUAAAGUAAAAAUAUCAAUAAUAUAAAAAAACAUAUAUUUUAACACAUUAAGAACUGUAUUUUCUUAAUCUAUUGGUGUAUUGAAAUAUGUGUUAUUUAGUUUGUUAGUGACAUCAUCACUUUGUUAAAAUAAAGAUGUCGUCACUAGAGAAUCAUUAUAUAUACAUAUAUAUAAAGUGUUUCUCUCCAAAACCUAGACUUUAUUAAAAUUUAAGAAAGCAAAUAUAUUUUAUAUGGUAUAAUAGUGUAAUAACAUCACACAAUUAUAUCAUAUAGAGUAAUAGUUUUUGGAACUUUAAUAAAGUUCAAGAUUAUAGAAUGAAUGAUUUAUAUAUAUUAUAAUUUUUUUAUCAUAGAGUGGAGGACAAAAUUAACAUAUUUUCUAAAUUAUAAUAAGUAAUUAUCAAAUAAUUUAACAUUGUAUUUCUCCUAACUAGUAUAGUAAAUAUGACCUAGGAGGUACAUUCAAAGCAUUUCAUAAGUUAGUUGUUAAUAAUAAAUGAUACAUGCAGCUCCAAUCAUCAUUGUACGGUGAGUAAUUUCCAGUUAUAAAUAGAUAUUACUCCCUUCUCAGCAAUUUUUUAUGGCUUAAUUUAGUGGGAUCAAAUCAAAAUCAACAUUGAAUAGUCAAAAUAUUAAUGACCAAACAGACCCAGAUAGAAUAAUAUUAAAUGUAGUUAUCUCAAACAAGAUAGAAUAAUAAUUGAUAAGGUAGGUGUAUGAGUGUGUGUGAUGUGUACUCUUUAUGCCAUUGUGUAUAUAUAUAUAUUUGUUUUUUUUUUCUAUUUCGCGUGGUUCCACCAUGCAUAAUUGAAGGGCUUCAAAUUCUUAAACGUUCGGUCACCGAAAUUGAAAUCCCAAUGGAACAAGUAAUUAAGCAUGUUAAUUCAACAAGAUUCACUCCCUUUAUUACUUAAAAGUUAUUUUCGCUUUUGAUAUUGAUACUUAUUUUUACAUUUGCAUGCACUAGGGCAGACGCGAAGCUAAAGGUGGGCUAACCCAGGCAGCAGCCUCGGUUAGCUUUUUGAAAAAAAAUAAUUAAUUAUAAUUUAUAAAUUUAUUUUAUUAAUAUAUAUAAAAAAUAAAAAUAAAUCUAAUAUUUGAUAAUAUUUUUCUUAUUUACAUUGUAUUUUUAUAAUUUUAUGGUUAGAUUUUUAUGUAUAUAGUGUGCUUAAUUUCGUUUAUAUAAAACAAAUUUUUUGAAAAGUAAAUUUCAUUUUUUAAAAAAAUCUAGCCCACCCAAAAAAAUACGCUAGCUUCGCCACUGCACUAGGGACAUAUUAAUCAGGUGGGUUAUAUUACAACCAGAGGAUUUAAAUUUGAUUUAAGAUAUGUGGGGUCUGCUUUUGGAUUUAGAAAAUUUGCCCAUUAAGAGUUGAAACCAAGUGACCUACCGUUAGAUUAGAUUAAUAGUGAUUUCUUGUAGUAAACAUUUGUGAAUUUGAAAUAUGUGAAUUCUAUCCUGGUGAUACAAAACAAGCUUCUUGUACACGAGAACUAUUUGUUUUUAUGAUUUGGAAACCAAUCUAUAAAGAUGAAUUAAGUUGGCAUAAUGGUACAAAGCAACUUUAAUUUUUCAAUAAAUUCAAAAGUUGGCAGGUUGGUUGUGAUUAUUAUCUUUUCUUUUUUACUAUUUAAACUACAAUUAAUUGAAUCCAAAGACUAAAGGGUUGGAUCGAGAAGAAACUAAUUUUAAGUAGACAUUCCGGCGAAAAUCACUCCCAUGAUCGAGACACUCAUGCAAUCAAUACAAAAAAUGGACACAAAAAUUGUCUACUUAAGUUUGGUUGAAUGAUUUUAAAAAUAGUUUUAUUUGUUUCACACUCGAAUUUGUAUUUUGAAAAAGAGUGGGAGUUAAAAAUUGAUUUACACUUUAUCAAUUACUCUAUUUUAAAAAGAAAUAAAUAUUAAAAAAAUAAAAACAUUAAUUUCUUGUUUGUUUGUACUUACCAUUGUAGGAUAAAUAAAGUGGUUGACAAAAAUUAGAUAUCUUAAAAAUAAAUUCUAAAUUUAUAACUAAUGUAUAAUGAUUUCAAUUCACAUGUUUCAAUCCCAAAUAAAUUCUCCUUUGGUUAUUUGAAUCUUAGCACGGUAAGAUUUCAUUCUCUUGUAUGCAUUUGUGUAAACUUCUCCCUUUACCUUUAUCAUUUUAUCAACUGUAUUGAUUGCCAAACAACUUUAGGGUUUAGGCAUGAAUCACACAAGGGAAUGAUAUUGUGGCAAUUUUUUCCCCCUUCUUUCUUCUUUUUGAAAAAAAAAAUUAAUUAUAGCUUUGCUUUGAUGGGUAGAAGACUAGAAGACCAAUUAAUUUCUUUUUGUUGCGUGGUGAUAAUAAUGGUGAAAAUUGCUAUGUGCGUGUUGGUGAUUGCAUUGCUAAUCACAUAUUGCUUCCCAUCAUGGAGACAAAGGGGACCCCUCUAUCAAAGCUAGCUGUUGAAAUAUCAUACCCAAAAUCACAUGAAUUCAAAGGUUGAAUGGGAAAACGAUCUUGCUUCUUUGUAUGUUUUAUUUUAUUUAAAGACUUAUUUUUCCCAUAAGAGAUAAGCUUGGAUCUAUCUUUCCUUUUAAUCAUUUUAGCCUCCAACUCCCAUCUUUUUCAAAAGUUUCGUUUAGCCCAUUUUGAAUGGCAAGGUAAGCUUCAAUCAACGCUACAAGUUCUAGUGAUUCCCGUCAAUAUUCGAUUGCAUGUAUGUAGCUUUGAAUGCUCAAAUUUAUUUUAUUUAUUAGUUGUUAUCACUUAUCAUUUUCUUUUUAAUAAUGAGAUUUGGGCAUUUUCUUUUUAAUAAUGAGAUUUGGGUCCCUAGAUGGUGAUUAGCCAACAGUCUAGUUAUGAGAAAUUAAUGUCUUAAUUACAAUGACAAAAAAAGGCAAGUGGGGAUCUCAUUUGCCAUUAGGUAACACAACAUCUUCAGCAUUGGAGCUUUUCUUCCUUUCUCUCCUUCUUUCUUUCUUUCUCAAAAUAAUUGAAAAUCUAAUGCAAUACAAUUAAAUUGAUCAACGAUCUAAUUUAAUCAAUACAUUAUAUUAAGAUAUUUAAAAUAAAAUCGGUUCAAAUGGAAUGAGAAAUUCUACUCACAAAAUAACAACAUUUAUUCCCGAAUUCAAAUAACCUUGGAUUCCAAAUGCAUUCAAGACUAGCCAGGCUGCAUAUCCAAGAAGAAAACAAAAUCAAAACUUUAGCCACAAACAUAUACGUGUGUGUGUAUGUGUGUGUGUAUAUAUGUGUGUGUGUGUCUGUGUAUAUAGAGAGAGAGAGAGUUCUUUCACUAGGUUCAUUUGCGUGAAACUUUUUGAUCAUUUAGGUUUAAGACUAUAUCAUAUAUCCUAUUGCAUGAACAUUGAUUAAUAUGAAUGAGUCAAACCCACUAAGCUUGUAACAAAAUCUUUUCAUAGUUACUAGAGAAUAUUUAUAUUUUUUUCAAACAUUAAUAAAAUUAUUGAAUUGCUUUAUUUAUAGUAUGUAUACAAUUAAUAGUGUAUGGAUUUUUUUAUCUAUUGGUAUAUUGAAAUAUGUGUUAUUUAGUUUGUUAGUGAUAUCAUCACUUUGUUAAAAUGAGAAUGUCCUUACUAGAGAAUCAUUAUAUAUACAUAUAUAAAGUGCUUGUGCUUCUAUCCAAGACCUAGAUUUUAUUAAAAUUUAAUAAAGCAAAUAUAUUUUAUAUGGUAUAAUAGUGUAAUAACAUCACACUAUUAUAUCAUAUAGAGUAAUAGUUUUUCGAUUUUUUUAAAGUUCAAGAUUAUAGAAUGAAUGAUUUAUAUAAAUUAUAAUUUUUUUAUCAUAAAUGGAGGCGAAAAUUAACAUAUUUUCAAAUUAUAAUAAGUAUUUAUCAAAUAAUUUAACAUUGUAAUUUCUCCUAACUAGUAUAGUAAAUAAUAUGACCUAGGAGGUACAUUCAAAGCAUUUCAUAAGUUAGUUGUUAAUAAUAAAUGAUAUAUGCAGCUCCAAUUAAUCAUCAUUGUACGGUGAGUAAUUUCCAGUUAUAAAUAGAUAUUACUCCCUUCCCAGCAAUUUUUGAUGGCUUAAUUUUGUGGGAUCAAAAUCAACAUUGAAUGUCAAAAUAUUAAUGGCCAAACAGACCAGCUGCCAACAACUUAUUCCAAUGUGAGUAGUUCACAGUGGGUACUGCACAUGAUGCUUGUUUCUCCUUUUGCAUCUAUUUUUGUUGUUAACAUUAAUUUCAAUAGCAGCUCUUUAAUCCCAAUUGUUGAUUUGGGACUAGAUAAGAAUUUAUCUUGGAACUCCAAUUCUCCCAAUUAUUUUAGUUGACAAUAUGUUUAACAUUAUUUUUUUAACAUUAUUAAUUACAUAUUAUUUAAUUAUCAGUAUAUAAUAUUCUUUAAUUUUCUAAUUUUAUAGGAUUAGACACAAAAUUGAUUAUGCCUUUUGAAAUUUAAGGGUUAUGUCAAUUGAAUAGAAAACUUGGAGUUAAACUUGUGGAUGUUUUUGUUGAUUAUCAAUUUAUGCAUGAAUUUUUGUACGUUUAUUUGGCUUAUUAUUAUUACUUUUAAACAUUUUUAUUGGUUUGAUUUAGGGUCAGUUUGGUAAUUCUAUAGCUUUUAAAAUAAUUACAGUUAGCUAUGCUGUAGAAAUUGAUCAAUCGUCAAGAGAAUCAGCUGAACAUUUAGUAAAAUUUAUUUUUAAAAGUACUUUUAGUUUUAAAAGCGUCGCAUGUGUUUCGUAAGUUAUAUACAUUGCUGAUUCUAUAUUAAUAAUGUUAUGUUCUAUUUUCAGAAAUUAUAAUACAAAAGUUUUUACAAUGGCGUGCAUCUACAAACUGAAUUGACUUGUAGAAUAAGAGCUUGGAGUAGUGUUAUGUUCUUGAAUAAAUGAAAGUUCAUAUGGUGUAAGAGCAUGUAGAUGUAAAGUGUCAUUACCAUUUCUAUAAAGGACUUUCAUUCUGUUCGGAUGCUCCUCUUGAACUCUGAAGGGUGCUUCAUUCAUAACACACAUAAUUUAUGCCAGGGAAGAGAAGAUGCCAAAAAAGUUGAAGGUGAUCAUUCAUAACUUUUCAGAAAGUUGUUGCAAAACAGAAAUCACCCAUCACGAUCGGUCGUACAAGUGUCUGCUACGAGUGCAGCAAAACGUUUGUCACGCUAGUUGUGCUAAAUGGACCUCUCCUGUGUGCCUCUAAAAUCAAUGCAUGUGAUCAUGUCGGUGAUUCAAUGGCUGGUGGGGAUGAGUCCACUCAAAUUCUGAAACUAAUCAGGUGAAAUAUAAACCCUUUUUGUCUCCUUCUUUAAUUGUAUGUUUUACUAUCCAUGUUUUACCCAAAAAAAUUGUAGGUUUACACUUUGCAAUCAAAUUUUGUAGUUGUGCUUUUUUCUUGCUUUUAUCCUAAUAAGCAAAAAAUCUAAUUAAUCCUAAUUAAAGGUGUUUUAAAAUUUAAAUAGAGAAAGUACCAUUGAGAUUUGAGAGAAAAUGAAUCGAUUGAUUUACUUCACAGUAUGAAUACACAGAGAGUUCGCUUGCUUUAUAUGCAGUAAUCUAACCAACUUGUUAACUAAGCUACUAUUCCCAGCAAAUCAAGCUAACCAAUCCCACUACUCAGCUUGUCUACUACAGAUCACAGAACCACUUGGGCUGAGCCGUAAUUCCAUGUCAUCAGUCUGUGCAACAACCUCAUUGAUCACUUGUUGUGCUGACUAUCGAACAACAGUGUGCCUCUUUAACAUAAUAGACUAAGCUCGUAUGCAUAGGAAUGGAUCUUUUAUUAUUGUCAUUAACUAUCUGUCCCUAAGGGUUUGGUUGAGUGAUUUAUUCCUUUAGUUGGCCCUCCCAAUCUUUUGGAUUGUUAUUGUCAUUAAAUAUCGGUCCCUAACUGCGUGAUGUAAGUACUUUCUAGAAGAUAUCUAAAUGGUAAAGCGACAUUACCAUUUCUAUAAAGGACUUUCAUUCUGUUCAGAUGCUCCUCUUGAACUCUGUAAUUCAGAUCCUAGCUAUAACUACUAGCUUUGAUUAAUUAAUUUCCUGUACUAGCUGAAACAGAUUUAUUUAUUUAAAUAAUUGUGUAUGUACUAAUUAUAAUGAAAGUAUAUGAAGAAAUUUUUUAACAUGAAUGACUUCUAAAUGACUUAAAAACCUAAACAAAUAAUGCUCAUUUCACUUGAACGAGCCUAUUAAUACUUGUAUGUCUAUGAUUUUUAAUAUUGGCUUAAGCGUUUCAGUUAAAUGGUUUACAUAAGAGGGAAAAAAAUUUAAUGGAAAACUUUAGAGUUCUAACAGAAAUAUAAUUGACUAUGCAGAUAUAGUUAUUUUAUGGUAUACAAAUCAUGUUGCCUUAAUCUCAAUGUCCUAUGACCUAUUUUAUUUUAUAUAGUCAUUCCUUUUGGCCAUGGCUUUUUGUUUUUAUGAGUACGGAAAUAGUGGGAUUUGGUGUAUCUUAGCAUCUUUGGAAAAUUCUCUUUAAAUGUGGCAAACAAAAAUAUACAUAUAAUCAAGUUUCUUAAUCAACUAUCAUAACUGGCUAGCUAGUUCUUGCCUGCCUUGCUGCCAUUACCCAGGCCAUUACAUUGCAUAGCAUAAGGAAUAGUGAUUAGGUGAUUAUUAGUGACUCGUUGAGCUUAUUAUUGACCAAACAAAUAUAUUUGCCUUUACCCACAACUUAGUUUGAUUAGUUAUUAGACCAUAAAGAGCGUAAAUCUGUUCAUUGGCUUUGUUAUUUUUGUUUGGUUUUUCUUUCAACAAUACUGUUAAUUUCUUAUAAAAAUAUUCAUUGGUUUUUAAACACCUAAUCAUUGGCUAUAAUGAAGCUAAUUGAAACUGAGGCUUUGGAUCAAUUCCUUCUGGCAAGAUACAAAUGAGCAUAACCUAUAUCCUCUAAGUAAAUUUUUCUAAUAUGCUUGAUUUGUUAGUAUCCGGAGGCUUGAAUCCUCUAGAUUUUUUUAACACUGUCAAUGUUCUUUUUACUCUGAAAAGGGAAAAAAAAGGUUAUAUCUUUCAUACCCUAAUAAUAAGUUGUCCUUGACUUAACAUGCCUUCCUGAGGAUUUGCAAGAUUCACAAGCAGCUCAACAACACCCCCCCCCAAAAAAAAGCAAAUACGAAGAUUUUGCAAGAUUCACAACCAGGUUAUAUUUAAUUUAUUAAUUGUGUGCACGUACUAGUUAUAUGUUGAAAGAAUAGGAAAAAGUAUUUUAACAUGAAUGACUUAAAACUUAUUGCUCAGUAAACUUAAUCUGCAUCAGUGCUAGAUAAUGUAUUUAUUGUUUGUAUUUUUUAUGGAUUUGCUUAAGAAAUGAUAUGCGAAAUAAUGCUAUAUUGUAUUAGGAAUAAAUUGAAGAGAUUUAUGAUAUUUAUGUGUUUUUAAAUUUCAGAUUGAAUUUUAAACUUUCAAUACAUGCAUUGAAAGCUUAGAUCGUUUAAGAAAUUAUUAAUAGACACAUGUUUUAUUAGUGUCAUCUUUGGAUGAUAGCGAGGAUCAUAUGUCUAUUAAUAAUUCUUGAAUUGUCUAGGCUUGAACUGUUUGGGAAUGCAUAGUUUUCUACGGUGGCUAGUAGCUGAAGUUUUUUUCCCACGUAAAAAUGGGUUUUUCGCUAGCUACUUCUCAUCUUCUUUGGGUGCAUACUAGAUAACACAUACACACUCAUAUAUCUAUGUCGUGUGCUAGGAGAACUAUUGGGAGAUGCUGCCGAAAUUCCUAUAAACGUAGAAGAAAACUUUAAAGUACUUGAGAUUGAAGAGACUUAUGCAUUCUUGAGAGGGAUAUAUGGGACCACUUACCUUUUGUAAAUAUGAAGGGAGUGUUGGACAUAUUGAUGGGAGUGAAGGAGCUGAGUUGGAUGGAUGUAAUUGGUUAUGGUUUUGCUGAGUUAACUUGGUUUUGACCUAGUAGUUUUGUUUAUAAAUGGAGUACUAUCUCCAAUGUUGGUUUAUAAAUAUGUUUCAGCUGGCUGACCUAAUUUUUUGUUUCUAGGUAACAGGCUUUAUAUCUGUAAUUGAUAGCCAACCGAAGUUCUCAGCUGUGGGUGAGGAUAUUUCUUUACAGAAGGUAUUGGAAACUGUUUUUUACAUUAAUUAUUGUGGUAUUUAUACUUGAAAAUCUUUUUCUCUGAUUCUUGUCGCUUUGCUUGCUUUCAUAUGUAUAAAUUCUAAUGAAAUUAACCAUAAAAUUGUAUAAUGAUUUUUUUUAAUUAUAUUGCAAAACUGUGCACACACGAAAAUAUCUUGGUCAUUAGUAGAAAUGAAGAACUAAAAUGAUUUAUCUAACUAAUUUUUGUAGUGCAUUAAAAGGAGAUGAAAAUGGAGAAGAGUUGGGUUGGUUUGGCAAAUAGAUAUCCAAGUUAUAGAUUUUGUAUUUGAGAAUGUUGUUGGUAAUGCAAGAAUUUAUUAUCCUUGUAAGGAGUGUCGAAUAUUUUGUUUUAAGGGAAGUAUCAAGAGACCAUAUCAUUAUAAAUGGUUUUUGGUUAAAAUAUUAAAACUGGAUAUUGCAUAGUGAGCCAUCUUCAUCUUUGGAAUCUAGCCAAGAAACAAGUUGGUCGUGACUCAGGUGCUGAUGAUGAUAUGAUUGGAAUGAUACAUGAUACAUCACAUAAUCAAAUGUUCAAUUCACACGCAGCAUUGUUAUGGACUAUCAGUGACUUUCUAGCAUAUGCCAACUUGUUUGAGUGGAGUAUUAAAGGUAAAUAAGCAUUUCUUGUUUGCCAACAAAACACUAGAUCUAAUUGGUUGAUACAUAGUCGAAAAUUUUGUCACGUCGGUAAUGUCGAUUUUUACCGACGAAUCAUAGGUUUUGAAAAUAUAGUGCCUUUUGAUAAAAGUAGAGAGUGGGGACAAGCACCUUCUCGGAUGUCUGGAGCUGAAGUGAAAAAGCAGUUGAGUAAUAUACUUACUGAGUUUAAGAUUGAAGACUUGAAAAGAGGAGAAUGAGUAAAAUGAGAGAAAUGAUAAGAUUACUUGGAAGAAGAAAAGCAUAUUUUAUGAACUACCGUGUUGGGAGUCCAAUUUGAUUCAUCAUAAUCUUGAUCUCAUGGGCUGUUUUGAUUUUUGUUAUGAACUCUGAUCAAAAGUUUAAUUUGAUCAAAAUUUCUUAAAAAUAGUGAAAACGACUCCUCCUAAUAACAUGGACGAUGGCUAUAACAGAUAAAAGGAAAGGAUUAAAAAGAAAAGCUAUGCCUGUUAAAAAAAGAAAAAAAAUUGGUGGCGUCAAGUUUAUAACAAAAAUUAAAACGGUGCGUUUGAGAGUGUAUAAAAUACAUUUAGAAUGGGAGCUGUGUUGUUUUUUGAAGGUAGAAUGAUUGUGAGAUAUUUGUCGACGAAGCCGAAAUCAAAGAUGAAGCCCAUAGAGCUCAAAACUCCACCAGAGCAAACUCAAGACAAUUAUUGACAUAGUCAAUGAUUGUAUUUGACAUAGUCAAGGAACAGGGUCCUCUCACUGUUGUCGAAACAUGGGAACGCGUCAAGGUGUGUGCAUCUGAUUGAGUGUGUUUUACAUUCAAUGAUCACUGAUCAUAAUACUAGUAGUUGUUUUACAUUUUCAGCAAGCAGGAGCGAGUGGAUUGACGGGCAAAAGCCACAUGAAGAUUGAGUGUGUUGAGUAAGCAAAUCCUGUGCACAAGUUGGUUCACCAAACCCAACAACUUGAAGCAACCAAAAUCAGGGAAUGAUCCUUCUCCGUGAUGGAAGUAAAGCACCAGUGAUGGAAGCUCCUCAGCAUGUAAACUUUUCAACAGUAGCACAGCUCUUAUUCCAGAGGCUGCACAGAAGAGCGACCUGAAUCCUCUUCAAAACUUUCAAAUUUUUAUCAAGUAAAGCUUUCAAAAUUUCUCAGCAAAUAGAUUAUUCAAAUGAAAGAAACACAAGGGAGUGACCUGAAUCCUCUUCAAAUCAGGAAAUUUAUUGCAUAAAUUACAAGAAGCAGUACACACCAAUGGUAAAUUGAUAAAUCGUUUUUUAACUUAAUAUAGUCAAAUGAAAGAAACACAGCGGAGGGUUAAUAUAACACUUUCAAAGCUGCAUUAGUAAUACGUUAAAGUGAAUACCCUCAGCAUGUAAACUUAACUUCAAAGGACGGAGCACAAGUUUCACAGAAAAGUAGCUCUUAUUCCUGAUGCUGCAAACACAGAGGAGUGUCCUCAAUCUUCUUCAUAACUUGGGAAUUCUGCAAUUAUAGAGCACGACAUUGAGCAUGAACUAUAAAAAAUAUUUAUUUUCUACAAUUUUCAUAUAACCUGACUAACCAAGAUUAAUUUUGUGGUAAUGUAUUGGGUCAUUAAUUCAUAUGUUUUUACUGUCAUCACUUUAGAAAAAACUAAUUUCUCAAUGUGAAAUGGCCCAUAAAAAGUAUUCUCAUUUAAAAACUAAAUUUGACAAACCCCUCGAUUAAAGCAGGGGAGAGAAAAGAAAAAAAAAAGAUCUGAAGGCUUUCCACAUGAAAAUGUUGUCACUUUGGAUGAUAUUUUCAAGGGAUUUCAUUCUAAAAAUAAAAUACCUGGGACCUUAUUCUUCAAAUUGACAGCUAGCCCAGUACUAAACGCGUAUGAGAUCAGUACUGUACUGUGACAAGUAACGAGACGACCCCUCCAACAGCUGAAAAUAUAAUUCGGAUUCAUCAAUUUAAAUUAAAAUUCAUAUUAUGAAAUAAAAACUAAUGAUUAAUGAAUUUUCGAGGAAUUUAAUAAGAUUCUCAUAUAUAAACGUGAUAAAAAAUUCUCUCGUCAAUAACAAAUAUUCUAACAGUUACCCGUACCUUUUCUUGAUGUAAUUGUUGUAUGAUUGUGUUAAGGUCAUUAUUAGACCAACGCCGUUUGUCCUCACUCCUUCCGUACCAGACGUUUACUCUCGGAGGCGUGCUUAAUUCUCCUUUGGUGAAAAUCUUCAUCUUGGGACAACUAAUCACCCACAAAUCUUGCAAAGAUGGGAAUUUGAAGGCGUAAUUGCCAGAGGAGAAGCUUGUGAGGCUGUCUAAAUCAAACAGGGACAACGUACUCAAUUUGCUGAAAACAAUCUCUUCUUCUAUAUUUGCUGUUUCAUCUUCGUCACUUAUUACGACUUCUGUGAUUGCUCUGCAUCCAAAUACACCCAAUGAUACGAGUCGCUCUAGACUUUUUGCUGUGGAGGAUGUUAGUAAGUUCAUCAAUUUCUUGCAAGCAAAAGCUUGCAGGCGUGUGAGAUUCCGAAAAGAUACCGAUGAUGAUGGCAAUAGACUUAACAGAUUUUGACAGUGAAAUGCUCUUAGAGUUUGAAGAUGUUGAAAAAUGAAGUCCGGCUGCUUGGAAUCGUGUUUCCAUAGUUGCUGCAGACGAUUAAGUCUGGUCAGGUCUAACCUUUUUAUCAGUGCCAGCUUCCUCGCAUGUGUCUCCAAAUAUCCUUCAUUUGAAAAUACCACUUCGUAUGAACAAUCCGACAGGAAGAGAAGUUCCAGAUUGUGAAACUUCUCAAGUAAACCAAGUGGAAAGCAAGCUAAGUCAUCAUCCCGAACCCGUAGUCGUUGAAGACUGCCAAAGAGGUGUUGUGGGAAAUCGUCUUGCAAAAUCAUCGUGAUGUCUUUUCCACUUAAUGCCAGUCCCUCCAAGUUGGGUAAGAUCUGAUCAUCAUCAAGCACAAAUUAUUAUCUUAGCACAUUGAUCCCUAAUUCCAGACUGGCAAAAUUCAUUGUGUAAUCAAAGUUUCAAUGAUCUAACUAACAUAUAUAUAUAUAUAUAGGUAUUUAUUAAAAUUCAUUGUGUAAUGCCAAAUCUCGUCGACAUUAAUAGCAUUCAGCUCCAAAGCCUCCAAAUUUGGCAACACUGCCUAAAGAUAAUUUUCUCUUUAGAUCCAAUAUCCAUAUAAGAAGUGCUUAUUGAGAGCUUAAUUAGUGAGUGUAUGAGAUUUUUUUUUUCAUUUUCUUUUUCUAAAUGAUUUUUUUUUUUUUUUUUUUUUUUUUGCACAUAUAGCAUCAAAUGCAAGUGCAUGAUAGAAUAAAAAAAAUGCAAUAUCCAUAUGAAAAACACUUGUGUGGGCCAAUUUGGUAUUACAGUUGCUGAUUAAAUAAAUUGCUUCUGCUGUACGGAUGUAAUAAGUAAUUGAUUAAAAAAGCAGGUAGGUGUUUGGUGAAUUAUGUUGUUUCAGUUGAUAUGAGUUUGAAAAGCAGCGUACAUGCGUUUGGUAAAUUUUAUUUUAAACUUGUUAUUUUAUCAUAUAAUGACCAAAAUAGACAUAAGUUUAAAUUACCUUUUAUUUUUUUGAAGUAUGUUUAAUAAUGUUUAGAUGUGUCAUUUUCUUUUUAAAACACGUAAAUUAUAUUAAGUGAAAAAACUUAAUAAUUUCUUACAUAAAAUACGAUAAAAAUUUAUACUAGUAUAUAAUCCAAAUAAAAUAAAAAAGUAAUAUGUAUUACUUUCAAAUUAAACUUGUUGCAAUAAACACCAUGACUAUAGAAAAAAUAUAAAUAUAUUGAAUGUUAAAAGCUAUGGUUAUGAAAUUGAUUUUUAAAGUUAUGAUUAAUUUUCAUGUAUAGUUCAAAAAAAAUUUAUAUAAUUACAUGCAAGUCUUUUUAAAUUUUAUUAUAGAAAAUACAAGUAUAAAUUGUAUAAUAUAAAAAAAAAUAUGAACUUAUUAGAUCAAAACUUUGAUAUUAGAGAGAAUAUAUAGUAGUUGUGGUGGUAAUAUGAUAUCUGAUGACUUAUAUAUUAGAGUGUAUGGAAAUAUAUGACAUAAUUAUCUUUGUUAAAAUAUUAAUAAGGUUAUGAUAGGAACUUUAAAAAGAUAUGGUAGCUUAUUUAAUAAGCUGCUCAUGAAAAGCAAUCUCUAUCUGCUUUUAAAAGUUACUGUCAAAAUGGAGAAAAUUAUAAAAUAAGAGUUUUUAUAAAAUUUACCAAACACUAUUUUUGUCACAGAUUAUGAAAUAGACAGUUUAUUGAGUUUUAACCUCAAUCCCAAACGGGGUCACAAUGCCACAUGAGAAGCACUUAUUGAGAGCUUAAUUUGUGAUUGCAGUUUUUACAAAAUUUACCAAACACUAUUUUUGUCACAGAUUAUGAAAUAGACAGUUUAUUGAGUUUUAACCUCAAUCCCAAACGGGGUCACAAUAGCCACAUGAGAAGCACUUAUUGAGAGCUUAAUUUUGUGAUUGCAUGAGUUUUUUUUAUUUAUUUUCUUUUUCUAAAUGAUUUAAUUUUUUUGCACAUAUGGCAUCAAAUGCGAGUGCAUUAUAGAAUAAAGGAAAAAAAAAGAAAAAGAAUGCAUUAGCCUACGCACCUUCUCGUUAAAAAGCAGAGUUGAAGUAUCCGAACUGAUCUCGUUGGAACUAGCUGUCAAUACCUCUUGUGACUCUUGUCUGUUUGGUGAUGUGGAAGGAGUCUUCACUUCACGGCAAAACCUUGUAACCUUUGGAAGCUUUCCCUGAGUCAAAGAUCUUAAUUGAUCAAACUCUAUCUUUUCAUCAACAUCAACAUCAGCUUCUCCUCCAGUUGCAAAAAUUUCUUCCAUGCUGCUGCAAUUGAUAACUGCAAUCCUCUCAAGUCUUGGAAGGCAUUUUGUACUACGAGAGAGCCAGAAGAUAUUACUCAACUCAUCACAAUUUUCCACUUUUAUGGUUUUGAGUUCAUUGAAGGACUCUUUUUUGAGUCGAUCAAUACAUAUCCUCUCCAUAUUGGUCAAAUUGUGAAGAGUAAGGGACUCCAAAAGAGGAAAGGCGAUACAAGGUUCCAAUUCUAAAACAACAUUCCUGAUUCCUUGCAACUUAUCCAAACAUAAGUAUUCAACGUUAUUGAUGCCCUGCAACUUCUUGGAGCAAAUGGCCAUAGAAUCAAGCUUGAGCUUCAAUGUUCUUAAACUCUCAUGAUUACUGAUCAUAAAGUGCGGCCGACUUUGAAACCAGUCCUUCCCAAUAACAUUGGUAGAGUCAAAAGAUCCAUCUCCUAUUGAUAUAUCAAACCUUUCCAGCUUUUUGGUAAAAAAGCCAUCUGGUAAAAUGCUAUCAUUUUUAACAUCUAUUUUUAAGGCGGUCAGUCGCUGCAAAUGCAUCAAUUCAUCGAGGCUGGCAUUACUUCUUUCACUAUUGGCUUUUCUCACUUCCCAUUCAAUAGAGCAGUUACCCAUAUACAGUUCUUCCAAUCGAGUGAAGCUUGAUAAGAUAUUGGGCACAAUAAAUUUUAGUUGCAAGCAAUCUGUUAAAUCUAGCAUCCUUAACUUAGUCAGUUGACCUAGUUCGUCAGGCAACAGUACAAUAUCAGACUUUACAAAGCUAAGGAUUUCUAGAUUCUUCAACUUUCCAACUAUGGCUAUGUCUCCCAACAUGCUUUGAUCAAGACACGGUGUUUGAAGAUUUGCUAGAAGACCGAUUGAAGAUGGCAAUGAAAAUAAUCGCACUCUUGUCAAAUCUACGACUCGAAGCUUUUUCAUCCCUUUGAAAAAGUUGUCAGGAAUAUUGACCUCGGAAAAAGUGAUUUGGGGAUCAAUAUAUAAAAAUUCAAGUUGCAGACAUUCAAAUUCCUCAGAGACUUCAUGAAUGCUACUAUUUAAUAAAGAGAUUGCAGAGCAUUUUUUAAGUGCAUCCUCAUCAGGCCACUCCCACACAACCUCAUUUCUCACCAAGAAAACAUGUUGGUCUCGACAUGCAAUUGAUACGGCAACAUCGCAGACAACAUCAUGCAUGGAAAAUUGUUCACUGCUAUCACCCUCAAGCAAUAAACAAGAGUCUCUAAGUUCAUGGACCAAUGCAUAUAAUUUGUUUCGUGCAUCUACCAUCCUGUUGACUCCUUGAAAUAUGCCCAAACCCAUGGAGUAUUUAAACAAGUCUGUAAACCAAAAACUGUUACCUAUUAGACUACAGAGCAGAAAAAUUUUCUUGAGUUGCUCACCUUUUAAAUACUUGAAACUCAGUUCAAUACUUGAAUAAGUCUCUGCAGGCACACCUUCGAAGUUUACCACUGAAGGCGUUUGGAGUUCUCGCAAGGCAUUCUUCCACUCAUGCAGACUCUUGUUUCUCAGUGCCCUCGCUACUGUAGUCAAGGCAAUGGGCAAACCUCCACAUGCCUGGGCUACAUUAAUUGCUGUAGACUUGAACUUACAAUUUUCAACAUCAUCACUAUUCAUUAUCUUCAACAAUCUCCAAGCUUCUUCUUCAUCUAGAUUGCCAAUCAAGAAGUUAUCUUUGGAGCCCAUACUUAAUAGUACAUUAUUGUCUCUUGCUGUCAGCAGUAGUCUACAUCCUUUAUGAUCAUUUCCGAAGGGACUUCCAACCGUCUCCAAAUCAACAUGUUUCCAGAUAUUAUCUAGAAUCACAAGAAUCUUAUUCUCACUCUUCAAUCGUUCAUACAGCUUGCUAGCUCUUCUAUAUUCAGCUUCAUCGGACAACUUCUCUGCAAUUUCCCCUCGAAUCUUUUUUACCUCUGGAGUUUAUGAAACCUCUGAAAAAACCACCCGAUCAAACAGCUUCUUUUCCCUGGCUUGCCUAGCAAACUCCUUCACCAGUGUGGUCUUUCCAAUGCCGCCUAUGCCGUACACCCCAAUAAUGCUGACAUUCGCCUCCGUCAAUGCAUUUUUUAUAGACUGCAAAGUAGAAAGUCUUGAUUCGAAGGCCUCGUAACCAUUGCUAGACUUAAGCCAUAUCUCCUCCCGAAUGGUACGGUGGGAAACAGUAUCAAACUUCUUAACUUCUUCUCCAAGUCAAUAAUGGCCUUCACCUCCGUCUCUGCUUUCUUGCCAAGCUGAUAGCGGGUCUUCAAAUUAGGACACAAGCCCUUGAGACAGCGCUUAUUUGUUGACUCCUCAUCUUCAAUGAAUUUGGCUGCCGGUCAAUGAUGCCGUUCGCACUAACCUGCCACUUUUCAACGUUCUCUUCAAUCUCUUCCCCUUUUUCUUCCGCCUCUGAAACUCUGUGCUGAAUGCUCGUACGUUCAACCUUCAACUUCUCCAUUUCCGCCUUGAUAUUCUCAAAGUUGGCAUUGUAGUUCCGCUUUCGCAAAUGCACAAGUUGGCGUUCAGUUGGAGGAGCCAAGCAUUUUACAAGUUCCAAGACGAUAGUCACAAUGAUUUCCAGCAUCUCGAAUCCUGACAAAAACGUAGAAGCGAAGAAAGCCAAAGGAAAGUAAAAACAAAGAGACAGCGAUAGGACAGGCAGUUCGUGUUUUUCAGAUGAAAUGCAGGAAACAAGAAAACGGUUUCUAUCACGACGUAAAGAGCUAAAAGAGCUGAUGGGUGCAGAAUAAGAAAUGAGACUGAGUGAGCAAAGCUAAAUAAUAACAGAACAAGAACAAUGAUGAAUAGAAGAAACAGUAGCAAAGAGCCGUUUAGAUGAUUAGAAUGAAACUAAGCGACUGGAAAGAGCCGAUGGUAGACUAAAGAGAAAGUGAUUGAUUAUUUUAGGAGGCCAAUUAACGUAAUGACAGAUCCGGUUUCGAUGUUUGUAAUUUGAGUAUGAGGUAAAUCGAUUCUUUGUCGAGCCAGUCAAAUACAAAGGCAAAUUAGUAAAACACGAGCCAGCAACUUUUACUCACACAAAAGCCAAUAAUAUAUUGAGAUCACGCAACAUUGCAAUAAAGUUAUCAUCAAGUUGUAGCCUUCUUAUUCAAUCAAUUAUAGCAUUAUCUCUAGCUCUGUAUUUUUCAAAAAAAAAUUAUUCAAAAGAUGUCUGUCAUUAAUUUUUCAAUGAUUAAAAUUAUAAUUUUUGUUUAAUAUAUAAAACGUAAAAUUUUAAAAGAAUCAGACAUGCAUUAGGGUAAAAAUAAAAAAUAUGGAGGUAGCUUUUAACUAGGUAAUUGGCUCAACUAUGGAUCAGUGUGACAUUUUAGUAUUAAGCAAACGGAACUUUUUUUUAAUUAAAUUAAUCUCAAAGUGAUAGGCUUCUCAUGAAUCAUGUAAUGUUGUCGUUUUUAAAGACUUGACAUUUUGGGGUAAUCAUAAUUAACAAUGCACAUCACUUGUUUGUCACAAUGUCCAAAUAAAUAAUUUUAAAAAAAAAAGUUAUUUUCAUUCUUUCUUUUCAGGUAUCCUAAUUCCUUUUGCAGUUUGAUUCCUCUUUUCCUGAAUUUUGUUCCUUCCAUUAAACUAAUAAUUUAUUUAAGGAUAAUUAAGCAUCAGCCCUCAAUUGUUCAGUAUUUCACACAGUGCACCCACAUCUUUUGACCAUGUGCACCUCCCCCUAUUUCUAUUAAAAAAUCAACUAAUCUAACUAUUUAGGCUGUUAUAAAUUUAAAAGACUAUACUACCCCUAUUUUGAAAUGAAUUGGGUAUAUAAGUACUAAAAUACCCUCACAACUAAUAAAAUUUAAAUCAAAAAGUAAAAAUUUAUUAUAAUAUUUUUAAAAUUAUAUGGAAACAAUUUUUUUUUCCGGAUUACGAACCCAAGAUUAUAACCUAGUAAAUUACAAAAUCAGAGGCAAAGCAUGAUUCCAAUGUGAAAGAAAAAAAAUCAAACAUUCAUCAGUACAUUACAAAAUAAGUCCAAUAAUCCCACUAGAAUAAAUAAAACCCAAUAGAAAGAAACCCUAAACUAAUGAUACCAAAAUCCAUGAGAGCAAAUUUCAUUGUAAAAUUCUAUUACAAAAUAAAUUUAUAUUAAGAAAAUUCGAUAAAAAGAAACCCAAUAAUCAAAAAUCUUAAAACUAAAGAUAUCAAACCCAAAAUUAAAUUAUAGAGGCGGCGAAGGAAAAAGGGUUUUUUUUUUAAUUAUAUAUAUUAUUUUAAUCUUGUGUUAAUUACCAUUCUACCCUUCUUUCCGUUAACAUUAGAUUUGAAAGAAAUGAGGGUGGUGGACAUGGUCGGAAGAUUGGGGGGCACAAUGCAAAAUGUCGAAACAAUUGUGGCUAAUGCUAAAUUACACAUUAUUUAAAUUAAAUUAUCCUAAUUGUAUUUGACUGUGACUGUGACCGGAACCGCUACAAUCACUUAGUAUUUUUAUUAAUUAAUUGACAAUAAUUUCAUCAUUAGACGGUACUAUGAUAGUUUUGUCACUAUGUUUGUUACCAUCUCUCAAAAAAAAAAAAUUACUUUUACAUGACGAAUUGUGUAACAACGAUUUAAUGAAAAAUAAAAAAACAGCACGACAUCUCGUGGCUUAACAUGGUAAUCAUGAAUAUCCCUUAUUUUCAAAUAUAUAUAUAGACCUCUUUUUGUAUUUAAAAAUAGUUACAUAGAUCCUGAAUUUGUGUGUCCGUGGAUAAAUUUUCAUGAUCAUUUUUUAAAAUAAGGGAUUUUUGUGACUAUUUUGUCACGUCCGAGGAUGCCGCCGUUCUUGUCACCAAAAAUUAUUCUCAUAAGAGUAAUGAUUAAUUGGACGUCAGCAAUGAGGGCAUGUAAUGAAAAAAAUUUGUUUUGGAUGGGAUCCAAUAAUUUUAAUUACCAUGGUGGUGACAGACCCAGUUGCAAAAUCAACUGAUUUUACAAUUCUAUUGAAAAUUCUUUAAAUGAUCACUUAUCUAGUUCUACUAUAUCCUUAAGCAUAUUGAUUUUGUUACUUAUUUUCUAGUACUUAUAUUUAGGCAUUGAAAUUGGAUUGCAUAACUAAGACGAUUACUUGAGCUGAAAAUUUUUCAAGUAUGGUGGAGGGGAAAGUGAGAGAGUCGCGGCUGAAGAAGAAAUAUUAUGAGAACUGCUAAGGCUAUAAGGCUGAUAAGCUUAAAGAGUCGGAACGAGGCUUACCAAUUCGCAAGCUUUUAUAAUUUGGAUUGUUGUGCUUGCAACUGGUAAAUUUUUCAACUUCAACUCGAUAUAAUGAUUUUUGAGAGAACCAUUUGUUGAUGCUGAAAUCUGCUCGUCCUUUUCCCGACCAGAUCUUUACACCAACGUUUAUGUAGUCAAUAGUGAGGAUGUCAAUUUCUUCUUGCUUCAACGAUCGCUCUAGUCACUGAAGUUGGAAUUGUCCUUCCUUCUCCCACUGAGCCUGCGUUCACAAAAGUAGAUAAGAGACGCCGGUGGUUUUACCGGCGUAAACCCUCCGAUGCCUAAGUUAGCACAAGGUGUUUACGGGAAAACGGUGCAAUUUGGAUUCGAUAAGUUGCUUAUAAUUGGCUCACAGUUUGUAUUAAAAAUGGUCUGGUUGCAAUUUGGUAGAGUUUUCCCUUCUCUCAAUUUUUAUGUCCCUUUCUUCAUUGAUUUCUUCCUCUUUUAUAGCCGUUGUCCCACGUUUCCGUUCACCCUUCAUCCCCCCUUAUCUCGGGUAGUGGCAGCCCCUCAUGGGACUCCAACCGCCAUAUCGUGGGUAAACGUGGGACACUGUGUCUCCCUCGACGGUUCUGGGCAUAGCGCAACUGUCGUGCUUUCGUGAGAUCGUGUUCCCGCUCUUUGGAGAAUGGGUAUAUGCUCGGUAUAUGUCUCUGGUCGGCCCAUGUUUGUAGAGGGCUCAUUAUCAGUGUUCUGCUCGUAUCAUUUGGCUGAGGUGAUCCAUGCUGGGGUGGGGGUGAUGGCCUGUCUGUGCUGGUGCUCUUAUUUACUCAACACCAGUCCCCCAAUUUCUGAUCUUGCGAGUGAAACGAGUUGAGAGUAGAAAUUGAAGUCUGCUCGUAUCUUAUCGAUCCUGGGAACUACCCAUCUGGUUCUCAUGUUAUUGUGGUGGGUCUGAGGUUCCAUCUCUCGUUUAAGGAGAUAUCGACCUUAAUAUGGGCCUUGACGAAUGUAUCUAGUAUCUACUUGAGCUUACAUCUCGUCGAGCCUUUUAUAACGGUUAGUGACGUGGCGCUUCCCGACUCUUUGUAUUUGAAAUUCGAAACGACGGGCUAUCCAUCCUCGAUAUACGGUGAGUGAGCUGGCAUCCCUAUCACUCAAACGCUUCCAUUUCCCCCUUUUUGUUUCAAAUCCCUAAACUAAAGUCAUCCUCGUUUUGCUUAUUCGCUUCUCCACCGGAAGACAACUCCUUCGAACUUUAUUCACACUUUCCGCGUCUGGGAUCUCCAUUUGCUGGGUCUUUUCUCUGUUACAGCAACGCUUAUCAGUGCCAGUCCAUUCCAGGUAUAGCCUUUAACCUCUUCUCUGGUUGUUGUUGAUUGGGUUUUGUAUUGUGGGUUCUGUGUUUGUCCCUUUUUUGUAUCCAUACUCUUAGAUAUUUUGUGCUUUCCCUUCUUAAACUUCGGUAUGUCCAACCGAAAAGGAAAAAGAAUUAUAGUCGAGAGCGAUGAAGAAAUAGAGGAUUCAUAUCCUCAUUUGUUUGGACCCAAUGAUCUUCUUCACUCCUCUCGCAGUGUAGGUCCCUCCUAUCAUAGGGAUACCCCUGAAUACCCUCGUCCCUUGGCCACUUCACCCUCCCCUGAAUUAGAGCUUGUAGGAAAUAGAGGUGGACCUGCGUCGGGCUCUAGUGAAAAUCAUGGUUCUGGUGGGGUUGGGGUUCCUGAAGAAGUGGGUGAUGGUAAGGGGAGCAGUUCUGAACCAAGCAGACCCCCUCAGAAGAGAAACCUCGGCCAUAGGGUGGAGGCAGAUUCUUACCCUAUUGAUUACAUAGCUUGUGCCACCACCCCAACUGACCAGUUCAAACUUAGGAAUCUUUACAACAUUCCCGAGGAGGUUCUCCUUGUAAUUCCUGGGAAAGACGACGUUCCUAGUCGGCCUCCGAGGGGGUAUGUGACGAUGCACCUGGAGAGUUUCAAACUAGGAGCUCGGCUGCCCCUUCAGCGCUACUUUGCCAAGAUACUGGGUGGUAUGCACCUGGCCCCAUGUUAGCUACACCCAAAUGGGUGGAGGGUUCUCUCAGCUAUGUAUGUGCUAUGGGAGAGGUGCGGAUCAGAGGAACCUUUCCUUGUUGAAGUAAAGCAUCUGUACCAACUGCGGAGUAGCCCAAAGGAAGCGGGUUGUUACUACUUCAUGUCCAGCUCUGCAAAGAGGAAGCCGAUUACCGGGUUUCCUUCUUCAUGUAAAAAUUGGAAGAACAAAUUCUUCUUUACUAGAGGAAAUUGGUGUCUAGCAGCCCGGUCGCUUGGUGGUGAUAUUCACCUUCCAACGCGCUUUGUCACCCCAGGUCGUUUAUUUAUUGCCUAUUUUCUUUCUCCAAUCGUCACUUAUUGGGUUCUUUAACCUUGUUUGCUAUUUCAGAGUCGUGGAGUUUGAUCGAGGGGAUUGAAGAGAGACCUUUGCUCCAGGUAGAGACUGCUUUGGUGAACGCGUCUACCUGCCAAGAUCUUUUGUCGUCAACAAACCUGGUCGGGUGGCGCUCAGUGGACAUAGCUGUCGGAAUGGACAAUAAGAUCCUCAGUGCAAUGACCAGAAAGCGUGGUCGGGCUUCAAGUAGCCCCAGUAACCCUCCUCCCCCUUCGAAGAAAACCAAUGUUGGUCCAUCCAAGGCUUCUGCUCCUGCUCUGCUCCCUCCUCCACCUCGAAAGAAUGGAGGAGAGAAGGUGACUACCAAGAGUCCUGAGGUCAGUAUUCAUUCAGGAGAUCGAUCCUCUCCUCUUCCACCUCGGGAUCAAGGUGACUAUCUAACCCCAUAUCAGAUGGACUAUGGGAAGUCCGUGGGGCCUAAAAUGAUUAAGAACAUCGAGAGCAUUAAUCUUGGUGAAUUGGCUGGUUCUGUCCAGCAGGUCUCCUUCAAGCUGGUUACUUUGGUGUCUUGUUAUAAGAACAGGGCCAUACGUCAUGAGAGGAGGCUUCAGACUAAUAACCAGGACCUGAAGAAGAAAGUUGAGUUUGUCGACCGCUCGAAGGAGAAGCUGCUUGAUCUGCACAAGCAAAUCAUGGACCUGGAGGAGAAAAUGGCCAUGGCUGAGUCCACCUCCAUCAAACUUGAGAAUGAGUUAGGUGAUCUGAAGUCUGAUCUCCAGGCCACUCAGAGUGAGUGGGACACCUUGAAGACGGCUCUUGAGGGAGAAAUCAAAUCUCUGAGUGAGCAGUUGGCCGAGGCGAAAGGCAAAUCUGCUGAUGUGGAUGAUCGGCUGGAUGCAGAGUAUGACUCUGGGGUUGCUUUCUACUAUAAAUGCAUUAUGUCUGUGCUUAAGGAAGAGUAUCCAGAGCUUAAUAUGAGCAAGCUUGAAGCUGGAGUGCAGAGGUAUAUGGCCGAGGUCGAUCAGGGGGACAAGGAGCAGGGUGACCAAGACCAGGUGGAGGCUCCCUUAGGUGGGGUGCAGGAGGAGGAAGCAGGGGAUCGUGCUCCUGAAGUAGGUCAAGGGUCAGUGCUUCCUCCCCCCGAUGCUGCUGAUCCUCUUCCUCUUGAGAUUGCUGAUCUUUCAGUUGCUGAGGUUGCUGAACCUCCUAAUCUUUAGGCUUAUUUUUGUAUGAAUUUUCAUUUUGUUUGCAAACGCUCGGAUGUUUAUAAAUUUUUGGAUGCUUUCUAUCGGCCUUUCUAUCUGGUUUUUUGCUCAUGGAUUGUUUUUGCAAAUUAACUUGACAACUUAUUUGAUUUUGCCUGCUGGCUCUUUGGUGGACCGAGCAGGAAUAUGCGCUUACUUGCCUUAGUAGAAUUUCAUAAAACUGCCUGCUGGUCCUUUCGGCGACCGAGCAGGAAUAAGCACUUGCUUGCCUUAGUAGAACUUCACAAAAUUACCUGCUGGUCUUUUGUUGACCGAGCAGGAAUAGGCACUUGUUUGCCUUAGUAGAAUUUUGUAGAAUUGCUUGCUGGUCUUUCGUUGACCGAGCAGGAAUAGGCACUUGUUUGCCUUAGUAGAAUUUUAUAAGAUGCCUGCUGGUCUUUCGUUGACCGAGCAGGAAUAGGCACUUGUUUGCCUUAGUAGAAUUUUGUAAGAUUGCCUGCUGGUCUUUCGUUGACCGAGCAGGAAUAGGCACUUGUUUGCCUUAGUAGAAUUUUAUAGAAUUGUCUGCUGGUCUUUCGUUGACCGAGCAGGAAUAGGCACUUAUUUGCCUUAGUAGAAUUUUGUAAGAUUGUCUGCUGGUCUUUCGUUGACCGAGCAGGAAUAGGCACUUGUUUGCCUUAGUAUAAUUUAAUGGGCUUGCUAGCAGGGGGAUUUCAUGCUGAAUUCAUCUUUAUUAAAACUUGAAUACAUUACAAAAAUGCGAAAUAUAUGCGUGUGCAACAAGUCAUCAUGCAUUUAAUAGAAAUAAUUUAUCAAAAUAAAGACUUAGUAGAGCACUUUGCUUACUGGAAAUACUUCUUCAUGUGCUCGGCGUUCCACGACCUCUUCACGUCUCGUCCAUUUGAGUACGCUAGCUUGUAAGCUCCUGGUCCAGUCACUCGUAUCACCCUGUACGGGCCUUCCCAUUUCGGGCCAAGAGCUCCAUGGUUAGGAUCCCUAGUGUUUUGGUUCACCUUCCUAAGUACCCAAUCCCUUGCUCGGAACUGCCUCACGCGUACGUUCUUGUUGUAAUAACGCAUGACUCUUUGCUAACACUGGGCCACUUUCUGCGAGGCCCCUUCCCUUUUCUCCUCUAGCAGGUCCAGGCUCAAGCAGAUCUGCUCGUCGUUUUGCUCCUCAUUGAAGUAUUCUGUCCGAUGUGUCCCCACUCCAAUUUCUGCUGGGACUACCGCCUCAUGACCAAAAGUCAAAGCAAACAGAGUUUCCCCUGUGGCGGUUUUGUGAGUUGUCCGGUAAGCCCACAAUACUCCUGGUAGCUCGUCGACUCAAGCUCACUUCUUCUCUCCUAGUUUGAUUUUCAGGAGUUUCUUUAUUACUUUAUUGGCUGCUUCCACAUGUCCGUUUGCCUGGGGGUGUGCGGAGGUGCAGAACUUCAGGUCCACCCCCAAGUUUCGGCAGAAUUCUCUGAAGUUGUUGUUGUCAAAUUGCCUCCCAUUAUCUGUAAUGAUGGCAUAGGGGAUCCCAUAUCUGCAGAUGAUAUUCUUCCAAAUAAAAUCCGUUGUUUUUCUCUCCUUGAUUUGGCUGAGGACUCCCACUUCUACCCACUUGGUGAAGUAGUCUAUUGCCACAAUUGCAUGUGUUGCCGCUCCUCGGCCCUUAGGUAAUAGACCAAUCAGGUCAAUUCCCCAUUGGACAAAAGGCCAUGGGGAUGUCAUGGUGGUCAGCUUUUCUGGGGGUUGUGCAGGAACCUCUGAGAAGCUUUGGAAGAUUUUACAGUUCUUUGCCAUCCUCUUCGCAUCCUGGUGCAUGGUUGGCCAGAAGUAUCCUUGCCGGAGUGCCUUAAAGGCUAAAGUUCUCACUCCCGAGUGAUUGCCACAUAUUCCUUCAUGAAUCUCCCUCAGUACAUAAUCUGCUUCCUCGUCAUCCAAACACCUCAAAAGGGGUAAGGUGAAUCCUCGGCGGUAGAGCACCCCAUCGUGUAGCGUAUACCUUGCUGCUCGGCAUUUUAAUUUCCUUGCUUGCCUCUUGUCCUCUGGUAAAAUGCCAUCACAGAUGUAUAAGAGAAUCGGGUCCAUCUAGGAUUCCUCGGUGCUUAUUCUCAUUACCUCAACUUCCUCCCUUAUAAUUGGCGAGGUCCUCACCUCUAGUGGAACUGACUUAGAUAAUUUCGGAUCUGCAAUUGCAGCCAUUCUCGCUAACAUAUCUGCUCGGUAAUUCUCAUUCCGGGAUAUCUGCUUUACCUCUACCUCUUGGAAAAGCCCAACCAUCUGCUUUGCCUUCUUCAAAUAAAGCCCCAUCUUCUCUUCCCUUGCUUGGAACUGAUCACUGAGCUGAUUACAGACUAAUUGGGAAUCUGCUCGGAUUUCUACCUUUUCUGCUCUUAGUGCGUCCGCAAGUCCGAGCCCAGUGAUAAAGGCUUCAUAUUCAGCUUGGUUGUUCGUGAGCUGAAACUCGAACUUCACUGCAUAAGUUACUUCGGUCCCUUCUGGGCUUCGUAUUACAAUUCCUGCUCCGGACCCUUGUUCACUACAUGACCCAUCAACCUUUACUAGCCACACCCCAUCCGGUUUAUCCUGCUCUAUUGGUUGCUCCUCCCGAAUUUCUUCCCCCGGUUCAGCACGGUCAACCAUAAAAUCGGCCAGGGCUUGGGCUUUGAUUGCUCCUCGAGGCCUAUAGGAUAGGUCAAAUUCGCUCAGCUCCACGGACCAUUUUACUAACCGACCUUAUGCAUCUGGUUUUUGGAGCAUUUGCCGAAGAGGCUGGUCAGUCAUCACAACUAUUGGGUGGGCCUAAAAAUAUGGUCAGAGUUUGCGCGCUGCCGUUAUUAGAGCUAGUGCCCAUUUCUCCAUCGGCGGAUACCUGGUUUCUGCGUCUACUAGGGCCUUGCUUGUGUAGUAUAUGGGGUGUUGCUUUCCUUCUUCUUCUCUGACUAGCACCGAGCUGGUUGCCCAUUUUGAGAUUGCUAAGUACAAAAAUAGUUGGUCACCCUCUCUCGGAGUUGAUAGUAACGGGGCGCGAGCCAGGUAAUCCUUCAACUGUCCAAACGCCUCCUCACAUUCUAAUGUCUACUCCAUCUUUCUCCAUUUUUUUAUGGUUUGGAAGAAAGGGUGGCAUUUAUCUGUGGCCCGCGAGAUAAAUCGGUUCAUUGCUGCUAAUCGCCCUGUAAGACUUUGCACCUCUUUAACUGUUCGUGGGGACCUCAUUUCUGUCACCGCCCGUAUUUUUUCCGGGUUGGCCUCGAUCCCUCGGUGGCUCACCAGGAAUCCCAAGAAUUUGCCCGAACUAACCCCGAAUGCACAUUUGUCUGGGUUCAGCUUCAUUUCGUACUUCCUCAGCAAUUCAAAGGUCUCUUCCAAGUGCUUCACAUGAUCCCUUGGUUCUUUGGACUUUGUGAUCAUAUCAUCCACAUACACCUCCAUAGUGUGACCGAUCAAUGGUUUGAAGAUCUUGUUCACCAACCUUUGAUAGGUAGCUCCUCCAUUUUUUAGACCGAAAGGCAUUACCCUGUAACAAAACAAACCCAUAUUAGUUAUGAAGGUGGUGCUUUCCUCAUCCUACUCGUCCAUGAGUAUCUGGUUGUAUCCGGAAAAGGCAUCCAUGAAGCUGAGCAGACUGUGGCCUGCUGUUGAGUCCACCAAUUGAUCUAUUUUUGGUAGGGAAAAACUGUCCUUCGGGCAUGCCUUAUUGAGGUCCGUGAAAUCCACACACAUUCUCCAUUUCCCGUUGGCCUUCUUUACCAGUACUACAUUGGAAAUCCACUCUGGGUAUUUGGCCUCCCUUAUAAAUCCUGCUUUCAGGAGCUUUUCCACCUCGGCAUUUAUGGCCUCGUACCUUUCCUGGUUAAAGCACCUCCUUUUCUGCCUUACCGGCCUUGCUCCUUUCUUGAUCGCCAAUUUGUGGCAUGCUACCAUGUGAUCAAUUCCUGGCAUGUCCUCAUGAGACCAGGCAAAUGUGUCUGCAUGGGACUGUAAACACCUCACCAGCUCGCCCUUUAUUGUCUCACCCAAACUUGACCUGAUCCUAACCACUCUGUUCGGGUUACUCCUACUUACAAAGACCUCCUCCAGAUUCUCAACAGGUUCCUGGCGGCCCUUUUUAGAAUCCCCUCGGUUAUCUAGAGAGGUAACCUGUAGCGUCUCCUUAGCCGCUGUAGCAUAACAGCUCCUUGCCAUUCUCUGGUCACCUUUUACUACCCCAACAACUCCAUUUACUCUAUACUUCAAUGCCAGAUAAUACGUGGAUAUAACGCAUUGGCUUAUCCUCAUGAACGGUCUCCCCAGUAUCAUUUAGUAAGGGCUUCUUUCUUCUACCACGACAAAGUCCAGCAUCAUCGUUCUUUCAAACGGCUUUGACCUCAUAGUAAUCGGGAGUUCGAUGAUCCCCAUGGGAGUUAACCGUCCCCCUCCAAAUCCCUUCAAAGAUGUAUUCGUCCGUUCCAGUUUCAAGUCUGAAAUUCCCAUAUCAUCUAAGGCCGACUUAAACAAGAUGUCAACCGAGCUGCCCGUGUCCACCAGUAUUCGCCGUAAUUCUGUACCAACCACCCUUGCUUUAAUCACCAGUGCAUCCUCAUGAGGAUAUAAAAUACCUUCUUCGUCGUCAUCUGUCCACAUAAUGGGAACCUACCGCACUUUGCCCUCUUGGCUGCUGGCAAAUUGAAAAGCACCUCUUUGCUGGUCAUGGCGUAUCUCCCAUAGUUCCUCCUUGCUCUGUUCGAAUCCCCGGCCAAUGUUGGCCCUCCUACUAUCACACGGAUAGUCGGUUGUUCAUGUUCCAGGCCCCUCUCAACUCCUUCAUCCCGCGUGUACUGUGAUUCAAUGACGGGGGACACUCCAUCUACAUAUUCAUCCAAGUACCGAUUUCUCACCAGAUCCUCCACCUGAAUCUUUAGGUCACGACAUUGGCUGAUAGUGUGACCAUGAGUAUCGUGGAAUUUGCAGAACUUGCUCUUAUCACGUCGGUGAGCAGGUUUUGUUAUAUGGGCCGGAGGGUAUAGCAGGCCUCGUCCUUCGAUCCUCUCAUACAAUUCUUCCAUGGAGAUUUUUAAUGGGGUGUACUGUCCAUACGCCAAGCUCUGGUCAACAAGUUGGACUACUCGGCUAUCAUGGAUAUCGCCCCGGGCUGAUAUCGUAGGCAACUAAUCUGGUCGUCCAGCCCUGGAGUUAGUUGUGUGUAGUGCUCUGGGAGCAUUGUGAUAAGGGUGGGCAGCCAACUGCCUGAAUUCUCGUUGCCGCUCCAGGAACGAGGGGCGCGGUGGUUGAGCUCGGCUGUGUUGGAGCUGUUGUGGUCUCUGAGCUAUGGGAUAGGGGCGGGACCGAGCUGAUAUUCUGCCCAUUACUGAGGAUUCCCUAGCUCGCUUUCCCGAUCCGCUCCCGUUCGGGGCUCUCCGUUCCUUUCGUCUCAGCUCUUCCAGCUGUUCGCUUUUUAUCCUCGCCGAUUUCUCCUCUUCGAUUUCUAUAUCUCUCCUCGCCUGAUCAUACCCCGCCGAAUAAUUCUGCACCAUGGGACUUAUCAAGUUAUACCACAGUCGGCCUAUUCUCACCCCUUCUUUUAAUCCCCUCAGUGCCUGCAGGUGAUUAAAAGCUCCCAGAUCCAGCACGGCUCGGUGAUAUCGUUUUAUAAAAUCCCGAAGGGAUUCAUGUUCCUCCUCUUUCAUCCCCAUCAGCUCCAUCAUGUCGUCCUCUAGGGCCACUGCUCCUCGAAACUGCUCGGCCAACUCUUGGCACGUCUGCUCGUACCCUUUUAUACUUCCUCGGGGCAGCUUGCGGUACCAUUCUUGGGCUUGUCCCUCUAGUGUCAACGGGAAUACCCUGCACCUCUGAGUUGGUGUCAGCCCCUGCACACCCGUCAUGUCAUUGAAACGUUCAAUAUGCACCAGAGGGUCACUUCGCCCGGAGUAUUUGAGGUCGGGGAAGCGAAAAUCUCUUGGGAUUACAGUACCCAUGAUUUCGGUUGAUAACAGAGACUCUUCAUCUAGCAUUAUCCUCCAGCUCGGGGGCUUUCUCUUGCCCUGAAUCUCCUCUAUCACCUGCGCCAAUCUGCGCACCUCUCCCUCCAAUUCUACAGCACGGUUAGGAUCGCGCGCAGCUAUCUGAUCUCGUUCCUGCUCGGCAUUCUGCAACCUCUGUCUGAGCUCUCCUUCAUUAACACUGGCCCCUCGGUCAUCAAUUUCCAGUACCUGUCCGGGGCGAGGUUGGUCCCUCUCUUCACCCACGCGCUCUCCUGGAACCCGACCAGUACUUCUAUGGGGAUGCACCCUAUUAAGUUGGUCCACCGGCGGAGGGAUUUUCUCGACUCUACGCCUCCGAAGGCUGGGUUCUGCUCCAACUUCAUCUCUCCCCAUGGGGGUUUCACAAUCCCUUCUCCGUUCAUCCCUCAGCUCAUAUAAUAUGGCCGUGAGAGUCUCCAUUUGUUUCUCCAUCCGCUCCAGUCGAUCUUGCAUUGUCCUCUCUUGAGCUUCAUUCGCAAUCUCCCUGAGAGUGAUUGUCUCAACAGUUUCAUUGUCAUCCCUCAAAGCAUCAUUCCUUGACGCAUCCAUAUCCAACCGUUCGCUGCUUCUCCGGUAACUACUAAUUUGGUGGUAGCUUUUUAUUCAACUCCCUACAGACGGCGCCAAAAUGUUGAUGCUGAAAUAUGCUCGCCCUUUGCCCGACUAGAUCUUUACACCAACGUUUAUGUAGUCAAUAGUGAGGAUGUCAAUUUCUUCUUGCUUCAACGAUCGCUCUAGUCACUGAAGUUGGAAUUGUCCUUCCUUCUCCCACUGAGCCUGCGUUCACAAAAGUAGAUCAGAGACACCGGUGGUUUUACCGGCGUAAACCCUCCGAUGCCUAAGUUAGCACAAGGUGUUUACGGGAAAAUGGUGCAAUUUGGAUUCGAUAAGUUGCUUAUAAUUGGCUCACAGUUUGUAUUAAAAAUGGUAUGGUUUCAAUUUGGCAGAGUUUUCCCUUCUCUCAAUUUUUCUGUCCCUUUCUUCAUUGGUUUCUUCCUCUUUUAUAGCCGUUGUCCCACAUUUCCGUUCACCCUUCAUCCCCCCUUAUCUCGGGUAGUGGCAUCCCCUCAUGGGACUCCAACCGCUAUAUCGUGGGUAAACGUGGGACACUGUGUCUCCCUCAAUGGUUCUGGGCAUAGCGCAACUGUCGUGCUUUCAUGAGAUCGUGUUCCCGCUCUUUGGGGAAUGGGUAUCUGCUCGGUAUAUGUCUCUGGUCGGCCCAUGUUUGUAGAGGGCUCAUUAUCAGUGUUCUGCUUGUAUCAUUUGGCUGAGGUGAUCCAUGCCGGGGUGGGGGUGAUGGCCUGUCUGUGCUGGUGCUCUUAUUUACUCAACACCAUUUACAAUGAUUUUGGCCUAUUGUGCUCUUCUAGUUUUGUCCUUAAUUCUUUGGUGAUUUUUUUUUUUUUCAGUUCUGCCGGUCGCAUCUCUCUUUCCCUUCCUUUAUUUUAUGGUGAGUGGACUGUUGUUGCCUUCAGCAGAGUAGUUACUAGUGAGAAAAUUUAUAUUUUUCUAUCAUGCUUGCUGAUUUUCUUAGAAAUAUAAGAAAAGACAAGUUUUAUCUGUCAAACAAUUCAUUGCUUUUUCACAGCAGUAUGUUAUGAUUUCUUUUCAGAUUAGGGAUUUUCACAUUGCAAAAAGGGAGUAAGAUAUUGGAUUCUAUGCUGGUUACGUGGGUGAGUUAUUUUAUGUAUUUUUAUUGUGUUUAAUAAAUGACACAUGGUAUGGAGUCCUUUUUUGGUACAAAUGUGCAGACUCGCGCCUUUACAACUCUGUAAAAACAUUCUAUUGAGGGCUUUACAACACUGUAAAGGCACUGUACAAGGGUUUUACACUGCAGACUUGCGCCUUUAUACUGUAAAGGGCCAAGUCUAUGCUUUAAAAAGUACAGAUGUUCGCACCUCGAAAUAAUUAACAUAUAUGUAUGUAACAUUUCAAAUUCCUCAAGAAGCCAUCCUGACAAACCUCUUAAUACCUUGAUGAAAUUGAAGGGUCUUCAUACAUGCUUGGCAGAGCUUUAACAUCUGUUUUGUGGGGAAUGGUGGCUGACCGCUGCGGUCGAAAGCCUGUAAUAUAAUAGGAUGCAUCACAGUAUUAGUGACCUCCAUUUUCAAAUGAUUAAGCUUGAAAUUGAUGAUACUUUGGCAAUUUCUGGGUUUCUUAUUUGUCUUAAAAUGCUCACAGGGUUUUUUUUUAACACUCUCUUUGGGCUUAGUGUGAAUUUCUGGAUGGCCAUAGCUACAAGGUUUCUCCUUGGGCUUUGAAUGGUUUACUUGGACCAAUAAAGGCGUUGAUUGGGGGUAUUUGUUGAUAAUUCCAAUUUAGUUCCUGAAAAUAUUUGUGCUCAAACUUCUCUUACACCACGAGGCAUAUGCAUGUGAAAUAUUGGGCGAUCAGCACCAAACUUAUUACGAAACUAAAAAUGUUACUUGUUUUCUGUACUUGCUUUCGCAUGCAUCACCCCCACAAAACUGCUUGACGAUUGUCCUCAUUUUGAACUUACUAUAGGUUUCAUUCUCCUUGUUUUUCAACUUACUCUGUACCCUUACAUCGAGAGGAUUAUUGGGCCAAUAAUCAUAACACGAAUUGCAGGGGGUAAUAUUUUGAACACCUCAUGCGGCAUUUGGACCAUUUGAUUGUUUGUUUCAAACAUAUCUGUUUAUAAAAUACUUUUCUUCAUGGUUUUGGUCCCAUAACUUUCUAUGUAUGUACGGGUUUUAUCGAUACCGCUUUUGACAAGUUACACUUACAUAGCAAUGCUAUCUGGGUUCAGCCUUGCCUUUUUGAUAAACUGUGCUUCUGUGAUGAAGAAUGUUUUAUCUGUAAGUGGAUAUCCUAAUCAUUGAUCCAUAUACUAAGGUUAUAUUAUCCAUCAGCAAGUAUGUAUAAAAUUAUUGUCUUUUUUAUUAGAAUUGUUGUAAUUCUUUUUUACUUUUCCUGAAUUGUAGAAUCAGGUGUCUAUAAUAACUGGAUUGUUCCUUGUGCAAAACAGAGCAGUGGUAAAUAUAUUUUCUUUUGUUUGUUUAGUACAUUUCCAUGCUUUCAGCUUUUUCAAAUUUUGUAUGUGCCAAAGUUUAAAUUAAUUGGUUGGUUUAUGGUAUAAUAAGAGGUAUGAUAAAUUUACUAAUGAAAUUUCUCACUAGUUUGUGAAUUACUUGGUGCUAAUUAGCUUAGUUAGCUGCUUAAACUAAAGUGCAGGUAACCAGAUGAUUUUUUCAUUCUGAAUUCGGUGGAGGCACUUGGAGUAAUAUUGACAUUCAAACCAUUUCUAACUCAACGUGCCCCGUGAAAUAUUCAAAUAUAUAUCAAGCAAAUUAAAGCUUUCAAAAUCUUUCAACAGUUUGAUUGUUUGAUGUGGUUGCCACUUGCCAUAUUUUGUGUUACUUUUCUAAAGGCUUAAAUAUGAAAAUGGUUGUUGGUGCUCACGCCAAUUGAUUGCUGGUAACAUUAAUUGUGCAGUACUUGUCAGAACUACCACAAUUUAUCUUCACAAUGAUGCUAGCUAGAAAGAAAAUUUCAUGUUAAGUAAAAUAUUGAAGCCAUAAAGAGUCUUAUUCCAGAGCCUUAUUAAGUACUAAGUUUUCUGCCAUGCUUUCAAAGUUUACAAAUUCGAAGCUUGGGAUUCUGUAACAAUGGAGGAUAAAAAUUAUAUAAGAAUAUUAUUUUGUACAAUUUUCAUACAACCAGACAGAAGCGAGCAUAAUUUUUUUUAUCAUAACUCAGAUCAAAAGACCUUCAAUGAUGUAUAAAAUGAAAUGAAAACGAUAGUUACCUCGAACUUUCUUCUUCAAAUUUCGCAGCACUAUGUAAUAAAUUAAAAAGCCUAUGGCAUCAGAACAUAUCGUACUGCGUCGAGAGAGACGACGACUCCUCCAACAGCUGAAAAUAAAUUCUCUCAUUCGUUAAUUUAAAGUAAAAUUUGUAAAUUUAGGUACUUGCACAUAGAGAUUUGCAAGGGGAGCGAGAGAUUCAAUAGCAGCAAUUUAAUUUGACAGGACUUUCAUUGAAUAAUGAAAUUAAAAACUAACGAUUAUUGAAUUUUUUAUAUUCUCUUAACUCUUGUGGAAAUGUCAGCUCUAAAUAGGACAGCUUCAAGAAUCUUUAUCUGAAAGUGUAAUUGGCAGAGCAGAAACUUGUGACACUAUCUAAAUCACAAAGACUCAACGUCUUCAAUUUGCUGAAAACAAUCUCUCGUUUUGAAUUUACAUUUGGAGCUCCAUCUUCUUCUUCGUCACCUAUUACCAUAUCUGUCAUUGCCCUGCAUCCAGCCACCUUCACUGAUACGAGCCGCACUAGACUUUUAGCUGCAGUGGAUUUUACAAUUCUUUGCAAUGGAAAACCACCAGUUCUGUUAGAUUCCCACAAGAUAUAGAUGAUCAUGGCAAUAGACUUAAAAGAUUUUUACAUGCAGUAAUAUACUCUUAAGUGGUGUUUGGUUGGGAGGAGAGAAUAGAAGAAAGGAAAGUAAUUUAAAUUCUCUUUUUAUUUCCAUUAUUUGGUUUGACAAAAUAUAUAAGAAUUUAAUUUCCAUUAGAAUUUGAAUUCCACACCAAGUAGUGAAAAAUUUAAAUUCCUCUUAUGUUAAAAACUAAAAUUUCCAAAACUAUCCUUCAAAUUUUUAACUUGUUUAAUGUCAUUAAUAAUUAUUAUUUAUAAUUUUAUUUUAUUGAUUUAAUAUUAUAAAUAGACCUCCACCGGUAAGUCGCCGGACCACUGUCGGACUUCGCCGGACCACCGCUGAACUUUCGCCAGACCACUGCCUAACUUCCACCGGAAAGUCGCCGGACCUCCACCGGAAUAUAGUUUUUCAUAGCGAAGAGCUUUGCUUUGAUGGCUUAAGGAUUUGUUCUAGGCAUACUGCUGUGAUUAGAUUUCGUUUAUUUUUAACUUUUUUUAAUCUUUUAUCCGAUGAAUGAUUUUCAGCUGUUCUUAAUUAUUUGUUCAUAGGGAAGAGCAUUUUCUAAGUACUUCCUUGCCUUCUAAGUUUCCGAAGAAAGAUAGGUGUGAAGCAAAGCAAACCAAACCAAAUGAACAAACAGAGCACAAACUAAAAUAACAGAACAGCAAUGAUGACAAUAAAUAAUUGGCAAAAAAAGAAAAGAAAAAAGCAUGCACAUUUUCAAGGAAAUAUAAAAUAUGAAGCUUUUAAUGAAAUUUUAUCAUAAAAAGUAUGCAAGUAUUUAACAAGAUGUUUGGAACGAUAGAAAAUGAAAGAAAAUUGAUUAAGAAGAUUCUGGAACAAUCAUAAUUCUUAUUGAUGAAACUGAUCAAAAUCGUACAUUGUGAACGAGCUCAGCACUAUUUAUAGUUACACACAUGCUGAUUAGAAAGUGUAGAGCUCAAAACUGCAAUAUUAACAAACUAAUUAACCUUCCAAUCAUAUUAAGCCAGCUGGACAGUUAGUUACAACCAAUCAGUACAAAUAACAACCUAAUCCAGCUUGGCAACUUUGUUACACAUCAUCAGCCAGCUCAGCUUAGCAAACUUACACUCUUAACAGCAAGGAAUUAUAAAAUUUUAGAAAACAAGGGGAACCCUAAAAAAAAAACUCAAAUUAAACUAGGCUAAAAGACAUUCAAUGAUGCAAAAUCUGUCCAUAAAAUUCUGAACGAAUCAUUAAAAUAGCAUUCCAAAUUUAACAGUAAACCGAGUGACCCAUUCUAAAUAAUUCAGAUGAAAUUGUGAAACAAGCCAUGAGAUCAAAUAAAUGAAAUAAAAAUUCGCAACUCCAAGUCAUAAGAAGCCUAUGAAAUUAGUCGUAAUGCGUAGACAACGACGACGGCACCGUCAACAGCUGAAAAUAAGAUUCUUAUUCAUCAAUUUAAACUUUUACUUUAUAACAAACAUCUUAUCUAUAUUUUAUUUAAAAAAAGAAAAUUUUGUAAAAUUUUUCCAUGGGAGAUAGAGAGUAAUAUGUAUAUACGUACCUUCUCAGCAUGUAAUUGUUGUAUGGUUGUGUUCAGAUCAUUAUUAGCCCAGCGCCGUUGAUCCGCUGUCUCUCCAUAGCAGACGUUUACUCUUGGAGGCGUGAUUGAUUCUCCUGUAGUGAAAAUCUUCAUCUUGGGACAACCAAUCACCCACAAAUCUUGCAAAGAUGGGAAUUUGAAGGUGUAGUUGGCAGAGCUGAAACUUGUGAAGCUAUCUAAAUCAAACAGUUCCAACGUCUUCAAUUUGCUAAAAACAAUCUCUUCUUUUUCAACUCCAUCUUUGUCAUUUAUUACCACCUCUGUCAUUGCUCUGCAUCCACAUACUUGCACUUUGACGAGUUGCACUAGAGUUUUUGCUGUGGAGGAUGUUACCAAGUGUAUCAAUCCCUUGCAACCGAAAGCCACCAGAGCUGUUAGGUUCUGAAAAGAUACCGAUGAUGAUGGCAAUAGAAUUAACAGACUUUGACAAUGAUGUACUUUUAGAAUUUCAAGAUACUGAAAAAUGGGGCCAAGUUUGGAGUCUUGUUUGCACAGCUGCUUCAGAUGAUAGUGCCGGUUCAGCUGUAAUUUUUUUAUCAUUGCCAACUUCCCCACAUGUUUCUCUAAGCUUCCUUCCUCCGAAAAUACCUCUUCGUUGAAUGAAAAAAAACACAGUAUGAGCAUUUCCAGAUUGUGAAAUCUCUCCAGUACGUUCCAGACUGGAAAACAAGCUGAGUCAUCUCCAGCAAUCUCUAGUUGUUUAAGACUGCCAAAAAGGUGUUGUGGGAAAUCGGCCUGCAAAAUCAUCUUCACAUCUUUUCCACUUAGUGAUAGUUCCUUCAAGUUGGGUACGAUCUGAUCAUCAUCAAUCAUAAUAACUAAUGAGGUCAAUUGAUGAUCUACGGUCACACGCAGUGACUUUAUAGUAUUUGUUUUAUAUUAUAUUUUUAAAAAAAAUUGAACUAUUGAUAAAAUUUAUUUUAUAUGUUAAUUUUAGAGGUAAAAAAGAAAUUAGGGAAAAAAGGUUGAUUUAUACUGGCUCGAAAUUAUUUUAUUGCACAAUAAUAAAUUACUAAUUUAUUUUGUAAGUUCUUCUAUAUGGAAAGACUAAGGAUUCUUUUAUAAAUGCUAUACCUAAAACAGUUCAUAUAAUUAUUAAUCUACCACAUUGAUCCCUUAGUCUAGACUAGCAAAGAUUAUUGUAUAAUAAAAAUUUUUAAUUUAUUGAGCAUUAAUUUAUCGAUGCUUUGUCAUAUUUUUCAAAGUUAAAAAUAAGCUAUUGAUAAAAAAUCUAGAAAAUGACUUCAUACCUUUUCCAACGGCAAUAGGAGCUGUUGUGCAGGAAUACCAAGUUGAUCAUUCUCAUUAUUCUGCGAUAAAUCUCCAGCGAAUAUCUUUAAUUUGUCACAACGAUACACUAAAAGACUUUCUAGCGCGGGCCAUUCCAAAGUAUGCAUUCCAGUGUACAAACAUCUAAGUUUUGGUAGAUGUUGGAGUCUCAGAGUGGUGAGCUGUGGAAAGACAAAAUAAGGGCUCACUUGAUCUGCUCUGUUUUCAGAAAUGAUCUCCUGUAAAUCCUCACAGAAGCGUAUAUCUAGGUGUUGGAGCUGCUUAAGGCUUCCGAUCAUAGACGCUGAAAAUAGGUAUUUUAAUUUGUGACAAUGCCGCACAGUCAAUCGUGUUAAAUUUUGAAAGCGAGGAAACAUGACCGGAAGAUGAUUGUAGUGCCAAAUCUUGUCGACAUUAAUUUCAGAUAUCUCCAAAGCCUCCAAGUUAGGCAACGCAACCUAAAAAAAAGAAGAAUUUCUCGUUACAUCCAAUAUGCAUAUGAGAAGCACUUGUUGAAAUUUUCGUCUUCGAUUACAAAUUAAUGCAAGUCAAAACCAAUUUCUAACUGACAGAUAAGUAUGCAAUCUAAUUCAUAUUACUUGUUAAGAGCUCAAUUAGUGAGCACGUGAGAUUCUUUUUAUCCUUUUUUCCAUUUUCUUUCAAUUCUUUAAAUGAUUUAAUUAUUUUCCACGUAUGACAUCAAAACAGAACGCAUGACAGAAUAAAGUCUGUUAUAUAUAUAUAUAUAUAUAAAGAAAAUGUUAGCCUACGCACCUUCUCGUUGAAAAGCAGAGUUGAAGUAUCCAAAGUGAUUUCGCUGGAGCUAUACGGAGUCGUCGAUUCCUCUUGCGACGCUGGUCUGUUUGGUGAUGCUGAAGGAGUCUUUACUUCACGGCAAAAACUUGUAACCUCUGGAAGAUUCCCCAGACUCAAAGAUCUUAAUUGAGCAAACUCUAUCUUCUCAAUUGCAUUAUCAACUUCUUCCCCAAUUGCAAAAAUCUCUUUCAUCUUGCUGCAAUUAAUAACUGCAAUUCUCUCAAGUCUUGGAAGGCAUUUUGUUGUAGAGAGCCAAAAGAUAUUACUCAAUUUAUCACAAUUAUAUGCUUGUAUGAUUUUGAGUUCGUUGAAGGACUCUACUUUGAGCCGAUCAAUACAUAUCCUCUCCAUGUUGAUCAAAUUGUGAAGGCCAAGUGACUCCAAAAGAGGAAAGGCAUCACAAGCGACCAUCGCCCUUGAAUCGACGAUGCAAAAGAAGUCAGGAUUAUUUUGAACCCAGACAAGCUUCAAUUGUGAAAAGCCCUCCGUGUCCAAAUUGAAAAGAACGUUCUUGAUACCUCGCAGCUUGUCCAACAAUAAGUAUUCAACGUUAUUGACGCCCUGCAAUUUCAUGGAGCAAAUGUCCGUAAAAGCAAGCUUGAGCUUCAAUGCUCUUAAACUCUUGCGAUCACUGUCGAUCAAAAAGUGCUGCCAACUUUCAAACCAAUUUUGUCCAGCAAUCAUGGGAUGUGUGAAUAACCCAUUUCCAAUAUUUAUUUUGAACCUUUCGAGCUUUCUGGCCAAAAAGCCUUCUGGUAACAUACUCUCAUUUUUAACAUCAAUUUCUAGAGUGGUUAGCCGAGGUAAAUGCAUCAAUUCAUCAAGGCUAGCAUUACUUCUUUUGCUGUUGGCUCUUUCAACCUCCCAUUCAAUGGAGCAAUUACCCAUAUACAAUUCUUCUAAUCGGAUUAAGCUUGAUAUGACAUUUGGGGCAAUAACAUUCAGACGGAAACAGUCUGUUAAAUCUAACAGCCUUAGCUUAGUCAGUUGACCCAGUGCUUUAGGCAACUCUACAAUAUCAGACCGCACGAAGCUGAGGAUUUCUAGGUUUUCCAACUUUCCAAUAAUGGCUAUGUCUAUGCCUCUGAAAAUGCUUUGAUCAAGACAAAGUGUCUGAAGAUUUACUAGAAGACCAAUUGAAGAUGGCAAUGACAAUAACCGCAUUCUAGUCAAAUCCAAAACCCGAAGCUUUUUCGUCCUUUUGAAGAAGUUCUCAGGAAUAUUAGGCACAGCAAAAGAGUUCUUGGGAGACAUGAGUAGAAGUUCAAGUUGUAGAGAUUCGGACCCUUCAGGAAUGUCAUUAAUAAUACUAUCUUUUAAAGAAAUUGCAAGAUAUUUUUUUAAUUCAUCUGCAUUUGGCCAUUUCCAAUCAUCCUCAUUUCUCACCACAAAUCCAAUUUUGUCACGACAUGCAAUUGAAAUGGCAACAUCACGAACAACGUCGUGCAUAGAAAAGUAUUUACUGCCACCAUCCUCAAGCAACAAACAAGAGUCUCUUAGUUGAUGGACCCAUGCAUCUAAUUUGUUAUGUGCAUCUUCUAGCUUGUGGACACUUUUAAAUACACCCCAGCCCAUGCUAUAUUUGAACAAGUCCAUAAUUGGUGCUGGCGUAAUAAGACUACACAGUAAAAAAGUUUUCUUGAGUUGCUCACCUCUUAAGUACUUGUAACUCAGCUCAAUUGUUGAGUAUGCCUCUGCUGGUACUCCUUCGUCGAAGCUCGCCUCUGAAGGCGUUCGGAGUUCUUGCAAGGCAUUCUUCCACACAGGCAGCUCUUUUUUCCUCAGUGCCUUUGCUACUGUGGUUAGGGCAAUAGGCAAACCUCCGCAUGCCUUGGCUACACUUGUUGCUGUAGAUUUUAACUCACGAUUUUCAACAUAAUCACCAGCCAUUAUCUUGAACAAUCUCCAGGCUUCUUGUUCAUUUAAAAUGCCAAUCGAGAAGUUUUUUUCAGAUCCCAUCCUUAACAGCACAUCAAGAUCUCUUGUUGUGAAUAAUAAUUUACAUCCUCUGUGCUCAACUCCAAAAGGAACUCCAAUAGUCCCCAAAUCAAGAGGUUUCCAGAUGUUAUCCAGAAUCACAAGGAUCUUCUUCUCAUUCUUCAAUCUUUCAUAUAGUCUACUAGCUCUUCUAGACUCAGCUUCCUCGGACAACUGUAGGCCUAACGUUACCGCAAUUUCCUCUUGGAUCUUUUUUAUGUCUGGACUUUGGGUAACCUCCGAAAAAGCCACCAUAUCGUAAAGCUUGUCUUCAAUGGCUCGCCUUGCAAACUCCCGCACCAGUGUCGUCUUUCCAAUGCCGCCCAUGCCGUAGACGCCAAUGAUGCUGACAUCAACAUCGAUCAAUGCAUUUUGUAUGGCCUUCAAAGUAGAAAGUCUUGAUUCGAAGGCCUCGUAGCCUUUGUGAGACUUGAGCCAAAUCUCCUCCGGAAUGGUACGGUAGGAAAUUCUAUCAUCAAAUCUCCCAGCUUCUUCUCGGAGUUUAAAAAGGGCCUCCUUCUCUGUUUCUGCUUUAUUUCCAUGCUGAUAGCGAGUAAUCCAAUUAGGAAACAGCCCCAUGAGACAUCGUUCAUUUGCUUUCUCUUCGUCUUGAAUGAAUUUGGCUGCCUCCUCAAUGCUCUUGUUCGCAUUAACCAGCCAUUUCUCAACCUUCUCUUCAAUCUUUUCACUUUUUCUUUCAGCCUCAGAAACUCUGCGCUGAAUGCUUUCUCUUUCAUCCUUGAGCCCAUCGAGUUCUUCCUUGAGAUUCUCAAAGUUGGCAGCGGAGUUAUACCAAUAACUAAAUUCGCGUUGUGCGUGAGGAGACAAGCAGUUUACAAUGCUUUUCAAAAUGUCCAUUUUUUUUUUUUGGUUGGGGGGGGGGGGGGGGGACGAAAUAGAAAUAGAACAGGGUCAACGACCGCGCAAUUGAUAAUCAAGUAGAAGCAAAACAAGGCAAAAUUGGAAAAAUAAAUUAUAUUUGUACAAAACAAGGGGAAAAUCAGUGUAACAGAAGAGAAUCAAAGUGUUUUUGAGAUCAGAAAAUUGAACCAAGAAAAGGGUUGCUUGAUCCAAUGAAAAAGCAAAGAGCUGAUGGCAAAAGGGAACAAAGAUAAAUAAGAAAACGGCUAGUACGAGCAGCGACCACGAUGAACAGAAGCAAAGUGUUUAUGAGAUCAAAAGACGAAAAUCAGGAGAGGUUUUCUUGACUGAGAAUUGAAGGCAAAGAGUAGGAGCUGACGAAUACGGGGAUCAAGAGGGAAAAACUGCUUGCUCGUAAAACUACUUUCAAGCGAAUCUGAUAAAAUUAUUUCAAUACUCGUGGGCGACUCCUUUUUAAACUGCAGAAGGAAAAAAAAAAAAAAAGAGUUCUGAAUUUCAAUAUAUUAAUUUUUAUCCUAAUUUAUGUUGAGAUUCGUAAUCUCGUCUCAAUGAUUAAUUAGUAGAUAUUCUUUCUAACAAAUAUGUGUUGAAUAGAUAUAUUUCUUGACUAUUAGUAAGUUAGAUAUAUUUUGGCAUAGGAAUGAAAGUACCAAGUUGUGUCAUAUUAGAAUAAAAAUUUGAGCUAAAAAUAUUUUUCUAUGACCUUUUAAUUAUUUGUCAGCAAAUAAUUAAGUCAUAUAAAAAAAUUAAUAAUCUGAAUUAGUCUUUAAGUAUUAUAAAUAUUAUUUUUAUUUUUAAUUAUAAUAUCAUUAUUUAAAAAUAAUUGCUUGACUUAUAUUAGUAACAUUACGAUUGUCAUAAAACAUGUGAUCCUGAUCCAAUAUCCAUUAUUUGUGAUCCUUAAUCAAUAAAAUAUCUAACAAUAUCUUCACCUAAAGUUUGAGACAUGUGAUCCUUAUUCCACUGCGUCAAUUACACUCCAGACCAAUGCUGCCGUCAUUAUCGAACGGUCGAUAUCCAACACUUGCACGAAGAUUCCAAGAAGUUGCGUGGCUGCCGACUUUUAGAUGCAAAGCCUCAUUGUGUCGAUGUUACACAAAAGAGAGCAAGUCCGGGUAAUUGCCGAAACUUAGAACUAAACAGUAGCUUAGUCAGAAAAUCAAACGCCAGUACCGUUAAAAUGACCGAUAAAAAUAUAAAGAAACCAAAGCUUUAAAAGAAAUCAGCCAAAUCACGAAGAUUGAAGAGUAAAUCUAUGGUUUUAGAUUUUUAUUUUAUUUUUUUAGAUAAUAGAUAUUAUUUUGAUGAAUUUUCAAUAUUAGAAUAAUGUUAGGAAUUUCGAUAGUAGAAUUCUAACUUGAGAUCCAAUUGUUAUGUAUCAUUUUUUUAUUGGAUAAUGAAUUUCAUAACUAGUAAAAUUAAUAUUUCGAUCAUCUAAUAAAUGACUAUCAUAUCAGUUGAGACUCAAUUAUUGGGAUCCUUAACAUUGCUCUUACUAUUAAAUUGGACAUCUUAGCUAAAUCAAAUUAAAAAUCAAAUUAGAUUUUAGGCUUUUAUCCAACAUCUCUUUUUUUUUUUUUGGUCUAUUUGAAGUGAACGAAAUAAAAAUACAACAGGUUCAACGACUGGGCAGUUGAUAGUCAAGUAGAAGCAAAUCAAGGCUAAAUGGGAAAGAGAAAUGAUAUUUGUGCAAAACAAGGAGAAAAUCAGUGUAACUGAAGAGAAUCAAAGUGCUUUUGAGAUAAAAAAAAUUGAAGCAAGAAAAGGGUCGCUUGAUCAAAUGAAAAUGCUAAGAGCUGAUGGCAAAAGAGAACAAUGUUAAAUAAGAAAACAACUAGCUCUAGCAGCGACCACAAUAAACAGAAAAGUUGAGAUGGAUUUACAAUAUUUCUGUCUUUCUUCAUGCUUUAACAAAUAUUGCUCUAUAAAAAAAAAUAUUGAGCGUUUUUAUUAUUGGAAUCACAAAAGACCUACACAAUAUAGCAAGUGACUAGGAAUAAAUAAGAAUAUAUAACUCUCUCUCUAAUUCUCACUCUAGCUUUUAAUUGUCACUCAAAACCCAGAAUUCAUCCUUAAAGUGUAAGCAAAUAAGAGAUGACAGCGUCUGGUUGUCAUACGUGCCUUUUAGUUUUCGGAUGACAUGGGGUACACUUCUUCUGUAAACCGAACACGACAUGUCGUACUCUUUGUUUUGAGAUCAUAUUUCAAACUCUUCAUGCUAUGAAUGAAAGAUAAACUACAAUAAUCAAAAUAUUUAGUGUUUAUUUGGUAAUGUAACGUUAUAGUUGUUGUGAAUUGAAAUUAUUUAUGUAAGAUAAAAGGAUUUGGGUCAUCGUUUGUUAUUCUCUGGCAAUAUUGUCUGGCCGUGACUAUUUGAAAUUAUUUCUAUAAGAUAAAAGGAUUUGGGUCAUUGUUUGUUAUUCUCUGGCAAUAUUGUGUGGCCGUGACUAUUUGUUAAAUAUUUAAAAAAUAAAUUUAUAUUUAUUAAGUAUAAAAAAUAAUAAACAAACAAAAAUAAAAGGAAAAGUUUAUACAUUACAUAAACGAACAAUAUCAAUAUUUCACACUAUAAUUGAGUGAUGUGUUGUCCAACUGCCAUACAUUGGUCCCAAAGAGAGACUUAAAUAUUAAAGUCCAAAGUUAUUGUGAUGAUGACUUAUAAUCGCCAAACUUGACAUAGGGGUAAUCAUGCAUUAUAAGGUGCUGAUUUCUUCUGAUCGAAACCUUAUUUUUCAUUUACAAAUAAAUAAAUGAUGUAACUUCACGGUUGGCGGGGUCCUUUGUGUCAUUUGGGCAUUUCACUAAAUGAUUGAUUGCAGCAGGAUGAUUCCUGGAAGUUGCCAUUUGCCAAUGCUACUAACAUUUUCAAACUUGGAAAACCCUUCAAUCAAUCUUUUAGUGGUAGGCUCUGGUAGCUUGGUUUGAUUAUGACAUAUGAUUAUUUGAUAAUAAAGCUAGAGGAUGUAUUAAUAUAAAAUUUGUUUAUUGGUGUUGAAGUUAAUUAUCUCAUUAAUAAUGGUAUGAAAAGUUAAUUACUAAGAAAAAUUGGUGUCAUAUUAUUGGGAUUCUGGGAUAUAAUUUUAUAUCAUAACUUUGUAAGUGUAUACUUACUCAUCAAACUAAUAAAAUUAUUUAAAAAUUUCAGUUGGAAAAAAUAAAUUAUAUUAUUUUCAUUUCAAAUAAUCUAUAAGUUAACUCAAAACAUAAUCAAGCUGAGAAUUAAAAUAAUGCUACUGUAUGAGAGGAUUUUUAUUUUUUCCCGAAGUUUCACUAGGAAAUUAUUGAUACAUAGCUUUAUUCGGAUCAUCUAAGUUCAAACGACAAAUAAUUGAAAGACUAGCUAAAUAGACCAGCCAACAACUUUGCACAAGAGAGUUCAAAAAUUAAGGUCAUGGUAUUAAGGUGUUCUAUCUUGAAAAGUAUAGCAUAGUAAUAAAAUAAAAACUAAUAGUCUUUGGUAAGAUAUGACAUUUAAAUAAUAAUUUUCACAAAAAUACAAAGAAUAUUUAUAAAGUACUUCUGUAGUAAGGACACCCUCACUUUGUUAAAGUGAAAAUAUCAAUAAUAUACAAAAGACAUAUAUUUUAACACAUUAAAAAUUGUAUUUUUUAUUUAUUUAUUGGUGCAUUGAAAUAUGUGUUAUUUAGUUUGUUAGUGAUAUCAUUACUUUGUUAAAAUGAGAAUGUCGUUACUAGAGAAUCAUUAUAUAUACAUAUAUAAAGUGCUUCUGUCCAAGACCUAGACUUUAUUAAAAUUUAAGAAAGCAAAUAUAUUUUAUAUGGUAUAAUAGUGUAAUAACAUCACACAAUUAUAUCAUAUAGAGUAAUAGUUUUUCGAACUUUAAUAAAGUUCAAGAUUAUAGAAUGAAUGAUUUUUAUAUAUUAUAAAUUUUUUUAUCAUAAAUGGAGGACAAAAUUAACAUAUUUUCAAAUUAUAAUAAGUAUUUAUCAAAUAAUUUAACAUUGCAAUUUCUCCUAACUAGUAUAGUGAAUAAUACGACCUAGGAGAUACAUUCAAAGCAUUUCAUAAGUUAGUUGUUAAUAAUAAAUGAUAUAUGCAGCUCCAAUCAUCAUUGUACGGUGAGUAAUUUCCAGUUAUAAAUAGAUAUUACUCCCUUCCCAGCAAUUUUUGAUGACUUAAUUUAGUGGGAUCAAAAUCAACAUUGAAUUUUUGACCAGCUGCGAACAACUUGUGAGCAGUUCACAGUGGGUACUGCACAUUAUGCCUGUUUCUCCUUUUGCAUCUAUUUUAGUUGUUAACAUUAAUUUCAAUAGCAGCUUGUUAAUCCCAAUUGUUGAUUUGGGACUAGAUAAAAAUUUAACUUGGAACUCCAAUUCUCCCAAUUAUUUUAGUUGACAAUAUGUUUAACAUUAUUUUUUUAACAUUGUUAAUUGCAUAUUAUUUAAUUAUCAGUAUAUAAUAUUCUUUAAUUUUCUAAUUUUAUAGGAUUAGACACAAAAUUGAUUAUGCCUUUUGAAAUUUAAGGGUUAUGUCAAUUGAGUAGAAAACUUGGAGGUAAACUUGUGGAUGUUUUUGUUGAUUAUCAAUUUAUGCAUGAAUUUUUGUACGUUUACUUUGGUUUAUAAUUAUUACUUUUAAACAUUUUUAUUGGUUUGAUUUAGGGUCAAUUUGGUAAUCCUGUAGUUUUUAAAAUAAUUACAAUUAGUUAUAUUGUAGAAAUUGAUCAAUCGUCAAGAGAAUCAGCUGAAUAUUUAGUAAAAUUUAUUUUUAAAAGCACUUUUAGUUUUAAAAGCGUUGUAUGAAUAAAAUUGUUACACUAAAAAUUAAAUGUAUUGCCCACUUGGGUAAAUAAAGCUAUAUAUUACAACUGUUACACUAAAAAUUAAAUGUAUCUUAAACCCAAACUUCUUCUUCUAUUUUUUUGACUAACAAAAUUAAAAACAAUAGUGAACACAUUCUUUAAUAAACAAUAAGUAAUAACUAAAAUCGUGUUAAAUUUCUUAAAAAAUUUCUUUCACGGUUUGCUAAAUAUUUUUAUUAGUAUUUUGAAUAAAUAAAAAUAGUUGAUUUAAUUUUUUUAAAUAAACUUAUUAGGUUCAUGUAAAGAUGUUUUUGUUAUUUUAAAAAGUGUAGAAAGUACUCCUAAAAAAACGUAGAAAGUGAAACUUAAUUUUUUAAAUUUAUUUGCUGAGUGCAUAAAUAAUUGAGUGUUCAUAAUGAUUUUUAAAGUAUAGAUAGUCGGACCCUAAUUUUUUAAUAUAUGGAAAUUUUGCUAAUAUGUUAAUGAGAAUUAAGAAGAUAAUUAAGGGAGGCAAUCGAGACAUUCAGGAUAGUUAGGAUGGGACAUGAUUGUGAGUGGUUUGAUAUUGGUCCUAAUUUUGAUCACAAAUAUAUAAACAGGACGAGUUUAUCUCUACUUACAUUCCAUUUGAUAAUUAAGAUGAGAGCGGAAUUGUCAAAUCUCAAAUCAUCCUGAACCAUUGCCAUCAAAGGUACUCUCACUAAUAAUAUCUAAAGAAAAAUCUACAUCUAUUUCAUACUUUUUUUUUUAAACGGAAAGAGCCCUCAUGGGGCUUGAAAUGUUAUCCUAAAUAGUAUUAAGAAUAUCAAGCCAUGAUUGGGUUUGAGACAAACAAAUAUUACAUAGUUAGGAUACGUAGUUAUAGUGUCCCAAUUUAUGUAGUAUCUAUCAUUUAGUGCACAUAUAAAAUAUUAAUCAGCUUAAUUAAUUUAUAAAAUUUAAAUCUAAUUAAUAAGUGAUACAUAAAAGCCAAGUGCAAUAUUGUAUAUGCAAAUCAUGUUUGUGGAUCAUUACAAAACGGCUCUUGAAAACAAGCAAGAAAGCUUAAUUAAGAACUUAAAACAAAAAGAAUUAGAUUGAAAACAGUCAAGCUUUAUUUUUUCAAGGAUGGAGCUUAUAAAUCUUCAAGUACCAACAUAUGCUUGGCCCAAUUGUUGUUAUUAAAAUUUCAAUAUACAUAUAUAAGUAUGAUAUAGCAAAAAUUUGAUGGUACAUAUCUCGGAAUAUACUAGUUCAUGGAUGCAUUUGAUUAUUGUUUCCAUAAAUUUGAACCGGGAAGGAUGACAUGAUAAAAUUUGAUUUUAUGGUAUGGUUGAUUUCAGAUCUCAUGCCCUCAUUUCUUAAGAUAAUCAAAUUUUCUCUGGCAUCUUUUGCAACUGUGGAAAUAUCAAUUAUGAUCAAUCAAAACGAUUUCAAAACCUUUUAACGAGACAUAUUUAUAAUACAAUAUUGUGAAAAUUACAACAAAAAUUUAAUUUAUUAAAUAAUAUAUUAUUAUCCAACGAGCACACAAAAAUGAAUUCGUACAAAUCUAAAAUACUUAGCAAUUUUCAAAUAGAAUUUACCAUGUACUACAAGAAAAUAGGGUAUAUGUGACCCCUAAUGUGAAGGCAAAUUUGCAAAAGCAGCCAUUACGCAUGCCACUAACUUCUAACUUUGUAACCUCGAGUUGCUUUUGUUACCCUUUAUGUGACGGCCACACUGCUGUCACAUAUGUUACUAACCACGUGACGGUAAAGAGCCGUUCGGUAUAGCACUAUUUUAGAAAUUUAAAUUUAUUUCCAGUUAGAAAACUAUUCGCUGGACUAGCCACCAUCGUAAACCUAACUGGUUGCCGGCGAACGGCGUAAAACACCAGGCAUCUUCUUCUUCAUCGUAUUCUCCCUUCAUCUUUUGAGGUAAGCUUGUGAUUAUGAGUUUCUUCUCUGACUUAGCUUGUAAUUAUAGAUUUUGAUUUUUUUUUUAAAUUCGUAUUGUAGCCAUUAUUGUCAAUUUUUGUCCCGCCAGCAAUAUUUUUUUAUUCCUACAAGUUGAAGCCCCUGUGUUCUUGUUCCAUUGGUGUUGCUCACUCAAAUUAAUUUUGUUCUGCGGAAUUUACAAAGUUCAAAUGGAUUCAUUUGAAUUACUAUUGAAUUUAGCUUUAAUUCCAACAUCCAUUCUAAUGUUUUGCUAUUAGAUUUAGUUUAAUUUUAUGUUUAAAGCAUCUACAAUGAAUAGCGGAGCUUGGGUUUUAGUUUCAUUUUCUGGAUAACUUGUUUUAGUUUAUCUUGUAUGCUCACCAAGUGCUUGUUAUAUUGUCUGAUAAGUUAUAUACAUUGCUGAUUCUAUAUUAAUAAUGUUACGUUCUAUUUUCAGAAAUUAUAAUACAAAAGUUUUUACAAUGGCGUGCAUCUACAAACUGAAUUGACUUGUAGAAUAAGAGCUUGGAGUAAAUAGGAGAUGAACUUGAUGACGUAAACCUCUUAGGAUGAGUUGUUUGAAGUAUUCUCUAAAUUGAUUAAAGAUUUAAAGAAGAUUGAAAUGUGAAAUGUUUCUCUUAGAAAGAAAAAAGUAGAACUUUUAAAUGAGAAUGACACUUUGAAUAAAAAGAUUAAGUGCUUAGAAGUAUUUGUGAAGAAAUUGCAUCUUUUAAAGAAAAAACAAAAUGUUUCAUCCAAGAAUAAAGGUUUACUUGUAAAUGAUUUGAAAAAGAAAAAUGAAAUAUAUUGCUUUAGAAUUUGCUUAGUAUUAGUCAAUUGUGUGAUAAAGGUUACAAAGUUAUUUUUAUGUGAUAAAGGCUAUAGAGUUAUUUUUUAUAAAACAAAAUAUGUUAUUAAAAAUGCAUGUGAUGGAAAAAUUUUAUUUGUUAGAUAAAGAUGUGUUAAUGUAUUCACCAUUGAUAUAGAUAGUGUAUCAACUCAUGAUAAAUGUUUUUUUCACAUUACAUGAUGAUAUUUGAUAUGACAUGGAAGAUUAGGUCAUGCAAGCAUGGAUUUGAUUUCAAAAUUUUUUAAAAACGAUUUGGUUAUAGAUCUUCCAAAAAUUGGUUCUAAAAAAGAUAGAAUUUGUGAAGUUUGCCAAUUUAGAAAACAAAUAAAACAUCCUUUAAAAAUAAAAUUCAUAUUUCUACUUUAAAACCACUUUAACUUUUUCACAUGGAUUUAUUUGAAAAAAGAUAUGUUAUUUCUUGCAUUAGAAGUGAUCAUGGCGGAGAAUUUGAAAAUUAUAAUUUUGAAAAUUUUUACAAUAACUUUGGCAUUGAGCAUCAAUUCUUGUCACCAAGAACUCCCUAAUAAAAUGAAGUAGUUGAGAGAAAGAAUAGGUCUAACCAAGAAAUGGCUAGGACCAUGUUAAAUGAAAAUGCUUUACUAGAAUAUUUUUGGGUUGGAGCCAUCAACAUUAUUUGUUAUGUUUUAAAUCGUGCAUUAAUUAGACCUUACCUCAAUAAAACUCCUUAUGAGCUUUAGAAAAAUAGAAAAACAUUGACUAUUUCAAAGUUUUUGGUUGCAAAUGUUUUCUAUUGAAUACAAAAGACAAUCUUGGUAAAUUUAAUCUAAAAUCUGAUGUUGAUAUUUUUCUUGGGUAUUAAAAUACAAGCAAAACUUAUAGAGUGUAUAAUAAAAGAUCCUUGGUCGCUAAAGAAUCUAUACAUGUUAUGUUUGAUGAAUCUAACUUUUCUUCUAUGAAGAAAAUUGUUGUUGAUGAUGAUGCAUAUGAAGAAUUACAAAAACAAAAAGUCUUUAAAAGACAAACAAGAUGAUUUACCAGGCAAAAAUAAAGAUGAGCAACAAGAAGAACAAGUUAAACAGAUUCAAAAUGAAGGUAGUUCACAAACACUCUCUAAGGAGCUAAGGUAUGUCUCUUCACACCCUAAAGACUUAAUCUUAAGAGAUCCUUCAUGAGGUGUAACUACUAGAUAAUCACUUAGAAAUACAUGUGAACAUACUGUAUUCAUAUCUCAAGUUGAACCAAAAUCCUUUUCAGAUGUGGAAAAUGAUGAAUCUUGGAUUAUAACAAUACAAGAAGAGUUAAAUCAAUUUGAAUGAAACAAUGUAUGGAAACUUGUUCAUAAACCAGAACAUCAAUCUGUAAUAGGCAGUAAAUGGGUAUUUAGGAAUAAAAUUGAUGAAUCUGGUGUGGUUGUAAGGAAUAAAGUUAGAUUAGUAGCUCAAUGAUGCAACCAAGAAAAAGAAAUUGAUUUUGAUGAAACCUUUGCACAUGUAGCUAGAUUAGAAUCCAUUACAUGCUUUUAUCAUUUGCAUAUCAUAAUGAUUUUAUUUUAUAUUAAAUGGAUGCUAAAAGCUCCUUUCUAAAUAGUUGUAUUAAAAAGGAAGCUUAAGUGAAACAACCCCCUCGUUUUAAAAACGAAAAAUGUUUUUGGAUCAUGUUUACAAGUUGUCCAAAGUUUUAUAUAGUUUAAAGUAAGCAUCUAGAGCAUGAUAUGAUAGACUUAGUAAAUUUCUUUUAGAAAAUAAUUUUUCAAUGGGUAAAGCGAAUACUACUCUAUUUAUUAAAUACAAGUGAAAUAUAAGUGUGCAAUCCAAGAAGGGGGGUGAAUUGGAAAUUUAAAAAUUAUCCUAGCAAAUUCACACAACAAGCAAUCUAAUGUCUUAAUAAAAAUUAAAAGCAAUAAGUUCAAGAACAACACAAUAAUUAAAGAGUAAGGGAGAAGAGAAACAAACACACGAAUUUUUACGUGGUUCGGCAAUCCCCGCCUACGUCCACGCCUCCAAGCGAUCCAAGCUUGAGGAUUCCACUAUCCAAGCCUUUCCAAGGCUUCAACGAUUACAAUUGACUUCGAGGUGUCAAUAAACCUUUACAACAAAGAGAUUAUCUCCCAAUCUCUUCACUCAAGUGUCUCACACACUCAAACUCUUAUAAUUGAGAUGAAUAAAUGAAGGUUACAAUGAAACUCACUCAAUGAGUAAAUAUUCAAAAAUGAAGAACAAGAAAAGAUUCAAUGUUUGUAUUUCACAAGUUUGAAGGCUCAAGAUAUCACGUGUGCUUUUUGUUCUUGCUUGUUGGGAGAGCUUGAAAAUGAGUUGGAUUUGAGUUUUUAUAGUUUGAGCUCGAAAACUAGCCGUUACUCACAUUUUGGUCGUAACCGGAUUACCGGUUAUAGACAUCCGGAAUUCCGCUUAAUGUUACCGUUACAGCCACAAAUUUGAAUUUCUGAACAUCCGGAUUUUCGCUUUGUCACAUCCGGAUUUUCGCUUACGCUCAGUAGCUUACUGCCCAACAACCGGAUUUUCGUUUGUCAGGAUCCGGAAUUCCGCUUUUAAUUCGGAUAGAUUCUGCCUAAAAUUCGGACUUCCGUUUGUCAGAAUUCGGAUUUCCGCUUGCUACAGUAACUGCUACAGUGAAUAUUUUCCCAAAUUUAUAGUUUGACCUCAAAACUUUAUAAAAACUAUAGUGUGGCCCAAAACGUUAUGAAAGUUUGUAAAAAGGUCCAAUUUCAGAACUUUAGAAUAAUGCUUUGUCAAUCCCACAACUUUUUGAAAUUAUGACUUUGCCCAAACUUUGUGAAAUUAUAGAAUAGCCCAAAAACAUUUAAAUAGUUUCAAAUAGGUCCAAAUCUGAAAUUUAAAAAACUAUCAAAGAUUUUAUAAUUACUUUCAUUUUAGUCCAAAAUGCUUUAAUUCUAUAACAUCAUUUUCUUAUUAUAAAAGCACAAUUCAUAAAUCUUUGCUUAAUAAAUACAUGUGGUUUGUUAUCAUCAAAAUCAAUAUUUAGCCAUAUAGGCUAACAACAAGGAUCAAGGUAUACUUGUUCAAAUUUAUAUUGAUGAUAUUAUCUUUAGUUCUACUAAUGAGUUUCUGUGUAAAGAAUUUUCAUCUUGCAUGAGUAGAGAAUUUGAGAUGAGCAUGAUGGGAGAAUUGAAGUACUUUCUUGGACUUCAAAUUUAAAAGAAAAAAAAGAAUUCAUUAAUCAAGCCAAGUAUUUCAGAGAUUUACUCAAAAGAUUUUGCAUUCAGGACUAAGGACACUCCAAUGAGUACUAUAAUCAAGCUCGAUAAGGAUAAAAAAAGUAAAGAUGUUGUAUCAAAAGAUAUCGAGGUAUGAUCAUAUCUUUACUUUACUUUCUAUUAGUAGACAUUACUUUAGUGUAUGUUUGUGUGCAUGAUUUCAACCAUAUCUUAAAGAAUCUAAUUUGCUUAUGGUUAAAAGAAUUUUUCAUUAUUUAUGAGGAACAAUUGAUCUUGGUCUAAGGGAACUCAUAUAGAUUAGUAGCUCAAUAAAUUUGUCAAAGAGUCCCAUUCAACAUUCUAGGACCAAACAUAUUGAAAUUAGGCAUUAUUUCUCAUGUGAUCAUGUUCAAAUGAGAGAUAUUGCUUUAGAAUUUGUUUCUAUGGAAAAAUAACUUGCUGAUAUUUUUACAAAGCCUUUUUGUGAAGAAUAGUUUUCAAAGAUUUGGCUUGAGUUUGGAAUGAUGACAUUUUCACAUCAAUAUUUCAUUGCAUGAUAUUGAGACUACAAAUUUGCUUGAUUUUCUAUCUUGAUUGAUUGUAUGAUAAAAACUUGAUUUUAAAGUGUUAUAUGCUUGAAUUUACUUCUUUGAAUGUUUAUCACCAUAUCUUAUGAAUUUACUUCUUUGAAUGUUUAGCUCAAAGCAUACGGUUAAUUGCUUGGUUUCUAAAAAUGAAACGGUUAACCGCUUUCUUCAAGAGGCUAGAUGGCUUCAUGUUUUCAAAUGUUGUUCAUCUUCUUUUUCCCACUUUCAGUUGUUACCCUCUCUCUAUCACUGUCAUCUCUCAUUUCUUUUACUCUCUCUCUAAAAUCUUCCAUUUUUACAUCACUUUUGUGUCAAAUUAAACUUUCCAAAUCAUCUCCCAUCAAUUAAUCUUCACUCAUUCGCUUUUAAAACACAAUCUAAUCAGUCUUCUCUCAAAAUCUUAAAGCCUAAGUCACCAGUUUCAACAUUCUCAAAUUUGAACCAUUAUUUGACCAUUUUCGACCAAAAUAAACCCAUACAUUCCUUAGAUCUUCUCAAAGAAUAUUUUAAUUGAUUCAAAAUCAUCUAUUUCUUUAAAAACUUUGUGAACUCGAAUUUGUGCAAUUUUGGACACAUUUUGAUAAUUUCUUAAUGGCUAGUGGUGAGAAGUCCAAGGGUAAGCAUAUGCCUAAAAUGUAAAAAAAAGAUUCAUAAAGACAUUCUGAAAUUCAUUUCCACCCACUUCCCAAAUCCGCCUCAAUGGAAUGAUUCUAUGAUCGAUUUAUGACAAGGUCAGUCCUCCCAUACUAUAUAUGUUAAUCUUGAUUAAUUAGAAAGUUUGUCAAGUUGUAGCAAAACUCUUAGAACUUUACUUGCUGAAUUGGGUUGGACAAAUGUCUUAAUUCUUAAGGAACAUAUUUGUCCUAAUUUGGUACGAUUAUUUUAUUCGAACAUGCUUAUUUCUACAAAUACUGUCAAUAUGAUUAUUACUAAUGUUGUUGGGAUUCCUAUUAAGUUUACUGUAGAAGAUUUAAACAUGAAUCUCAGGACUAGGAAUGAUAGGUUGCAUUUGUAUACAUCUAGGACUAAAAUUGAUUAUCCCUGGUAUUUAGUUGUAGAUGAUGUUUGAAACAUAGAUGGUCGAAACAUAUGUAGAUGAUCUAAUCUAUCCAUGGAGCUUUUUAACUCCUCUCUUAGAUCACAAGUGUUGCCUUUUCAAAUUUGGAUCCUACAUAGUGUUCUGCAGCUUGUGAUCAGUCCUCGCAAGGGACAUGGUGCUGAGGUUACACGCUUAGAUGUUACUUUAUUAGAUAGCAUCCGUGAGGGUAAAAGCUAAAUGUGCGAAUAUUAUCAUUCAGCACAUGCUUAAUACACUGAGUAUAGGAAACCGAUCCUUUUCAGUCGGUAGUGUCAUUACCCAUACCCUUCAAUAUUUUUGGGUCCCUAUAGCUGAACCAUCUCAUGAUGAACCCAAGGAGUUAGGGGAUGAGGUCAUUGCUAGCUUAGGAUUUGGGUGGGUAGAUGACUAAUAGGUUAAGAAUCAGAACUUGUUGAGCAAACCCACAAAGCUGGCUCUUUUUUAUCAUUGCAUCUUUUACGAUGUGCUUCCCCUUACUGGGUUUUUAAUCUUAGUUCUUCCCUGAGGUCACAAGCUCUACGUUGGCCUUCUAAUGCUCCACCAUCAUCAUCUUCAGCCAUUCCCAAUAACCCAAUCCAGCAAUUGUUGAAUAAAGUGCGUUCCAUAUCCGAGCAGUAAAGCGAGCUUAAGAUAUUGUUCGCAGCAUUCCAGGAUCAUUUUCUUUUUGAGCAGCAGCGUCUCUUUCUUCAACAAUAACAAAUUCUAGACCAUCAACAGCUUAUCUUCAUUGCUCUCAAAUUUUUGCCACCAUCCUUAUUAUCAUGUUUGCUGCCUCAUCAGUGAUUUUCUUUUAUCUCUUUUGCUUCCUUGUUUUAUGCACCGACAUUAUUUAUCAUAUGCAUUUUCGUUUUUAGCAUUAUGGAUACUUUAUGAAUGUUAUUUUACUUAUGCAUGAUAGAUACUUGAGUUGAUAUGGAUUAUCUUUAUGCAUUCUAGUUAUUGAUUGUGGCAUCUUUAUUAAUUAUAUUUAUGUAUUAUCUUUAUUGAUUAUGGAUUAUGUAUAUGGAUACUUGAUUAAUGGUCAUGUGUGGAUUUUCGAUUGAUGAUCUUUGUGGGGGAUAAUUAUUGAUAAUAUUUGUAUAAUAGAGGAGUGAUUUUUCAUGAUGAAGGGGGAGAAGAUAUUGACAUGUAUUUUGAAGUGUUUUGACAUGUUUUUGGCUCAUGGGGGUUGAUUGAGUGUUUGUAGUAUUUUAGUUACUUUCUGAGUCACUCAAGGAGAGUUUACAAAUGUUGUACAAUUAUAUGAAUCAUGUACUUAGAGGGAGUGAGUUUAUACAUUUGGUUAUAUUUUUUGAAUUAUGUCAUAUACUCAGGGGCAAUAGAAAUGUCAAAAUACAUAGGGUGUUUAUCAUUAUAAAAAAAGGAGAGAUUGUUAGGGUAAACGACUAUAUGAUCCUUAAUUUUGAUGUUAACAAACCAUAUAAGGUAAAAUGAUAAAUUUAUUUCUCACAAUUUGACAAGUUCUUGAAGGACAAAAAUCAUUCAAGUGAGAUCAAUUUCAAGUCACUCAUUGGAUAACAGCAAUCAAGGAUGAAUACUAAAGGUACUAGCUUAAGCAAUCUUCAUAGUUAUAUUUCUUGUAAAGCUAAUAUGAUUUAAUGUAUGCAUGAUUUAGUAUUUAAGAGUUCAAGAUAUUUUUCAUACAAUUUUCAAAUUAAAUCAUCAUUUUCUAUAAUAUAAAAGUUUUAAACGUAAAUAAAAAUGAUUUUAUAAAAUUAGUUGUUUUCAAAUUUAUGGACUAAAUUGAAAAGUUUUGAGAACUUUGAAAUCAAUUAGUAAUGUUUUAAAUUCUUGAAGUGGACCUAUUUGUAAAUAUUUCAAAAUUUUUAGGCCAUAGUAUAAUUUUAGAAACUUUUAGUUUAAAUCUAUAAAUUUUGAAACAGCAGCGACUAACCGCUUAACGAGUAGUGGCUAACUGCUUCAGGUCAAAAAACAUAGCUGCUAACCAUUUAAAUCAGGCGACGAUUCGCUUAGGCAAAAAAGUUUUUAAAUUUUAUUUGUAACGGUAACUUGCCACAUCAAUAUAGCGACUAACUUCUUUAUUUUAGCAGCAAUCCGGUAGGUCCUCAGAAAGUCAAAAGCUUUUAUUGUUAAUAAUAGUAGAAAAUAAGAACAAAAAAGGAAAUUAUCCACUAACCAUGUAGUCUUUGGGACUUUUUUAGAAAUACACAGAAACCUUUUUCUUUGUAGAAAUCCACCUAGGGUUUAUUAAUUAUUCACUGUCAUCUUAGCUCGUUAGAAUCUUGUUGAUGUCAUAAGAUUAAAAUUAUCAUUUUACUUGACCACCUAAGAUUAAAGUUAUCCUUUAGAGUUUCUUUCGCUGGGGCUGGUGACCUUAGUGGUUAGAUUUGCUAGAUAUGGUCGUGAGAAACUCGACAAUGGCCGAGGAUUGGCUGGAUUCACGGUGGUUUGGUCAAAAAGAUGACUUGAAUUGGCAUCUAUGGUGCUUCAUUCAUGUUGGAGAUUUCGAUUGCGAUUUGGAUAUCGACAAUGAGAAAGUGGCGUUUGCGGUGGCGUUAGGUGAAGCCCGGGUUUUGGGUUAGCGUUGUGGCGAUUUAUGAUGGUGAUCAUUGGUGGGUUUUUUCAAGUUAUGACUAGUGGAAUCUAACAAGUUUAGUGGUGGUGUUGGUUGACAAUGAAGAUGGUUAGUUUCACGGUGGCAGCUGGUGGAUGCUCCCAGUUUUUAGGUCUAGAUGAUUUAUAGUAGGUACAAGCGGCGAUUGAUGGCAGGAGUGGCUAAGGUUUGGUCAGUAGUGGCUAAUGAGUUUGGUAGAGGGAUUAGCCAAUGGUGAACUAUUAGUGAAAAGUGGCAGUGGCGGUGGGCGGCUGCUAAGGUUUUGUAAUUUUGUAAUAUUUUUUUGUUGGAUAAACAAUGAUGUAUUUGGUGGGGAUGGAUAUGGGUAGCCAGGAAAACUGUGCAAUUGGCAUUGAACCACUCUAAUACAAACUAACAAAUUGGAAUUGCGGAAGUGGAAUUGAUAGGGUAGGAAAUAUUAGCUAUUGUUCUAAUACUGGCUAAGGUAAUGUGGAUAGUUUACGUCCUAAUCGAAACGUGAGUAGAUCUCAUUCUAACAAUGGCUCAAUGAGAUUUUAAUAACGUAUAAAGCGAGAUUAGACGAUGUUCUAAUCCAAAUAACUUUGCAAGAGAGAUUUUAAUAAAUAAUUUUAGAGGGAAUUAUUAAAAAGGGCUUUAUUAGUUGAUCAAUAGUUGAAGUUACAAUAAUAAGAUUUUGAUUUAUAAUAUAAUAAACCUACUCCACUAAGUUAACUUAAAAAGAACAACUAAAUAACAAUUUUAAUAGAAAUAAAAAACUAAGACAUAUACCAUAGUUGACUAUAAUUAAAAUAGAAAAUGAUAAAAUAAUAAAAAUUAUGAAAUCCUAAAAUAAUGUCUACAUCGUAUCCUCACUAAAAUAAAAAUAUAAAAGUAAAGCAAAUUGUGGUAUAACAUACUUUAAAAUAAUAAAAAUAUUUUUAUACUUAUUCACUUACCUGAUGGAUAGCUAGAUAAGUGUUACUUUUCACACAACUAGACCAAUUAGUACCCUUUUUGGUUUGUGAAAACGUGAUUUUUAUGAAUAUGCUAUAGAUGCUUUCAAACGUUUCCACAGUUUACGAAUUUACGCAUUAAACGAAAAUAUCCAAUUAUCAAACAAAAAGGUGAAAAUUCAAUAGAAUCGACAACUUCUCAGACUCACGUAGGUGGUGGUUCAAGUUUCUAAACUACUAUUAUUAUUAACAGUUUUGAAAAGCAAAUAGUAACUUCAUUUCACAGCAUCUGCUUUUGAGAAAGCUCAGAUGUAAUCAAAAUUCCAAAACCACUCUAAAUAUGUUAGGGAUAUGACCAUAAAUAGAAGUUAUAUAUUAUAGGAUAUAUAGUUGUUCAUAGCUAACAUUUGAUGGUUUAAUUAUUUGUUCUAGGGAUUAUGCGCUGAUUAGUGUUUUUUGUUAUCCGAUGAAUGAUAUUCAGUUUUUCUUACAUGUUCAUAGGCAAGAGCAUUUUCUAAGUACUUUCCUUGCCUUCAAAUUUUGAAAGAAAGAUAGAUAUGAUAUGUGAAGCAAGCCCAAUGAAAUAAGCAAAUAAAAUAGAAUAAACGAAGCAAAAAUAUUUCUAGAAACAAGAAAUGACAAAGGAAACACGAAUACAACUUUUUUCCUGUUUUCCUUAUUUUCCACUGUUAAGCUCUACUACAAGAAAAUAGACAAUAGAUGAUAGAAAAUAACUUUCAUAAAAAGUGGUGUAUGACAAAUAGUUCAUCCGUCAUCUAUGUCACUGUCAUUAAUUUAUAACAGAAUAUUUUCCGUCAUGAAUUCUUGAUGGUAGUUUAUAGUCAUAUAUCCGUCACACAAUAUUUUAAUGAGAAAAAAUAAUUAAAUUAAAUUUGAAUUUAUUUAAAUUUUCACUCUAUUUUUUUAAAUUUUUAGCGGGAAAUCAAAUUGUCAUUUGUAAAUUUAUUAUUCAAUUUUGAUGGAAAUUUUUUUAUGACAGACUUUAUGAUGUGUAUUUCCCGUCAUAAAUUUAAUUUUAAAAAAAAUUAUAUUGUGAUUAUAAUUUAUUUGUGAAUUCCUAUUUACAAAUUUAAUUAAUUAAUAUUGUCAAAAAAAAUAAAAAAAUAAUAUUAAUUAACAUCCAUUCAAUCCAACAAAUUAAUUUCAAAAUAAAUAUAUCUAGUAUUCAAUGUCAUUACAACCAAUACAUAAUAAACAUCCCAAAUUAAAAAAUAAGAAUGCCAAAAUAUAAAACAAUAGUUAAAUUCCAUUUAAACUCCAAGAAAAGUAAUUCAAAUUCCGGCCACCGAGCCAAGUUCUCCAACAAAAUUUCCGAAGAUUAAUGGAAAUAUUCCAACAGCAAGACUUCCAGAAGCAAUACCCUCUUCCAGCGGCAAUACAUUGAAUAAUCUGAAAAUUUAUUACAUUGUUUAGAACUACAACACUAAAACAUAAAAGCCAAAUACUAUAUUAAACUCAUAAAAAGCUUAUAAUUUACAGGAGAAACUGAAAGUAUCAAUCAAUUUUGAGGCAACCAAUUUGACAAUUUAAUAUUAAACUCAUAAAAAGCAUUGCCAGUGGUGAGUUUAAAUAUACCUGCAUCUGUGUCCUUGCCAAUUCGAUGGGGUAGCAACUAAUACAUGCUAAUGAACGUGCCGCAGACCCAGCAACUAGGGGGACAUAUUGUACCAACAUUGGAGCAUUGCCAGUAGUGAAAUUUUCCAUCAAAUUGCGAAAACUGUCAUAACAAGGAAGGUAAAUUCCCACCUAAAAAGAGUAAUUAACAGAAAAAAAAAAUAAAAUAAUCAUCAUAAUGCAAAAAAAUUUCAAUGCCACACUGAUGUAUGGGAUGAAAUAUUUGAAGAAACACAAGCAAUUUAUGUACAAGAGAGACUUACUGUUGGCACAGACAACGCUAAACUUGCAUAAGUGCCUCUCCAUAGUCGGGCAAAUCCCUCCUGCACAUGUUUAGCUCUUAUGAAACCUUUGAUAUUAAAGAACAAAAUUUAAGAUUCACCAACAGUAGCACCAAGAAAUCUAUUUAUUGAAGGCACAUUAACUACGCAAUACAAAAUCUCUUUCCAUAAUAUAUGUAAUCACACUGCAAGUAUAAUGCAGUACACUAAAAUGCCAUCAGUUGACUUGUUCUAAAAAAUGUCUAUAAGACAUUCUGUACAAAUCCCAGUUCUUACGGAGUUAUUUUGCCCAUGGAUCAAAUCACUUUAGGACUGAAAAAAUGACGUCAUCUAAAUAGGAAAUUAGGAGUAUUAACAUGUAAUUCCAAUUGAAUUUAGUUUUUCCUCUUCAUAAUUUUCCUGUGAACUAUAACAACUGCUUUCUAGGAUCUCUUUCUUCUUUGGAGAUACAAUAGUUUUACAAAGAUCCAAUAUAAAACUCUUUAGGAUAAAAAUAGUCCAAGGAAAGCUUUUCUCAACAGCAUAAACUAUACACUUUUGGAAAACUUCAAUUCUUUUUAUUAGAUAUAUGUGUAAUUUAUUCAUAAAGUCCUUGUAUCCACUAACCUGGCAUACGACUUUGUAGAAAACAUCUAGUGUUCCUUUAUAUCUAUUACAUUCUGGAGCUGGUUCAGAGCCUGGAACUGCACACGUGCAUGAUGGAGAAUUUCUCAUAUCUGGAAGCAUCUACAGAAACAAUUUGAAAGACAACACUUGUCACAAGAUAAUAUAACAUAGAGCAAUAAGAAUAGUAAUUGUUAAGUGUUAGAAAAUGUAUAUUUAUAAAGGAGAAAAUCGUCAUUUUACAUUUCAAGUCUUACUAACAACCCUUACUUUUAUGUAUUUAAGUCUCUUGUAAUUUAAUUAUGUGUGUUUUAUUUUAAUUAAGUAUUUUAUGUAUUUUAGGGACAUCAAAGUCAUUUCACAAUAAACGAGAGAUCAAAUGGCAAAACGAACAUCACUUUUGAACUCAGGACGGUCGAAAACUUUAGGAGGAGCAUAAAAAGAAAAAUGGUACUGCUCACAUGUACGGUACUAUUCAUAUGUACGGUACUGUCUACGUUACUGUUCACGACAAUGUUUAUAUAUACGGAUCGAUGACGUGGCAUUGACCGCUGAUGUGGCAUUGACUGAUGAGGUGUCAUGAUCCUGUUGAACUAAAAUUCUUAUGUACUAUUGAGAGUAACGUGACAGCAUAUUAGUGGACCAAAAAAACACGCGUACGGUAUAUGCAAUACAUGAGAUUAUUUUCAACCAAACCGCGUUACUGUUCAAACCGUGUCAUUGUUCAAACCGCAUGGUCAAACCGUGUCAUUGUUCAAACGGCGUGGUCAAACCGCGUACUGUUGACUGAUGACGUGGCGCAAUCCUGAGCGUCUAAACUAUUUUUAAUCCGAUAGUCAUGAUUUACUCAAUGUAUCUAUAAAAGGGGGACCUCUUCCCCCUAAUUUGGCAUCUCUGAAUCUAAUUUUGGACUCCAUUUUCUAUAAUUCCUUCUCCAUCUUGUAUUUUCUAUGUAUUUUUAUAAAUUUCCAUUUUGCCCCUAGUUCAAUUAUGAGUAGCUAAUUUUCUUUUAAGUUUGGGUUGAAGGUGAAGUCUCAACAUGUGUCAUGGGCUUUAUUUGGUAAAUUUACUUUAUCUUCCCCUCUAAUUUUUGUGGAUUUUUUGAUUUCUCAUCGAUAAAUAAUAAUAAUUUUGUCUAGAUACCGCUCUGGUUUCACUGGCUCCCUAGUACAAGGUUAUUAUUAUUUGGCACGAUAAGCCCUUAGCACCAUAUUGAUUAGAGUGUGGUUCAUGAAGUGUGGAUUCCCCCCUCAUGAUUUAAUUGACAUUAAUAAGGAAUAUUUAGCCCAUGGUGCAUGUUGAUACGGAUCCAAAUACCCAAGUGUUUCAUUUCAAUAGAUUUAUCUUCAAUUUAUUCUCGCCAUUUUAAUUUAAGUUUUAAAAUAUUCCAAAUCAAUUUCACCAGAAAUCCAACCACCCAUUUACAAAAUUAAUUCUACAUACAAUUAAAAUCCACCUCCUCGUGGGAUCGACACUCGUCACCAUUAGUCUAUUCUACAAUAGAUUCGUGCGCUUGCGAGUUCAAUAAAAUUUGCACAACAGUAAUGUCUAUGCAUAAUGAUCAUAACAGAAAAGAGAAUUCAUCUAUCACAUUUAUCAUUCCAACCCUCUCAAAAUACUAACUAAAGGAAAGGAGGAGACAAAUUUAACAAAAGCAAACCAAGGGGGAAAACCAUAGGAAAGCAAAACAGAUGACAUGCAUUUUUAAAACAUUUGGAUUCAUUCUCUUAACAAGUUAUGUAACACUCAAUACAUUUAGUACCUACAGAAGUUAGACGAUGGCAAGAGCUUAGACCAUAAUAGCAAUUGAUGAAAUUUCAUUACGUAAAAUACCACUCAGUUUUGGUAAGACUGUUAUGUGUGCUCAAUAUAAGUCAUUUUGAUAUCAGUACACGAAGAUUUUUUUUCUUGAUAUGGCUGUUCAUGUAUAGAGAAGAUACCCCACUUUCUCUAAUAUCAAUGCUUCAAGCAUUUUCUUUCCUCAUAAGAUACCAUUUCGGAUAGUGUACAAUGCAAAGUAAAGAAUCCCAAAAGGGCAGUUCAUAUACCAUGUUACUUUCAAAAGAUGCUGUACGACAUAGACCCUCAUAAGGGACGCUAGCAGCCUGGGCUUGCAACCUUGUCUGAAGAUGAAGGCAGGAAAUCUAUUAGCUUUGUAGCUUCAUCAUGAAAUCUCAAAAGAUGAAGCAAUGUGAAGACCAGGAUUUCUGAAAAAAACUGGAGAAGAGAUAGAGGAUCCAUGCAACAAGCAUCACUCAAAUUUAGAAAAUAAUUGGGCGACUUUAGCCCACGUUUAAAAUAUUUAUAAUAAUUAGUAAAAGAAUAGUGAAAAGUAGCUGAAUAAAGAAAAUUUAAUUUUUCCAUCUUUUUGCUUCCUUUUCUUUCAUUCUCUUAAAGAAUCAUAGCUUCUCAAGGACUGAGAAUAAUGACACAACAUUUGGAUUUUAUUCUUGAGAUAAAGAGAAACAAUAAUUAACAUCUAUCCACAAUACCAUUCUCAAAAGUAGAAAAAAUAAUAAUAAUACUAACAAUAAUAAAAAAUAAUGAAAAUGACAAUUAAAGGGAAGAAAAUUUUUGAUAUAACAGACAAAAUUAGCAAUGAAUAAGUUAAAUAAAGAAAAAAUGAAAUGAAAAUUUAGGUGGAGUAGAGUCAUUAUAAAACCUUAGCGACAUCGAGAGGAUUAAUAAUAACGGCAGAAACGAUAGCAGCGCCGUCAGCAGAGAAAGCCCUUUCUGCAAACCCCAAACUGAAAUCUUUUAUGGCUUCUGAAUGUCGUAAAGCUUCCUCUUUAGACGAAGUCUCUGAUGAUACUGAGAUAGACAAAACGCUUCCCUCCAAAUCAACCCUAGUCGCCGCCAACCUGAAACGGAAUUAAGAAGCGAUAGCGAGCUGACUGAGGAGAUCGAAAAUACGCAUCUGAAAAGUAAAAUAAAUUGAACAAAUCUUGAAAAUUUGAACAAACACCCAUAAAUUUGAACAAUUUUUACAAAACAAGAAUCAUCAAAACCUAACUCUAGCAAAAAUUGAAAAUUAAAAACCAAAACAAACAAGAACAUCGAAAUCACACAAGCUAACCCUAAAUAGCGCGAACAAAUAAAAGCUUGAAAUUAUGAAAACACAAUCGAAAUCAUGGCAUAAUGAAUUCACAUAAGCGAUGAGAAACAACAUGCAAAUGAGAAAUUGGACAUGAGGAGCGGCUAAGAGGCUGUUGUUGAAGAAGUGCUUGCUGCACCAGUGCUUCUUGCUGCUGCUGAUGCUGCUUCAACCUCUAGUACUGCAUUUUCCUUCAGAAUCGAAGGAUUUGUAAACUGUUUGGUUCCCAAGAAAAUUUCAUUUUGGUUUCUCGAGAAAAUGAAAGAAAAGAAAUAAACAAAGAAAACGAGAGAGACGAGAGAAGCAACGUUUUAUUUUCUAAGUGUGUAUUCGUUUAACACUUAGGGAAAAAAAAAGGAAGAAAGAAAGUUUAAAGUACCCAAAACGGUACAGUUUUGCUAGCAUUUCUUUUUUUUUUUUUAAUUAUUAAAACGCACCUUUUGUUUUUUAAAUAAAAUAAUAUAUAAAAUUUGAGUCAAAUAUGGUCAAAGUAAUUUUUCUAUCGUAAUUUCUUGAUAGAUUAAAUUUCUAUCACGAUUCUAUCAUAAGUUCAUGAUAAAUGAUAAUCCUAUCAUAAAGCCAUCAUAUAUUCAUGAUAGAAAAUAUUUCUAUUACAAGACCAUCAUUAAUUUAUGAUAGAUUAAAAAUUAUGUCACAAGUUUAUCAUAAUUUUAUGAUAUACUUAGAAUCUGUCAUAAGUUGUUUGUCAUCUAUUAUCAAUUUUCUUGUAGUGUUCAAAAUGAAUAACUUUAUUCUACCAUCUCUCAAAUAAUAAAAACAUCAACAGCACAUCAUCGUCAUCAAUAAUAAUAAUAAUAAUAAUAAUAAUAAUAAUAAUAAUAAUAAUAACAAUAAUAAUUUAACUUUGUAGGAUGGAGCUCUCGCAAAUCUUCAAGACACAAAAUGUGCUUGGCCCCGUUGUUGUUAUUAUAAUUUCAAAAUGACUUGAAUUAUAUAAAAUUUGGGAAUAAGACAUAGCAAAAUUGAUGGUACAUAUGUUGCAAUAUACUUGUUCAUGUAGCGACACAUUAAAGUAAAGCAAAAGCAAAACAACGGAAAAUGUAAUGGGAGGGCUCUCAUUAUGUAGAUUUUCAAUAGAAGUAAUGCAAAUUUCACAAGGGCAAUGGCCUUAUUUUGAAUGUUGCACCUAAGGAAUGACAUGAACCUUCGAUACGUCACAAAUGUAUCAUGAAAGUGUGAUAGAUUUGUGACAUAUAUUUAUAUGUUCAGAGUUUAUAACAUAUUCAUGACUUAUAAUUUAACUAACAUAAAUAAAUGAUAGAUAUAAGUGAUGUUCAAGUUUUGUGGAUUUAUAAUAUCUUAAAAUGAUGACUAUUUAAACGACGUCGUUUUUAUGAAACUUAAAAACAUACCAACACUUCAGCCAAAUAUCGACAAGUGUUGAAUAAACCCCUCUCUCGCCGCAACCUAAAAUCAAUGAACUUUGAGCCAUUCUCAACAACAUUGUGUAGAACCCUAGCCCUAACCCUCACUUCCACCACCGAUAAAGCUAAGAAAGCUUUCCGUAUAUCAGAACCAUGGCGAAUUGCCUUCAGCUCGUAGGACCCAUAAUAAAUCUUGUAUUCCCUCGCUUUCACUUUGCUAAUUUUUUGUAUUAUUCCAUCUCUUUCACUUUAAUAACCCAAAAUCUUUCUCUGUUUCAAUUGAAAGAAGACCCUAGCUUAAAUUAAGCUGAAAUUUACAUAUCAAAGCUCUCGCUCAGCUUCCCUCCUUCAAUUGAAACAAAACGAAGCCAUAAGACCCCAAUAUGCCACGCCCUUUUGUCUCAGGCCAACAUUCAUUUAAACCCUACCUUUCGGUUCAAUGCCAUUUAAUGCGAUUGCAGAUGCCGUUUCAACUCAUUAUUUAGUUAACGCCAUUCAGUUCUUUGCGGUAAGCCUUAUCCCUAAUAACUAAUCAACUGUGGUAGCACGUUGCUGACUGGGGGUGGGAAUACAUUAAUUGAAUAUCUAAUCGGGUGAUGUCAGUGAUUCAUCCCCCUAUUUUCCGUGAAUUGAGAUUUGUGUAUAAUGUUUGUAAGAUUGUUAAAAAUUUCAUGUUCCAGUCGAAUUUCUUGCUCGUGGAAGAUAAAACAAAAGUUUAAUAUAUAUAUAUAUAUAUAUAUAUAUUAUCUUCUUUAUAGUCAGGCUCUGGCUUUGCUGCUAUGCUUAGUGCAGUUUAUGGUUUCAAGAUUAAAUUAGGUUUAUUUGACAACAUCGAUGUCUUACCUAGCUCUGCUUGAAAAUGAAAAUGUUGUACUAGUAAUCAUAGACUUUGUUUAUUCAGUUGAUAUUUUAAUUAUAUGUAUAAGAAUGAAGGUUUAUUUGGGAAAAAAAGAAAUAAAGAAAUAGGCUCUGUUGAAGCUAAUUAAUACUUCAUUCUUUCUAUACGUGCGACCUGUGGUGGAAACAUGAUAUGAAAAUGUGUUACUGGUGAGGUUGCUGCUUGAGAUGA
RNAcentral lists this long non-coding RNA (433967 nucleotides) under Citrus maxima (pomelo). RNAcentral's name for it is "long non-coding RNA (CMAX_LNC001306)". The stretch from base 308679 to 308785 matches the Rfam family "Plant small nucleolar RNA R71". The record is from RNAcentral. Lineage: Eukaryota; Viridiplantae; Streptophyta; Magnoliopsida; Sapindales; Rutaceae.